CUCAGGUCAAAAUACUGAGUACGAGCUUCAUAACUUGAGAAUAAACCUUAUAAUGAUUCCAGUGCCGUGCAAUGAUGUGCAUCCAACUCAUGUAGUUUGCAUGGAAGCUUUGGUAAGGAUUGAAGCCUCUCACAAUACCUUAAGGAGAGCCUUCCCAACUUAGAAAGUUGUAUGAUGCUUUCUGGAAUUCUCUCAAAAUUGUUUUUCUGUAGAUCCAAUUCUUCGAGUGAGGAUAACUGGCCAAUAUUUUCAGGUAACCCUGUGAUGCCACAAUCAGUUAGAUUUAAAUACGUUAGAGUAUGCAAGCCAUCUAAAGAUAACGUGAUAGGCAAUUAUAAACCCAUCUGCUUAUGAACCCUGCUUCUCUGGAAACUUAAGAGGUCAAUGUUGUUCAAACGGAAAACAGAUAAUGGCACUUCUCUUAUAGCAGUUCCUAUAGCAUGCAAACCCGACAAAGCUUCUAAAUUUCUUAGUUCAUCAGGCAGUCUCUGAAGAUUUGAGCAACCAUUGAGAGUAAGAUAUUUAAUGAUUUUAACUUACACAGGCCACUUGGGAGACUCUUAAGGCUUUUGCAAUCUUAAGGGUCCACGUGCAAAAGCUUAUAUAGACACUCGAUGGAUGAGGGCAGCUCUUCAAUUGCAGUUCCAUUUAAAAGCAUCUAUUCUAUAUUAGCAGCUGAUGAGAUAUCUGGAAGCCGCUUCAGUUUUGAACAACCUCAAAGAUCAAGUUCUUCAAGAAAUUCCAAAUGAGUUCCAGCUGGAAGACUUUUCAGGCUUUUGCAAUCCCUUAGAUUCAAGACAACCAGCGUGUUCGGAUGUUGACUCAACGAGGGGUUUGGAGUUUUGGUAAAAAUAUUGUAGGCAGAGAUGAUUUUCUGCUUUAGCUCACCACGACGUUGCUGAGACAAAAAAAAGGUCAAGACAAAUCAUUAGCAUGCUAUAAUAAUUAAAUGUUAUGACUUAAAUAUUGCAUGCAUAUGUUAAGAUAUACAUACCAGGACACCAUCCCAAAGUUGUUGAAUAUUGUUGUGAGGCAUUUCAAGUAAAACUAGUUUCUCUGGAUGAAUAUUUGAAGGCAAUGAUUUCAAUGGAUAUCCAUGCCAGUGAAAAUACCUCACUUCAGCAAAUACAAGUAAUACUAAACGUAUAAACUAUCAAUGUUUGUCUGCAAACUGUUACAUACAAAUUGACAUUGCAAUUAUACAUUAUUGCUACAUCAUGUACCACUGGUUUCUUCUUUCCAAUUUUUCUUUUUCUUUUUCCCUCUUAAGCAUUGCCACUCUAAAAAUUUUUACUUCAGUAUGUCUGAAAAUUUUUGCUUUACAAUUUAUUCGUAUAUUUCUACGCUGCAAUGUAGAAAGUACAACUAUUUAUGAUUUUUCAGAUAUUACUUUCAUGCCUUUCGUUUAGCUAAUUUGUUUGUUUGACAAAUUUGCUCUCUUGGCUCUCCUCUUUAGGCUUUGCCUAGAUUUAGAAGAAGAAAAAGAAAGAAAGAAAUCCCUACAUUAGUGAUGGCAAUGGGGCGGGGUGGGGGUGGGGAUGCCUACCUCAUUCCCCAUCCCAUUAAAAUUUUUUACCUCCAUUCCCCAAUAAAUUUAGUGGGUUGGGGAUGGGGAAUCCCCACGUGGGUAAUGAUUCCCCCAUCCCUACCCCAUUCUCCAUUUACUUAUUUUAUAGUAGAUAUAAAAAUAUGAUUUCAAUAAAUUAAAAAUUAGAGACUUAAAAUAAAAUCAUCACCAUAUUAUAAAGUAUUUAAAUUUUUUUAAAAAAAUCUCUAAAAAUUUGAAACAAUAUCUUAAAAUGAUAUUAAAAGUGAAAAAUAUUUAAAGAGAGCAGCACCUUAAAAGAGAAAAGAAAAUAUAAUAAUGUUUUAAAGUUGAAAAAUAUUAUAGGGUUUUCUUUUAUUCAUAUUCUAUUUAUAUUACAUAAAAAUUAAAAAUUAUUAAUUGAUAUUAUAGUUGAUAAAAUAAAAAUUAUUAAAUAAGAAUUAAAAACAUAUUUAUAUAUAAUGGGGAUUGGGGUGGGGAAUGCAAUACCAAACCCCACCCCAUUAACAAUUUGGGGAUUAUUUUUACCCCACUCCCCACCCCAUUCCCUAAAAAUUAUUAAAAAUUUUUCCCAUUUGGGAUGGGGCUCCAUGGGGCCCCAAACCCGUGGAGAAUUUUGCCAUCCCUACCCUAUAUGGGUUGAAACUUGACGCAUCUCCAACACAUCUCCACGUCAUUAAUUGAUCAAUUCCUUUAAAUCUUGUUGGGUAUUUUCAGCAGCUGGUACUGAUAGUUAAUAAUAACUUGCUGGUGAAACUAAUUGAACCUGACCUUGAUGCUCCGGCCACAACCAACAACUGGAUAUAUGGUGACUAACUUAGGUAGCUUUGAAAUCAAUGGAGCCAGCCAUUUUUAUUAAAUUGAUUAAUUCAUGUACAGCGGUUUAAGAUAAGUAAAUUGAAUUUCUUUUUUUAUAUAUAGUAAUGUAAUAAUUGAUCAUCUCACUAAAUAAUUAAAUUUUGUUCAUAAAAAAAAUAAAGUCUUUAGAGUAUUUUAUGUGUGUGUACAGCACUUUCAUGAAUAUGUGGAGUAAAUAAAGAUAAUUAAUUUAAAAUGUUUCAGCGAAGAUUUUUUUGGCAUUUUAAAAAGUACUCAAAAUAGAAUCCAAUUUUUUUUUAACUAAUAGAAAAGUCUACAAAAUAAUAAAGUGUUUACAAUAAUUUUGAAAAAAUAAUGGAGUUAAAAUUAAACACAAGAAUUUUAUGAGAAAAAUUUCUGAAUUAAUUGGGAUAAAAAAUUACUAAUAAAAAAUAAUUGAUGACUACAACACUUCUUUCUAAAUAAAAUAAAAGAACAACUGCAAUCUCUCUUAUAAGAGAAAACAGCUCCCUUACUAAUUUUUUUUUUUUUAAAAAAAAGGAAAACACCACUUUUAAAGGAGAAAUUGAUUUUUCUCUUUACACUAGCGUACGAUAUUGUGGAAUGUGAGGAUAAUUAAUUAGUUGAAUGAAAUGCUUCAAUUAACUUUAAAAAGUAGACAAAUCACAAAAUUGAAAUGCGCGUGGGACCGAUAUACGUACAUAUGGACGCUUUACUUCACUCUUCGCUAGGAGUUCAAUUUUGUGAUUUGUCUACUUUUUAAAGUAGGGGUGGGCACGGUUCGGUUCGGAUCGAAAUUAAGUAGAACUGAUUUAAAUCAGUUAUUUUAUAAAAAGAACCGAACUCAAUAAGAACCGAACUCAAACGGUUCUUUUCGAAUCGGUUCAGUUCGAUUUGGUUUUUUUGGUUUUUGGCCUAUUGGGUCUAUUUUGAAUUUUCAAAUUUUUAGCCCAUUGGGCCUCAUGAAUGUAAUAAUUUUUUUCAACAAUUAGUUCAUCCUAAUUUCAUUACAAAUAUUAACAAUAAAUACAAAGUAUUCAAAACACAUUUUAUCACUAAUAUAAGAAGCUACGGCUUUCGCGCAGUGAGAAGAAGGUGUUGCGCUGUGAGAAGAAGGUGUUGCACGGUGACACUAUCGCCGGUGAGCAGCGUCGGCCGUGAUUGCAGUGGAUUGGGGUGGGUGAUUUGGAUUUGGUUUCGAUUUUGAAUCUUUGAUUUUAGCUUUAGGGUUUAUUUUGGGGGAAAUGAAGAUUUAUGAAAUUGUAUCAUAUAUAUACUCGUGAUUGUGUGUAUGCAGGUUUAUUUUAGUUAUCUUACACAAUCAAUGAAAAUUUAACACAUGUUAAUUUGAAUAAAAUUUAAAAAUAAUUUGGUUUUUCGGUUCAGCUAAGUGAACCGAAUACCAAACUGACAUUUCGAUUUUUUUUACAAAUGAUAUAUUUCGGUUUUUUAAAAAAAUAAAAACCGAUCCGAAUUAGAAAAAACCGUCGGUUCGGUUCGGUUUUUUUAAGACCACGGUUUUUUUGCCCACCCCUAUUUUAAAGUUAAUUGAAGUGCGUGAGAUGUGUAAUUGACAAGAAAAGCUGAAAUAAGGAGUGAUUCAGGCACACUAAACGGCCGACAAUAUUGCAGCUGGCAUGGACUUGGUGUCCAGAGAGCGGAAGACCGCAGCGGGAAAAUGAAAUGGUGAUUGAGGCUGGAGUGGGCUCAAGGGGCUCAAACAACUCGAAGGGUGAAAAGGGCCGACAAGGAUUAACCAAGAAAUCAAGAAUGAAGGGAUGCUUGGGCCAGGAAAACUUAUAAAGGCUACGGGAAAGAACAUAACUAGUGUGUGUAUUUGUGUGUGCUUGGAUGCGCUCUAAGUGCUUCAACUCCAACCUGAAUAUGUUGUGAUUGUUCCUUGCUGUAAGUUUGCUUCAAUAGGUUAGCUUUACAACUCUUUUAAUAAUAUUUUCUUUUUAUUACUUAUAUCUAAACUUUGGUUAUUUGAUAUUUGUCACAAGUCCUUGCCCAAUAUAAUCAUGUAUAACACGAUCCAAUUAUGGGUUGGUGGAUUUUGUGUCUGCAACUGAUGCUUAAUAAAAAAAUCUUUAUGAUGGUGAUUGUACAUGUUCUAUUCGUAAAAUGUGAUACUUUGUAAGCCGAUGUUCCAAUCACAUAUCUAAAACGUGUAUUUUUGUUGCACUUCAACACUAGUUAUUUUAUCAUUUGACCAUCAUCAUUUAGAGUGUUAUGAAAUAUGCUACUGUGAAAUAAAUGCUGCAGUUUUUAAGUAAAAUUAAUGAGUAUUUUUAUUAAACAUUAAACCUUGUUAAGACUUUGUUUAAUAUUGAGAUUGGAUAAUUCUACUUUAAAAAUUACAGUAUUAAAGUAUUUGGUAAAUAUUAGUAGUUGUAAACACUAUUAAAACUUAUAAUAUCUUCAUUUUUUUCAAAAUUAUUAUUUAAAAAUUAUAUUCAUUAUACAUUUUUAUAGUUUAUUUCAUAGUAAUAUAUUUUACCUCAACACAAAACAACGUCUAAAGUUGAUAACAUUUUGUAAAUGAAAGUUAUUAUUAUUAUUUUUUAUAAUUUAUAUGGACUAAUUUAUUUAUACUGAUUAGUAUUUCGCUACUAAAAUUAAUUAAAAUAUUGAAAUAAAAUCACAUCGCCGGUGAACUGCCAGCAGGUCAAGCGGGCGACAAAAAACUAUCAUUCCGGUGGUUAUGGGCACGUUUUUGAAUCAUUUGAUUACAAUCUUUUUCUAAUCCUUUCAUUACGACCUAUCUGAUAGUGCUCCUUUUGUCUUAAACUAAGUUUCGUAGAUGCCGUAGUUUAAGCUCAAAUCCGUGGCGGUUCGUUGCUAUUAUCUGGGAUGCAGUAUCUUAAAUAGUUAUUUGACAAAAAUACCAACACCAUUUAAUAAAUUGUGUAAUUUAAGUGCAAUGAUGCUAGUUAUGAAUUUACAAGUAUUUAGUGAUGUAAAAACAAACUAUGAAUUUUACAUUUAUUAAUUUCAGUUAGUAGCAAACUUUUCUUGUUAUUGAAUUAAUAAAUUUCGGUUUUUGCAGUUAAAACGUCAUAGGGGCAGGGCAGAUAUUUCACCCACUGUUGUGGGGAAAAAAGCAGAUGGGCUCCCAAAAGCCCAAUUGAAAAGAUUUAUGAAAGUGCAACUGCCUCACAUCUAUCCACAACAGGCCCGUAACUUAAUUCCUGAGGUCUCGGGCGUGGGUAAGUGGGUUGUAGCUAUUUAACAAGCUCAUGGUAGGAGUUGAAGCUCAACUUGCGGCAGACGAGUGAUCCUAUGCCAGUGUUUCGCUUUCUCUGCAAUCUUUCAUUUAACGAAACAAUGUCGCGAAUUGCAGUUGCUAAUUUGUGCUCAUUGUGGUACCUGAUGAGAGGAAUCAAAAUGGAGAAUUGGUUUUGAUUAUGUUGUCUAACAUUCAGUAAAAGUGUAGUUAACUUGGCUACUUCAGCAGUAAGUUGAAGGGCCGCUGUGAUUGUGAAGUAACUUGUUAUACAGGAAAACAUUGUAACAUCUGGCCAAUUCUAGUGAAAUGAUUCAUGUUUCUGAAUACUAUAACAAUUUAGAACACAGAAGACGUGAGGCAAAGAAGAGUGAUUACCGAAUAUAUAUUUCAAUAAAUUAUCCUAAUGUGCACAAUUAUCUUAAUGAAUUAGCAUUCAUGCCUUUACAUAAAAAGCUGGGCAUCAUGCAGAUAAUGUUUUCAAAAGGCAUUCAAGUAGUACUAUGAUGAAAUGAUCGUGCAAAUUAAAAAACAGGACGAGGACAAAAAUUUAGCACUGCUAAUAAGUAAACAAUUAUCCAAGUUAGCUUAAAUUAUAAUACAAAAUGACCCAACAAUUAUGUUAAAACUAUAAAAUGCUUGCGUAUAUGCAUUGUGAAUUUUAUUGACAAACACUCAAAACCCACACAGACACACAAGGAUCUAAACACUAAUCAAACUCACCACAAGUCAAGCACAUAACUGCUUACUCUAUCCAACGCCGAUAUUCACACAAAGGAGAGAACAAAACUUUAAAAGAGCCUGCUGUGGUGGAGCUCGUUGCAACAGCUGGAAGCUUGAAGACGAGAGAGAAAGAGUUGUAAUGAGGGGGAAAGGAAAGAGCCAGACGCGUGAAGGUGAUUGUUGGAUGCGUUUGUUGCGUGUGUGAGGUGUUCCACGCCCAGGAAGAGACGUUUUAUACUUUGCACAAAAUUCACCGUUUUGUGCAAAGUGUUGUACAAAUAUUUGUGAGAAUAUCAUUUUCUAUUCUUAUAAGUCUAGCUCACCAAGUUGGUUAACCACACAAAUCGCCAUCCUUACGUUGAUAGGAAAGGAUUUACCAAUAGUAUUGAAACUCUAUAAAUACCAAACAUUCGAGACCUUGGAGUCUCUUUGGCAUGCAUUCCAAUACUCGACACAUACAAAAAUGGGGGACAGAGAGCGAUCAAGAUAGAAUAAAUGGAUUCCAUGACAUAAAUUUCAGGGAGCGUGUAAUGUUAGCAUUUGACAAGUGCCAUGUUUCUGGAAGAAAUUGACAUGUGUCAUCCCGUGAAAAUUACCCAGAUCCAUAUAUAUCCAUAUCCCUGCACAAUACUAUACGAUCAAAGAAGCUUAAUCACAUUCACAGCUAAAUACCUUUUGAGAUGAAAUUUUGGGGUGGAACGAUAACGUUCUCCAGGUCAACUAUUGCACCCACCAUUUUAAUGCUUUAUUUUUAGAGCCAAUAAAAAUGCAGCCAUAUAGGUAAAAUCAAAGCUUAUAUGGUACAACCAUAUAGGUAAAAUCCAAAAGACACAUUGAAUAACGAAGAGUACUUACCUCAUGUACUUAAAAAGAUAUUUCAACCCUUUUGGGGUGUGGUUACUCUUCCCUCAUUAGAUCAGCUGAAACUUCUGCUUAAUCUUCAUUUGAUUUCCUAGAAUCUUGGCUGUCAAUAAAAUAAAUCCCACAUAUUUCCACCAUCUUGCACCACUUCAUCUGUUCACAAAUUAUUUUUGUCCUCAGAUUGGAUUGAAAAAAAGACCACAUUUUUUUCAUAAUCAUAUUCACUAUCAACAUCCAAAUCAAAACCGCUGAAGGAAUUGCUUCCCAAAGCUAUGUGAUCUGACUGGACAUAACCAUUGAUGUCCCAAAAAUGCCAGGAAGAGAAAUGCCGAUGUCACUGUGCAUUCACACAAAUUUGAACACCGAGGUAGCAAUCAUGAUGGUUACGAAAUGAUACAAUUACGAAGAAAGCAAAGCCGACUAAAUUAUUAUUAUUGAACGAUUCUGGUGGCACCUUCAGGGUUAUAGUAGCUACCAUACUUUGGAAAUUAAACCAGUUAUGAAUUUGACUUCCAAGGAAACAGAAAUGAGAGAUUGCAAUAAAUGUCCGUCAACCCCCCCCCCCCCCCCCCCCAAAAAAACAAUUUUCUUGAGCUCUUCACAACCAUUUAAAAACAGUUGAUAAAGGAAAAGUCCCUGACAUCAGAAUCAAAGUAUUCGAUGUCGCGAUCCAUCGCUUUUAAACAUGUUAGAAUGGAAAGCCAUUUGCAAAGAAUAAAAAAGGCGACAAGAAACGGUUUAAAUGGUUUAUCAAGAAACGCUCCGCGUGGCGUGGCUGUUCAAAAAUACCAAGGAUGAGGGGAUUGUUGUUAUAGCAGUUCCUUCAGCAUAAACCUUCAAAAAUUCCAAAUCUCCAAGUUUGUCGAGCAGUCUCUGAAGAUUUUGAAGAAACGUGUUUUCAUUUCUUUAAUAAAGCAUUAUACAUUGAGAGUUAUUUAUAGAUGCAACGGCUACAUUUUUUCAAAGAUUACAUGUGUGAAUACGGAAGGAAAUGUGUCAAUCCGUUCGGCGCGGAUCUUGUCUUUGACAAGUGCAGAUUACCCCUUUGACAAGUGCAGAUUCUGUCUUUGAAAGUUUCAUUCAAUGCCGUUUUAUAUGAUUCUCAACACUCCCCCUCAAGCUGGUGCAUAGAUGUCUUGCAUGCCCAACUUGUCUAGGAAUUUUGUAAAUGCCCUGCUUGAAAUGGCCUUCGUUAAAAUAUCUGCAAGUUGAUCUUCUGAUCGAAUUUUCGGCAGUUCUAAGAUUUUUUCAUCUAAUUUCUCCUUGAUGAAAAAUCUAUCUACCUCUACAUGUUUUGUUCGAUCGUGUUGAACUGGGUUAUGAGCAAUAUCUCGUGCAGCUUUGUUGUCACAGUAUAGUUGUAUUGGUUGUUGUGAUGGAUAGCCCAAAUCGUUUAAGAUAAAACUUAUCCAUAGCCCUUCACAUAUCCCAAGGGCCAUGCCUCGAUAUUCUGCUUCAGCGCUCGAACGGGCAACGACAUGUUGUUUCUUGCUUCUCCAUGUGACAAGGUUUCCUCCCACAAAGGUAAAGUAUCCUGAAGUAGAGCGUCUAUCACUAACUGACCCGGCCCAAUCUGCAUCAGUAUAAACUUCUAUGUUGCUGUAAUCUUCAUUUUUGGAAAAUAAGAUUCCUUUUCCUGGAUUUGUCUUCAGGUACCUCAGGAUCCGCAUUACUGCUUUCAUGUGUUGUUCUCCGGGAUUAUGCAUAAACUGGCUUACAACACUCAAUGCAUAAGCAAGAUCUGGCCUUGUGUGGGACAAGUACAUCAAUCUUCCAAUCAGCCUUUGAUAUCUUCCUUUGUCUACUGGAACUUGGUCUGAAGUAAUACAAAACUUCAGUCCUUCUUCUAUUGGGGUGUCAAUAGGCUGACAAGCUGUCAUUCCCGUUUCGUGCAAUAGAUCUAAGGCAUAUUUCCUUUGAGACAGAAAGAUUCCUCCCUUAGAUCGAGAAACCUCAAUUCCAAGAAAGUAUUUUAAGGCACCUAAAUCCUUCAUCUCAAACUCUCUUGACAAGUUCUUCUGAAGAGCCUCUGUUUCUUCCUCGUCGUUGCCUGUAACUACCAUAUCAUCCACAUAGACAAUAAGGGCAGUGAUUUUACCUUGUCGUUUUUUAAUGAAUAAGGUAUGAUCUGAAUUGCUUUGGUUAUACCCAAAACGAACCAUAGCCUUUGUGAAUUUCCCGAACCAUGCUCUUGGGGAUUGCUUCAACCCAUACAAUGAUUUCUUCAAUUUGCAUACUUUCUGAUUGAGUCGUUCUGGUCCACUGCAUCCUGGUGGCAGAUCCAUAUAAAUUUCUUCAGACAGGUCUCCAUGGAGGAAAGCAUUCUUUACAUCGAACUGUUGCACUGGCCAAUCCAAGUUGACUGCUAAUGAUAAUAAGAUACGAAUAGUAUUAAUUUUUGCUACUGGUGCAAACGUAUCAGUAUAAUCAAUCCCGUNNNNNNNNNNNNNNNNNNNNNNNNNNNNNNNNNNNNNNNNNNNNNNNNNNNNNNNNNNNNNNNNNNNNNNNNNNNNNNNNNNNNNNNNNNNNNNNNNNNNGGUGUAACCCUUAGCUACGAGUCUUGCUUUGUAUCGUUCAAUAGAGCCAUCUGCUUUGUAUUUUAUAGUGUAGAUACAUCGACAACCCACUGGUUUCUUUCCUGGUGGAAGAUCAACUAGUUCCCAUGUUUGAUUUUUCUGAAGAGAUCUCAUUUCAUCAUUCAUAGCCGCUUUCCACUUUGGAUCUUUUAAAGCUUCCUGCACACUGUUAGGAAUAGAUACAACAGAUAAUUGAUUCACAAAUGACUGAUUUGAUUCUGACAAGCGAUGGUUAGACACAAAAUGACUCAUAGGGUAUUUGACUCUACUAGAGAAGUCAGGCUCAUAUGUGGUUUUAGGGAUACCUCUGUUUUGACGUUGGGGAAGAAUUCUUCUGAUCGGACUUGUGGUAGGAACAUCCUCUGCAGACGAUUGGUUAGGUAUUUCUUCAUGUGACUCAUUCUCGAUUGCAGUUGUGUCUGAGUUAUUGUGCUCCCCAAAUGUGUCUUCACAUAUCUCAGCCUGCGAAUCAUCACCAUUUGCUUUUCCUGUAUCUUGAAGGUUUACUAUCUCAAUGGAAGAUUGACUUUCUUCAGGUGGAAGAUAUGUAAGAGUAUGAAUUUCCUCUUCAUUAUACUCCCCCUGAAAUUCAGACUCUGACAAGUAGUACAUGAUAUCUUCAUGAAAAACGACAUCCAUGGUGAUGUAUAUUUUUCUUGAUGGUGGAUGAUAGCAUCGGUAUCCCUUUUGAUGUAAGGCAUACCCUACAAACACACAACGUAGUGCUCGAGGAGAUAAUUUGUCUUGUUGCGGUAAAUGAACGAAGGCAACACAGCCAAACACAUGUGGGGGUAGAUUCGGCACAUUUGGUGACAUAAUUGCAUCAUUCAGAACUUGGAAAGGAGUCUGGAAUCCAAGGGAGCUUGAAGGUGUUCGAUUGAUCAAGUAUGCUGCGGAUGCCAGUGCUUCUCCCCAAUAAGAUAAUGGCAUGUGGGCUUGGAUUAGUGAUGCUCGAACAACUUCUAGUAAAUGUCUGUUUUUUCGUUCAGCAACGCCAUUUUGUUGGGGUGUCCCCACACAAGUGGUUUGAUGGACAGAUCCUUGUGAUUUCAGAAACUGUUGAAUUGCUGUGCUCAUAUACUCGCCUCCAUUAUCAGUAUGUAGAACUCGAAUUUGUGUCUGAAAUUGAGUUGUCACCAUCUUAUGAAAUCUUUGAAAUAAAGAGUUUACUUCGUCUUUCGAUUUCAUCAGAAAAAUCCAUGUCAUUCUGCUACAAUCAUCAAUAAAUGUAACAAACCAACGAGCACCUCCAAUUGUAGAAACUUUAGAUGGCCCCCAUACAUCAGAAUGUACUACCAUAAAAGGAACUGGAUUUUUAUUUAAGGACAAUGGAAAAGUAGUUCGAUGGCUUUUUGAAAGUUCACAAACAUCACAUUUAAAGUUACAAACAUCAAAUUUCAGAAACAAACUAGGAAAUAAUUUUUUUAAGUAACCAAAUGACACAUGCCCUAAACGUCUAUGCCAUAACCAAAUUUCUGAUUUCCCUUUUUUUAUGUAACUAUCUGCGACUAGUGCGGGGCUUAGCUUUCCAGUGUUUGUUGAUGACAUCUCCAAGUAGUACAAGUUGCCUCGUCUAAUACCAUAACCAAUCGUUUGCUUCGUUUGGAUGUCCUUAAACACACAAUGAUCAGGCCAAAAAAUUACAACACAUGAUAAGUAAGUGGUUAAUUGAGACACAGAUAAAAGAUUAUAAUCCAAAGAUGGAACAAUUAACACAGCGUCUAAAUUUAAUUCAUUUGUGAGUCGUAAAGAUCCUUCCCCAAUAACUGAGGUUGUGGUUCCAUUUGCAGUGGAAAUAUGUUUUUGUGAAGAUGGUUUCAAUUGAGAAACUUGUCGAGAAUCAAAAGUCAUAUGAUCAGUUGCCCCAGAAUCAAUUAUCCAUGUACUAUUAAUAACAGGUGUAAGAGUUUUAAGGGCCUUACCUGGACUGACAGAGGUUGCGAUUUGCACUGAAGAUUCUUUUCUAAGAUCUGUAGUGGAUGUGGAUACUGCAGUUUUUGAUCCAUGCUUGGUGCUCUUUUUUCGAGUAUCCCACCAGUCAGGAUAUCCAAUGAUUUCAAAACAUUGUUCUUUCGUAUGACCCUUCUUUCUACAAUGAGUGCAAUGGAGUGAUGACUUGUCAACAAACUUCCUUUGAGGCUGUUGUCGUGCUAUCAUAGCAGACGUUUCUGAGUCGACCUUCUUGUUUAGUUUGCUUUGCCGUAUAUCUUCUCUUCGGAUCAGAGAAUAACAUUUUUCUAAGUCUGGGAUAAUGUCUUUUCGUAGAAUUUCUCCACGAACUUGGUCAAAUUCUUCAUCUAGCCCAGUAAGAAAAAUGUGCACUCUCAAUCUUUCAACAGACCUUCUGUAUAUUACAACAUCUUCUGGAUCCUUCAUGACCACUUUAUCUCGGUGAUCAAGUUCUCGAAAUAUUUCGACCAAUUCUCCAUAGAAUUUAGAGAGUGGUUGUCCAUUUUGCUUGGUAGAGAAUGCCUUCUGGUUUAGAGUGAAAACUUGUAAUUCAUCGCUUCCAUCAUAGAAGGCUUUUGAUAAUGCAUCCCAGAUUUCGUAGGCUGUAGGAAUUCGUAAAUAUCGCUUCAUGAUCUCCGGAGACAUGGAUAUGAGUAACCAUCUUUUUACUUUUUGGUUCUCACUAUACCAUUUCUCAUAUUCCUUUGAAGAUUCCUCAAAUGGCUUUGUGCUGCUACGAAUAAAUGAGAGUUUUUCUCUUUCUGCAAGAUGCAUCUCCAUUAUUUGAGACCAAACAUCGUAGUUUGUCUCAGUGAGGAUAAUUCCAGCAUUAAAUACUCCAUCAGAUUGAACAGAUUGAAUGACAACAAGACUAGAUUCAGUUGGAGUUUUCUCCAUUUUUUUUUCUUUUUUUCUCUUUUUUUUUUCUUUUUUUCUCUUUUUUUUCUUUUUUUUUCUUUUUUUUUGUUUGUUUUUUUUUUUUCCGUCUAGAUUGAAAGAAGAAAAAAAAAUAACCUUUUUAGGUAACAAAACGACAGGUCGUUUGGCCACUGCUUACCAAACCGACAUGUCGGUUAUGGUGGAAUAUAAACGACAUGUCGUUUUAAUCCUGCUGCGCUUCUGGAUACUAAGCGUCACGUCGUUUUAUCUAUAAUUUAAAAACGACAUGUCGGUUUUAAUAUAACAAAAAACGACACGUCGUUUGUUUACUUCUGCACUUCUGAGAUAAAAACGACAUGUCGGCUGACGUCGUCUUCAACCUCUGGAGCGCGUGAUAGUGCGUGAAUGAUGACAGAGGCGCGUGGUUGACUGGCCGUGGCUUCGGGUGGCGCGUGGGAGCGCGUGGGCAUGUGUUUAAAUGCGAAAUUUUUACAGUUUCCUCACUGAAAACUGAGAAAUUUGGUGGUAUUCUUGGUUUUUGAGGAACACAGUCUCGGAAAAUUGAUGGGAUUGUUGAUAAAUUUGUAAACUCAAGCUUUUUACGUAUGGGUGGCUUGUUUCUUGAUUGGCAUGGAUAUCUGUAAUGGUAGGAAUGGGUUUAAGAAAGAAAAUGGUGGGAAAAAUGGUUGUGGGAGGAAUUUGGUUUCCUCUGUUUUUGUUACAAACAGAGCAGCGGAACUUGAAGAAACUUGAGCGUAUUCAUGGCUCUGAUACCAUGAAGAAACGUGUUUUCAUUUCUUAAAUAAAGCAUUAUACAUUGAGAGUUAUUUAUAGAUGCAGCGGCUACAUUUUUUCAAAGAUAACAUGUGUGAAUACGGAAGGAAAUGUGUCAAUCCGUUCGGCGCGGAUCUUGUCUUUGACAAGUGCAGAUUACCCCUUUGACAAGUGCAGAUUCUGUCUUUGAAAGUUUCAUUCAAUGCCGUUUUCUUUGAUUCUCAACAUCGUGUUCCUCUAAUUACAGAAGCAUUUUGGUCCGAUUAUUGGAGGAUUGGAAUACGCGAUGAUUGCCUCUCUCUACUACACGUAGAAGAGUCGAGACGCUCUUUUGGGUUAUGGAUGGUGAAAGGGGGGUUUUGGACCAAACACUUGAGUUUUGGACCUUUUAUAGAAACUUAUCAUCCAGUUGGAUUUUGGAGAAAUGGCGAAUUCAUUCUAGAAUCAUAUCCACGAGGUGUUGACCGUCGAUUGGUCUUAUAUGAUUCUAACUACGAUCAAGUAAGGGAAUUUGGAAUUACUAGUAUACGGAUUUCAGUUCGUUUUUUGAAAGAAAGCCUUAUUACAGUCCGAGAAUAGGAGGAUAUAUAGCUUGUUGGAUGUUCAUAUUCUCGACGUUACACGGCAUGUUUUGGGUGUGUAUGUUAGAAAUCCUCUAGGACAAGUUAGAUUAAGUCUACGAAGUUACAGCCAGACGUCUAUCCCAACAAAUUUUAUAGGAGAACUUAUUACACACAACCCACAUUGGCGGGCAAAUAUCUACCUUUCCAAUUUUUAAAAUUGCGAGAAGAAUAUGAUCCUAGGAUAUGCCAGAGUUGAACCAAUGCCCUUAGGCCAUGUUUGGUUUGAAUAAAAGGGAGGAGAAGAAAAGAGUGGAAUAAAGCGAAAGGGAGAAUAAAUGAAUGGAGAAGAGUAGUGAAAUUAGAUUUUGUUGUAUGGUUUGAUAUAGAAUUCGAUAAUGAAAGGAAUUAUAAUUUUUUUUGUAGGUAAAUUUAUCAUUUACCUUAAAUAUUAAACUAUUUAUAUUAGUAAUAAUAAUAUAUAUAUUUAUAUAUAAUAAAAUGGCGGUUCGGUAGCCGGCGGUGAAGGUCUAGUGACUUUCCGUUGAAGGUCUGGUGCCUUUUCGGCGGAUGUUUGGUGACUUUCCGGUGAAAGUCCGCGCGAAGUCGGCGGAGAUCCGGUGACUUCCCGACGACAUCCGGCAGAGAUCCGAUGACUUUUCGACGAAGGCCGGUGAUGUCUGGCAAAGGUUCGGCGACUUUCCGACAGCAUCAUAAGGCACAUUGAAUUAAAUAAAUUUCAUAUAACAACUCUAUUCAAAUAAAAAGAAAGAAGAAAAAAAAAUGGGGAAAAGCAAAUGGAGACGCCUACGAAAUUGUAAAUUAAUUCACAAGUAUAGAAAUAAAUUUUUUUAAACGAACGAACAAUUACCGCGAUGAGAAUCGAAUCGCCACAAAAUUGGAACCGCAAAAAAAAUAAUAAUAAUAACAAUCGGGGAGAAAAUUCAACGUGAAACGACGCGUUUAGAGUGAAUUAGCGCCAUAACUUAAAAACUCCAUUUCCCUCGCUUUCGAUUGCUUGGUUUUCCACUUCACACAAACAAAAUUAAUUGCAUUGAUUUUGAUUUUUGAACUUUCAAGUGAGAGAAAAAUCGAAAAUGAAUAACUUUUUUUUUGGGUUUUAAUUUUAUAGAAAUUGGGAAUUAAUUUCAAGAAAAGUUUGUGUUUUUGGGUAGUUUAUAUAUGAAUGCGAGGAAAGCGGGUAUCAGUAACUAAAAGGACCGUUGGAUUAAUAAAACUAGAAAGGGUAAUUUACAUAAGAGUCCUUAUUGUUUUCUUAAAAUUCAGAUACAUUAGUAAAUUUGAAAAAUCAAUCAAUUUCAUUCUUUCUGUUUUUGUAAAAGGGCGUGUGAAUAAGGAAAAAUAAACGCAAUAAUUUUUCACAUGAUUUAGCAACACUAGCUAGCUUAUGGUCAUUGCUUAUUCCACUAAAAUUAGUAUUUUUUUGUUCAUAAAAAGAAGAUGUGUUAAUGAAAUUCUAUGAAAUGAUUUCAUAAGAUCCAGUCUAUUGUCUUUGUUCCUGAGAAAACAUUAAAGAAUUAGGAAUUCAUGUUAUAACAAGAUUUGAUGAGAUUAUUUCCAGUAUGGAGCGACUCAAUCAUUUACUUUGAUAUUUUAUUGAACAAAAAUCCCCUUCUGAAAAUGGAACCAUUUGGACAAAAAUUGAAUCGAAAUAUCUACAUAUUCUCUUGCAGAGUCCAGAUAAUCAUGAACUAAGAAAAGAUCAAGUGGUGGAAUUUUAAAUCUAUCAAAUAUGAAAUUCAAGAUCUCAGUCUCUAUAACAAUUAGAUUUUUAUCGCGUUAAAAGGCCUUGUCAAAGAUUGACUUCUAUGUAUCAAUAAACCUCAAGAAACCAUGUAUUGAUUUAUUUCUUCGAAACUUGUAAGGGAGAAGGAGUCCUCACACUGCUAUGGGCUCGAACCUUCCCCCUCAAAGUGCAUCAUUUUCUAUUGCUGUUUUGUAAUAUUUAUACACUGGAGCUUAAAUUGUAGCAUUAAUUUAAGAAAAACAAUAAAGCGAAUUAAUUCCCACAGUUUCUGUCAAAUUAAACCAAACGCCACAAAUACAAAAAAAAAAAAAGUGCUAAUUUAAUUUCGAUUUGCUUUCACUUCAAAAGUUCAUAUCACUGUUGCAAUUUGCUUAUGUGAAGUAACAAAUUAUCUUGUUCAUAGGUUUAAUAUCACUAAAAUUUUCGUGUCGAAUAAGUGCGGUGCAUCUCUUGGAACUGCUUGAUUAUUCUUUUGUUCAUUCUAUUCGAAACUUUAAUUUGAUUUAGGCAGCUGGUAAUGAGUUAAUGGCAUUAUGGUAAGAGUUGUAUAGCUAUUUUCUGAUUUAUUGUUUCAGAGAUGUGUGAAUAUUUAAUUAACAAAAUAAAGCUAUAUACACUCUAUAUAUAUAUAUAUAUAUAUAUAUAUAUAUAUAUAUAUAUAUAGAAGAAAUGAAUCUAUUUCUUUUUUAUGUUCGUCUUUUCUGUAGGAAAUCGAGAAUGAAAGAAAAUACGGCGUUGUUUUGCUUGAAGCUUCCCCCAUCAAAUGGCUUUCUCUUCCUCUUCAUUUCACCACACAACCCCAACAAUAGAACCGACCUGCAGAACCCUUAAACUGUUUUUUUUUUNNNNNNNNNNNNNNNNNNNNNNNNNNNNNNNNNNNNNNNNNNNNNNNNNNNNNNNNNNNNNNNNNNNNNNNNNNNNNNNNNNNNNNNNNNNNNNNNNNNNNNNNNNNNNNNNNNNNNNNNNNNNNNNNNNNNNNNNNNNNNNNNNNNNNNNNNNNNNNNNNNNNNNNNNNNNNNNNNNNNNNNNNNNNNNNNNNNNNNNNNNNNNNNNNNNNNNNNNNNNNNNNNNNNNNNNNNNNNNNNNNNNNNNNNNNNNNNNNNNNNNNNNNNNNNNNNNNNNNNNNNNNNNNNNNNNNNNNNNNNNNNNNNNNNNNNNNNNNNNNNNNNNNNNNNNNNNNNNNNNNNNNNNNNNNNNNNNNNNNNNNNNNNNNNNNNNNNNNNNNNNNNNNNNNNNNNNNNNNNNNNNNNNNNNNNNNNNNNNNNNNNNNNNNNNNNNNNNNNNNNNNNNNNNNNNNNNNNNNNNNNNNNNNNNNNNNNNNNNNNNNNNNNNNNNNNNNNNNNNNNNNNNNNNNNNNNNNNNNNNNNNNNNNNNNNNNNNNNNNNNNNNNNNNNNNNNNNNNNNNNNNNNNNNNNNNNNNNNNNNNNNNNNNNNNNNNNNNNNNNNNNNNNNNNNNNNNNNNNNNNNNNNNNNNNNNNNNNNNNNNNNNNNNNNNNNNNNNNNNNNNNNNNNNNNNNNNNNNNNNNNNNNNNNNNNNNNNNNNNNNNNNNNNNNNNNNNNNNNNNNNNNNNNNNNNNNNNNNNNNNNNNNNNNNNNNNNNNNNNNNNNNNNNNNNNNNNNNNNNNNNNNNNNNNNNNNNNNNNNNNNNNNNNNNNNNNNNNNNNNNNNNNNNNNNNNNNNNNNNNNNNNNNNNNNNNNNNNNNNNNNNNNNNNNNNNNNNNNNNNNNNNNNNNNNNNNNNNNNNNNNNNNNNNNNNNNNNNNNNNNNNNNNNNNNNNNNNNNNNNNNNNNNNNNNNNNNNNNNNNNNNNNNNNNNNNNNNNNNNNNNNNNNNNNNNNNNNNNNNNNNNNNNNNNNNNNNNNNNNNNNNNNNNNNNNNNNNNNNNNNNNNNNNNNNNNNNNNNNNNNNNNNNNNNNNNNNNNNNNNNNNNNNNNNNNNNNNNNNNNNNNNNNNNNNNNNNNNNNNNNNNNNNNNNNNNNNNNNNNNNNNNNNNNNNNNNNNNNNNNNNNNNNNNNNNNNNNNNNNNNNNNNNNNNNNNNNNNNNNNNNNNNNNNNNNNNNNNNNNNNNNNNNNNNNNNNNNNNNNNNNNNNNNNNNNNNNNNNNNNNNNNNNNNNNNNNNNNNNNNNNNNNNNNNNNNNNNNNNNNNNNNNNNNNNNNNNNNNNNNNNNNNNNNNNNNNNNNNNNNNNNNNNNNNNNNNNNNNNNNNNNNNNNNNNNNNNNNNNNNNNNNNNNNNNNNNNNNNNNNNNNNNNNNNNNNNNNNNNNNNNNNNNNNNNNNNNNNNNNNNNNNNNNNNNNNNNNNNNNNNNNNNNNNNNNNNNNNNNNNNNNNNNNNNNNNNNNNNNNNNNNNNNNNNNNNNNNNNNNNNNNNNNNNNNNNNNNNNNNNNNNNNNNNNNNNNNNNNNNNNNNNNNNNNNNNNNNNNNNNNNNNNNNNNNNNNNNNNNNNNNNNNNNNNNNNNNNNNNNNNNNNNNNNNNNNNNNNNNNNNNNNNNNNNNNNNNNNNNNNNNNNNNNNNNNNNNNNNNNNNNNNNNNNNNNNNNNNNNNNNNNNNNNNNNNNNNNNNNNNNNNNNNNNNNNNNNNNNNNNNNNNNNNNNNNNNNNNNNNNNNNNNNNNNNNNNNNNNNNNNNNNNNNNNNNNNNNNNNNNNNNNNNNNNNNNNNNNNNNNNNNNNNNNNNNNNNNNNNNNNNNNNNNNNNNNNNNNNNNNNNNNNNNNNNNNNNNNNNNNNNNNNNNNNNNNNNNNNNNNNNNNNNNNNNNNNNNNNNNNNNNNNNNNNNNNNNNNNNNNNNNNNNNNNNNNNNNNNNNNNNNNNNNNNNNNNNNNNNNNNNNNNNNNNNNNNNNNNNNNNNNNNNNNNNNNNNNNNNNNNNNNNNNNNNNNNNNNNNNNNNNNNNNNNNNNNNNNNNNNNNNNNNNNNNNNNNNNNNNNNNNNNNNNNNNNNNNNNNNNNNNNNNNNNNNNNNNNNNNNNNNNNNNNNNNNNNNNNNNNNNNNNNNNNNNNNNNNNNNNNNNNNNNNNNNNNNNNNNNNNNNNNNNNNNNNNNNNNNNNNNNNNNNNNNNNNNNNNNNNNNNNNNNNNNNNNNNNNNNNNNNNNNNNNNNNNNNNNNNNNNNNNNNNNNNNNNNNNNNNNNNNNNNNNNNNNNNNNNNNNNNNNNNNNNNNNNNNNNNNNNNNNNNNNNNNNNNNNNNNNNNNNNNNNNNNNNNNNNNNNNNNNNNNNNNNNNNNNNNNNNNNNNNNNNNNNNNNNNNNNNNNNNNNNNNNNNNNNNNNNNNNNNNNNNNNNNNNNNNNNNNNNNNNNNNNNNNNNNNNNNNNNNNNNNNNNNNNNNNNNNNNNNNNNNNNNNNNNNNNNNNNNNNNNNNNNNNNNNNNNNNNNNNNNNNNNNNNNNNNNNNNNNNNNNNNNNNNNNNNNNNNNNNNNNNNNNNNNNNNNNNNNNNNNNNNNNNNNNNNNNNNNNNNNNNNNNNNNNNNNNNNNNNNNNNNNNNNNNNNNNNNNNNNNNNNNNNNNNNNNNNNNNNNNNNNNNNNNNNNNNNNNNNNNNNNNNNNNNNNNNNNNNNNNNNNNNNNNNNNNNNNNNNNNNNNNNNNNNNNNNNNNNNNNNNNNNNNNNNNNNNNNNNNNNNNNNNNNNNNNNNNNNNNNNNNNNNNNNNNNNNNNNNNNNNNNNNNNNNNNNNNNNNNNNNNNNNNNNNNNNNNNNNNNNNNNNNNNNNNNNNNNNNNNNNNNNNNNNNNNNNNNNNNNNNNNNNNNNNNNNNNNNNNNNNNNNNNNNNNNNNNNNNNNNNNNNNNNNNNNNNNNNNNNNNNNNNNNNNNNNNNNNNNNNNNNNNNNNNNNNNNNNNNNNNNNNNNNNNNNNNNNNNNNNNNNNNNNNNNNNNNNNNNNNNNNNNNNNNNNNNNNNNNNNNNNNNNNNNNNNNNNNNNNNNNNNNNNNNNNNNNNNNNNNNNNNNNNNNNNNNNNNNNNNNNNNNNNNNNNNNNNNNNNNNNNNNNNNNNNNNNNNNNNNNNNNNNNNNNNNNNNNNNNNNNNNNNNNNNNNNNNNNNNNNNNNNNNNNNNNNNNNNNNNNNNNNNNNNNNNNNNNNNNNNNNNNNNNNNNNNNNNNNNNNNNNNNNNNNNNNNNNNNNNNNNNNNNNNNNNNNNNNNNNNNNNNNNNNNNNNNNNNNNNNNNNNNNNNNNNNNNNNNNNNNNNNNNNNNNNNNNNNNNNNNNNNNNNNNNNNNNNNNNNNNNNNNNNNNNNNNNNNNNNNNNNNNNNNNNNNNNNNNNNNNNNNNNNNNNNNNNNNNNNNNNNNNNNNNNNNNNNNNNNNNNNNNNNNNNNNNNNNNNNNNNNNNNNNNNNNNNNNNNNNNNNNNNNNNNNNNNNNNNNNNNNNNNNNNNNNNNNNNNNNNNNNNNNNNNNNNNNNNNNNNNNNNNNNNNNNNNNNNNNNNNNNNNNNNNNNNNNNNNNNNNNNNNNNNNNNNNNNNNNNNNNNNNNNNNNNNNNNNNNNNNNNNNNNNNNNNNNNNNNNNNNNNNNNNNNNNNNNNNNNNNNNNNNNNNNNNNNNNNNNNNNNNNNNNNNNNNNNNNNNNNNNNNNNNNNNNNNNNNNNNNNNNNNNNNNNNNNNNNNNNNNNNNNNNNNNNNNNNNNNNNNNNNNNNNNNNNNNNNNNNNNNNNNNNNNNNNNNNNNNNNNNNNNNNNNNNNNNNNNNNNNNNNNNNNNNNNNNNNNNNNNNNNNNNNNNNNNNNNNNNNNNNNNNNNNNNNNNNNNNNNNNNNNNNNNNNNNNNNNNNNNNNNNNNNNNNNNNNNNNNNNNNNNNNNNNNNNNNNNNNNNNNNNNNNNNNNNNNNNNNNNNNNNNNNNNNNNNNNNNNNNNNNNNNNNNNNNNNNNNNNNNNNNNNNNNNNNNNNNNNNNNNNNNNNNNNNNNNNNNNNNNNNNNNNNNNNNNNNNNNNNNNNNNNNNNNNNNNNNNNNNNNNNNNNNNNNNNNNNNNNNNNNNNNNNNNNNNNNNNNNNNNNNNNNNNNNNNNNNNNNNNNNNNNNNNNNNNNNNNNNNNNNNNNNNNNNNNNNNNNNNNNNNNNNNNNNNNNNNNNNNNNNNNNNNNNNNNNNNNNNNNNNNNNNNNNNNNNNNNNNNNNNNNNNNNNNNNNNNNNNNNNNNNNNNNNNNNNNNNNNNNNNNNNNNNNNNNNNNNNNNNNNNNNNNNNNNNNNNNNNNNNNNNNNNNNNNNNNNNNNNNNNNNNNNNNNNNNNNNNNNNNNNNNNNNNNNNNNNNNNNNNNNNNNNNNNNNNNNNNNNNNNNNNNNNNNNNNNNNNNNNNNNNNNNNNNNNNNNNNNNNNNNNNNNNNNNNNNNNNNNNNNNNNNNNNNNNNNNNNNNNNNNNNNNNNNNNNNNNNNNNNNNNNNNNNNNNNNNNNNNNNNNNNNNNNNNNNNNNNNNNNNNNNNNNNNNNNNNNNNNNNNNNNNNNNNNNNNNNNNNNNNNNNNNNNNNNNNNNNNNNNNNNNNNNNNNNNNNNNNNNNNNNNNNNNNNNNNNNNNNNNNNNNNNNNNNNNNNNNNNNNNNNNNNNNNNNNNNNNNNNNNNNNNNNNNNNNNNNNNNNNNNNNNNNNNNNNNNNNNNNNNNNNNNNNNNNNNNNNNNNNNNNNNNNNNNNNNNNNNNNNNNNNNNNNNNNNNNNNNNNNNNNNNNNNNNNNNNNNNNNNNNNNNNNNNNNNNNNNNNNNNNNNNNNNNNNNNNNNNNNNNNNNNNNNNNNNNNNNNNNNNNNNNNNNNNNNNNNNNNNNNNNNNNNNNNNNNNNNNNNNNNNNNNNNNNNNNNNNNNNNNNNNNNNNNNNNNNNNNNNNNNNNNNNNNNNNNNNNNNNNNNNNNNNNNNNNNNNNNNNNNNNNNNNNNNNNNNNNNNNNNNNNNNNNNNNNNNNNNNNNNNNNNNNNNNNNNNNNNNNNNNNNNNNNNNNNNNNNNNNNNNNNNNNNNNNNNNNNNNNNNNNNNNNNNNNNNNNNNNNNNNNNNNNNNNNNNNNNNNNNNNNNNNNNNNNNNNNNNNNNNNNNNNNNNNNNNNNNNNNNNNNNNNNNNNNNNNNNNNNNNNNNNNNNNNNNNNNNNNNNNNNNNNNNNNNNNNNNNNNNNNNNNNNNNNNNNNNNNNNNNNNNNNNNNNNNNNNNNNNNNNNNNNNNNNNNNNNNNNNNNNNNNNNNNNNNNNNNNNNNNNNNNNNNNNNNNNNNNNNNNNNNNNNNNNNNNNNNNNNNNNNNNNNNNNNNNNNNNNNNNNNNNNNNNNNNNNNNNNNNNNNNNNNNNNNNNNNNNNNNNNNNNNNNNNNNNNNNNNNNNNNNNNNNNNNNNNNNNNNNNNNNNNNNNNNNNNNNNNNNNNNNNNNNNNNNNNNNNNNNNNNNNNNNNNNNNNNNNNNNNNNNNNNNNNNNNNNNNNNNNNNNNNNNNNNNNNNNNNNNNNNNNNNNNNNNNNNNNNNNNNNNNNNNNNNNNNNNNNNNNNNNNNNNNNNNNNNNNNNNNNNNNNNNNNNNNNNNNNNNNNNNNNNNNNNNNNNNNNNNNNNNNNNNNNNNNNNNNNNNNNNNNNNNNNNNNNNNNNNNNNNNNNNNNNNNNNNNNNNNNNNNNNNNNNNNNNNNNNNNNNNNNNNNNNNNNNNNNNNNNNNNNNNNNNNNNNNNNNNNNNNNNNNNNNNNNNNNNNNNNNNNNNNNNNNNNNNNNNNNNNNNNNNNNNNNNNNNNNNNNNNNNNNNNNNNNNNNNNNNNNNNNNNNNNNNNNNNNNNNNNNNNNNNNNNNNNNNNNNNNNNNNNNNNNNNNNNNNNNNNNNNNNNNNNNNNNNNNNNNNNNNNNNNNNNNNNNNNNNNNNNNNNNNNNNNNNNNNNNNNNNNNNNNNNNNNNNNNNNNNNNNNNNNNNNNNNNNNNNNNNNNNNNNNNNNNNNNNNNNNNNNNNNNNNNNNNNNNNNNNNNNNNNNNNNNNNNNNNNNNNNNNNNNNNNNNNNNNNNNNNNNNNNNNNNNNNNNNNNNNNNNNNNNNNNNNNNNNNNNNNNNNNNNNNNNNNNNNNNNNNNNNNNNNNNNNNNNNNNNNNNNNNNNNNNNNNNNNNNNNNNNNNNNNNNNNNNNNNNNNNNNNNNNNNNNNNNNNNNNNNNNNNNNNNNNNNNNNNNNNNNNNNNNNNNNNNNNNNNNNNNNNNNNNNNNNNNNNNNNNNNNNNNNNNNNNNNNNNNNNNNNNNNNNNNNNNNNNNNNNNNNNNNNNNNNNNNNNNNNNNNNNNNNNNNNNNNNNNNNNNNNNNNNNNNNNNNNNNNNNNNNNNNNNNNNNNNNNNNNNNNNNNNNNNNNNNNNNNNNNNNNNNNNNNNNNNNNNNNNNNNNNNNNNNNNNNNNNNNNNNNNNNNNNNNNNNNNNNNNNNNNNNNNNNNNNNNNNNNNNNNNNNNNNNNNNNNNNNNNNNNNNNNNNNNNNNNNNNNNNNNNNNNNNNNNNNNNNNNNNNNNNNNNNNNNNNNNNNNNNNNNNNNNNNNNNNNNNNNNNNNNNNNNNNNNNNNNNNNNNNNNNNNNNNNNNNNNNNNNNNNNNNNNNNNNNNNNNNNNNNNNNNNNNNNNNNNNNNNNNNNNNNNNNNNNNNNNNNNNNNNNNNNNNNNNNNNNNNNNNNNNNNNNNNNNNNNNNNNNNNNNNNNNNNNNNNNNNNNNNNNNNNNNNNNNNNNNNNNNNNNNNNNNNNNNNNNNNNNNNNNNNNNNNNNNNNNNNNNNNNNNNNNNNNNNNNNNNNNNNNNNNNNNNNNNNNNNNNNNNNNNNNNNNNNNNNNNNNNNNNNNNNNNNNNNNNNNNNNNNNNNNNNNNNNNNNNNNNNNNNNNNNNNNNNNNNNNNNNNNNNNNNNNNNNNNNNNNNNNNNNNNNNNNNNNNNNNNNNNNNNNNNNNNNNNNNNNNNNNNNNNNNNNNNNNNNNNNNNNNNNNNNNNNNNNNNNNNNNNNNNNNNNNNNNNNNNNNNNNNNNNNNNNNNNNNNNNNNNNNNNNNNNNNNNNNNNNNNNNNNNNNNNNNNNNNNNNNNNNNNNNNNNNNNNNNNNNNNNNNNNNNNNNNNNNNNNNNNNNNNNNNNNNNNNNNNNNNNNNNNNNNNNNNNNNNNNNNNNNNNNNNNNNNNNNNNNNNNNNNNNNNNNNNNNNNNNNNNNNNNNNNNNNNNNNNNNNNNNNNNNNNNNNNNNNNNNNNNNNNNNNNNNNNNNNNNNNNNNNNNNNNNNNNNNNNNNNNNNNNNNNNNNNNNNNNNNNNNNNNNNNNNNNNNNNNNNNNNNNNNNNNNNNNNNNNNNNNNNNNNNNNNNNNNNNNNNNNNNNNNNNNNNNNNNNNNNNNNNNNNNNNNNNNNNNNNNNNNNNNNNNNNNNNNNNNNNNNNNNNNNNNNNNNNNNNNNNNNNNNNNNNNNNNNNNNNNNNNNNNNNNNNNNNNNNNNNNNNNNNNNNNNNNNNNNNNNNNNNNNNNNNNNNNNNNNNNNNNNNNNNNNNNNNNNNNNNNNNNNNNNNNNNNNNNNNNNNNNNNNNNNNNNNNNNNNNNNNNNNNNNNNNNNNNNNNNNNNNNNNNNNNNNNNNNNNNNNNNNNNNNNNNNNNNNNNNNNNNNNNNNNNNNNNNNNNNNNNNNNNNNNNNNNNNNNNNNNNNNNNNNNNNNNNNNNNNNNNNNNNNNNNNNNNNNNNNNNNNNNNNNNNNNNNNNNNNNNNNNNNNNNNNNNNNNNNNNNNNNNNNNNNNNNNNNNNNNNNNNNNNNNNNNNNNNNNNNNNNNNNNNNNNNNNNNNNNNNNNNNNNNNNNNNNNNNNNNNNNNNNNNNNNNNNNNNNNNNNNNNNNNNNNNNNNNNNNNNNNNNNNNNNNNNNNNNNNNNNNNNNNNNNNNNNNNNNNNNNNNNNNNNNNNNNNNNNNNNNNNNNNNNNNNNNNNNNNNNNNNNNNNNNNNNNNNNNNNNNNNNNNNNNNNNNNNNNNNNNNNNNNNNNNNNNNNNNNNNNNNNNNNNNNNNNNNNNNNNNNNNNNNNNNNNNNNNNNNNNNNNNNNNNNNNNNNNNNNNNNNNNNNNNNNNNNNNNNNNNNNNNNNNNNNNNNNNNNNNNNNNNNNNNNNNNNNNNNNNNNNNNNNNNNNNNNNNNNNNNNNNNNNNNNNNNNNNNNNNNNNNNNNNNNNNNNNNNNNNNNNNNNNNNNNNNNNNNNNNNNNNNNNNNNNNNNNNNNNNNNNNNNNNNNNNNNNNNNNNNNNNNNNNNNNNNNNNNNNNNNNNNNNNNNNNNNNNNNNNNNNNNNNNNNNNNNNNNNNNNNNNNNNNNNNNNNNNNNNNNNNNNNNNNNNNNNNNNNNNNNNNNNNNNNNNNNNNNNNNNNNNNNNNNNNNNNNNNNNNNNNNNNNNNNNNNNNNNNNNNNNNNNNNNNNNNNNNNNNNNNNNNNNNNNNNNNNNNNNNNNNNNNNNNNNNNNNNNNNNNNNNNNNNNNNNNNNNNNNNNNNNNNNNNNNNNNNNNNNNNNNNNNNNNNNNNNNNNNNNNNNNNNNNNNNNNNNNNNNNNNNNNNNNNNNNNNNNNNNNNNNNNNNNNNNNNNNNNNNNNNNNNNNNNNNNNNNNNNNNNNNNNNNNNNNNNNNNNNNNNNNNNNNNNNNNNNNNNNNNNNNNNNNNNNNNNNNNNNNNNNNNNNNNNNNNNNNNNNNNNNNNNNNNNNNNNNNNNNNNNNNNNNNNNNNNNNNNNNNNNNNNNNNNNNNNNNNNNNNNNNNNNNNNNNNNNNNNNNNNNNNNNNNNNNNNNNNNNNNNNNNNNNNNNNNNNNNNNNNNNNNNNNNNNNNNNNNNNNNNNNNNNNNNNNNNNNNNNNNNNNNNNNNNNNNNNNNNNNNNNNNNNNNNNNNNNNNNNNNNNNNNNNNNNNNNNNNNNNNNNNNNNNNNNNNNNNNNNNNNNNNNNNNNNNNNNNNNNNNNNNNNNNNNNNNNNNNNNNNNNNNNNNNNNNNNNNNNNNNNNNNNNNNNNNNNNNNNNNNNNNNNNNNNNNNNNNNNNNNNNNNNNNNNNNNNNNNNNNNNNNNNNNNNNNNNNNNNNNNNNNNNNNNNNNNNNNNNNNNNNNNNNNNNNNNNNNNNNNNNNNNNNNNNNNNNNNNNNNNNNNNNNNNNNNNNNNNNNNNNNNNNNNNNNNNNNNNNNNNNNNNNNNNNNNNNNNNNNNNNNNNNNNNNNNNNNNNNNNNNNNNNNNNNNNNNNNNNNNNNNNNNNNNNNNNNNNNNNNNNNNNNNNNNNNNNNNNNNNNNNNNNNNNNNNNNNNNNNNNNNNNNNNNNNNNNNNNNNNNNNNNNNNNNNNNNNNNNNNNNNNNNNNNNNNNNNNNNNNNNNNNNNNNNNNNNNNNNNNNNNNNNNNNNNNNNNNNNNNNNNNNNNNNNNNNNNNNNNNNNNNNNNNNNNNNNNNNNNNNNNNNNNNNNNNNNNNNNNNNNNNNNNNNNNNNNNNNNNNNNNNNNNNNNNNNNNNNNNNNNNNNNNNNNNNNNNNNNNNNNNNNNNNNNNNNNNNNNNNNNNNNNNNNNNNNNNNNNNNNNNNNNNNNNNNNNNNNNNNNNNNNNNNNNNNNNNNNNNNNNNNNNNNNNNNNNNNNNNNNNNNNNNNNNNNNNNNNNNNNNNNNNNNNNNNNNNNNNNNNNNNNNNNNNNNNNNNNNNNNNNNNNNNNNNNNNNNNNNNNNNNNNNNNNNNNNNNNNNNNNNNNNNNNNNNNNNNNNNNNNNNNNNNNNNNNNNNNNNNNNNNNNNNNNNNNNNNNNNNNNNNNNNNNNNNNNNNNNNNNNNNNNNNNNNNNNNNNNNNNNNNNNNNNNNNNNNNNNNNNNNNNNNNNNNNNNNNNNNNNNNNNNNNNNNNNNNNNNNNNNNNNNNNNNNNNNNNNNNNNNNNNNNNNNNNNNNNNNNNNNNNNNNNNNNNNNNNNNNNNNNNNNNNNNNNNNNNNNNNNNNNNNNNNNNNNNNNNNNNNNNNNNNNNNNNNNNNNNNNNNNNNNNNNNNNNNNNNNNNNNNNNNNNNNNNNNNNNNNNNNNNNNNNNNNNNNNNNNNNNNNNNNNNNNNNNNNNNNNNNNNNNNNNNNNNNNNNNNNNNNNNNNNNNNNNNNNNNNNNNNNNNNNNNNNNNNNNNNNNNNNNNNNNNNNNNNNNNNNNNNNNNNNNNNNNNNNNNNNNNNNNNNNNNNNNNNNNNNNNNNNNNNNNNNNNNNNNNNNNNNNNNNNNNNNNNNNNNNNNNNNNNNNNNNNNNNNNNNNNNNNNNNNNNNNNNNNNNNNNNNNNNNNNNNNNNNNNNNNNNNNNNNNNNNNNNNNNNNNNNNNNNNNNNNNNNNNNNNNNNNNNNNNNNNNNNNNNNNNNNNNNNNNNNNNNNNNNNNNNNNNNNNNNNNNNNNNNNNNNNNNNNNNNNNNNNNNNNNNNNNNNNNNNNNNNNNNNNNNNNNNNNNNNNNNNNNNNNNNNNNNNNNNNNNNNNNNNNNNNNNNNNNNNNNNNNNNNNNNNNNNNNNNNNNNNNNNNNNNNNNNNNNNNNNNNNNNNNNNNNNNNNNNNNNNNNNNNNNNNNNNNNNNNNNNNNNNNNNNNNNNNNNNNNNNNNNNNNNNNNNNNNNNNNNNNNNNNNNNNNNNNNNNNNNNNNNNNNNNNNNNNNNNNNNNNNNNNNNNNNNNNNNNNNNNNNNNNNNNNNNNNNNNNNNNNNNNNNNNNNNNNNNNNNNNNNNNNNNNNNNNNNNNNNNNNNNNNNNNNNNNNNNNNNNNNNNNNNNNNNNNNNNNNNNNNNNNNNNNNNNNNNNNNNNNNNNNNNNNNNNNNNNNNNNNNNNNNNNNNNNNNNNNNNNNNNNNNNNNNNNNNNNNNNNNNNNNNNNNNNNNNNNNNNNNNNNNNNNNNNNNNNNNNNNNNNNNNNNNNNNNNNNNNNNNNNNNNNNNNNNNNNNNNNNNNNNNNNNNNNNNNNNNNNNNNNNNNNNNNNNNNNNNNNNNNNNNNNNNNNNNNNNNNNNNNNNNNNNNNNNNNNNNNNNNNNNNNNNNNNNNNNNNNNNNNNNNNNNNNNNNNNNNNNNNNNNNNNNNNNNNNNNNNNNNNNNNNNNNNNNNNNNNNNNNNNNNNNNNNNNNNNNNNNNNNNNNNNNNNNNNNNNNNNNNNNNNNNNNNNNNNNNNNNNNNNNNNNNNNNNNNNNNNNNNNNNNNNNNNNNNNNNNNNNNNNNNNNNNNNNNNNNNNNNNNNNNNNNNNNNNNNNNNNNNNNNNNNNNNNNNNNNNNNNNNNNNNNNNNNNNNNNNNNNNNNNNNNNNNNNNNNNNNNNNNNNNNNNNNNNNNNNNNNNNNNNNNNNNNNNNNNNNNNNNNNNNNNNNNNNNNNNNNNNNNNNNNNNNNNNNNNNNNNNNNNNNNNNNNNNNNNNNNNNNNNNNNNNNNNNNNNNNNNNNNNNNNNNNNNNNNNNNNNNNNNNNNNNNNNNNNNNNNNNNNNNNNNNNNNNNNNNNNNNNNNNNNNNNNNNNNNNNNNNNNNNNNNNNNNNNNNNNNNNNNNNNNNNNNNNNNNNNNNNNNNNNNNNNNNNNNNNNNNNNNNNNNNNNNNNNNNNNNNNNNNNNNNNNNNNNNNNNNNNNNNNNNNNNNNNNNNNNNNNNNNNNNNNNNNNNNNNNNNNNNNNNNNNNNNNNNNNNNNNNNNNNNNNNNNNNNNNNNNNNNNNNNNNNNNNNNNNNNNNNNNNNNNNNNNNNNNNNNNNNNNNNNNNNNNNNNNNNNNNNNNNNNNNNNNNNNNNNNNNNNNNNNNNNNNNNNNNNNNNNNNNNNNNNNNNNNNNNNNNNNNNNNNNNNNNNNNNNNNNNNNNNNNNNNNNNNNNNNNNNNNNNNNNNNNNNNNNNNNNNNNNNNNNNNNNNNNNNNNNNNNNNNNNNNNNNNNNNNNNNNNNNNNNNNNNNNNNNNNNNNNNNNNNNNNNNNNNNNNNNNNNNNNNNNNNNNNNNNNNNNNNNNNNNNNNNNNNNNNNNNNNNNNNNNNNNNNNNNNNNNNNNNNNNNNNNNNNNNNNNNNNNNNNNNNNNNNNNNNNNNNNNNNNNNNNNNNNNNNNNNNNNNNNNNNNNNNNNNNNNNNNNNNNNNNNNNNNNNNNNNNNNNNNNNNNNNNNNNNNNNNNNNNNNNNNNNNNNNNNNNNNNNNNNNNNNNNNNNNNNNNNNNNNNNNNNNNNNNNNNNNNNNNNNNNNNNNNNNNNNNNNNNNNNNNNNNNNNNNNNNNNNNNNNNNNNNNNNNNNNNNNNNNNNNNNNNNNNNNNNNNNNNNNNNNNNNNNNNNNNNNNNNNNNNNNNNNNNNNNNNNNNNNNNNNNNNNNNNNNNNNNNNNNNNNNNNNNNNNNNNNNNNNNNNNNNNNNNNNNNNNNNNNNNNNNNNNNNNNNNNNNNNNNNNNNNNNNNNNNNNNNNNNNNNNNNNNNNNNNNNNNNNNNNNNNNNNNNNNNNNNNNNNNNNNNNNNNNNNNNNNNNNNNNNNNNNNNNNNNNNNNNNNNNNNNNNNNNNNNNNNNNNNNNNNNNNNNNNNNNNNNNNNNNNNNNNNNNNNNNNNNNNNNNNNNNNNNNNNNNNNNNNNNNNNNNNNNNNNNNNNNNNNNNNNNNNNNNNNNNNNNNNNNNNNNNNNNNNNNNNNNNNNNNNNNNNNNNNNNNNNNNNNNNNNNNNNNNNNNNNNNNNNNNNNNNNNNNNNNNNNNNNNNNNNNNNNNNNNNNNNNNNNNNNNNNNNNNNNNNNNNNNNNNNNNNNNNNNNNNNNNNNNNNNNNNNNNNNNNNNNNNNNNNNNNNNNNNNNNNNNNNNNNNNNNNNNNNNNNNNNNNNNNNNNNNNNNNNNNNNNNNNNNNNNNNNNNNNNNNNNNNNNNNNNNNNNNNNNNNNNNNNNNNNNNNNNNNNNNNNNNNNNNNNNNNNNNNNNNNNNNNNNNNNNNNNNNNNNNNNNNNNNNNNNNNNNNNNNNNNNNNNNNNNNNNNNNNNNNNNNNNNNNNNNNNNNNNNNNNNNNNNNNNNNNNNNNNNNNNNNNNNNNNNNNNNNNNNNNNNNNNNNNNNNNNNNNNNNNNNNNNNNNNNNNNNNNNNNNNNNNNNNNNNNNNNNNNNNNNNNNNNNNNNNNNNNNNNNNNNNNNNNNNNNNNNNNNNNNNNNNNNNNNNNNNNNNNNNNNNNNNNNNNNNNNNNNNNNNNNNNNNNNNNNNNNNNNNNNNNNNNNNNNNNNNNNNNNNNNNNNNNNNNNNNNNNNNNNNNNNNNNNNNNNNNNNNNNNNNNNNNNNNNNNNNNNNNNNNNNNNNNNNNNNNNNNNNNNNNNNNNNNNNNNNNNNNNNNNNNNNNNNNNNNNNNNNNNNNNNNNNNNNNNNNNNNNNNNNNNNNNNNNNNNNNNNNNNNNNNNNNNNNNNNNNNNNNNNNNNNNNNNNNNNNNNNNNNNNNNNNNNNNNNNNNNNNNNNNNNNNNNNNNNNNNNNNNNNNNNNNNNNNNNNNNNNNNNNNNNNNNNNNNNNNNNNNNNNNNNNNNNNNNNNNNNNNNNNNNNNNNNNNNNNNNNNNNNNNNNNNNNNNNNNNNNNNNNNNNNNNNNNNNNNNNNNNNNNNNNNNNNNNNNNNNNNNNNNNNNNNNNNNNNNNNNNNNNNNNNNNNNNNNNNNNNNNNNNNNNNNNNNNNNNNNNNNNNNNNNNNNNNNNNNNNNNNNNNNNNNNNNNNNNNNNNNNNNNNNNNNNNNNNNNNNNNNNNNNNNNNNNNNNNNNNNNNNNNNNNNNNNNNNNNNNNNNNNNNNNNNNNNNNNNNNNNNNNNNNNNNNNNNNNNNNNNNNNNNNNNNNNNNNNNNNNNNNNNNNNNNNNNNNNNNNNNNNNNNNNNNNNNNNNNNNNNNNNNNNNNNNNNNNNNNNNNNNNNNNNNNNNNNNNNNNNNNNNNNNNNNNNNNNNNNNNNNNNNNNNNNNNNNNNNNNNNNNNNNNNNNNNNNNNNNNNNNNNNNNNNNNNNNNNNNNNNNNNNNNNNNNNNNNNNNNNNNNNNNNNNNNNNNNNNNNNNNNNNNNNNNNNNNNNNNNNNNNNNNNNNNNNNNNNNNNNNNNNNNNNNNNNNNNNNNNNNNNNNNNNNNNNNNNNNNNNNNNNNNNNNNNNNNNNNNNNNNNNNNNNNNNNNNNNNNNNNNNNNNNNNNNNNNNNNNNNNNNNNNNNNNNNNNNNNNNNNNNNNNNNNNNNNNNNNNNNNNNNNNNNNNNNNNNNNNNNNNNNNNNNNNNNNNNNNNNNNNNNNNNNNNNNNNNNNNNNNNNNNNNNNNNNNNNNNNNNNNNNNNNNNNNNNNNNNNNNNNNNNNNNNNNNNNNNNNNNNNNNNNNNNNNNNNNNNNNNNNNNNNNNNNNNNNNNNNNNNNNNNNNNNNNNNNNNNNNNNNNNNNNNNNNNNNNNNNNNNNNNNNNNNNNNNNNNNNNNNNNNNNNNNNNNNNNNNNNNNNNNNNNNNNNNNNNNNNNNNNNNNNNNNNNNNNNNNNNNNNNNNNNNNNNNNNNNNNNNNNNNNNNNNNNNNNNNNNNNNNNNNNNNNNNNNNNNNNNNNNNNNNNNNNNNNNNNNNNNNNNNNNNNNNNNNNNNNNNNNNNNNNNNNNNNNNNNNNNNNNNNNNNNNNNNNNNNNNNNNNNNNNNNNNNNNNNNNNNNNNNNNNNNNNNNNNNNNNNNNNNNNNNNNNNNNNNNNNNNNNNNNNNNNNNNNNNNNNNNNNNNNNNNNNNNNNNNNNNNNNNNNNNNNNNNNNNNNNNNNNNNNNNNNNNNNNNNNNNNNNNNNNNNNNNNNNNNNNNNNNNNNNNNNNNNNNNNNNNNNNNNNNNNNNNNNNNNNNNNNNNNNNNNNNNNNNNNNNNNNNNNNNNNNNNNNNNNNNNNNNNNNNNNNNNNNNNNNNNNNNNNNNNNNNNNNNNNNNNNNNNNNNNNNNNNNNNNNNNNNNNNNNNNNNNNNNNNNNNNNNNNNNNNNNNNNNNNNNNNNNNNNNNNNNNNNNNNNNNNNNNNNNNNNNNNNNNNNNNNNNNNNNNNNNNNNNNNNNNNNNNNNNNNNNNNNNNNNNNNNNNNNNNNNNNNNNNNNNNNNNNNNNNNNNNNNNNNNNNNNNNNNNNNNNNNNNNNNNNNNNNNNNNNNNNNNNNNNNNNNNNNNNNNNNNNNNNNNNNNNNNNNNNNNNNNNNNNNNNNNNNNNNNNNNNNNNNNNNNNNNNNNNNNNNNNNNNNNNNNNNNNNNNNNNNNNNNNNNNNNNNNNNNNNNNNNNNNNNNNNNNNNNNNNNNNNNNNNNNNNNNNNNNNNNNNNNNNNNNNNNNNNNNNNNNNNNNNNNNNNNNNNNNNNNNNNNNNNNNNNNNNNNNNNNNNNNNNNNNNNNNNNNNNNNNNNNNNNNNNNNNNNNNNNNNNNNNNNNNNNNNNNNNNNNNNNNNNNNNNNNNNNNNNNNNNNNNNNNNNNNNNNNNNNNNNNNNNNNNNNNNNNNNNNNNNNNNNNNNNNNNNNNNNNNNNNNNNNNNNNNNNNNNNNNNNNNNNNNNNNNNNNNNNNNNNNNNNNNNNNNNNNNNNNNNNNNNNNNNNNNNNNNNNNNNNNNNNNNNNNNNNNNNNNNNNNNNNNNNNNNNNNNNNNNNNNNNNNNNNNNNNNNNNNNNNNNNNNNNNNNNNNNNNNNNNNNNNNNNNNNNNNNNNNNNNNNNNNNNNNNNNNNNNNNNNNNNNNNNNNNNNNNNNNNNNNNNNNNNNNNNNNNNNNNNNNNNNNNNNNNNNNNNNNNNNNNNNNNNNNNNNNNNNNNNNNNNNNNNNNNNNNNNNNNNNNNNNNNNNNNNNNNNNNNNNNNNNNNNNNNNNNNNNNNNNNNNNNNNNNNNNNNNNNNNNNNNNNNNNNNNNNNNNNNNNNNNNNNNNNNNNNNNNNNNNNNNNNNNNNNNNNNNNNNNNNNNNNNNNNNNNNNNNNNNNNNNNNNNNNNNNNNNNNNNNNNNNNNNNNNNNNNNNNNNNNNNNNNNNNNNNNNNNNNNNNNNNNNNNNNNNNNNNNNNNNNNNNNNNNNNNNNNNNNNNNNNNNNNNNNNNNNNNNNNNNNNNNNNNNNNNNNNNNNNNNNNNNNNNNNNNNNNNNNNNNNNNNNNNNNNNNNNNNNNNNNNNNNNNNNNNNNNNNNNNNNNNNNNNNNNNNNNNNNNNNNNNNNNNNNNNNNNNNNNNNNNNNNNNNNNNNNNNNNNNNNNNNNNNNNNNNNNNNNNNNNNNNNNNNNNNNNNNNNNNNNNNNNNNNNNNNNNNNNNNNNNNNNNNNNNNNNNNNNNNNNNNNNNNNNNNNNNNNNNNNNNNNNNNNNNNNNNNNNNNNNNNNNNNNNNNNNNNNNNNNNNNNNNNNNNNNNNNNNNNNNNNNNNNNNNNNNNNNNNNNNNNNNNNNNNNNNNNNNNNNNNNNNNNNNNNNNNNNNNNNNNNNNNNNNNNNNNNNNNNNNNNNNNNNNNNNNNNNNNNNNNNNNNNNNNNNNNNNNNNNNNNNNNNNNNNNNNNNNNNNNNNNNNNNNNNNNNNNNNNNNNNNNNNNNNNNNNNNNNNNNNNNNNNNNNNNNNNNNNNNNNNNNNNNNNNNNNNNNNNNNNNNNNNNNNNNNNNNNNNNNNNNNNNNNNNNNNNNNNNNNNNNNNNNNNNNNNNNNNNNNNNNNNNNNNNNNNNNNNNNNNNNNNNNNNNNNNNNNNNNNNNNNNNNNNNNNNNNNNNNNNNNNNNNNNNNNNNNNNNNNNNNNNNNNNNNNNNNNNNNNNNNNNNNNNNNNNNNNNNNNNNNNNNNNNNNNNNNNNNNNNNNNNNNNNNNNNNNNNNNNNNNNNNNNNNNNNNNNNNNNNNNNNNNNNNNNNNNNNNNNNNNNNNNNNNNNNNNNNNNNNNNNNNNNNNNNNNNNNNNNNNNNNNNNNNNNNNNNNNNNNNNNNNNNNNNNNNNNNNNNNNNNNNNNNNNNNNNNNNNNNNNNNNNNNNNNNNNNNNNNNNNNNNNNNNNNNNNNNNNNNNNNNNNNNNNNNNNNNNNNNNNNNNNNNNNNNNNNNNNNNNNNNNNNNNNNNNNNNNNNNNNNNNNNNNNNNNNNNNNNNNNNNNNNNNNNNNNNNNNNNNNNNNNNNNNNNNNNNNNNNNNNNNNNNNNNNNNNNNNNNNNNNNNNNNNNNNNNNNNNNNNNNNNNNNNNNNNNNNNNNNNNNNNNNNNNNNNNNNNNNNNNNNNNNNNNNNNNNNNNNNNNNNNNNNNNNNNNNNNNNNNNNNNNNNNNNNNNNNNNNNNNNNNNNNNNNNNNNNNNNNNNNNNNNNNNNNNNNNNNNNNNNNNNNNNNNNNNNNNNNNNNNNNNNNNNNNNNNNNNNNNNNNNNNNNNNNNNNNNNNNNNNNNNNNNNNNNNNNNNNNNNNNNNNNNNNNNNNNNNNNNNNNNNNNNNNNNNNNNNNNNNNNNNNNNNNNNNNNNNNNNNNNNNNNNNNNNNNNNNNNNNNNNNNNNNNNNNNNNNNNNNNNNNNNNNNNNNNNNNNNNNNNNNNNNNNNNNNNNNNNNNNNNNNNNNNNNNNNNNNNNNNNNNNNNNNNNNNNNNNNNNNNNNNNNNNNNNNNNNNNNNNNNNNNNNNNNNNNNNNNNNNNNNNNNNNNNNNNNUGAUAUAUCCCUAAGGUUAAAACUACACCUUGGAAGAAAGAAUAUAAACCUAAUCAAGAUACAUUAGUCCCUAUAAAUAAUGCUGGAACAUUUUUAAAUUUAGAUUGUAAAAUAGAUCCUCGUAAAGCACUAGCCGAAUGGGGCAUACAAAUGAAACUAUUCUUCAUAUAUAAUGGAGCUAAUGAUGAUUGGAAUGUAGAGACAGAAGAAGAAAAAAUAAAUAUAUUCACUUGUAUCCUAUUGGCCAGUUUUACAGGAAAUGUAUUUAACUGGUGGAGAGGACUAAGUGAUGAUACACAAAGAUUGAUAAAAGAUUCAACCAAGAUAGCCUUUAGAAGAAGUAAAACAUUAGGCAUUGAAAGAAUAAUUGAAUACAUAGCAAGUGAAUUUUUAGGAGAAGAUUGGUUAGAAAAUUCCGAGAAAGAAGCAAAUAAUGAAAAACUAAAUGCUAGGCUAAAAUUAAUGAACUUAACAAUUUGUAAUAUGUGUUAUGUUAAAGAAUACACGUGUGAAUUUAAUAAAUAUUAUUAUGAACAAUAUGUGAGUCUAGAAGACCAAGAAGUUUAUAAAAAUUUAUAUUAUUCUAAAUUACCCUAUCCUUGGAAUAGUUAUUUUAUAAAUGAAUAUGAAAAAUACAGUACUACAAAUAGACUCCCAGAUACAUUAGGAGCUAGAAUAAGAUUCCUAAAUACUAGGCUUAGUGAUAUAUGUAUCCAAAGAAACCUAAUAAAAAAGAGCAGAAAUAUAACAGAAAUAUGUUGUGAAAAAACAGAAAUGCCAACUCAAUGGGGUUGUUAUGUACCCCAUAAGCGAAAAAGAAAAUUAUAUAAGAAAGAGAAAAAAUAUAAAAAAUAUAAUAAUUUUAAAAAGAAAUAUAAAAAACCUAGAAGGAAAUAUUAUAAGAGAAAAUACAAAAACCAAAGAAAACAAUUAGAUAAAUCUAAAUGUAAAUGCUGGAAUUGUGGAGAAAUAGGACAUAUUAGUAUAGACUGUACCAAAAGAAAGGUUAGGAUUUUGCAAGAAGAUUUUCAAAUAAUACAAGAAGAUUUAGAAGAGAUAAGCAGCAUAUCUGAUUAUGAAGGAACAUAAGUUUAUAUGAUAAAGGAUUCUGAAGAUGAAUCAGGAUAGAAGAGAAUUAAAUGAAAAAGAAGAGAUAGAAGAAAUUGAAGAACUAGAAAGAGAAGAAAAUAAAAGUGGAUAUAGUCUUGUAGCCACUUUUAACAAAGAAAAGUAUAAUAAACUUUUAAAAUUGAAUGCAGAAAGACCAGAAUAUGGAUUAAUACAAAAACUAAGAGAUUUAUUUAAAAGAAAAAGAAUAGUGUUACAUGAAUAUUAUGAACAAGAAAAAGCUGUAACGAUCACACAAGCUGAAGGAAAUAUCAGAUUCAGCUUAAUAAAUAAAAUAACAAUAGAUUUAGCAUUAAGAAAAAUAAAAAAUGAAUCGACAAGAGAAAAAAUGCAAUAUGUAUAUUUGGCGGAAAUCCAAAUCUUAAUAAAAUCUCUCUUCAAAGAAGGAGUAGAUAGCCCUAUAGUCUUGUCAAUACAUGAUCAACGGUUCCAUGAUCCUAGUAUAGGACAUUUAGGAACAGUAGAAGGGAACUUAUGUUAUACUAAAUUAUUAUUUACGUGUCACCCUAGGUACUGUGUACACAUAAAAGAUAGAAAUAUAGAUGAAACACUAAGUUUACACUUUAAAUUACUAAAAAAGAAUGUAAUGAAAGAAGGAAAUAGAUUGAUGACAAUACAUUAUUCUGCAUUAUACAGUUUUUGUAAUUCAAACUAUGGAGAAAUUUAUGGAAAUAAACCAUAUAUAGAAAUAAAUAAAGAAUGUGAAGAUAUAGCAACUCUUAUAGAACCUGUCAUCCAGGAUUAUAGAAUCCCUAUAACUUAUGAGUUAAACAUAGAUGACAAAAAAUAAUUUUUAAAUGAAAACAAUGAAAACUCUAUAAUUCCUAUAAGUUUUGCAGGAAGAACCUUAAUAAGAGGAAGUUCUUCUAGAAGAUUAAGCACUGAUAGACAAUUAGUCAAUAUAGAUAAACAAAUAACUAGACCGACAAUGACUAGUAAUGUAGUAAGAAUACUUGGACAAUAUUUUAAUGGAAUAGAAUAUACAACCAAAAUACCCAUUUUAGUAGACACUGGAACAAGCCAUAACUAUAUGAAUCAUACAAAAAAUAAGAGACUUUUGGUAAAAGAAAAGGAAAUCCCAUAUGAAUAUACUGAUUUCAAUGGAAAUAAAUAUAUCUGUAAACAAGAAGUAAAAGUUCCGCUAAUUAUUGAAGGAAUUAGAAUAAUCGUCUCUUGUUACAUAGAUUCCUUUAUGACUACAGACCCAGAAAAACAUAUAGUAUUAGGAAAUAGUUUCCUAAAUAGUCUAGAAUAUUAUAAAAUUGAAAAAUAUCAAAUAACUCUACAAAUAGAAGGGCAAAAAAUAAUAUGUGAAACAUGUUAAAACAGGCUUAUAUAAAAUAUCCUAUGUCUGUAUACAUACAAAUAAAUAUUACAGAAAAAGACAUAGAUACUUGUGCCCUAAUAGACACAUGAAGUGAAAUUACAAUUAUGAAAUCCUUUUUAUCAAAUCAAUGGAAACCAAAUGGAAAAUUAAAAAUUAUUGGUAUAACAGGGGAUAAACAACAAGUCAAUAAAUCUUUACUAAAUUUUGAAAUACUUUUAGGAAGUAAAAUUGUCCGUAUAAACCAAAUUUACCAGUAUGAUCAAAUGGAUUGUGAUAUCCUUUUAGGAAAUGAUUUUAUACAACAAUUUCAAUAUUACCAACAAACUCCGUUUAUGAUCACCCUUAAAACGCCCUGUAAUCAUAUCCUUCGCAUCCCUAGAGAAUUCAAACCCUACAGAGUUCAGCCAGCCCAACGUGGUGGUAGCCUGAUUUAUGAAAAACAUUAUUUAAUUUCUAAAGGACGGAGUUAUAAUAUACAACUAGAAACAAUAAAAUCUCAGCUUGAACAAGUUUAUAAAGAUAAUCCAUUAGCAUUAUGGAAACCAGAUCAUCCUAGAGCAAAAAUAGAAUUAAUAGAAAAUAGAAUAAUAAGACUUAAACCCAUGAUGUACACAGAAGAAGAUAGGGAAGAAUUCAAAAUCCAAAUAAAAGAAUUAUUAAACCUAAAGUUAAUUAGAAACAGUAAUAGCCCACAUAAUAGCCCAGCCUUUAUGGUUAGAAAAAGGACAGAACAAGUUAGAGGAAAAGUGAGAAUGGUAAUUAAUUAUAAGGAAUUAAACAAAUAUACAAAAUUUGAUGGAUAUUUUUUACCAAAUAAAGAAGUACUAAUAAAUCUUGUAAAAAAUAAGAUUUACUAUUCAAAAUUUGAUUGUAAAUCAGGGUUUUGGCAAAUAAAAAUGGAAGAACAUAGUAUUCCAUACACAACUUUUAGCACUCCUCAGGGUCAUUAUGAAUGGCUAGUAAUGUCUUUCGGAUUAAAAAAUGCUCCUAAGAUUUUUCAAAGUAGAAUGGAUAAAAUAUUCAGGGAUUACAAAUACAUUAUAGUAUAUGUAGACGACAUAUUAAUAGCAUCAGAAACACUAGAGGACCAUAGAAGACAUUUAAAAGAAUUUGUCAAUAUAUGUAUUUGGGAAGGAAUAGUACUGUCAGAAAGAAAGGCAGUAAUAGAACAUAAGAAAAUAGAAUUUUUAGGAAUGAUUCUUGAUAAACAAAGAAUCAGGCUUCAAAGCCAUAUAGGAAAAAAGAUUACUGAAUUUCCAGAUAAGUUAGAAAAUAAACAACAAAUACAAAAAUUCUUAGGUUGUUUAAAUUAUGCUGAAGGAUUCAUAAAAGAUUUAGCAAAGAAAAGAAAUAUACUUCAAAAACUACUUAGAAAAAAUAAUACUAGAGGUUGAAGCAUAGAUCACACAGAAACUGUUAAAAGUUUAAAAGAAGAAUGUAAGAAUCUCCCUUCAUUAAGACUACCAGAAGAAACUGAUAGAUUAGUAAUACAAACAGAUGCAUCUGAUCUGCAUUGGGGAGCUAUACUCAAAACUGACAUAAAUGAAAUAUGUCGAUACACUAGCGGCACUUUUAACCAAGCACAAGUUAAUUAUCCAGUACAUGAAAAAGAACUCCUUGUAAUAUACAAGGAAAUAAAAAAGUUCUCAUUAUUUUUAUUACAAAAACAAUUUAUUAUGGAAACAGAUAAUUCUCAAGUAAGUUCAUUAAUCAGUAAAAUUUUACCAAAUGAACCUCAGUAUAGGAGAUUACACAGAUGGCAAACAUAUCUGUCAUAUUAUAAUUUUAAAGUCGUACAAAUAAAAGGAACUAACAAUUGUCUUGUAGAUUUUUUAAGCAGGAACAUAGAAUUUGGGGAUGAAUCCAGGAGUAAAUAAAACCAUCGGCGUGAUAAAAGCCGAGAUAGAAAGGCUCAAGACAGAGGCAUUUGACAUAAUUGAUGCAAUAAAUUACAUAAAAGAGGCCUCAGAGGCCCAUGAAAAAGGAGUACAUUUGUUAGAGUCAUGCAUAAACGACCUAACAAAAGCACUCUUUAUAAACACAGGCCCAAUAAACACUGGCCCAAUAAACAUUGAUUCAAUAAAUGCAGGAAGCAGUAGUGGACCCCUCAGAGAGCAUAAACCAAUCUCUGAUCCAGUUCCUAAUCGAACCAUAUCCAUAGAAGUCGAGUCACCAAAAUCAAGCCCUUCAAAAAAGUUCAUCCAAAUAAACAGUCCCUAUACAGAAGAAGAGGAGAAACCUCUGAAUCCAAAAGAAGAAGAAUAUAAACAAUUCUCCACAUGGGUAUAUUCUACUUGUUCCCACAAUAACACGAUAUUCAAAGCACCUGGAAAAAAUAUGUACCCAAGAAUGAUAGCCACAAAAGGAGCAGAUCCACUCCUUGUUGGGAAAAUAGCAAAAUAUGGGUAUUUAGAUUUAGUAUAUCCAGAUAUAGACCUACGGGAAAUAACCAGUCUAGACGAACUAUUAGUUAAAGAAGUCUCAAGGUUUGCACAGAAAAGACCCAUAUACCUAAAAUUCUACACCAUAAGUCCAGAAUACCAUCAGAAUGUAGAAUACCAAGCCUUUUAUAUGAUCUCUGUAGGUCACCUCACAAAGAAUUUCAAAGUUGAGGUAGGAACAGAAUACACAAACGUGCCUCACGUAAAUGAAACCUGGAUCAGGACCCGAAGAGCCAGAGGAAUAAAAGCCAUAUGGAGCAUUGCUAAAGAUUUAUAUAAAAGGAAUUUCAGAACCAUUAUCAGAUUCCAGAACUAUAUCCUUAUAACUUCAGAAGACAGUCAUACACCAUCAAAUAUACUGCUAGAGUUCAUUAACGAAAUAAGCACUAUGCGUUUCCCCAGUAGCAGUGAAACCAUGCAGCAGGCUUACCAGCUCAUGGAGAUAAGAUAGCCAGACAAAUAAAACAAUGAUUGUGGCAGACAAGAUAAAGUAGAUGCCCGACAAGAUAAAAGGUGAAAGUCUUAAAGUAAAUGCCCGACAAGAUAAAAGGUGAAAGUCUUAAAGAAGAUGCCCGACAAAGUAAAAAGUAGGAAGCUAAUGAUAAAAAAGAGAGGCCCGUGAUAAAAGAAAGAACAGAGGAAGCACUGAAAAGAAAGUUGUAAUAAUGUAGUAACGUAAGCAAUGAUGUAAAAGCCCAAUAAUGUGAGGGCAAUAAAGUAAUAAUGUAUCAUAUACAAUUUUGAAAUAAAUAGAGAAACGAAGGAGAAAGCUCUCAGAGCUUAUCAUUGUCAUAACUCAAUCGUUUCCAACAUUCUCUAAAAGAAUGAACAACUAAACCACUCCCCGGCUCUAAAUCCUAAAUCAAUACAUCAUUAAUUAGAACAAAAUCACCAGAGAAAGGAAAGAGAAACCUAAACUUAUUCUACGUUUCUAAGCAUGACGAUCAGAAUCCAUACAGUAAGGCCACUCGAGUCCGCUGAUCCCGUUGAGGCAAGGAGGUCGUUGAGGGAAUAAGGACAACCAGGCUGCAGGUCACUGGAAAAGGAUCGGAAGGCAAAGAAACAAGAAUAACUUAGGUAAUAAUUCUCAAUCCUUAUCUGUUGGUGGAAGUUUGUUGAUGAUUGAUGAUGAGGAGAUUUAUGGAGGAAGAGCUAAUCUCCAGAAGUGAAAUACUUUAAAUAAUUAAUUCAAUAUGAAUAACGAUAUUUUGUUAGGAAAUUCUAAAGAAUAUAUAAUAAACUCAACAACUAGGAUAACUUAUAACAAUUACAUGAUGAUAAUAGAUUUUAACUUAGGAUCAUUUAAAUAGAGUUCAUAUCUUUUAAGUAAACAAGAACUUGUUAGAACAGAAGACUUACAAGCAGUAUAUGCGCUUGAUCUACCACAAGAAAUAAAACGAAAAAUUAUAAAACAUAUUGAAAUAGAAAAUCUGAAACAUAAUAUAAUCAUGUUAACUGUAGAACAAGGAAUUGACAUAGCCAUAGCAUAUAUGGAACAUGAAAGUCGAGAAAUUGGAUCAUCAUAUAUAAAUUAUAUAGAAAACUCAGAUAAUGAAGAACUUGAGCUAUAACACAUGAGAAGUAUAUCGGCUGGAAACCACUUCGGGUUGCGGGCUACUGGUCCAAAGAGCUACCUGGAUAGCUGUACCUAGGGGUAGAACAACGCCACGUACUUCUCCAAUACACUGUUAUAAUUAAUUCUAAUUUAUCAUAAUAAAAUUAAAACAAAAAAAGUAUUAUCAUUUUAUGUAUAAAAUUGUACUUAUAAGAUUAUUCUUGUAUUUCUACUUCUUAUAAUUUUAUUUAUCUAUUUCUUGGUUUUUUUUUACCUAUUCUGUUUUUUACCUAUUCUGUUUUUAAUGCAAAGGCACAAAAUGGUAUCAGAGCCAUAAGAGCCAUAAGAACCAUAAGAACUCAAAAAAAAAAAAACUUUUUUAAUGGACCCAAUAGAAGGUAUAGUAAAUAGUCUAUAUGCAUUAAGAGUAUGUAAUAAGGAAGAAAUAAAAAACUUAAUAAAAGCUAUAAAAACAGAGAAAAAUAAUAUAAGAAAUAUUGAUCUUGAACUAACCCAAGAAUUACAAGAAAGAUCUAUAGACACAUUAGGAAGUGAACUCUUGAUAGAAAAGAAGAUGAAAUUUAUAGAUAAAUUUAUAAAAAUUUUGGUAUAUUGGUACAAAACAGAAGCAUUACCAUGAAUCAGCAUGAAUUUAAUGUAAUAAAUGAAUUGGCAGAAGCCGUAGAUCGCAUGAAAUUAGUAUGGGAAAACAUAAUAACGCUCUAUAUAAAUCUAAUAAAUCAAAAAAUAGAGAUAUUAGAACAAGAAAGAAUAGGAAUAGUAAAUUUAUUCUGAAUGUAUGGAUUUAUAUGAAUUUGAUAAUCAUUUAAUGUUAUUUAAAGAAAUAAAGAGAACAUUAGAAAGAAUGAAAAAUAGGUGCAUAAUUGAUAGAAGAAGAGAAAUACAUCAGUAACUAUAAAAAAUUGAAAACACAAGGAUCAAAAUGAAAUUUGGUAGAAAAGAAAAAGACAAAAAACGUAAGAUACGUUUAACGUAACUUAGAGACUCCCGAAAUAUAAUUAUAUUCAUCCAGAAAAUUUUGUUUCUUUAUAUUCUCUACUAUUUCGUUUCGUCAACCAUAUUACGAAGUGUGUCCAACACAAAAGAAAAUAUAUCACAUUUCGAAAUAAAUAUAUAGCCCUGCCUAGGGAUGGCAAUGGGCACCGCCCGCAGCGGGUUUGCCAUUACCAAACCCAAACCCGCAUAAAAUUUAAAUUAGCAAACCCACCUGCAACCCGCAGCGGGUUUUAAUUUUUUUACAAAAACCCACCCGCAGCGGGUUUUAACAAUUACCAAACCCGUAAUGGUAUCCGGCGGAUUUUUGGCGGGUUUCCGUAUUUAAAAUCACAAAUGUUUUAUAUAUAAAUUUAUAAUAAUAACCUCAAAUUCCAUAUAACAUACUUAAUUUUAUAUUUAAAUAAUGUAAAUGAAAAAUUAAAAUUUCCACAUCAAUUCAACACAAAUUCUCAAAUUUAAGUAUAAAUUACACAAAUCCAUUUAAAAAACACAAACUAGUAUCUAAAAAUAAUAAUUACAUUUCAUAUUAUCAUUUAAAACAAGCUCCAAGAGAAGAUAUUCAUUUCAUUCACCACCAUAAGCACCCAUCCAACACAAUGCCUAUAAUAAUAAUUAAGAUUAAUAUUUUCAAAUACUAAUUCGAAGGAAAAUGCCUUUAGUUUUCUUUAGAUUAUGACUUUAGAAUAGGAUAUAGGCCACAUACACACAUACACAACUUUGAGCCUUUGGCUAUUUGGUAAUUUAAUUAAUGACAUUAUUUUCUUUAUACAUUUUUAGAUUAAAAUUAAAUUAAAAAUAUUUGAAAAAAAUAUUGCGGGUUUGGUGGAUAUCCAUGCGGGUAUCCACCAGAUAUAAUGUUAAUACCAAACCCACCCGCAUCCAUGUGCGGGUUUUAAUUUAUAAUACUAAACCCGCCCGCAACGGGUAAAAUUACCCGCAACGGGCAGAUUUUGGCGGGUGGGUUUGGGCGAGUUUGCGGGUUUGCGGGUACAAUUGCCAUCCCUAGCCCUGCCCUUACAAUAAUAUUCUUCCACAUGAAAGAGCGUAAUCACAUUGCAAAAGUACGUACAUAACCAAAACAUACAAACGAAAACACGUAUACCGCAUCCAAUUGCACUGUCAAAAUAAAUAAUCGCCGCAAGCUUUAGCAUCAUACAAACUCAAAAAUGGUUCAAAAAUUUGCGUUUUUGGUUAUAGGAGCAUAAUCAUCAAUAGAGAAGUAAAUAUAUGAAAUAAAAUGUAUCCCUCCACUUACAAGAAUUUUUCCAAAUCAUAGAGAGGCAUGAGUCCAAAAGUAUUAUAUAACCAGUAUUGAUACAAGCAAACACAACAAUAUCGUCCAAAAAUGAAAACAAAAACAAAAUAAUAAAUAAAGAACGUGAUAAAAAUAAUUUAGCUAUGUUGCAACUGGGGUAUUAUACCACAGUUUUUGUCCUUUUUUAGCAUGGUCGUUGAAUGCUUCCUUCUUGAAUCUAGCGGCUGAAAUUAAUUAUUGGUAAUUCGCAGCGGGUUGUUUAUUGAUGUAAUUUCAGUUAAGUCUAUUUUGUUUUGUUAUUUUAUUUUGUUCUUUCUCUUCUUUCCUCUUUUGUGUGCCGAAUGCUUAUCUAAUCAUUCUGUAUGGCGAAAUUUGCCAUAGACUUUCAAGAGACAGUUGUAUGGGCCAAUGAAAUUCCUCAGGCCGUUUUGGAUGUAUUCACAAAGUUGAAGCAAUGAAAGCGUUACCAUGUGCACAAAAAAAAAAAGGAUUAGAAAUGUUGUCAGAGUCAGACGUUGAUAACAAGAUUCCAAAACAAGGUUAAUUUCAUUUCUUAUUUAUUUACUUUAUAAUUAUCGUGUCCUGCCGCUUCAGCUUAAGCGCAGCUUAUGAUCUCAACAAUUUUAUUUAUAGUUAUUUCUCUUAAAAAAUUAAUUCUAAAAUUAAUUCUAAAAUUAAAAUAAUAACAUAAAAUUUAUGAAAAUUAUUAUAUUACUUUUAAGGAUAAUUUGAUAGAUUAUUAUUUUUUUCUUUUCAUUAAUAUUCUCAAACAAGAGUAUUAUUAUAAAAAAAAGAAAAAAUAAGAGUAAAAUAGUAAUAUAUUUAACAGUAAGAGUGUUUUAAAAUAUUUUUUAUAAUAUAGUAAGUAAAUGUAUAUACAAGUCAAAAAAUAAGGACAAAAAAAAACAUUUAUCUUAUAUAAUUCUAUGGUUUCCUUAAUCGUUUUCAACACAUUUUUUUUUUUUUUUAGAUUUGACAAUCUUACGUUUAACAUAAAGUAUAGCCUCUCAGACAAUUGAGCCAUGAGCACUAAUAAGACCCACCACCGAUAGAGAGGACUGUACCUUACAUUAAGGGCUCGUUUGGUAUGCCGGAUUAGAUUGGAUUGGAUUGGAUCGGAUUGGAUUAGAUAAGAUAGAAUUGGAUUGGAUAAUAUUGGAUUAUAUAUAAUACUAUGUUGUAUUUUGUAUGCCAUGAGAUUAGCUAGUAACUAAUAAUAUGUCUUAUAUAUUAAUUUAUUAAAAUCAUCGUAGAUUUACUUUAAAAUGAAAUGUAAUAUAAUCUAAUUUAAAUCAAUAAUUAUUGGUAAAUUUAUUAAAAAAAUGCAAAAUCUUCCCUUAUUUUUUUUUAAUACUUAACAUGUUAUAGUUUUUAAUUCCAUGAAUAGUAGAGGACAAAGUUUUAUCUUAGAAAAUGUAAUCCCAAGGGUCCCCUUAGGAUGAAAUUUUACCACUAUUGGGAGUAAGUGGUGGGCCCAUUAUUGUUAUCCUACCCUUACUUUUUUUAACACCAAACAUGAUAUAAGAAUUAUUUUACACUAAAGUUAUCCAAUCCCAUGAUAUAUAACUAAAACCAAACGGGCCCUAAAUAUACUAUUUUUUUUCUUAUUUAGCUCUUUACUAUAUCUCCCUCCUAUUAAUUGUUUGCACUUUUCAGCCUUUGUUUGGCUCAUAUUCCAAAAAGAAAAAAGGGAAAAGGAAAGAGAAAAAGAAAAACAUUUUUUUUAUGCACUUACAUGAUUCCCUCUAAGUAGUAGGGGUAUGCAGAAUCCAAUCUGAUCCGCUUAAUCUAUCUGAUCCGUGAAAAUCCGAUCCGUAUAAAUUCGAUUCGUAGAUUGGUGGAUUGGAUAUGGAUUGAAAAUUUAAAAAUCCGCGGUCGAUAGAUUGGAUAUGGAUUUACUUCUGUAAAUCCGUAAAAAUCCGUGAAUUCACAAAAAAAAAUUAUUUAUUUAGUUAAAAAUUAUUAUAAAUUUAAUUAAAAAUAUUAUAAAUGUGACAUUACAUAGUUACAUAAGCAUUAUACAUAUCUUAGUCAUUACCCAAUAAUAAUAUAAAAUGAAAAAUAAUUAAAUAAUCAAAUAUACAAAUAUUGUUAACAUGAAUAUGUUAAUAAUAUUGAUUUUGAUGAUAACAAACUUUAAAUGGUUUUUGAUAAAAAUGUUGGAGCUAUUCCUUAAUAAACGAAAGCCUUAAUAAUCAUUCCAUUCAUAUUCAUAAAAGAUGGACUUUCAAAUUAGAAAAAGAUUCUCUGCAAAAUCUGGUUUAAAAUGUGAUUCUGGAAAUAAACGGUGAACCGUUUUAUUUUAAACAGUUAACCGAUUAAUACCAGAGAGCAACAUAUUGCCUAAGCUCUAACCGUUUAUGAAAAACGGAAAACACAAAAGAUGGGAAGGCUACUAGAAUUUAACGGUGAACUGUUUAUAGAAACGGUUAACCGAUAACAUCCAGAAUUGAAGGUUGUACUCCUUUGGCACUGUUUAACAAAACCGGAUAAGGCUAAAUUGCUUUGCAGGAUACUGGAAACAAACGGCGAACCGUUUAUCACAAACGGUUAACCGAUAAUAUCCAGAGAAGUCAUUUCAUGCAAAUCCUUAACCGUUUAAUGUAAACGGAUAACUGAUGUUCAUCUUGCAGGUCUCUGGAAUUUAACGGCGAAAGGGUAAUCAUGAAAUGGCAAACCGUUUAUUUGAAUUUUAGCCCAACGGUAACUUUUGACCAGCCUAAACGGUUAACCGUUAAUGGUUAACGGUGAAUUGUUUUCGGGCCAACAAUUUGUAACGACUAGUUUUUCAACUCCAAAUAUAAAUAUGCCCAUUCAAAUUCAAAGAAGAUUGAUCACAACACGACUAUUGAGCUUAUAUUCGAGAAUACAAUCUUCAUAGAGCUUAGAACACAUUCUUGCUUCAUCUAUUCAUAUAUUGGGCAUCAUUGUGUAAUCUUAUAUAUUGUGAGAGGCAAACCAAAUUUGAAAUCUUUUGUUUUGAGUGAUUGUAAGUGUUGGGAUACACUUGGGUUAAAGAGAUUGGGAUAAUCUCUUGUUGUAAAGGUUAUUGACACCUUGGAAGUCAAGUGUAAGCAUUUGAAGCCUUGGAGGCUUGCUUAGUGGAAUCCUCAAGCCCGAAAAGCUUGGAGGCAUGGACGUAGGCGAGGUUGAUCGAACCACGUAAAAAUCUCUAUGUUUGAAUUUCUCUUCCCUUAUCUUUUUAUAUUGUGAUCAACUUAAUUGUUAUUGCUUUAAAUUCAUUCUAGAUUUGCAUGAUAAUUUGUCUUAGAAUCAAAUAAUUUUUAGAAUCCUAAUUCACCCCCCUCUUGGGUUGCAUACUUGUAUUUCAAAUAUAACUUGUAAAAAUUGUAAAACAAAAUAAAAGUAAAGUCACACGCACUAGCAAAAGCAACCUAAGAUAAUACCAAGUUACCAACAAUUUGCAAAGUCACCCAAAAACAAAGUAACAUAAUGCAAGUCACCAAUAAUUUGCAAACAAAAAACCCUAAGCUUUCCCGCCAUCACACGCACUAGCAACACCCAAUACUGGUUCAAUACACUCUCAACACCGAUUUGAAGGACGUCGGCCGUGCAAUGUCGGCUAGAGCAAGUCAUCUUCUUCCUCGAGUCCAUCGAGCCACUUCACAAUCACAUGUUCCAGCCGAACAAUUGCACUAUCACAACCUUCAAGAUCACAACCCGUACGGCUUCUCCUGGUUCCCAUCGUUGACGGCUCCGUAAUCACCACUUUUCGACAGGCACAACAGCCCUGGUGAAAGAUCAAACUGUGUUUGGUUUCAGAAACUUCGCCAUUUCAAUUAAUUGUGGCUUUAUUUGAACAAUUAAUUUCGGUGUUAUAUUAAUGUAUUAUUGUUACUUUAUUUGAACAAUUAAUCGUAUUGUGUUAUAUUUUAAAACUUUGAACGUAUUAUUGUAGUUUUAUUUGAACAAUUAAUCUCGAUGUGUUAUACUUUAAAACUAUGAAUGUAUUAUUUUAUCUUUAUUUAAACAAUUAAUUUAUUUAAAUUUUAUUCAAUUUUAAAUUUAAUCAGUAGUAAAAUUAUUUUUAUAUUAGAUUUUUUUAUUUCAUUAGUUCAUGGUAGAGAUGUCAAUUUUUCCCGAUGGGAUCCCUCCCAUUUGGGACGAGAUUGAGACAUAUUUUUAUCCCAUAAAAAAAUUUAGGAACGGGAGUGAGACCUUUUUUUAAUCUCACUUGCAUACAUAGUACACAUAGCGGGAGUGAGAUUGGCAAAUUUCGUCCCAUCCGUCUCAUUGCCGACUCAGAAUGAGAAUAUUUUCAAUUGGCGGGAUCCCAUCUCUUUUGGGACGGGAUCAGAGCAUAUUUUUAUUCCAAAACAAAUAUAGGGACGAGAGUGAGACGUUUUUUCAUCUCACUUACAUAUAUGAGAUGGGACUAGGAUUGUUAAAUCCCAUCCCAUCUCGUCCCAUUGCUAACCCUAGUUCAUGAAUUGUAGAGAACUAAAAAUUUUUAAUUCGGAAACUAAUGCGCAAAAUGGUGGAUUGGAUAUGGAUAAUGUUAAAUCCGCAUCCGAUCUACAGACGUAUGGAUUGGAUAUGGAUUGAGUUAAAUCCGCAUCCAAUCCGUAGAUGUAUGGAUUGGAUUUGGAUUGAAUUUAUUCAAUUCGUGGAUUGGAUUGAAUUGAAAAAUUAUAAUCCGUAAAAUCAUGGAUCGGAUAUAGAUUGAUGUCUAAUCCGUAAAAUCCGAUCUGCGAACACCCCUACUAAGUAGUUUUCAACGAAAUUGUUAUUCCCUAUGGGUGAUAAGUUGUUCCCUCCAAUUUACCUUUUAUUUACCGGCCAAUCAGGUCUUCAACACUGCUACGUGUCAUACUUUUGUCCUUUCCGAUUUUAUCUACAGAAAAUCUAAUGGUUGCCUCACAUAAGGACAAAAAACAUGUUAGUCAUUGCAUCAAUUACUCAAUAAUUAAUUUCAACCGUUCGAUUGAAGAAGAAAGCAUCCAACGAUCUUGCUGAAAAAGAACAAAGCUGUAGUAUGGUACGACAGCCGCAACAUGUCAAAUACACUUUGAAUUCAUUGUUUUGACAUGGGCUUUUGCUACCUUACAUGCAAUGUAAGGUACAACCUCUCACAAGGCUGGCGGGCCUAAGUGGAACCCACAAUUGAGUUUGUGAGAGGCUGUACCUUACAUUACAUGUAAGGUAGCAGCUCCCUUUGACAUGAUGCAAGCCAUAAAAUCCUGACAUCCAGGCAGUAUGGAAUCCUGAGUACACUAACACCCUCUUCUAAACAAUCAGCAAUUUCAAUGAAGAUGCUUAAAAUGACAGUUAACUUGCAACUGGAAGACGUAGAAAAAAGAUUUAUGAUAAAUAUCUGCGAAAACUAUUUUGAAACAAUAUUUCGAAAUUUAAUUUCUUUUUUCCAUUUUGAAGUCCACCAAAUAAUUUCUUGGACGCUCUCUUAUAUUAGCUGCAGAGGAAUUUUGAGUUUGUUACGAAUAUGCAACUGGAGAGAAAUUUCAAAAAAUAAUAGAGACAAAAUUACACACAAGAAUUUUAUGCGAAAAAUUUCUGAAAUUAUUGGGAUAAAAAAUUACUGAUAAAAAAGAAUUGAGGACUACAAGACUUUCUUUCUAAAUAAAAUAAUAGAACAGGUACACUCUCUCUUACACUAAGAGAAAACAACUCUCUUACUAAAAAUUAAAAAAAAAAACAUUUUCAAAUGAGAAAUUGAUUUUUCUCUUUGCACUAGCUUACAAUAAUGUGGAAUGUGAAGAUAAUUGAUUAAUUGAAUGAAAUGCGCGUGGGACCGAUAUACAUACAUACGGAUGCUUUACUUCACUCUUCACUAGGAGUUUAAUUUUGUGAUAUGUCUACUUUUGUCGAAGUUAAUUGAAGACCGUGAGAUGAGUAAAUGACAAGAAAAACUGAAAAAGGUAUAAUUCAGGCACACUAAACGGCCGACAAUAUUGCCGCUGGCAUGGACUUGGUGUCCAGAGAGCGGAAGACCGCAGCAGGAAAUGGUGAUUGAAGCUGGAGUGGGCUCAAUGGGCUCAAAUACUUGGGGGGGGGGGGGGGGGAAAGGGCCGAAAAGAAUUAACCAAGAAUGAAGAGAUGCUUGGGCCAGGAAAACUUAUAAAGGCUACGGGAAAGAACAUAACUAGCAUGUGUGUAUUUGCGUGUGCUUGGAUGCGCUUUAAGUGCUUCAAUUCCAACCUGAUUAUGUUUUGAAUGACUUGUGAUUGUUCCUUGCUGUAAGUUUGCUUCAAUAGGUGAGCUUUACAACUCUUUUAAUAAUAUUUCUUCUUAUUACUUAUAUCUAAACUUUGGUUAUUUGAUAUUUGUCACAAAUCUUUGCCGAAUAUAAUCAUGUAUAACACUAUCCAAUUAUGGGUUGGCGGAUUUUGUGUCUGCAACUGAUGCUUAAUAAAAAAUCUAUGUGAUGGUGAUUGUACAUGUUCUAUUUGUAACAUGUGAUACUUUGUAAGCCAAUGUUCCAAUAACAUAUCUAAUGUGUGUAUUUUUGUUGCACUUCAACACUAGUUAUUUUAUCAUUUGACCAUCGUCAUUUAGGGUGUUAUGAAAUAUGCUGCUGUGAAAUAAAUGCUAUAGUUUUUAAGUAAAAUUAAUGAGUGUUUAGUAAACAUUAAACACUAUUAAGACUUUGUUUAAUAUUGAGAUUGGACAAUUGUAUUUUAAAAAUUACAGCACUAAAGUAUUUGGUAAAUAUUAGUUGUUGUAAACGCUAUUAAAACUUAUAAUAUCUUCAUUUUUUUCAAAAUCAUUACUUAAAAAUUAUAUUCAUUAUACAAUAUUAUAGUUUAUUUCAUAGUAAUAUAUUUUACCUCAACACGAAACAACGUCUAAAGUUAGAUAAUAUUUUGUAAAUGAAAGUUAAGGUUAUUAUUUUUUAUAAUUUAUAUGGACUAAUUUAUUUAUACUGAUUAGUGUUUCGCUACUAAAAUUAAUUAAAAUAUUGAAAUAAAAUCACAAUCACCGGAGAACUACCAACAGGUAACCGCUGGCGACGAAAAACUAUCAUUCCGGUGGUUAGGGCAUCUUUUCGAAUCCUCUCAUUACGAUAUAUCUGAUAGUGCUACUUAAAAUGCAGAAUCUUGGCUGUCAAUAAAAUAAAUCCCGCUAUUUUAAUGCUUUAUUUUAGAGCCACUAAAAAUGCAGCAUUAUCAAUGGCCACAACCUCGUAAACUUUACAAAACUUUCAAUUAAAACUUAUAUGAUACAGCCAUAUAGGUAAAAUCCAAUACACACAUUGAAUAACGAAGAGUACUCACCUCAUGUACUUUCUUAGAAAGAUAUUUCAACCUUUUGGGGUGUGGUUACUCUCCCCUUAUUAGAUCAGCUGAAACUUCUGCUUAAUCUUCAUUUGAUCUCCUAGAAUCUUGGCUGUCAAUAAAAUAAAUCCCACACAAAGGAUGAGGGAAUUGUUAUUAUAGCAGUUCCUUCAGCAUAAACCUUCAAAAAUUCCAAAUCUCCAAGUUUGUCGAGCAGUCUCUGAAGAUUUGAACGACCAGCUCAAAGACAAAGAUAUUGAAGAAAUCUCAACUUACAUAGACUGCUUGGGAGACUCUCAAGCCUUUUACAAUCAUUACUAAGGUUCAACAUAGCUGGUCUAGAUAGAUAAUCAAUGGAUGAGGGCACUUCUUCAGUUGCAGUUCCAUCUGAAAAUAAAUUUUUUACAGUAGAAGAUGAGAUGAGAUAUUUGGAAACCUCUCCAAAUUUGAACAACUCGAAAAAUAAACCUGUGAAGCAAUGUGAUGGAUCCAAACUUACAUACAUAAACGACAGCGUUUUUGGGUUUUGUUUAUAUGCUUAGGUGGUCACGAGGAGCACACAUGUUCCAGUUAUUGUCUUGCAAGCAUCAAAAUGGCAACAUUUGGAGCCGUUUUGCGUUAAGUUUAAGUGGUGCACGUGAAGAGCACGUGAGAAGCUUGCUUCAGUUCGUUACAAAAGCCGUUAUACACGUGGUCGAAUCUGGUGCAAUCUGGGUUCUAAGAAUAGCUGGUAAGAAAGCUGUUCAUGGAGUCAGUUUGUUAUCAAUCUAGAGAGCAUUGUCGAGAGAGACAAUAGCGAAAGAAAUUUCCAUCUUGUUCUUUGUAACCGUCCUGUAAAGCUCUGAAAAUUUUCCACUGAUUCAUCAAUAAAGCUCAAUCUAAUGGCUUCUCCUAUGGAAAUAGGUUAUGCAUUCUUGCUCAACUGAACCACGUAAGUCAGUCUCUUUUGAUUGUAAUUACUUUGAUUUCCAGAAUGUUUCUUAUGUUUUCUUUUUACGGAGAUCUUGGUUAAUGUUCUUGAUUACACAUUGAGUCAUCUCAAAUCAUUAUUUGGCUGAUACAACUUGAUUUCGUCUCUUCAAAUAUCUUGGGCAGUUUUUGGUCUUGUUAAGUUCAACAGAUCAAACACUACAACUGGUGUCAGAGCAAGGUGCUUUGAUCGGAUCCAAGUAUGACUAUUCAAAGAUUGAUCUUGAGAAGUUCAAUAGCAAGAAUGAUUUAGUUAUGUGGAAGGUUAAGAUGAAUCCAUUUGGCACAUGAUAUAAUCCUCGCACAUUUUUCAAGAUUCAUCUUUAUCCCAAAAUUAUCAAGCAACUAGCAAUUUUGGGCCUCUGCGUCCUCGUAGCCCAACAAAGGAAAUAAGUUCAAAUAAAAUUUCUUCCGACAGCCAAACAUCGAGGCAAGAUAAGAGACGAAAACUCAUUUUCCUUUCAUAAUAGUUUCCAACAAAAGAAACAGAAAAUUAUUAAUUCUAGCACUGAUUCAACAAAGUUUACUGAUAAAAAAAAAAAAAAAAAAAAAAAACCUCAUCCACCAACCAAUUCAAUCAAUCCUUAAUUUAAAAGUCCAACCCAAAUUCAGUAAUCAAGUACAAACUGAGAGUCAAACCUUCAGCUUGAUGAUCAGGACAAUGAAGAAGAGGCACGGCGGCAAUGAAACAGUGUUGUGCACUGAUGAGAUCAGACGGUACAAUGGUGGAGGAGCUGUGGUUCGCGUGACAUGAUGGUGAUGAAGCUGGGGGUGUCUCGUGGCAUAGCGAGCUGGCGUGAUGGUGAUGGAGCAAAGUUGGCCGACCAUGUUUUUUAUGGAGACAUUUAAGACAACACUGGGAGAUUUCACAAGUUGUUUAAUUUUUUGUGCUUUGUCCUUUUAGAUUGAGAACUUGAUCUAUGUUUGAUUCCAACUUUCAAAGAUCUCAUGAACAUCCUCGGAAAAAAAGCAAUGGGAUUUAAUUGAAUCUUGAAAAAUGUUACCUUAUUGAAUAGACUCGCUCAUCUAUUCAAUAUCAAAGAUGAGCCAAAUUUUGAAGUUGUUGCAUUAUAGUCAAACAUUGAAGUUCUUUGAAUGCAUUCAAAUAUUCAAGUUCUUUGAUUCCACCUGGGAAGUUAAUGAUAUCUUUGAAAGGAAUGCUAAUUGGAAGACUCGUCAGGCUUUCGCACUUUCGUAGAUAAAGAACUUCAAGUUUAUUUAGAUGUUGAAUAGAUGAGCGAGUCUCCAUCAAACUUAAACAGCCGCCUAACAUCAGAAUCUUAAGAUUUUUGGCCUGUGACAAGUCUGGGAGUUUCGUUAACGACUCGGAUCCACUGAGGUCUAUUUCUUUUAAGUUAACAAGAUCCUGUGCCCCAAAAAAUUAUUAUUAUUAUUAUUAUCAUCAUCAUCUUUAUAAAUAAACAGAUACUAUCACAUAUAUUAAUUAUAGCAUCAAUUGUAUUUAGAAUUUAUUACUGAAAGAAUUUCAAAUAAAUACAUACCUGAACAUCAUCCCAAAGUUGUUCAACCUUGCUGCAAGGCAUUCUAAGUGAAACAAGUUUCUCCGCACAUAUAUUCAACGUUUUCAAAGGACAUUGAGCCCACUCGAGGUGCCUCACUUCAGCAAAUGGCACACCCUCUAAAUGAGAGACCAUACAUUUGUUCUCAUCUCCAUAGAUUCUCAAGAAUCUCAAGUUAGGCAUCUUUGAGAAAGCAUCGGAAUUCAUGUGUAUCUCUCUAUUGACUUUAUUCAUAUCCAAAAAGAUACCCUUGAUUUUUUCAGUUCCCUAACAAUCAAAUAGGAGAUCAUAAGUUGGUAUAUAAUUGAAGCAAACAAAUAAACAAUUAUUUUUAAGCCGUCAAACCCAAAUAGAGAUAUUACAAUCACUUUAUAAUAAACUAUUUGGGUAAGACUUUUAGAAAGUGUAAAAUAGAAAAUUCAAGAAAAUGCUUAAUAUGUAAACUGUAAAAUUAAUUCAAUCAAAUUUUUUUAGUGAAAAAUAAGGAUAGGGGCAGAGCUUGAGUUGAAAAGAAAAUGCAAUAAGAUUGAGGUGUUUUUUUUUUUCUCUUUGAGUCUCUCUCCGAAGGCGCUAGUUUGCUGGGGAUUUUAGAGGCAUGUUUCAAACUGACUUGGGGAAACAUCGGAUCUAUCUAUUUCAUUUUACCAAUUUUUUAAUAUUAUUUUUCAAUUAAUUUUAAGCUAUAUUAAUGCUAUUCUUAUUCAAAAAGACAUAUUCAGACAAAUUGCUAAUAUAAAUGUAACACAAAUAAGAUACAAUUAAAAACUUAUUAUUCCUCACCGAAUUGUUCUUCAAAACUUCAUAAAUAUCCUCGUGAUACCACAACCUACUGCGCUCUCCUGGAUGUUCGAUAGAUUCAUUUCGAACAAUUUCUCUUCCCAUAUCUCGUAUCAAGUCAUGCAUUCUUAUGUGGUUAUGGAAGCAAGUUAUGAGAGACUUACCUUCAAGAACACUUAAUUCUAUUUUAGCUUCGAGGCCACUAGCAUCAAAAAAGCUUGUCACCUCAUCUCCAUGCUCUCCUUCAAAGAAAAAUGCAAUAUCUAGAAAAACAUUCUUCUGAGAGUCAUCCAAGCUAUCAUAACUUAUUUUUAACACCUCCUGGAUUUCCUCGUGAGGAAUUAUUUCCAGUUUUCUCAUUGCACUUUCCCAUACCUCUUUGCUCCUUCCGCAUAGAUGGCAACCUAAAACUUUAAGAGCUAAAGGAACUCCCUGUGCAUAUUUGAUUGCCUUGUCUGUGAGCUCUGUAUGACUUGCAUCUGGAUGGUCUCCUCCAAAAGCACACUGACGGAAAAGCUUAUGAGCAUCAGCAUAUACUAAUUCCUUCAUCCGAUAUAUUUGAUUGGCCCAACAAUUUUUAAGGACUUGUUUAUCUCUUGUUGUUAUUAUUACUCGACUCCCUGAAGCUAACUCAUCAAGGCAUCCAAUUAAUGAUUGUAUUUGUCUUCGAUUACUCACAUCAUCAAAAACAAUUAGAACCUUCUUGCGAGCAAGUCUGUAGAGUUCAAACUCGAUGUUCCUCACAUUUCCAUCAUUCAAUAACUUGGACAGAAGUUCCUUUUGUAAGUCCUUUAUUCUGCCAGUUUCUUCUGCUUCUCUAACAUUAUGCGCAAAGUAAGAACCUUCAAAAUGUCUAGAGAUUUUGUUAAAAACAGCAUCAGCGAUUGUUGUCUUGCCUAUACCACCGAUGCCCCAAAUCCCUAGUUUCCAAACCCCCUCAGACCCAGUGCCUAACAAUGAUUCAAUUUCUUCAAGGGGGCAUUCAACUCCGACCAAGCCUUUGUUUUCACUUUGAAAAGUCGCAUCUAGCCUCUUCAAAACGUCAUUGGCAAUUUCCUCAAUAAGUUUAGAUUCAGGCCUAGUAAAAAAAUAACAGCAAUUAUAUAGUUAGUUAAGAAGUACCAGACUCUGUUUGUUUAACAAGAAAAUAAAGAAGAAAGAGAAAGAAAAUGCUUAACGAGAGAAAUCUAGAAGCUGGAAAAUUUGUUUCUAUUAAGCUCACAUAACAAUGUAAACAUUACAGAGCUAUUUAUAGUGUGAUCUGGAUUCUUCUACAACGUGUAAAGCAUGAGUUGAGAACUAGCUGAUAGUAACAAACUUUUGGAAGGAACUUAACAAACUUCGAAUCUAAUGACACUCUGCAUAACAGAAUGACAGCUUGGCAACUGAUGACGUGGCAAUCUGACUCAGCUUACAUUUUCUUAACAUAGUUCAAAUAUAUGUAAGCGAGACAGAGAAUCGUGUGUUUUUAAUUAGUUGCAAUAUGAAAUAGCUAAUUAAUAUAAUGUGAAUUUCAUCAAAUAAAAUAAUUGGAAAGUUAUUCAAAUGUGCAAGAAAAAAACCUAAUCCCCAUUAUUAAGAAUGAUUUAUUUAACCAAACGGUUGUGGCUCAGUUGGCAACGCAGGCUGGGUAAGUGGGAAGAGCUCUCGGGUUCGAUCCCCACUAAACACACCAUUUGGGAGGGGUAAAGAGCCUUAACUGUGACUACACCCCGAAUCCGAAUUAGUCGGGGCCCAAUGCGGUCGCCGGAAAUCGGGUGGUUUAAACCAAAAAAAAAAAAAAAAAAAAAAGAAUGAUUUAUUUAAUAUAUUAUGGAUAAAUAUUUAAACUCAUUGUCAUAGUUAAUGUAAUACUAAGAAUCAGAUAGAAAAUUAUUGUACCUAAUGACAUGAGAAUCAAAGCCAGAGAGGUUGGCUGCUUCGGUCAAAGCAUUCUUCCAUCUUUGCAUCUUCUCUGGAUAAAGUUUUUCAAGCCCACUAAAAUACUUCCCAAAAGAAGAAUCCUGGCUUUGCGAUCUCACAUGUGAUGGAUCAACUUGAUAGAAAACUGGAAUCACAAUCUGUCCAUAAUCGUGCUUGCAUUCGAGGAUCUUCAAAAGUUCAUCGAGACACCAUCUAGAAGAAGCAUACCGUUCUGAGAAAAUGAUAAUUGAGAUGCUUGAUGCUUCAAUUGUAUCAAGAAGAGAAUGAGAAAUGUUCUCUCCUCUGAUAAGUUGGUCAUCAAUGAAAGUUUUGAUACUUUUCAGAGACAAAACAUAGUGAAGAAUGCUAGUAAAGUUGUCACGGGUGUCCUCUCCUCUGAAACUCAGAAAAACAUCAUACAUCUUCUUAGCGUUUCGAGGUGGACAAGAGGAAGAAGAAGAAGCCAUAACAGUUCAGUGGAUGAGAGAUUUGAUCAGAUGAGAAAAUUUGGGAUGUGAAAAUAAUUUAAUGCGACUGUGUCAAUGGAGGUUAUAUAAAGAUGCUUUAUUAGAUAGUUCCGUGGAACCUACCGGGAAGUUUUGUAAUGAAGUUUUCUUUUAAAUUUAACAAAAAGAAACACGCUGUUUCGUGACAAUUUGUUUUCCCUUUGGUAAAGUACAGAUGCAAUAAUCCAAUGAAGAUGCCUAGAAUAACGGUUUAACUUAUUGACUGUAGGUUGAAAUUAUAAGACACAGAAAAAGGAGUUACCAUAUAAUUAAAUUUGUAUGCUGGAAAUUAUUUUGAAACAAAAUACAAAAUUUAUUUUAUGUGUCCAUUUUGAAGUCCACCACCCAAUCUUUUCUUUUCAUUUAAUCUCUUGUAUUUAUUUUCAUGCACGCUGAGCCCAUUUUCUUUAAUUCUUUUAAGUCUUCUAUUAAUUACUAAUCACUUCUAUUAACUGUCAAUAAUAUGAAAUUAGAUGCAAAAUAAAUAUGUAAAACAUUUACUGAAGAGAUGGGAAAAUCAGUGUUGAUGAAGCACCAAUAAAUUUUAUGUUGAUGUUCAUCCCGUAUUAUCAUCGUCAUCUUAUAUUACCUUAAAACUAAUUGAAAAUAGUUAUUUGAACUUUGGUAAAAAAAUUAUAUAAAAAGAUUUUAAAAAAAUGUUGAAACCUCAUCAAUACAUUUAAUACUUGUAAUCUACUCCAGUCUUCUUCUUUUUUUCGGCCUUUUUAAAGUUGGCUUGUGAAUUAAACUUUUUUUCCUAUCUCUUUUCUAAUAAGUGACACAAUAAUUUCAAUAAAAACUCUGGUUAGUUAUUCGGACGGUGCAAGUUGAAACAAUAAUGUGGGAUGUAAGAAUACUUAAUUAAUUGAAUGAAAUGCGCGUGAGACAUAUGGGUGUUUCACUACUUCUGAAGACCGACUAAUGUGAGGCAAUGACAAAAAACUAAAAUAUUUCCCCAGAAAAUGCGACGUGUUUCGUUCAGUUAAUGACAGAGAGUUCAAAGAUCUCCUCAUAUAUUUCUCUCUUCCACAGUGCUUUUUCUCUGAAAAAGUAUAGGAAUGAAAGAUGACUGAAGCCCCUGUGGCUUUCUCAAUCACCCACUAGUUGGGUGUUCUCUACAAUUUUAUUUCUGCAACGCAUUUAAUUUCGGUGGUUAGAAAUUUGGUGAGAAGAUUUAUUCAUGGAAUCACAGUAGCUAAUGGAUGCUGAGGAAUUAUUACGCAAGUGUCAGGCGAGUGUUUCAAAAGAAGAGGAGACCGACAUAGUAACAUUCAUGGGGCGGAUGAAGAUAAAGGGAGAGGAGGUAGCUGCAAAUUGUUUAGUAGGCAAAGUGCUAACAUCAAGAAGUAUAAACAAGGAGGGCUUGAAAGCUGCAAUGCAAAUGGCUUGGAGAACUGUCAAAGAGGUUAAAAUAGAAAGUAUGGGGGAUAAUAUUUUCCUGUUCAAGUUCGCAUCUGAAGAAGAAAAGAAAAGGGUGCUCAUGGGAGGGCCGUGGCAUUUCAACAGAGCAUUGAUAAUUCUGACCAAACCAACAGGGAUUGGAGACAUCAAAAAUCAAUCUUUUACACAUGUCACAUUUUGGGUUCAGAUUCAUAACAUACCAAUAAUGUGUAUGAACAAGGAGGCCAUCCAAAAGUUGGGAGAAAAAAUUGGAAUAGUCAAGGAAGUGGAGACAGACGACGCUGGGGAAUGUUUUGGGCAGUUUGCUAGAGCCCGGAUAUCCAUUGAUAUUUCACAGCCUCUAAAAAAGAUUGUAUUCCUACAACAAGCGGACGGCAAAACUCCAAUGCCAAUUUUGUAUGAAAAACUUCCAGAUUUUUGCUUUUGUUGUGCGCAUAUCGGUCACCAGUACAGGGAAUGCUUGCGAUACAAAGGACAACAAAAGGAGGACUUGCCGUAUGGUGGUUGGAUGCGAGCUGUUACACAAACUGACAGGAUAAAGCAAAAACGUAGUAGGGAGAAAGGCAAUCGAGAGCAAUCCAAUCUCAACGAAAAUGUGCAAGUACCAACUAGUCCAAGCUCAAACAACCCGAUUGAUCAAGACGGGUCAAAAUUAAACAAUUCGGAUCCAGAAAUAAGAGAUGGAGCAGAACCAGAGGAUACAAGAAACCUGCUGAUCUCUGACAAAACGCAUUUAAUGUUGACCUCUCCAGACACGAAAAACCAGCAAGUGGGGAGUCAGAGUAUGGGCUGUGACAUCGACGAGGUGCAGAAUAGGGUGGCAAGUAAUGAUUGCCACUAUAGCUAUGAAAGUACAAAGGCGGGAGAAAAGAUUUUGAAGGAGAACGAAAAUCCUGUGGAUAAAAUAGGAUGGGCAAUACCAAAAGAUAAAAGGAAGCAGAUUGACGAGAGUGCUAGAUCUGAUGUGGAAGAAAUGGAUAGUGGGCCAAGUAAGACCAAUGCGAAGCCCAAAGCGAGAAAAUGGAAACUUAAGGCAAGAAUUCCCAUAGCCAAAGGAGCGAAGAAUCAUGGGUUAAUAGGAGCAAAAAGACUUAGCAGUGAUGACCAUCAGCUCAGCCCACAACACAAAAAAAAAGAGUUCUCAGUCCACCAAAACAAUCACACGUGGGAAACCACACAAGCUUAGCAAUUAACUCAGACUACAGCAACUUCAUUAGCUCAAACAGACCAGCCCGGAAGCUACAGAUAACAGAACAGAUAUCAGAUGAAGGGGAUUAUGUGGCAGCUAUGGAAGAAGAAGUAUCGGCGGGUGCUGAAUUUCAGGCCCGCCGACAACCAUGAAACUCUUAAGUUGGAAUGUUCGAGGUCUGGGGAAGCCUCGAACGCGCCUAACUCUCAAAAAAAUUCUCCACCUGCACCGGCCUCAAAUUUUCUUCUGUUGUGAAACCAAGAUGUUGGCUAGGCAGGUUGAAUCGGUUUGUAGAGAUUUUAACUUCGAGAAUUAUUUUGCUGUAGAUAGAACGGGCAUGGGGGGAGGUCUAGCUUUGCUUUGGAGGGCAGAUGUUAAUGUUAGCAUUACCUCGUACAGCUCACAUCAUAUAGAUGCAAUAGUGAGUAGUGAAAGUGGUUUGAGGUGGAGAUGCACCGGGAUCUACGGCCAUCCUGAGUUCAGCCAGAAGCAUAAUACUUGGACUCUCAUGAAAAAGUUAGCCAGCCUAUUUUCCUAUCCUUGGUGCUGUUUUGGUGAUUUCAAUGAGAUAAUGCAUAUGCAUGAGAAAAACGGGGGCAAUGAGAGAAACCUGAAUAGGGUUGCCGAGUUUAGGGAAGCUGUGCAAAGCUGCAAUUUGCAGGAUAUGGGGUGUAAGGGAUAUCCCUAUACGUGGUCAAACAAAAGAUACGGAGAUCAUUUUAUUGAGGAGAGAUUGGACCGUUUUCUGUGUAGUAAAGAUUGGGGGAUUAAUUUCAAGAAUCUGUAGGCACAAAUCUAGUGAACUGGUCUUCAGACCACUGCCCAAUCAUUCUAGAUUUCCAUGAGCGAAGCAAAAAUUCGAGACAUGCGGGCAAAUCUCUCCCCCGAGAUUAUUAUGAGGAUAUGUGGAGCUCCCACGAAGGCUGUAGGAGUAUAGUCCAGGAAGAGUGGAGCCGGUAUGGGGCUAGAGCUUGGGAAGCCCCUGUUCAGCAAUUUCAGCGAAUAGCCAAAUCCUUGGCCCAGCUAAAACUUUGGAGCAAAACCUAAUUUCAUGGUAGGCAAAGAAAGCAAGAAAAGCUGAUACAGAGCCUCCAGGAUGCUAUGAGAGGGAAUUCAAAGCUGGAUGAUGGCCAGGAAAUUAGGAGAUUGGAAAGUCAGAUUAACUCUAUGCUAGUUGAUGAGGAGAUUUACUGGAAACAUCGUUCGAGGGCUGACUGGCUUAGAGAAGGGGAUAAGAACACGAAGUAUUUUCACGCCAAACAAACCAUCUGCCCACAAAAGGAAGAACAAGGUGUGGGGGAUUGAGAAUGACCAGGGCAUUUGGUUAAAGGAAAGGGAUGAAAUAGAGGAGGAGAUUUGCAGCCAUUUCCAAAAGCUUUUCACUACUUCCAGCCCAACUCCAAGCCAAAUCCAAGCAACCCUUCAAGGCAUGACAGCAAAAGUAACUCCGGAGAUGAAUGUUCAACUGGAGAAGCCGUUCACCACUGAAGAUGUUGAGGAAGCCCUUGCCAACAUGUGUCCCACAAAGGCCCCAUGGCCUGAUGGUCUUCCAGCUACCUUCUUCCAGAAGCAUUGGAAAUCUGUCCGUAACAGAGUGAUCUCAACGUGCCUUAAUGUCCUUAAUGAGCAAGGUAACCCAUCUACCCUCAAUCACACCUUUAUAGCUUUGAUUCCAAAAAUUGCAAAUCCUAGGAAAGUGAGUGAUUAUAGACCUAUCAGCCUCUGUAAUGUUAUUUAUAGAGUUGUAGCUAAGGCCAUUGCAAAUAGAAUGAAGCCGAUCCUUUCCCAAAUCAUCUCCCCUAUGCAAAGUGCAUUCAUCCCCAAUAGGCUCAUUACCGACAAUGUUAUUAUUGGUUAUGAAUGCCUUCAUAAAAUUAGGCAUAGCAAAGGAAAGAAGAACGGACUUGUGGCUUUAAAAUUGGAUAUAAGUAAGGCUUAUGAUAGAGUUGAGUGGCCUUUUUUGGAACAUACUAUGCUAAAGAUGGGGUUUCCUAGUAAUUGGGUAGCUUUGAUAAUGAGAUGUGUUAUUUCCACUUAAUUCUCGGUGCUAAUUAAUGGUGUGCCAAAAGGAAUGAUCCAGCCAGAAAGAGGCUUGCGACAGGGUUGCCCGCUAUCCCCGUACCUUUUUAUCCUUUGUGCAGAUGCUCUCUCCAAUUUGCUGGUUGUGGCAGAACAGAAUCAGCUAAUCCGAGGGCUCAAAUUUGCGCGGGAAGUUUCAAUUACGCACUUGCUGUUUGCGGACGAUAGCUUGGUAUUCUCUCGUGCAUCAGUGGAUGAAUGCAAGCAUUUAAAAGAAAUGUUUGAUAAAUAUGCUGCAGCAUCAAGGCAGAUUUUUAAUUUCCAUAAAUCCUCACUGUUCUUCAGUGGAAAAAUUCCAGAGCAUCAACGGGCUGCUAUAAGGGGUAUCUUUAAUCUAAAUGUAGUCUCAAAGCACGAGAAAUACCUCGGUCUACCAUCAAUGAUUAGGAGAAAGAAGAUGGGGUUUUUUUAACGACAUCAAGCUGAAAGUGCUGAACAAGAUUGCAGAAUGGCAGCAUAAAAUGUUGUCUAGUGGGGGGAAGGAAGUUCUGAUCAAAGUGGCAGCCCAAGCAAUUCCGGCGUAUGCAAUGAGUGUUUUCAAGCUCCCAAGAGGCUUUUGUGAUGAUAUUCAGCGAGCUAUAGCAAAGUUCUGGUGGGGCUCGAAAGGGGAUAAGCGCGGAAUCCAUUGGCGGAAAUGGGAGAAGCUCAGCCAGGCAAAGAUUAGAGGGGGGCUGGGAUUUCGAGAGUUUUCUAGCUUCAAUCAAGCGCUGGUAGCUAAGCAAGCUUGGAGGUUACUGCAGUACCCAAAUUCGCUGGUCUCCAGAGUCCUUCAAGCAAGAUAUUUCAGGAAUUCCAGCUUUUUAUGUGCAAAGGCAGGAGCCAAUGCCUCGUAUAUUUGGAGAAGCAUCAUGUGGGGUAGGUAAGUGAUUAAGAAGGGUAUGAGAUGACGGAUAGGUAAUGGCAAGAAGGUAGCAAUUUUCUCAGAUAACUGGCUGCCAAGACCAGAGACCUUCAGACCUAUCUUCCCUCCAUCUUUACCCGUAAGCUCAGUUGUUGCAAAUUUAAUUAAGGCUGAUAAUCAAUGGGAUGAAAUAAAGCUUCGACAGCACUUCAUGGAUGUAGACACAGCAUAGAUCCUCAAGAUUCCCCUCCCAGCUGAGAAAGAAGAAGAUGAAGUGCUUUGGCAUUACGACAAAAGAGGGAUCUACUCUGUCAAGAGUGGGUAUCAGCUAGCAUUGAGAUCAAAAUUUCUAGAUUCCACCAGCUGCACAGAGGCUUCCCACAAGUAUUGGAGUGCCCUUUGGACACUGGAGUUGCCUGAGAAGCUUAAAAUUUUCAUGUGAAGGGCCUCUAAUAAUCUGCUUCCAUCGGUGGAAAAUCUAUGGAAAAGGAAGAUAGUGGAGGAGCCAACUUGUAAGCGAUGCAAACUAAGUGUUGAGACUAUCAGCCAUGCUCUCUUGGAGUGUAAGGCAGCGAGAAAAAUUUGGCUCCAAUCCCCCUUUUCAGCCCCUAGAUUAAAAGCCAAUUCUCAGGACAUUUUCAGCACUUUGCAAAAUAUGGCUAAGGAGCUGAGGAAAUCAGAUCUGGAAUUAAUGGUAGCUCUGUGUUGGUCUGCCUGGUAUGCUAGGAACAAAUGUAUCUUCGAUGGAAGGGAGAUUAAUCCUAUUAUAUCAGCUGCUAAAGCGGAGUCUGUUUUGUCAGCUUUUCAGAGAGUUAGGAAGCCCCAGCAAGCUCACAUCUCUAUCUUCAUAAAAGAGAAGCAGCAGGAGUGGCUCCCCCCUCCCCAGAAUGUUUUUAAAGUUAAUGUGGAUGCUGCUCUUAAUUCAAAGAAUCUAAGUGCAGGAGUGGGGGCUGUGAUUAGAGACUCUAAUGGAAAGAUAGUUGCGGCUGGGGUAAAUCAGAACCUCCUAAAGGGGUCAGCUAGCUUGGCUGAAGCAGAGGCGGUGCUUUGGGGCCUUCAGCUGGCAAGAAAGGCGGAUGUAUCCUCUUUGAUUAUUGAGUCUGAUUGUUUAGAGGUGGUCCAGCUAGUGAACAACACCAAGGGCAGUAGAUCAGAAAUUUUUUGGACAAUUCUGGCAAUCCAAAAACAGAUGAAGAACUUCCAGAAAGUGGUUGUCAAUCACAUUCCAAGACAUUGUAAUGCUUGUACCCAUUUCCUAGCUAAGAUAGCUUUGGGGAAAAUCUCUCCCUGUAUGUGGCUGGGAAAUAUUCCAGCUGAAUUAUAUGGUAUUUUCAAGGUGUUGUGAUUAAUGAAAGGUUUACUUUCUUUUAAAAAAAAAACGACAGAGAGUUCAAAGAUUUUGACCAUAAAUUUUUUUUUCCUCCCAAAUUUACAUUUGUAAAUUCAUAUCUCAAAUCACAGCUCAUUUAAUUAACUAUAGAGUGUCUAUGGACCACUCACUUGUAGAUCAAUAUAUGACUUAGAUUUUUCAAUACAUUUUUUCUAUAAAUACACGAUUUACGCCACUUCCACAAUAUGUAGAAUUAUUUAACAACUUUUUAACGCUUCUUCUUAAACACAUGAUUUAUUUAAACUUGGGCUCGCCUACCGUACAGAUUAUGUUAGGCACAAUUAAGAUAAGCCAAAUGGAUUAACUGGUGGUGGGUCUAAGUGGAUCGGACACCCCAUUUUAUAAUUUGUAAGGUAGUAUGAUCAUUUAAAUUUAUAUGUUAAUUGUGGUACUGGUAACCUGAAGCCAUAGCAGAAACAGUUCAAUUGAUUAGAUAGAUUUUGAUCAGAUAAAACAUUAAUUGAAUCAAAGAACCGUGGAAUGUGUCGAUGCUUGGAAGUUGAAUCACUUUGUUGACUCAUUUUGAUCAGGAAACAGCGAAUGACAGCUAAAAAGUUAAAUGGUGUGAAUUUCCCAACAAACGCCAUUUACUUUCGUUCCAACAAUGUCCAAUACUACUUUUUAUCCUUGCAUUUGACCGUGCUCAAUUCUCAAAUUGGCGGGACCGUUGGCAGUCACUGUUAUCGGCUUUUUAAUAACACCACCACAGAACCUGACCCUUUCCUCAAGUUCAUAACGUUGGAUGGAUUGAGGAGGGAUAACUAAAAGGGUAAUUAAUUAUCAGAAAUCUCCCCUAAGUUUUAGCGUAUUCUCAGUUUGAUAGAUUAUAUUCAUGUAUUCUCAAAUACCUCCCCUAAUGUCAGCAUACUAUUUUGUAUAAAUUAGGUUGGUGAGGAUAAAAUCAUAAAAGCACCCAUCAAUGAUUAGAAAAAGGGAUGAGGCUAUUUAAAUCCUCCAAAAUAUUCAUUAGAUCCUUUUUAAUUAAGUUUUUUAUUAAUAAAAUAACCGCAACAUAAAAUACUAUUAUAACCUAAACAAAAUAAUUAAACAAGAAAGCAACUCACUGCUGCUCCAUUAAAGUUAAUUGUUGGAUCGAAGUUAACUUUCUAAUUUUAGCAAUUUAAUGAUUACAAUGAUGCUCAUAUAUACUGUUGGGGAAAAAUUAGGUUUUUAAAUUUUUAUUAAACCUUUUGAAGAUCGCUCUCAUAUAAUAUAUAAGAAUACGUAAUCCAGAAAUCGUACCUUGAAAAUCCGAUUUGGCUUUUUCCGUUGAAGUGUUUUAGGCUCCUAGAUCACGAUCCGCCACCACCACUCCUGUUAGAUCACGAUCCGUGACCACCACGCUUGUUAGAUCACGAACAGUCUCCAAUGAUCUUCCAGGUUAUGACUCAGGUUCGAUCUGCACUUGACGUGUGGGCGCCUUUAUCACUACCAAAGCAACUAGCACGAGAAAAUUUUUCUCUCAACAAUAGAGAGAAAAAUCUUUUUCUAUGAUCUGUAUAAAGUGGCUUCCGUAUUUUUCUUUAGGGAAAAAUAAGCCUUUUAUAUCACCCUUUAGUGAAAACCCUAGGCUCCAAAUAAUGCUCUAAAUAAAACUCACGUUAUUUUCUUUUUCAAUAGGGGACCCACCUUGUAAAAUAACAUAAGGCCCCUUAUACAAAAGCUAAUUAAAUGGAGCCUCUCACUAAAUGAUAUAUUUAGGCUUUUGACCCAAAUAGCUAGUUAUCUUACUUAUUAGUCCAGUAGUGGUGCAGUCAAUUAAAUGAGCUAACCCGGGGAUCAUUUGGGAACAUACAAUAGUGGCUACAAUAAUUAGGCCUGUAAUUAAACUAGCCCAAUUAUUUAAUUCCAAAUCUACUCCACUAAAAGAUUGGAACUGACUUCCAUAAUUGUAUGCUCGAAUAAUAAUUCGUCCCAAGCCACAUUGAUUUCUUUACUGCACAAUCCUUUGUAUCACAUCGUUAAUUAAAUUGAUAUCUCAACUGUCCAAUCAAUUUAAUAACAUCUUAUUUCUUGAUCCUUACUGGUUUUCUCUAAUGAUCAUUUUCAACAUACUAAAUAUGUUGACACACUCUGGCCAGAGAAUUCUAUAAUCAAGUGCCGAAAACCCAUCAAGAGAUGUGUUGUACAAAUUCUAUAUUGUUAAUCCAUAACUCCAAUACUCAUAAUUGCUCCCACCAAGAUACCGGGUAAUCUUGACCACAAGGAUGUGUCGUGCCCAUUGGUAACUCAAAUGGAAUAACAAUUACAAUCAUGAAAUCAUAAUUAACUCAAGAUUAAGAUUACAGUAAAAUCAACGCCUAUGAGAUUUAAUAAGUCUGACAGUUAUUACAAAGUUAAUUAAAUCUCAUAUGUGAUCCUGUUCAAUGUAGUCAUACUACAUCAAUAAAUUCAUACAUGAUUAAGACAAAUCAUUCAAUGAAUUUAUUACAGUCUAUACCUAAAUAAAGUGCCCAACUUUAUUUAUCAACUGCGAACUAAAUUUAUUUAAUCAUAAGAUAACUUGUAUUUAUGUCUUCUGUGAAUCCACAUGGUGAUCACAUAAAUACAUAUAAUAUGAUUAAAUGGACUUUAAUACAAGUAUUAAUGCAAUUAAGAUAUUUGAAUAAAAUAUCUCAUUUAUUUUAUUAAUCAGAAAAAUAGUUUAUUACAAUUAAAUAAACACAUAUGCUUUUAAAGAGCAUAUUUUCCCAACAUAUACAUCUACCAUUCAAUCAGAAUUGAAACUGACCUUGAUUAGCAGUCUUUCAUUGAAAUUAUAUAUCCUCUAAAUUAUAUAUCCUCGAAAGAUAAUAUAAAAGACGAUUAAUUUCAAAGAGGAAUUGUCAGCAAAGAUAUAUAUGCACAACCAUUUUCAUACCCCGGAUUGGUUGCUAACAUGUUUAUUUUCUUAAAAAGUUUGAAAAAUAAUCCUUCACGGUUUUGCUCCAUUAAUGAAUUGAGUGAUGAUACAACCACAAACUCUUGUACAAACUGAUGUGGCAUUAAUUCAUUGGUUGAAUAAAAAUAUAAAAUAAUAGAAAUAAAUCAUGUAGACCAAGAGAUAUUUAAUUCAACCAAUGAAUUAACGCCACAUCAGUUUGUACAAGAGUUUGUGCUUAUAUUAUUACUCUAAUGAAUUUGAUUAGUUUGACCAAGCUCACGAAAUAAAUUAAUUGAAGAGAUAGAACGUGACAGGUUGGUUGAAUGCAGAAUGGAUAACAGAAAGCUGACUACGCGAGAUAAUUGAUUACGGAAGAAAAUUCAUACGUGAUCAUGAAAACCCAUAUAUUUUUCAACUGAAUUAAGAUUGCAUGAAGUUGUUAUAUAUUUUGAUUUGGCCAAAAAGUUCUUAUUGCUCAAGGCUUGAAUUUAGCCAAUAAGUUUUUUUUCUUAUGAAUAUCUUUUGGGAUCGACUAAAAUUCUCUCUCCCUAAUCAAGCUUUCGUUAUGUAUAAAAGAAAUUAACCAUGAAUGAAAGUGCAAAUGCUGAUUACAAAUAUUGUUUAAGUUAUAAUUGUUUUUUUCUCUAACAUAAUAUUUUCAUGGUUUGGUGAUUUCAUAUAGUAUCUCUACAAUUUUAAGGGAAGAUGUGCUCAUGAAAUGAAAAAUAGAAAAUUAGAAAGAGAGACACAAAUCGGGACACCAAAAUCUUCACCAAGAUUGAAAGAAAUUUGAUGUAGAAAGCAGAGCAAUGAGGCAAAGUGCGAAAAAGCUUCCUUUCGAAUUCUCUGAUAUUUGACAUAAGUCAAAUCUUUUGUUUGUUUCAUCCAUCAAAGUCAUUUUAAAAAGUAGUGGGGGGUGAUUUGGUAUUUUAAUUGUAUUUACAUUCCUUGGCGCCAAAACAAACAUGUUGGUACAGAAUUCUUUAUUUUCAGUAUACAAAUAAUCAAUUUCGUCUUAUUUUCAUUUCAAGGGUUUUGCUAAUUUACAAUUCAUAUAAUUUACAAUCCAUGCAAAACAUGUAAAAAUAUGUAAUUUACAACUCAUGCGAAACAUGUAAAAAUCAAAUUACAUGAGUUGUAGCUUAGGAAGACCCAACUAAUAAUCAAUUUCGUCUUAUUUUCCAAGCACUGCGGAUAAGAAUUCCAAUGAAGAUGCAGCUUUACCGACUGUUUCAUUUCAAUUGAAGAAGGAAAAUAGUGCAUGACAACUAAAAGGGUUAAAAGGGUGCAAAUAGUAGGUCUUGUCGUGCACGCGCAGAGCAAGAAACAAAUAAUUGAUGACAGCUUAUAAAAAAAUAUAUGAAAGUUAAAUAAAAAUAAAAUGAAAAUGUUGAUAGUACAUCAACACCUUUUACGCGCCACAUUCAUUCGUGUAUUUUUCUCAAAAGUUUGACUCGUGACAAAUGACACACGAUUUCAUCUUAUGUUUUUUCAGUAUUAAGAUUUUUUUUUCUUAUUUCUAUUUUAAAAUUAAUGUAAUAAUUUAAAUGAAAAUUUCUAUUAAUUGUUACGACCGUGCAAGUUGAUACAAUAAUAAUAUGAUGUGGGAUGUGAUCAUAAAUUAUUUAAAUGAAUAAAAUGCGCGUGGAAUAUAUGGCUGCUUCAGUAGUAGGGGUGGGCAAAUUACCCGACCCGAUCCGAUCCGAUCCGACCCGACCCGAAAAAUUUCGGGUUCGGAUCGGAUCGGGUUAUGAAGAAAACCCGAUCGGAUCAAAACAAUGAAACCCGAUCGGGUUAUGAUCGGAUCGGGUUCGAUCCGAUCCGAAACCCGAUCGGGUUGCUAUAAAAAAAAAAAAAAAACUAAACCUAAAGCAAGCAGCCACAUACACGCCGCACACACAAAUCACAAUUCCCAUUUUCACAAUACACGGUUACUUUACACAAACACUCACAACUCUCCUCAAUCCCCAAUCUCACUACACAAAACACAUACACAGUCACCCCCAACGGCGUUGGGCCAACGCCAAGCCGCCAACGGAGGCCGCCGCAGAAGUCACAGCCUCACCCGCAUCUCCAUGGACGAUUUGCCGCGCGUCUCCAUGCCUGAUUUGCUGCAAGUGCCGCCGAUCUGCUGCUACGCGUCCGUCAGUCUGCUGCUACAAGUGCCGCGGCCACCGAUCUACUGCAAGUGCCGCGGAUCUGCUGCAAGGUGCUUCUGCUGCUCCAAGCCUUCAACCCGAGCUUCUCACCUUUGACUUUGAAUCUUGAGUUUUCACACUUUUUUUAAGCUUUUUUUUUUUAAAGAUUUGAAUUGAUGGUGUAUAUGGUUAAAUUAAACAAUUAAUAUUUAGUAUUUAAUUGUUGUAAUUAUGUGUUUUUAAAUGGUUGUAACAAAAUCAAGGAAAUUGGCCAACCCGAUCCUACCCGAUUUCAACCUGAAUUCACAACCCGACCCGACCCGAUCCGAAUAUAAAUCGGAUCGGAUCGGGUCGGGUGGGAAGUUCGGGUUGUAUUCGGAUUGAUUUUUGUUAAACCCGAAUGACCCGAAAUCCGAUCGGGUUGAUCCGAACCCGACCCGAACCCGGUUUUGCCCACCCCUAUUCAGUAGUCCCUCACUUGGAGUUAAUUUUGUGGUAGUUUCAUCUCCUUAUCUAAAAUUAAUUGAAGACCGACUAAUGUGAAUGGAAGGCAAUGCGUAAAUAACAAGAAGAAGAAUAAUUGUACCCACCUUUAAACCUUUAGCAUUUCUGCCCCCAAACUUUACUUUUGAAGAGAAAAAGCAAAAAAUUUCCCGGAAAAUUCGGCGUAUUUUUCUCGAGCAAACGUUGGUGACUGCAGUGUCUGUGCAGAGUAAAACGAUGCUUGGAACCUUCCAGGGAAAAAUGUGGAAAGGGUGUAAAUUUCCCAACAAUCCACCAUAGAAAAUAGUAAAUGCUUCUGUGCUCAAUUCUCAAGGGGGCAGUGACUCGUGCCCUAUUAACAAAUUGUAUUUGAUUAGCGAGGAUUAUCAAUUAGACGAGAUUAUUUACACUCUAAACAAUUAUUUUAUGCACUUACAUUCAUAUAAAAAUUUUAUAAUAGAAAUACUCAUGAUAUAAAUUAUUAUUAUUAAAAGUAAUUUAUUAUAAGUAAAUAUAAAUAAUUAUUAAUGCUUGGAAUCUUCCUAAAAGUUUCUUUAAAAUUAUCUUUAUCUCAUUUUCCAGGAAGCACUGUGGACAAUAAUUUCAGUGAAGAUGCAGCUUUGUUGACUUUUAUUUCAAGUGAAGAAAUAAUUCGUGUACGACAACUAAAAAGGUUAAAGGGACCGCUUGGAGUAUCACCCUACCAGGCUAUACAAUCCCAGAAUUAUCAAUUGAUUUUUCAAAAUAAAAUUCAAUGAGAUCCACUGAAACGCUACGUGAAAGAAUCCCAAGUGGUGGGACAGUUCCAUAUUAAUUUUUCUCUUAAGUUUCCUAGCAAACACCAUCUAAUUUUUCUCUAAAUUUGUCUUAUUGUGAAUAAAAAUAUUAUUUUUAUUAUUUGAUAAUUUAGUAACAUAAUAAUUAAAUAUAAAUAUAUCUAAAUAAUAUUAAUUUGACACAAAUAAUAAAAUUCUUUUUACUUUCAUGAUAUAAAAAUUAUUCCCAUCAUUUUACGUUUAUUAUUUAGAAAAUGAAGUAAUUUAUUGACCAGUUUGAGAUUGUUGUUGGGACUUUCAAAAGUGAUAUUGAGAAGCUAAUGAUGAAUUUAAAUGGUUGGUAAAAACUUUUAAAAUUACUUCUUGUAAAAUCAAUUCAUUGCCACAGGAGAUUUUGAUUUUGCAAAGCAGUGAAUGAGUUACUUUUAAAAUAAACAAAUUAGAAGACUAAAAAUAUUGUAUUUUCAGUAAAAAUAAGAUUAUUUAUUUUUUAGUACCAAUUUUUUUUUUAGAUAAAAAAAAACGGGAGGGGAUAUUUUAACUUAAGAAUAUGAUUGUAAUCUAAGCAUCAAAACUUUAAAAUUUAUUUAAUUCAAUCUAAGGUAUGAGAUGAUUGAUUAUGUGAUAGUAAAACUUUAAUAAAAUAAGAUUCAGAAAACAAAAAGCAUAGAUGACAUAUUAAAACUUAAUAAAGGAAGAGAGAGAGAAUACCGACUCUUUUUCCUCAUUCUUUUUCCUCAUUCCUCAAUGAUUAUACUAGUAAUAGCAAUUCCUAACCUAAAUUGGGGGGAAAAAAAUUCAUCCCCAUUCUCACAAAUCAUAUUCAUCCCCAAGAAAUCAAUACUCCAUAAUUUUGUCAACGACAUAUUCCGUAAGGCCAACAUAUUUGUAAUUCAAUAUUAGAUCAUGCCCACUGUUGUUCCUCUCCACUUCUGUUCAUCGAUCUUUGCCAUAGAUUUUUUCUAUUCCUCCAUUGCUUUACUUUCCCACUCAAUUUUAGCCUCUCCAAUCAACAAACAAUCCAAGGGUCUGACCAUAAAUUCGUGGGUUAAUUGGUUGAACGAAAUAAAUGGUCAUAUUUUGAUGUCUAGAUUGAAGUUGAAUUCUUAAAUUAAUAUAACCCCCGCCCAAAACAAAAAUAUUACAAAUACAUACAACAUAUAGGGCAAAGCUAUGGUACCACAGUUGUAUGGUACCGCAGCUGGAUCCAACCAUUGGAUCUAGCCCACAAUUGUCACCAGAAUUAGAUCCAAAGGCUGGAUUUAGCUGUGGUACCAUAUAAUUGUGGCACCAUAACUGGACCCCAACAUAUCUUCAUAACUCUUAUAACAUUGGGUUAUUUGCACACUGAAUAGACUAAAACACUCUAUAUUACUCUUGUGCACCCUCCACAAUAAUUUUGCUGAAGAGUAGGGCCUUAAAUUGCAGCUUUAUAGUUUUUGUUGAACCGCGUUUUUCCAAAGGAAAGAAAUAGGGAAUGAUAGCUAAAAAUUAAUAAUAAAAAAAGGCGUAAAUACUAUUCGCCACCGUCACUAAAGAAAAUAAUAAAAAUAAAAAUAAAAUAAAAGACCAAUUAAUCUAAAAGAACAAUUAAUCUCAGAGCAUAUUUUUCAAUAGAUUCAUACUCACGAUUACUUACUUUCCUUGAGCCUUCCUGGAUGUUUGAAAUCUAGAUUUGUUUAUAAACUGGAUGCAAAAUUCAUGAGCCAGUGUGAGAAAAGUUCUCCAACAAUUUGAAAACUUAACGUGUGUUUUAUGAGAAGCAAUCUUUAGUAACUGAGAUAACUAAAAUGCAAUUCUUUAAGAAUUUGGAUUGUAAGAUAAAUAUUUCAAUAUUUAUAUUCCCUAUUUUAAUAGUGGAAUAUAUUUUUUUUUUAUCUUUCCCCGUAAACACUGACUUUUCCGUGUAUGCUUUAUGUGAUUGAUAUUUGCCGUAUAUUAUGUGAAUGACAGUUUAAUUUGAUGACGGUAAGUUGAAUUAGAAGACGAAGAGAAGAGAGCACCAAAUGGUCAAUGAUCAGUCAAUGUCAUCGAGUAGCUUGCAAUCACACGAAAGACAAAGGCGGAUUGUGGUCCAAAAAAUUUAAAAUUUCAUGACGGUGGUCCAAUAAAAUUUAAUUUCUUUUCUCAUUUUGAAGUCCACCCAGUAAUUUCUUUGAAGCUGCCUUAUGUUAUUGUAUGUGAAUUUCAAAAAAUCGUCUCUGUAGGACAAAAUAAAUAUGCAGAAUUUUUUCACAUACGAUGUUAAGGUUGAUGCAAAAUAAAUAUGCGGAAAAUUUACUUCAAAUCCAAAAUAUUGAAGCCAAACAAUGGAGAGGAGAUGGAAAAGGAAUUCAUCGGAACAUGGAUUUGUAGCUCGAAUUAAAGAAGACAAAGACAAAAAAGAAAAGAGCUGGCACUACCUAAUGCUAUAUUGCUAAUGGUCAAUGAGUCAGUGACAGCCAGAAGCAAAUAAUCCCAAUUCAUAAACAGAACAGAAUGUUGCAUUUUUUGGUUAAUAGCAUUCAGAGAACCUGAUACGUGCCAUUACUCAUGGAGCCAUGCAAGCCAUUAUUCACGCCAUCAUUCAUGGAGCCAUGCAUGCACGUGUUACAUUUAGUUUUUUUUUUUAGUUGUGGGUUUUGUUCAAUAAUCCCGUGAUGUGCUGAUUUUCAGCGAAGUGGGAAGUUGGUUUCCUAUUUUUUUGGCAUUGUUUGUUAAUUUUCAGUAUUGUAAAGACUAUUAUAUAUAGUCGGAAGUGUUUCAAUAAAGGGGGGGAAAUUAAUAAAAUCAAACCAUCUCUUCUUUCUCUUCACUUCUUUCUUUAUAAAUUCAAACAUAUCAGUGGUAUCAGAGCCAGGUUCCAACCAUGGACACUCGCGGCAAAACAAAUGCAGAGUUCCGCAAUGACGUCACCACGACUUUAGCUCGACAUGAAGCAAGUUUUGACCAAGUUAAUGAUGUCUUGCAAGCUGUGUUAACUGAACUUCAAGCUCUUCGUCACUCUCGGAACCCAAGUUCCAGUCAACCCGAUACCAACCCAUUUGCUCCUGAAGAAACCUCUCGUUCAAAUGCUGUCAAUGAACGUUCCAUCCACCAUGAGCGGCCCCAUCACCACCUCAAGUUGGACUUUCCAAGGUUCAACGGCGAGGACCCAACCGGCUGGGUUUACAAGGCAGAGCAAUAUUUUGAUUUCGAAGAUAUUUCCCCAGACCAACAAGUUCAGCUAGCAUCUUUUCACUUAGAAGGCAUUGCUUUACAGUGGCAUAGGUGGUUGACAAAGUUUCGUGGGCCACUCACAUGGAAAGAAUUCACCAAGGCAGUACACCUUCGUUUUGGUCCAACAGAUUACGAGGACCCAUCAGAAGCUUUGACUCGCCUUAAACAAACCUCGUCGGUGGCCGCAUAUCAAGAAGCUUUCGAAAGACUCUCACACCGGGUUGAUGGCUUACCUGAAAAUUUCUUGAUUGGUUGUUUUGUUGCAGGACUUCGCGAUGACAUCCGGUUGGACGUGAAAAUUAAACAACCUCGGACAUUGUCGGACACGAUAGGUGUGGCGCGAUUAAUUGAGGAGCGAAACCAAUUACAACGGAAACCGACCCAAGCAGCUCGCUCCCAAUCCACUGUGAUCACGCAAAGACCAGGACUCAACCCAACGGCUGGUGUGCUAGGACCCCCUCCAAACCAGCGCCCAAACCAAAAUCCUGUGACACCGCCAGCAACAUUCCGUCGUAUCACCAAUCAAGAGGCACGUGAAAGGCGUGAAAGGGGAUUAUGUUACUAUUGUGAUGAGAAGUUCACACCAGGCCACCGCUGCGAACGACCACAAUUAUUCAUGAUCGAAGACCUGCCCUAUUUAGGAAGUGAGGAUGUUAACGGCGUUCAAUUCGAACAGAACACUCAAGAAACCAUACCUGAGAUUUCGUUUCAUGCAAUGGCAGGAACUGAACAUCCCCAGACCCUUCGCGUCUCGGGCAAGCUGAAAAAUAAGGAAGUAACUGUAUUGAUCGAUGGCGGCAGCACUCACAACUUCAUUGAUCAAUCCAUAGUCUCCAAAUUUGGGUUACCAGUGGUCAGAGACAAGAAGCUUCAAGUUAUGGUUGCAAACCGAGAAAAGAUAGAGUGUGUUGGGCAGUGUCAAGCGCUCACGCUCAUCAUUCAAGGACUUCCAGUCACAACGGAUUUCUAUGUCCUUCCAGUCACCGCAUGCCAAAUGGUCUUGGGAGUACAGUGGCUUGAAACUCUCGGACCCGUUGAAAUUGAUUACAAAAAGCUAACCAUGACUUUCCAAGUUGGAGGAGUCUCUCAUACCUUUCAAGGCUUGGGCCAAACUAGCAUCGCAGCUUUAACUGACAAGGAACUUAAUGGAAUACAUGGCAUGGGUUUUUUUUUUCAAAUCAUUAUGACAAGCACUAGCAAGCUAGAGGUGCAUUCGCUAGAUAUGAGUCGUCUCCUAGCAGAUUUUUCUCACGUUUUUGAGUCGCCCACCAGCUUACCACCUAGGCGCUCUCAUGAUCAUCAAAUUCCAUUACAGCCAAGUGCAGAACCAGUGAGUGUACGACCAUAUCGUUACCCAUACUACCAAAAGACUGAGAUAGAAAAGAUGGUGCAGGAGUUUUUACAGUCGGGGUUGAUAAGGGCUAGUAAGAGCCCAUUCUCAUCACCUGUUCUGUUGGUAAAGAAGUCAGACGGAGGUUGGCAAUUUUGUGUGGACUAUCGCGCCCUAAACAAUAUUACAGUUAAAGAUAAGUACCCAAUACCUGUAAUUGAUGAAUUGUUGGAUGAGCUUUAUGGUGCCAAAUUUUUCUCCAAACUAGAUUUGCGAUCAGGUUAUCACCAAAUUCGAGUAAAAGAUGAAGACAUUCCAAAGACAGCCUUCCGAACACACGAAGGGCACUAUGAGUUUGUGGUAAUGCCAUUCGGUCUUACGAAUGCACCCGCAACUUUUCAGAGUCUCAUGAAUGAUCUUUUUCGUCCUUAUCUCCGGAAGUUUAUCUUAGUUUUUUUUUACGACAUCCUGGUUUAUUCAAAGUCAUGGAAAGAUCAUCUCAGUCAUUUGCCAACUGUUUUACAUAUUUUAUCUACUAACAGUUUGUUUGCAAAGGAAUCAAAGUGUCAAUUCGGUGUUUCACAAGUCGAAUAUUUGGGACAUAUAAUUUCUGAGCAGGGAGUAGCAGUGGAUCCAAUCAAAAUUCAGGCUGUCAUUGAGUGGCCUAAACCGGUGUCAGUCAAAGGAGUGCGUGGAUUCUUGGGGCUAGCAGGGUACUACCGGAAGUUUAUCUGUAAUUUUGGGAGCAUAGCAGCGCCUUUAACUCAACUCUUGACGAAGGAGGGAUUUCACUGGAAUGAAGCAGCAGAGGUGGCUUUCAAACAAUUGAAAGAGGCGUUGACUUCACCACCGAUUUUACGCCUGCCAGAUUUUACCCAACAAUUUGUGAUUGAGUGCGACGCAAGCGGCACUGGAGUUGGAGCAAUCCUUUCCCAACAAAAUCAGCCAGUAGCUUAUUUCAGUGAAGCCUUGAAAGGGUCAGCCUUGGCCUUAUCCACCUAUGAAAAAGAGAUGUUGGCAAUCGUCAAAGCUAUUAGGAAAUGGCGUCCUUAUUUAAUUGGGAAACCCUUUACGGUUCGAACUGACCAAAAAAGUCUCAAGUACUUUCUGGAGCAGCGGAUUACUACACCAGCACAAGCAAGAUGGUUGCCAAAGUUACUUGGAUAUGAUUAUAAAAUUGAGUACAAAAAGGAAGCCGAAAAUCAGGGUGCAGAUUCUUUGUCACGUGUAGUUGAGUUCCAAUUCUUAUCAAUUUCUAUGUCACAUGCAGAGUGGUGGCCAACUCUCCAAGAAGAAGUUCACCGGGAUUCAUUUUACAAAGAUUUGCUUGAAAAGAGCCCUCCUCAAUCACGCCACCAAUUGUACCAACGAGAUGGAGUUUGGUUUAAGCGCAACAGAAUUUAUCUUAGCCCCACCUCAACAUUAAUUCCAAAAAUAAUGGCGGAUUGUCAUUCAUCUCCAAUUGGUGGUCACUUUGGUUUCCAUAAAACUCUCUCUCGUAUCAAACAUAACUUCCUUUGGUCUAAUAUGCGCCGAACGAUAAAAGAAUUUUUACAGCAAUGUGAUAUCUGUCAACGUUAUAAGACUGAUUGUAUGAAGCCUGCUGGAUUACUCCAACCACUGCCAAUUCCAACUCAAGCAUGGACUGAAAUUUCGAUGGACUUUAUCGAGAGAUUACCGCCAUCUAAUGGGUAUACUGUCAUCAUGGUAAUCGUCGAUCGAUUAACAAAAUAUGCGCACUUCGUAGCCUUGAAGCAUCCAUUUACUGCAAUCACUGUCGCCAAGGCAUUUGUUGCAAAUGUGGUUCGCCUCCAUGGCAUUCCAACCUCCAUUGUCAGUGAUCGAGACAAGGUGUUUAUUAGCUCAUUUUGGCAGGCACUGUUCCAGCUGCAAGGAACCCAGCUCUGCAUGAGUUCGAGUUAUCAUCCUCAAUCCGACGGUCAAACCGAGGUAGUAAAUCGCACCUUGGAGCAAUAUUUACGGUGUUUCACAGGAGAUCAACCACGAAAAUGGACAGAAUGGAUUCCAUGAGCUGAGUUUAGCUACAAUACGUCCAUUCAUUCAUCUACUAGAAUGACCCCUUUUGAGGCUGUUUAUGGCUUCCCACCUCCAAGCCCGCUAGCCUAUGUUUCGGGCACAUCCCGUGUCCAAGCUGUUGAUGAGUAUCUACGUGAUCGUGAUGCUAUUUUACGAGAGUUACGGCAUAAUCUUUCAGUGGCCCGAGAUCGAAUGAAAAGCCAAGCAGAUCAGAAUCGGCGUGAAGUCUCUUUCAUGGUAGGAGAUUACGUGUAUUUAAAGCUUCAACCAUACCGCCAAACUUCCGUGGCUUUUCGACGUUCCAUGAAGCUGGCUCCCCGUUUUUAUGGUCCAUAUCAGAUAAUUGAGAAGGUGGGUGCUGUGGCUUAUAAGUUGGCUCUUCCUCCGGGUUCUCAAAUUCAUAAUGUAUUCCAUGUUAGUUUGUUACGGAAGCAUGCGGGAACCAACGCUCCGACCUCUACUCAACUUCCUCCAGUUGCAGAGGAUUCUACCAUUCUUCCUCAACCUGAAGCUGUUCUGAACCGUCGUGUCAUUCGUAAAGGGAAAUAUCGUCCAAGGUCUGAGAUCUUAAUUAAGUGGAAGGGAGCCCCAAUGGAAGACGCCACCUGGGAGAAUGAAUGGCGCUUCUCCAAGUCAUUUCCUGAUUUUGUCCUUGUGGACUUGAGUGCAAUGAAUCCAAAACUCAGAGUCCCAAAACGGUUCGUUUUGAUUAAGUGAUUCAGUCUUUUGUCACAUGCUGCACGUGGUGUUUUAAUUCAAAAGCUAAACGACUCAGCAACUGUCGUUUUGGAGAAACUAAAGUGAUGCACGUGAGUCAGCUCGUGAAGAAGGGAAUCAAGGCUGUUAAAAGCCGUUACACACGUGUCCAGAUUCUGUGCAAUCUGGGUUUCAGCAUCAGGGAUAUAAAACUGGUUGCUGAGGGGAAAAUACGUGUGGUUUUGAUAGAGCUUUAGAGAGGGAUCAGAAAGUGAGAGAGGGUAAUCUUGUUGCUUGUAAUCUCUUGUUAAGGAGCUCUGUAUUUGUCUUCUUGAUUCAUCAAUAAAGCUUUUCCUGUGGCUUUUCCCGUGGAGGUAAAUUGUGCAUGUAAUGCACAAUUGAACCACGUAAUAUUCUGUUCUUGUGAGUUGUUUCUUGUUUUAGUUAAACACUGUUAUUAAUCAUUAGAUCUAGAGCAUACAUAGAUUGAGUUGAGAACUUGGCAUCUAAUCUUGGUUUCUUCUGCAACUUGUUUGAUCAAGAACUUGAGUCUCCUGGGCAGUGGCUUAGUAUCUUGAAUCUUAAAGGGUACUAAAUCACUACACUUGGUAUCAGAGCUGGAGUCUUGAAGUCAAAGAUCCAAGUAUGACUUCUACCAAAGUUGAUCUCGAAAAGUUCAAUGGAAAAAACGAUUUCAAUAUGUGGAAGGUGAAGAUGGAAGCAGUGUUAAUAACCCAUGGUCUUGGAGAUGCCCUGUUACCAGUUACCAAGAAGGAGGGGAAAGAUGUCUCUACAUCAAAAACUCCAGAACAUAUGGCAGAGAUUGAUAGGAAGGCCAAGGGAACUAUCAUCUUGAGUCUUGCAGAUUCUGUGAUAAGAGAAGUAGCUAAAGAACCUACUAUUGCUGACCUAUGGGCAAAACUAGAGAGCAUUUACAUGAAAAAGUCCUUGGCUAACAGAUUGUAUAUCAAGAAAAGGAUGUUCACAUUGAAAAUGCAUGAAGGCUCAUCUCUAGACGAACAUCUCGAUGAGUUUAACAAAGUGUGUGACACCCUUGAAACCAUAGAUGCAGCAUUGGAAGAUGAGGAUAAAGCUUUGCUUCUGAUAAGCUCUUUGCCUAAGUCAUACGAGCACUUUAUUGAUGCUUUGAUGUAUGGAAGGCAGACAUUGUCACUGGAUGAGGUGAAGUCAGCUCUUAGCACUAAAGAAUUGCAAGGGAAGCAAGAAAGCCUUGGUAAUAGCUCUGGUGAGGGGUUAACUGCAAAAGCAAAACCAGAAUGGAAGAAAAAGAAGCAAGGAAAGAAUAGAGAAAAGCAAAAGAAUUUGAGAUGCUUCUUGUGUCACAAGGAGGGGCAUUUCAAGAAGGAUUGUCCAGAAAAGAAGUUUCAGAAAAAGGGAAAGGAUGGUGAUGCAGCUGUUGUAGAGGAAGAAGGAUAUGAAUCUGCUGGUGUGUGUGUAGCAACAGAGAGCACAGACAGAGGUAAAUGGGUGCUUGAUUCUGGUUGUACUUUCCAUAUGUGCCCUUAUAAAAAUUACUUAACUGAGUAUCAUGACUUAGAUGGGGGUAGAGUUAUGAUGGGUAAUAAUGCCAUGUGUAAGAUCAUAGGUAUUGGAAAUAUAAGGCUUAAACUUCAUGAUGAAACCAUAAGGGAGCUAAAACAGGUGAGGUUUGUACCUAAACUUAAAAGAAAUUUGAUUUCUUUAGGAAUGCUUGACCAAAUGGGAUAUAGUGUUAAGAUUGAAUCUGGUGAAAUGGUGAUAAUUAAAGGCACUGAAAUCAUCAUGAAGGGUUUAAGGAAAAAUGGAGUAUUUGUCUUAGAUGGGGAAGUAGUUACUGGUGAAGUUAGGGUAUCAGUAGAUGCCAAUACUGAUAAAACCAAGCUAUGGCAUUUGAGGUUAGGGCACAUUGGGGUGAGAGGGCUGAAAGAAUUAGAUAAGCAAGGUUUAUUAGAAGGUGAUAAGAUUGGUGAUCUGGAAUUCUGUGAGAGUUGUGUCUUGGGGAAGGCAACUCGAGCUAGUUUUAAUAGGUUAGUAUACAAGUCAAAGGACAAGCUGGAAUACAUACAUUCUGACCUAUGGGGACCAGCUCAACAAGUAUCUCUAGGUGGUAACAGUUACUUCUUAUCCAUUAUAGAUGACUACUCUAGGAGGGUGUGGGUUUAUACUCUUAAGAGCAAAGACCAAGUUUUUAAGAAGUUUCUUGAAUGGAAAAACUUGGUUGAAAAUCAAUGUGGUAAGAAGGUUAAAAAGCUCAGGACAGACAAUGGUUUAGAAUUCUGUAAUCAAAGGUUUGAUAGUUUCUGUGCAAAGGAAGGAAUAGCUAGGCAUAAAACAGUGAGGUUAACACCUCAGCAGAAUGGGUUAGCUGAAAGGAUGAACAGGACACUCAUGGAGAGGGUGAGGAGUAUGCUGGUUCAAUCCAAGCUUCCAAAGACUUUGUGGGCAGAAAUACUUUUAACUGCUUGUUAUCUGGUUAACCUGAGUCCCUCUACAACAAUUGAGUUCAAAACACCCUAUGAGAGAUGGACAGGACAACCAGCUAACUAUGGGAACCUGAGAGCAUUUGGCUGUCCAGCCUAUGCUCACACAAGCCAAGGAAAGCUAGCUCCUAGGGCUUUGAAAGGUUUCUUCAUAGGAUAUCCAGAGGGAGUAAAGGGCUAUAAGAUCUGGUGCACAGACUUAAGUCCACCCAGAUGUAUCAUAAGCAGGGAUGUGACCUUUAAUGAAAAAGAGUUACUGAAUCAGAAGUCAGCACAACAUCCAACUAAGAAAGAUACUGAGACUGGUAAAAAGCAACAACUUGAGGUGGAGCUUCCUAGGUCUGAUGACUUUCUGGAAGCUGAAGAUUCAGGUGGAGUCAUUGACAGCUCAAGUGAUCCAAAACUUCCUCAACAAGAACAAGAGUCUCAGAGACAUGAGCAAGGAUACCAACUAACUAGAGAUAGGGCCAAGAGACAAAUCAAACAGACUAGAAGAUAUGGAUAUGCAGACCUUAUCUCAUAUGCUCUAGCAGCUGCACAUCAGAUUGAUGAAGAUGAACCAAAAGCCUACAAAGAAGUAGUCCAAAGUAAGUUUAGCAAAGAGUGGCAGCAAGCCAUGGAUGAAGAAAUUAUGUCCCUUUAUAAGAAUAACACCUGGGAACUGGUUAAGAAACCUGAUAAGAGGAGAGUUGUAGACUGCAAAUGGAUCUUUAAAGUUAAAGAUGGAUUGACAGGAGAUGAACCAAAGAGAUUCAAAGCCAGGCUGGUGGCAAAAGGGUAUACACAAAAGGAAGGGGUUGAUUUCAAGGAGGUAUUCUCACCAGUGGUCAGGCAUGCCUCCAUAAGAGUAAUCCUAGCUCUGACUGCAGUACAAGACAUGGAACUUGAUCAACUCGAUGUCAAGACUGCAUUUUUGCAUGGAAGACUCCAAGAAGAAAUCUUCAUGACUCAACCAGAGGGGUAUGUGGACUCCAUGAAACCUAGACAUGUAUGCCUACUCAAGAAAUCUCUUUAUGGUUUAAAACAGUCCCCAAGCCAGUGGUAUCUCAGAUUUGAUGAGUUCAUGAUAACAAAUGGAUUCAUGAGAUGCAAUUAUGACUGAUGUGUGUAUUUCAAGCUGCUGGAAGAUGAUCUCUACAUUUAUCUCCUCCUCUAUGUAGAUGACAUGCUGAUAGCCUGCAAAAGAAGGGAUGAAAUAGAAAAGCUGAAGGUAAUGCUGAGCUCAGAAUUUGACAUGAAAGACUUAGGGACUGCUAAGAAGAUUUUGGGUGUAGAAAUUAAAAGAAACAGAACAAAGGGAGAAAUAUUUCUCAGUCAAGAGAGAUAUUUGACUAAGGUUCUGGAAACCUACAAGAUGCUGGAUUCCAAGCCUGUACUAACUCCUCUAGCAGCUCACUUCAGGCUGAGUAAUCAGUUGUGUCCAAAAACUGAUGAAGAGAAGCUUGAUAUGAAAAAUAUCCCUUAUGCAAAUGCUGUAGGUUGCCUAAUGUAUGCUAUGGUACUCACUCGACCAGACCUAUCCCAUUAAGUGAGUGUGGUUAGCAGAUAUAUGGCACAACCAGGGAGAGAACACUGGAGAGCUGUUAGAUGGAUCAUGAGAUACUUGAAUGGCUCUUUAAGCCAUGGACUGGUAUAUGGAAGAUCCAAAGGAAGAAGUGAUGGGCUGCUGGGUUUUUUUUAUUCAGAUUAUGCAGGAGACUUGGAUAGAAGGAGGUCACUUACAGGCUUCAUGUUUAUGUAUGAAGGAUGCCUUAUCAACUGGAAAGCUUCCCUGCAACAUGUGUUUGCUCUCUCAACAACAGAAGCUGAGUAUACAGCUGCUACAGAAGCUGUAAAAGAAGCUUUAUGGCUGCAGGGGCUGCUUGGUGAAUUAGGAGUGAGGCAGAAGUCAGUGACUAUACAUUGUGACAGUUCCAGUGCCAUUCAUUUGUGCAAGAACCCUGCACACCAUGAAAGGACUAAACAUAUAGACAUAAAGCUUCAUUUCAUUAGAAACAAAGUGUCUAAAGGAGAUGUAAAGAUGGCCAAGGUGCAUACAGAUGAGAAUCCAGCCGAUAUGCUGACUAAGGCAGUUCCCUCUGCAAAGUUCAACAUAUGCUUGGACUUAGCUGGUUUGAGUAGCCUUUAAGUUGAUAAGCAGAAGGAGAAGGAAGCAGGAAAAGGAGUUUUUUGAUUCAAGGUGGAGAAUGUAGACUUGAGUGCAAUGAAUCCAAAACUCAGAGUCCCAAAACUGUUCGUUUUGAUUAAGUGAUUCAGUCUUUUGUCACAUGCUGCACGUGGUGUUUUAAUCCAAAAGCUGAACGACUCAGCAACUGUCGUUUUGGAGAAACUAAAGUGAUGCACGUGAGUCAGCUCGUGAAGAAGGGAAUCAAGGCUGUUAAAAGCCGUUACACACGUGUCCAGAUUCUGUGCAAUCUGGGUUUCAGCAUCAGGGAUAUAAAACUUGUUGCUGAGGGGAAAAUACGUGUGGUUUUGAUAGAGCUUUAGAGAGGGAUCAGAAAGUAAGAGAGGGUAAUCUUGUUGCUUGUAAUCUCUUGUUAAGGAGCUCUGUAUUUGUCUUCUUGAUUCAUCAAUAAAGCUUUUCCUGUGGCUUUUCCCGUGGAGGUAAAUUGUGCAUGUAAUGCACAAUUGAACCACGUAAUAUUCUGUUCUUGUGAGUUGUUUCUUGUUUUAGUUAUUAGUUAAACACUAUUAUUAAUCAUUAGAUCUAGAGCAUACAUAGAUUGAGUUGAGAACUUGGCAUCUAAUCUUGGUUUCUUCUGCAACUUGUUUGAUCAAGAACUUGAGUCUCCUGGGCAGUGGCUUAGUAUCUUGAAUCUUAAAGGGUACUAAAUCACUACAGUCCUUGAGGACAAGGAUCCUUGAGCGGGGAGGAAUGAUACGUGCCAUUACUCAUGGAGCCAUGCAAGCCAUUAUUCACGCCAUCAUUCAUGGAGCCAUGCAUGCACGUGUUACAUUUAGUUGUUUUUUUUAGUUGUGGGUUUUGUUCAAUAAUCCCGUGAUGUGCUGAUUUUCAGCGAAGUGGGAAGUUGGUUUCCUAUUUUUUGGCAUUGUUUGUUAAUUUUCAGUAUUGUAAAGACUAUUAUAUAUAGUCGGAAGUGUUUCAAUAAAGGGGGGGAAAUUAAUAAAAUAAAACCAUCUCUUCUUUCUCUUCACUUCUUUCUUUAUAAAUUCAAACAUAUCAGAACCUUCAAUGGAGAAGAAAAUAUAUCGCAUUGGGGAAUAAAAUGUGAUAUUUCCAAAUGGUACAUGUGUAUAUAUAACCGACCAGAACUGAUCAAACAUAUACAAAAACAAAAUAAUGAAGAGAAGAUUAGAAGAAUAUGCUUAAUGGAUUUCAAAUGCACUUUAAUUAAAUAUUUUUGUUUUGACAUGGAGGAAAGGGGCACACGUAAAAUCCCAACGUUCAGGAACCAUAUGUAGUCCAAAGUACACAAACAUAUUUCCUCUUCUAAUGAUUCUAAUUAUUCUAAUAAAUUGAAUUUUAUACAAGGUGCAUGGUGGGACUGGGAUCGUGGAAUGGGUUGUUUAAGCAAGGCUUCACGUAAUAAAAAUAUGCAGUCAUGAAACUAUGAAUUAUCGACAAAAAUCAUGGGAUGCUUUUGAAGUUGUUGGUUGAAUUCCUCUACUAAUGAUUCUAAUUAUUCUAAAAAAUUGAAUUUUAUACAAAGUGCGUGGUGGGACUGGGAUCGUGGAAUGGGUUUUUUAAGCAAGGCUUCACUCAAUAAAAAUAUGCAGUCAUGAAACUAUGAAUUAUUAACAAAAAUCAGAUGCUUUUGAAGCCGUUGGUUGAUGAAGAUAUGAGAGUUGCUUCUAGGGAUUUUGCUUUUGAAGUUGUUGUUUGCUAUGUAUUUGAUGUUAGAUUUGAGUGUAUAAUAUACUAUUUUGUAACUUAACAAAAUUUGACAAAUCAUCUGUAAUUACUUUUGCUUCUCUUGUUAGGAGAUUCAAACAAUCUAUUAUAUGUAUAAAUCAACAAAUAUAACCUUUGUUAAACUUACAUUACAAAGACAAAAUCAUCUUUUUGUAAAAAUUCAUAUAUAUAUGUAUGUAUGUAUGUAUGUAGAUGUACAGUUGAAAACAAAUAGAAAAUGAGUGUUUGGCUAAUAAGAAAAUAAACUGAAAUCUGGAAAACUUUCUUCUUUUAUUUAUCAAGCUUAAAUUGCUACUGAACGAUUACAAGCAUAUAUAUAUGCAAGCAGAGUUGCUCAGCUAAAGGUUACUAAACUAACUAACUAAUAACUAAUUGAUUAACAAACUUAUCACGUGUAUGAGUACAAACAGCUACAUAACCACCUGGUGCCAGCUGGCAGUACAUGUCAUCAACUUGCAACUGAUUAUAGAAGCUGCUGUGAUCCUCUGCUCUGUGAUCCUCUGCUUGACUGCAAAUGUGAGCUUCCUUAACAUCCCCCCUCAAGCUCAAGGGUCUGCUAAUGACAUUGAGCUUGGACCUGAAGUACCUGAAUUUUGGAAGAGAUAAAGCUUUUGUGAGAACAUCAGCAACUUGUUCAUCUGUAGGAAUGUAUCUCACUUCUAAUUGUUUUUGAAGUACUUUAUCUCGAAUGUAAUGAAUGUCCAACUCGAUAUGCUUAGACCUGGAGUGAAAAACAGGAUUUUUGGCUAAUUCCCCAGCACUUUGAUUAUCACACCAAAGCACUGGUGUUGGCAGUUUUACAAUGUUGAGCUCAGAAAAUAGAGAUUCCAGCCAAGAGAUUUAUGAACUUGCUGAUGACAGUGCUCUAUACUCACUUUCAGUACUGGAUUUUGCCACUAUGGCUUGUUUCUUAGAGGACCAUGAAAUUAAAUUGUUGCCAAGAUAGAUGCAAUAUGCUCCAAUGGACUUUCUAUCAUCUGUAUCACAAGCCCAAUCUGCAUCGGAGUACCCAUUCAAACCUGUAACUUCAAGUUCCCCUUCCUUCUGAAUAUAUAUUCCAUGAGUGACAGUUGAUUAAAGAUAUCUAAGUACCUUCUUACAAGCAAGCCAAUGCUGAAGUGUAGGAGCACUUAGAUAUUGACUGAGUUUAUGAACUGAGUAUGCAAUAUCUGGCUUGGUGAGUAUCAGGUAUUGGAGCCCUCCAACAAUACUUCUAUAGAGAGUUGGAUCUUCAAAUUCUUUCCCCAAACAGCCAUUUGCUACCUUUUCUAACUUUUGACCUGUGCUGAGAGGUGUAUCAGAACCUUUACAGUUCUGCAUUGAAGCUCUACUCAAGAGGUCUUUGAUAUAUUUUGUUUGUGAUAAGUGCAUCCCACUAUCAGUAUAACACACCUCAACACCAAGAAAAUAGGAUACCAAUCCCAAAUCGUUUAAGUAAAAACCUUACUAAACUUAAUGAUGAAUGUUUCCAACAGGGAAGAAUCUGGUCCUGUAAUGAGAAUGUCAUCCAUAUAGAUAAGAACAAGAAUGAUACCUCUGGUGUCAUGCCUGAUGAACAGGGAUGUAUCAGCCUUGGAGUUGAAGAAAUUCCAGCUUGUAAGACACCCUUUGAGUUUGUCAUACCAAGCUCUAGAAGCUUGCUUCAAGCCAUAAAGAGCCUUGCUAAGCUUACAGACAUAGCCCUCUUUGGUGAUGAAGCCCUUUGGUUGUGUCAUGUAUAGAUCCUCUGAAAUAUCUCCAUUAAGAAAGGCAUUAUUUAUAUCGAUUUGUCUGACUUUCCAACCUUUCAUCACUGCCAAACUCAGUAUAGUUCUAACUGUAGAAGAUUUUACCAUAGGACUGAAAGUUUCCUUAUAAUCCACUCCUGCUGUCUGGUGAAAGCCCUUGGCCACCAAUCUUGCUUUGUGUUUAGAAACUGUACCAUCUGUAUUGUACUUGGUUCUAAAAACCCAUUUACAUCCAACCAACUUGUGCUGAGAUGUCACAGGUACUAGAGUCCAGGUAUUAUUUCUGGUUAAAGCAUCAAAUUCAGAUUGCAUUGCAGUUUUCCACUUAGGAUCAGACAAAGCUUCAUCAACAGUGGAUGGUUCCAGGCUGUUAUGUGAUGUUAAGAAUGCUUUAGGCUUGAAUAUACCAGCUUUUGCUCUGGUAAUCAUGGGAUGAUUUGGCAGAGAAUGUUGGGAUGGUUGUGUGGAUUGAAUAAGAGAAGAUGAUGGCUGUUGUGUAUGUGAAGUAGCUAUGGUAGAGGGUUGAAGAUGUAUUUGAGAAGGUGAAACAUUAAGGAUUGUAUUAUGGCUGUCAGGUGAGGAAUGAUCACUGAAAUGAUGAGAUGGAGCUUCAUCUUCUGCAGAGCUAGCUUCAAAGGUUUCUUGAUUGCUAUUGGGAAGUGAAACAGUAUAAGUUUGAAGAAGACUGUAAUGAAAAUCAGAGGGUUUAGAUGGUGAAGUUAAGAAUUGUGAAUCUGAUGUGUAAGGAAAAGAGGUUUCAUCAAAUAACACAUGACUGGCUAUAUAAAUCUUUCCAGAAGAAUGCAUACACUUGUAACCCUUAUGUAAAGGGCUGUAACCAAGAAAUACACAUUUUGAGGUAUGAAAAUGGAAUUUGUGAGUAUUAUAGUCCCUUAAGAAUGGAAAGCAUGAACAACCAAAGACUUUGAAAAAUUUGUAAUCAGGUUUGGUUUUGAAGACACAUUCAUAAGGUGACUGCAUAGAUAGUAUGGGUGUGGGAAGUCUAUUGAUAAUAUAGGUGGCUGUAUGGAAGGAAUCCCACCAAAAUUUGAUAGGUAAAGUGGCUUGAGCAAGUAAGGUGAGACCUAGUUCGGUUAUGUGUCUAUGUUUUCUCUCAACUAAGCCAUUCUGAUUGUGAGUGUAGGGACAUGAGUGCCUGAAUUGAAUACCUUCCUCAUGAAGAAAAUUAACAAAUGAUCUAUACUCUCCACCCCAAUCUGAUUGAAUGCACUUAAUGGAUCUAUCUAGCUGUUUUUCAAUUUGCUUCUUAAAAAUUUUAAAGACAGCUAGUGUUUCAUCCUUAGUUUUCAAUGGGAAUAUCCAUGUGAACCUCGAAAAAUCAUCCACAAAGCUCACAUAAUAUAUGUAACCUUGAACUGAAAGCACAGGGGCAGGUCCCCAUAAAUCAGUGUGCAAAACUUCUAAUACAUGCUUUGUUUUGGUAGUAGAAACUGGAAAAUGUAAUAUGUGCAUUUUGCCCAUUUUACAUGCAUCACAUGCAUCAAGAAAUUUAGUUCCAUUAAAAUUCUUAAAGGCUGAACAAGAGUUUAUUACAUGACUUAAAACUUUAGAAUUAGGAUGACCAAGUUUCUGAUGCAAAACAGAAACACUCAGCAUACAAUUUGGACUGAUACAAGGUGCUGCUGCAGUAUGCAAGCAGGGACUUGUUUGAUUAUUGACAACUGACUGAACAACUGAAAACAUAGACAGAGGAACAUCUGAAAUUUUGGAUUGAGUGGCUUCAAGAGACCUUUGAAAUGACUGAGAAGAGACUUUAUUAGAGGGAAAAAAUAGCAAUCUGUAUAAACCUUUUUCAGCUUUGCCCUGCAGUAUGAUCAAAUUCCUCACCUUGUCCUUCACAAAACAGAAUUUAUAGUAAAUUCAAUAACAAUGCUGUUAUCUUUGGUUAGCUGAGAUAUGCUAAUAAGAUUCUUGGAUAUUUGUGGAACAAGAAGCAUGUUGUUUAAUUUGAGUGUGUUAUGAGCUGAAGAGUUAUGCAUUCUCAACACAACAUUUCCAACAUGUGUUAUGUGUAAACCAGUACCAUUUCCAAUGAUGAGUUUAGAGUUACCUGCAAAGGAUUCUGCCAUAGUCAUAUUUCUCAUGUCAUUGGUAAGAUGGUGUGUAGCUCCACUAUCCAGAUACCAGUUGGCAUCAGCUGCACCAUCCAUAUCAGCUAGAUAUGCAGCUUUGGGAUUUCUGUUUGGAGGAGGUUUGUAAGCACCAGAAGUAAAGAAUUCUUCAAGUUUCCAGCAGACAUAUGCAGUAUGACCAGUUUUGAAGCAGAUUUGACAAGUUGGUUUAGAAGCAUUCUACCGAGGUUUAGGAUUCAUUUGUGGCCUGAUAGAGUUAUUGUUACCACCCCCACCAUUCACUACUACAAAAAUGACCUUUACUGACACUUAGUUUCUGACAUUUUUUAAAAAGUAUCAGUAAUUGUAUGCAUAUGCACCAUUUUCCGCUUUUAACAAAUAGGUAUCAUAAAUUACUGAUAUCAGUGUGUCAGUAAAUUAAGUAUCAAAAACCACUGGCACUGAAGUAUCAGAGGUUAAAAAAAAAAUUACUAUGAUUUGUAAAUCUUCCGACUCGAACCAAAGACUUUUAAAAUUUAAAAUUUUUACAUUUGAACCAAAGACCACAAGACCUAUAGAUUCAAGAUACAAGUAUUUUUUAAAAGAAUUAAAAACAAAAAUAUAAUAGCAAAAGCAAAAUCCCUAAUCUCUUUCCCCCAUUUCAUCAUCUUGUCAAUCAAAAACAAAACAAAUCACCACCACGCCGCCGACAUACCCAAAAUCUCUUCCGCCAAUGUCAUCACUACGCUCGACUAGCCACUACCGUCACUACUUUCGACUAGCCAUUGCCGUCAUCUUCGAUGCACCAAAGUCUGUUCUCUAUAUUUUUGUCUCUUUUGCUGUCGUCAUCUCCUGUCAUAUCUCGUGCACCAAAGUUGGAAACCCACUGUCGUGACUUAUGAUUUUUGACCAUCACCGGUAACUAAUCCACUGCGGUCAUCACCAAUAGGCUGUAACUACUUCCAGUUAUCAUCAAUACUCAGUCAUUCAUCACUGGUAAUAACUUCUCAGCCUCUGUCAGUUGCUGCCGUCACUGUCGCACUGCCUCAAUCUCCGUCGUCGCUGCUAUACCGCCACAAUCUCUGUUCAAGGUAAGCUUAAAUGGAUAAAUAGAGCAUGAAGAAACAAGAUAAUGGACCUAAGUGUCCUGUGACUAGUAAGAGAAUUCAACGGGUGUCCAUGCCUUUUUUUUUGUAUAGAGAAUUCUUUAAAAUUGCUCUACUAAAUGUCAUGUACUUCUUAUUGAAACUAACUGCUUCUACAUAUGAUUUUAUAACAAACUUUUAAGAUCUAUUAACAUUGUGGCUUUAGGUUCCUUGAAGCCACAAUUGAUUUUAGAUCUAUUGAUUUUAUUUUAAAAAUUUUUUUAUCACAAAUGAGCAGCUGAUUUUUUUUUUCUGGAAUAGAAAUUGCAAGAGAGUUGACAAUACAAGGCAAACAACCAUUGUCAAAUAUCAUACAUCGAAUCCUUUGGCCUCGAAUAAAUUGCUCAUCUGGGUGGUAUGUUAGGACUUUUCGUUCUUUCUCCAUUUAAAUUGAUCCAUUUUAUCUCUUUGCACAUGAAAGAAAACAGAGAUGUUGUUUGGUUGCUGAGAAAAUAGCUCAGAGAAAGAGAUGUUUCUGGAAUCUGUACAUUACACUAGAAACUAAGUAGGGCAGUGCCCUUACCAUUCGCUGUAAUAUAAUUACUCUUCUUCAUGAUUCAAUUAACUAGAAUGAGAUUCUCAUAAAGUUAAGUGGAGUGCUAUGGAUAGCAGUAAAAUUAAACUGCUUUUUUCUUCUUUUUUUCUCCUCACUGGAUGAGAAGUUGGUUAAGCCAACUCUACUGCAUAUAAAAUUAUUUGUGAAGAAAUGAAAUCUUUAGCCAGGAUACUGUUAGGAGUAUUAAGGAAACAGCCUUUUGGGCAGCAAAGAAAUAAUUAACUAUGCGAUUAGUUUAAUAGUAAUCAUUGAUUACCUUCAGAAAUCAAACCUCAUGUUUAAGUGGCUGGAAGAGCAUACCUCUAUUUUUGAUAGCUAUGAUCAUACCUCUAACUGCGUGCAUUGGUAUCAUAAUUUUGACUGAAGGUUACUGGUUUUGUCAACUUGUAGACCUGCUUCUUCUGCCAAUUUGGGCACUCAGUGGCUUGUGCUGACUAUCUUACACUUUGAAAGUGGUUUGUGCUGACCAGCUUACACUUUGAAAGGGGUUCAUCAUGGUAUGCAGUUUUCCUGUUUGUGUAAAUGAUAUGCCUUUACAAUUUUUAAAAAUAAACACAACAUCUCUGUUUUACUCGGCACAUCAAAUCUAUGCAUCAUUCUCUCUGUUUGUUUAUUCUUAUGUACUGUUUGAAAAAGGCUUGCUCCCAGUCUUUAAUUCAUGUCAUGAAUCCUCCUUUUUGUUUGGCUAUCACAGAAGCCAGUGUAACAAAUACUGAACAAGCUCAAAUUAUAAUUUCAGGUUUUAUUGGAUAGAGUAGAGAAAUUUAUCCAGUCUGUUGCCGUAUAUGAAGAUCAAAUCUUUCAGAAGAGGACACGUAUACAGCAGGUAUGUUAGCUUCCUCCUGUUUUUGAGUCAUUUUUCACUUUGUAAUGGCAUUGAUUGUAUUUACUGUAUAUAGUUGGAUGAAAAUAGAAAUAUGUGCAUAAAUGCCCAAAUAAAUAAGUUGUUUUUUCUACUAAAGUACAAAAGAUAGCUAAACCUGGAAAUGUAAUUCACAAUAUGAGUUCCUGGGGAAAUACACCAAGAAAGAUGCAUGAUACCUUUCUAUGUUACUUACCUGGCUUGAAAAAAUGCCUUUAGGAAUACUUCCUUGACUUUGUAGUAGGAAUCACCUGGCCAAGGCACACAAUACAUAUCAGAAACAUUGUUCUUUAUAAGACCAUGAUUGAAGUUAUAAGCUUAUAAGGAUCAAUGUUUGUAAUAGGCCUUUUGAAGUCGUAACACAUUGUUUAUUCUAGUCAUCAUAGAAUUUUUUUUUUUUUGGAGAUGUUCUCGUAAUUGUAAAUUCUCGGAGUGCUUUUGGGGCUAGUGGACGUGUUCACCCUUUGUAAAUCUUUUUCUGUAGCAUACAAUCUUUUAUUAACACCCCCAGGGGGGGGCUGUGAUUGAAGUCAAAUCUACAAGAAGUCUUAACUGUUUAUAGAGUGUGCAUAGCAGGGUAAUAAAGGACAUGUUCUUCCAGGCAUAUGGUAACUAUACAAUUGAACACUUGAUAUAUCCCUCCAAACUUAUAAGUGCUAUCAAAGGAAGAAAAUUUAAGGGGUGGACUUCAUUGUGUUUGCAACGUCGAUGACAAAGCGAUAUCUAACAUCGGCUUUAGCAAGGCGCUCCAGGGCUGUGUUCACAUAGUCGGCCGGUAUGACCUCAAUAUCAGCUCUGAUGUUGUGUUUAUUUUAAGUCUUAAUUUUUAUUAGUUACUUCACUUAUGAAUUAGCUCGACUUAUUAAAAAGCCACUAAGGCCCAUCUUACUGCUCAUCACUCACUUAAGAUUUAAGAGAGGUUAAUGACAGCAAUAAAAAAAGUGGUAGCUAGAUUCUUUUUUAAAAUUUUUGUCUCUCUCUAUAUUAAUUAACUAAUGAACAUUUAAUGAUUGGUACACUGCGUAUUGUUGGAGAGAUUAUGUGAAUAACCAUGAGAUGUACAAAACAAUUAUAUGGAUUAAUUGCGAGGUUGUUAUUAGUGGGGAUAUGUUACAAUAUUGUUGCUUGUACGUCACAAAAGAGCUCUUGCGACUUCAUAAUCAAUGGACUACAUAUGUUGCCAAGUUAAUUAUAGCCCAAAAUUGCAAGGUAAUAUAUGAGUAAUUUAUGAUGAUUUUUUCUUCCAAAUAUCCAAGAUUUAUUAUUUGUUGUGUACUAAUUGAUUUUAUGUACUUGUAGGUGGGAAAAAAAUGAAGCCACAUAUGGAUAUUUAUUGACACUCUUGUGCUUCUUUUUGUCCGUUAAUGUUUGUUGAAACUUAAUUUAGUACUUUACUGUUUAGAACUUGUCGAAAGCUUAAUUUGAUACUUAUGUUUUUCUUUUCCAAACAGUGGUGUAGUUGAAUUACAUUAAUUUAAAUGAUGUAUUUGAAAUGUUUGUUAUGUGAAUUGUGUUGUGAGAUUUGGUAUAUUUAAUAUAUUUUGAGUUUUCUUUUGAUUGUAGAAAAAAAAAUAUAAUUAAAAUAAAAAUAUACUAUUAACAAAAGUAGCAUAACAUCAAUAAAUACUGACACUAAAUAUUUUAAAAUGACAUUAAUAAUAUUUUACGUUAAUGAAUCAGUGUGCUCCUGAUACUGUAGUCACAUUAAUCAUUGACAUGUAAAUAAUAUCAUCAAACACUGAUACCAUCGUGUCAUUAUUUUAGUGAUACUAUUGUGACAAAAAUUAUUGACACAAAAAUCACUGACACUAAUUUUCACUGUCAGUGUGUUCUGGCUGGAGCAUUAUUGACACAAUUAACAAGUGUCAGGAAAAGUAAUUAGUGACACUAAUUUAGUAUCAGUAAAGCCUAUUUUUCUAGUAGUGAUUGUUCCAAUUUCCUGAGCCUGAUCCCCUUUGAUUAUCACCUUGAAAUCCUCUGAACUGGUUAUUAUGAUUAUUUCCAGAACUAUUGCCAAAGAAACCAGAUCUUCCAUAGCCACCUCUGUAAUUAUUUCCAAAAUUUCCAGCAUUAUCUAAUCCAGUAAAAUAGUUUUGAUUACCAGCUCCUCUACCACUUGAGAAGUUUCCUUUCUUGAAACCUUUGUUCUGAGCUAAAUUAGCUUUAAAAUUAUGCUUAACAUCCAUUCCAGAAAGCAUAUGUGCUUGUUGCUCAAUUCUAGCCUCUUGAGUCAACAACAUAGCAUAAGCCUCAUUCAAAUUCAUUUUAUCACUACUUAUUUGACCAGUAAUAUAAGUAGCAACAACAUUAUAAUCUGGUCCUAGUCCUGAGAGUACAUGCAAAAUUAGAUCAUCACUGCUUAAGGCACUUCCUGCCGCAGCCAUGUUAUCAGCAAUAUUCUUCAUUUUAAUGAAAUACUCAUUUACUUUCAGAUCAUCUUUCCUAGUUGAAUUCAUCAGAUAUCUCAAAUGUAAGAGUCUAGAUUUUGACUGUGAUCCAAAUUGAGUUUCAAUAGCCUUCCAUACCUCAAGAGAAGUUUCCAGAUUAAACACCAGGCUUAUAAUACCUUCACUCAUCGAUGAUAGCAACCAGCCAAGAAGUACUUGAUCUUGUGCUUUCCAGCUUGACGAAUCUGGAUUCUCAACAGAUCUAAGUUCAUCGUCAAUCCUUUGAGCAACAUGAGAUGGAGGAGGAGUGACAGUUUCAUCAAUGAAUUUCUCUAGCCUAUUGCCGCGUAUGGAAGCUAGAACUUGAGACCUCCAGAUCAGAUAGUUUGCCUGAUCCAGUUUCACAGGGGUAUUAAACGUGAAUGAGAAAUUUGUUGAGUUUGUAUGAAUAUUCGAAGUAUGAUUUGAUGAGGCAAUAUUCAGAGACGCCAUGACAAGGCUCUGAUACCAAGUUGAAAACAAAUAGAAAAUGAGUGUUUGGCUAAUAAGAAAAUAAACUGAGAUCUGGAAAACUUUCUUCUUUUAUUUAUCAAGCUUAAAUUGCUACUGAACGAUUACAAGCAUAUAUAUAUGCAAGUAGAGCUACUCAGCUAAAGGUUACUAAACUAACUAACUAAUAACUAAUUGAUUAACAAACUUAUCACGUGUAUGAGUGCAAACAGCUACAUAACCACCUAGUGCCAGCUGGCAGUACAUGUCAUCAACUUGCAACUGAUUAUAGAAGCUGCUGUGAUCCUCUGCUUGACUGCAAAUGUGAGCUUCCUUAACAUGUACAUACCACUAGAGCUGAUCAAAUAAAUAAUCUAUAUCCUCAAAAAAUGAGGGGAGGAUUAAUGAAAAAUGAAAAUGAGAAAGCAAAAACAAAAUAAUGAACAAUAUAAUUAAUAUGAUAAGUGGAAUUCAAAUACACUUUGAAUCCAUUGUUAUGACAGAAGGGCAGACCGUACAGUCCCAACAAAUAGAAACUAUAGAUAGUCUUAAGUACACAAACACGUACCCUCUUCAAGUGCUGGGGGGAUCAUGGAGUAGUUAAGCGGCACUUCACCCAACAAAAGUGAAAGAUGAAUUAUUUGAAGCAGCUCUUUAAUCGUUGUUGUGCUUUUUGUAGUACCCAAAAUGCCGCACUAUCAACGUGGUAAGCGAGAUAAAAAAAAAUAAUAAUCAGACGAUGGUCAAUGGUCAAGAUGGUCAAUUUAAUGAUAUAUUUUCUAAAAGAAACUCCUAUAGAUGCAUCACUAGGAAGUGUUAGAAAUACUCAAACCAUACCAUGUCUAAAUCGAUCCUAAAAUUUGUGUGCUUAUACUAAUUAUGUUCUGGUUUCAAACUGUCAGAGGAUUACAAGUUGUUGAUGGUUAAUCAAACGGCUACAAAACGAUUGAGUUUUGUACAUUGAAGUUUUACAUUUUAAUCGUUCAAGUCCAAUGCAAGUCUGUUUUUAUAGCAAAAUUGUGGUCACAUGUGAUACACACGUUAGUCGCUUGUUCUGACCUAAGUUUUGCCAAACUUCUGUCAAGUGUGUUAGAAAGAGCGGCAAAUCUCUGAAAUCGGUUUCUUGACUUAAGAGAGCGAUUACAGGGAUAUUUCCCAUUAUAAAUUGUUCUAUGUAAAGUUUUUAAUAUUCUUGUAAUCUUUAGGUCGUUAAAUCAAUAAAUCAAUCGAUUUGUCACUUGCAUGGAAGUAGGCCACGUGUUCAUCUUCUUUUCUUGAUCUAUUUUGCUAAUUCUUUGUUUAUAAUUGGGAUAUCUGUGUCUUUUUUCAUAUCUUAUGAGUGCAGUCUUGGUCUAAUGAUGCCAGUGGCUAUCUUUUUUCAAGUAGGAAAAGGCAGAGACAUCUUUUCUCUACGAAAUAGCACCUCUUUAAAAUGUAAUUUUAUUUUAUUUAAUAUUAUUAUUUUUCAUUUAUUUAUAAGUUUAUAUACUUUGACUAGUAACUUUCUAAAAUGUUAUUUUAUUUUAUUUAACAUUAUUUAUCUUUUUAAAAAAGAAUAAAUAUAAUAAUAAGUCUAUGACUAAAUAAUAUUAAAGUAAAUAAAAUAAAAAAUAUUUUUUAAAAAAUAAAUAAUAUUAAAAAUAUUUUUAAAAAAUAAAUAAUAUUAAAACGUUAUUUUAAAUAAAAUAAAUAAUAUUAAAAAUGAUAUUGUUUUUAAGACACUAUUGAAUUUUUAACAUGAUUUAGUUUUAUGAAAGAAUAAAUAUAAUAAUAAGCCUAUGACUAAAUAAUAUUAAAUAAAAUAAAAAUAAAUAAUAUUAAAAAUGAUAUCUAUUUUUAAGGCUCACUACUGAUUAUUUUAUUUUAUUUAAUAUUAUUUAUUUUUUAAAAGAAUAAAUAUAUAAUAAUAAGCCUAUGAUUAAAUAAUAUUAAAUAAAAAAAUAAAAUUUUAAAAAUAAUAUUUAUUUUUAAGGCUCCCUAUUGAUUAUUUUAUUUUAUUUAAUGUUAUUUAGUUUUUUGAAAGAAUAAAGAUAAUAAUAAGCAUAUGACUAAAUAAUAUUAAAUAAAAUGGAAUAAAUAAUAUUAAAUAACAUUUAUUUUUAAUAAAAUAAAUAAUAUUAAAAAUUUAUUCUUUUAAAUAAAAUAUAUAAUAUUAAAAAUAAAAUUUAUUUUUAAUACUCACUACUAAUUAAACAAUAUAAAUUGUAAACAAUCUGGACUUAUGUGCUAAAACUUUUACAUUUUUAACUUGUUUGUGCUUUUAAUAAAUAUCAGAAAGUGUAAUGUUAAUAUUUAAAUGUACAAAUCUCUACUAUUGAAACUACAUUUUCACUAAAUCUAAUGACAAAAGACUGAAAUCAAGAAAAGACAAAACUUGAUGGUACCUUGUAACUGUUGCAAGAUAGCUAAGUCCCUAUCUCGUCCGUGAAAACAAAAACAAAAUAAUGAAUAAAGAAUAUGAUAAAAAGGGAAUGAUCAAAUACACUUUGAAUUCAUUGUUUUGGCAUGAAGAAAGCCAUAAAAUCCUAAGUACACAAACACCCUCUUCGAAUUAACGAUUCAAUAAUUUCAAUGACGAUGCCUAGAAUGACAGUUUAACUUGCUGACUGUGAGUUGGAAUUAGAAGACUUAGAAAAAAAGAUUUAUGAUAAAUAUCUGUGAAAAUUAUUUUGAAACAAAAUUUCAAAAUUUAAUUUCUUUUUCCUUUUUGAAGUACGCCCAAUAAUUUCUCAGAAGCUGCCUUAUAUUAGCUGCAGAGGAAUUUUGUGUUUGUUAGGGAAUUAUGACAUGCAAUAAUUAUAGUGAAAUUUGAAAAAAUAUUGAAGAUAAAAUUAUACACAACCACUUUAUGUGGAAAAUUUUUAAACUUAUUGGGUUAAAAAAUUACCGAUAAACAAAAGAAUAGAGGAUUAAACAAUUUUUUUUUUAAAAAUGAAAAAAAAAACAAGAGAAAACAACUCUCUCACUGAAAAAAAAAAAAAGCACGGAGAAAUUUAUUUUUCUCUUUACACUGGGUUACAAUGAUGCGGAAUGCAAAGAUAAUUAAUCAAUUGACUGAAAUAUGCGUGGGACCCAUAAAUACACAUAUCACAUAUGGGUGCUUUACUAAUGAAGGGAUGCUUGGGCCAGGAAAACUUGUAAAAGCUAUGGGAAAGAACAUAACUAGUAUUAUUAUUAUUAUUAUUAUUGUUAUUUGUGUGCUUGGAUGCUCUUUAAGUGCAGGAGUUGUCAUAUUUGACUCCCUCAUUAUAUCUCACCAACUUUCACUAAUCACUUUUAUACUCAUAACUAUUUUAUCCUUAUAUAAAAUAACUUAAAAGGAUAAAUAGUUUUUAAGUGCACUCACAUGAUAAUUUCUAUUAAUGUCUAAUUUAGCUAAUCUAAUUUCUUUAACCUUAAUUUAUUUUAACUUUUUUAAAUUAUUGUCUCUUCUCAAUUAUUGUAUACUCUAUUUUUAUAAUCAUGAAAGAACUUAAUUUACAAUACUCAAUAGAGGAUGAUGAAGAAAACUCAAUUUUUUUUUACGGUUAUGGUCACGGUGAAUAAAACUUUUAAAAAGAAAGAGAGAGAUUAUAGUAACUCUAAAUUUUUUUUCUUUUUAGAAUAGAUUUUAUAAGUUUUAUACGAUGUUUUGGAAAAAAGAUAAAAAUUAUAAUAAGGGUAAAUUCGAUAUAAGAUGGGGUAUGUUGAGAGAUAAAGAUUAAUUUAAAAUUUUUAAUAGGGUUAACUAAAAAAUAGGGGCUAGUGAAAUAUAAUGAGAGGGUCAAGUAUCAGCACUCCAAGUGCAAUCCAACUCCAACUUGAAUAUGUUGUGAUUGUUUCUUGCUGUAAUUUUCCUUCAAUAGGUCAGCUUUACAACUAUUUUAAUAAUAUUUUCAUUUUAUUGCUUAUAUCUAAACUUUGGUUAUUUGACAUUUGUCACAAAUCCUUGCCUAAUAUGAUCAUGUAUAACACUAUCUAAUUAUGGGUUUGGAAGUUUUGUAUCUGCAGCUGAUGGUUAAUAGAAAACCUAUAUGUUGGUGAUUGUAUAUGUUAUAUUUGUAACAAGUCCUACUUUGUAAGCCGAUAUUCCAAGAACACAACUAGUGAGUGUAUUUUUGUUGGACUUCAAAAGUAGUUAUUCUUACAGCAGAAUCUUCAAUUUGUAUAGAAAAAUUUGUUAAUUUUAAUUAUAGAGAAGUUUACAAUAAUUAUAAGGUACUUUUUUCUUCAUGUUAAUUUUUGUAAACUUUGCCAUACUUAAUUUACUUACAAAAAUUAAAUGAAAUUAUAAUUAUAAAACAUUGACAUCUUAGAUUUUGAGAUUUAUUUGUUUUAUUAAUUUAGGGGUAUUCUUGUAAUUAUAUUUUUAUUUUUCAAAAUUUUAAAGAAUAAAAUAAUAUUUUAAUUUAUUUGGGGGUAAAAUAGUCAUUUGUAGUAUCAAAGUGGUUGACCGAUACAAGUUGAGAAACAAAAAUGGUGCAAAGAACAUAUCAAAAUUUUACGGUGAUUAGAUAUAUAUAUGACAAAAUAAAGACAGUACAAAGAUAAUUUCCCUAAAAAAUAUGUGAAAGCCGAUUCCUGACCACAAUUUGUGAUCCCUAACCAUAACUAUUGAUUGGCAAAGAUUGUUCUAGGCUUUUUAUUUAUUUAUUUAUUGUUAAAAGAUGAGUGGUAACAAAAAAAAUGCGCCGGAUUGUUCUCAUGCAAACUUGGGCAUUGAAAACAAAAAUAAAAUAAAAUUCAAACAAAUAAUGCCGAAGGAAAACUUAUUAAGUAAUUUCGGUGUUGCCCUAGCAGCCUUGCUUCAUUAAAUAUCUAAGACAAAAAAAAAAAUUUAUAUGAUGAGACACCAAUUGAACUGUCAAAAAAAAUUAAUUGCCCCAAGCCCUAGCAUCAUACCAACACCGAAAUAGUUCAAAAAAUUGUAUUUUUGGUUAUAAUAGCAGAAUCCUCAAUAGAGAAAUAAAUAUAUGAAAUAAAAUGCAUCCCUCCACUUACAAGAAUUUUUCCAAAUCAUAAGGAGCCAUAAGUCCAACGUAAUUGACCGAUUGGGUAAGUAAUCUCAUUUGAUAAUGCCGAGGUAAAAGUGCAUUACGUAUAAUUCAUCCGGACAUUCUAUUUAAGGCAUAUUUUCAAUGGGGGAGGAGAAAGUAUUAUUUCUAUGAACAUCAUUAGUAGAAAAACAGCAAUACCUUGAAAUUUGAACAUGGAAUUUAAAUUCCAGGGAAUGGACAUUAAGAUUGUUGGAAAAUGAUAGGCAAUGCAAGGUGUUUGAUAGAAUAGACAGAGUGCUCGACAAAAUGCCUCAAUGAACCCCUCAUAUCCAAAGCUCUAUCGUGAAGACGACUCGUGCGCAUCAGACAGUAUUGUGGCAUAAAUAAGAAAUUGUGAUGACGUGUUGGAUGAAUCAGUAUUUGAUCAGAAUACUCUAGAGGUCAUGAGGAUUUCUAUUUGAAAGCAUGUGAAACUGUCCUUUGUAAAGGACAAUUCAUAAUGGCCAUAAAUCAAGUUUGCUAUAACUAUUUUAGAUGAAAUUACAACUAAUUCCACAGAUACUUUUACAAAAAUUGAGCCAAACAAAGGAGAAAAUAUUUCAAAAUGAUACAGUGCCAUCAUAGUCCAAAAGUAUGUACAUAACCAGAACCGAUACAAAGCAAAUACAUCUAUAUCUCGUCCAAAAAUGAGGGGAGGAUUGAAAAAAAAUGCAAAGAAAAUAAUAUUGAAUAGAAGAGUUUGAUUAAUGGAUUUGAAAACACUUUCAUUGUAUUGUUUUUGUUAGGAAAUUGGUGGGUGAAGCAGACACGCAGCUAAAGUAAAUUGGAAGAAAAAUAAAGAACAAGCACAAAAAGAGGACACCAGAAAUUACGUGGUUCGGCUUUUAGCCUACGUCCACGGGCAAAGACAGAAGGAAAUAUUUUACUAGUGAAAAGGAGUUACAAGUAUUGUAGUAUUUUAGCUCACUUCCCAAAAUCCCAAUACACCCAAACUCUCAAAACACUAAAACAAGAGCUUAUAAUUUCAAGCUCUCUAAACUUUCUCUAAAUACAAGAAAACUCUUCUCAAAAUUGGAUAAACAAAUGAGGGAAUGAAUCCCUCUAUUUAUAGCCAAAAUCUUGGCUACUAUUCACGUAUUUUUUUUAAUUAUUUAUUAUUGUUCAAAAUUUCAAAAUUCAAAGUUUGAAUAUCAAACUUUGAAUAUCUAGAAUUUUGAAUUUGAUAUUCAAAGUUUGAAUAUCUAGAAGUUUGAUUUUGAUAUUCAAACUUUGAAUAUCAAGACACCCAAUCUUGACAUUCUCCCACUUGGAGAUUUGAUUGAGAACCAAUCAAUCUCCACACCAUCCUUUCUGCUUCGCCAGAAUUAUGUUGCCUACGUUUCUGCUAGGCCACAAGAGGAUCUACUCCAGAUAAACUUGUCAGUAUUGAUCGGCUUGGUCAUCACAUCUGCUAGGUUCUCCUUGGUAUGGAUUUUCUGCAAAUCCACACUUCCGUCUUCCAUUACUUCUCGAACGAAGUGAUACUGAACUCCUAUGUGCUUUGUCCUGGAAUGAAAGGCUGGAUUCCUUGCAAUGUGCAAGGCACUCUGACUGUCACAAAACACAGAAAUUUUCUCUUGUUUGUGCUCGAGUUCCUCCAAUAAUCUUUGUAUCCAAAUAGCUUCCUUGCAAGCUUGUGUAGCUGUCAUGUACUCUGCUUCUGUUGUAGAUAAAGCCACAACUGUCUGCAGUUUCGAAACCCAGCUUACAGCUGCUCCCGCAAGUGUAAACACAUAACCAGUAGUGGAUUUUCUUUUAUCAAGAUCUCCUGCAAAAUCUGAAUCCACAUAGCCCCUGACAGUAAACUUUGAUCCUCCAUAACAUAAUGCAACAUCUGAGGUUCCUCUGAUGUAUCUCAGAAUCCUCUUCACAGCUAUCCAAUGCUCUCCACCAGGAUUCGCCAUGUAUCAACUGACUGCUCCCACUGCUUGUGCAAUGUCCGGUCUAGUACAUAUCAUAGCGAACAUCAAACUUCCCACUGCUGAUGCAUACGGUACUCGAAACAUCUCAUUCCUCUCUACUUCAUUACUAGGACACAUACUUGAGGAUAAUUUGAAAUUAACAGGAAGUGGGGUAGAAAUUGACUUACAAUCUUGCAUGUUGAAGCGUCGCAAGAUUUUCUUCAAGUAAUUCUUCUGCGAAAGCCAAAUCUUCCUGUUAUUUCUGUCUCGGUGAAUUUGCAUCCCUAGAAUCUUGUUUGCUGGUCCCAAGUCCUUCAUUUCAAACUCCCUAGCCAACUGUGCCUUCAAUUCUUGGAUUCGAUCUUUGUUGGGACCUGCUACCAACAUGUCAUCCACAUACAACAGCAAAAUAAUGAAAUCAUUAUCUUCAAACCUCUUGUAAUAUGCACAAUGGUCUGAACUGAGUCUGUUGUAUCCAAGGCUCAUGAUGAAGGAAUCAAAUCUCUUAUACCAACACCUCGGCGCCUGUUUGAGACCGUAAAGAGAUUUGUUCAACCUACAAACCAAGUUCUCCUUUCCUGUUUCUGUAAAACCUUCUGGUUGGAGCAUAUAUAUUUCUUCUUCAAGUUCUCCAUGAAGAAAUGCAGUUUUCACAUCUAACUGCUCAAGAUGUAGGUCAAAUGUAGCACACAUCGCCAAGACUAUUCUGACUGUUGUGAGUCGAACUACCGGUGAAAAUAUCUCGUUGAAGUCAAUAUCUUCUUUCUGAGCAUAUCCUUUCACCACCAAUCUUGCACGAUACCGCUCCACUUGGUCAUUGCCAUCACGCUUGAUCUUAUAGACCCAUUUGUUUCCAAUGGCUUUUCUUCCACGUGGUAGUGGUACAAGUUCCCAUGUCUUGUUCUUGUGUAGAGCUUCAAUUUCUUCCUGCAUUGCUGUCAUCCACAAAGCGAUAUCUGAGCUUUCUAAAGCUUCAUAGAAAGUUGAUGGCUCUCCAUCCUCCGUUAGAAGACAGUAUGCAACGUUGAUCUCUGUGACAUACUCCGAGUGCCAUGUUGGUGGUCGUCUCUCACGAGUUGACCGACGAACUUCUGGAGCCUCGGACUCGACUGGUUCUUGUUCCUCGUGCUCUGGUGCUGCUUCAGAAGAAUCUAAAUUUUCUGGAUUAUUUUCGACACAUACCGGCACAGUCUCUGACUUUUCUUUUACAGUGCCAUCAUCUCUAUCUUUUCUUUGCAGUUGAUCUUCUACAAAAAUAACAUCUCUGCUGAUGACGAUCUUCUGGGCAGUGGGGUCCCACAGACGAUACCUCUUUACUCCAUCAGUAUACCCUAAGAAGAUACAUCUUCUAGAUUUUGGAUCCAGCUUUGUUCUUUCUUGGGCAUUGUACAUCACGUACACAGGACAUCCAAAUGCAUGUAGGUAGGAAUAAUCAGCUGGCUUUCCAGUCCACAUCUCCAUCGCUGUCUUCAGCCCAAUUGCUGUAGACGGUGAUCGAUUUACUAUAUAACAGGCAGUUUUGGCUGCUUCUGCCCAGAAUGAAUUGGGUAUACCAACAGUCCUCAACAUAGCUCUUAUUCUUUCUGUAAGAGUUCUGUUCAUCCGCUCUGCCAUUCCGUUUUGUUGAGGAGUGUAUGCCACCGUGAACUGCCUCUGAAUAGCUUCUUGCUUAUAGAAAGCAAGAAACUCGCCGUCUGUAUACUCUUCACCAUUAUCUGUCCUCAAGCACUUGAUCUUUUUACCAGAUUCAAGUUCCACCCGCGCUUUGUAUUCUUUAAACACAGGAAAUACAUCUGACUUUUUCUUAAUUGGAUACACCUAACAUCUUCUGGAAUAAUCAUCAAUGAAAGUCACUGUGUACUUGCACCUCCCAUGGAUAUAUCCGGUGAUUCCCAAACAUCAGAAUGAAUCAAGUGUAGAAUGCAUUUACUUCUAGCAAUAGAUCUACUGAAUUUUAACCUAUGCUGCUUACUUAUAACACAAUGCUCGCAAAAUGGUAAACUUACCGAUUUGAGCCCGGAAGCAAUUUUCGCUCAGAGAGAAUCUUCAAACCUUGUUCUGACAUGUGGCCAAGUUUGAGAUGCCACACCAUAGUUGACUCUUUUGCAUUUGAUGCGACACACGCAUCAGGCUCCUGUAGUGUUUCUCCUUUAAGCAUGAAUAGAUUAGCACCGAUCUUUUCUGCCUUCAUCAAUACAAGCGCGCCUUUAACGAUCUUCAUAAUUCCAUUCUCCACAUGAGUUUUGCACCCAUGAUUGUCUAUUUGUCCCAAAGACAAUAGAUUUUUCUUCAGGCCGUUGACAUGUCGUACCUCCCCAAUUGUGCGAAUUGUACCAUCAAACAUUUUUAUUUUGAUAGUACCAUUACCAGCGAUCUCCAAGGCAUGAUCGUUACCCAUAUAUACAGAUCCUCCUGAGAUUGGUUCAUAUGUGUGGAACCAUUCUCUCCUAGAGGUCAUGUGCCAGGUAGCUCCUGAGUCUAUAAGCCAGACAUCAGAAAGUCGUUUUCUGCCUUCUGAAACAGUUGUUGCCUCACUGUAGAGAAUUUCGCCAUCAUUCGAGGUACUUGCUACACACCCCUGAGCAUUUGAUGACUCAGGUUCUUUGCCCUCUCUUCUCUUCUGGUUACUCCAACACUCUUUCUUGAUAUGCCCUUUCUUGCCACAGUUGUAGCAUUUAACAUUCUUCUUACUUCUAGAUUUUGAUCUACCAUGAUUUUGACUCCCAAUGGGGCCACAUUCUGUUGAUCUCCCUCUCGUCACCGAUAGCGCCUCCGCUUGUUGCGAACUUGCUUGUCUGUUUUUCUUAUUUUUCCGCCUGCUCUCCUCAUUUAAUACGGAGGCUGCAACAUCGUCGAAAACCAGACUGUCCGCUGGAUUAUUGUUCGUCAGGUUGAUGAUGAGUUGAUCAUACGAAUCUAGUAGACUUUGAAGUAGAAGCUCUGCACGUUCAUUUUCCUCUAUAUUAUGACCCAACGUUGUGAGUUGUGAAAAUAGAGUCUUCAAGGUGUUGAUGUGGUCAGUCACUAUUGUAGAUUCCGCCAUUCGAAGAGUAUAGAGUUUCCUCUUCAAGAAGAUUUUGUUGUGUAGUGAUUUGGCCUCGUACAAUUUUGUGAGAGUAUCCCAUAUUUCCUUCGCCGUAUUUUUCUCUGCCACGCUGGAUAAUACUCCAUCCGCAAGUGCCAAGUGUAGACCAGAAAUGGCGUUGCCGUCUACCUCGUUCCACUUGUCAUCAGUUAUCUCCAUGGGCCUUUCUCCAAUUGCUACCAAAUAAUUAUUUUUCCUCAAUACAGCUUUCAUCUUCAUUUUCCACAAUGAAAAAUUAUUUCCGUUAAAUUUCUCAAUUUCAUACUUUGCCGCCAUUUUGUUGAUAAAUACUGCACACAAGUUAGUGUACCACCUUGAAUAGUUGUGAGUAUGUGUGAGAAUGCACACCAGGAAAGUUCCCAGGAAAGACUGAGGGGUCACAAUGGUCCCACUUAAAACCCAGACUCCUUAAGCUCUUAUCGCCUUUGUGACAGAACUUUCCUAGACAUGUACAACACCACACAGUUGCUUUACUCACACCACUAUUCCCUGCUUUGCACUGCCAAAUUCUUGGAUCGCUUCCACCGUUUCACGUGAAUAGUACCGUAUACGUGAAUAGUAUCGUAUACGUGAAUAGUACCAUUUAUGUGAUCAAAACCGUAUAUGUGAACAGUACCGUAUACGUGAAUAGUAUUAUAUACGUGUACAAUGCCGUAUACAUGAAUAGUACCCCUUACGUGAACAGUUCCUGACUCCAAAAAAUACAACUAAUAGCUCUGAUACCACUGUUAGGAAAUUGGUGGGUGAAGCAGACACGCAGCUAAAGUAAAUUGGAAGAAAAAUAAAGAACAAGCACAAAAAGAGGACACCAGAAAUUACGUGGUUCGGCUUUUAGCCUACGUCCACGGGCGAAGACAAAAGGAAAUAUUUUACUAGUGAAAAGGAGUUACAAGUAUUGUAAUAUUUUAGCUCACUUCCCAAAAUCCCAAUACACUCAAACUCUCAAAACACUAAAACAAGAGCUUAUAAUUUCAAGCUCUCUAAACUUUCUCUAAAUACAAGAAAACUCUUCUCAAAAUUGGAUAAACAAAUGAGGGAAUGAGUCCCUCUAUUUAUAGCCAAAAUCUUGGCUACUAUUCACGUAUUUUUUUUUAAUUAUUUAUUAUUGUUCAAAAUUUCAAAAUUCAAAGUUUGAAUAUCAAAUUCAAAAUUCUAGAUAUUCAAAGUUUGAAUAUCUAGAAGUUUGAUUUUGAUAUUCAAACUUUGAAUAUCAAGACACCCAAUCUUGACAGUUUUGACAUGACAUGGGGGUGCCUCAAAAUCCUGUCAUUCAGGGGCUACAAUCCUGUGUACACAAACAUUCUCUUCUAAUGAUUCUAAUACAGUGAAUUUUAAACCAAGUGGUGAUGGUACCAAUGGAGUGUGGUAGGUAAAGUUUUUCUCUUGUUUAAUUAUUAUUUCCUUGAAAAUGCUACAAAUUUGCUAUAUAUUUGAUUUUUAAAAUUUUACAAUGAUUAUUAUCAAUACUUUUCGGUUGCUCUGCCUCUAUUAAUUAAUAGAAAAAAUAACACACCGAUUUGAGAGAUUCAGCAAUGUGCAGGAACUAGGAUGCCAAGCAAUAUCACAGUGUUGCUAAGUAUAUUAUACAUUUAUACCGUUCAUUUGAUUUGUCUUAAUAAUCAGUGGCUAUUGUAUCUUUAAAUGUGAAAUUAUACUAGCCACGUGAAUAAAUGAAUUUUGUCCCCAACAACUCAUAUUGACAUUUCCUAUUAAUAAUGAUAAAAGGUUGUGCAGUAGCAUAUUAAUAGCGAUUACCCAAAAUAAUUAACAAGGCUUGUCGGCUUCUACUUUAGAUCCAUUUCCAAGUAACCAGCAACCGCCGAGAUUACAGGAAUGAACAACUUCAGGAAAUCCUGACGAUAAUGAAGACUUAAGAUACCUCCUACGAGGAAUCAUAUAAAUUGUAUUGAAAAUAUUAUUCCACAUUGGUUGAGAAUAGUGUUAGACUAAUAAUAUAAGUUUGAGGCAAUCCUUAAUAUUUGAAUCAUUGUUUCCCUCAUUUCACUGAGGUUUUUUUCUAAAAAAAAAUUUUAGUAGUGGCAAGCAAAAGAAAAACAAUAAAAUUACAAUUACAAAUAUUUCAGACUUUUGGGUCUGGUUCCUCUUCUUCAAAAAAAAUGGAUCCCCCAUUUUCUCAUCCCGCAACACUUGCACUCUAUCUCCAACGAUUCGGAACCCGUAGCUUUCUCAACACCGAACCGGACUGCCCAGGAACGAUAUUGUAUUCCCAAUCAUGAGGAUGUGUGAUGGUAAGAGGUAUAGUGAAAUAGUAACCCAAAAGUAAGUGAUCUGAAUCUACAAAGUUAACAACUCCCAAAGAAAUCUUUAUGACAUGCGGAUCGAAAUAUUGAUUUUUUUCUUUUUUCUUUUUUCUUUUUUAUGUAGGAUUUGACUUUGAAUUCACCGAACAAUCGAAACUUCCUUUCCGUGAAAUGAUGGUGUGGGAAUGCUACAAUAGCGCUAAAAGCAAAGCUGAGUAAUUUUUUAUUACUCAAGCAACCUGGUGGCAAGGUAAUAGAAGAUCCCAUACUUUGAAACCGAAACCACGUUGGAAUUUCAUUCCCAGGUAAAAUGACGAGACCAUCACAUGAUGGGAAAUAUCUCUGCAUCACCAAAAUAAUAAUUAAAAAAAUAAUGUUAAUUUUUAUUUAAAGUUAUUAAAGAACCAAAAAAAAAGCCUUGUGCAGAUUUUUUUAAAAAAAAUAAAUAACCACACGCACAGACAUUUUGCUCUUCUUCUUUCCAGCGAGUAGUCGCCAUAAUCUGAAUUUCUAGCAUAGCAUCUUCGACAAUUCCUCUGAGCUGAUUCUGGUUCAAUUUAAAAUUAUUGCUCAGGUCAAAAUUUUGCCGAUAAGAUUCGUAACUUGAGAAUAAACCUGACAAUGAUUCCAGUGCCAUGCAACGACGGGCAUCCAACUUAAAUAGACUGCAUGGAAGCUUUGGUAAGGAUUGAAGCCUCUGAGAAUACCUUAAGAAGAGAAAUUUCAACUUGGAAAGGUGUACAAUGCUUUCUGGUAUUCUCUCCAAAUUGUUUUUCUCCAGAUACAAUUCAACUAGUGAGGAUAACUGACCAAGACUUUCAGGCAAUCUCUGAAGAUUUGAGCAACCAUUGAGGUUAAGAUAUGCAAGAGAUUUCAAGUUACAUAGGCUGUUUGGGAGACUCUUGAGACUUUUACAGUCUUCAAGGAAUAAGCCCAAAAGCCCACGUAGACACUCGAUCGAUGAAGGCAAUUCUUCUAUUGCAGUUCCAUUUAAAAAUAUCUUUUGCAUAUUACCAGCUGAUGAGAUAUCUGGAAGCCUCUUCAGCUUUGAGCAACCGCUUAGAUUCAAGAUAACUAGCAUGUCCAGAUGUGGAAUCAGCAAGGGCUUUGGAGUGUUGGUAAAAAUAUUACAGACAACACUGAUUAUCUGCUUUAGCUUACCAUGAUGCUGCUCUCGAAAAAAGAGUCAGAGAAAAAUAUUAGCAUGUAUGAUCAUAGUUAUAACAUUAUCACUGAAACAUGAAUAUAUAUAUAAACAUAUACAUGCCUGGACACCAUCCCACAGUUGUUGAAUAUUGCUAUGAGGCAUUUCAAGUAAAACAAGCUUCUCUGGCUGAAUAUUCGAUGGUAAUGAUUUCAAUGGAUAUCUAUGCCAGUGAAGAUACCUCACUUCAGCAAAUCCAGGGCCUUGGAAAUCAGACACCUUACAUUUGUUCUCUCCUUCAAUUGAGCUAUAAAAUUUCAAAAAUCUCAAUCUACACAUCUUUGUGAAAGUAUUGGAAUUUAUAUGGAUCUCCUUCACUUUAGACAUAUCCAAGCAGAUGCCCUCAAUUUUUUCAGUCCCCUUAUAACCAAUGAAAGACCAUAAAGUUAAAAUCAAAAUUACGUAACAAUAGUACUAAGUGUGCUUAGUUUAAAUACUUAAUUCGGAUACAAUUAUGUAACGCAAGUUGGUAAUUAUUGUUAGGCGGCCAAACUCGUUAUUGCAAACCUACAAAAAAAGGGUAAUCAUACAAGUAACACCAAACAUAUAAACUAUGUAUGUUUGCUAUACAAAAGUGACAUAUAAAUUUUAUAUUCGUACAAAAGAUAAUAUAAAUGUUGGCAUGGUAUUUAUUAUUUAUUAAUGCUACAUUACAUGAUCUAAAAACUUUUUUUUUUAAAUCAUUGUCACUUUUCUAUAGAUUCUAUGAUUCUUUAGUUUCAGCGUAUAUAAAUAUAUGUACAAUAUCAACUUAGUAAAUGCAAGAUAAUUCAGAAAUAAUAAUCCCAACAAAAUGCUUACCAUAUUAUGUGUAAGAACUUCAUAGAUAUCCUCGUGAUGCCAUAAUCGACUACGGUUUCCACGAUUAAUUGAUUCUUGCUGAACAAUUUCCCUACCCAAUCCUUGUAGCAAAUCAUGCAUUGUUAUCUUGUUGCACGAAACAGCAAUGAGAGACUUAUCAAUAAGAACACUAAUACCAAUUUCUGGGUAGAAGCCACUUGUAUCAAGGAACUUCAUAACCGAAUAUAUAUCCUUACCAUUUAAGAAACAAGCAACAUCUAGGAAAAUGUUUUUCUCUUUAUCAUCUAGACUAUCAUAACUUAAUUUUAGUACCUCUUGGAUACUAGGAUGGAGAAUCCUUCUCAAUUUGUUUAUUGCAUCUUCCCAUACUUCUUUUUCCCUUUCAAAUAGAAAGCAGCCCAAAACUUUAAGAGCUAAAGGAACACCUUGAGCAUAUUCCAUUACCUUCCUUGAUAGUUCCUCAUAACCCACAUCCGGAUAGUUUUGUCUGAAUGCAUAUCGACUAAAAAGCUCAAGGGCAUGAUUAAACAUUAAUGCCUUCAUCUCAUAUAUUUUUUUCACUCCCCAAUUCCUAAGAAUUUGUUUAUCUCUUGUGGUUAUAAUGAUUUGACUCUCAGGCAUGAACCAAUCGAGACUUCUAAUUAAGGAUUCUACUUGGUUGAAGCAAGUCACAUCAUCAAAAACAAUCAAAACCUUCCUGCUGCUGAGCCUUCUAAAGUUUUGAUCAAUAUCAAGAAUCACAUUUUCUUCCUUUAAUAAUUUUGAAAAAAGUUCUUGUCGCAAAUAAGCUAAUCCUCCCGGUCUUUGUGAUUCUUCUCUAACAUUUUGAAGGAAGCAAGAACCUUCAAAGUUACUAGAGAUUUUAUCGAAAAUAACUCGAGCAAUUGUUGUCUUCCCUAUACCACCGAAGCCCCAAAUCCCUAAAGUGUAAACAUAUUUUGACUCCGCACCUAAUAGAGAUUCAAUUUCCUUAACUCUUGAUUCUACUCCAACCAACUGGUUUUUGUAGUUACGUGGAGACAUUUCAGCCAGUCUCUUCAAAAUGUGAUGAACAGCUUUCUUUAUAAGUUCCGAUUCAAGCCUAACAAAUAUGUUAAAUAGCAGUAAAAUCAAAUAGGAUGGAUUUGCACCAAGUAUGAAUCAAUAACUCUUAAAUUUCAAGAAUAUGAGUGACAUAUUGAAACUACUUAAAAUAUGACAGGACACCCAAUGAAAUCACAUAAAAACCGUUUUUAUUAAUCCUUCAAAAUUCUUUUAAAAGAAUUUAAAUUUCGAAAAAUCUACAAGUUGUUCACGUACAGAAUUCAACACACCAAUUGUCACUAUCAAAGAUCAAUACCACAAAUCACUUGAGAAAAGCAUUAGGAUACCUAAUAAAAUUGAAGUAUAUAGUUCAGCAUAUUUGACAAAAAAUAUCACUAUAACUACCAGGAGUGCUGGUAAUUAAUUGAGCAGAAAAUAACAUUAUGUGGCAUCAUCAUUAUGGUAUGAGGAAAGAACUUUAAUUACCUAAAGUUCUGAGAAUCAAAGCCAGAAAAACUGGCCGCCUCCUUCAAAGCAUUCCUCCAACUCUUCAGCUUCUCGGAAUUCUCCUUAAAUCUUUCUUCAAGCUUUGAAAAUGAAUCCCCAAAAGGACCUGUUUGGUUUCUCACGUCCGAUGGAUCAACGCGAUAAAAAACUGGAAUCACAAUCUGUGCAUUCUCUCUUUUGCAUUGGAGGAUUUUUACAAGUUCAUCGAGACACCAUCUGGAAGAGGCAUACCCUUCAGAGAAAAUGAUGAGUGAAAUGGCUGAAGUUUCAAUUGCAUACACAAGAGACUGUGAAAUUUCAUCUCCUCUAUUAAGUUGGUCAUCAAUGAAAGUUUGAAUACUUUUUUGCGACAAAGCAGAAUAAAGAUGGCUGGUAAAGUUGUCACGGGUGUCCUCUCCUCUGAAACUAAGAAAAACAUCAUACUUGUUAAUGUUUCGAGGAGAUAAAGAAGAAGAAGAAGAAGAAGAAGCCAUAACAGAAGUAGUUCAAUUGAUCCGAAAGUAUUUGACAACGGAAUAUAUACAUAUAAAUACCAAAAUAGUAAUUCACUAAAGAAUAGUGAAAUAAUGAAUGAUAACACGACGCAACACAUAUUUUCCAUGGAAAGACGUAUCAUUUCCAAAAAUUUUUAACACUGAAAAGUUGAAUCUGUGAUCUCAAAACAGAGCGACAGACAAUGUCGUCUGUGGUUUUGGAAUUAGCUGACGUAUAUUAUUUGGAAAUGGACGACAGCACAUACAGGAAGCUAAUCCGAAGAACCGACAGCCAGAGGACAUUGUUUGGAAAUUGGAACCAAUCUUGUUGACUCACGUGCGUGCCACAUGCUUUUACUAACUCGCGCGUGCCAUAUUUGAUUAGAGAACAUUUAUGUAAUUUUGUAACAAUUAUCUUCUCCGGCACUCUGUGAUGCAGAGUACGUAUUUGAGUGAAAUGAAGUUAGAUAUCUAUCCAUAUGUUAGAGAAUAUAUAGAGAAUCUCCUCCCGGAGUUAGAGAAUAUCGGAAAGGAAAUGGUAAGCAGUUUUAUCAGAUAAAAUAUGAAUUAAUCUUACGUCUUGUAUCAAAAAGCAGCUUACUAGCAUUGCAUUUGAAGCAUUUCUUGGGUGCAAGUGAAGGAACAUUGUCAUGAUCAAUGCCCUGCUCUGCUUGUAAAUUCAUCUCUCAAAUCACAGUCAACGUUAACACUUGUUAUUACAUGUGGUCAACACUUGUUAAAUGAUUCAUAUAUGUUCCUGAAUCCUAUAAAAAUUUAGAAAAAAAUGGCCAGAGGCAAAGAAGAUUUGAAUAAAUAGAGAUUUUAGUAACAGGAAUAUCUUAAUGAGCACAAUUAACUCCCGUAAUGAGCAAGGACUUUGGCGUAGGGCACAUAAACCAAUUCAUCAAUGCUUUCUGAUAUUCUCUUGUAAUGGUUUUCAUCUAGAUACAAAUCCCAUAGAGAUAGUAAUCGAUCAAGACUUUUAGGUAAGUCCGUGAAAUUGGCAAUGAUGAAGCCAUUUGCUCAUGACCUCUGCAUCUCUUGAAAUAUAAUUAACAAGGUACUUCUGUCACUGCAUUUUCCUUCAGAACCUUCUAAAUGACUAAAUCCAUGUUUAACUGAAAAUCUCUGAAGAUUUGAACAACCAUUUGAAAUAAAGAUCUCAAAGACAUUGCAACAUGUAUAGGCUGCUUGGGAGACUCUUAAGCCUUUUAAAAUUUGAAAGACUCAAGGUAACUGGUCGGGGGGAACAUGCCGUGGAUCAAGGCAUGCGAUUCUUUGAUUGUUGUUCCAUCUAAAUAUAACAAUUUAAUAUACAAGAUGACAUAUCUGGUAUCCACUUUAGAUUUAUGCUUCUAGAGAGAUUAAGAUCUUCAAGAUAUUUAAGCUUAAAUAUGCUUCCGAGAGAUGGUCAAGCCUUAACUGUUCAUAAGAUAAGGCAACAAGUCCAGAUAAACACUCUAUGGAUGAAGGCAGUUCUUCGAUUGCGGUUCUAUGUAAAUAUAAACUUUUAUAUUACAACAAGAGAUCAUUGGAAACCUCUUCAAAUUUAAACUGGAUAGACACUAAGGAUGAGGACAGUUCUUCGAUUGCAGUUCCAUCAAAAUAAAACCCUUUUGUGUUACCAGAUGAGAUCUCUGGAAACCCCUUCGGAUUUAAACAAUCGGAAAGAGCAAUAUCUCAAAAACAUUUCAACUUUCAUAUGCUUCUCGAAAGCCUCUAAAUCCUUGAACAGUAAAUAAGCUCAAAUUUAACUAAUAAGAUCUCAUUGGAUGACGGCAGCUCUUUGAUUGCAGUUGCAUGCAAAUGGAGCUGUUAGAUCCUACUCAGAAAAUUCCCCUGUAUCACAAAUUUAAAACAAGUACUAUAUAUCUUGAAAUCAAGAAACUUUCUACAAGGCUUCAGUUCUAGAGAGGAUAUUAUCACAUUCUCGUUUACGUAUUAGUUUUUGCCUUUCACAUUUCUCCAGUUAUAUAAAUGAAAAGAGUGUAAGCAAAACCAUUAGAGAAUCAAACUUUUUACUAAGCUACUUGAAAAUUUGCCAGCACAAGAAGAAAUAACAAAAAGAAAUUAAACUCACCCCGCCAGUCGUAUUGUGUUAUAGAAACUUAUCCUCAAAUUUGCAGCAAAGUUGCAAAGCCAGAGAUCUCGUCCCCUAGCGCUCCGGACCAUCAACUCACCCAGCUAUUGUUGCUGGGCUGUUUUGCAAAAGAUUGAAAGUCAGCUGGAUUAUGUCAUAAAGGCAUAUAGUUUGGGGCCUUUGUUACAUUAUCCAAACUGAGGUGCAUAACCGACUAAAUAAGAAUCUAAUAAGAGUUUGUUACAAAAAUCUGUGCUGAGCGUUGGGCCCUGUUUCUUCGCAUUGUUCUCUAUAAUCACUUAGCCAUUUUGUGAAAAAUUUGUUUCUUUGUAAAACUUUUCUACUCUAUUCUUGGUCAAUUUCUGUGUGAUUCUAUCAAUAAAAGUGUACUGAUUGUUCCUUCAAAUUGGUUGUAUUGUGCUGUUCUUUAAGUCUCUAGUUCUUGAUUGGUUGUUGUUUAUUCUUGUACUUUGGUUUAAGCUUAGAAUUUCUUCCAUCUUUUUCUCUUAAACCUUAACAGCUGCAAUAACUCAUCCUGAAAUAUUUGAGAUUUCAUUUAUAACCUGCGGAGCAGAUUUAGAACCCGGACUUUCAAACACUUGCGAAUCUGCGGAGCUAGAGCAUCUAGCAGAGCUAUUUUGCCUAACUUAUUCUGCUAAUCACUGGUCAGUGUGGACUUGAGAGCGUCGAGAGGUUUCUAUGGAGCUCUCUAAGAUUCAAACAUUUCAAGCAAUUGACAAUAAUUGACAGUUGAAAUUGUUCAAAUGACUGUUUGGUUAACAAGAAAAUAAAAGAAGGUUAAAAGCGUAAAAACUGCAGCUUGGAGAAUUCUAGAAUAUCAUUUGAUUUAUUCUGAAUGAAUUACAAAGUGAUUACAUCGUUUGUUUAUAUACUCAGCUGAAGAUAACAACUCAAACUUAUUACUAACUAUAACUAAUCAAAAGGAAUCUUCACGUGUGCUAGUAAUUACAUAACCACCGGAUGCCACAUGGACAGCUAAAUCAUCAACCUUUAACCGUGUGCUGUAGCUGCUGCAAUCCUCUGCUUUAUCUUCUGUUUGGCUUAUCGUACUGCAAGCAAGAUGAGCUUCCUUAACAUCCCCCCUCAAGCUCAAUGGUCUGUUGAUGACAUUGAGCUUGGAUCUGAAAUAGCUGAACUUUGGUGGAGAUAAAGGUUUAGUGAGAAUGUCAGCCACUUGCUCUUCAGUAGGAAUAUAUCUGACUUCUAAUUCCUAGCUGAGAACUUUAUCUCUAAUGUAAUGCACAUCUAAUUCAAUAUGCUUUGAUUUAGAGUGAAAACAGGAUUUCUAGCUAGUUCCCCUGCACUUUGAUUGUCACAUCAAAGCACUGAAGUAGGCAACUGAGCUAUGUUUAAUUUAGAAAACAAAGAUUAAAGCCAGGAAAGUUCUGAACAUGCUGAUGAUAAGGCCCUGUAUUCACUCUCAGUGCUGGACUUUGCUAUAACCCCUUGCUUUUUAGAAGACCAGGAAAUUAGAUUGUUGUCGAGAUAAAUGCAAUAUGCUCCAAUGGAUUUCCUAUCAUCAAUAUCACAAGCCUAAUCUGCAUCGGAAUAGCCAUUUAAACUAGUAACUCCAAGUGAUCCCCCCCGCUGUAGAUAAAGACCAUGAGUAAUGGUAGCUUGAAGAUAUCUGAGAACCUUUUUACAAGCUAACCAAUGCUGGAUUGUGGGAGAACUCAGAUACUGACUGAGUUUGUGUGCAGAAUAUGCAAUAUCAGGUCUUGUUAGUACUAAGUACUGAAGACCUCCAACAAUGCUCUUAUAGAGAGUUGGAUUUUCAAAUUCAUGUCCUAAAGGUCCUCUUGCUUGCCUUUCCAGCUUAAGACUUGUACUGAAAGGUGAGCCAGUACCCUUACAAUCUUUCAUUGAAGCUCUAUUUAACAGAUCCUUAAUGUAUUUGGUUUGAGAAAGGUGCAUCCUAUGAUGUGUAUAACACACUUCCACACCAAGAAAAUAAACAAGCAAACCCAAAUCCUUUAAAGCAAAGACCUUACUUAGUUUAGCAACAAAUUCCUCCAAAACAUCAGAAUCAGGACCUGUGACUAGGAUAUCAUCAACAUAAAUCAGAACUAUAAUCAACCCUUUGGUGUCAUGCUUAAUAAACAAAGAAGUAUCUGCUUUAGAAUUGAAGAAGUGUCAGGUUGUAAGACAAUGUUUUAGCUUGUCAUACCAGGCUCUUGGAGCUUGUUUAAGCCCAUAAAGGGCUUUGUUGAGCUUGCAUACAUAAUCUUCUUUAACUGUAAAACCCUCUGGUUGUGUCAUGUAUACAUCUUCUAUUAAGUCUCCAUUAAGGAAGGCAUUAUUUAUGUCAAUUUGCCUAACCUUCUAGCCUUGCAUCACAGCCAAACUUAGAAUAACUCUAACUGUUGAGGACUUAAUCACAGGGCUAAAUGUUUCUAAGUAGUCAACCCCUGCAGUUUGAUGGAAUCCUUUUGCAACCAGACGAGUUUUAUGCUUGGAGAUUGAUCCAUCAGUGUUAUAUUUAGUCCUAAAUACCUACUUGCAACCAACAACCUUGAAAUCUGAACACAUGGGUACAAGACUCCAGGUUUUGUUUUUAAUAAGGGCAUCAUACUCAGCUUGCAUUGCAGCCUUCCAAUUUGGAUCAGACAAUGCUUCAGAAGGGGUAUUUGGUUCAAUGCUGUUGUGAGAUGUUAAAAAGGCCUUGGGUUUAAAAAUGCCAGCCUUUGCUCUGGUAAUCAUGUGGUGAGUUGAGCCAAUGGAUUUGGUCUGAGAACUAGGGACUGGAGUAGGAGAAAGUGGAUGAGAUAAAGGCAUUUGAUCUGAAGAUGAUGGGCAGUGAGAUGGAUUUUCAAAUGGGUAGUGAGAUGGAUUUUCACUUUGUGAAUUUGAAAAUGAAGGAAUAGGUAUUGUACUAGGUGAAUUGGAUAAAGUAUUUGUAUCUAGACAAGGAGAAAUGAGAUCAGUGCCUGUUGCAUAAGCUCCAAAGGUGUUGAGAUUGCUGUUAGAUGUUGGCAAGGAAUAUGUCUGUAUAAGAUUGUUUUGAAAAACUGAAGUGUUUUGUUGUGAAGAAUGUUGAUUGAAAAGUGAUGAAUAUGGAAAAGAGUUUUCAUUAAAGAGAACAUGCUUGAUAUAUACACUUUUCCAGAAGGAUGCAAACACUUAUAUCCUUUAUGGAGAGGACUAUAGCCUAUGAAGAUACACUUGGGUGUAUGAAAAGAGAAUUUGUGUUUAUUAUAAUCUCUGAGAAAAAGAAAACAUGAAUAGCCAAAGCUUCUAAGAAAUUUGUAAUCACGUUUCAAAUGAAAAAUGGCUUCAUAGGGUGAUUUUCAUGGAAAAUGUAGGAGUGGGCAAUCUAUUUAUGAUGUAAGUAGCUGUAUGAAAAGAGUCCCACCAGAAUUUAAUAGGUAAGGUUGCUUGUGCAAGCAAGGUUAAACUAAGUUCUGUGAUAUGUCUAUGUUUUCUCUCUACUGUUUCAUUUUGGUUAUGUGUGUAAGGACAAGAAUGCCUGAAUGUAAUGCCUUCUUGAUGAAGAUAAGUGACAAAGGAUCUGAAUUCACUACCCCAAUCAGAUUAUAGGCAUUUAAUGGAUGUGUUUAGCUGUUUUUCAAUCUGAGUUUUGAAGACUUUGAAGACAAAGAGAGUUUCACUUUUGGUUUUUAAUGGAAAUAUCCAGGUGAAUCUUGUAAAGUCAUCAACAAAGCUUACAUAAUAUCUAUAGCCUUGUGAAGGAAGUUCAGGGGCUGGUCCCCAUAAAUCAAUGUGUAAAAGUUCUAAAGGACUAUUAGUUUUAAUGAAGCUAGCUGGAAAAUGUAAUCUAUGUAACUUUGCCAACAUACAAGCAUCACAAGAUUCAAAAGAUUUACUUCCAUUGAUUGCCUUCAAGGCUGGAUAAGUUUUGAUUACAUGAUCUAAAAUUUUUGAACUUGGAUGUCCUAGCCUUUGAUGCAAAACAGAAGUACUUAACAAGCAUCUAGAAUUCAUACAUAGAGCUGAGACAGUGUAUGAACAUGAAGUUUUAUUUUGUAAAUCAGAAGGAACAACAGAAAACAUUGAAAGAGGAACAACUUGAGCAGCUGACUCGACAUUUGUGAAAUGAUUUCGAGAAUGAGUUUUAUUCGAUGACAUCAACAGUAAUCUGUAUAAACCUUUGUCAGCCUUGCCCUGCAGUAUGAUCAAAUUCUUCACCUUGUCCUUCACAAAGCAAAAUUUGUCAGUGAACUCAACUGCCAUAUUAUUGUCUUUGGUUAACUGGGAUAUGCUAAUGAGAUUUUUGGUGAUUUGAGGAACCAGCAGUAUAUUGUUCAGGUUAAGUGUAAAUGAAGCUUUUGUAUUACAAUCAUGCAUUUUUAAAGUGGCAUGACCAAGAUGUGUAAUGUUUAGACUAGCACCAUUACCAACUACAAGUUUAGAUAUACCUGCAAAAGGCUCAGCAAUGUGCAUGUUGUUCAUGUCAUUAGUGAGGUGAUGUGUUGCCCCACUGUCAAGAUACCAGUUGGUAUCUGAACCACCAUCCAUGUUUGCAAGAUAAGCAGACUUUGGAUUCCUGUUUGGUGGUGGCUUAUAAGCUCUUGAAGUAAUGAACUCUUCAAGUUUCCAGUAGAUAUUAACAGUAUGACCUGUCUUAAGGUAAAUUUGACAGGUAGGUUUGGAAGCAUUCCAUUGAGGUUUAACAUUUCCAGGUGUCUUGUUAUUAUUGAAGUUGCCAUAUCCUCCAGAAUUCUGAUUCCAGUUCCCUCCAUUUCUUUGAUUAUCUCUAGAAUCACCUCUUUGCUGAAAAUUAACACUAGAUAAAUUUCCUCCAUUGGCUCCAGCACCUCUAGAAUUUCCUUUGUAGCCACCAUAGCCAUAAUUUCCAACAUUACCAAAACCAUAGCCACCAAAAUUCUUACCUCCUGAUAUGAAACCUUUCUUAAACCCUCUGUUCUGGACUAAAUUAGCCUCAAAAUUCUGUUUCACAUCUAUACCAACAAGCAUAUGUGCUUGUUGUUCUAUUCUAGCUUCUUGAGUGAACAACAUUGCAUAUGCCUCAUUUACAUUCAUUUUUCCAACACCUAUUUGACCAGUUAUGUAAGUAGCAACAUAAUUAUAUUCAGGUCCUAAACCAGAAAGUAUGUGCAAAAUCAAAUCAUCAUCACUUAAAGCACUUCCAACAGUAGCCAUAUUAUCAGCUAUGUUCUUCAUCUUAAUGAAAUAAUCAGUGACUUUCAUAUCAUCUUUCCUAGUUGAAUUCAUCAUGUACCUCAGAUGUAACAAUUUAGAUUUAGACUGUAAACCAAAUUGUAUUUCAAUAGCUUUCUAUACCUCAAGUGAAGUUUCUAGACUGAAGACCAGACUGAUGAUGCCUUCACUCAUUGAAGAAAGCAGCCAUCCAAGCAGCAUCUGAUCUUGUGAUCUCCAGGUGACAUACUCUAGAUUUUCAAUAGAUCUGAGGUCAUCACCAAUUCUUUGAGCAGUAUGAGAAGGUGGAGGAGUUACUGAAUCAUCAAUGAAUUUUUCAAGUCUAUUUCCACGAAUAGAAGCAAGAACUUAAGAUCGCCAAAUCAAGUAAUUUGAUUGAUCCAGCUUAACAUGAGUGUUAAAUGAAAAGGUAACUGUGCUCGUAUUAAUGGUAGCAUUAUGGACUGUAUUAGAAGAUGAAGCAAGAUGUGCUGAAGCCAUACUGGCUUUGAUACCAAGUUGAAAUUGUUCAAAUGAUUGUUUGGUUAACAAGAAAAUGAAAGAAAGUUAAAAGAGUAAAAACUGCAGCUUAGAGAAUUCUAGAAUAUCAUUUGAUUUAUUCUGAAUGAAUUACAAAGUGAUUACAUCAUUUGUUUAUAUACUCAGCUGAAGAUAACAGCUCAAACUUAUUACUAACUAUAACUAAUCAAAACGAAUCUUCACGUGUGCUAGUAAUUACAUAACCACCAUUGGACAGCUAAAUCAUCAACCUUUAACCGUGCUGUAGCUGCUGCAAUCCUCUGCUUUAUCUUUUAUUUGGCUUAUCGUACUACAAGCAAGAUGAGCUUCCUUAACACUGACGAAGCUAUUUAUUUACCAAAAAUAAAUUAUCUAAGCCACAUCAGUUUUUAAAGCAGAUCAAGAUCUAGAAACAUUAACAAAUGCUCAACCUUGUUUAAAAUUCGCUGCUAGAAGAAGUCUCUAGACAUGGCACCAAAAUAGAAAUAAAAAUGAUGUAGAACACCUCUGUUCUGUUCUGUUAUUCUUUGUAAUUUUUAAAAUUUGGUAUUUGGUAGGUCAAACAGAUCUUGUAAUUUGCAGAAAUACCAUCUAAAUUUAUCAUAAGUAUUAAACCUGCAAAUAACUCAAAUGAAAUUGAUGGUAAACCUGCAGAUAAUGCUUCCAGUGACGUGCAACAGCUUAAUUCGAGAAAUUCCAAAAUAGAAAGAUGUCUAAUGCUUUCUGGUAUUCUCCCCAAAUUGCUAGUUAUUAAGAAUCAAACUUUGCUAGCGAGGUUAAUUGACCAAGGCUUUCUGGUACUUCUCUUAUAACAGUUCCUUCAACUCUUAAAUAGGACAAGGCUCUUAAAUUUCUAAUUUCAUCCGACAAUCUGUAAAGUUUUGGGCAAUCAAUGAUUGAAAAAUGAAAACAAAAAAGCAAAAACAAAAUAAUGAAUAGAGGAAUGUGAUAAAGGGAAUUCAAAUACACUUUGAAUCCAUUGUUCUGACAUAUUUAUCAAUGCACAGAAUGGAUAAAGAAGUAAGUAUAUGAAAUAAAAUACAUCCCUCCCCUUACAAGAAUUGAUGCAGAGAGCAUCAACCUGACACAAAUAUAUAACUGAUUCAACAUUUCUUCCUUUGCUUUUUCAACUUGGAAAAAAACAACUACAAACAGUCACAUAAGUCUUAGAAAUAGUAAGUAACUGUAGUGAAAAUUCAAUUAGCAAAGCAGCCAAAAUAUUGAAAUCUUCUCUAUGAUAUAACUACCUACUUCUUGACACAUAUCCAUCACAGCUCUUCUUCAACGUUCGCAAGUGUACGAGCCAUCGUGUCCUGCAUGUAUACCCUGUUCAGAAUUGCUAGCUUGCUUUCCUCGAAGAUCGGGCCUUGACCUCCUUUUCAUGGCACUGUAUUUCCAUUCUAGUAAAAGCAAACAGAUUUCAGAGGACUUUGGGAAAACAUCUUCUCAACCAUUUCACAGUUUUCAUCGAACCAUUGAUCCCAAAAUGUUAAACAAAAGAAAAAUGACAAUGUUCACGAUAGUUAGUUUGCUCUGCCUCAUUUCCAAACAAUACUAUUGUGGCAAGGAGAAAAGGAAAUUUGAACCACAUACACGUCAAAUUAUGCAUGUACGUACACAAAUAUUAUGUGACAUAACCUCUCUCUUGAACUUGGCAUUUGCAGCACCACAAAAUACCUUAACCAGAACUAUAUGUACUUGUUUAAUAAGUCAGCCAGUAACUUCAUCAAUAAAUAGAACCAAGAAUUGCCUUGGUAUUAUAUUAGUGUAGAAUAAGAAUAUCCAAAUCAUGCACCCAACAGGGAGCAAUACUAUCUAUGUAGGACCCAUCAAUGUAUCUGAUGUAAAGAAUCUAAACUAUGACUAAAAUAAAAACUCAAACAUCCAACAUCAUAAAAAGGGUAAAAGGGCAAAAGCCUUUAAGAAUUAGAAAUAAGAAGCUUUAGAUUCAGAUGGUUCGAUUGCCUUAUUACUGUAAAGACAUGAUAGUUCUUUCGCAAGCUCGAGGAAACUUUUAUUAGAGAUCCCAAACCCUUUUCAAGGGAUAUUAGAUAUGGCGGGUAGCCAUCAGCUUCUAACACAAUCGAGUAGAAUUUGAUAAUGUAUACGAGAAGCUUGCUUAACUUGCAAAUCCUGCAAAGAUUAAAAGAUCACAAAGAGAAUUGGCAUAAGACAAUCCUUGCAUUAUGACAGCUAGAGAGGAUAUUAUCACAUUCUCAUUUACGUCUUAGUUUUCUCCUUUUACAAUUCUCAAAUUAUAUAAAUGAAAAGAACAUAAGUAAAGCCAUUAGAGAAUCAAACUUUUUAAUAUGCUACUUGGAAAUUUGCAAGGACAAGAAUGUUAGAGUUAUAAAUAUAAAGAAUAUUUUUGUAAUGAUUCUGCUGAUGUGGCAGCUGAGUAAGCAAGGCUGUUAUUUGUUAGUUUGUAAGUUUGUUAUAGAGCUGAGAAGUUUGUUAAUCACAGCUCACUCUCAACACGUGUGUGAGUAUUGCAGAAGGUUCUGGAUCUUAGUAUAUAAGAUCAACCUCUGUAUUCAUAAUUCAUUGAAUAAAAUUCGAUCUAUUUUUCUUAUAGUUUCUCUUAUUGCUCAUUAAAUUUUCCUUCAUUUUCUCUGCAACCAAACAAGCAUAAAUAGCUUGGUUAAACUUCAAUUUGGUAUCAGAGCCACAUCUAGUCUAAUCUCAUGGCAUUAUCAAGCUUGACCACAAACAUCUCUUCUUCAGCAGCAACCUUUACUUUCACAACUCCAAUAAAACUUGAUCGAUCAAAUUACUUAAUCUGGAAAUCUCAAAUUCUAUCUUCAGUUCGAGCAAAUGAGCUUGAGAGUUUGCUUGAUGGAUCCAGAAUCUGUCCAGAUCAAUUUCUCUCAAGCACUCAAGGAAAUUCAGAUGCUAUGUUCAAUGCUUCUGCAAGUUCAACUGUUACUUCAUAAGAGAAUCCUGAGUUUCAUGUGUGGAAGAAGCAAGAUCAGAUGCUGCUGAGCUGGCUGUUAUCCUCUAUCAGCAUUGAAAUCCUCAGCCUUGUGGUAAACUCUAAAACCUCUUAUGAACUGUGGUCUAGUUUAGAGCAACAAUUUGGAUCUGAAACUGCUGCUAAGAAAGUUCAUCUCAAAAUGAUGUUGAAUAAUCUGAAGAAAGGAUCUAUGACUAUGACAAAAUAUUUUAGUAAGUUGAAGUUAGUUACAGAUGAGCUUGCUAUUGCUGGAAGUCCUGUUAGUUCUUUGGAUUUUAUAACUCAUCUCAUCUCUAGAUUAGGUCAACCUUAUUAUCCAGUAGUUGUGUAUAUUGAAGCAAAUGUUCUAAAAAUGAGUAUUAAUGAGGCUUAUUCAAUGUUAUUGACACAUGAGGCACGUUUAGAAAGCAAUCAAUCUAAUUCUUUCAAAGAAGUGAAACAGAACUAUACUGCUAACUUAGCUCAGGCUGGGAAUAAUCAAAAGAAAGUUAACAAUCAGGGAGGCUGGAAUAAUAAUAGUCAAGGAGGCUGGAAUGGAAACACUGGAAACAAACCUGGAUUUCAUAAUUGGAAUGGAAACUUUACAAACAGAGGAGGUUUCAAUCCAGGAAGGGGACAAAAUUCAAGUAGAGGACAAUGGAAUAAUAAUUGGAAUAACUGGAAUGGAAAUCAGGGUAGAGGCAAUUUUGUUGGUGCUGCUGGAAAUUUUUCUAGUAGAUUUCCUGGUGGCUAUAAUGGAUUUGGAAGAGGAGGAGGCAGAGGAAAUAUUGUUUGUCAGAUUUGUUUCAAACACAAUCAUACUGCAGCUAAUUGCAAAGACAGAUUUAACAGAAAUUUUGUUCCUAAUUUUUCUGUGCAAGGAAACUUUCCAGAUCAGAAUCAAACUUCCAGAGCUGCUUUCAUGGCUACAUCAGAAGGAGUUGCUGACCAAGAAUGGUAUCUGGAUAGUGGAGCAACACAUCAUCUCACAAACAAUAUGGAGAACCUAGCUGAAGGUAAACCUUAUCUUGGAUCUCAGUUGCUAUUAGUUGGUAAUCGACAAGGUCUUAGAAUUACUUCCAUAGGCAAUAUCUGUCUCUUUACAUCCUUUAGUAAUCAAUUAAACCUUUCCAAUGUUCUGUGUGUUCCCAAAAUUACCAAGAAUCUGAUUAGCUUAUCUAAACUUCUCUCUGACAAUCAUUUAAUCAUUGAAUUUGUUUCUAAUCUUUGUUUCAUUAAGGACAAGAUGCAAGGAACUUUGCUGGCACAGGGGAUUGUUGAGGAUGGUCUCUUUAAGCUACUGACUCAAGAUACACCUCUUUCUGAUUCUAAAGCUUGGGUCUCAAACCUAGUUCAAUGUUGUCUGUUUUUUCUAAUAAAGAGAAUGUACACUCUUUGAAAGAGUUGAAUCACCAAACAAAUGUCUGUUCAAAUUUGAUCAAUUCCAAUAAUGAGAAUUCUGUCAGUUUUCUAGCUUCCAGUAGUAAGUCUAUGCAGUUGCUACACAAUAGGUUUGGUCAUCCAACCAAACAUGUCUUGCAAACAAUAAUGAAAAGUCUUCCUAUGCAUUCAACCCAUUCUCAAUCUCUUAAUUUUUGUGAUGCUUGUCAAUAUGGUAAAUUACAUCAAUUCCAUUUUCCAGUCACUGAUAUAAAAUCAAAAUUUCCACUCCAACUCUUAUAUGCUGACUUAUGAGGUCCAGCUUCUGUGUUGUCUAUGGAUGGAUACAAGUACUAUAUUUCUUUUGUUGAUGAUUUCACAAGAUAUUGUUGGGUAUUUCCACUCACACUCAAAUCUGAUGCAUUUGACACCUUCAAAUAUUUCAAAUCUCUUGUCGAAAAACAAUUUUCUUUAUCCAUCCAAACACUACAAACUGAUAUGGGGGGUGAGUUUAUAGCCUUCAGAUCAUUUCUCCAACAAGAGGGUAUUCAAUUUAGAUAUAGUUGCCCCCACACUCACCAUCAAAACGGUGUGGUGGAAAGGAAGCAUAGGCAUGUUGUUGAAACUGGACUCACACUCUUAGCUCAAGCUCAUUUACCUCUCUCUUUUUGGUGGGAAGCUUUUCAUACAGCCACUUACUUAGUGAAUAGAAUGCCAACACAUGUUCUAAACAAUUUAUCUCUUUUUCAGAAACUAUACAAUCAACUUCCAGAUUACAAGUUUCCUAAAGUGUUUGGCUGUUCCUGUUUUCCUUUUCUUCGACCUUAUCAUCAUCAUAAGCUAGAUUUCCAUACUCAAAAGUGUGUCUUCAUUGGUUAUAGCCCCAUUCAUAAGGGCUACAAGUGUCUUGAUCGAACUGGGAAAGUCUUUGUUGCCAGACAUGUUACUUUCAAUGAACUGGAAUUUCCAUAUUCUGAACUGUUUUUGAAAACCAAGUCCAACACCUUAUCUCAUUAUGCUACCUCCACUCCAUCUUCAGUUCAUUUUUUUCUUCCUCAAACACCUGUUCUUAGUCACAGUAGCAAUGAAGAGCCAUCAGCUGCAGUCUCCAGUUCUGCUCUGUCUCCUGCAUCAGAGUCUCAUUCCUUGCCACAUUCUGUUCAUUCACAACCUCUAGAUCAACCCUCAAGAUCUUCAAAUUCUUCUCCACCAGUAAUCUCUACUCACCCUAUGGUUACCAGAUCUAAAGCUGGUAUCUACAAACCCAAAACCUACUUAGUUGUUUCUCAAGACCUUGAACCAUCCAAUGUCAAAACAGCAUUGACAGAUCUUAGGUGGUACUCAGCUAUGAAAGAAGAAUUUGAAGCUCUCCAAAGAAAUCACACCUGGACUUUAGUGCCUCCUAAAUCAGCUGGGAAAAUUGUUGGCAACAAGUGGGUUUACAGAGUUAAGUAUAAUGCUGAUGGCAGUAUUUCUCGGUAUAAAGCUCGGUUGGUUGCCAAGGGAUAUCAUCAAACUUAUGGGGUUGAUUUCUUUGAGACAUUUAGCCCUGUGAUCAAGCCUUGUACUGUCAGAAUCAUUUUAAGCUUAGUAGUCAUGCAUCACUGGCCUAUUAAACAGCUGGAUGUAAACAAUGCUUUCCUCAAUGGCAUUCUUACUGAGGAUGUGUACAUGCAUCAACCACAAGGGUUUGUUGAUUCCACUUACCUUUCUUUUGUUUGUAAGCUUAACAAGGCCUUAUAUGGUCUCAAACGGGCUCUAAGAGCCUGGUAUGAUCGAUUAAAGGAGUCCCUAGUUCAAUAGGGUUUUCGAGUCUCCAAAUCUGACACUUCUCUGUUCAUUAAGCAUGCAAGGAAAGAUAUCUUGCUCAUUCUCAUUUAUGUGGAUGAUAUUUUAGUCACGGGUUCAGAUUCAAAGCUCAUAGGAAAUGUUAUUCAGCAAUUACAUUCUGAGUUUGCCUUGAAGGAGCUGGGGGAUUUUCAUUACUUUCUUGGUAUUGAAGUUACUCCAUCUGUUCAAGGUAUUCAUCUAUCUCAAACUAAGUACAUUGGUGAUAUUCUUAAAAGGGCAAAUAUGCUGGACAGUAAAGGUUGUGUUACACCUAUGAGUACUUCUGAGAAGCUGCACAAGGAUACAGGUGCUGCAUUUGAAAAUCCAUCUUUAUACAGAAGCAUUGUGGGAUCUCUUCAAUAUGUUCUGUUAACUCGACCAGACUUAGCUUUCACAGUCAACAAGCUUAGUCAGUUUUUAUCAGCUCCCACCAUUCUUCAUUGGCAAGCUUGCAAGAGGGUGUUACGGUAUCUUCAAAGUACAGCUGAUUAUGGUCUUCAAUUUUUCAGUUCUGGUUCUUUAAAGUUAACUGCCUACUCUGAUGCUGAUUGGGGAGCAGAUUCUGAUGAUCGCAGAUCUGUUGGAGGUUAUUGUGUGUUUUUAGGUUCCAAUCUCAUCUCUUGGUCCUCUAAGAAGCAGCCCAUUGUGUCCAGAUCAUCAGCUGAGUCAGAGUAUAGAGCUCUUGCUAUGGCUACCUCUGAAGUUCUCUGGAUUACAUACUUAUUUCAAGAGGUUAACAUAUCUUUUGAUCAGAUUCCUCUUCUGCAUUGUGAUAACAAGAGUGCUGAAGCUUUGGCCAGUAAUCCUAAAUAUCAUGCUCGUACUAAACAUAUUGAGCUUGACCUCCAUUUUCUCAGAGAUCAUAUUGCUCAACAACAGCUUUCAGUCACUUAUGUUCCCAGUUCAGAUCAAUUAGCAGAUGUUCUUACUAAGCCCCUCUGUUUUGAUCAGUUUGCUUAUUUGCGCAGCAAGUUUAAUGUCCUUUCAUGACAUCAAGCUUGAGGGGGGAUGUUAGAGUUAUAAAUAUAAAGAAUAUUUUUGUAAUGAUUCUGCUGAUGUGGCAGCUGAGUAAGCAAGGCUGUUAUUUGUUAGUUUGUAAGUUUGUUAUAGAGCUGAGAAGUUUGUUAAUCACAGCUCACUCUCAACACGUGUGUGAGCAUUGCAGAAGGUUCUAGAUCUUAGUAUAUAAGAUCAACCUCUGUAUUCAUAAUUCAUUGAAUAAAAUUCGAUCUAUUUUUCUUAUAGUUUCUCUUAUUGCUCAUUGAAUUUUCCUUCAUUUUCUCUGCAACCAAACAAGCAUAAAUAGCGUGGUUAAACUUCAAUUAAGAAUAAACAUCUAAAACAAAUUAAACUCACCUACACAGUUGUAAAGCAUUGCGGAAACUUAUCCUCAAAUUUACAGCAAAGUUGCAAAUCUAAAGAUCUCGUGCCCUCAGCACUCUAGACAAUCUGCUCACCAAGUUGUGCUAACUAAUCCUGAGAUAUUUUGGACUUUCUUUGUAACCUGCGAAAAAGUUUUACGAUUUGGACUUUCGUACACUUGCAAAUCUGCUGAGCUAGAGCAUCUGGCCAAGCUAUUCUGCCAAAUUUGCUAUGAGGAGAACCAGUGAAUAUGGACUGGUGACUUUCACACUCUGCCCUCCAUGCAGUUUCUAAGGAGCUCUCUGAUUCAGACUGUGCAGCUUUUAAAGGACCUCCAUUUAAUAGGAGAGCCUUCACAGCAAGCAGAGGUUUCUAGUUUGCAUAAGGUCAAUUUUACUUCACUACAAGAAAAUGGGGCAUAAGUGACGCUGUUUGUGUGGGCGAAAUCGCCAGUUAUACAAAAUACUGAUAUUUUGAAUUUAAUUUAUUUAUUAUUUUGCGUAUGUGACUGAGAAUGAGAAUCACUUUGCAUAUGUGACUGAAAUGAACACCAAAAAAAAUAUGUAACAUAUUGAGACGAAAGAAAUGAAGUCAUUUCAUCUAAUUUUAAAAAAUAAAUAAAAGCCCAAAUCCGCCAAACCCAAAACAUUAGACAGACGAUUUGCUUCGUUGCUGCUGAAAAAUCCGACGUUUGAGCUGAUCGCCAACACGCAGCCAUAAACAGUACGUAACCGAUGCUUCUACUGUUCCGUAUUUGAUUCGCAUCUUAUAAUUUCUCUAGCUUCUUCGAUCUGAUUUGCUGAUACUUAUGCCCUACAGCGGUGGUUUCAUUCUACAUUUGCUUGGGUUUGUGGAAUUAAGAUUGGAUCUCAAGUAUUUAUGUCAUCUCAUUUUUCAAUUCUGGUUUUAUUUUUAUUUAUUUAUAUUUUAAUGGUUUACUGAUAUGUUAAAUUUGUGUUUGGAUCCUGUACAUUGGCACUUAACUGCUGAUGUCAGCUGAAAUUUUUCUAACAAGAGUCUUCAAGUUGUUUGAUGAAAUGCCUGAUAGAAACAACGAUGCUGAUAUCAGUUCUAUUAUUCAAAUAUGAAGUAUGAAAAUGAAUACAAUCCAACCACUGUCCUUGCUUUGUGGUUUCCGGUGGAGUUCUAUUUCAAGUUAGCCUUUCUGCUGCUUCUUGGUAAUAAUAUAUUGAAUUAUAUUAUGACUUGAUAUUUCCAUAAUUCUGUGUAGGUUAAACCUCUUGGAGAUGCAUUUACAUAAUUAAUUGUUUGAAAUGGGUUAUUACGUAAGUUACUGUCUUAAUUUUCAUGUUUUAGCUCUUCGACUACGAAGGUUUUACAACAUGUUCUUUUGACUGAAGGUAAUAUUUCCUGUCACAUUUGUUAUCUUCACUUUCUAGCUGCAAUUAAAAGUUGGGGACCCUGCUUCUCGCAUCUGUUAUCAUGUUAUUUAUGUUUACCAGGGUGAAGAAACCACCAGAUUAACUAAGUGAUUUUCAAUUUUUGGUGCGCGAGUUAAUCAUAAGAUUUUGGAUCCCUCUUGUUUGUGGUACCUUUUUUCUUAAUAACAUUAAUAUAGAUGCUUCAUAUAGUUCUGUAGGUACCUUUUUUUUUGGAUUCCUUUAACUUUUAUUUAUUUCACGUUAAUCUUUUGCUUAUAUUAAAUUGUCGAUUUCCGAAUUGCUUGGGUACAUAUAAUUAUAAUAAUAAUUAUUAUUAUAGGCAUACCAUGGACUUCUCAGCCACUAGCAGCAAUGCAGGCAAAGGUCACUUCACCCAACAUAUUAUGGAGAUACCAAAUCUCAAAGUGUUCAGUUUCUUGGAUUUGAAUUCUGCAACCAAGAACUUCAAGUCUGAUACUUAGUUGGGUGAAGUGGCUUUGGGAAAGUGUACAAAGGUGGUUGCUAUCAAGAAAUUGAACCCCCAAAGCAUACAAGGAUUUGAAGAAUGGCAGGUAUUUCAUUUUAGUUUACUCUUUCAAUUCUUAUCCAAAAGUCGAAUUUUUAGGCAUCCGAAAAAGAAUUGAAACUAAUUAAGAAAUGGAGAAACAAAAAAGAAAGACAAGUGCUGCUGACUCGUGUUGUUGGCUAACAACCUAGCUUCAAUCAUUUCCCACUAUCUAGAAAUUCUAGUCCCACAUGACAUAAAACUCCUUUUGCAUUGAUUAAACUUUAAUAUAGUUGAAGAAAUGUGUUCAUAAGUGAUAGAAAUUCAAGUGUUUGUGUUUGGGAAGCGAGAAAGCUAAAGGAAAAUGAAAGAAAAACUCAUAACGAAAAACUCUUAGAAACUUUCUUGUUAAAACUAAUCAGUACAGUUUACACCAAUAUAUAUAUAUAUAGCUCAUGAGAGAUGCUUGUUACAAUUUGUUAGUAAUAUGUUACACAUAUGAAGAGCAUUUAACCAACGAAACUAACUAGGCCACGUCAGCUGAGAGAGUAAACUAGUUGCUGUCAAGCAUAUAGUAAAGGGCUGCACUCAAUUCCUCUAUUCUUCAUAUUUAGCAGCUUCACUAACAUCUCCUCUUAAGCUAAGCUUUUCUUUUGUUCUCUACAAAUUAUCAGUCUCACUAACAUCCCCUCUUGAGUUGGAGAUUCGAGGAUGAACAUUCAACUUGUUGCGUAAAUAAUGAAACUGAGUGAAAGUAAGAGCUUUAGUUAAGACAUCUGAUGCUUGAUCUUCACUGGGUAUAUAACAAACAACUAAUUCUUUAGGUGCUACUUUAUCUCUGAUGAAGUGAAUAUCCAGCUCAACAUGCUUUGUUUUGGCAUGAUAAACUAUAUUGUAAGCUGAUUAUCACAUCAUAUAAUAGGUGUAGUACUUAGUUGAAUUGUUAGCUCAGCAAACAAAGACUGUAUCCAAAUAACCUUUGAUGCAGCAUGAGCCAAAGCUCUAUAUUCAGCUUCAGUACUAGAUCUUGAGACAACUGAUUGCUUUUUAGAUGAUAUGAAACUAGAUUGGCACCUAGAUAAACACCAUAUCCAGCAACUAAUUUCCUAUCAUCUCGAUCACAAGCCCAAUCUGAAUCAGUAAAACAAUUGAUCUGCAUAGCUCCACAAUUGUAGAACGGAAGACCAAAAUGAAUUGUGCCUUUGAGAUAUCUCAACAACCUUUUGCAUGCUUCCCAAUGUGUAGUUCUCGGAUUGGAUAGAAAUUGGCUAAGCUUGUUUACAGUGAAGGCUAUUUCUGGUCUAGUGAGAGUGCCAUAUUGUAGUGCUCCAAUAAUGCUUCUAUACUGAGAAAUAUUCGAAAUUUCAGAACCUGAAUUUUUGGUAAGUUGCUGACCUAUAGACAUAGGUGUUGGCACUGGACUGCAGUUAACUAAAUCAUGCUUUGCUAAGAUAUCUACAAUGUAUUUGGCCUGUGACAAAUGAAUGCCAUUUUGAAGUUUGGAAACUUCAACGCCUAAGAAGUAGGUGAGUUCUCCUAGAUCUUUUAAGGCAAAAGUCUUCUGCAUAUCUUGAAUGACUUACUGAACUUUGACUGAACAAGAAAUAGUAACAAUAAUAUCAUCCACAUAGACCAACACCAAAAUUAAGUGACCAUUUUCUCUCUUAUAAAAGAGUGAAUUAUCUGACUUGGAAUUCUGAAAAUGCCACUGAGAAAGCAUAGAUGUUUUAAGUCUAGCAAACCAAGCUCUUGGAGCUUGCUUCAAACCAUAGAAAGCUUUCUUUAGUUUACAAAUGUGCUCAGAUUUAUGAGGAUCAAUAAAACCUUUAGGUUGUGACAUAUACACUUCCUCAUCAAGAAUACCAUUCAGGAAUGCAUUAUUGACAUCUAUUUGCCUAAAAACCCAAUUGUUCGUAAUAGCAAUGCUUAGAACAACCUUGACAGUAGAUGCUUUGACUAUUGGACUAAAAGGUUUCAGUAUAGUCAACACCAUGGGUUUGAUGGAAUCCUUUAGCAACCAGCCGUGCUUUGUACUUCAAAAUAGAUCCAUCAGGGUUAUAUUUGAUUCUGAAAGCCCAUUUGUUACCAACUACUUUAACAGGAGCAGUAGGUAGAACUAAAUCCCAUAUGUGAUUGGCUUUUAAGGCUUUAAACUCUUCUUGCAUAGCUUAGAACGAUAAUGGAUCAGAUAAAGCUUAAGAAACAGAGGUAGGUUCAGAAGUCUAAGCUAAAAGGAUAGAAAGAUAAGAUUUUGGCUUGUAAAUGCCAUUAUUUGAUCUAGUGAUCAUAGAAUGACCAAUGGGAGGAGGGGCAGGAAGAAUAUGAGGUGGGGAGUUAUUUAAAGGAGAAGUAAAUGUUGAGGUAUCAGGUGUGGCAGUAGUUGAAUGUGAUAGUGAGGGAUGUGUAUUAAGGUUUUGAGACAAUACCUUAUUGUAGUUGGGAAGUGGAGAUGUAAAAUCGACUGCUGAAGUUGCUGCUAAAGGAGCCUGGAAUUGUGUUACAGGAGAGGACAAAAAAGACUCAAAAUUUGACUCAACUGAAGAACUGAUGGGAACAAUUUGUAUAACUAAUGAAAAGUCUACACCAGGAAGAUAAGGAAAGGAUUUUUCAUCAAAGAUUACAUGAUUAGAAAUAUAAACCCUCCUAGAUGAAUGAAGACAUUUAUAACCCUUAUAAUGAGAGUUGUAUCCAAUAAAAAUGCACCUUUUAGUUCUGAACUUAAGCUUGUGUCUGUUAUAAGGUCUAAGAUAAGGGAAACAUGCACAGCCAAAGAUUCUAAGGGUUGAAUAAUCUGGUGUUUGAUGAAAAAGUUUUUGAUAUGGAGAGAUAUUGUGUAGAGUUGGUGUAGAAAGUCUAUUAAUAAAAAAGACUGCUGUAUGAAAAGCAUCCCACUAAAAUUUUAAGGGUAGAUGAGCUUGAGCAAGUAAGGUAAGACCAAUAUCAACAAUGUGUCUAUGUUUUCUCUCAAUUUUUCCAUUUUGAUGAUGAAUGUGAGGACACGGAUGCCUAAAAUGUAUCCAUGAGUUAUUGAGUCGAGAAGAAAAAGACCUGAAUUCCCCACCCCAAUCUGUUUGAACACCUUGAUACUUUUUUGUAAGUGUUUUUCAAUUAAGCUCUUAAAACUAACAAAUACAAAUAGGGCAUCAGAUUUUGCAUUUAAUGGGAAAAUCCAAGUAAACCUGCUAAAGUCAUCGAGUAUGGACAAGUAAUAAGUGCAACCUUAACUGGAAACAACAUGAGAAGGUCCCCAAAGGUCUACAUAAAGAAGUUGUAAAGGUGUUGUAGAUGUGGUUGGAACAGAAUUAAAAUGAAGCAUAUAGUUCUUGCCAAACUAACAUGCAUCACAAAAUUCUAACUCUUGAAUUUUAUUAAUAUCAACAAACUUUUUACAUGAGUUUAGAGUUGUUUUUAAUGUGUGAAUGGUAGGGUGCCCCAAUCUUCUAUGAAGAAGAUUUACAUCAAAAGACUUUGUAGCAACAGCAGAAAAACAAACUUUUUCAUUGUCCUGACAGAAAUUUGAGCUAAGUUUUCCACAAGUUGAAUGAGGAAGAUAAGCAAAAAGAGACUGAAAUUUAUUCUAACAAAGAAGAACUGAAUUGACAGCAACAGACUAAGUGACAAACUGAGAAUGGGAGGGACUUGGACUUUGAAUUUUGUAGAGACCUCAUUUAGCAACUCCUUCAAGCAAGAUGAUCCCUGUGCUCCUAGCCUUAAUAAAAUAAGAAAUUCCAACAAAUUCAAGUGUAACAUUGUUGUCAGCAAGCAAUUUGGAAACACUAAGUGAUUUUUUGGUGAUUUUUGGUACAUGUAAGACAUGACUAAGAAAUAAUGAUUCAAAGGUGUUUGUGACAAGCUGAACUGAUCCAAUAUGUUUGAUAAGCAAUGCAUUUCCAUCACCAACAAACAAUUUGUUCAUUACCAACAUAAGCUUUAGAAUUAACAAGCUUGCCUAAAUCAUUUGUGAUGUGAUUUAUGGCUCCACUAUCAAUAUACCAUAAGGGAUCUUCAAUGAUCUUAGGAUUUGCAGCACAGUUUGCCUGAGUUGAUGGAGCUAAAGUGCUAGGUACUCCAUUAGGAACAUUUCCAGGAAAAUAUGGAGAAAAACUAUUAGUGAAUCUAGGAGCAGAAAAACCAUGUGUGCACCUAAGAGUAAAAGCAUUGAAACUAUUAAUGUAGUUGAGAGGAGGAUAACCAGAAAUGAUAGUAGGAUCUGAGUAUGCCAUAUUCGCUUGAAAAGCAGCUCCCCUUGGCAUAUAGGAAUUUCCAAAAUUUGAACCAAAGUUGGGUCUAGGAAACACUGAGCCCCUUCCAAAACCAUUGAAAGAUCUGCCUCCUCUACCAUACUGACCUCUGAAAUUUCCUCCACCAAAAUUCUUCUGAGGGACAAAAGAAGGAUUAAAUAUGUUCUUGCAUCGAUUUGCUCCAUGACCAGGAAUGAAGCAAAUUUGACAGAUACCAUCUGAGAAAUUUCUUCCACUAGCAAAUUGAGAUCCAUUAUUAUUACCACCAAAAUUCUGACCAUUAUCACCACCAAAGUUACCUCCAAAAUUUUUCUGAAAGCCAUUGUUAUUUUUACCAGAAUAUGGACCUUUCUGAGCUACAUUUGCUGACAUAUGAUGCAUAACAUCACUAACAAUUUUUCCUUUCUUUUGUUCAAUCCUAUUUUCAUGAUUUAGAAGCAAUGAAUACAUACCAUCUAAAGUAACAGUUCCUUCUCUAGCUAGAACAAUAGUUAUCAAGGAUUCAUAAUCAGAAAAGUCAAGGCUAGUCAACACAUGCAUAGCAAAAUCAUUCAACUCAACUGGCUUUCCUGCUAAGGGUAAGGUAUUUGCUAUUCGUUUUAUUUUAGUAAAAUACUCAACCAUACUCAUAGAUCCUUUCUUAAUAGUUUGGAUCUGCAUUCUAAGAGUUUGAAUUCGAGCUUAAGACCGAGAAAUGAACAUACUGUUAAGUGAGUCCCAAAGUUGUUUUGAAGUAGCACAAUCGAUCACAGUUGUCAGCAAGCUCUGGUGAAUAGAUGAUAGCAUCCAGCUCAAGAGAAGUUGAUCCAUUUUUGUCCAAGUAAUGAAAUCAGGAUUUGCAGAUCGUGACUCUCUUGCAUUUGAUGUUGAAGCUUCAUCAGGGCUAGCAAAUGGAAGAAAUUGUUCUGGACACUUCAGAUCACCAUUGAUGAAGCCUUCCAAACCGUUCCCUUUGACUGAUGCUAAAAUUUGUGUUCUCCACAAGAUAAAAUUGUUCUGAUCUAAUUUUACAGGUGUAACGAAGCUAUAGGAAGUGUUGGAUUGAAUCAUGUUUGCCAUUGAUGGCUCUAAUACCAUGAUAGAAAUUCAAGUGUUUGUGUUUGGGAAGCGAGAAAGCUAAAGGAAAAUGAAAGAAAAACUCAUAUCGAAAAACUCUUAGAAACUUUCUUGUUAAAACUGAUCAGUACAAGAUUACACCAAUAUAUGUAUCUCAUGAGAGAUGCUUGUUACAAUUUGUUAGUAAUCUGUUACACAUAUGAAGAGCGCUUAACCAAAGUAACUAUCAUAGUUAAUUCACUAUUUUUAAAUUUGGAAUAAAGUUUAUAACUUUUAUUUUUAUUCCUGUUUUACUUAGGUUAUAAGCUUUUAAUUCAAUUGUAAGCUUUAUUAUAGGAUUGGCCGUCCUUUGCUAGUAUUGAAAUGUAAGGUAUUAUUGUUGAUCCGCAAUUUUGAGAAAUUAACGCUUAAUAAACUAAGAUUUACAAUUUUUUUUUUGGGUGAAAGAAUGACAGCUGUCAUUUGCCAUCUAAUGUCUGCAAUGAAUGCAUAAUAGAUUUUAUUUCCUCUUAAUAUAUUGUUAUUUGUUGGUAUUUGGCAUGAUUAGAUUUCUAAUCAAUAGAAAGCAGGACACUGGAUAUCUUAUGGAUGCUACGUCUUGGAAUUGUGAGUUCGCGACGGCAGUAAGCCGUCAAUUUUUUUUUUUUUUUUUACCGAUUCUGCCUUCUAAGAUGGCUAAAUAGCUGUUACAAAAGACCCUCUGUAGCCCCAGAUCUGCGAUCAUGAAGCUUUUGCAACGCCGUGUAUGUAAACCCUCUUUGUGGCCGUCACAAAAGAUAAUAUGUAACGGCAAAGUAGCGGACACACAAACCUCCUUUUCUUGUGGUGCUUAUUGCACCAACUGUUUCGGAGCCUGUCAUCAUCAAAGUAAGAUGCCAAUAAAUGUCCUGUCAUUUGAAGAGCACUGCAAAGAAUGCACCAAUGCACUAAAGCUUAUGAAAAGUAAACUCAUUACUUCUUGGGUUACAAAUCCAAAAUGUACCAACAAAAUUAUCUUAAAAAUAAAUGAAAGGUCACUAAGUCAAUUACCAUAUCGAUGAAACUGAUGAAGCAAUUUCAGGUGCUUGGGCUGCAGCAGGAAUUAUGACUAGUACAAUAGCAUCAUUGUGCUCGACAUAUAACUGACCUACAUAAGGGCCAUAAGAAAAGACUACAGCUAUAAACUUCUGAUUUACCUCCACACCACAUGAAAAAUGGAGCACAUUUUUCCUUCAAUAUUUAAAGCAGACCAACACAUAGAAACAUUAACAAACGCUCACCACCGACUCGUGAAUAGUCCUUUGGUCCAAUAAUGAAAGAUGCAGAAAACCUUGAAUAAUUCUGCAAUCCAUUUUUAAAGCAUGCCUGCUAAAUUGCUUUAUGGCAUAGCACUAUCAGACCAGCAAAAUACAAAAUGGUUCCUCUGUCUUUUGCCUAGCAAAAGCUACUUUGAAGUCUAUCAUUACUCGUGCCUAACUGCACAGCAAAAGAAAUUAAGCGAUAGAAUCUUCAAUAUAAACAACGUUACCAAAGAGUUUCCAAUGUUUCAAAUGAAUUUUGGACCAUGUAGCAUGUCAAGCCGCUGUGAAAUGAAUCAUGCUUGGGUCCAACAGGAUGUUAGACUAUUUAAGGUAAAAGACAUCAAAGACUAAUAAAUAACAAAAUGACCAACCUUAAUUUUGUGUAGCUUUAGAUGUAUUUCAUUCCAUCUCGAAUCUUGCCUCUAAGGUCUUGGUUCCGAUUGAGGUGCUAUAACUUUUAAGCUAUACUGCUGUAAAAAAAAAAUGUAAUUGUAAAACAAAAAUUAAUAAUAUAUAAUAAAUACAAAUUUUAAAUAAUAAUUUUAACAAAAUUAUUAAAGAUAUAAUAGAUUUUUCAUCAUAUAAGUGAAAAAUCAUAUCAUUAUAUCUUCUAAGUUACAAUAGCCAGUGUUUACUAAACACUUUAGUGCGAUAACUUAAAAUCUACAGCUGCACAAACUUUCAAUUUCAAACGCACCCUGAGGCACCUGGGCCAGCUUGUCUAGUAAAAAAUGCCGUAUAGCACUUACAGAACAAUGAUGAUUUAUACAGCACAUGAGAAUGUAAUGACGGGACCUAUACAACAGUGUAUCAUUUCACCGUAGCAUUAACGUGAUCAUUGGAAAUGGAAAUGGAAACUUGAAAUAGAAUGGUGGAGUUUAUUUACUGAAACAGAUAACCAAGGGCUCUGUUCUGUUUGUUAUUUUUUAUAGUUCUUAAAAUUUGGUAUUUGAUAAGUUAAACAGAUCCUGUAAUUUAUCACAAGUAUAUAUUAAAUACGUACUUUGCUGUCUUGAUAUGAUAAUUUAUCACAAGUAUAUAUUAAAUACGUACUUUGCUGUCUUGAUAUGAUUAAUACUCACACGAAUACUUAUUCUCACAGCAUCACACACCAAGUCAAACCUAACUAGUAAUUAAUUUAAAGUAAGAUAAAUUUAAUUCUCAAGAGUAAAUUUGUAUUUUCUUUUAAAUUCAAACCUCAAAACUUAAAAAAAAAACGAUUUUAUUAUUAUAGAUUUUGAAAACUGAUUAAGUAUAAUUGAAAUAAUCUUAAUCAGCUCGCUAUUAGUUAUUACACGGAUAUGUAACCUUGGGGAUAUUCCAGACAUGAAUAUGAACACAAACUAAAGACAAAACAAAAAGAAUUCAUACACGUACAUUGUCAAUUAAUUACCAUUUAUUUUGAAUUCAUUGAUUCGUCCAUCCAAUAACAAACAAUUAAUAAAUAGUACAUAAACGAACGUAUUGAGAAACGCAUAUAUAAAAAGGAGACAACAACGAGGUCUACGGAAUGAUUAGCUGCGAUGGAGUUGAGGAAUAUUUCGGUCUUUUGGGGUGUGGUUCCUCUUCCUCUUCCUCUUAUGUUGAUUCCAUAGAAUCUUGAGCGUGCACAAAAUGAAUCCCACAUUUUUUCACUUCGCAGCACUCCCGAUGUUGACCAUAUGAACCCUUAAUAUGGAAAGAGAACUCGUCGUAAUUCGCAUACGAAUACUCACGGUCGAAUGGAUAGGAUCCUAAAAACACGUGAUCUGACUCUACAGGACUAAUUUUCCCCAAAAAAUGAGGGUAAAGAAAUCCUUUGGAUUUGAAUUUCCAAUCACAGAACACAUUAAGCAGGUUGCAUUUCCAGUCAUCCUCCACACUUUCAUGCCUAAAGCAGUCUGAAACUGGAAAUGCUACAACAGCGCAAAAAGCAAAGCCCAUUAAUUUAUUAUAGGUUGCUGAUGGGGGUUGCGGCAUCUUCAAGGUUAUAGUAGACCCGGCACUUUGAUGCCUAAACCACUUUGGAAUUUCAUUCCCAGGGAAAUACAUACUCUUGAUCCAACUUUGACCAUGAAAUGACUGCAACACAAAAAUAAAGAAUUACUAAUUUUUGAAAAUAAUGUUAACUUUAAUUAAAGUAAAAAGAAAAAGAAAAAGGAAAUAGAAUAAAAGGAGUGAGUUAAGAGACACACCAGCUUCCUCCACCUAUCAUUGAUGAUUUCACUGAGCACAUUCGGAACCAAAUUCAAGUCGACAGAUAAAGUGAACAAUCUAUGCUUAAAAUUGUUGUCGAAUAGUUUCAAAUAUUUUAUUGAGGAUAACUGAUAGAGACUUGCUGGUGUUCUCUCCAAAUUGUUAUUAGAUAGGUCCAACCUUACUAUUGAGGAUAACUGACCAAGACUUUCUGGUACUUCUCUUAUUGCUGUUCCUUUAACUAUCAGCACCACCAAGCAUUUUAAAUUUCCAAGUUCAUUAGGCAAUCUCUUGAAAUUUUUGCAAUCGAUGAUUGCAAGUGAUGUAAGAUAUUUAAGCAUACACAGGCUGCUUGGGAGACUCUCAAAGCUUGAACACUUGAUCAUUUUCAACUCACAUAAUAAGGCUAACUGGCCGAGGCUUUCGGGCAACCUCUCGAGCUUUUUGCAAUCAAUGAUUUGAAGAGAACUCAGAGAUUUCAACAUACACAGGCUGCUUGAGAGACUCACAAGACUUGAACAUUUCUCCAAUCUCAACCUAGAUGAGGAUGGUCGCUCAAUUCCAGUACUUCCAUCUAUAUAACAAGAUGGGAUCUUCGGAAAGCUCUUCAAAUUUGAACAAUUAGAGAUUUCAAUAUAUAUAGAAGACUUCAACUUAAAUAUGUUACUCGAGAUGUACUCAAGCUCUGAACAGUUCUUCAACACCAACCUAGAAAAUAAGGGUAAUUGACUGAGGCUUUCUGGUACUUCUCUUAUAGCAGCUCCUUCAACUCUUAGCUCUUUCAAGGUUUCUAAAUUUCCAAGUUCAUAAGGCAAUCUCUCGAGUUUUUUGCAAUCAAUGAUUUGAAGAGAACUCAGAGAUUUCAACUUACACAUGCUGCUUGAGAGACUCACAAGACUUGAACAAUUCUCCGAUCUCAACGUAGAUGAGGAUGGUCGCUCAAUUCCAGUACUUCCAUCUAUAUUACAAGAUGGGAUCUUCGGAAAGCUCUUCAAAUUUGAACAAUUAGAGAUUUCAAUAUAUAUAGAAGACUUCAACUUAAAUAUGUUACUUGAGAUGUACUCAAGCUCUGAACAGUUCUUCAACACCAACGUAGAUAAUAAGGCUAAUUGACUGAGGCUUUCUGGUACUUCUCUUAUAGCAGCUCCUUCAACUCUCAACUCCUCCAAUGCUUUUGAAUUUCCAAGUUCAUCAGGCAAUCUCUCAAGUUUUGGGCAAUUAAUGAUUUCAAGAGAUGCAAGAGAUUUGAACAUACACAAGUUGUUUGGGAGACUCUCAAGACUGGAACAGUCUUCCAAUCGCAACUCAAAUGAGGCUAGUCGCUCAAUUCCAGUACUUCUAUCUAUAGUACAAGAUGGGAUCUCUGCAAACCUCUUCAAAUUUGAACACCUCUUGAUUUCAAUAUAUUGAAGAGACUUCAACUUAAAUAUGCUACUCGAGAUGUUCUCAAGCCUUGUACAGUCUUGAAUCGACAGUCUAUCGAGUUUGGAUAGGCACUCGAUGGAUGAGGGCAGUUCUUUGAUUCCAAAUUUUAUUAAAAAUAAAAGAGGUAUAAGAGAAGAUGAGAUCGCUGGGUGGUUCUUCAACUUUGAGCAGCCCACAAAAUCAAGCUCCUUGAUAUAUUUCGAAUGAAUGCUAGUUGGUAGACUCCCUAGGCUUUCACAGUGGCGUAGAUCAAGGACUUCAAGCUUAUUUAGAUAUUGAAUAGAGGAGUGAGUCUCCGUCAAACUUGAACAGCUACCUAAAUCCAAUAUCUCAAGAUUUCGGGCCAGGGAGAGGUCCGGGAGUUUCGUCAAUGACUCGGAGUGGCUGAGGUCUAUAUAUUUUAAGUUUACAAGAUUCUGCCCUCCCAAAAAAAAAAACAAUUUUUAUUAUUAUAAAUUAACAAAUACCACCACGAAUAUUAAUUAUAGCACCAACUGUAUUUAGAAUUUAUUACUGAAAAAUUUCAAAUAAAUAUAUACCCGAACGUCAUUCCAAAGUUGUUUAACUUUGCUACCCGGCAUUUUAAGUGAAACAAGAUUCUCCCCAUUUAUAUUCAACGUUUCCAAUGGAAAUUGAUGCCACUCGAAAUACCUUACCUCAGUCAAUGCCACACCCUCUAAAGAAGACACCAUACAUUUGUUCUCAGAUCCAUAGAAUUUUAAGGUUCUCAAUUCAGUCAUCUUUGAGAAAGUAUAUGGAUUUAUUUGUAUCUCACUAUUGACUUUGUCCAUAUCUAAAGAGAUGCUCUUGAUUGCUUCAGUCCCCUAACCAUUAAAUAGCAGGUCAUAAGUUGGUAUAUAAUUGAAGCAAACAAGUAAGCAAUUACUUUCAAGUGGUCAAACACAAACAAAGAUAUAACAAUUACUUAAUAAUAAACUAUUGGUGUAAGUUCUUUAAAAUUGUAAAGCAUAAAAUUCAAGAAAAUGCUUAAUAUGUAAAUUGUAAAAUUAAUUUACAACAUUUCCAUGAAAUAUUAUUCCAUUCAAUUAGAAAUACAAGCGCUGUAUUUUAAUAUUUUAUUUUAAUUAAGGGUCGGCGCAGAGCUUGAGUUGAAAAGGAAUAACAAUUCUUUUCCAGUAAAAAUUAACGGUAGGGGCUGGGCUUGAGUUAAAAUGGAAAAGCAAUUUUUUUCCCCCAGUGAAAAACAUUGAGUGGGUUAAUUUUUUUUCCCCUCUCUCCAAAAGCGCUCUUUGCUAUGGAGAUUUUAAACUUAGCCCAACAAGGGCAUGUUACAAACUGAGCGGGGAACAAGGGAUCUAUCUAUUUUAUUUUACUAACUUUUUAAUAUUACUCUUCCAUUAAUUUUAAACAGAAUUAAUUCUAUUCUUAUUCAAAAAGAAAAAUCCAGACAAACUACUAGUACAAAUUUAACAUAAAUAAGAGACAAUUUAUAAUCUAUUAUUGCUCACCUUAUUUUUCUUCAAAACUUCAUAAAUAUCCUUGUAAUACCCCAACCGACUGCGAUUUCCUGGAUGAUCGAUAGAUUCUUUUCGAACAAUUUCUCUUCCCAUAUCUCGUAGCAAGUCAUGCAUUCUUAUCUGGUCGAGGAAGUCUACAGUUAUGAGAGACUUGCCAUCAAGAACACUUAAUUCUAUUUUAGCUUCGAAGCCAAUGGCAUCAAAAAAGCUUAUCACCACAUCUCUACGCUCUCCUUCCAGGAAAAAUGCAAUAACUAGAAAAAUAUUCUUCUGAGAGUCAUCCAAGCUAUCAUAACUUAUUUUUAACACCUCAGGGAUUUCCACACAAGGACUUAUUUCCAGUUUUCUCAUUGCACUUUCCCAUACCUCUUUGCUAUUUCCGCAUAGGUGGCGACCCAAAACUUUAAGAACUAAAGGAACUCCCUGCGCAUAUUCUAUUGCCUUGUGUGUGUUGGAGGUUGAACUUGUGGGGAAUGGCAAAUGUAGAGAAAUACAACAAUAAUGGUGGAACUUUAUUAUGUAAAGUAAUGUGUUUACAACUAACUCUAUAUGUAGGAAGAAAAAUGAUAGUAAUAAGUAAACUGCAGAAAUUUUGUGUGCUUCAAGGCACGUUACAAAUGUCGCUUUCCUUAAGACAUUAUUUGCCCCCACCAAUUGAGUGAUGCACAUGGGUUAAGCAAAUACGCCUCCAGGAUACAAUGAAGCACUUGUUUGUUUGCUUGUGUUGUGCAUCGACGAAAGCAAACCAGAAUACUCUUGAAUGUUGCAAGCCUGCCAAGAAAACAAUAUAUUGUUCCUGUAGAAAACAAUAUAUUGGAUUAUGAAUGCACAAAAGAAAUGGGUGUUUUGUGUUGAAAUUCGUACUAGAAAGGAAUGCUAAGAAAAGAGUGGUGUAGGAUCAUUAAUUUCAUGUCUAAAUGGCUUAAACAUGACCCCUAUUUAUAGAUAUGCUUGUGCCCCCUCAUUUGGGUUAUCAUCUUUCAUGAUACCCCUUCAUUCAUGGCCAUUGGAUCUAGAUUUGAUUUUAAUCAAUGGUCCAAAUUGUACCAUCACCAUUUCAAAUGAAAUGUCACCAUGAAAUGAUGCAUCUCCAAGUGAAAUGUUGCCAUGAAAAGUUAUAUCAUUUAGUAAAAAGAUACCUAUUCUACAAGACACAAUUAAAUGGACAUGUCCUUACAACAAGACAUCAUUUAAUUAGACAUGUCUUUAGUGAAAGGUACCUUUUCUAUAAGGCACAAUUAAUAGGACAUGUCUUUAUCAUAAGACACAUUUAUUUUAAAAUUUUCCAACAGUGUGUGAGCUUCGUAUAACUUGCAUCGAGAUGGGCUCCUCUAAAAGCAUAUUGACAGAAAAGCUUUUGAGCAUCAGCAUAUUCUAAUUCAUUCAUCUCAUAUAUUUGACUAGCCCAACAAUUUUGAAGAACUUGUUUAUCCCUUGUUGUUAUUAUUACUCGACUCCCUGAAGCUAACCGAUCAAGGCGUCCAAUUAAUGACUCUGUUUGUCUUGAAUGAUUCACAUCAUCGAAAACAACUAGAACCUUCUUGUGAGCAAGUCUCUUGAGUUGAAACCGGACGUUCCUCACAUUUCCAUCAUUCAAUAACUUGGACAGAAGUUGCUUUUGUAAGUCCUUUAUUCUGUCCGUUUCUUCUGCAUCUCUAACAUUAUGCACAAAGUAAGAACCUUCAAAACGUCUAGAGAUUUUGUUAAAAAUAGCAUCAGCAAUUGUUGUCUUGCCUAUACCACCGAUGCCCCAAAUCCCCAAUAUGUAAACACCCACAGACCCAGUGCAUAACAAUGAUUCAAUUUCUUUAAUGCGCGGUUCAACCCCAACCAGUCUGUGUUAUCACUUUGAAAAGUAUCAUCAAGCCUCUCCAAAAUUUCAUUGGCAAUUUCCUUAAUAAGUUUAUAUUCAGGCCUAGUAAAAAAAUAGCAGCAACUAGUUCAAAUAUAUAUAAACGAGACAAAGAAUCAUGUUUUUGUAAUUAGUUGCACUAGAAAAUAACUAAUUUAAUGUGAAGAACAAUUUCAUCAAAUAAAACAAUUGAAAAAAUUAAUUAAAUAUGCAAGAUAAUAACCUAAUCUUCACAAAAAUGAUUUAAUGAAUAAACUAUUGUUAAGUUAAACCCAUUCUACUAAUGUAAUUUAUUGCGCAUACUAGAUUAAUUGAUAGUAAGAAUUAGAUAGAAGAUCGUUGUUACCUAAUUACAUGAGAAUCAAAGCCAGAAAGAUUGGCUGCUGCGGUCAAAGCAUUCCUCCAUCUUUGCAACUUCUGUGGAAAUCGUUCUUCGAGCUUCGAAAAAAAAUCUCCAAAAUUCCCCGUUUGCCUUCUCACGUGUGACGGGUCAACGCGAUAGAAAACUGGUAUCACAAUCUGUCCAUAACCGUGCUUGCAUUCGAGGAUCUUUAAGAGUUCAUCGAGACACCAUCCUGAGGAAGCAUAUCUUUCUGAGAAAAUGACAAUUGAGAUGGUUGAUGCUUCAAUUGUAUCAAGCAGAGACUGUGAAAUUUCAUCUCCUCUCUUAAGAUCGUUGUCAAUGAAAGUUUCAAUUUUAUUUUGACACAGAGCAGAAUAAAGAUGGCUGGUAAAGUUGUCACGGGUGUCCUCUCCUUUGAAACUAAGAAAAACUUCAUACUUAUUACUGUUUCGGGGAGAUGAAGAAGAAGAAGCCAUAAGAGAGACAGUGAGAUUUCGACGAGAUGAAAUCAAUUACUAAAAUGAGCGUGACAAUGCAGGCUAGAUUAUGUUGUUGUAAACAAAUAAGCUGCUGUCUUCUUCUUCCUUGUUUCUUCCUCUGUUUGAGUUCUUGAAUUUCUUUCCUGCCUUGGCUUCUAUGAAUUGAAUUCCCCUUGGCGCCUUUAACUUCUAUGCUUCAUCUUUUCUUUAUUUUCUUUGUUUCUGCUCUUCUUCUAUGCUUUAUCUUUUCUUUAUUUUCGUUCUUUUCUUUAUUUUCGUUGUUGCUGCUCUUCUAUGUUAUUUGCUGUUGCUGCUGUUCUCUGUGUUUGCACUUGCCGCUUCCUUGUUGCCUCUGUUUUGGCCCCCUUUACUGUCACAAUCUUGCCCCUUUUAUAGAUAAUUUUGUGCUUAUCUAAUACAGGUGUCAAGCAAGCCAAACUACACUUGUCUUCAUUUUAAUCUCCUGCAUGCUAACCUUAUCACCCAAAAAUUAUCUAUUUAAAUUAUAGAUAAUAAUCUGAAUUUAUGGUAGUAAUAUUUUAUUCACUAACAGAUUAUGCUUGGAAAUUGGAAUCUUUAUGAAAGUCUCGUGAUAAUUAAUUUCACAGAACAUGCAGCUUUGUUGGCUUUUAACCUUUGGAAAAUGCUUCUCAGCGAGAAUGUUGAGAGAAUACCGAGAGAAACAGCAUUACUGUAUGCCGUUUCUCUCGCUGCCCCCCCCCCCCCCCCCCCCCACAUGAACUUUUGCUCCUUUUGCUUUUUCCACAUUUUUUACUCUUUGUCCCUCACGUUUGAUUCUAGCUGAAAAGCACUACUCCUCACGUGAAAGGAUUGAGUUGGGAUUUUUCUCUCAUUUCAGAAGCAGGAAAACGGCAUUAGGGCAGGAGUAUUUGCUCAUUCACGUGAAAGGAUUGAGUUGGGAUUUCUCUCUCAUUUCACAAGCAGAGAGAACGGCAUUAGGGCAGGAGUAUUUGCUCAUUCAUUAGCAGCCUAGCAGGAGUAGUUCAUCACCAGCUUGAAGUAAAACACCCAGCUGGUAAAGAGUGAUUUUUUAUUUUUCCUAUUAUUUUUUGUUAUAUGAUAAUGAAAUGAUAAUGAUAAAUUUGAUUAAGAAAUUUUUAGUUUAAAUUUUGUGUUGGAUUUAGAAUUUCUUUUAAUAUAAAUGUUGUGUUUGAUUUAGAAAUCUUUUUAUUUAGAUUUUUUUUAAUUUAAAUGAUGUGUGGGAUUUAGAAUUUUUUAAUUUAAAAUUUUGUUUCGAUUUUGUUUCAACCAAUACGGGGCUUUAGGCUACUAUAAUGUAAAAAGUUAAUUCGUAAAGAAAUUUUAGUUUAAAAUUUUUAUUUUUGAUUUUACAUAUAUAAUUUUUAAUUUUUGUAGGGACCUAUAUACCCAACCUAAGGUGGUGUGCACAAUAUUUUUCAACCAUUUCCUUAUAAUUGGCACCAAGUAAGAUUUCAUCUUAAAAUCACAAUUUGUUAGUGUAUAUUUAUAUUUUUUUAAUAUCUAAAAUCUCAUAUCAUGUUUUAAUUUUUUAUAUAUUACAGCAACCGCUCCCGCCGUAUGUUUUGCAACCACAUUAUCCUUCUCAUUCGAUGACGUACGAAGGAUCUGGAAGUGGAAGUGUCCAACAUUUGCUACAUCAACAAUGUAAUGAAGACAACAAUGAAUGUGAUUGAUGUUUGACUUAUAUUUUGUUCGAAUAAGUUUUUCUAGCAUUUCACUUAAAUUUGGCUAAAUCGAACUAAUUACAGUGAUGAACAUGUAAUUACACAAUUGUAUUUUCAACAAUGAACAUGUAUUUGCACAAGUAAUUACCAACAAAAAUUUAUACCCAACCAGAAAUUUUCACCAAAUAAUUACCAACAAAUAUUUCAACGUAUAAUACAUAUACCAACCGACAAUUUUCACCGAGAAAUUACCGACAAAAAUUUAUACCCAACCGGCAAUAUACCAAAAAAUUUUCAGAACCACCCAGCACAAAAAACCAUACCCAGAAUGCUGGUAAAUCUGUAAUUUUACAUGCAAAUCAAACCUCAACUGUCAAUAAGCCACCAUCCAGUGUGCAAAACCAGGCUCAAAGUUCGGAAUUUUCUGAUAAAGAUCAAAUUUUGAAGGCGAAUCAAACCUCAGUUGUCAAUAAGGCACCAUCCAGUGUGAAGAACCAAACUCAAAGUUUCGAAAUUUCUGUUAAAGAUCAAAAUUUGAAGGCAAAUAGAGUGCUGCACCUGCUAGCAGGAGCACUAAUUCAAGCUCAUUGGUGAAGGAUGGAGUGGCAUCGAAUGACUCGGCGUCUUUGGUGAAGAAACAUGGUAAUGAUGGGAAGAAACAGAGGAAUGGAAAUGAUGCAGCGGUAGUGGUGAAGCAGGGGAAUGAGGGUUGGAUUGAUGGAGAAUGGGUUCAUAUCCGCUUUAAAAUAUGAUUUUGAUGAGCAAUUAUAAAAAAUUAACAAAAAUUAAUUAUCAAAAUAAAUAUAAAAAAAAUUAAUUACCAACAAAGAGAGGGAGACGGAGACGGAGACGAAGCUGCUGCUGGAGCGAGAGGGGAGACGGCGACGGAGCUGCUGUUGGAGUGAGAGGAAAAACGGAGCGAGAGGAAGAGGGUAGAUGGAGACCGAGUAAAGUUGCUGCUGGAGGGAGUGAGAGGAAAAACGGAGCGAGAGGGGGAGAGGAGUGAGAGGGAAAACAACACUGUUUUCUUUUUCUUUUUUUUCGUUUUAUACAUGCAGAUUUUAAAAUGCUUUUGCUUUUUUUUUAAAUUGAGGGUAAAACGCUAAGAGUACUGCCGUUUCUCUCGCCAUUCUUUCGGCAUUCCUGCCGAAUAGCACUACUCAAGAUGCAGCUUUCUUCUUGACUUUCAUAUCAAGCGAAGAAAGAAAAUAGUGAAGGCAGCCAAAAAGGUGGAGAGGGCGUAAAUUUCCCAACAAUCCACCUACUGACAUGUGCCCUAUUAAGAAAUUGUAUUUGUGUAGGGAGGAUUAUCCAUUAGACGAGAUUAUUUGCACCCGAGACAACUAUUUUAAGCACUUAAAUUUAUAUAAAAAUUUUAUCAUAAAAAUACUCGGUAUAAAUUAUUAUUAAUAAAAGUAAUUUCUUAUGAGUAAAUUUAAUAAUUAUUGACGCUUGGAACCUUCCUGGAAGUUUCUUUAAAAUUAUUAAAAUAAUUUCAGUGAAGAUGCAGCUUUGUUGACUGUUAUUUCAAGUGAAGAAAUAAAUCGUGUACGACAACUAAAGAGGCUAGAGGGACCGCUAAGAGUAUCACCCUACCAGGCUAUACAUCCCAAUAUUAUCAGUUGAUUUUUCAAAAUAAAAUUUAAUGAGAUCCACUUAAAGGCUACGCGACAGAAUCCGAAGUCGUGGGACAGUUCCAUAUUAAUUUUUCUCUGAAGUUUCCUAAUGAAUACCAUCUAAUUUUUCUCUAUAUUUGUCUUAUUAUGAAUAAAAAUAUUAUUUUUAUUAUUUAUUAAUUUAUUAAUAUAAUAAUUAAAUAUAAAUAUAUCUAAAUAAUAUUAUUUUGAUAAAAAUAAUAAAAUUAUUUUUACUUUUAUGAUAUAAAAAUUAUUUCCAUCAUUUUACGUUUACUACUUAGAAAAUGAAGUAAUUUAUUAACCAGUUUGAAACUGUUAUUGGGAUGUUGAAAAGUGAUAUUAAGAAGCUAAUGAUUUAAUAUAAGUGUUUGGUAAAAACAUUAAAGUUACUUCUUAUAAAAUCAAUUCAUUGCCACAAGAGAUUUUGAUUUUGCAAAGCAGUGAAUGAGUUAUGUUUGGGGGGAUAUUAUAGCGUGAUCUGCCAUACCCAAGCGAGGAGUUGACCUUCUCGUAAGCGAGGAACAAUGUGACGUCCGAGAGCAGGAGUUUUCUCCUCGUCUAUGAGGAGACCAUCUGCUGGGACCAUAAUACGAGCAGGUUCCUUGCUAGGCAUCGAGAACAUUUCCUACUGGGGGCUAAAUCAGCAGACCCAGUCCAUGGCAGUUAAACAAGACAUGCGCUAUUAUUCGAGAAUCCAGGCACGAAGCCCACUCAGCUAUGACCACCACGUUCAAGCAUCCACUUCCAAGGAUUCUGGCAAAAUGGCAAAUGUGAGUUAAGGAGGGUUGAAUUCUCAGGGAGGCUAUAAAAGAGGCAAUCAAAGAAGAUAAAAGGGUUGGACACUAGGACACUAAAAAUUAACUAAAAGAAAAUCUAGAGGGCAUUCUUAUUGAAACCUCGGGAGAAUUAAGAUAGAUUACAGUACUUUAGAAAUAGUGAUAGAGCCACCAGAUUAGUGGCAAGGAUUUUCUACAGUAAACCUAGAUUACUAACUUGAGCGUCGGAGGAUUUACGUUGGGAAAAUCCCCGGCGUGCUCUGACUUGUUUUUGUGUGUGCAGGAGCUUAAAGAGGAAAAGUAGCAAGCCUUAUGGUCUGAUGCAUCUAAAAGGAGCAACACGAAAUCAUCCCCAAUCAAUUACAAAUUCAAUUGUUGAGGAGGAAUCCUAGUUGUGCACAAGCAGACCCGAAAUCCCGUAUCAAUAUUUUGGCGCCAUUUGUGGGGAGCUGAACAAAAAGCUUCCCUUAAUAGAGAGAAGGAAGGGAAGAAGAGCAGGGAGACUAUGGACGUAGGUAGGAGUAGUGCCCAAGGAGGAGAUCUGGGGCUGAACGAGUCCGUAACAUUGAGAGAGAUAACUAACGAAGCGCGAGAAAAGGCAAUGGAUGAGUGGAUGGAACAGAUAAAAAAAAAUGGAGACUCUGACAACCAUCUUGCACGAGCUGAGAAACGAACAAAAAGGAAUUCAAGAGGAAGGGAUGAGAAGUGGCGGAGUUACACCGAGGCACGUUAACAAAAGGAACAACGGUGAAGGUACCACCGCAAUGAGAGGUCGAACCACCGGGAGGCUUGGUGGUGGAGUGGAUGAUCAAUCUCUUCGGAGAGGAAGUCAGGAAGGAGGGGAUCAAUCCCCGGGCAAGCAGAACUAUGGUAAUAAUGAUAGAGCUGUGAAUGAAGAGGAAAGGGAACUUCGACAGCACCUGCGUGAUAUUGAGCAAGAGCGAGACUAGGUUGUGGCAUGUGAUACUGGUCGAGCCAUACAGCUGGAGGAAGAAGUGCAGAGACUAGCACAGAUCAUAGACGACAUGCAUGGGCGAAACAGAGGACCCGAUUAGAGAAUAAUGCUCGACGGUGAAUCCCCCCUCUCAGCAGAAAUCAUGAGUGUUGUCAUCCCAAGGGACUUCCGUUUCCCUAACCUCAAGUACGCGGGACGAAUCGACCCAUUGGUGCACAUAGAGUGUUUUAAUGACAUAACCAGAGUGCAGGGAUUAUCUCAAGCCCAGAAGUGCAGGGUGUUCCCACUGUCUUUAGAGGGACGAGCACAUGAGUGGUACUGAAGGCUUCCUCGAGGGAGCAUCAGAACAUUCGAGUAGAUGUGCCAGGAAUUUACAGAGCAAUUUCGGGGGGCAAUGGCACCCGAAAAUAAUAUGAUGGAGCUGACGAGUAUGAAGCAAUGAGAAAAUAAGACUCUUCGGGAAUUUAUUAAAAGAUACCAUCGCGUUGUCCUCGAUCUUAGAGCCUUCAAUCAUCCCCAAGCCUUGAGGGGACUAAAGGAAGGAGUAAGAAUAGGACGUCUGUGGUACAACUUGAGGAGUCCAGUAGUUCAGUCAUAUUUCGCGGCCUAUGAGCAGGCCAAGAGGGACAUAGAAAUCGAGGAGGAAAAUGAGGUGAGGAUUAAGACGGACCAACUGGAGGGGUUGAGGAGAAAAGAAAAAAAAAGUCCUAGCGGAAAGCGGGCCAAUUAAACGGAAGGACCACUAUACCCAAUUGGCAGUAUGAUGCAGCCUGCUCGUUCACCAGCCAUAGAUUCUCGGGGAAAGCCUGACUAGGUGUACAAUCAUCCUUAUCAUCAUCCCACGAUGGCUCAGCACCUGCAGGGUAUGAGAGCUGGCAAACUAAAGGCACCAAUGCCACCUCCUGCUCAAAACAACGCCCACAGAGAAAGGGCAAUGCACAUGAUCGAUCAGAGUUAGAGCUAUGGGUCGUACACUUCCUCGAAGGCGCCUUUGGACGAGGUGUACAAUGAGAUAAAGGACCGUGGUCUGCUGUAUCCUUAUAUCCCAAUAGCAAAACUACCCAGCAGACGAGGUAAGGGCCGGUUUUACGAAUUCCAUGGCACCCAUGGUCAUACUUCGGCCCAAUACAGGGAUCUUAAAAAUCAGUUGGAAGAUUUAGUGAGGAAUUGCUACUUGGACGAGUUCGUAGAUAGAGCUAUCUUAAUUGCAGGCUCAUCAUGUGGAGCAAAGCAGGGCACUAAAAAUGCAGGCCAUGGGCAGCCCAUCGUUAGAGUUCUCGCUAGGGGCCUAACAUUGGCUGGGGAUUCCAAUACAUCUAUAAAGAACUAUGCCAGGUAUGCAAUGACUAGCAAAGAAGUAUUCUUUAACACUCCGGUGGCAAAACGAGCAAGGACCGAGCAGGUGCCGAUCAUGUGGACGGAUGAGGACGAAGAAUGAGUGUUAUACCCACACGAGGAUGCACUUGUCAUUAAAGCCACCAUCGCCAGCAAGAAGUUUGAUCGAAUCCUGGUAGAUACUGAAAGCUCGGUCGAUGUCCUGUUCAAGUCAGCUUUAGAGGAAAUGGGAAUAGCAUAUUUGAGGAUAGAACACACUAACACAUCAUUAAAGGGGUUCGGGGGAGGAAGGUUAACCCCACUUGGAGUGGUCAAGCUACCCAUUACUAUAGGCUCUACUCCAUCAGAAAAGACAAUAAUCCUGGAUUUUAUUGUGGUCGAUGAAGAGAGCUCCUACUAGAUGAUUUUAAGCCGCCCCUUCGUGAGGAUGAGUAAGCAGUGUUAUCCAAUCAAUACUUGGCUCUCAAGUACUAGGUAAAUGGGGUGGUUGGCGUGGUACGGGGAGACAAGAGAAUUGCUCAAGUUGUUACACUACAAUAGCGAAAAAGGAGAUGCAAAUUACCUCAUUUGAUGCCCGGGUAGAAUUUAUGAGGGGCAGACAGGAGCCGGUUGAGGAGCUGGAGACUGUCAACUUGAAUUAUGAUGGCACAGGGAAAACACUUAGGAUUGGGUUGAAAAUAGAAGGGAGCUGAAGCAAGAGUUGAUACACUGCAUGUGAUCUCACACAAGUGUGUUCGCCUGGACGCAUGAUGACAUGCCGAGGAUCGACCCCAAGGUGGUUUCGACCCCAAGGUGGUUUACCACAGGUUGGUGAUAAAGAAGGGUGCCCGACCUGUGAGGCAACAGAGAAAGUGUUUCAACCAGGAGAGAUAAAAAGCUAUAAAUAGCGAAGUGGAGAAGCACUUGAAGGCAGGGCUCAUUUAGGAAGUGAACUACCCCGAAUGGAUAUCGAAUGUCGUUUUGGUAAGGAAGGCCAAUAGUAAAUGGAGAAUGUAUGUUGACUUCACUGACCUCAACAAGACAUGCCCGAAAGACAGCUUUCCCCUACUGAAGAUCGAUCAGCUAGUUGACUCAAUAGCAGGGCAUAGUCUGCUCAGCUUCAUGGACGCAUUCUCGGAAUACAACCACAUCCCAAUGUACGAGCAAGACGAGAAGAGUACUGCGUUUAUCACUAACCAGGGUUUGUUUUGUUAUAGGGUAAUGUCAUUCGGCCUUAAAAAUGCGGGUGCUACAUACCAGAGGUUGGUGAACAAAAUCUUUAAGCUAUUGAUUGGGCGAACGAUGGAGGUUUAUGUGGACGACAUGAUAACCAAAUCAAAAAGCCCGAAUGAAUACGUCAAGCACCUCGAGGAGACAUUUGGGCUUUUGAGAAAAUAUAAGAUGAAACUCAACCCGGAGAAGUGUGCUUUUUGAGUUUGAUCAGGAAAAUUCCUUGGGUUCAUGGUAAGCCAUCGAAAGGAUUGAGGCGAAUCUUGAAUAGAUCCAAGCAAUUGUAGGAAUGAGAUCUCUUUGUAAUUUGAAGGAGAUACAGAGCCUCAUGGGAAAGCUUGUAGCGUUGAAUUGAUUCAUAUCCAAGGCCACGGGCAAAUGCCACACCUUUUUCCAAGUGAUAAGGAGAGGAAGAAAAACAGAAUGGACCCCUGAAUGCGAAGAGGCCUUCCAGAAACUGAAACAAUACCUGCAACAAACACCCUUAUUGUCCAUAUCAUGAGAGGAGGACAUACUGUUCCUAUAUUUAGUUGUAUCUAAUCAUGCUACGAGCUCAGUUCUGGUGAGAGAAGAAGAAAAGGUCUAGUACUCAAUAUACUACACAAGCAAAGCUCUGCUCGAUGCCGAGACCAGGUACCCACCAUUGGAGAAGUGGGUACUCACCCUUGUAAUGGCUGCUCGAAAGUUGAGACCGUACUUCCAAGCAUUCCCAGUUGCGGUAAUAACAGACCAACCAUUGCGGCAGACACUGCACAAACCCGAUGCUUCCGAUCAGCUAGUGAAGUGGGCAAUAGAAAUAAACGAGUUCGAUAUAAGCUACAAACUCCGAGCAGCAAUUAAAGCCCGGGCGAUGGCAGACUUUGUGGCAGAGUUCAUUGGGCCUGAAGUAGACUUUGACCAAACGAGUGCUGCUGCAGGCAACAGCGGAGGCCUAGUCUGGCAGGUGUCGGUGGAUGGAUCCUCAGGUGAAUAGGGUGCCGGAGCAAGGAUUGUUUUGGAAAGCCUAGAAGAGGAGAAUAUCUCUUACGCUAUUAAGUUAGAGUUCACGGCCACAAACAACCAGGCCGAAUACGAAGCCCUAAUUGCAAGGUUAGAGUUAGCUAAAGUAGUAAGAGCAAAUAGGGUGAAAAUUUGGACCGAUUCCUAACUGGUCGCCAGCCAUGUCAGUAAAAGAUUCUAGCCCAGAAAUGAGAAGAUGGAACAGGAUCUAAAGAAGGUCAGAUAAAUGAUUGGGAAGUUCGAAUCAGUGGAUGUAGUACAAAUUCCAAGGAGUGAGAACUACGGGAUGGGGCGUUACUAGUAGAUAAGUUACGAGCACAGAGGAUCAGUUGUCAGCGUCGAGGUACACGAUCAUUUAUGGGGUGCUGUAUCGAUGAGGAUACACUCUACCGUUCCUUCGAUGUCUAGACGAAGACAACGCGGAUUACAUGCUAAGAGAAGUACAUGAAGGGGUUUGUGGAAACCAUUCUAGUGCGAGAUCUCUUGCCUACAAGGCUCUUAGUAUUGAGUGUUAGAAAAUAUAUAUUUAUAAAGGAGAAAAUCGUCAUUUUACAUUUUAAGUCUUACUAACAACCCUUACUUUUAUGUAUUUAAGAUUCUUGUAAUUUAAUUAUGUGUGUUUUAUUUUAAAUAAGUAUUUUGUGUAUUUUAGGGGCAUUAUAGUCAUUUCACAAUAAACGAGAGAUCAAACGGCAAAACAGACAUCACUUUUAAACUCAGGACGGUCGAAAACCUUAGGAGGAGCAUAAAAGGAAAAAUGCAUUGUUCACAUGUACAGUACUAUUCACAUGUACGGUACUGUCUACAUUACUGUUCACGACACUGUUCACAUAGACGGAUCGAUGACGUGGCAUUGACCGAUGAUGUGGCAUUAACUGAUGAGGUGUCAUGAUCCUGUUGGUCUAAAAUUCUUAUGAACUGUUGAUGGUGACGUGGCAGCAUAUUAGUGGACCAAAACUUGCGCGUACGGUACAUGCAUUACACAAGAUUAUUUUCAACCAAACCGUAUUACUGUUCAAAGCUGGGUCAAAUCGUGUUACUGUUCACCCACGUAGUCAAACCGCGUACUGUUGACUGAUGACGUGGCGCAAUCCUGAGCGUUCAAACUGUUUUUAAUCCGAUGGCUAUGAUUUACUCAAUGUAUCUAUAAAAAUGAGGCCUCCCCCCCUAAUUUGAUAACUCUGAAUCUAUUUUUGGGAUCCAUUUUCUGUAAUUUCUUCUCCAUCUUGUAUUUUCUAUGUAUUUUAAUAAAUUUCCAUUUUGCCCCUAAUUCAAUUAUGAGUAGCUAAUUUUCUUUCAAGCUUGGGUUGAAGGUGAAGUCUCAACAUGUGUCAUGGGCUUUAUUUGGUAAAUUUAUUUUCUCUUCUCCUCUAGUUUUUGUGGAUGUUUUGGCUUCUCGUCAACAAAUAAUAAUAAUAUUGUUUAGUACCACCUUGGUUUCACCGGCUCCCUAAUACAAGGUUAUUAUUAUUUGGCACGAUAAGCCCUUAGCACCAUAUUGAUUAGAGUGUGGUUCAUGAGGUGUGGAUUCCCCCCUCAUAAUUUAAUUGGUAUUAAUAAGGAAUUUUAGCCCAUGAUGCAUGUUGAUACGGAUCCAGAUACCCAAGUACGUCAUUUCAAUAGAUUUUUAUUCAAUUUAUUCUCGCCAUUUAAAUUCCAAUUUUAGGAUAAUCUAAGUUAUUUUCACCACAAAUCCAACCACCCUAAUACAAAAUUAAUUCUAUAUACGAUUAAAAUCAUCCUUCUCGUGGGAUCAACACUCGUUACCAUUAAUCUACACUACAAUAAAUUCGUGCACUUGCGAGUUCAAUAAAAUUUGCACAACACUUAGGCAAGGGUAUUUCUGGCCAACGAUGCACCAGAACGCCUAGGAAAAAACUAGGAGCUGUAAAAGCUAUCAGAGCUUUGCCAAUUUCCCCACCUAGCCACUAGAAAAACUCACUUCUAUGGCUUCGCUGUGGCUGUUUGCUUAAUGAGGAAUCGAUCUGAUUGGGCCUUUGCCAAAAGGACGUGGAGCAGCCACGCAUGCAGUGGUAGCAAUCGAUUAUUUCACGAAAUGGGUCAAGGUAGAAGCCUACAGCAGGAUCACAGAGAAGAAGACGACCGACUUCGUUUGGAGGAACCUAGUCUGUCGAUAUGGGAUCCUAUAUGCCUUGAUAGCAGACAAUGAUAUGCAAUUUGACAAUCAUAACUUAAGGGAGUUUUGCCAGAACCUUAGAAUAGAGCUGAAAUUCUACUCGCCUUCUCACCCUCUGUUCAAUGGACAAGUAGAAGCAGCUAACAAGGUUAUAAAGAGGCUUUUGAAGACCAGAUUAGGAGAGAAGAAUGGUGCAUGGGUUGAUGAGCUACCAGAAGUAUUAUGGGCGUACAAGAUGUCUCAUAAAACAGCUACCGGAGAAACCAUGUUCGCUCUAGCCUUUGGACAUGAAGCAGUCGUGCCCGCGGAGAUAGAGGCAACCACGCAUCGAACCAAGCACUUUGAUGAGCGUGAUUGUUGAGUGUUAGAAAAUGCAUAUUUAUAAAGGAGAAAACCGUCAUUUUACAUUUCAAGUCUUACUAACAACCCUUACUUUUAUGUAUUUAACCUUUUUGUGAUUUAAUUACAUGUGUUUUAUUUUAAUUAAGUAUUUUAUGUAUUUUAGGGGCAUUAUAGUCAUUUCACAAUAAAGGAGAAAUCAGACGGCAAAACGGACAUCAUUUUUGAACUCAGGACGGUCAAAAACCUUAGGAGGAGCAUAAAAGGAAAAAUGGCACUAUUCACAUGUACGGUACUAUUCACGUGUACGGUACUGUAUACGUUACUGUUCACGACACUGUUCGCAUAGACGGAUGAUGACGUGGCAUUGACCGAUGAUGUGGCAUUGACUGAUGAGGUGUCACGAUCCUGUUGGACUAAAAUUCUUAUGUACUGUUGAUGGUGACGUGGCAGCAUAUCAGUGGACGAAAAAUCUCGCGUACGGUGCAUGCAUCACACAGGAUUAUUUUCAACCAAACCGCGUUACUGUUCAUCCGGGUCAAACCGCGUUACUGUUCAUCCGGGUCAAACCGUGUUACUGUUCAUCCGCGUGGUCAAACCGUGGACUGUUGACUGAUGACGUGGCGCAAUCCUGAGCGUCCAAACUGUUUUUAAUCCGAUGGCCAUGAUUUACUCCAUGUAUCUAUAAAAAGGGGGCCUCUCCCCCCUAAUUUGAUAUCUCUGAAUCCAUUGUUGGGAUCCAUUUUCUGUAAUUCCCUCUCCAUCUUGUAUUUUCUUCGUAUUUUAAUAAAUUUCCAUUUUGCCCCUUGUUCAAUUAUGAGUGGCUAAUUUUCUUUCAAGCUUGGGUUGAAGGUGAAGUCUCAACAUGUGUCAUGGGCUUAAUUUGGUAAAUUUAUUUUCUCUUCCCCUCUAGUUUUUGUGGAUGUUUUGACUUCUCGUCGACAAAUAAUACUAAUCUUGUCUAGUACCGCCUUGGUUUCACCGGCCCUCUAGUACAAGGUUAUUAUUAUUUGGCACGAUAAGCCCUUAGCACCAUAUUGAUUAGAGCGUGGUUCAUGAGGUGUGGAUUCCCCCCUCAUGAUUUAAUUGGCAUUAAUACGGAUUAUUUAGCCCAUGAUGCAUGUUGAUACGGAUCCAGAUACCCAAGUACGUCAUUUUAAUAGAAUUUUCUUCAAUUUAUUCUCGCCAUUUCAAUUCCAAAUUUAGAAUUUAUUCUCGCCAUUUUAAUUUAAGUUUUAGCAUAUUCCAAAUCAUUUCCACCAUAAAUCCAACAACCCAUUUACAAAAUUAAUUCUACAUACAAUUAAAAUCCACCUCCUCGUGGGAUCGACACUCGUCACCAUUAGUCUAUACUACAAUAGAUUCGUGCGCUUGCGAGUACAUUAAAAUUUGCACAACAAGUUUUUGGCGCCGUUGCCGGGGAGGUAAGUAAUUUUAAUUAAUAGAAUUAAUUUUUGUGAAUAAUUUCUUUUAUUUGUUUUCUUGUAUUUUUUAUUUAUUAUAAAAAAAAAAAGAAAAAAAGAGUGAAUCUACAUUUAAAGGUUAGUAUUUCUUUUAUUUUUUCUCUUCUUUAAAAUUCUGUAAUUUAUUUUUCAAUUUAUUUUUCGUUGUAAUUUUAUUUUAAUUAAUUUAAUUUUUAGUUAAUUUCUUUCACGUAUUUGUUUUUGUGUAUUUUUAUAGAAAGGUUUUAAUAGCGCAAUAAGGUUAGUAUCGUAAUUUCUCCCUCUUCUUUAUUUUUAUUUGUUUUGUUCUCAUCCUUUUUUUAUUUAUUUAUUUGUUUUGCAUGCAUGGUCGUAGGUCAUUAUUACCUAAUCUUGAACCUAUAGACCUUGAAUUAGAAAAAACACUUCGCACACACAAACAAAUUAAAAAUAAAAUGGAUUUACAAGCACCACAGGAGAGGCCAUUUAAGGACUAUUUUAGUCCCUUAGCUAAUUUGAGCACAUCAUGCAUAAGAUACCCAAAUGUAGCUGCUAGGAGCUUUGAAUUAAAACCUAGUGUGCUAAAUUGUCUCCCCACAUUUUAUGGCCUAGAAAAUGAGGAUCCAUAUAAUCAUCUGAAUGAUUUUCAUGCCAUUUGUCAAACUUUUAAAUAUGAAAAUUUUUCAGAAGAUGAUGUUAAACUCAGAUUAUUCCCAUUUUCUUUAAAGGAUAGAGCUCGUUCAUGGCUUUGCCUGCUAAUAGCAUUUCAUCAUGGGAACAAAUGGUAACUAAAUUUUUAAAUAAAUAUUUCCCAGUGCAUAAAACCAAUGCUAUUCACAGGGAAAUCUCGGAGUUUACCCAGAGAGAUGACGAGCAGUUUUUCGAAACGUGGGAGCGAUUCAAUGGGCUACUCUUGAAGUGUCCACAUCAUGGGUACGAGAAAUGGCACCAAUGUCAAUACUUUUUGGAGGGAUUACUACCAAAUGUGCAAGAAUGGCUAAUGGCAACAAGUGGAGGAGAGCUAAUGUCAAAAAGUGCAUCAGAAAUUUGGGAAUUCUUCCAGCGACAAGCAGAUAAUUCCCAACAAUGGAGUCGAUCACUCAGGAAUACUAGAAGAAUUAAAGGAGUGAAUGAGGUUCAAAUUGGCGAAUCAACUUCGGGAAUCAAAGAAGUCAAGGAGAUGGUUGAAGGUCUUGCUCGACAAAUAGCAUCGUUAUCAACUGCGAAAUCAACAUAACCACAUGACCAUGACUCAUACUCAGAUCAAGCCAAUGCCAUAGGUGUAAUGAGAAAGCCAUUAAAUUACAACCCAUACUCCAACACAUAUAACCCUGGAUGGAGAGACCACCCCAAUUUUUCAUGGUCUCAAGGAUUCCAACAGAAUGGACCAGCAGCUCCAGCUCCAGCUCCACCAAUGCAACAAAUUUCUCAAAAUCCUCAAGCCUCUCAGCCCCCAUUUAGACCAUACAAUCAGAACCAGAACUACUCUCAACCUAGACCAUGGGAGGAUUCAUUCCAGAAUCUCAAGAAUCUUACUCACUCUACGAUUGAGCAACAGAACCGCACCAUUGAUGGACUACGAAAUGAGUUGAGAGCAGGCUUCAACUCACAAGCUCAAUCAGUUUCAAGCCUCGAGAAGAUAGUGGGACAACUUGCUUCUUCAGUUCAGACCUUGGCAAUGACCGUUGAGAAAGGUAAGUUUCCAAGUCAACCAGUGCCUAACCCUAAAGGAGUGCAUGAAGCAAGUACCAGUUCACCAUAGCAGCAUGGAGAGGUCAAAGCAGUAAUGACCUUGCGAAAAGGAAAAGAAGUCGACAACAAAGUGGAGAUGCCGGUGACAAAAGAAAAUCAAAUUGUACCUGUGAAUGUUGAGGACUCAUCACCGGAGGAGAAAGAAGAAACUAACCCACGAGAAUACGUUCCCAAAGCUCCAUUUCCUCAAAGGUUAGCUAAAGGAAAAAAGGGAAAAUCCACAGGUGAGAUUCUUGAAAUCUUCAAACAGGUAAGUGUUAACAUCCCUUUGCUUGAUGCUAUUAAACAAGUUCCAUCUUAUGCCAAGUUUCUUAAAGACCUUUGUACUAAAAAGAGAAAUAUGCAUGUUCAAAAGAAGGCAUUUUUAACAGAAAACGUUAGUUCUAUACUCCAACAUAAAAUUCCUUUAAAAUGCAAAGACCCAGGCUCCCCCACUAUCUCAUGUAGUAUAGGGAACCACACAAUUGAGAAUGCUUUGUUGGAUUUAGGAGCUAGUGUAAAUCUGUUGCCUUAUUCAGUAUUUGUGAAACUUGGAUUGGGAGAAUUACACCCAACUCCAGUGGUGUUACAGCUUGCAGAUCGGUCCACAAAAAUACCUCGUGGUAUUGUGGAGGACGUGCUUAUCCAGGUAGACAAGUUUUAUUUUCCUGUUGAUUUCAUUGUAAUUGACACUCAACCAAUACAGGAUUCAAGGAAGCACAUCCCCAUUAUCCUAGGCCGACCUUUCUUGGCAACUGCGGAUGCUCACAUUCAAUGUAGGACUGGAAAUAUGCAGUUGUCCUUCGGCAACAUGACUAUGGAGCUGAACAUCUUCAACAUUGCCAAACAACCUCACAGUGCAGAUGAUGGAAUUGUUGAUGUGGAUUUAAUUGAAGCAUUAGUUGAUGAUACUUUUCUUUCAAACCUUAGUGAUGAUCCUUUACAAACAUCUUUAACUCACUUUGGUUUGGAUUUUGAUAUUGACAGAUCAGUCGAUGAGGUCAACGCCCUGCUUGACUCAGCACCAUCUAUGGAUACUAAUAAAUGGAAGUCAAGAGUUGAACAACUAGCACCAUCAGAGAAGAAACUCAUCCCAUCAUCAGAAUCACCACCGAAACUCGAGCUCAAACCAUUGCCCAACACUUUGGAAUAUGCAUUUUUGGGAAAAGAAAGUACUCUGCCGGUAAUCAUCUCAUCAUCUCUUAAUGAUGAACAAAAAGGUAAGUUGUUGGAUGUUUUAAAAGAGCACAAAGGGGCAUUAGGAUGGACCAUAGCAGACAUUAAAGGUAUAAACCCAGUAGACUGCAUGCAUUACAUUCACCUUGAUGAAAAUGCUAAAACUAUUAGGGAAAUGCAACGUCGGUUAAAUCCUAACAUGAAAGAAGUUGUUAGAACUGAAGUCCUUAAGCUAUUAGACGCAGGUAUCAUUUACCCCAUUUCUGAUAGUUCAUGGGUCAGUCCUGUGCAAGUUGUCCCCAAAAAGUCAGGAAUCACAGUAGUUACGAAUGCUGAUAAUGAAUUGAUACCCACUAGAGUAACUACAGGAUGGCGUGUAUGUAUUGAUUAUAGGAAGUUGAAUUCUGUCACACGUAAAGACCAUUUUCCUUUACCAUUUAUUGAUCAAAUGCUUGAUAGAUUAGCAGGCCAUGAAUUUUAUUGCUUUCUAGAUGGCUACUCAGGAUAUAAUCAGAUUCCCAUAGCACCAAAAGAUCAAGAGAAAACUACUUUCACUUGCCCUUUUGGCACAUUUGCAUAUAGGAGAAUGCCAUUUGGAUUAUGUAAUGCACCUGCUACAUUUCAACGAUGCAUGUUGAGCAUUUUUUCUGAUAUGGUUGAACGAUUCCUUGAAGUCUUUAUGGAUGACUUCUCUGUCUUUGGUGACUCGUUUGAUCAAUGUUUACAUCAUCUAACACUAGUUCUGCAGAGAUGUAUUGAGAAGAACUUGAUCUUAAAUUGGGAGAAAUGCCAUUUUAUGGUAAAACAAGGUAUUGUUCUCGGUCACAUCAUUUCGAGCAAAGGUAUUGAGGUUGACAAAGCCAAGGUGGAUCUCAUUUCUAAUCUUCCUCCACCCAAAACAGUCAGAGAAGUAAGAUCUUUCCUUGGGCAUGCUGGGUUCUAUAGACGUUUCAUUAAAGAUUUUAGCAAAGUUUCUAGACCCUUAUGCAAUUUACUUGCUAAGGAUGUACCUUUUGUCUUUGAUGAUUCAUGUCUUGUUGCGUUUGAAAAAUUAAAGCAUUUGUUGACAUCAUCACCCAUCAUUCAGCCCCCGAACUGGAGCUUACCAUUUGAGCUCAUGUGUGAUGCAUCUGAUUAUGCAGUAGGAGCAGUAUUAGGACAAAGAGUUGAUCGAAUUCCCCACGUUAUUUACUAUGCUAGUAUGACAUUGAAUGAUGCACAGUUGAACUAUUCAACUACUGAAAAAGAAAUGCUAGCAAUAGUGUUUGCAUUAGAAAAAUUUCGAUCAUAUCUCAUUGGUUGUAAAAUAAUUAUAUUCACGGAUCAUGCUGCUCUUAAAUAUCUUCUCACAAAGAAAGAUGCAAAAGCCAGACUAAUUCGUUGGGUGUUACUUUUACAGGAGUUCGACUUGGAAUUCAAAGAUAAGAAAGGCACAGAGAAUGUUGUGGCGGACCACCUCUCUCGUCUCCAUUUUGACACAAUUACAGGAUCAUUACCAUUGAAUGAGUCAUUUCCAGAUGAACAAUUAAUGAAUGUGGAAGUAUUACCUUGGUAUGCUGAUAUAGUUAAUUAUCUUGUUACAGGUAAACUUCCAGAGCAUUGGACCAAGCAAGACAAGGCUAAAUUCUUUGCAGAGAUAAAGAAUUUCUUUUGGGAUGACCCAUAUUUAUUCAAGUAUUGUGCAGACCAAAUUGUUAGACGAUGUGUCCCAGAAAGUGAAAUUCAGAAUAUCCUUUCAUUCUGCCAUGAACAAGCUUGUGGAGGCCAUUUCAGUGCUAAGGAAACAGCGACUAAAGUUUUACAAUGUGGUUUCUAUUGGCCAUCUAUAUUUCGAGACGCUUACACUUUCUGUUCUUCAUGUGAUAGGUGUCAACGAAUGGGGAGCAUUACACGAAGGAACAUGAUGCCACUAAAUCCAAUUUUAGUGGUUGAGAUUUUUGACGUAUGGGGUAUCGACUUCAUGGGACCCUUUCCCCCGUCUUUUGGCCAUCAAUACAUAUUGGUUGCUGUUGACUACGUAUCGAAAUGGGUAGAAGCAAUUCCAUGUAGGACCAAUGAUCACAAGGUGGUGAUAGCAUUUUUGAAAAGCAACAUUGUUUCACGCUUUGGAUUCCCACGAGCGAUAAUCAGUGAUGGUGGUGCCCACUUUUGUAACAAAGCAUUCAAAGCUCUUUUGACAAAGUAUUCAAUCACACACAAAGUGGCCACUCCGUAUCAUCCGCAAACCAGUGGCCAAGUUGAGAUAUCCAAUCGAGAAAUAAAGCACAUAUUAGAAAAGACGGUGAGGCCGGACAGAAAAGAUUGGUCAUUAAGACUUGAUGAUGCCUUAUGGGCAUAUAGAACGGCUUUCAAGACCCCGAUUGGGAUGUCACCCUACAGGCUAGUGUAUGGAAAAGCUUGCCACCUACCUGUGGAACUCGAGCAUCGUGCAUAUUGGGCUAUCAAGAAAUUCAAUUUUGACAUGCAGCAAGCCAGCUCAGAAAGAAGAUUACAGCUGGCAGAACUUGAAGAAAUUCGCAAUGAUGCAUACGAAAAUGCCAAGAUUUACAAGCAACGAAUGAAAGUCUUCCAUGAUAAGCAAAUUAUGAGAAAAUCGUUCCAGGUCAGAAAGUGCUUUUAUUCAAUUCUCGCUUGCACCUAUUCCCAGGUAAGUUACGCUCUCGUUGGUCUGGUCCCUUUAUUGUUCAUACUGUUUUUCCACAUGGGGCAAUUGAAAUUAAAGACCCAAAGAACGGUGUCACGUUUAAAGUUAAUGGUCAAAGAUUAAAGCCAUAUCUAGAGUACCAACCACAUGAAGAAGACACCGAAAUAAAUUUGAGUGACCCACCAAAUUUGAAUUGAUUUUUUUUCUUUUCGUUGAUUUGAUUUUUCUUUCUUUCUUUUUAUUACUAUUCUUUUGCUAAUUGAAAUUGUUUUUGCAUAAGUGUGUUUAUUUUACCAUUAAGUUUUCUCUUAUCAUUUUUAAUCAUGAGUCUCAUACUUAGACCGUUCCUCCUGAACAUUCUUAAACCACUUCAACGUGUCAAAACUCAUCUCAAAAGGCAGAUUCAAUUUUGUAAAACACAACGCAUUUGGGCUCUACAACCACCAGAGUUAGUAGCCUAUGUUGAGGGUUUAGAACACCAACUCAGAGACAUUGAGAGAAGUGUUUACGACAUCCAGUUGGAGCUUGAGGUAAAUUCAAUAAGAGGACGAUUUUAAUUUUCUUUGUGUGUUUUAAAUUGUUUUUCUGUUUGUGUGCUUUAGUUUGUUACCCCGGUGAAGUGGCGGAUAACGGUACUCCGUGACAAUCAAGUCGGUUACUUCAGUUUCCCAUAAUAACUGAUAUUCUGAGGCGAAGGUAUGGACAGAAACGAGAUUCUAGCGAAGCUUCACAAGCGAUUCCCUUCACUUCCUCAAAAUGCCCUCCUUACGAUUUAUAAAGCUCGGUCCGAACGCAUGCGAUUACUCAUGAGGAAUAACAUACCUGCUGACAUCCGUUGGUUAAUCGAAGCGAAAGUACGAUCGGCAGGUGAGUUACCUCCAAAAUUUAUUGCAUACAUGCCUGGUUGUGGUAAAGGAAAUUAUGCAAGAAAACGACGAGCUCGAAGAAUUUAUGUUGCUUGUCAUAAGUGUGCCAGAAUGAGUUGCAAUAAAAACCCAUGUUCUUUAGGAAUGGUGUCUGAUAACAGGGAAGAUAAGAUUCAAUUCAUUAGGGAUGGCUUGAAUAAAGAGUCAUUGGAUGAUAUCCUUUUGUCUCUUGAAACGCAUCCCAGUGGAUAUGUGCAAGGAGCGAUUCUCCAGUUAUGGCCAUUAUUCCAGAAAGAGCAUGCCCGAUAUAGUCUCGGGAAUCUGACUAUAAACGACCCUGUUUGCCAGUUUAUAAGAAAACUGGAUAGGAAGCCUAUCCUCGACCCAUAGAGGGCGUUCAAGCCGUUUCUGGACGUAAAACCAGAGGAAGAUGUGAGCCACAGUCGCAACUACCUGUAAAUAUCCUUUUACUUUAUUGUUAUUUUAUUUCACUAUUGUCUUAUUGUUUGCAUUAUUGUCUUUAAUAAUUUUAUUACUGUUUGCUUUUUCCUUUUUACUGUUUUCUUUUUUACUUGCGAGCCACGUGCUUUACGCGUUAUUUGACACUGACAUAUUACCUCAUACACAACCAUGACCCACUAUCACCAAGACUCUUAAAUGUGAUUUCUUUUUUGUCAAUCACUCACAAAUUAUUUUUGCGAAGUAUCACAAUGGCAGCUACUCCCAAUAGACAAUUCAAGAACAUUUGUGUGCUUUCUGGAUUUACAUAUGGCAAACAUAAAGAGUUCGUUGAGGCAGCCAUAGAUCUUGGUCGACGUAUAGCAGAGAGAAAAUUACACUUGGUGUAUGGAGGAGGUAACCGAGGAUUAUCAAAAAUGGUCUCAGAAGCAGCUUUUAUCAGAGGAAGUCAGGUGUUAGGCAUCAUCCCAAGAGUUCUAAAACCAUUGGGCAGUUCGUCUGACUCAUCAACUGGAGAAGAGUUAGUCGUCUCAGGUAUGCAAGAAAGAAUAACUGAAAUGCUUAAUCAUGCUGAUGCUUUUAUUUUCCUUCCAGGAGAUCUUGCAACACUAGAGGCACUUAUCACGCUAGCAUCUUGGGCCCAUCUGCACAUCCACAAAAAACCCAUCGAUUUGUUAAAUGUCAAUAACUUUUAUGAUGGCUUUAUCGCAUUUCUUAACCAUGCAAUAAAAAACUAUUUCAUUCCCGCUAAUGUGAAAAAACUCUUUAUUUGUGCUCACACUGCUAAUGAGCUACUUGAUCUGUUACAAGCUUAUAAACCGGAGCCAAACCCCUGGACCUUUGUGUUGGAGCGCCCAAAUAAUGAUGGUAACAGUAGCCGCAGUAAGAAGUACAAAUUAGAUUUAACUCUCCGCUUGUAAAUAUUGUUUUCUGUGUUGCACCACCCAGGUGAUGUCUUCUAAACUCUACUUCUUUCCUUUCAAACAUUGAGGACAAUGUUUCGUUCUGGUUGGGGGGAGGGAAUAGUCAACAAUUGUGGAAUUUUGGUUAAGUUUUUACUAAUUUUUGUUGUAGAAACUAACUGUUGCUAACUUUUUGUGUCGAAGAUGGCUGAAUAUGGAGUGUAGUGACUCUAGAAACGCAUCUUCAUCGUAAAAAAAAAAAUUAAAAAACUAAAAAAAAAUUUCAGACAUUUUCUUUUUCUUUAUUAUAUGUUUAUGUUUAUUUUUCUUCUUUUUAAUUUCUCCUCUAUCAAUAUACAUUUUCCAACUUUUGAGUCGAAGAUGGCUGAAUAUGGAGUGUAGUUCCUCUAGAAACGCAUCUUCUUUAAAAAAAAAAUAAAUAAAUAAAAAAAUUAUUUUCGUUUUCUAUCAUUUUACAUGUAACUUUUCUAAUUAGUUUUUAUGCAUCAUUUUCACAUUUCUGCAUGCAUAUUUUCCUUUCAUGUUUAGAAUAGGUUGGGGGGUAGAAUGUUGUUUAAAAAAAAAAAAAAUUUGUGUGAUUUGUUUUAACAUUGGGUGACAUGAUUAAUUUUAAAUUUUAGUAUUUGUAUUAUCUUUGGUCUUAAGUGAUGUUACAUUAUGUUUGCUACUCUACAUGUUGAUGUCGGAGACAUAUAUGAGUUGCUUGAAGGAAUGAACAUGUCAUAAUAAGUACCAAGUGAGUUUUUGAGCCUAUCAUUUUUCUUGGAGAGUAACCAUUUUGCCCAUUCUUUAUACAGCUUAACAGUUUAUUAUUGUAUACACGAUCUCUAGAUUUCUUUUGAGUUAACCCUUAAUAAAAAUAAAAAUAAAAAAAAGAAAAAAAAAAGUGUGUUGCUACAUUUGGAGGCCCAUCUAACUAGUAGAUAUGGAAGGUUAUUUAGAGCCCUAAAAGACGAUGGAAAGGCCAUCUUUGAUCCGUUUGAGCCUUUCUAGCCAUCCCUUUUAUUAAAUAUCCAUAGUUAACCCUUUUGAGCCUUUAAAAAAAAAAAAAAAAAAAAUUUUCUUUGUCAACUUAUCAUCUUGACCCACUCCGAUUUGGAGUAUUACCCGAUAUCUUAUAAGUUCCAUCACCUAUUUAUGUUUGAGAAAAUGUAAAUAAUUAUGUUGUUCAGUGAAGUUAUAGCAAAAAAAAAAAAAAAAAACAACAAAACAAAAGUUGUUGUUUCAAAAGAAUAAAAAUAACAAUAAUAGGUGAAAUCCACCUUGCAAUUUCCAAAAAAAAAAAAAAAAAUUCUCUGCAUUUUUCUCAAACAUACACUUUGUUUUCCUUAUUUCCCUUCUUUGUUAACCAUGUCCCUAACCUACGUUACGUCCUAAUAAAAGUCCUUCUUGAUUUUAGGGAACUAUAAUUCGAAGUAGAAGCUAGUUAUAUGGGCUAAAAAGAUGUAGUGAUGCAUAAUUAAAAAAAAAAAAAGAUAAAUAAAGUGGGUUGACUUACAUUUUAUUUGACUUGAGAUCGUAUUAUUUCUAAGCUGAGGGCAUAUUUAUUUCAUCUUGGUGAGAGCAUGUGAUAUCACUUCUUUAUUAUUUUCUCUCUCAAUUACCAUUCAUUGGAGUGACUAUUUUUAUUGGGUUUAAUUUAUUUGUGAGAGUGUCACUACUUCCAGUGAGAUUUUGGGGUUUGACAUGUCAUUCUUGAAAGUAGCUAUAACAAAGUCUACUGGGCUAAUUCAUGUGGAUGGUUGAUGUGGGUGUGAUGUUGCUUUAGACUGGAGAUAAUGCUUAUACUUUUAUUUGAUUGCUAUCAUUAAUCUGACGGAAUAAAUACGAGUGUUUCUAUUAAAAAAAAAAAAACAAUAUUUUGAAUUUGAAUUUUGUUUUUGCUUUAUUUGCUAGGGACUAGCAAUAAGCUGGUUGGGGGGUGUGUUGAGUGUUAGAAAAUGCAUAUUUAUAAAGGAGAAAACCGUCAUUUUACAUUUCAAGUCUUACUAACAACCCUUACUUUUAUGUAUUUAACCUUUUUGUGAUUUAAUUACAUGUGUUUUAUUUUAAUUAAGUAUUUUAUGUAUUUUAGGGGCAUUAUAGUCAUUUCACAAUAAAGGAGAAAUCAGACGGCAAAACGGACAUCACUUUUGAACUCAGGACGGUCAAAAACCUUAGGAGGAGCAUAAAAGGAAAAAUGGCACUAUUCACAUGUACGGUACUAUUCACGUGUACGGUACCGGCCCUCUAGUACAAGGUUAUUAUUAUUUGGCACGAUAAGCCCUUAGCACCAUAUUGAUUAGAGCGUGGUUCAUGAGGUGUGGAUUCCCCCCUCAUGAUUUAAUUGGCAUUAAUACGGAUUAUUUAGCCCAUGAUGCAUGUUGAUACGGAUCCAGAUCGCAUAGACGGAUGAUGACGUGGCAUUGACCGAUGAUGUGGCAUUGACUGAUGAGGUGUCACGAUCCUGUUGGACUAAAAUUCUUAUGUACUGUUGAUGGUGACGUGGCAGCAUAUCAGUGGACGAAAAAUCUCGCGUACGGUGCAUGCAUCACACAGGAUUAUUUUCAACCAAACCGCGUUACUGUUCAUCCGGGUCAAACCGCGUUACUGUUCAUCCGGGUCAAACCGUGUUACUGUUCAUCCGCGUGGUCAAACCGUGGACUGUUGACUGAUGACGUGGCGCAAUCCUGAGCGUCCAAACUGUUUUUAAUCCGAUGGCCAUGAUUUACUCCAUGUAUCUAUAAAAAGGGGGCCUCUCCCCCCUAAUUUGAUAUCUCUGAAUCCAUUGUUGGGAUCCAUUUUCUGUAAUUCCCUCUCCAUCUUGUAUUUUCUUCGUAUUUUAAUAAAUUUCCAUUUUGCCCCUAGUUCAAUUAUGAGUGGCUAAUUUUCUUUCAAGCUUGGGUUGAAGGUGAAGUCUCAACAUGUGUCAUGGGCUUAAUUUGGUAAAUUUAUUUUCUCUUCCCCUCUAGUUUUUGUGGAUGUUUUGACUUCUCGUCGACAAAUAAUACUAAUCUUGUCUAGUACCGCCUUGGUUUCACCGGCCCUCUAGUACAAGGUUAUUAUUAUUUGGCACGAUAAGCCCUUAGCACCAUAUUGAUUAGAGCGUGGUUCAUGAGGUGUGGAUUCCCCCCUCAUGAUUUAAUUGGCAUUAAUACGGAUUAUUUAGCCCAUGAUGCAUGUUGAUACGGAUCCAGAUCGCAUAGACGGAUGAUGACGUGGCAUUGACCGAUGAUGUGGCAUUGACUGAUGAGGUGUAGAAUUUAUUCUCGCCAUUUUAAUUUAAGUUUUAGCAUAUUCCAAAUCAUUUCCACCAUAAAUCCAACAACCCAUUUACAAAAUUAAUUCUACAUACAAUUAAAAUCCACCUCCUCGUGGGAUCGACACUCGUCACCAUUAGUCUAUACUACAAUAGAUUCGUGCGCUUGCGAGUACAUUAAAAUUUGCACAACAGUGAUAACAACGACCAGGUAUAUUUAAAUAUGGACCUAUUGACUGAGAAGAGGGAGGUAGCAUCGAAGAGGUUAGCUACUUACCAGCAAAGGGUAGCUCACUGUUACAACUAGAAAGUGAGUGUACGACAGUUUAGGGUGGGCGAUUAGGUGCUUAGAAAGGUGAAUGAGAACACUAAAGACUCGACACAAGGUGUACUCGGUCCUAACUGGGAAGGGCCAUAUAGAGUCAAGUAGGUGGUCAGACUCGGAGCCUACAAGCUCGUUCGCACGGAUGGACACGAGGUGAAGCGACCAUGGAAUGCAGCUCAUCUCAAAAAAUAUUUUCAGUAAGACCUAGUAGUACUUAGAGUUAUUUCUGUUUAUUUCUGUUGCUAUUUGUUUUUCUUGUUCAAUCAAUUUCACGUAAGACGAGCUCAGUGAUCAAUGAAGUUUGAAGGAAUUUCAUUCAACUAGCACUGAUGUAAAAAAAAAAAAAAAGGAAAAUUUCUAAGGCAUACAAAGGGUUCAAAGUCUCAAAGUCUGCUCGAUAGUGAGACAAGAAGCCAAGCUUGCCAGAAUUUGCUCAACCAUGAGAAGGCGAGCAGACAAUCAUAAAUUCAAUAAAGUUUCUAAGGCAUACAAAGGCUUCAAAGUCUCAAAGCCUGCUCGAUGGCGAGACAAAAGGCCAAGCUUGCCAGAAUCUGCUCGACCAAGUGAAAGCGAGUAGACAAUCAUAAAUUCAAUAAAAUUCAUAAGGUAAGUAAAAGCUUCAGGAUCUCAAAGCCUUAUCAUAAGUGAGACCCAAAGCCAAGCUCACAAAAUCCGCUUAACCACAUAUUGGCCAGCAGAUAGUCUAAUGCCUGAAAAAGCUUCCAAAGCAAAGCAAAGAGUUUGAAGUCUUGAGCUAAUUCAAUAGCGAGACAAGAAGUUCAAAUAUGUGUGAUUAUGCUCGGCCAAAGAAUAGCGAGAAAUGUUCAAUUGUUCCAAAAGGUUCCUAAGGCGAAGCGUUUUGACCAAGUAAUUGCGAAUAGGCAAUCAAAUGUUUGAAAGAAGAUUUCAAAGUUAAACGAGCAUUCUUUUAGUGAAAAUCGCUGAUCCUACUCGAUCUAGGACAUAAUGUUGCAAUCCUCCAACAGUAAUAAAAAAUAAAAAAGAGAGAAAGAGCAAAUAAACUGAGGAAUGUCAUUAAUAAUUUGGCAGCAAUAGUAAAUAGUCAACAAACUGGACAUACAACGUCUAUAAUAGAAACUUGUGAUACAUUCAAGAGGAUGGAAGGUCAGUAAGCAGAUCAUCUACUGGGUGGUCAACUUGGGGAGUAGGGGGAGCCUCGCCAGUUAUGCCUGGCGGGGGGUGCUGGCCUCGGCAGCAUCAGUAGGAGUAGGACGAGGACGGGAGGUCACCUCCUUCGUUACGUUUGGCUCCAGCUCUUCCCCACCUUUUUUUUGUCGCCUCCUCGUUCAUGUAUUCAGUUAUGCCAGCAACGCUCAUCCAUCUUCAAACCAGGGUGCUGCUUCCUGAGAACGGCCAUGAUGCAUUGAUAGGAAUACCUGAGUCCCUCGUCGUAUUGAUUAUCGACCUCCUUCUCCAAGUUCUCGAUCUGAGUCUGGUGAGAGGCAUGAAGUGACUCCAGUAGAGUCUCAUAGGAAACCCUUUGUGCCUCUAAAUCCUCCUUAUCCUUACUCAACUCUUCUUCAAGAGUGAUAGCCUUCGCCUGGGCAAAGAAGGCCUACUUUAUCAAUUUUAAGUUCUUGGGAAUAAGAUCUCUAGCUUUUUUCUCAACAGCGUCAAUUUUACUUUUAGCGGAUUGAAUGUCCUCUUUUAUCUUACGGUUAUAGCGGUCGACCUUUGCCUAAUAGUAGGUAGCCAUACAACCCAGAUGGAAAGUGCUAAAUUGCAUACGCCCAACCAGCUCGCCAAGGGUACUGCCAUCAAAGUCCUCCAAAUCCUUUUUGCUCAUGAGCUUAGAAAACUCGUUGAGUAAGGAGUCAGGUACUUUAGUCGGUCUUUUGGCAAUCGAUGUUUUGGUCUUGCUGGGGGAGGGAGAGUAGCGGGACUAGCGCUGCUUGUAGCCCCAUUAGCUUCACCAGCCGUUGGAGGAGGAGGUGGCAAUUUCUUGAAAGGGGAAGUUCACUCUGCAGUAUUGACCCGUUUUCCAGGGGAACCUCUUUGCUGCCACCUCCCUUAGGAACAUUAGGGCGAGAACAUUUUUUGCUCAAAGCCCCGAUCACAACAUCCUCCAUAGCAUAAGCGUCGGAUACUAGGCAAGAUUCGACCAGGCUGCAAGUAGACAACAUGUCUCUACACGAGUAAGAAUUCACUAAUGCAGUCUUAACCCGCUUCCGUAAUUUAGGCUUAAGGCCGUGAUGUACACCCCAAGAACCUGCAACACAAGCAAAGACCAUGAUAAAAACAAUUAUGUCACUAGGACAGCUAAGGGUGCAAUACAUCUAAGGAGAGCAGGCAACAUGGAACUAUGAAACGAGAGGGAAUGUAAACGUUUCCUCCAUCAGUAUAUGCCACUUGACCCCAAGGACCCCCAGUGAAAAAGAAUUUCCUCUUCCAAUUCCCACCACCACCUGUUGGGAGAUCAGUUAUAGGUUUCCUGGCCUUGGUACUCAACAUGAAAUAGUACUGUCCGUCAUCUUUUAGGGCUGCUCUUUAGCUGAUAUAGGUGUUUGAGACCUCAUCAACUGUAGGCUCACUCUGACCAUAUCUAUCCCACAGAACGAACAGACUAGAGAGAACCCUUCAUCCGUUAGGAUUAAGUUGACUAGGAGCUAUAUGUAGUCCACUAAGCAUUUGGAUGAAAUAAGGUUGCAAAAGAAGCCUCAUUCCCAAUUUAAAGCUUUCUAAAAACAAAGUAACUAACCCCUUGGGAGGUCGACUGGGAGUAUCUUUUUUCCCGGGAAUUCUAAGCUCUAUGCCACCAGAUAUCUUGUAAAUGAUUUGAAGCUCUUCAAGGUCGUCUACUGUGGUUAAAUAGGUCAUAAGGUCAACAGGGUAAUGCUCGGCUAGAGUUAUACCACUCAACUUCCUCUUUUUCUCUGGUCGAGCUAGUUCUGGUGAGGAUGCUUCACCAGAUUCUUCACUUGGGUGCCCAUUUAUGGUUUUCUUUUAGCCAGAAGAUCCCUCAUCAUCACUGUUGCUAGGCGAGGUGGUUACUUCAGGAGACAUCCUCCUGGCACUACUCCUAACACUAGAGGGUGCUACCGGCUCUAAGGGGAUCCUGGGGUCGAAAGCGGGCUCUGCAAGUAGACCAAGGAGGAAAUCUAGUUCGUCGUCAUCAAUCUCGAUUACCUUUUCCUUGCUUUUUGACAUUUCCUAAACUAUACCUAGAACAACACAACUAAACGGCACUCAACCCAAGAAAAAUGACAAUUAUCCAAGAUUGAAGAAGAGAAAAUAAUACUUGGAACAGUGGCACACUAAGACAGAGGUAAGAAAAGUGACUUCAACUUCGGGGGAGAAAGAUCACUCGGGCACCGGGGGUGAAAAGAAGACUAAAGGAGGAAAAUUUCCUUUGAGAGUUAGGGUUCCCAAGUAAUGUGAAAACCCUUGGUUUAUUGGCAUUUAGCGACGCACACUUCGAGGGUUUCAUAACUGUCGGUUUGAAUUUUGAACGAAUGGAUAAAUUCCUGCCACCUCACCUGCAUUCAAUUACGAUUCGAUUCUUCAGGGAAAUGAUUGUUAGGAGCUGAAAAGGGGAGUGAAUGUAGAAAGUGAGCAGAUCCUCCUCCCAACAUCAAGAGAUCGAAAUAUACUGCGAGCAAACUAAGGUUAUUAAGUUUCUAGUAUUGAUCCAUUGCAUUACCAAUGCCAAAAGCUGGGGGACCGGUGUUUGGGAGGAUAUUAUAGCGUGAUCUGCCAUACCCAACCCAGGAGUUGACCUUCUCGUAAGCGAUGAACAAUGUGAUGUUCGAGAGCAGGAGUCUUCUCCUCGUCUAUGAGGAGACCAUAUGUUGGGACUAUAAUACGAGCAGGUUCCUUGCUAGGCAUCGAGAACAUUUCCUGUUGGGGGCUAAAUCAGCAGACCCAGUCCACAGUAAUUAAACAGGACAUGUGCUAUUAUAUGAGAACCCAGGUACAAAGCUCACUUAGCUACGACCACCACGUUCAAGGAUUCUGGCAUAAUGGCGAACAUGAGUCAAGGAGGGCCGAAUUCUUAGGGAGACUAUAAAAGAGGCAAUCAAAGAAGGUAAAAUGGUUGGACACUAAGACACUAAAAAUUAACUAAAAGAAAAUCCAGAGGGCAUUCUUAUUGAAACCUUGGGAGAAUUAAGACAGAUUACAGUACUUUAGAAAUAGUGAUAGAGCCACCAGAUUAAUGGCAAGGAUUUUCCACAAUAAACCCAGAUUGCUGACUUGAGCGUCUGAGGGUUUACGCUGGGAAAAUCCCCGGUGUGCUCUGACUUAUUUUUUUGUGUGCAGGAGCUUAAAGAGGAAAAGCAGCAAGCCUUAUGGUCUGAUACAUCUAGAAGGAGCAGCACGAAAUCAUCCCCAAUCAAUUACAAAUUCAAUUGUUGAGGAGGAAUCCUGGUCGUGCACGAGCAGAGUUACUUUUAAAUUAAACAAAUUAGAAGACUAAAAAUAUUAUAUUUUUAGUAAAAAUAAAAUUAUUUAUUUUUUACUAACAAUGUUUUUUUUAAGAUAAAAAACAAAGGGGCGGAGAUAUUUUAACUUAAGAAUUUGAUUGUAAUCUAAGCAGCAAAAUUUUAAAAUUUAUUUAAUUCAAUCUAAGGUAUGAGAUAAUUGAUUAUCUGAUAGUAAAACUUUAACAAAAUAAGAUUCAGAAAACAAAAGCAUAGAUGACAUAUUAAAACUUAAUAAAAUAAGAGAGAAAGAAUACCAACUCUUUUUCCUCAUUCCUCAACGAUUAUAGUAGUAAUAACAAUUCCUAACCGAAAUUGAAAAAAAAAUAAAAAAAUAUUCAUCCCCAUUCUCACAAAUCACAUUCAUCCCCAAGAAAUCAAUACUCCAUAAUUUUGUCAACGACAUAUUCCGUAAGGUCAACAUAUCCAUAGUUUAACAUUAAGGGUGCGUUGGGGAUUGAGGUGUUGUAGCUUGCUGUAGAAAAAAAAUUGUAACUAUAAAAUAAAAGUUAAAAAUAUGUAGUAAAUAUAAAUUUUAAAUAAUAAUUUUGAUAAAAUUAUUAAAGAUAUAAUAGAUUCUCUAUUAUACAAGUAAAAAAUCAUAUCAACAUAUCUUUCAAGUUACAGCAGCUAGUAUUUACUAAACACUUUACUAAUGUAGCUUUUAAGCUACAGUUGUCCAACUUCAAUCCCAAACGCACCCUAAAUCGUGCUCACUAUUCAUCUCCACUUCUGUUCAUUGAUCUUUGUCAUAGAUCGUUUAUAUUCCUCCAUUGCUUUACUUUCCCACUCAAAUCAUAGUUUUAGCCUCUCCAAUCAACAAACAAUCCAAGGGUCUGAUCCUAAAUUCGUGAGUUAAUUGAUUGAACGACAUAAAUGGUCAUAUUUUGAUGUCCAGAUUUAAGUUAAAUUCUUAAAUUAAUUUAAUCCCUCCCAAAACAAAAAUAUUACAAAUACAUACAACAUAUAUUCAUAGCUCUUAUAACAUUGGGUUAUUUGCACACUAAAUAGACUAAAACACUCUAUUACUCUUGUGCACCGUCCACAAUAAUUUUGCUGGCCUUAAAUUGCAGCUUUAUGGCUAUUGUUGAACCGCGUUUUCCAAAAGAAAGAAAUAGUGAAUGAUAGCCAAAAAUUAAUAAUAAAAAAGGUGAAAAUACUAUUCGCCACUGUCACUAAAGAAAAUAAUAAAAAUAAAAAUAAAUAAAUUUUCAAUUAAUCUCACAACAUAUUUUCCAAUAGACUCAUACUCACGAUUACUUAUUUUCCUUGAGCCUUCCUGGGUGUGGAUGACAAAAAAUCAAAAUUUUCCUAUUUACUUUUGAAGAGAAAAAACUUUCCUUGUCCCAAACUAUACCUUUGAAGGGGGAAAAAAAAUAACUAAAAUUUUCCCUGGAAAUUUUGGCGUAUUUUUUGAAGAUUUUGACCAGAAAAAUCCUUUUAUCACCGACAAUUACAUUUGUAAUUUCAUCUCAUCAGAUCACAAUCAAAGCCGAUACAUUGAGUCGUCCGAUUAACUACAACAAUUGUGUCUACUAACAACUCGCGUGUACAUCAAUACAACACUUAGAUUUUUUAGUACAUUUUUUCUUUAAAUACACCAUCUACACUAUUUCUAGUUAUUCACGUUUCGAUAGUUACAGUCGACUACAAAUUUUUUAUCGUGCAAUUGGAAACAAGCCAUGUUCGUUGUUCACUUUUUCACCAAGCCUAAAGUCGGAGACUUCGCAUUCUAAAAGUCAAGAUUUGCAUGCUUUAAUUGCGAGCUAUUAGAGCUGAUUUUGUUCCGUUAUUUUUGACGUUGAAAUCUAGAUUUGCCUAUAAAUUGGAUGCAAAAUUCAUAGGCCAGUAAUUGAGAUAACUAAAAUGUUCUCGAGUGAUGUGGGAACUUGAUUGUAUUAAGAAUUUGGAUUGUGAGAUAAAUAUUUCAAUAUUUGUAUUCCCUACUUUAAUAGUGAAAUACAUUUUUUUUUUCUUUCCCCGCAAAUAUUGACUUAUCUGUGUAUGCUUUGUGUGAUUGAUAUUUGCCGUAUAUUAUGGGAUUGUCGCAAAAAAUAAUUUCAAUGAAGAUGCCUAGAAUGACCGUUUAAUUUGAUGACGGUAAGUUGAAGUAUAAGAUGAAGAGAAGAGAGCACCAAAUGGUCAAUGAUCAGUCAAUGUCAUCGAGUAACUAGCAAUCAGAUGAAAAGACAAAGGCAGAUUGUGGUCCAAAAAAUUUAAAAUUUCAUGAUGGUGGUCCAACAAAUUUAAUUUCUUUUCUCAUUUUAAAGUCCACCCAGUAAUUUCUUGGAAGCUGCCUUAUGUUACUUGAAUAUGAAUUUCAAAAUAUUGUCUGAGUAGACAAAAUAAAUAUGCAGAAAAGUUUUCACAUACAAUGUUAAGGUUCAUGCAAAAUAAAUAUGCAGAAAAUUUACUAAAGAGGUAAGAAAAUGUUGAUGGGACCCAUUGAUCUCAUAUUAUUAUUUUUCCAUAAAUUAAUUAAAAGUUAUUUACUUUAACUCUGGCUGAAAAUUGGGUGCAAAAGUAGAAAAAUUCAAAUGUUGGUGCUGCGUUAACAUUCAAUACCUUAUGAUACUUGUGAUAUCUACUUGAGUUUUUGUCAAAAAUUGGGUGAUGUAAAAUAUAAACUUUUUUAUAAUAUUAUUAAAUUUUAUUUUAAUUUUUUGAACUUACACUUUUAUAUCAUAAAGUAUUCGAAACUUUGUAUGGCAAUGGGUGAGAAAUUGUGAUUCCAUUCAAAUCCAAAAUAUUGAAGCCAAACAAUGAAGAGGAGAUGGAAAAGGACUUCAUCGGAACAUGGGUUUGUAGCUCGAAUUAGAGAAGAUAAAGACAAAAAAGAAAAGAGCUGGCACUACCUAAUGCUAUUUUGCUAAUGGUCAACGAGUCAAUGACAGCCAGAAGCAAAUAAUCCCAAUUUAUAAACAGAACAAAAUGUUGCAUUUUUUGGUUUAUAGCAUCCAGAGAACCUUCAAUGGAGAAGAAAAUUUAUCGCAUUGGGAAAUAAAAUAUGUGAUAUUUCCAAAUGGUACAUUUGUUUAUAUAACCGAUCGGGACUGAUCAAACAGAUACAUCUAUAUCGUCCAAAAAUGAGAUAGGAUUGAAAAAUGGGAAAAAAAAGAGAAAAAAACAAAAUAAUGAAGUGAAGAAUAUGCUUAACGGAUUUCAAAUGCACUUUAAUUAAAUCCACUGUUUUGACAUGGAGGCAAGGGGCACGCGUAAAAUCCCAACGUUCAGGAACUAUAUGUAGUCCUAAGUACGCAAACAUAUUUCCUCUUCUGAUGAUUCUAAUUAUUCUAACAAAUUGAAUUUUAUACAAAAUGCGUGGUGGGACUGAGAUCGUGGAAUGGGUAUUUUAAACAAGGCUUCACUCAAUUAAAAUAUGCAGUCAUGAAACUAUGAAUUAUCAACAAAAAUCAUGGGAUGCUUUUGAAGUCGUUGGUUGAUGAAGAUAUAGGAGUUGCUUCUAGGGAUUUUGCUUUUGCAGUGAGUUUGCUACGAAUUUGAUGUUAGAUUUGGGUGUAUAAUAUAUUAUUUUGAAUUUCUUAAUGAUAGAGAUAAAAAACAUAACAAAUUUUUUGUCAAACUCUUUCAUAUAAUACCUCAAAAAUUUAUGAAAUCUUUUUAAAAUAUUCGAACAGUUUUUUGAGGCACUGAACCACAAAAUUUGUCAAUGCAUUUGCAAUGACUAUUGUCCCCCUCGUCAAGAGAUUCAAACAACAUAUUAUACACAUAAAUCUAGCCCAUGCUGAAAAAUGCUUUACAUCAUUAAAUUACAAAGACGAAAUCAUCUUUUUGUAAAAAUCCAGUACCAUAUUCUAACAUGUUAAUGGCAAUUUUUUCUUUUUUCUUUUUUUUUGAGAAUAUGACUAGGUGUUAUAAAUGGUAUAUUUAGAAAUUUCGAAUACACAAAUAGUACAUUUCAAAGUAUUGUAAUAUUUUUUACUUUUUGCCCUCAUCGAAGUGGAAAAAUGGCAAUUUCCCAUUACAUAAUCAUUUUACACAUAUUUCCUAGCUGAUGCUAUCAAAGUUGACCAAACACACACACACACACACACACACACACACACACACACAUAUAUAUAUAUGAGAGAUUACCAAUUUUCCCUACUGAAAUUAAUAUAUACUACUUAUCUCUUAUUAUUUUUGUAAUAGAAAAUUACCCUCCUGAUAGUAUAAUUUUAUAAUAUUACCCUUAUUUCCAAAUAUACUUUACAAUAAAUUAUAUAAAUAGAAAUUAAAAUAAAAAAAUUAGGUGAAUAAAAGAUUAAUAAUAAGAUUCUUAUACUUUCUGUUAUUUUAUAAAUAUUUUGUUAUAAUAAUAUGAAUAAAAAUGUUUUUGAAAAUAAGGAUAAUACUGUAAAAUUAUGCGGUCAAAGAGAUCAUUGAGUAUUUUAAAAACAAUAAGAAAUAAGUAGUAUAUAUUAAUUUCAGUAUGGGAAAUUGACAAUCCCGCUAAAUAUAUCUAUAUCCUCAUUUUAUGAGGGGAGGAUUAAUGAAAAAUGAAAACGAAAAAGCAAAAACAAAAUAAUGAAUAGAAUAAUUAAUAUGAUAAAUGGAAUUCAAAUACAUUUUGAAUCCAUUGUUAUGACAGAAGGGCAGGCCGUACACUCCCAACAUCCAGAAACUAUAAAUAGUCCUAAAUACACAAACACGUACCCUCUUCAGGUGAUUCUAAUAAAGUGGGAGUGGUUAUGCAGCACUUCACUCAAUAAAAGUAUGCAGUGAAAUAUGAAUUAUUUGAAGCAGCUCUUUAAUCGUUGCUGUGCUUUUUGCAGUACCCAAAAUGACACACUAUCAAUGUGGUCAAUAAGUCAAUGACAGCGUAGACAAACGUUGGUCACACAAUUAAUGGCAAUCUAGAUCGAAAAAGGAGGGGGGGGGGGAAGACAAUGGUCCAUGGUGAAGAUGGUUAAUUUAAUGAUAUAUUUUCUAAAAUGAACUCCUAGAUGCAUCACUAGGAAGCGUUAACAAACUCAAAACAAACCAUGUCUGAAUCGAACUUUAAAAUUUAUGCGCUUCAUACUAAUUAUGUUCUGGUGUCAAACUGUCUAAGGCGUAGUGAUGGUUAAUCAAUAAUUAACAUAGAUGAUUACAAGUAUUUGAUGGUUAAUCAAAAGCAGGUGCAAAACGAUUGCGCUUUGUUUAGUGGAGCUUUGCACUUUAAUCGUUCAAGUCCAAUGCAAGUUUGGUUUUAUGGCAAAUUUGUCGUCACAUGUGAUACGCACGUUAGUCGCUUAUGCUGACCAGGUCAAACUUCUGUUAAGUGUGUUAGAGAGAGCUGAAAUCAGUUUCUGAGCUUAAUGACCUCAGCUAUAAAAGGCUGGCUAUCGGCAUAAAUUCAUGGAUCACGUCGUGACUUUAGAGAGGGAUUAUAGAGAUAUUUCUUAUUAUAAAUUGUUCUAUGUAAAGUUUUUAGCAUUCUUGUAAUCUUCAGAUCGCUUAAUCAAUAACUAAAUCGAUUUGUUACUUGCAUGGAAUUAGGCCAGUUGGUGGCUGAACCAUCAAAAUCAUCUUCUUUUCUUGAUCUGUUUUGUUAAUUGUUUGUUUGCUGCAAUUUGGCUUUCUGUGUCUCUUUUCAGAUCUUAUGAGUGCAGUCUUGGUCUAAUGAUGCCAAUUGUUGUCUUUUUUCAAGUAGAACAAGGCAGAGACAUAAUAAAGUUUACCCUAUAAACGUGCAUGAAACAGAAGUUACAGGAGAGAAAGACGACAGGAAAAAUGCAGGCAGAAAGAAACUUUACCUUCUAAACAUGCUGCGAAAGAUACAGCCAGCGUUGAACUUCAAAUUGUGUUUAGAAUUGGGAGUAAAAAGCAACUAAGCUUCAAUAAUGAAGAACCAAUAAGAUAAAAAACACAGUUAACUUGGCUGAGGGGGCAGUAAGUUUUAGGGAAGCUGAAGUUAGUUAAAACCUAAUAUACAGAGCGACAGUGUUCCAUAUGGCCAAAGUUUGUGAAUUGAUUCCUUCAAAAGUACGUAACACAGUAGACCAAAGGCAAAGAAUAAUGACCGCGUAGAACUUUUAACAGGAUUAAUUGAAUGUUCAAAAUUAACUGAUACCAAUUCAACAACAUAAUUGUUGCAUAUCGCAAUUGGCAAGCAAUAAGAUUCUGUAUUUGUACUCUGAAAAAGAAUCCCAUGUUGACAUACACACCAUUCAAAAUAAAAAUAAGAGAAAUUAUCAGCCAUAUACCCUUAAAUGACACCUGUAUCAAACGUGUGUGAACACUUUUCAAGUGUAUCACUCGUAUACCCUAAGCUGACAAAACACUUCUGCCGUCCACCAAUCCGUUAACUUCCGUUUGCAAGUGCUGACAUCAUAAGGGUAAUUUAGUCUUUUAAGAUUGACGAAACUUUAAUUAAAAAAGACAUGUUAUCCUAUUUACCUAGUAAAAAAUUAUAUGUCAUAUAAUAUAUAUUGAUAAAAAUGACAUGUCAUCCCAUUUAUCGGAUAAUUUUUAAUAAUUGCUAAAAAAACUACUUUACAACCGAAUCUACUCCUCCAAGCUCCAACUAGAAAUUUUUAUGGUAUAAUAUGUAUAAUUGUAAAUAAUAUGUUGUUAAUAAUUUUUUAUGGUAUAAUAUGAAUAUUUUUUAUGGAUAAUUGUUAAUAAUAUGUACCAUUAAUAAUUCAUUUUUUAAUCAAAAAAAUGUAUUGUUAAUAACAAAAUAAAAAAAAAUUGUGUAUUGAAAAUUUAUGUUAAUUUUUGGGGUAAAUUUAUCUUUUUACCUUAUUUUGAGUUUCAAGGGCAAAAGUGUUCACAAACGUUUGAUACGGGUGUCAUUUAAAGGUAUAUGGCUUAUAAUUUCCCUAAAAAUAAAAAUAAAUAGAUUGAGAUAGUUUAUCCACAAAAAUGAGUAAUGGUGGAGCAAUUGUCUGAUGGAACAUACUGAAUCGAGUAUCUCAUCUUUAGGAAAUAGCACCUUUUUGGAUUAAUUAUUUCUCUAAAUGCUUAGACAAUAAUGGGUAUUUUCUAGUUUCCUCCCCUAAGGUUUCAUAUAUCUCCACUUUGAUAGAAAGUAUUAUCGUAUCUCCACUUUCCUCCCCUGCCAUUAGUCCGUUGCCUUUUUUUUUUAUAGACAUUAAUCCGCUGUUAAUUGAGUUGUUUGUUGUUUGAAUUAAAUGACCAAGAUACCCUUGACCAUUAAAAUCAAAGAUCUGCUGGGUAAUAGCUUCCUGUAAAAAUUGGCGCCAAAAUGUAUAAACAGUAUCAAAUAAGAAUACUAUUCUUACGAAAAUAUCAAUUUGUCUUUGCUAUUCACAAAUCAAAAUUUAACCCAAAAAAGCUUAAAAAAAUACUGAACACUGCCAAUAUUACUGUUGCAGGUAGUGAAUUUGGCUAUUUAUAUAGCCUCAAACAAGCUCAACAUUCAUAGCUGUUUUGCUGCUCAUCUUCAUUACAAUCAAAAGCUGAAAUAACAUCUCAUUCACAUAAAAAAAUCACAUGACCAAUCUUAUUCAUCAUCCAUCUCAAGCUACACACACAAUCAUCAACUACUUUUAGAUCAAAACAACAGAAUCAAGUCAAUGAACCAAAUUCCAUAAAACCAGCUCAAUAACCAGGAACAAUACACAAAUCAAAGGAAUCAAUCUUAGCAAAAAUAUACAAAAAAUAAAAACAUUAUAGGUAUUAAUUCAUUGCAGUAGCAAUUACAGUUUAGACAAUUAAUUUAGGCUAUAAUUUAGGUAGCCAACACAGAUCAACAUAAGCCCUAUAUACAUAACCGCAACUAUUAAAAAAUUGCUAUGUUAACACCUUGAAAGGCAACACAUGCCUUGUCAAAGAUGUGAGUUUGAUGGUAUCUCACAAUAUACAAAAUAUAUGAAAAAACUCAAACCUAUACCUAUGGCUGAGUAUCAAAAGAUGAUAAAACAUUUUAUCAUUUUAAUGCUUAUAGUUAGAAGCUGAUGCAUCAUCUGCUCCCUAUAAAAAAUUAUAUGUAUGUGAAUAGAUUGGUCUCUACUGCAAUUUCUCAGUAGGCACAGCUGCUGUCUUCGCAGUUGCUGCUGGAUCCAUAUAUAUGAUGCUUAGAGUUAACUGCCCUGAAUGAAAUAUCCAUUCAACUAAUUAUUCAUUAUCAGUAAAAUGUCUAAAGGAACGAAAUUUUGUAAGUUGCUGUUUGGCAGCAAGGAAAAUGUGAUAAAAUUUAUUUGCAUUUGAUUUUUAUUGAACGAGUAAAAUGAAGCCACAACUUAUGUAUAUUUGAUGUAAUUCUUAAGCUCCCACUAAUUUUGUAUUAACCUAACAAAUGUAGAGCAGCACAUCAAGCAAUAUAUAACUAACUAAAUGCUAAGCUCUAACUAGUGAAUAAAUACACUAAUCUCAUGUCGGGCAUAAUUUAUUUUUCACCAACAAAUUCUAUCAUGCAGUUCUUAAUUUCAACAUUAACAAAACCAUUAACAUAAUUCUCAGUAACAAUAUAAGUAAAACCACACAAAAAAGUAGAAACUGAACUGGAUGAUGUAUAAAUAACCCCACCAAAAAAAAAAAAAAUGAGCAAGUUCUAUUUUUCUCUACUUUGAAUGAAUGCAUGCCAAAUAUUCUUGACUGUUCAACUUGAGUCAAAAAAUCUGAAAAUGCACAAAGUAUAUAUAUCUUCUAAUCCAUCAUUUUUAACAUGCCUUGUAAUAAUUUCAGUUAAAUAAAAAUAAAAAACCCCAUCAUCUCAGAAAACCCCCAUAAUCAGUAACCAUCACCAAGAUUUUCAAAACCAUCUUCAAUUUUGAGUAAAAUAAAAACCCCAAAAAUAUAAACAAUAUAUAAUGAGAAAUUUGAUACAUUUCAAGUAAAAUCAUCUGUACGAACCACCAUAAUCAACAACCAUCACCAAUCUUUUCAACACAAUCUUCGAUUUCAAGUAAAAUAAAAAACCUAGCAAGAAAAACAACAUGCAAUGACAAAUUUGAGACAGUUACCUUGAUCGUGGCUCAGUUCUAAAGGGAUAGUUCGCCGGUCGUGCAGCGAUGCUCGCAGGAACUGUCUGAGCUCGAGUUCUUGAAUCGUCCACCGCUAAUAUGGAUUUCAAAUGGUUCGUCCUCAUCUUCUCUUGAUUAGAAACAAAUUUAUUCACAACAUCGAUCAGAAUCUAAGAUAAUGUUGCUCUUCCUCUUCUGUCUUCAGUUUGGUUUUGUGAUGGAGAGAACCGUGAUUUUAUUUUUGGUUUGUUUGUUACCACGAUAUCCAAAGUGCAAAUUUUAAAAUAGUUUGAAUAUUUAAUCAAUAAAUUGUGCAAUUACUAGCUUGUCCUCCAUUGCUAACCAUAUACGAACAUGUGUACAAACAGCAGGGGAACAAAGUGGAGAUACCCUGAUAUUUUUUAUUAAAGUAAAGAUACACCAAAUUUUAGGGGAGGAAAUUGAAAAUUACCCGAACCAUAAUAGACCAUAGACCAGAGGCAAACACGAUAGGCCGAAAAGAUACCUUAAUCGAAGAGUCGGCAUGUUGGCGAGCUACUGGUCCAAUGAAAUCCUUGAAGUUACGCGAAUGGUACAACCAAGGUAAUGUAAUUAUCCAGCUCCACUUAACUUUUUGCUUUUGACAUGUGUAAAUGAGUUCUGCAAUGCAUAUAAGAAGGGCUGCAAAUGACAUUAACAUGCUCAAAAGUCAAACGCGCAUACUGGGGUUUUUGCGUAGAAGAAAGUUGGUCAAAAACAGCUAAUGGAAGCUCUAAGUAGGGGUGGGCAAGUUCGGUUCGGAUCGAAAUUAAGCAGAACUGAUUUAAAUCAGUUAUUUUAUAAAAAGAACUGAAUAAUAAUCAAACUCAAUUAAAAGUCGAACAUAAAUGGAUCUUUUCAGAUCGGUUCGGUUCCCUUUUUUUGGUUCUACGCUUAUUGGGCCUAUUUUAAAUUUCUAAAUUUUUAACCCAUUGGACCUCAUGAAUGUAAUUAUUUUUUUCAACAAUUAUUUCAUCCUAAUUUCAUUACAAAUAUUAACAAUAAAUACAAGGUAUUCAAAACACAUUUUAUCACUAAUAUCUUACUAACUACUAAUAAGGUACUCACAAAUAUGAAAUGUUAAGAUUUCAAAAUACAUAACCAAACUCCAAUACUCCAUUUAUAUAAACAUAAUGUUGCAAAGACAAAUAAAAAUAACAACAGUUACAACUUAUAACACAAAAUAAAAAGAAAAUUUGGAAACAAACGCCAACAACAUUCUCCCAUCUUCACAAAAAAAAAUAAAAUGCAAACGAACGCCAACAACAUUCUCCCAUCUUCAUCACUAUCAGCAUCAACUUUAGGCAUUUUCCAACUCAAUAUUUGGAUAUAUAAAAAAAAUUAAAACAAUAAAUAAUUAAAUAAAAAAUUAUAUAAAUAAGAUACUAGUUUUUUUUUAAAAAGAAAACUUACUGGUCAGCAACAUCAAUCAACUAUCAUUUGCUCCUCAGCGACUUGUUGUUGUUGUUGAGAUUGUCAGAUUGCAUUGGCCUAAAAAAAUCUUCAAGAAAUUGAAACAAUUAUAUUAAAAUAAUUAAUUCUAAUAUACAAAAUGUUAUAAGUGAAAUCACAAAAAAUAACAUAAUAAAUUACAAUAUUGCCUGUUUCCACUAAUUUAUAGAAUUCAGCUUCCUCCUGACUUGGUUGUAUUGUACGCUCUCCUAAUAGAGUUGAGCGAAGUCAAUUUUGAGUGCAGAUUAAUGACUCGAAUGUUUUAUGAGUUAAAGAACUCCUAAAAGGAUCAGGAAUGCGCCCUCCUGUGCUAAAUGUUGAUUUAGAAGCCACAGUAAACACCGAAAUUGCCAAAACAUCUUUUGUAAUUUGAGACAAAAUUGGAUAUCAAGGCCCAUUUAAUUUCCACCAAGUCAAAAUAUCAAAAUGGGCAUUACUAGCACUCUCACAAGUCUCUGACAAGUAUUUUUCAACAUUAGUUUUUCACUAAUGUCAUCAUUUGAACUUUCUUUCAUCUUUCUAAAUUGUGUAAAAGGAUCAAAUGACCUAUAACUACUACUAGCACCAUCAUGCACAACACUACUUCUCUCACCUCUGUUUGGAUUACUCUCACCACCAUGGCUUUCAAAAAGCUUCAACAACAACUCUUUAAUGUUAACUCUCAAUUCAUCAACCUUUCUAGUAUCAUACAAGCUACUAAAACACCAUAUAACAAAGUCAAGUUUGCAGCGAGGAUCAAGCACAUUUGCCACAAUCAACAACAUGUUAACCUUUUCAAAAGAAUGACCCCAAUAUUUGACAAACUUUUCCUCCAUCUUGUAACCCAUUUGAUUUAACAAAAAAUCAUUAGAAUCAACAAGUGACUUCAAAUGAAUAUAAACUUUCCACAUUUCAUUAAAGUAAUUAUUGGAAGUGACAGUUAAAGAGCUACUAAAUUUUAAAGUUACAUGAUAAAAAAUUGAAAGACACUUGACUAACCUUUUUUCAUUUUCCCAAUCCUCAUCAGUCGGUGGCCCCACCCUCCUUUUUUCACUCUCGUCCUCAUCAAACUAGUUUGUAUAAUGGCCAUCAUCUUCCUUUUAGCCUAUCAAAUGCUUUCUCAAAUGCUACCGAUUUUUCUAACAUCAAAGAUGUUGAAUUCUACCGAGUCGACAUGUCUAACACCAUAAGCCCUUUCCAUGAACUCCAAAAACCCUUCAGCCUCUACAAAUCUAAAAGGCAACUCAUCUUUGAUUAUCAUUUCAGAAGUGUCAUUCUACAAGCCUCUCUAUUAAAUAAUACGUGUAUAACCUUAGCAGUACUAUCAUUUUUGCCUUUACCCUUUUUACGAACUAAUGUAUGUUGUUUUGCAUCAUUUGCAGCCUUUAAUUUUUUGCGCACUUUACAUCACCCCAAAUGAGUCUUCAAAUGGCUUGUUCCAAAAUUACUAUAGGCUGCAUAACUUUUGCUGCAAUAAUGACACUUAGCUCUUUGUCCUCCAGGUAGCUUCGAAAAAUGCUUCCACACAAAUGAUCUCAACUCAAUUUUUCUUUUUUUACUCCUGCUGACCUUUUCUUCACUACUGACUUGUUGCACUUCAUCACUAAUUUCUUGCACUUCAUUAUUAGCCUUUUGUACUUCACCAACAUUGUCAACCAUCCUACAAAAUUAGAAAAAUCAUAAUGUCAAAAUAAAAUCUAAAUAUAGCCAUUGUCUAACAUACAAUUGAAACGACCCGCCCCGAAUCCCCCCAGGCGAGUCUAUCUAAUCUCAUCAAAACAGACUUGAAAAUAAUUCUAUUCGUAAAGAGUUUGCCGAAAAUUCAGCAGAGUCUCCUUUAUAUAUAUAACACUCCCAAACUACAAAUAUGAAUAUAACACUCCCAAUACAAUCCAAUAUACAAUAAACUCCAGUGCUCAACAUCCUCAACCAAAAUGCCGAGUCUUAUAUUAUACAAUCCCAAAAGAACAAGAUGACCAAGAUGUCCUAACAAAAACAUUUAUAUAUUCUAGCACCAUCACGUGGCCAAGACUCAAAAUAUAUAUAUACAGUUGCUGGGUCGGUCUGGUGUACCUGCAACCUCCUAGUGAGGGAGGAAAAAUAUAAUAAAAAGGGGGUGAGUUUAAAACUCAGUGAGAUCAGUGAGUAGAUAGUAGGUUUGAAAAUUAAAUCUUACUUUAAAAGAAAUAAUAAUUUCAUUUCCAAACACGAUUUCAUUAAACCAUAAGCGAAAAACCAGUGAUAAAUCAUUAAUCAUUUAAAUCAUAUUACCAACCAUAAAAAUCAUAUCACCAUAUCAUACAGAAUUCACAAAUCUGAAAAUCAUCACCAAACAAGUACCCAGGGAAACAAUCUCGUCAUAUCCGGACCUCAACGGACAGGCAAUGACGUACUAUCUGGGUAACGUCACACCUCGGAGCUACACGGAUAGACAGGGAAAUACCAUCUCAUAUCUCAUCAUAUCUCUGCAUGCAUAAUCUAGUCCCCAAAGGACAAAAGCGCCCAAGCACACGGCCCAAAGCCUCUGUGUGUACUCAAACGGGCCCCAAAGGCCUGUAUCUCAUCUAUAUCAUCUGUAUUACAAUAUUUGUCUGUAUCUCAUGGCUGUAUCAUUUGUAUUUCAAUGUCUGUCUGUAUCUUAUAUAUGUAUCACUGUAAUCAUACCGCAUGCAUAUGCCCCCAAAAAGGCAAAAGCGCCCAAACACACGGCCCAAAGCCUCUAUGUGUGUUUAGACAAGCCCCAAAGGCCUCUAUCUUAUCUCAUCUCAUAUGUAUCACUGUAUCUGGAGGGAAGGGUACUGUUUAAUGAUUUCAAAAACAAUCAUGAUACUCAUAUUCACAUACCUCUUAACCAUAUUUCAAAUCAUACCACAUUUGAAUCCACUUUUCUUAUCUUUAAAAUACUAUCAUGCUUUAUUCAAAAUCAGUACGCAAAAUCAUUAACCAAACAUUUCGAGAAAUCAUUAAAUCAGAACAUUUAAAAUACUUAUUUCGCAAACAUGCUUUACUAUCAUAAUUAACUCUAAAAAUAGGUUUCGUAUAUUCCACUCACAGUGACGGUGUUCACGGUUGGUUAUCGUCCACGUCCGUGGACCGGUUCUCUCUCGCGGAUCCUCCUAAAUCAAGGAAACGACAUAAUUAUUCUCCGUAAGUCAGAAUUCCGACUAAAUAUAUGCAAUAAACUCGAAACGAACAUUUAUCCAUAAUUACAACUCCCGUGUCGAUAAAAUUACUAAAAUGCCCUUGAGUCCGUAAAUCAUUAACAUGCUCCGAAAUCGUAAAUCACCGAAUUACCCUCGGAAUCGUAAUUACACCCAAUUCUCAAUUCUAGGAAUUACUAAAAUAUCUACAGGCUCAGAAAUGACAAAAUUGCCCUCAUAGUGUGAAAUUACCAAAAUGCCCUUGCCGGUCAACGGUCACCGGAAUUUGGUCAACACUGGCCAGGAAGCUCAAAUCUCAAAGUGUCAAUCACGCUGAGUUCAAUGGUACCGGCGGUGAGCUUCAACGCGCGACAACGACGCCGGAAUCUAGCUCGACAGCCGUGAGUUCCAAAAAUCGACCGGCAGCAAAACAACGAGUCUCAGUGCCUAUGGAUGAUCGGAAAUAGAAGAGGAAGUCAUGAGGAACAAAUUCCAACCGGUGGUGUCACCCAAAACCGGUGAAAAUCCCGACGAAGUAAAGUGAAACAGUCGCGGGUUUCAAGCUUCGAUCGCCGGCGUUCCGGUUGGUUUUCGGCAACGAGGAUGGGAGGGGAACGACGGUCGGCUUCUAAGUUUCAGAUCGGUACCAAGCUCGGCCAAAACGGUGGCCGGAAAUGGGAGAUAUGGCCGGGUCAAGGUCGCGGGUCGGGUCGGGUUUCCGGGUCUGAAAUUGGGUCAGUUGACAGCUUCUCUCUCUCUCUCUCUCUCUGUGUUACACGUGCAUAAGUUUCCUCUGUUUAUAGUUUAUUCCUUUGCUUAAAAACUCCUUAACCGCCUCAUAUCAUUUUACAUUCACAGGUGUUACAACAAUUGGUAGCCAUAUUAUAAACAUAAUCAGCAGCUAAACAGAUUAAAUUUGAUGAAUAAUACACACAAUUUUAGACAUCAUUACGUUUCACUCAAAAAAGCCAGCACUCCACUUAGCCAAAAUUUUGCUUUCUCUCACUCACACACCAACUAAUUGUAGACAUUUGUUAUUGAACAACAUAUAUGCUUUGUAAAUGGAUUAAAUUACUUAAUUGAAUAAUUAUUAAUCGCAUCAAAAUAGAAAAAAAUUGUAUAUGUAUGUAUACAUACACACACACACAAACAAGCAUAUAUAUCAUCACAGUUCUUAGGUUUCCCUUUUGAUAAAUCAAUGAGUGCUGCUAUCAUGGAUAAAAUAACAAAAUAUGGCAUCAUCAAAAUGGUGAUCAAUAGCUCUGAAUCUGAUCAAGUAAUGAUAAAAUCAUACAUAUGCCAUUUCUCCAUAAAUUUUGAUUUUGAGUGUUUCUCACUAUAACAAACAGAGGAAAAGAAAUAACUAAAGCAGGGGACCAGGGCAGAGAAAAUAUUACCCUAUAUUAAUAAUAUAACAUCAUGAUUAGAAGAGGUUAAAGGGUUAUAUACUGCCAUGUACAACCACACAGAAUUUGUCAAGAAAUACUUAAGCUAGCAAGGACAAUGCAACAUACCUACUGGUGCAUGGUGGUUGGCGAGCAGAGCAGAAGCUAUCACACGGUUGCCUAUGAGUUGAAGCUAUCUCACGGUGAAAAGAAGUUGUGUGCUUUCGCGCGGUGAGAAGAAGAUAAUGGUUGUCGCACAGUGGAAGAAGGUGUUGCACAGUGAGCAUAGCUGUUCUUGGGUGGGUGAUUUGAUUUCAAUUUUGAUUUUAGCCUUUAGGGUUUGUUUUGGGUGCAGAAAUUGUAACAAAUAUAUACCUGUAAUUGUGUGUGUGCAUGCCUAUUUUAAUUAUCUUACGCAACCAAUUAAAAUUUAACACAUGUCGAUUUAAAUAAAAUCCCAAGAAUAACCCGAUUUUUCGGUUCAGCUGAGUGAACUGAAAACCGAACCUGCAUUCCCCUUUUUUACAAACUAUAUAUUUUGGUUAUUUUUUAAAAUUAAAACGGUCUAAAUUGGAACUAAACCACUGACUAGGUUCAGUUUUUUUGAGGCCAUGGUUUUUUUGCCCAGUCCUAGCUUCAAGACAAAGUUGAUGAUUAUAAAGACCCACUCUAAAUCAACCUACAUUGAAAAGCGCAGCAAACUAAUAAUUGUUAGAGAAGCAACUAAAAAUUACCUUCAAAGAAUACCUAUUUCAAAAUGAGAUUUAAUCUACUUUUUUUUUAAUUUUAUGAUUGAAAACAUCUACAAUGUAUGCAGGAGAAUUUAGCAAGAUUUAUAUUACAUGAUGAGAUCUCCGGAAACUUCCUAGAAUUUGAGCUCAACCAAAGUUCAAGAUUUUCUAGAGAUUAUGGAUGAAUGCUAAUUCGGAGACUCAUCAAGCUUUCACAAAAUUCUGGAUAUAGAAUUGAAAUUUUAUAAAUUUAUAUGAAUAUUUUGCAUUCGGACCCCUCAUUUCUAAAAAUUAUGAUUUCUCCAUUAAAGUCAUCAUCUUUGGGCCCCAAUUUUUACUAAUUUUAUAUUAUAGCCUAUUUAAGUUUAUAGUUUCUGCAACUUGGCCCUUGUUGAACUAAAAUAGUAGUUCCAUCACGAUCAAGCUUGAACACAACGCUAAAAUCAGUCUAUCUUAUUUCUAAUGGUAAAGUUAAUGCUAGUAGUUCUUUACAAAUGUUCUUUGUUUUUCUAACUAAUUCUAUAUUUGAUGAAUUAAAGAAUAUUUUACCUCCUAAUUUGCUUUUACUGUACAAAGGUCAUACUAGCUUACUAAGGUCAUUUACGUACAUCCUAGCAUAAUUUAAUAUUCCUAAAAAGGCUUGUAAUUUCUUAGUACCUUCUAUUUUAACCAGAAAAUUGAAAUACUAACUAGGCAAACCAAGAGGGGGGGUUGAAUUGAGAUUUUAAAACUUAAGCUAAAUAAAUCGCACAACAAUUCAAUCUAUUGCCUCAAUGAAAUUAAAAACAAUAAAUUUGAUAAAGCACAAUAAUAAAAGAGUAAGGGAAGAGAAAAAUAAACACAAGAAUUUUUACGUGGUUCGGUAAUCCCCGCCUACAUCCAUGCCUCCAAGCAAACCAACCUUAAGGAUUUCACUAUCCAAGCCUCCCAAGACUUCAAAUUCUUACAAUUGACUUCUAAGGUGUCAAUGGAUCUUUACAACAAAGAGAUUAUCUCCCAAUUUCUUCACCCAAAUGUUUCUCACACUUAUACACUCACAAAUUUGAUGAGAAAAUAAAUAUUACAACAAAAACUCUAUUUAAGAGUGGAUAUACAAAUAAUAACUCGAUGAAAAUUUAAUCUAUGAUGAUUUGCGAAAUGGAAGCUUAAUAUAUGUUGUAUUCACUUGUUUAUACUAGUUAAGCUUGCUAAAAAUGAAUUGGAUAUAUAGUUUGAGCCCAAAGACUAGUCAUUAUUCACUUUUUAGUGAUAACCGGCUUGCCGCUUUCUGAAUUCGGUUAGCCACUUUUAUGUUACCAUUACAGUAAAUAUUUGAAUUUUUGCACAUUCGGCAUGCCGCUUUCGGAAUCCAGUUAACCGCUUUCAUUCUAGUGAGCUACUGCCUAUAAUCCAGUUUGCCGCUUGUCAAAAUCCAGUUAGCCGCUUUGCUACAGUGAACUAUUUUCAUAAAUUAUAGUUUUACCCCAAAACUUUCUAUAAUUACAUUAUGGCCCAAAAUGUUUAAAUAUUUGUAAAUAGGUCCAAAUCCAGAAUUCAAACACAAUACUUGUUCAUUUCAAAGUUUUCAAAACUCUUUCAAUUAGACCAUAAACUUGAAAAAAAACUAAUUUCAUAAAAUCAUUUUUCCAUUAAAUAUAAAACCUUUAUAAUGUGAAAAUAAUGAUUUAUUUAAAAUGUAUGAAAAAUAAUUUGAGCUUUUAAAAACUUAAUCAUUUUUAAUUUUGUUUGUUAUCAUCAAAAUCAACAUUAUGGAUACAUAAAUGUUAACAAAAAUCUAGUAUCAUUUUUACUAUAUGUUCUUGUAAUUUAAUAUUUCGUUUUCCUAUUUUCAUUCCUAAAGAUUAUAUACCCAUUUUCUUCUUACUAAUUGUAAGUCCGUUAUUAACAAACUCAUUUAAGACUAUAAGUAGUACUAUAAGCAAGUGAUUAUAAUGAUUUUCUAAAUUCUAACUAAAAACUAAUAUGUUAUCUAUAUAUACCACACAAAAAUUACUCUAUUUUCUAAAUAUUAGAUCCAUCUUACGUUAAAAGGUAGAAGGGGUAUUUUUUAGUCCAAAUGGCAUAACAAUCCAUUUGAAAUGCUCUCUAGGACAACUGAAAGCAAUCCUACCCUCUAGGACAACUGAAAACAAUCCAUGGAAUUGAAUUAUCAUUGAUCUUAAUUUGCCAAAAUCUUGAUUUACAAUCAAACCUGCUAAAUAUAUUUGCAUUUUGGAUGCAAUUAAGUAACUGAUCUUUAUCAAGGAUUUUUUUAUUGAUCUUCAUAUGUAUUAUCAUUCAAAUGCUUAUAGUUUAUGAUCAUUCACACUUUUCCUCUUUUAAUUUCUAGAAGAUUUCUAACCAUAGAUGUUGUUGUAACACUCGUUCUUUGUUUGUUUGAAUUUAAUUAUACUUAUCUAUUUAAUUGUUUAUCUUUGUUUGAGUGAAUUUAUUUUAAUUAGCAUUAUUUGAGAUAAAGUUUAAUAUCUUUUUAUUUAUUAAUUAAUUUAUUUUUUAAAAUAAAUUAUAAGGGAUUAUCAUGUUUAUCGUAUAAUGUAUUUUUAUAAAAGCAAGUGUUUCUAUAAAACUUAAAUUCUUCCUAUCUCCUUAUAAUUUAAAACUCUUUAACUAAAUAAAUGUAUGAAAGCAAAGAAUUCUAGGGUUUUCUUUUAUGCACAUUUGAAAGACGUUUUCAGGUAUUUGUCUUUCUUUAAUACGUGCUCUCUAAUACAAUCUUAUCUAUUUGAUGAUGAAUGCAUCCAUUGUUUUCUUGAUCAUGAAUGACCACCUAGGCAUUAUGGGGCAUGAGUACUGUGAUUUGAUUACUAUUUUUCCUUUAAUUUUUUAUUCAAUUUAUGCAUGAAAUUUCCAUAAAAUUAAGAUAGAUAUCUUGCUUUCAAUGAUGUAUUUUGUACAAAGAGAUUCUAAGUAACCAAUUUGUUUUGAGAUUCUAAGAGAUUCUAAGUAACCAAUUUGGAACAGUGGUGCUGGAAAAUUUCGAUUUUUAGUAGCAUGUCUGACUUCACCGAUGUUUCUGACUACCAAAUGAUCUCUAAAAAUUUGAUUUUUUAUUUAAUCAUUAUUAUGUCUACAUACUGUAUAUGUAAUUUCAUAAUUUUUGGUUGAGUAUAAAAAUUAUUAAAAAUCGUUAUGUUGGGUUGCUACAAUUCUGGAGAUUACUUUCUAGAAUUGCGAUGCCUGAUGGUAAAAUUAUUUUAGGUUAUUAAAAUGCCUUAGAAUGACCUAUAAAAAUUAUAUUCGUAUAAUCUUAUGAGUCUUGUAUGAUUUAAAAUUUAUUUGACUAAUGUUCAUUGAGUUGACAUUAAGUAUGAAUUUUUGAAGUGCAAAACACAAACCUGAAAAUUUUCUGGAUAGGUUUGUUGGUCUCUUAAUAUAAAUUCGUUUAAAAUAGUUUUACAUAAUAACAAAUUCUAGAAAUUUGAUAUAUUGUUUCUUGAUGUUUCUACUAUUGUAAAAUAUAUUGGUCUAAUUUUUAUGAGUUCUAUUAAAUAUUUUACAAGCUUUUUAAUUCAGCGAACCCUUUUUUAUCACUGCUGGACAUUGUGGAUAUGUACUAGUAAAAUUCUUUUCGCAUUAUGUUUCUCACUUUUAUUCUUUUUUUAAUUUUUUUUAUAUGAAAUACUACACAAGUUUAUGGUUUCUUUUCUUAAUUUUUACAAUUUUCCAACAUAUGAUUAGCUUGGUAAAAAUUAGCUUAUAUAGGAUGGUCAAGUUCAGACUACCUUUGAUGGUUUAGUUCUUAUGAUUAGGCUUGAUUAUGUUGGAUUUAUAUCGAGGUCAGAAUGAGUAGUAAUAUUGAUAAGAAUGUAUCUUGAUGUUUUAGGACAAAGGUGAGCUCGUGGUUGAGGUUACUGCUCUUUUAAUUGUUGAGGAUCGAGGUAAGUAGAUUCAUGCAUGGUACAUGUAUUUCACUAUUAAAUUAGUUUAAUUUAAUUUAUGUAUUAUGUUGAAUGAAAAGUAUACAAAGCUGACCUAUUUAGUCUAUUACAACAUUUUGUUAAGUAAAAUCAUUUUUUAAAAUUAUUUAUAACAAAACUUUAUUUAUUAAGAACUUGUUUUAUAAAUUGUCUUUAAAAUGAAGACUUUUAUUAAAUUUUUUAAAGUCAAAUAAUUUGAAAUAAUUAUCAAUUAUUUAAAUGUAAUUUAAAGAAGCUUACAAAUGAUUAAAAGUUUAAGGAUGGUUUCAAAUGUUUUGGUUCAUUGUCCGUAGUAAUAUUAUGUUUUGUUAUAUUAUGUUAUGUUAUGGAAGGCUAGGUGGAUUUUGUGCACAUAUGAUGUUAAUGUUAAGGAUUUUCAGGGGAUACAGUACCCUAAAUGAUGUUAUAUAGUCGGGUCACCAAGUCCAUAGGUGAUACUAUGUGACAUGAGCUAAUUACGUUUUAUGUGUUUAAAAUGUUAUUAAUGUUAAGGAUUUUCGGGGAGGGGGGGUGCAGUACCCUGAAUGAUUUUAUAUGGUCAGGUCACCAAGUCCAUAGGUGAUAUUAUGUUUAAAGGAUUUAAAUGACUUGAUGAUGUUUCUAUUUAUAUUUGUUAAAUGAUGAUUUACAAAGGUAAUUUCCCUUAUUAUUAUGUAUCUCUAAAAAAUUCAAUCAAUUAUAUUUUAAUGGUUUUUAUGCUAUGCAUGAAUUUAUUUACCGAGUUGACGACUCACCCCUCAUUACAACAUUUUUGCAGAUAGAGUUAGAUAAUAUGAGCUUAUGGUUUUAGGAGGAAGAAUAAGAGCUCGGUUUCUUUUGGGGAACAAUGUUACGUUAAUAAGCUACAAAUAUUUUAGUUUCCCUUGGGAUGGUACUUAUUUAAGGAUAUGUUAUUUCAUUAUUUAUUUUCUUUUGGAGGUUUAGAACAUUAAUAAUUUAGAUAUUAUUUUUAGAAAUGAGAAUGAUGAAAUGCAGUUUCACUUUAAUUUUAUUGUAAUACCUUGUUAGUAAAAUUGGGGUGGUACAUUUGUGGUAUUAGAGAAAACUAGGAUAGGAUUAUGUAGACUUUUAAGAACAAAAUUUAGAAAAGUAAGAUGGAAAUAUGAUGUAGUUGAGGUGGUUCACUUAUAGGGAUAAUUCCUUCAGUUAUUCUGGGUAAUAACAAGAGCUAAUUUUAGGUAGGUUGGAAGAAAAGUAUGUGUUUUUUUGUUGAUGAAUUUAAUGAUUGCAUUGAUUGAUGAUUUUGCUCGUUUAUUAAAUAUUUGACCUUUUUUAAAAAAAGAAAAUGGUUGAGUUAAUUGUAUAUGAACUUAUGCAAUAUUAUUAUUGAAGAUGAAUGUUCAAUUGAUUUUGAUGUGUGUAUGUUUGAUGACCAAUAGCAAAAUGCCUCCUAAAAGUAGAAAUAAUGCUAACCGAGGCCUUUCUAAUGUAACUAAGGCCAAUUCCAAAUUGAGGGUAGAGCGGUCUCUAGUAUAGUUAAUGCCCCGCGUGAGGAUGGUGAGGGAACGAGCAAUCCUCGCUGGGGAGAUGGUGGGGCAAACCCCACUCUUCGUGAGAAGGUUUGUGAGCGUAUGCCAACCAUGCAGGUGUUAGCUGAUAUUAUGGAGAGGCAGACUAGGCUGAUUGAGGGGAUGGCUUAGGGUGGUGGUCCUACUCAGAAUGUUAGAGCUGAAGGGCAUAAUAUUGCUAUUGGAGGCAGAAUGGUGGUGACUUUAGAAUAGUUCUAGAAGUUGGGGUCACCUAUAUUCCGCAGGACAACUAAUCCUAUGGUAGAUGAGGCAUGGCUGAAGCAAGUACAAAAGAUAUUUGAGGCCAUUGAGUGUACUAACGAGCAGAGGGUGGCUUUUGUCUCAUUCGUGCUUUAGGGUGAGGCAGAUCAUUGGUGGGAGACUAGGGCUCGAUUGUUGAGGAAUGGCUUAGGUGAUGGACCAAUUACUUGGAAGAUGUUUGUGGAUGCCUUCUAAGAGAAAUACUUUCCUUGAAGUGUCACCGAGAAGAUGGGCAAGGAGUUUUUGGAUUUGAUUCAGGGUAAUAAGUCUGUAGCAGUGUAUGAGGACACCUUCAAUGCCUUAUCUCGAUUUGCUCCAACACUGGUUGAUACUGAGGAGAACAGAUAUAGGCGCUUUCUUGAUAGAUUAAAUUUGUCUACUAGAGAUCCUUUGGAACCCUUGAGGAUAACAAAUUUUGCUGAUUUGGUGGAUAGGGCUCUUUUUAGGCAGAUUCGUGUUUAUGAAUCAUGAAAAAAAAGGAGCAAUGAAAGAAGCAUAGACGACAAGGAGGAUCACAAGGGAAAGGCUCUAAUAAUAACCAGAAGAGUACAAGUGGCACUGAAGGUCUUCACAAAAAGGUGAUGAAGCUUCUUUUCAUAGGAAUAUUCCUCCAUACCAUACUAAAUGAAUGAUGAAAUGAUCAUGGAAAGCGCUCCGAAAAGCAUGGACAUUCCAAUUACGUCGGCAGUCGACCGUUCAACUAAGAAGACAAAAUUCUAGGAACAAGGGGAGGAUGGGGAUAACCCCUUGCCUCCAUCUUUUGCAGAUAUUGUGAUAAAGAUGCAAGCGAGGUCUGAGAAUGUGCUAUUUGGUAAGACAGGGGAUUGGGAUUUGGAGGAGGAUGAUGUUAUCUUUUGGGAUGAGGAACCUAUGCCUUUUAUUGCUUUUUCUAAUAGAGUUCAUGAACGGCUGGCGCAUCCAUGGGAACACUCCAUGGUGGUUAAGAUUUUAGGGCGGAACUUGGGGUAUCGCGUGUUGUUGACUCGUUUGAAGUCGAUCUGGAGUGCCACUAAGGGUUUUACUGUGGUGGAUCUUGCUCAGGAUUAUUAUUUGGUCCGGUUUUCUAAUGAGAGAGACGUGGAGUACGCUCUUACGAAGGGUCCGUGGACAGUCAUCGGUCAAUGUUUAAUCGUCCAGCAAUGGUCACCGUCUUUUGAUGUUGCAUCUAAUAAGAUUGAGAAGAUAGUGGCCUGGAUCCGUCUUGCGGAGAUGAAUAUACACUUCUAUCAUAAGAACAUCAUUAGACGCUUGGGAGAAAUUGUUGGCCCUGUGGUAAAGAUCGAUCAUAAGACGGUGGAAGCGCAACGAGGGAAGUUCGCUCGGAUCGCGGUUGAGAUUGAUCUUACUAAACCAUUAAUUUCUCAAUUUAACUUGGAGGGUAGAAUUCAACGGGUGGAGUACGAGUAUUUACCUACAAUCUGCUUUGACUAUGGUAAGGUAGGUCAUUACAAAGAUGCUUGUCCGGAUAGUGCUAAAGUUGUUCCUCCUAAGCAAGUACUUCCAGUCCCUCACAUGGUAGCGGAAACACAGGCAGCUGUUGAGACGGAGUUGGCUGGUCGGAGUGAGACAAAAUUUGGGUCGUGGAUGGUGGUGGUUCGAAAACCUCGGGCUAGGAAGCUCAAUGCAAAAGGUAUCCCAAAAAAUAUGGUAACAGGGCACCAACGCCCUAUUUUUCAGGAUUCUCGUUUUGGAAUUCUAGAUUCUGUUAACGAGGAGGAGUCUAUCCCUGAUUCCACGGCAAAAGCAGUAAGCCCUAACCAUGAUGAAGUCAUGCCCGCUUCGACGUCAUUGUCGUUUCGAACUAAACAUCCCAAAAAGAAAAACCAUAGCCAUCCUUAUAGGAAAAUCCCCACCCGAUUGGACUCUUCACCAUUGUUUCUAGAAAAUCCCAUUUCUAAUGAAGGAAAAAUCAACACCAAUAUCCAGAUUUGGUCCAGAAGCUCUAUCCCUACGUCCAGCCCUAAUAAUAGCCCCAUUGCCAUGCAAGGCAUGCUUGCUCAAACUGGAAACCUGAGUGCCAACCCCAACGGUGUCCCUACUCUUAUGCAUGGCAUGCAUGAAAAUUUUAAUGACCACAACACUACUUUCCCACAUGAUCCACAUGCCAACCAAUCUCCCAUGCUAGACAUGCAUGUUAUUUCUAGCUCCAGAAAUCCCAUGCACGUCCCCACAUCCUUAAACCCCCUUCAUCAUAGUGUUGUGUCCUUUCCUAAAAUUCCUAAGCCUCCUAAUCUAGAUAAAGCCCCUUCCUCAUCUAGAACUACCCGAGAUAUUUCCCUGGCGGAGGGGCAUGAUAAUUAUCUAGAUGGGGACCCGUCUGAUAACUUUGUUUUUUAGGGCGAAAACCAUUGCAGGGAGCUGGAUGGGGAUCAAAGCUUUCAUAGUGCAAAUGGAAAAGAGGCGUCUGUUUCUGAUGAGGAUGAUUCGGUUGUAGCUGAGUCGGCCAUGGAUAUAGGAGCUAAGUUAGUGGGGUUGUCUCAGUGAAGACCCUUCUCCCUUAAAUUUAUCUUUUAUGUGUAGACAAAUCAUGUUUUGGAAUACCCAGGGUGCCGCGUCACCUUUAUUUCGCCGUACCUUUUCUAUGAUGGUGAAGAAUUAUCAGCCCUCUAUGAUUGUCUUGUUGGAACCUCGAAUUAGUGGCCUAAAAGCUGAUGCUUUUAUUAAAAAAAGUGGGUUCGAUAAGUCUCAUCGUGUGGAGGCUGAAGGUUUUUCAGGUGGUAUUUGGAUCUUGUGGAAGGAUAUCUUCGAUGUAGAGAUUAUUCGGAAUCAUACUCAAUUUAUUCACCUACGGGUUUCACAGAAUAACCAGCUGAUUUCUUGGAUUACUGCUAUUUACGGCAGCCCCAUCACUAGUAUCCGAAAAUCCCUUUGGAGCGCUUUGGAGCUAUUGGCCUCGUCGGUUCAAGGCCCCUGGCUUUUGGGGGGAGAUUUCAAUACCAUUUUGUAUGACUCUGAAAAGAAAGGGGGUUCUCCGACUGGGUUGGGAGCUUGUAGGUUGUUUCAAGCUUGGUUCCACUCUCGGGGAAUGCAUGAUCUGCACUUCCAUGGGCCGCGGUUCACGUGGUCAAGAGGUACUCUCUUCAAACGCUUGGAUAGAGUUAUUUGUAAUAAUGAUUGGGUUCAGCGUUUUGCAGAUUACACUGUCCUUCAUUUACCAAAAUUAUCUUCGGACCAUCGUCCCAUUCUGGUUAAGUGUGAGACUCGUGCUUCUAACAUCUCCCAUGACCGUCCUUUUUGUUUUCAAGCUGCAUGGCUUACGGAUAAUAAGUUUAGUCAGUUUGUUAAGGAAGCUUGGAAUAAGGAGCUUACUUACAAUGAUGCUGCUAAAAGCUUCACGCUCAGUGCCUUGGAGUGGAAUAGGCUCGUGUUUGGAAAUAUUUUCUAGAGGAAGAAAAGGUUGUUGGCUAGGUUGGGAGGUAUUCAGCGGGCCUUAGAGGAUUACUAUUCCCACGGGCUGAUUGAUCUUGAAAAACAACUUAGAGUUGAGCUGGAGGAGGUUUUGAGUCAGGAGGAAAUUAUUUGGCUUCAAAAAUCUCGCCAAGACUGGUUGUGUCUUGGGGACCGCAAUACCACAUAUUUUCAUAAAAAAACUGCGUCUAAAAGGCGUCGUAAUAACAUUGCUGCUGUUCAAGAUGACUCGGGAGGUUGGAUCUAUGAAAAGGAGAAUAUUAAAGAAUAUGCUAUUCAGUACUUCUCAUCACUCUACAAUUGCGAGCAUCGGGAUUUUCGGCCGUACCCUCAUCCGAGUUGCUUCCCUGUUAUUGAGGAUGCCUUACUUUUAAUGCUUCGGAAUCCAGUUGAAGACGAGGAGAUAAAAAACACUGUCUUUGGCAUGCAUCCUCUGAAAGCCCCCGGUCCCGAUGGUUUCCACGCCAUUUUUUAUCACUCUCAAUGGGCCACGGUUGGUCCCUCAUUCUGUAAGCUAGUUCAGGAUGUCUUCAAGCAUAAGUGUAUUACUGGUGAGUUGAAUUCCACUCUUUUGGUCCUUAUUCCGAAGGUUGAGAACCCUACUUCUUUAAAGAUGUAUCGCCCUAUUUCCCUGUGCAAUGUGGCUUACAAAACCAUUACGAAAGUCAUUGCUAAUAGACUCCAGACGAUUUUACCUCAGUUGAUUGGUUCUCAUCAAACCAGUUUUGUUCCGGGAAGGCAAAUUACUGAAAACAUAGUGAUAGCUCAAGAGGUAGUGCACUCUAUGCGUAGAAAGUCUGGCAAUAGAGGGUUUAUGGCCAUAAAGGUUGACUUAGAGAAGGCCUAUGAUAGACUUUGUUGGGAUUUUAUCAAUGAAACUCUUUGUGAAGCUCAUAUUCCGCCGGACCUUAUUCAAGUGAUUAUGGCUUGUAUAACAUCUGCCUCUAUGCGGGUUCUCUGGAAUGGGGAGAAUACAGAGUCUUUUAAACCUUCUAGAGGGGUCCGUCAGGGAGAUCGUUUAUCCCCUUAUCUCUUUGUGCUUUGUAUUGAAAGACUCAGUCAUGGGAUCCUUAAUGCUGUUGCCGCGAGGAAAUGGCGUCCUAUCACUCUAUCGCGAAAUGGGGUCCCUUUGUCCCACCUCUUUUUUGCUGACGAUCUUCUUUUGUUUGCUGAAGCCUCUGCUGAGCAGGCUAGUGUUAUUUCGUCUGUGUUGGACUCCUUCUGUUACAGUUCUAGUUCGAAGGUUAAUAAGUCCAAAACAUUAAUACACUUCUCCAAGAAUGUAGGUGAUCGCGAGGCUAGUGCUAUUUCGGGGAUGCUUGGGUAUUCGGUUUCUAACGACCUUGGAAAGUAUCUGGGAGUUCCUCUGCAUCACUCUAGAGUUUCCAGUGGUAUGUAUCAGUCAGUCCUUCAAGCUAUCCCCAUCUAUGUGAUGCAAACAGUUAAGCUCCCCAGUGGAGUGCGUGAUAGAAUUGACAAAGCUUGUAGAGGCUUUAUUUGGAGUGGUGUCUCUCCGCAGCAGAAGCUCAGUAUGGUGAGUUGGCGGAAUGUUUGCAAGCCCAAAUCUAUUGGUGGCCUUGGUUUUAAAUCGUUAUCUAUGAUGAAUAAGGCAUUGCAUAUGAAACUGGCUUGGGGUUUUAUUUCCUCUCCCGAGAGUCUUUGGGUUACAGUCUUGAGAACAAAGUAUGGGGUUGCUAAUGACACCCUUCCCGAAACUUUGCACACUCGCUAUGGUUCUCAUCUUUGGAAGUUUAUUGGCACAGUUUGGAGUGAAGUUCUUGCUAGCCGAAGGUGGUGUUUAGGCAAUGGUGAGUCUGUUCGGUUUUGGUGGGACCUUUGGGUUACGAAAGAUAUGCCGUUGGCAGCCUAUGCCAUGGAUACUAUUCCUGUUAAUAUCCUUGAUUGUAAGGUGUCGGUUUUUAUAAAGAAUGAUAGUUCUUGGUGGUGGGAUCAAUUCGAGCAUUUACUUCCCAAUAACAUCAUUCUUCAGAUUGCAGCUGUGCUUCCUCCUUCCCCCAUGCAUGGUACGGACACCUGUUUUUGGGCUCACUCUAGUACGAGGUUAUUCACUACUAAAUCGGCUUAUUUAAUGCUCGCUGGAUCAAGUUCGGUUAUUGAGGAUUACCGCUGGAGGUCUGUUUGGAGGUGGAAAGGUCUCCAAAGUGUGCGUAUCUUUCUUUGGCUAGCUUUACAGGACCGUUUGAAGACCAAAACUGAAUUGGCUCGGCGUCAUAUUCCCAUUUCAGAGGCUUGUGAUCGUUGUGGAGCUUCAGUCGAGGAUACUCUCCAUGUUCUCCCUAAUUGUAUGGCCGCCAGGACUUUUUGGCUCAAAACUGUCCCUUUGGAGAAGCGGCAAUCUUUCUUUAACUCCAAUCUCUCAACUUGGUUAUGUGGGAAUGUGGAGGACGUGAGUAGAAGUCAGAAUAUCUCCAACUGGUCGGUUUCUUUGGUAUUGGAGUUUGGAGGAUUUGGUUUUGGCGGAACCAAUUUGUUUUUAACAAGGCUUUUAUGGAUCCUACGGCUUUAUUAGUGGAUGUUUCCCUGCGUACUGAGGAGAUGAGCAAGAUUCACAACCAUUGUUUGGUCACGAGAAGGUUAAAGAUUGAGAAGUGGAUUCGGUGGCACCCUCCCGAUUGGCCUUGGUGUACUUUGAAUACUGAUGGGGCUCAUAAGGCCAAUGGUGUUUCUACUGCUGGUGGCUUGAUUCGCGAUUAUUCGGGAAUUUAAAGUGGAAUUCCUAAGUUUUUAAUGAUGUAUUUUGUGCAAAGAGAUUCCAAGUAACCAAUUUGUUGUGAAUUUUUGAAGUUGGAAAAGUAGUGCUGGAAAUUUUUUAUUUUUAGCAGCAUGUCUGACUUCAUUGAUUUUUCUAACUAUCCAAAUGAUCUUUGAAAAUUUGAAUUUUUUUUAAGUCCUUAUCAUGUCUACUUAUUGUAUAUGUAAUUUCAUAAUUUUUGGUUCAGUAUAAAAAUGAUUAAAAAUCGUUACAUUGGGCUGCUGCAAUUCUGGAGACUGCUUUCCAGAAUUGCAAUGCCUAAUGGUAAAAUUAUUUUAGUCUAUUAAAAGGUUUGAAAAUGACCUAUAUGAAUAUAAUAUAAUCUUAUGAGUCCUGUAUCAUUUAAAGUUUAUUUGAUUAAUUUUUGUUGAGUUGACAUUAAGUUAUGGAUUUUUGAAGUGCAAAAUACAAACCUUAAAGUUUCUAAACAGGUUUGUUGGCCUCUUGAUAUAAGUUCGUUUAAAAUAGCUUUACAACUUCAAAAAUUCUAGAAAGUUGAUAUAUUGUUUGUUGAUGUUUCUACUGUUAUAAAAUCAAUCGAUCUAAUUUUUAUGAGUUUUAUUAAAUAUUUUACAAAUUUUCUAAUUCAGCGACCUCUUUUUUUAUCACGGUUGGACAAUGUGGAUAUGAGCAUGUAAAAUUCUUUUCACAUUAUGUUUCUGACUUUUAUUCUUUUUUUUUUUUGAAUUUUCAUAUGAAAUGCUACACCUGUUUAUGGUUUCUUUUCUUAAUUGUUAUGAUUUUCGGACAUAUGAUUAGCUUAGUAAAAAUCAGCUUAUAUAGGAUGGCUAGGUUUAGACUAGCUUUGAUGGUUUAGUGCUUAUGAUUAGGCUUGAUUAUGUUGGAUUUAUGUCGAGGCCAAAAUGAGUAAUAAUAUUGAUAAUAAUGUGUCUUGAUGUUUUAGGAUGAGGAUAAGCUUGUGGUUGAGGUUACUGUUCUUUUUAUUGCUGAGUAUCGAGGUAAGUAGAUUCAUGAAUAUGACAUGUAUUUCACUAUUAAAUUACUUUAAUUUAAGGUAUGUACUAUGUCGAAUGAAAAGUAUAUAAAACUGAUUUUUACAAUAUUUUGUUAAGUAAAAUCAUUUCUUUAAAAUUAUUUAUAACAAAACUUUAUUUAUUAAAAACAUGUUUUAUAAAUUGUCUUUAAAAUGAAGACUUUUAUUAAAUUGUUUUAAGUCAAAUACUUUGAAAUAAUUAUCAAUUAUUUAAAUGUAAUUUAAAGAAGCUUAUAAAUGAUUAAAAGUUCAAGGAUAAUUUUAAAUGUUUUGGCUCAUUUUCCAUAAUAAUGUUAUGUUUUGUUAUAUUAUGCUAUGCUAUGGAAAGCUAGCCAGAUUUUGUGCACAUACGAUGAUAAUGUUAAGGAUUCUGGAGGGAUCACCGAGUCUACAGGAGAUACAAUGUGACAUGAGCUAAUUACGUUUUAUGUGUUUAAAAUGCUAUUAUUAUUUUUAAAGGAUUAAAAUGACUUUAUGAUGUUUUGAUUUAUAUGUGUUAAAUGAUGAUUUACAAAGGUAAUUUCCCUUAUUACUGUGUAUAUCUAAGAAAUUCAAUCAAUUAUAUUUUAAUAAUUUUUAGUACUAUACAUGAAUUUACUUACCGAGUUGACGGCUCACCCCUCAUUACAAUAUUUUUGUAAAUAGAGUUAGAUGAUAUGAGCUUAUGGUCUUAGAAGGAAGAAUAAGAGCUUGGUUUCUUUUAAGGAAUAAUGCUACGUUAAUAAGUUACGAAUAUUUUAGUUUCCUUUGGGAUGAUACUUAUUUAAGGAUAUGUUAUUUCAUUAUUUAUUUUCUUUUGGAGGUUUAUAACAUUUAUAGUUUAGAUAUUAUUUUGAAGGUUUUAGAAGUGAGAAUGAUGAAAUGUAGUUUCCCUUUAAUUUCACCGUAAUACCUUGUUAGUAGAAUUGGGAUGUUACAUUUGCGUCAUGACCCAACCCAGAACUGGCGAGAUAUUGUCUGCUUUGGAUCUUAACAAAACCCUCACAGUUUUGUUUCUGGGCCGUCCAUAUGUCCUAAAACACAUCUUGCCAAUUAAGAUGUGGAUCACUCCUUAUAAACCCAGUAUCUCUCUCGUGUUUUGUAGAUGUGAGUUUGCCUAAGGUAUUACAGCUGUAAUUCUAUGCCUACUAUUACUAUGCCUAAUCACUCCUAAUUUUAACAAUUCUGCUAUUUGAAUACUAAAUUCUCCCAUGUCUUGUGGACUAUAGUCUCCUUUAGCUAUUUUAAUAUGUAAAUUUUUUUAUGUCCAAAUGAGCUUUAAAUUUAUUUCUAUCCCAAUAUUUGAUUGGAUCUUCCCUUAAGACUUGUGUAGUUUCUGCUAAUCAAAUUAUUUCUUCUAAAUUCUGUUUUUUAUUUUUUUAAAAAAAAAUCUAGUUCUUUUUAUCUGUAUAUCUAUAUUUUUUAAUAUAAAAUUAAGAUCGCAAAAAUCUUCUAAAUCUAAAUCAUAAAAAUCUAUUUCUUUAUUGAUGUAUGGUCUUUCUAAAUCACCUAAGAAAUUAUCUACAUGUUGUUUACAAGUUUCUAUUAUUAGAUCAUACUGAAAAAUGAAAUAAUUGCAGAUUUCUAUUUCUAAAUCAUGUCACCACAGUCUGCAUGUAACUCUGAGUGAACAUGUUGAUGUCAUGAAAAAUGAGAAAGAUAAAAAUCAGUUCGGGAAACAAUUGCUCUUUUAAAAAAUGUAACAUAAUUACAAUUGAUUAAUAUACCACCUUUACUACUACAUACAAAAUUUAAUCCUAGAAUGAAUUCAUAUUUGUAAUUUAUUCAACUAACCCCAUACUUGCAGUAAGGGAUGAUAUUCAUCGAAUGCAUUUUCUACUGUGUAGAAACUCAUUUGUGCAUCUUUAAUACAUUUAUCAUACCUUAAUUUAGCUCUAUUCAUUUGUUCAGUAAAUAUCGGUUGUGAUAAUGCUUGCAAAUAAUCUGUUGAAACUAAAUUAAUAUCUAUAUGAGGCUUGCUACUUCUUGUAUCUAUCAUGGUUAAUAAUUCUAUGGUAUUACCAUUUCUAAAUUUAAUCUUACUAAUAAUACUAAAUAAGGAAUUUGUCCAAAUCUUAGAAUGUUAAUCUAGACAUUCGUCCAAAUCUUCCUACUUUGUUUCAAUAAUUGUUUAUUCUUUUGCCUAUUUUGGUUCGGUUCUAAUUCAAAGAUUUUCUGUCUAAAAUCAAAGUAUUGUUUUUCUAACUGAAAUUUUAAUCUUUCUAUUUCUAAUUUUAAUCUCUCGAUUAAUUUCUAAAUUCUAGGUUUCUAUAGUUUGCUUAGAUUGUUGUAUUUCUACAGGCUAAUUUUUAUAGGUUUUAAUUAAACAAAAUUUGCAGACUUCUAUCUUACAAUUUUUCCAUUUAUAUCUAAGUUCUAUAUUGGGAAAAAGUUUACAUAUAUGAAUCUAACAUUAUUAGAUCCCUUUUUAUGUACAAAUCCAUAUUAACAUUCUAUUUUUCCAUCUAGUUGUUCUAGGUGUAAUCCUUAUAGAUCUAUAUUCAUAAAACUAUAAUCUUUAUCAUAAGAAUCGAUAGAUUGUUCAGAACUAGAUUCUAAAUUUAAAUGUGUUAGUUUUAAAAUUUCAUAAUCGCUAAUUAUACUACAGGCUUCACUAUCAUCACUACUUAUACUUAUUACAUGAUCUUCUAAGUUAUGUAUUAGAUUUACUCGUUCCUCGAAAUAGUCAUUUCUUUUGUUGGGACAAGCAUUGAUAAGAUGUUUUGGAUCUCCAUAAAUGAAACAAGUACAUUUAUUCUUGCUAGGCUUCUUAACAUAUCUAUCACUCUUUUUUUCAUUUCUUAUAUGUUCGACUUUUCCUAAGAAAUUUUCUUUUAUUACCGUAUUAUAGGGCUUAAAAUAUUUUUUUAUACUUUUUCUUUCAGUACUUUUGGUCUCUAUAUUAUUGUGGAGUAUAAAUAAUCUUUUUAAAGAACUCAUAAGACUACUUUUUGAGAGUCUUUUGAAUAUUGGCUUGUACAUUUUUUUCUCUAACCAUACUAUAAGAGAAUACUAUUCUUGGUCCUAUUUAUAAACCUUUCUUAAAUUUUUUACUCUUCCAAUAGUUUUCUAUUUCUCUUUCUAAAAUUCAUGGUAACUUUCUAAAAUAUUUAUAGUAACUUUCUAAAGUAUUUAUCUCUUAUUUUUUCAUCAAAUAACUUACCAUUUUUGCUGGCCGUUAAUGCAUAAUUAUUGCUGAAUUCCCUAAGGUAUUUCCAACUUGAAAAUUGAAUUUGGUCGAGGUCUCCUAAAGUUAUAUCUUGUAUUUGCCUCUAGUGGGAUCGACUUCUAUACAUAUUUCUCUAAUAAGGCUUGUAAAAUUAUAUGGGUUAUUUCCUAAUACUUUGGUCUCUGAGACUUUUUUAGCAAAAUCUUUGUUAUAAGUAUUGUACCAAUUUCCUAUUGUUUCUCUUAAUAAAGUCUCUAAAAGUUCUCACAUAUCAUCACUAUGAGUUCGGUUUUGUCAAGCUCUAACUGCAUUUGUUUCCCACCUAUCUAUGACUUUUGGCCAUACUUGUGGAUCCCACACUACUAAAUUUGAUAUGCUACCAGAAUAACUUGGUUUUGGCAAUGUUCUAAUCUCAUCUAGAAGUUGUCAUCUGCUAUAAGUUUUAUAAUCUUUAUUAUUACUACUGCUAUAAUUUCCUUAAGUUAUAGGAUAUCUACCUCCUAGGUUACAUGUCGUAUCUCUUGGUACUGAUUGGCUAAAAUUGAUUCUAGCAUGUUUGGGUGGAUUAGUAAUGCUGUCACUUGCUUCUUCCAUAACAUCAUCUAUUUUGAUGGAUUCUUAUGUUUUAAAUAUCAUAUUGGCUUUUAUCUUUCCUUCUAUUAUAUCAUCUAUAUAUUAAGUAUUAUAUUCUCUUUCUAGAGCUUCUGCUGCCUGAUCAUGACUCGUUAACAUCAUUAGUUCAUCAUAUCUAAAAUUGACAAUUUAAUUCAUUUCUUUCCAUAUAAAUUCUUCUUUUAUAGUCAUUAAAGUACUUUCUAUUUUUUGUAGAUCAUCAUCCUGACUCCUGGUUGUGCCUGCUUGGUAAUUAUAAUUCCCAUAUAAAUUACAUUAUAUUUUGGUACUAACAUUGGCUUUUCUAUAAAUUUAUCUAAUUUCCAAUCUAGUCCUGCAUCAGUUUCUGCUGAGAAACUUUUUGCCCGAAUAACCUUAAUUCUUUUAGUUCCUAGAAUGUUUAUUGUCUUAUUAUUAUCUAAUUUGUAUUUAGUUGUGCUAUUUUCAUUAAAUCUUCCUAUAAAUCCUGUGCAAAAUUAAUAAAUUAUCUUCAUUUCUUUUCAUAUGGCAGCCUCCAGUUUUUAUUCCUUUUCUUUAAUCAUGUAAAAAGUGUUAGCUUUUACUAAAUAGUCAAGGGUAAAACAUACACUUCCUCCCUUAUUAUUCAUGUCUAGUUCUAUACUUCCUAAAAGUCCUUGUUCUAUAUUUGUAAAUCGAUUGUCAUAAAGACAAACUAAGGCUUUGCACCUACAUUCUCUCUAUGUAAUCCUUUUACUCCGAUUAUAACUAAUCCUAAAUGGGCCUAUUGGAGGUCAUUAUUACUAAUCUGAUUAUAAGAAUGCUUAUCUAUCAAAUCUAAUUUUAUCAUUUGAUCCUCAUGUGUACAUGACACAUAUAUUUCGUUAUAAUGUUAAUAUAGUAAAGAUUUGCUAAAUAAAAUUUUCUUUUUAUAUAUUAUGUUUAGAUCUAAUUUAUUUGCUCGUCUAAAUCCAUAAGACUUUCUAUUUUAAUAUCCUCAUCUUUUUUUUCUUUUACUGAAUAUUCUUUUUAAAUAAUUACCUUCCAAUUUACUACCACUAAUUAUCUGCUUGCCUUUAUCGAUUAAUAAUAAUAUCUAUAGCUCUUAGUUUUUAUAAGUUGAAGGCUUCCUAUAUCAGUGUUGAUUUUAAUUUUUUCAAAUCUUCCUAUCAAUCUUCUAAUUUUAAAGCAUGCGUUACUUCUGAACUCUUAGUAUUGUGUAAUUGCUUUAAUUUUAAUUGUCCUUCCUCUAAUCUUGAGAUUUUAUCAAAUUCUACUAUAUUUUGAUCUUUUAUAAAAUUUAAUUUUUCUUCUAGAUAUUUUAGAACUUCUCUAUGUUCUCUUAAAGUAUCUAUGACUAUUUUAAAAUUCUUAUUAAUCUUAUCAAAUUUUUAUUUCAAAUUUCUACCUAAAUUAACUAUCAAAUCUACUAAACUAUUUAACGGAGAAAUUUUUGUAUGUUGAUUGUGUCUAAAAUUGCCAUCUAUGUUACAAUAUCUAUCUAAAGUCGUCUUCUUACUAUGAUAAGUGCUAAGUUCUAAAUCUAAAUAUUCUAUUUUCUUCAUAAACUAUUAGACCUUCUAAUUAGAAUUAACUAAUUAAACCAUGCUCUAAUACCAGUUCGUCCGCUUAUCUUUUAGCUUAAUACUAAUGCAGGAGUGUAAAUGACUAAUUUGUAAACAAUUAAAAACUUUAGUAGUGUAACUAUUAUGAAACUCACCGUUCGGUACUUAAUGAUGUUCUCUUUGUGGUGAGAACAUCGUUUUCAGUAUUAAAAUAGAAAGUGAAGUUUAUUUUUCUCAAUAGGAGCAGAGGUGAAUGCGAAGAACUCGAGCAAGGAAUAAGCAUUAGAGCAUCUUCAAAGCUCACGAAGCUCAAAGCCGAAAGAAUUCAAGCAUGCAACAAGUCACUUAAGAUAUUCAAGUUAUUAAACACAGCAUAAAGUAAUCAUCAUCAACAGAAGAUGAUCAAGAAAAGCUUCGUCAUGAACUGAAGAAGACGAUCAAAGAAAGGCUUCAAUACUAUCAGUUUAUAGAAAUUCAUCUGUGAAGAUUGAAGAUGUACAUUUUACAUAAAAGACUGAUGUCCAAGCCAGAGAACAAAAGAUUAUGAGAGAGCGACGAAGAAGAACACAAAAAGCUAGUUGAAGAGACAUCUAACACAGAGAAAAGAAAAAGCAGCAAGCACAAGAUGUUACUCAAAUUUCUGACUACACCAUACGCCAGUAAAGCAUCCCGAAAUAAACAAAGACCCAAAGAGAAAUGCUGACAAAGACUACAAGAAGAAAACGCUCCUCCAUGCUAAUACGGUGAUUUGUAUGAGGGGGUGCGACUUGGGAGCAUUUGAUUAUGAUAGAAUUUGAAAUGAAAUAUACUGUAAUAGUAAUAACCAAAAUUUACUCGUUUUAUCUUGACGCUCUUCCACGAACUUCUUGAGAUUGAGCCGUCGUGUCCUGCAUGUUUACCCUGUUCACUGUUGCUUUUUUUUUUGAGAGACUGUUCACUGUUGCUUGCUCUGCCUCUUUUGCUUUCUUUGAAGAUUGAGGCUUCACCUUCUUUCGGUGAUGUCUUUCCAUCCUAAUAAAAGCAAAGAGAUGUUCAGAGGACUUCUGGGAAAGCACUUUUGCAAAACUUUAGCAGUUCUGAUGAACCAUUCAUACCAAUUCGAAAGGUUAAAAAAAAGGAAAAUGACCCAGCAAACUAUGUUUAAACUAUGAAAUGUCUCCUUACAUGUAUUAUGAAUUUGAUGAAUAGACUUCUCAUGCUGUGCCAAACCCAUAAACAAGCAAGGAUCUAAAUAUACUAUCAAAACACAAGUCAAACACAAGAAUAUCCAUUAAAGAAGCUCAUACUCUUCCUCCGCACCAGAUGAACCAAAUGUUAGGAAGGGACAAAAGCUCGCUCUAUAUGCUGCGCGACCAUCAGCUUUUAGCUUCAUUCUUGGACCCAUCUAAUGCAGGCAGCAACUUGUAAGGCCACAACCGCCCACAAGCUUCAAUUUUGAAACGUUUCACAUAUUCUAAUAAUUAAGAAGGAAAUUUGAACCACGUACAGGUUAAACUAUGAACGUACAUAGACAAAUAUUAUGUGAUAUUCUUGGUGGACCUUCAUUUAAUAGGAGAGCCUGCACAGCAGCAAGAGCUUUUUGGUCUGUAAAAGCUUGAUUUAUUUUACUUAUUAUACCAACGGUCCCGGUACCUGUCGUCAAAGUAAGUUCCCAAUUUUAUCUUGGGUUACAAAUCCAAAAGGUACCAGCAAAAGCAAUUUAAGACAAUACAUAAAAAGUCUAAGUCAGUUAACCAUCUCCCUCAUGGUCCUUGGCAAAUCUAAGAGCUUGAGAAGAAGCAAUUUCAGAUGCCUAUGCUCUGCACAUUCACCAACCUACACAAGGGCAUAGCAAUUUGUGAUAUACCUGCCAUACCACGAAAACAUGCAGAACGCCACAUCAAUUUGAAGUGGAUCAAGGCCUAGAAACAUUAACACUCACCAUUGACUUGUCUAUAAUUCGUUAUGUUGAUCCAAACCAGGCAAGUCAAUUAAUUUCAAUGGAAGUGCUGGAAAAAAAAUAAAGUCAGAAAAGAUCACGAGACAUGGCACCAAAAGAAUGGUUUACAAUCCAUUUGUAAACCCAUGCCUCGUAAAUUGCUUUACGGCUUACCACUAAUUCGACUUCCACUUUCACAAUUUCCUGUGUCGAACUGCACAGCACGUCAAAAUACUCUCUUAGAUUCAAUCAGAACUUGAGCUCUAGAAUCAUCAAAAUAGCUGACUUUACUGAGAAGUUUCCAAUAAUCCAAAUAAAUUUUUGACCAAACAACAGGUCAAGCCUCUAGCUCAAGAUAACAUGCAGGAAAACGCAAGUCUGCAAUCAGUUAAUUUUGAGGUGAAAAGAGUCAUCUUCGGGUUCAACAGGUAUGAUAGUCAAUGCACUUUCCCCCAAAACUAUUGCACAGAGAGUAGGCCAAAACAUUUUUUACUAAGAUAUUAGACAAAGUCCGAACAGAUAGAACAAUGUAAAUAAUAAAUAAGCAACCUGUACUUGUGUGAAAUUGUGUUCAAUACAUCCCUCAAAACUUAACAAAUCAAAUUUUAUUCUUAUAAAUUUUCGAAACUGAAAAAGAAACUACAAAUGUAUAAUUUAAAGAAUAUUAAUCAGCAUAUAACGUAUUUUCAAAUGUUAAAUUAUGUUAUUACAUGCAUAACUAUUGGGAUUCAUAGCCCCUUUUAACUUUACAGAAAAUUUGACACGAUUUUCAACCUCAAUUCUCUCACUUAAAUUCCUUAGGAAUUGCUUUCUUUAGCAAGCAGAGCACAAGAGACCAGAAACUUGUAUUUGAAAAAUAAAACUUGUAUUUGAAAAAUAAAACUUGAAUUGAUUAUUUUGUUUGUUUACAGACCAUUGUCCAUUUAUACACAAGGAAACAAAAGUGAUAGCUGGCUAAAAAUAACAAAUUCAGAUAAAACAAAAUAAUCCAGCAAUCAUUAGCCAAUGAUAUGAUGCUUCCAGAAUCUUCAUCCAUUCAUUCCAUGUGCUGGUAUUUCUCUGUGUAGCAGUUUUGCCACCUCAUUGAAUUUGCAUCAGCUGGUAAAUAGGUGUAGCUUAGGUGGCAUGCCAAUGUGUCACAUAGCUCAGCUGAUGACUUGUCAUGGCUGCUAUCUUCAACACCCUCUCUCAAACACAAGGUUUUGUCAAACACCUUGAGUUUGCUUCUGAAACAGCUGAAUUUAUAGUAAGGUAAUGGCUUGGUUAGGACAUCAGCUAUUUGGUCUCUGCCUGCAACAAAACUGAUUCCAACUCUCCUCUUGCUACCAUGUCUCUGAUAAAGUGUAGAUCUAUCUCGAAAUGCUUAGUUUUGGAGUGAAACACAGGAUUGGUUGCUAUUGCAGCUGCACUUGUGCUAUCACUUAGGAUUGUUGGUGUUCUUUGCAUUUCUAUUUUCAGCUCACUUAGCAGAGAACCAAUCCAUGUGAGUUCUGUGGUGCAAAGAGCCAUUGCUCUGUAUUCUGAUUUAGCCGUAGAUCUAGCAAAUAAGCCUUGCUUCCUUGAACUCCAAGCAAUGAGAUUUCCACCCAAGAAUACACAAUAACCACUGAUAGAUCUCCUGUCAUCCAAGUCAUUUGCCCAAUCUGCAUCCGUAUAAGCUAUUAGAUCAAAGUACUCUGAUCUUUUGAAUUUCAGACACAUGUUCAUGGUGCUUUUGAGAUACCUCAACACUCUUUUGCAUGCUAUCCAGUGAGGUUGCCUAGGAUCAGACAUGUAUUGGCUAAGCUUGUUCACUGAAUAAGCAAGCUCAGGUCUUGUGAGUAUUGAAUACUGCAGGCUACCUAUAAUACUUCGAUACAAUGUGGGAUCAUAAAACUUUUCUCCUUCAUUUUUCUUUAGUUUCUCUGUAGUACUGAAAGGUGACUCAAUUCCUUUACAGUCACUCAUCUCUAUUCUGGCAAGCAGAUCUUGUAUGUACUUGGUUUGAGAUAACAGAAUGGCAUUUUGGUUUCUGUUCACCUGAAUCCCCAGAAAGAAGUUCAGCUCCCCCAAGUCUUUUAAGGCAAAUGCUCUAUUUAAAUUACUGACCAGCUCUUCAAUACUACCACUGUUGUCACCUGUAAUGAUGAUGUCGUCAACAUAAAUCAGCAGUAUAACUAUCUCAGAUUUUAUUCUUCUAUAGAAUAGUGAGGUAUCACACUUUGAGUUUUCAAAUCCCCAAGAGUUCAAAGCACCCUUUAGUUUAUCAAACCAUACCCUGGGAGCUUGUCUCAAACCAUACAAUGCUUUCUUUAAUCUGCAUAUGUGAUUAGGCUUACUUUUGUCCACAAAACCUUCAGGCUGUGGCAUGUAAACCAUUUCUGUCAGCUCACCAUUCAAGAAGGCAUUAUUUAUGUCUACCUGCCUCAAACUCCAAUCAUUGUUUACUGCCAAGGUGAGAAUGAUUCUGAUUGUUGCAGCCUUAACAACAGGGCUGAAAGUUUCUGUAAAAUCAAUGCCUGGAAUCUGCAAAAAUCCCUUCACCACUAGUCUGGCCUUAUAUUUGUUUAUGGUUCCAUCUGGAUUCUCUUUAACUCUGUACACCCAUUUAUUUCCAAUCAACUUGCAACUUGAGUCACUUGGUACCAAGGUCCAUGUUUCAUUUUUCAGCAAGGCAUUGUAUUCAUCUUCCAUUGCCUUUUUCCAGUUUGGUUCUUUUAAGGCUUCUGAGGUGUUGAAGGGUAAUGCAGUCUGUGGUUGGGUAGAAGCUUGGUAUAUCUUUGGUUUAAAGAUACUUGCCUUAGAUCUUGUUACCAUAGGAUGUGAUGGUAUGGCUUCUUUUGUGUUUGGAACUAUGAUAGGAGAUGUAGAUUGGUCAUUUUCUUGAGGUUGGUGAUUUGUAUAGGGAGAGGACAUUUGAUUAUUUGACAUCAUAUCAUUGCUCAAGUUCUGAUGUGUCUUACCUUGGUCAAGGUUCUGGAAUUGUUCUGAAGCUUCAGGAGUUUCCAGAGAGUGGCCUUCAUCAACUGCUGUCUGAGUGUUUUGAGGAGUAUCAAGAGAAAAUGACACAACCUGAAAUUUUUCUAAGAGAGUAAUAAAAUCAUUUUGACUUGUGGACUCUUGUCUGCUGAACUUGGUGUCAUCAGAGAAAGGAAAUGAGCUUUCAUUGAAUCUGACACUUGCAGAGAUAUAUAUUCUACCUGAGUGAUGCAUGCAAACAUAUCCCUUGUGAGUUAUGCUUAUUCCUAGCAAUGUGCAUUUGACAGUAUGGAAAUCAAGCUUGUGUUUGUUAUAUGGCCUCAAAAAUGGAUAGCAUUCACAUCCAAAUACUCUGAUUUGUAAGUAAUUUGGUUUGUAAUGGUAAAGCAAUUCAAAGGGGGUUUUAUUUCCAAUAACAGGUGAGGCUAAUCUGUUGAUAAUGUAGGUGGCAUAAGUGAAAGCUUCUUGCCAGAAUUUUAAUGGCAUUUUGGCUUGUGCCAGCAAUGUGAGUCCAGUUUCUACCACAUGUCUGUGUUUUCUCUCAACCUUGCCAUUUUGUUCAUGUAGAUAUGGACAUGAUUGUCUCAAUGCUAUGCCCUCUUUGUCAAGAAAAGCCUUGAAUGGUUUAAAUUCUCCUCCCAUGUCUGUCUGUAAUGCUUUAAUUCUCAAAUUCAAUUGGUUUUCAAUUUGGCUUUUAAAGGUGAUGAAUGUAUUGAGAGCUUGGGAUUUUGUUGUCAAGGGAAACAGCCAGGUGUAUCUUGUCAUGUCAUCCACAAAAGAUAUGUAAUAUCUAUGUCCAUGACUUGAGGGAAUUGGUGCUAGUCCCCAUAAGUCAGCAUGAAUCAAUUCUAAGGCCUUGCUGGUUUUAAUUUCUGUGCUUUUAAAGUUUUGUUUAGAUUGUUUUCCAUACUGACAUGCACAACAAAAUGAAGGAACAGAAUUCUUGUUUAAUUUAAAUUGAUUACAAGACAACAUGGUGCUUUUCAGAGCAGACUCAUUUGGGUGCCCUAGUCUGAGAUGCCAGAGAUCAAUAUCUUUUAAAGCAUCAUUGCUUGAUCUAUCAAUUUCAGAGGACUCAACACAAACAUUUGCUAACUUGACACUACUCAAAUUAAAUGACAACAUAGACACUGGAUUGCUGAUGUAAUUUAUUGACUCAGGCAUGAAGGAAGAAGAUAAGACAGCAGCAUAACGAGUUUUGUUCCCACUCAGGUGAGUAGGUAAGCACAGCAGUUCAUAAAGCCCCUCUCUAGCCACUCCUUUCACAAGAAUUUUCCCUUGCCUCUUGUCCUUAAUAAAACACACAGAUUUUUUAAAUUCGAUAUCAAUGUCAUUAUCAUGCAAUAAUCUGGAAAUACUAAUGAGAUUUUUAGUGAUGCUUGGCACAAAUAAUAUGUCAUUCAAGGUGAUGUGUUUAUGUGGAUUUAAAGUGGAAAGCAUAGAGUUACCAAUGUGAGAAAUCAGGAGUUUUUCACCAUUUCCAACAAUUAGCUUUUCAUUACCUUGAUACUCAGAGUUGGUGUUUAUGUUGCUAAGGGCAUUUGUCACAUGGUUUGUGGCACCACUGUCCAAGUACCAGGCUCCACUGCUUUGGCCAUCAGUUGCAGCCACAUAUGCACCUCUUGGUUCCCUCAUUUGGCUUGGUUGUGGCACAUAAUUCUUUUUGAAUCUGUGCCAGCAAUCAGCAGCCGUGUGUCCCAUUUUCCAGCAAAUUUGACAAGGCCCCUUAGGAUUUGCACCAUCAUCAUCACUUACAGCUUUGCUCUUCCCUUUGUCAUGAGGAUUCUGAUUUCCUUGACCAUGACCAGAACCAUUGCCAGGGGUUCUGAAGACUAUGCCAGGUUGAUAUUGAUUUCCAGCCCUGUUCUGGUUGUUCCAAUUUCUUCUCCCAUUUCUCAUUUGUGUGUAGUUUGCUUCUAUAGUUCCUGAGCUUAGGUUGUGUUCAGUUUUGUUUUCCUGGCUGAGAAGCAUGCCAUAGACUUCAGAAUGUGAGGGACUUUCCUGCAUUGAAUUUAUGCUAGCAAUUACUGAAUCAUAUUCUGAUCCCAAACCAGCAAAUAUACACAUGAUAAAGUCAUCAUCACUCAUAUUACUCCCUGCUGCCCUAAGAGUAUUUAAUAUAGACUUCAUUCUAGAGUAAUACUCAUGAAUGGUUAGUGAGCCCUUUUUGAUGGUCUGGAUUUGUGUUCUGAGGUGUAGGAUUCUAGCUCUAGAUCUUGCACCAAAUUGAUUGGAGAGAGUUGUCCACACCUCAAAGGAGGUGGAACAAUCUACCACAGUGCCCAGUACAUCCUCACUAAGUGAAGAUAACAGCCAACUUAAGAGAAUGUGGUCCUGCUUUUUCCAGACUUGGUAAUUUGGGUUAGGUGUGGUGAUUAUUGUUUGAUCUUGUCCAAGGUUUAUGAAAUCUCUAGGAGGGCAGACAUGGCUGCCAUCUAUGAACCCCUCAAGUUCAUUUGCUCUAAUGCUGGAAAUCACUUGUGAUCUCCAGAGCAUGAAAUUGUUUUGAUUUAGCUUAAUGGGAGUUGUGAACACAUAUGUGCUGCUGGUAAUGUGUUGAGUGGGUGAGGGUGAGUUGUGACUCGAGUUUUGUUCAAUGUUUUGAGGAGUGUUUUGAUUUUCAUUUUGAUUCAAGUUUUCCAUCUGGUCGUUUGCUUGUGUGCUGCUGCUGCUUGCCAUAGCUUUGAAGAUGGCUCUGAUACCAACUUAAAUUCCUUAGGAAUUGCUUUCUUUAGCAAGCAGAGCACAAGAGACCAGAAACUUGUAUUUGAAAAAUAAAACUUGAAUUGAUUAUUUUGUUUGUUUACAGACCAUCGUCCAUUUAUACACAAGGAAACAAAAGUGACAGCUAGCUAAAAAUAACAAAUUCAGAUAAAACAAAAUAAUCCAACAAUUAUUAGCCAAUGAUAUGAUGCUUCCAGAAUCUUCAUCCAUUCAUUCCAUGUGCUGGUAUUUCUCUGUGUAGCAGUUUUGCCACCUCAUUGAAUUUGCAUCAGCUGGUAAAUAGGUGUAGCUUAGGUGGCAUGCCAAUGUGUCACAUAGCUCAGCUGAUGACUUGUCAUGGCUGCUAUCUUCAACACUCUCCCCUUUAUAAAUAUUUCAGUCUUUUGGGGUGUGGCUCCUCUACUUCCUUUCGGUUGAAAACUUUGCUUGGAUCUUCCAUUGAAUCCAUAGAAUCUGAGGCGUGAAAUAAAUGGAUCCCACAUUUUUUCACCCCACAACAGUCCAAAGUUUCAGUUUCAGAACCCAACACUUUCUUAAAAUAGAAUUGGACUGCCUCAGGAACGCAAUUGUAUUCCCAACAACCAUUUAGAUCCUGAUGAUUGAAGAAAUAGUACCCCAAAAGUAAGUGAUCAGGCUCUACAUAAUUAACUCGCCCCAGAUAUCUCUGUAUGACAUGCGGAUCACAAUCUUUGAGUUUGAUUUUGAAUUCACAGUAGAAUUUAAAAGACCAAUCCCUGACAUGAUGGUCUCGAAAUGCUACAAUAGCACAGAAAACAAAGCCGAGCACUUUGUUAUUACUGAAGCAACUUGGUUGCAUCUUCAAGGUUAUAGAAGAUCCCAUACCUUGAGAGCUAAACCACAUUGGAAUUUCAUUCCCAGGUAAAACGACAUGGCCUUGAAGAGCUGGAUAAGAUAUCUGCACCACAAAAAUCAUAAUUUUUAAAAUUAUAUUGUUGGCUUUAAUUUCAAGGAGAGGGGGAAAAAAAUUAGCAAACAUUGUAUAAAUUAAAAGGAAAGAGUUAAAGGCACACCUUUUCCCGUAUUUCUUUCCAACGUGCAGUUGCCAUUAGCUGAAUAUUUUGCAGAGCAUCUUCGACAAUACCUCUGAGCUUCCGAUCCAAUUUAAAAUUUUCGUUCAGGUAAAAAAAGACACAUUUAUAACUUGAGAAUAAACCUGAUAAUGAUUCCAAUGUCGUGCAAUGUUGUGCAUCCAACCAGUAUAGAUUGCAUGGAAGCUUUGGUAAGGAUUGAAGCCUCUCACAAUAACUUACGAGGAGACUUGACAACUUAGAAAGUCGUAUGAUGCUUUCUGGUAUUCUUUCAAAAUUGUUUCUCUCUAGAUACAAUUCUUCAAGUGAGGACAACAGGCCAAGGCUUUCAGGUAACUCUGUGAUGGCACAAUCAGUUAGAUAUAGAUACGUUAGACUGUACAAGCCAUCAAAAGGUAGUUUAAGACUCUUGAGACUUUUACAAUCUCCAAGGUCUAAGACGCAAAGCGCUGAGAGACACUCGAUGGGUGAGGGCAGCUCUUCAAUUGCAGAUCCUGUUAAGCAUAUCUCUUCCAGAGAUUUCAACUUACAUAGGCUGCUUGGGAGACUCUUAAGAUUUUUACAAUCUCCAAGGUUUAAUUCCAAAAGCCUAGAUAGACAUCCGAUGGAUGAGGGCAGUUCUUCAAUUGCAGUUCCAUCUAAAAGUAUUUUUUCUAUAUUACCAGCUGAUGAGAUCUCCGGAAGGCUCUUCAGUUUUGAGCAACCACUUAGAUUAAGGAUAACCAGCUUAUUCAGAUGUUGAAUCAACGAGGGGUUUGGAGUUUUGGUAAAAAUAUUGCAGGCAGCCAUGAUUAUCUGGUUUAACUUACCAUGAUGCUGCAUGCUCAAUCAAAAAAGAGGCCAAGACAUAUCAUUAGCAUGUACGAUAAUCAAAUAUUCCUAACACAUUGCCAAGAUUUAUUAAGAAAUAUCUACCUGGACACUUUCAGAAAGCUGUUCAAUAUUGCUGUGAGGCAUUUCAAGUAUAACAAGUUUCUCCGGAUGAAUAUUUGAAGGUAGUGAUUUAAAUGGAUAUCCAUGCCAGUGAAGAUACCUCACUUCAGCAAAUCUAAGGGCUCGAAAAUCAGAGACUUGACAUUUGUUCUCUCCAUUUAUUGAACUAUAAAAUUUCAAAAAUCUCAAUCUACACAUCUUUGUGAAAGUAUCGGGAUUUAGACAAAUCUCUUUCACUUUAGACAUAUCCAAGCAGAUGCCCUCAAUUUUUUCAGUCCCCUGAUCAUCAAUAAAAGACCAUACAUUUAAAAGCAAAUUUAGAAAAUUCAAGCUUGUAGUCAAUGUUGGGCAAGCAAACUCUAAGUUGCAAACUAAUUCAAGUAAUACUAAAUUAUUAAUUAUCAUUGCCAUGUCAACUUGAAAUUAUAAUUCAAUACAAAAGAUUACAUGCAAGUUGACAUGGCAAUUUUUAUUGCUCAUCACCUAUUCCCAGUUUUUGUGUUUUCAAUCACUGUCAAUCUUCUAUUAAUUCUAAAACUCAUCAUUUCGAGCUUAUAUAAGUAUUUGUAUAAGAAAUUUGUCAAUGCAAUAUUAUUCCAAAAUAAUAAUCCCAACAAAAUGCUUACCAUAUUAUAUGUAAGAACUCCAUAUAUAUCCUCAUGAUACCAUAACCGACUGCGGUUUCCAGGAUUAACUGAUUCUUGAAGGACAAUAUCCCUACCCAAUUCUUGUAGCAAAUCAUGCAUUGUUAUCCUGUCAUUGUUUGAUAUGACAAUAAGAGACUUAUCAACAAGAACACUUAUUCCUAUUUCUGGGUAGAAUCCGCUUGCAUCAAGGAACUUCAUUACUGAAUAUACAUCCUCACCUUUAAAGAAACAAGCAACAUCUAGGAAAAUAUUUUUCUCUUUAUCAUCCAAACCAUCAUAACUUAUUUUUAGUAUCUCUUGGAUACUUGGAUGGAGAAUACUUUUCAAUUUGUUUAUUGCACUUUUCCAGACUUCUUUUUCCCUUCCAAAUAGAAAGCAACCCAAAACUUUAAGAGCUAAAGGAACACCUUGAGCAUAUUCCAUUACCUUGCUUGAAAGUUCCUCAUAACCAACAACUGGAUGGGUUUGUUUGAAGGCAUGUCGACUAAAUAGCUCAAGAGCAUGAUCAUAUUCUAAUGCCUCCAUCUCAUAUAUUUUCUUCACACCCCAAUUUCUAAGCACUUGUUUAUCUCUUGUGGUUAUUAUUAUCCUACUCCCAGGCAUAAACCAAUCAAGACUUCCAAUUAAGGAUUCUAUUUGGUUGAAACACGACACAUCAUCAAAAACAAUUAGAAUUUUCCGACGGCUGAGCCUUCUAAAGCUCAGGGCAAUAUUAGGCAUCACAUUGUCAUCCUGCAAUAAUUUUGAAAGAAGUUUUAGUUGCAAGCAAGCUAAUCCUCCCGGUCUUACUGAUUCUUCUCUAACAUUUUGAAGGAAACAAGAACCUUCAAAAUCACUAGAGAUUUUUUCGAAAAUAGCUUUAGCAAUUGUUGUCUUGCCUAUACCACCGAUGCCCCAAAUCCCUAAAGUGUAAACAUCUUCCCAUUCAACACCUAAUAGAGAUUCAAUUUCCUCCACUCUAGAUUCUACUCCAACCAACUGGUUAUUGUUAACACACGGAAAAACUGUAGCCAGUCUCUUCAAAAUGUGAUUGACAACUUCCUUUACAAGUUUCGAUUCAGGCCUGGCAAAUACAUAAAAUAGUAGUAAGUUCAAAUAGGAGGGAUUUUCACCGAAUAUGUGUGUGAGGGAAUUCCCCCCGUCCUCUAAUGGUAUGUGAUGAAUGAUAGAUUGAAAUUGCUUAAAAUAUGACAGAACCUCAUUAAUUUUAUUAAACUUAUAAACUUCUCGAGCUUUUAUUAAUUCUGUCAAAUUUCUUUUGUAGGAGUUUAAAAGUCGGGAAGUCCACAAAACUAGAAUUUGUUCAGACGAUUCAGAAUUUAGCACACCAAAUGUAACUACCAAAGAUCAAUACCACAAAGCAGUCAGUCGAAAAAUAUUAUGAUGCCUAAAAAAUUUUAAGUAUAAUUCAGCAUAUUUAGCUCAGCAAAUGCAACAAACACUUUAACUAAGAAGUUAAAGUAACCUUUUACCUAAUGUUGAGGGAAUGAAAACCAGAAAAACUGGCCGCUUCUCUCAAAGCGUUCCUCCAAGUCUGCAGCUUCACUGAAUUCUCCUUAAAUCUUUCUUCAAGCUUCGAAAAUGAAUCCCCAAAAGACCCAGUUUGGUUUCUCACAUCUGACGGAUCAACGCGAUAAAAAACUGGUAUCACAAUUUGUGCAUAUUCUUUCCUGCAAUCGAGGAUCUUUAAAAGUUCAUCGAGACACCAUCUUGAAGAGGCAUAGCCUUCAGAGAAAAUGAUGAGUGAAAUGGCUGAUGCUUCUAUUGCAUUCAUAAGUGACUCUGAAAUUUCAUCUCCUCUGUUAAGUUGGUCAUCAAUGAAAGUUUCAAUACUUUUUUGAGACAAAGCUGAAAAAAGAUGGCUGGCAAAGUUGUCACGGGUGUCCUCUCCUCUGAAACUAAGAAAAACAUCAUACUUACUGUUUCGAGGUUUCAUCAAACUCAAACUGGUGGAUGGAUAAGAAGAAGAAGAAGAAGCAGAAACAGAAGCCAUCAGAGUUCAAUUGAUCUCAAAGAUUGUGAUCAAAUGAAAACAAUUAUUGACUCAAAUCUCAGUUACUGUAGUCUUGUACAGAGAUUAUAACGAUCUUGGAACCUACCAGGUGGUUUCUUGAUAAUUUUCAUCUCCUUCCCUAAGCAAUGCUUUGUUAACUUUUAGUUGAAACUAUUCCGCGUUAUUCAAGUGUAGAAAGAAAAAGUGAAUUCUAGCUAAAAAGGUGAAAGGUGUGAAUUCCCCAAAGGCACGAUAAUUUGGACAUGCACAACUUUAAAUCCUACUCUUUGCUUUACUGACAAGUUUGUCGGACCAUAACUAUUGGCAAUAGGGUCCUGUUCUAGGCUUUUCUAUUAAAAUGUGAACUCUCAAUUGCGAAAAAAAGCUAUUUAUUUUUCUAAAAUAUUCCAUAAACAUGCAAGAGAAUCCAAGGAGAGAUAUAACACUAAGACAGCGAUUGAACUGUCAAAAAAAAAAAAAAAACCUACACAAUUGAGACAACAGCAGAACUGUUUGCCUUUUUUAGUAGCAGAAUCUUCAACAGAGAAGUAAGUAUAUGAAAUACAGGGCCAUAAGAAAGGGGGCAUAAUAGUUAAUAUUUAAUAUAUUGGAUUUAUUAUUUUAAUAGUUUCUUUAUCUUUUAAUUUGACUCUUUCUUAAUGUAAUUAUUUUGUAUUUGAAUUGUAUUGUUAUAACACCCCAAUUCCACUAAUAAAAUACUAUCAUGAAAUUGAAGUGAAAUUGCAUUUCAUCAAUCUCAUUUCUAAAACACCAAAACAAAAUAAGUUAUAAAAUAACAUAUCCUCAAAUAAAUGUCAUCCUAGUGAAAGCUAAAAUACUCAUAAAUUAUUAACGUAACAUUAAUCCCUAAAAGAAAUUGGGCUCUUAUUCUUCCUCCUAAGACCAUAAGCUCAUACAUCAUCUAACUCCGUCUACAAAAAUGUGAUAAUGAGGGGUGAGUCUUCAACUCAGUAAGUAAAUUCAUGCACAAUACCAAAAAACCAUCAAAAUAUAAUUAUUUGAAUUUCUUAAAUAUACAUAAUAAUAAUAAAAGAAAUUACCUUUGUAAAUCAUCAUUUAACAAAUAUAAAUAAAAACAUAAAUUCAUUUAAAUCCUUUAAAUAAAACAAUAGCAUUUGAAACACAUAAAACAUAAUUAGUUCGUGCUACAUAGUAUCACCUAUACACCUGAACCGGCCAUAUCACAUCAUUCAGGGUAUUGUACCCCGCGAGAAUUAUUAAUAUUAACAUCGUAUGUACACAAAAUUCAACUAGCCUUCCAUAACAUAACAUAACAUCACUACGGAGAUUGAGCAAAAACAUUUAUAACCAUCCUUGAACUUUUAAUCAUUUGUAAACUUCCUUAAAUUACAUUUAAAUAAUUGAUAACUAUUUCAAAGUUUUUGACUUAAAACAAUUUAAUAAAAGUUUUCAUUUUUAAGACAAUUUAUAAAACAAGUUUUUAAUAAAUAAAGUUUUGCUAUAAAUAAUUUUAAGGAAUGAUUUUACUUAACAAAGUAUUGAAUUAGACUAAACAAAUCAGUUUCAUAUACUACUCAUUCAAUAUGAUACAUAUCAUAUUAACAAAGUAUCAUACAUGAAUCUACUUACCUUGAUCCUCAACAAUAAAAAGAACGAUAACCCCAACCUGUCAACCAUGAGCUCACUCUCGUCCUAAAAUAUCAAGAUACAUUCUUAUCAAUAUUUUUACUGAUUCUGACGUUGAUAUAAAUUCAACAUGAUCACGCCUAGUCAUAAGCCCUAGACCAUCAAAGCUAGUCUAAACUCAACUAUCCUAUACAAGCAGAUUUUUACCAAGCCAAUCAUUUGUCGGCAAAUUGUAAAAUCAAAGAAGAAAACCAUAAACAUGUAUAGUAUUUCAUAUAAAAAUUCAAAAAAAAUGAAGAAAAGUCAUAAAUGUAAUGCAAAAGGAAUUUUGCAUGCACAUAUCCACACUAUCCAACAGUGAUAAAAACAGAGACUGCUGAAUUAGAAAAUUUGUAAAAUAUUUAAUAAAACUCAUAAUAAUUAGAUCACUUGAUUUUCCAACAAUAGAAAAAUCAACAAACACUAUAUCAACUUUUUAGAAUUUUUGAAAAUGUAAAAUAAUUUUAAACAAAUUUAUAUUAAGAGACCAGCAAACCUAUCCAAAAACUUUAAGGUUUAUGUCUUGCAUUUCAACAAUUUAUAACUUAAUGCUAACUCAAUGAAAAUUAGUCAAAUAAACUUUAAAUCAUAGAGGAUUCAUAAUAUUAUAUGAAUAUAAUUUUUUUAUAGGUCAUUCUAAAGCCUCUUAACAGCCUAAAGUAAUUUUACCAUCACCCAUCAUAAUUUUGGGAAGUAGUUUCUGGAAUAGCAGCUGUAACACCCCAAUUCUAUUAACAAGGCACUAUGGUAGAAUUGAAGUGAAACUGCAUUUCAUAAUUCUCAUCUUUAAAACUUUCAAAGUAAUAACCAACAAUAAAUGUAACAUCCAAAAACUAACACGUGCGGAGCACGUGAAGAAGGAGGUUACUUACAAAUCGUAAACCUUACUCAUAAAUUUCAAACUGAAAUACCUCAAAUUCUUAUUCAAAUAAAUCCAUAAAUUCAUACGUCUAACACAAAUAAUCUCUCCCAAAACAUAACAAUAAAAAAAGUCUCAAACUCUAAAUUACAAGUUCAUAAUAGAAAUAAACUGAAUAGAAACAUGAGUCUAUUCCUCUUCUUAUUCAAAUAGCAAAUGGAAAGGAAAUCACUAACUCCAAAGCUACGCACACCUCUUAAAUGGAACUUAAUAUGUAAAAAGUAAUGACAAGGGGUGAGCCAUCAACUCGGUAAGUAAAAUCAUUCCUAACACACUAGGUUUUUUCGUUAACGAAGAUAUUGCAAGCCUUCUUUUUAGUAAAACAUAUUUCAUAAAUUCAUAAAUUUUAUAAAAGAGAUAUCACGAUAACAUAACAUAAAUUCUUAAUAAUUCAGAAUAUCCAAAAGCAUAUUUACUUAUGAAGCAAAUCAUAUAACACGUAUACAGAAAACAAAAGGUUAGCUCAUGUCACAUAGCGUCACCUAUAGUCCCAGUAACCCGGCCAGAAACGGAAUCAGAAUAUCGUGUUCACACUCAGAACAAAACCCAAUACUAGUCCAGAUAGAUAUAUCGUAUAUUACGAUCAGAAUCAGAAUAAAAAUCAGAAUAACUGUAACACCCCAAAAAUUACCCAAGAAAAUACAAGGGUAAAAUUGGAAUGAAAACCUCACAUCUUUUAUCCUUCUUAAUAAAUCUCAAGAUAGACAAUUAUUAUUCAUACUCCAAUUGAAUCCUUACAUAAAACAUCUGAAAUAAAGUCUCCAAAAUAAAGUUUCUAAUCCAAAAUAAAAAGUCUAGCCAAAUUUAAUCUUUAAAGCAACUCCAAAGAUCCACUAAGAAAAAUUCUCCAUUUAAGCACCCAAGCCAUAUUUCUAAUCAAUCUGCAAAAUAUUAGAGACGAGGAGUGAGCCGUCAACUCGAUAAGCAAAUCCAUGCACAAUAUUUGAAAACCUUUGUCAUGUAUCGUUAAACAUUUUAUAACAACAUCUUCAUUUAGCAUAAGGGGUGGAUUCAUAUAAAAACAUUAAAACAUUUAUAAAAACAUUAAAGCGUAAACAUUGGUAGCUCAUGCCUCGUAGUCAUCAUCAUUCAUCAUUCAUCAUUUAGGGUGUUGUACCCCGCAUUGUUCCUCAUUCAGAGUACUAUACCCCACAUUGUUCGUAACAUCCUUGUGCACAAGAUCAUCAUCAUACCAGCAAGCUGGCCAUAAUAUUUCAUAACAUCAUAACAUUAACAUCAUAUACAUUACUACGGACUAUGAGCCAAAACAUUUUUGAAUCCACCAUACAUUCUUUCAUAAAUAGCAUUUAAAGUCUUCUAAAACAUUUAAGAACCUUUCUUUGAUCAUUUAAUUCUUUUAGGAAAUUCUUUAAGAAAACAUUUUGUUUAAGAAAACUAAUUUCUUAAGAAAAAUUCAUUUUAAAAUAAUUUUAUAUAAAUUCAUUUAAAAGUGUUUUUAUUUUACAAAAUUCAUUUAAAUAUUUUAGAAAUCAGUUUUGUAAAAAUUUCUAUUUAAACAUAAUUUUUGUAACAUAAAUUGCAUUUAUUAUAAAGCACAUCAUGCAUGAAUCUACUUACCUUGAUCCGUAGCAAUCAAUUCAAUACCUCAAGAAUAACCAACGAGCUCACCCUCGUCCUAUAAUCAUCAUAAAAAUAUUCUUAUCAAUAUCAUCUCUAACCUUAAACAUAAUCCCAAUCAUCCUUAAAUCAUAGACACUAAUACUACGUUAAUACUUAUACAUAUUCUAAACAUAUCCUAUACUUAUGAGUAUCCUGCACAUGCUGAUUUUUAAUAACCUAUACACAUGUCGGAAAACCAUGAAAAUUUACAGAGGCACUGUGAACAUGCAUAACAUUGCAAUAUUUCACAAAAAAUCAGCACAAGUCAAAAUCGAGUCAGAAUAUUGACCUUUCACCAAAGUAACAAAAACUGUCCAGCACUGACCAAAACAGACCUUUUCUAUUAAGAAAAUUCAUAAAAUAUUCUUUGGUACUCGAAAUAAUAUGCUUCUUUUUUCUAAUUACAGAAGACACAUUCAAAAAGCAUAUAAUUAAAAUUCAUAAUUUUUGGACUCCUGAAACUAUUUUAAAACGUUUUAUUUCCGAGAACAUCUAACCCGUCCAGAAAAUUCCAGAUUUGAAAACAGAAUUUCAAAAAUUCGUAUCUUUUAUUUUACAUGCCCAAAAAUCGCGAUUCCAGUUUUUAAAGACAGAGGAAAGAUUGAAAUUUCAUUAUAAAAUCCUAAGAUGGCCUGUAAUAUUCAUAAACUAGCCCAACUGUUACACGUUUCAGCUUCUGAAAUUCUGGAAAACAGUUUCCAGAUUUGCAGCAGCCAUAUGUUACGAUUUUUAGUAAUUCAACCAUAAAGAAUAAAACUACGAAAUUAAACAUGCAACCAUAGGAGACAUAGAUCUGUUGGUACAAAAAUCGGCAUAAUUUUAAAGGAUGUGUAACCUUAUAGAAAAUUUUCCAGAGUUGAGAACCACUGCUGAAAAUCGGAAUUUUCCAGCACCGGUUACCCAACUUCGAAAACCCAUAACAAUUUGCAUACUCAGACAAUUUCAACACAAAACCUAUCAAUGGAAAGCCUAGGAUGUCUAGUUCCAUGAUAUGUAAGAUAUUCACGUGAUUCUAAAUAAAGAAAACGAUUUCAAGUAAGGAAUAGAGAGUAUUCAUAUCAUCACAACAUUACAAACACACACAUAUUACCCAAAUCAUACUACAAGUAAUUAAAGGCAAACAAUUCCAUAAAAAUAAAUUAUAUAAGUCGAAGAAAUACUUAAUACCUUAAGGCAAACACUAAGAAAAGAAGUGAUAAAACUUUCUUUUCUUUCUCCAAAGACUUAUAUUUCCUUCUUUUCAUUCUAGGGUUUGUAACGGUGUAAAAAUAAAAGACGGCUUCUUAAAAAGAUGACUUUCUCUUAAAUACUUGGUAAUUAAUAAAUAUUUUAAAAAAUUAAUAACUUAUGGAACUUAUUUAAAAAAAUCCGAUAAAUUUUACUCACACACAAACACUCAAUAAUAACUAUCCUAUUCAAUUUAAUAAGGGCAAAAGAGGAAAAAUAAAUAAAUAAAUAAAACUAGGCGUUACAAUAACUAUGGACAAUGAGCCAAAACAUAAUGACUUAUAUGUGGCACUUUGCACUAUAUGUGGCACUUUGCGACGCUUUGGCCUUCAAGAGGUGGCCCCUAUAUAGUCCCAAGAGGUGGCCCCUGUACAAUCAUAAAUAAUUAAAAACAUUCAUAAGCACAAAAAUAUUCGUAUCAAUUUCAUAAAUGUCCAUAACAACAAUUUAGGCUUGCAAAAUAUUUUAUAAAUAAAAUCAUAAAAGUAGGCAUGUAACAAAAUAAUUUGCAUAUUUAAAAAGCAUUUGUUAAAUACUUUGUUCGAAAGAAUUUAGGUUUGAAAACAUUUUCAUAAACUAAUUUUGUUAUGAAAAUCCAUUAAUCUUCUAAGUAGUAUAAAAACAUUUAUACUUAUAAUAAUAAUAUCAAAAUACUGAUACAUAUCCAGUAACUAGGAAUGAAGUUGCUUACCUCGACAAAAGAAUUUGAAUUAACACACCUCUAUGCUUCUAAGAGCCUCAAUCACCUCCAACACCUUAAACAAAUACAAGGUAUGACAAUUAAUAACUUAUUCUAAGAACCUGGUUUUUCUAAUUUAUACAUGUGCAGGUCUGAUUCUCAGACUUUUAACUCUUAAUCGAAAACUGAGAAUGACAUAAUAUUCUACAAGACUAUUCUGGACAUCCAUGGGUACCUCAUGUAACAUUUUCAAUAGGAUCUGAUACCAAAAACAUUUUCAAAACUAUUUAUUACUAGACAAAUUCGAAACUGUUUUCACAGUACCUUAACCAAACAGAAUGGGUUCUGAGAUUUUUAUAAAAUACAAUACUGAUCAGAAACUUAUAGAAUUAAAACUGGGAAUACUAGACACAUAUAUUAACUUCCAUAUACAAGUUCAUAAUUGUUAGAGUUCAUUUGAUAGUACAAAUAAAUUUCUCAUUCUGAUCACAUUGCUGAAAUCGCAGUUUUCCAGUGCAGUGGUGUCUAUUUCGAAAAUACAUAUAAAAUUGAAAACGAAGUCGAAUUUAAUGAAAUAAAAUUUAUUCACGAAUCCAUACAUGUCUAGUUUCCAGAAAUAUAAAUUUCAUGAGAAAAAUCGUUCAGAAGAUAUAGGUUUAAAUUCGAGAUACUCAUGCUGUCCAGAAUUAUCCUGUGUGCUUAAUACGUCAAGGGUUGAUUAACUAAACUCAUAAUAAAUAAAAAACCCUAAAAAAAGCCUAAACACGUUCUAAAUAUCAUGCAUUAUGAUCUAUAAAAAUCUAAAAUCAUGCCAGUAUAAACCCUAGAUAGAGUGAUUUGAAAUCUUAUGGGGAAUAAGGGGAGUAAACUUACCAAUUGCUUUGAUUCUCUUCUAAACAAAGGCUUGAAUCCUAGUGUUUGGGUAAGAGCGUAAUGAGCAGCAAAGAAGAAGAAGAAACGUCGUGAAUUUAGGGUUAUGGAAGAGGAAAAAUAUGAAUUUAUAGGGAGUCUUAAGUAACCCUAUUGAAUUUGGAAAAAUAAUCAUUUUCCAAAAUUAUCUCAUAAAUAACCCUUAUUUAUAAUUUAAUAUCCCUUUCUAAUAAGGGUUAUAGGCCACACAUGAUUCAUAAUGAAAGCCCAAUUUCCAUAAUUUAAUGUUAUGGAAAUUUGCGGCGUUACAAUAAAAGUUCUAAACCUAUAAAAGAAUUUAAAUAAAUUCUAAAAUAACAUAUCCUCAAUAAAUAUCAUCCCAAAGGAAGUUAAAAUUGUUCUUAGAUUAUCAACAUAACAUUAAUCCCCAAAAGAAACAGAGCUCUUAUUCUCCCUCAUAUGACCUUGAGCUCACAUAAUCUAAGUCUAUCUGCAAAAAAUGUGGUAAUAAGGGAUGAGCCGUCAACUCGAUAAGUAAGUUCAUGCACAAUACUAAAAACUAUUAAAAUAUAAUUUAAUAAAACUUCUUAGAUAUACAUAACAAUAAGAGAAAUUAUCCUUGUAAAUCAUCAUUUAGCAAAAAUAAAUCACAUCAUAAUAAAGCCAUUUAAAUCCUUUGAACAUAACAAAAGCAUUUUAAACACAUAAAACUUAAUUAGCUCAUGCCACAUAGCAUCACCUGUAGACCCGGUGAGCCGGCCGUAUAACAUAAUUCAGGGUACUAUACCCCACGAGAUUCAUUAACAUUAACAUCAUAUGUACACAUAAUCCGGCUAGCCUUCCAUAAAAUAACAUAACAAAACAUCACUACGGACAAUCAGUCAAAACAUUUAAAAUCAUCCUUGAACUUUUAAUCGCUUGUAAACUUCCAUAAAUUACAUUUAAAUAAUUCAUAAUUAUUUCAAAAUAUAUUACUUAAAACAAUUUAAUAAAAAUCUUCAUUUUUAAAACAAUUUACAAAGCAAGUUCUCAAUAAAUAAAGUUUUGUUGUAAAUAAUUUCAAAGAAUGAUUUUACUUUAAAAAUAUUGAAAAAGACUAAACAAAUCAAUUUCAUAUAUUUUUCUUUUAACAUAAUACAUACCUUGAAUCAAAAGUAAUAAAUACAUGUACCAUGCAUGAAUCUACUUACCUCAAUCCUCAACAAUAAAAAGAAUGAUAACCUCAACCACGGCUCACUGUCGUUCUAAAACAUCAAGGCACAUUCUUAUCAAUAUUAUUACCCAUUCUGACCUUGUUAUAAAUCCAACAUAAUCAAGCCUAGUCAUAAGCACUAAACCAUCAAAGUUAGUCUAAACCCGACUAUCCUAUACAAGCUCAUUUUUACCAAGCUAACCAUAUGUUUGAAAAUUGUAAACUCAGAGAAAAGAAACCAUAAACAGGUGUAACAUUUCAUAUAAAAUUCAAAAAAAUGAAUAAAAGUCAGAAACAUAACGGAAAAAGAAUUUUUACAUGUAAAUGUCAACAUUGUCCAGCAGUGAUAAAAACAGAGAUAGCUGAAUUAGAAAAUUCAUAAAAUAUUUAAUAGAACUCAUAAAAAUUAAUUCACUUGAUUUUACAAAGUAAAAACAUCAAGAAACAACACAUCAAAUUCCUAGAACUUUUAACUAUUUUAAACGAAUUUAUAUUAAGAGACUAGCAAACCUGUCCAAGAACUUUCAGGUUCAUGUUUUGCACUUCAAAAAUUCAUAACUUAAUGGUCACUCAAUGAAAUCAGUCAAAUAAACUUAAAAUCGUUGAGAAUUCAUAAAAUUAUAUGAAUAUAAUUUUUAUAGAUCCUUCUAAAGUCUUUUAACAUCUAAAAUAAUUUUAUUAUCAGCCAUCGCAAUUCUAGAAAGCAGUUUCCAGAACUGUAGCGGCCCAACAUAAUGAUUUUUAAUAAUUUUUGUACUCAACGAAAAAUUAUGAAAUUAAAUAUGCAGUAAGUAGACAUAACGAAGAUUAAACAGAAAAAUCAACAUAAUUUGCAAACAUCAUUUGGAAUUUUCCAGCACCACUGUUCCAACUUCGAAAAUUCACAAAAAAUUGAUUACUUGGAAUCUCUUUGCACGUAAUAUAUCAUUGAAAACCUUAUGAUGUAUAAUUUAAUUUUAUGAAAACUCCGUGCAGAAAUGAAAUCAAUAAUAAAGGAAAAAUAAUAAUAAAAUCACAGCAGUCAUGUCUCAUCAUACCUAGCUAGUCAUUCAUGAUAAAGAGAACAAUGUGUGCUUUUAUUAUCAAAAACAUAGAUUAGAGAACAUGUACUAGAGGAGGAUAAUUACCUCAAAAUUAAUUUCAAACGUGCAUAAAAAAAAAAGCCUAGAAUUCUUUGCUUUUAUACGGUUAUUAUGUUAAAGAGUUUUAAUUGUAGAGAGAAAGAAAGAGUUUGAGUUUUAUAAAUAUACUUUUAAAAAAAUAAAUAAAUAAAAGAAUUAUGCUUUAUCUCAAAUAAUGCUAAUUCAAAUAAUUUAACACAAACAAACGAUAAACAACUAAACAAAUAAGCAUUAACAAACAAACAAGGAACAGUUAUUAUAGCAGUAGCCCAACAUACCGAUUUUAAUAAUUUUUAUACUCAACCAAAAAUUAUGAAAUUAAGCAUAUAGUAACUAGACAUAAUGAGAUUAAAAGAAAAAUCAAAAUAAUUUUCAGACAUCAUUUGGAUUGUCAGAAAAAUCGGCAAAAUUAGACCUGCUGCUGAAAAUGAAAAAUUUCCAUCACCAUUGUUCCAAAUUCGAAAAUUCAUAAAAAAUUAGUUAUUUAGAAUCUCUUCGCACAAAAUAUGUCAUUGAAAACCUUCGGAAUUUCUAUGGAAACUUUCGUGCAGAAAUUGUCAAAAAAAUAAAGGGAAAGCGUAAUCAAAUCAUAGCACUCAUGCCUCAUAAUGCUUAGGUAGUCAUGUUAUUCCCUAAAUCUUCAUAAGAAUCCAGAUUAAAAUUAUUGAGUACUAUAAUUUCGAAAGCGUACCUGAAUCCAUCGUUGUUGCACAAAGAUUUCUUGAUUUUAAGUGAUGGUCUUCCAAUCUAAUCUCUUCUCCUUGAUUAAUAAUUCUCGUUGAGAGGAUUUUUUGAAUUACUAAGAGUUAAGAGAGAUAAGGGACCAUAACCUCCUUUUCAAAAUAAUGUAAUCGACAGUUUUAAUAAAAAAACCGUUUAGCAGUUAUCAUGUGUUUAUUAUCACUUCAGCCCCUCAUUAAAGUGAUAAUUAAAACUCUGGUAUCUAUGCAUUUAACCCACAACAAUUAUACCCUUAGCCAUUUAAUUAGUAUUAAAUAGAUCACAUAAUUAUUAGAUAACUAAAUAAUAGCACACACAUUUUAUUUGUUUCAUGUGUGGCCCCGAAUAUUAGAUUAAUUAAAAAUUAAUCUAACAAUCUCCCACUGGGCCACAAAUGAAAACAAAAUGUGUUUAACUUAAUGAGCUCACAAAAUAGCUAUUAUGUCCUUAGAGUAUAUUUGGGCAAUCUCGUCCAUUAACCACAUUGAUAUAGGAUCAUAGCGGCCUUUGUUACAUUAGUCGUAACUCAACCCAUCAAUAGUCACAUAUAUCAAUACAGUUAAAUGACAUAGACCGAUUGUGGAUACAUAGCAUGGAAAUUACAUGGAAUGUGAUUUAAACAUGUCUAUUCCCAACUGGUCAUACUUUAAUUUAUUGAGAUCUAAACUUAAUUAUCCUAACAGAGUGUAAAGAACUGAAAUACUUUAUUUCUGCAUAAAAUAAUCCGAAUUACAUAAUUAAAAUCCAAAAGCCACACAUAGUAAAUAAUACAAACUCUCACUAAAUCUGAAUAUCCUCAAGUAAAAUCACACCCAUAUGAGCAAUGUGCUCAUGAAAGACCUUAGGUGGCAAUCCUUAGUGAGCGGAUCCACUAUCAUGGAGUUUGUUCCAAUGUGCUCUAUAGAUAUUUGUCCACUCUGCACUCUUUCUUUCACAACAAGGAACUUGAUUUCAAUGUGUUUUGACUUUGUAGAGCUCAUGUUGUUGUUGGAAUAUAAAACUAUUGACUUAUUGUCACAAAAUAUCUUGAGUGGUCUUUCUACACCCUCUAGAAUGCGUAGCCUAGUGACAAACUUAUGCAGCCAUAUUCCUUGAUUGGAUGCCUCAUAACAUGCUACAAACUCUGCUGCCAUAGUCGAUGAAGCUACGAGUGUCUGCUUGGCAGAUCUCCAAGAAAUUGCUCCACCAGCCAACAUGUAAAUAUAGCCUGGUGUGGAUCUUCUACUCUCUUUGCAUCCAGCAAAAUCAGAGUCGGAAUACCCAAUGAUCUCUAAUUGAUCCGAUCUCCUGUAUGUGAGCAUGUACUCUUUUGUCAUCUGUAAGUACCUCAUAAUCCGCUUGGCUGCUUUCCAAUGAUCCAUGCCAGGAUUGCUUAAAUAUCUGCCUAACAUGCCAACUAUGAACGCAAUAUCUGGACGCGUACAUACUUGAGCAUACAUAAGACUCCCUAAAGCUGAAGAAUAAAGAAUCUUUUGCAUUUCCUUGAUUUCAAGAUUGGUCUUAGGGCAUUAACUAAGGCUGAAUUUAUCUCCUUUGGCGACAUGGGUGUCACUUGGUUUACUGUUUUGCAUGCCAAACCUCUUCAAAACUUUAUUGAUAUAGUUCCUUUUUGACAAUCCCAGAAUACCCCGAGAACGAUCCCAAUGUAUCUCGAUUCCUAAAACAAAGGAGGCAUCACCAAGAUCUUUCAUCUUCAAAUGUUUUGAUAGAAAACUCUUGGUGUCGUGCAGUAUGCCUAUAUCAUUUGUGGCAAGCAAUAUGUCAUCAACAUAUAAAACCAAGAAUAUAUGUUUACUCCCACUGAACUUGUGAUACACACAUUCAUCAAUAACAUUUGCCUCAAAACCAUAUGAGAUAAUUAUUUGAUGAAACUUAAAGUACCACUGAUGAGAAGCUUGUUUAAGCCCAUAGAUGGAUUUGGUUAGCUUACAAACCAUAUUCUUUGGAUCUCCUGACACAAAAUUUUCUGAUUGUACCAUAUAAAUUGUUUCAUCUACGUCACCAUUGAGGAAUGCUGUCUUAACAUCCAUCUGAUGUAACUCAAGGUCAAAAUGUGCAACAAGUGCCAUAAUUGUCCUAAAAGAGUCUUUCGUAGAAACCGAAGAGAAAGUCUCUUUAUAGUCAAUUAUUUUCUUUUGAGUAAAGCUUUUAGCUACAAGACGUGCUUUAUAUCUCUCCACAUUACCAUUUGAAUCUCUUUUAGUUUUAAAUAUCCAUUUACAACCAAUGGGCUUCGCACUAGAAGGUAAUGCGAUAAGUUCCCAAACUUUAUUGUCUUGCAUCCACUUGUACUCUUCAUUCAUGGCUUCAGUCCAUUUGUGAGAGUUGGAACCUUGCAUGGCUUGAUGGAAAUUGAUUGGAUCGUCUUCCAUCACUCCAGUUUCAUCCCCAUAUUCCUGAAGAAAUACUAUGUAAUCAUCCGGAAUUGCAUUUCUCCUUUCUGUCGUGGAUCAUCUUAAUUGCACAGGCUCUUGAGGUUGUUGAGUUUGAUUCUCAUGAACAAUUAUCUCAUUUUGAAUGAGGGGUUGAACAACAUUGUCUAAUGAUUGAGGAUCCAAAUUUACUUCUUGCUUAAUGACAGGUAUUGAAACCUGUACAUUGUCAAAAGCAACAUUGGAUCUCUCUUCCUCUUCAAAGACAAUUGUCCUCACUGGAUUUCUCUCCCCAAACUCAACAUCCUAAAACAAUACUGCAGUUCCCGUCUAAAAAAUUAAUUGUGUAAUAGAAUCAUAAAACUUAAACCCCGUUGCUUAUAGUUUUGGAAUCCAAUUCUUUUCAUGAGGCCUGUAAGGCCUCGCUUCAGCUGGACAUCCCUAAAUAUGUAAAUGCUUUAGACUAGGCUUUCGACCCGUCCAAAGCUCAUAUGGCGUUUUAGCAGCCACUUUAGUUGGCACUUGAUUUAAGAUAUAAGCUGCUGUUUUGAGUGCUUCACCCCAGAGUGAUUCUGGUAAAGUAGAAUAACUAAUCAUACUCCUCACCAUAUCCUUAAGAGUUUGGUUUCGUCUCUUAGAUACACCAUUCAUGCUAGGUGAUCCUGGCAUGGUAUAUUGAGGGACAAUUCCACAUUCUUCUAGGUAUUUAGCAAACGGUCUUGGGCGUUGUUCACCUGAACCAUCAUAUUUAUCGUAGUAUUCACCACCACGAUCAGACCUGACGUUUUUAAUCCUUUUGUUGAGUUGUAACUCAACUUCGGCUUCAAACAUUUUGAACACAUCCAAAGACUGUGAUUUUUCAUGAAUUAGAAAUAUAUAGCCAUAUCUCGAAUAGUCGUCUAUGAAUGUAAUGAAAUACUGUUGACCAUUCCAAGUAGCUGUGGAGAAUGUUCCACAGACAUCUGUAUGAAUUAAUUCUAAGACGUCUGAAGUUCUGUAGGCUCCUAAUUUCUUACUUUUGGUUUGUUUUCCCUUGAUACACUCAAUACAAACAUCAAGGUUUGUAAAAUCAAGAGAUCCUAAAAUCCCAUCAGACACUAAUCGCUCAAUUCUAGCUUUAGAGAUGUGACCUAAGCAUUUGUGCCAUAAUGAGGCUUAAUUUUCUUUCUCUAAUUUACGCUUUGUACUUCUGGAACUAAAAUGCAGGUUUUCAUUAUAACUUGAAACAGUUUCUAACAAAUAUAGAUUGUCAUAAGCAUUAAGCAAACCGGUUCCAAUAACAUUAAAAUUGAUAGAUAAACUAAAUUGUCUGUUUACAAAUGAACAAGAAUAACCAGAUUUGUCCAAAAUAGAAACUGAAAUCAAAUUCCGUCUAAAAGACGGAACAACAAAAGUAUCUAACAAAUCCAAAUAACAACCAAUUUUCAUAAGUAAUCUAAAAUGCCCAAUUGCUUCAACUUCUACCGUCUUGCCAUCUCCUACAUAAAUGCCUCUUUCAGCAUCACUUGGCGGCCAAUAGCUCAGGCAACCCUACAGUGAAACACAAAUGUGAGUAGUAGCACCCGAAUCUAUCCACCAUGUGUUUCUUGGUAUUGAAGCUAAAUUAGUUUCAGAACAAACUAAAGUAAGAAAUGUACUUUUCUUUACGCGCCAUGCAUGAUAUUUUUGACAUUCCUUCUUCACAUGUCCAGGCUUGCCGCAGAAGAAACAGCCAUGCUCGGCCUUUGGUUUCUUUGGCUCUGGACCCUUAGAAGCAGCAGCUUCACCCUUUUUCUUUCUUUUGCCCUUAUCUUUAAAAGUGCUUACAAUAUAUGCAUAUUCAGUUUUCUCUUGCUUCAGUCUCUCUUCUUCUUGCACACAAAAGGAAAUCAAUUCAUUGAGAUUCCACUUCUCUUUCUGACAGUUGUAAUUGACUUUGAAUUGAUUAAAUUGUGCUGGGAGAGAAAUAAGGACCAAAUGCACAACCAAAUCAUCAGAUAGGUCGAGCCCUAAUGCCUUAAGCUUAGAAGCAAGAUGAGACAUCUCCAUGAUGUACUCCCGAACGUUUCCCUUGCCUUUAUACUUCAUUGAAAUCAAGCUCGCUAAAUGCGUACUUGUUUCAGCCUUAUUAUUUUUUGUAAAACGUUUCUGAAUUUCGGCAAGAAACUCACUAGCACUUGUAACCUCAUCGAUUAUAGCACUCCUAAAUACUUCUGGAACACCGCGCUUCAUGAUCAUAAGACUCAUCCUGUUAGAUCGAUUCAACUUCUCAUAGUACAACACAUCCUCAGAUGUACUAUCAUCAGUGAGUUCGUCCAGCUUAGGGUGUCUGAAUGAUAAAUCUAGAUCCAUGCAACCUAAGAGAAUCAUCAUAUUCUCUUUCCAAUCCUUAAAAUUAGUCCCAUUCAGAACCGAGAUACUAUUCAUAUUUAUAGAUAUAGAAGUAGCAGACAAAAAAGCUGAAUCGAGAAAAAAAGUAAAUAAAAUAUAAAUAAAUAAAUAAUGCUCACAUUAAACAACUCAAUUAAUAAUCUUUAAAAUUUAAAAGCAAAUUAUAACAAUUCAAGAUACCUAGCACAACAUUAGUAACAAGUCUUUGGACUAUAAUACUAACUGUAAAUGGUACUCUUGUUGCAAUGAUCAAAUUUUGACAAUAAGUUAUGUCAAGUAAUGAACCUAUCUUUGGAUUAGUACAUUACUCACAUUAAGUUAUCCUAAUAAUCGUCAUAAAUUUACCAUCACAAGUGUGUGUGCAAUUAGGCCAAAUAUUAACCUUCCUUAGGGUCGAUUAACAUCCGCAGGAAUUUCACAAACACAAACAUCUAACACCCCAAAUAAACUAAUCUACACAAGAGAUAUCACUUUGGUGACUUCCCGCUUUAAUUAGUAUAUUUUCAAUGUUAGACCAAUAAUUAACAUAAAUGUUACAAAGCAUUUUAAUUUAAAGAUUAUAAAACCGGAACUGUACAAAUCAAAUUGAUUUGAUUUCAUUAGCAUAUUAUAUAUUUGCCCAGUUUGAAACCAAUUAUAAUGCACUUAAAACAUGGCCACUGAAAGAAUUAAAAAAACUCAAUUCAUGUGAUUGAAUUUGAAAUCAUUAUUAAACCCGAAACCGUGACAUACAUGGCCACUGCAACUUUAUUGAUUUGAUUUAAUUUAAAAUUAUAAUUAAACUGAAAUCGAAAUUAGAACAUGCAUGGCCACCGAACUUAGAAUCAAAGCAAGAUCUUGAAACUUUGCACAUGAUUUCACGUGUGCAAUCCACCAAUAGUUUCGUUUCGUCAUGAGGCCAAUAAAACCAAUUCAACUAUUCCCGAUAACUAAGUCAAGGAUUAACAGUUUAAUUCUAAUAUAACCAUUAAUCAAUAAUUACAACUCAAUAAUCUAAUCAUAGAUGAGGCUCUGAUACCACUUGUUAUUCCCUAAAUCUUCAUAAGAAUCCAGAUUAAAAUUAUUGAGUAUUAUAAUUUUGGAAGCGUACCUGAAUCCACCAUUGUUGCACAAAGAUUUCUUGAUUUUAAGUGAUGGUCUUCCAAUCUAAUCUCUUCUCCUUGAUUAAUAAUUCUCGUUGAGAGGAUUUUUAGAAUUACUAAGAGUUAAGAGAGAUUGGGGACCAUAACCUCCUUUUUAAAAUAACGUAAUCGACAGUUUUAAUAAAAAAUCGUUUAGCAGUUAUCAUGUGUUUAUUAUCACUUCAGCCCCUCAUUAAAGUGAUAAUUAAAACUCUGGUAUCUAUGCAUUUAACCCACAACAAUUAUACAUUUAGCCAUUUAAUUAAUAUUAAAUAGAUCACAUAAUUAUUAGCUAACUAAAUAAUAGCACACACAUUUUAUUUGUUUCAUGUGUGGCCCCGAAUAUUAGGUUAAUUAAAAAUUAAUCUAACAAGUCAUUCAUGAUAAAGAGAAUAAUGCAUGCAUUCAUCAUCAAACACAUAAGAUUAGAGAACAUGUAUUAGAGAAGGAUAAUUACCUCAAAACUUCUUUCAAAUAUGCUAAAAGAGAACCCUAGGAUUCUUUGCUUUUCUAGGUUUAAUAGGAAGAGUUUAAGUUUAUAAAAACACUUGCUUUUAUACAAAUACAUUAUACGAUAAUGAUAAUAUUCUCUGAUAAUUUAUUUUAAAAACAAAAAUAAAAAAUUAUACCUUAUCUCAAAUAAUGCUAAUUAAAAUAAAUUAACACAAACAAACAAUAUACAAUUAAAUAGAUUAGAAUAAUCCAACAAACAAGGAACAUGUGUUACAAUUUCUCCCCAGUAAAAAAGAAUUCAUUCUCAAAAUUUAGUAUGUUACCUCAAUCAUCAACAAGUUGAGGAUACUUUUCCCUUAUCUCAACCUCUCGCUCCUAAGUAGCCUCCUCUACAGUAUGAUUCAUCCGGCGAACCUUUACUAGUGGAAUGACUUGAGUUCUUAAGACUUGCUCUUUCUUGUCAAUAAUCUCCAUUGGUUGCUCUUCGUAAGUCAAAACAUUCGAGAUUUAGAGAGGUUGGUAAUCCAAUAGGCUUAAGAUGCUUGGAGGCAAGGUUAUUCAAUAAGCAAUUGUACAAAUCCUCUCAAUAAUCUAAAAAUGCCCAAUAAACCGUGGGUUGAGUUUACCUUUCUUUCAAAAUCGAAAAACACCAUUCCACAGUGAGACUUUCAAGAAGAUAUGGUCUCUAAUAUGAAACUCCAGAUCUUAUCUAUGCCGAUCAACAUAACUUUUCUAUAUGUUUUGAACUAUACGGAGACUGUUGAUAAGCUUAACCUUAUCUGCAGUAAUCUAAACCAAUUUUGGCCCUAAUAACUUGCUCUCACCAACUUCAUCCCAACAAAUGGGUGAUCAACACUUCCUCUCAUAAACAGCUUCAAAGGGUGCCAUACUAAUGCUAAAGUGAAAGUUGUAGGCAAACUCCACCAAAGGCAAGUGAUCCCCCCAUCUAUCUCCCAAAUCCAGUAAACAAGCUCGCAACAUGUCCUCAAGAGUUUGGAUAGUUUUUUCUUACUGACCAUCCAUCUUAGGAUGAAAGGCUAUACUAAAACGCAACUUAGUACCAAAACUCUUAUGCAAGCAGCCCAAAAGCUUAAAGUGAAUCGUGGAUCUCUAUCUGAAACAAUAGACAUUGGCACUCCAUGAAAUCUCACUACCUCUUCAAGAAAUAGCUCUGCCAACUGCCAAAGUUUGAUGGUACUUUUGACUGGUAACACCAUCAUCAACUACUCUAAACUCAGAACAACCACUUUUUACUUCCUCGACGGUCUUCUGAGUUUAGGAUCUUCCUUUUGUGCUGCCUUGAUUCUAUCUAUCAAGGUAGGUUGAACACUUAAGUGAUAUAAAACAUUCGUCUCACCACAUGUAACCAAUUCAAUUCCCAUCUUUCUGAAGUCCUUCUAUAUAUGGCCUUAAGUAGUAAUCAUAUGUUCUAACCAAAGAAGAGUUACAGCGGGCGAAGUAGGAACCCCAUAGAGCCCAUCUUCAAAGGGGCGUAGCACUUGUUUUUCACUCUCAAGACAAGACAAUGGUAUCUCUCUUCUUUCCCGUUCUUUCUUCGGAGGUUAGGGCAAAAGCGCUUUCCUGCUGAUUUCAAGUGAAGUACUCAAAUAAAAACUCUAUAGCUAUUUAUUUGCCUACUUACUAGACUGAUAUAGGCUACCUGAGCAGGAUUAUCCUGCUCAUGCCUCAUAAAAAGAAAAUGGUGGUAGAAUGAUAAAAAAAAAAUUCUAUAAAGCCCUCUCACUCGCCAAGUGGACAUAACGUAACCACAAUUAUGCAUGUUUCGGUAUGCUAGCAUAUGGGAAUUUGUUUCAAUAUUCCAUGGACUCGUUAGUCACCCUUCAUGAUUGGGGUUGGUUGGCGAGGUGAGGUCUAACCGGAUAACUUCCUACUCAGAGCAACGACCACUACAUUUGCCUUAAUAGGAUGGUAAUUGAUCGAAUAGUUAUAAUCCUUCACUAGCUCAACCAUUUUCUUUGCCUUAAAUUUAGCUCCUUCUAGGUGAACUAGUACUUCAAACUCUUGUAGUUCGUAUCGAUCUCACAAGUCUCACCAUAAAGGUUGUGUCUCCGGAUCUUCAAGGCAAAAACUACAGUUGCUAGCUCUAGAUCAUGGAUUGGAUAAUUCUACUCAUAACUCUUUAAUUGUCGCGAAGUAUAAGAAACCACUUUACCAUGUUGCAUCAGCACACAUCCCAACCCUUUUCUAGAGGCAUUGCUGUAAAUAAUGUAUCCAUCAUCAUCAAAUGAAAUAGUCAAAAGAGGUGCAGAGACCAACAUGUUCUUCAACUCUUGAAAGAUUUUCUCUCAGUCCUCAUUUCAUUCAAACUUCACAUUCUUCCUGGUCAACUUGGUCAAAGGAACUACAAGAUUGAAGAACCCAUUCGAGAACCCAUUCACAAAUCUCUGAUAAUAUCCAGCCAAGCCUACAAAAUUACUAACCUCAGUAAUGUUAGUCAGUCUUGGCCAUUUCACCACUUCUUAGCUGGAUCAACUAAUAUACCAUCCUUAGAAACCACACGGCCAAGGAAAACCACACGGUCUAGCCAGAAUUUACACUUCUUAAACUUUGUAUAAAGCUUUUUUCCCUCGAAGUGUUUGAAGAACCACCUUCAAAUGCUCGUCAUGCUCCUUCAUAGUCUUAGAGUACACCAUAAUGUCAUCAACAAACACAAUAACAAAUCGAUCAAGAUAUAAUUGUGAUUACUCUAUUCAUUAAGUCCAUGAAGGUUGCAGGGGAGUUAGCUAACCCAAAAGGCAUUACCAAAAACUCAUAAUGCCCAUACCGACUACGAAAAGGAGUCUUUGGUACAUCAUCGUUCUUCACCUUAAACUGAUAGUACCAGAUCAUAAAUUGUAACAUAUGUGAAAAUAAAUAAAAAUGAGGUGGUUAAAAAGUUAAAAAAAGCAAAAGAAGAAGCUGGAAAAUAGGGGAAACAUAUACAUGUGUGUGAGAGUAAGAGAGAAGCUGUCAAAAUAGACCUAAAAACCCGACCCGUUUGACUCGUGAACGUGACCCAACCAUAUCUCGCGAUUCUAGCCACCACUCUGGCCAAGCAAGGUAUCAACCGGAAGCCCAUGAGAUGCUGAUCAUACCCCAGUCGUCAUUGUCGCUGAAAACUAACAGGAUCGCCACCAUUACCAACUUGAGAAAUCGCACCCGAAAACCCAUCACCACUGUCGUUGAUUCUACCAGAAUUUUGCCACGUAACCACCUUAAUUUUGUUCCCCAUGACUCCCUCUUCCAUUUCCGACCAUCCAUAGCCACCGGGAGUCACUGUUUCGCUGCUAAUCAAUUGUUGGAAUUUCACGGCUACUGAGCUAGAUUCCGGUGUCAUUGUUGCGCGUUGGAGCUCACCGCAGGCACUAUUAGACUCAACUUGAUUGGAACUUUCAGACGUGAGCUUCCCGGCCAGCGUUGACUAAAUUCCAGUGACCGUUGACCGGCAAGGGCAUUUCGGUAAUUUCACACUAUAAGGGCAAUUUUGUAAUUUCUGAGCAUGUGGAUAUUUUAGUAAUUCCUGAAAUUGAGGAUUGGGUAUAAUUAUGAUUUCGAGGGUAAUUUACGAUUUUAGAGUAUUUUAACGAUUUAUGGAUUUGAGGGUAUUUUAGUAAUUAUAUCGACACGGGAGUUGUAAAUUAUUGAUAGAUGUUCGUUUCGGUUAUAUUGCAUAAAUUUAGUCGUAAUUCCGAUUUAUAGAAAAUAAUUAUGUUGUUUCCUUGAUUUAGGAGGAUCCGCGAGCGAGAACCAAUUCGCGGACGUGGACAAUAACCGAGCAUGAACACCAUCACUGUGAGUGGAAUAUACAAAACCUAUUUUCAUAGUUGAUUAUGAUAGUAAAGUAUGUUUGCGAAAUAAGUAUUUUGAAUGUUCUGAUUUAAUGAUUUUCUCGAAAUGGAUUUUAUACACGCAUUGAUAUGAUUAUUGCUUUUAAAGUAAGAAUUAAUUUUCAAAAACUACUAUCCACUCAUUGAUCUCACUGAGUUUUAUACUCAUCCCGUUUUGAUUAUAUUCCCCCCUCCUACCAAGAGGUUGCAGGUACACCAAAUCUAUCCAGCGACUGUAAAUAUAUUUUGAGUUUUGGCCACGUGAUGGUGUUAGAAGAUAUAGAUAAUUUUUAUUAGGAUAUCCUGAUUGUCUCGUUAUUUUGGGAUUGUAUAAUUUUGUUAUAUUAUUCUUUUGGGAUUAAGAAUAAUCUUGAGUAAAACUCAGCAUUUUAGUUGAGGAUGUUGGUCAUUGGAGUUUGUUGUAUGUUGAAUUAUUUUGAAAGUGUUUGUUUUAUAAAUUUUCAGAUUGGGAGUGUUAUAUUUAUAAAGGAGACUGCUGAAUUUUUGGCAGAAUCUUUACUAAUUAGAUUAUUAUCAAUCCAAUUUGGAUAAGGUUAGAUAGACUCACCCUGGGGUUCGGGGCAGGUCGUUUCAGUUGGUAGCAGAGUAUGGUUUUAGAUUUUGUAGACUUUGUUGUCUUAAUAAGAAUAAGUUUUAUCUUUAUUAAAGUUAGAAUUUAUAUCUUGUAGGCACCAUCAUGCUUCGUCGUAACAGUAUAUGUGGUCGUGGCCAUACUAGGCCAGUAGCUGGGUUGACUUCUUGUAGUGUACUUGCGGGGGAAAGUGAACCUGUGAAUGAGGGGGUAGUUGAAUCCUCCAUGCAUGAAAUUGCACAACAAGCACCAGGGAAUGCCCCGAAUAUUGAGUAGUCAUUUGAUAGGCUGGCUCAAAUUAUGACUACAGUUGUGCAAAAUCAGACUCAAGCACAUGCUGGUAACGCAAACACUAUUCGAGCGAGUGAAGAGUUUAGGGGUGAGGAGCUUUAAUGGUUCCGGAGAACCACAUGAGGCUGAGUCAUGGUUUGUUAAGUUAGAGCGCAUUUUUGACGUGAUGAAGUGUUCAGAGGAUGACAGACUAUCCUUCACCACUUUCCUACUCGAGGAUAGAGUUUACCAUUUGUGGCAGACGGUGGAGAGACGAUAUCAAGGGCAUGCUGCGAUUACUUGGGCCAUUUUCCAUAAGGAAUUCUACGAUCAUUAUUUUCCUCCUGUGUAUCAGGAUAUUAAACGGAGUGAAUUCCUUCAGUUGGUUCAAGGAUCUCUGACAGUUGAGGAGUAUGAGAAGAAAUUUUUAGACCUCUCAAGAUUUGCUACAUCUGUAGUCGGUAAUGAGAGAGAGAGAGAUGCAGGCGAUUUGAGGAGGGCCUCCAAUUUGAUAUUCGCACCACUGUGACUGCAUUACGAUAUACUGAGUUUGGAGAGGUAGUUGAGGUAGCUAGGAGAGUAGAGCAUAGUAUUUCAAAAGGACGCAGAGUUUACGCAUUGAAGCAGAAGCAUAGCCAGAGCUGUGCAGAGGGUGGUUCUAGUAGUGGGCCACCCAAGAGAGGGGGCAUUCCUAUGAGUUAUUCUGAUAUUACGCAAAGGAGUCAAGGUACAGGCUUCACGGGAGACUCGAGACAAGCUGUCAGUCGUAGCUCAGUGCAACCAUCAGUGGGGAGUAAUACUAGGAAUCAGGGACAGUACGACCGCAGUGGUAGGGGAUGUCGUGAUGAUCGUUCUAGGAGUGUCCAGCAGACUUGUUGCCGCUCAUGUGGGAGGAAUCAUCAGCCUGGAAACAUAAGGAGAUUAUGCCCUACUUUAUCUCAGGGUGAUAGUUCUACAAGAAGGACAACCUCAUGGUAUCAGCCUUCCUCUGGUUAGUCUCAGGGUCAGAGAAGAGUGCAGACAGUUGGUUUUACAUAUACCUCUAGGAGUUAGACAACUGCUCCAGAUCAGAGAGGUUAGCCUGGUCGACCUCAUACUCAAGCUCGAGUUUUUUACUUUGACACAGCAGAAGACAUGUGCUGCACCAGAAGUUAUUAUGGGUAUAUUAUCUAUCCUUGGCCGCGAGGCUUAUAUUCUUAUUGAUCCUGGAUCCAUACACUCCUUCGUUUCCCAUACUUUUGCUAUGCAAAUAGAGCGAGAGCCCGAAUUGCUAGAUUGUGGUUUAGUUGUUCGUACACCUACCAGAGAGUCAUUACUUGCUGAGAAUGUGUAUCGGGAUUAUAUGAUUGGAAUGAGUGAACAUGAAUUUGAGGCGAAUUUGAUUUCCUUAGACAUCCAUGACUUCGAUGAUAUUUUGGGCAUGGAUUGGGUUGAAUCUCAUUAUGCUACGGUGGAUUGUUUCAAAAAGGAAGUUAUGUUUAAAAAGCAAGGCAAACUUGAGGUGAAAUUAUAUGGGGAGCGCAAAGUUCUACCCUCAUGUGUUAUAUAUGUUAUUAGUGCAAGGCAGUUGCUAAGAAAACGAUGCUCAGCUUAUUUAGCUUAUGUGAUAAAUACAGAAGCUCGAGAAUUAAGAUUGGAGGAUAUUGCAGUAGUCAAAGAAUUUUCAGAUGUAUUUCUAGAUGAACUUCCUGGGAUGCCACCUAACAGGGAAGUUGAGUUUUCUUUUGACUUAGUCCUUUGAACAUCUCCUAUAUCUAUGGCACCGUAUAGGAUGGCUCCAGUAGAGUUGAAGGAACUGAAGGUUCAAUUGCAAGAGUUGAUGGAUAAAGGGUUUAUUAGACCUAGUGUGUCCCCGUGGGGAGCUCCAGUCUUGUUUGUUAAGAACAAGGAUAGGACUUUUAGAUUUGCAUCGACUACAGUUAGUUGAACAAAGUUACUGUACGCAAUAAGUAUCCACUUCCGCGUAUUGAUGACUUAUUUGAUCAACUCUAGGGGCAAAAGUAUUUUCUAAGAUCGAUUUGCGCUCAGGGUACCAAUAGCUUAGAAUUAAAGAUGUCGAUGUUCCUAAAACAGCAUUUAGAACUCGUUAUGGACACUAUGAAUUUUUAGUGAUGCCAUUCGGGUUGACAAACGCUCCAGCAACUUUUAUGGAUCUUAUGAAAAAGGUAUUUCGUCCAUACCUGGAUCGGUUUGUGAUUGUAUUCAUUGAUGAUAUCUUGGUGUAUUCCUAAAGCGAGGAGGUGCAUGCAGAGUAUUUGUGGAUUGUUUAACAGCUAACAGUUUAGUGGAUGACAGACACGUCAGCAAGUGCGAGUUCUGGUUAGACAGAGUAGUAUUUUUGGGUCAUGUGAAUCAGCUGAAGGUAUUUAUGUUGAUCCUCAAAAGAUUGAAGUUGUUGUAAAAUGGGAACGGCCUACAAAUGUCUCAAAGAUUCGGAGUUUCCUUGGAUUAGCUGGUUACUAUCAUAGAUUUGUGGAGGGAUUCUACAAGAUUGCUACUCCUCUGAUACGGUUAACCAUAAAGAAUGCUAAGUUCCAGUGGGAUGAUGAUUGUGAAAAGCGUUUUCAAGAACUUAAGACACGUUUGACCUCAGCACCAGUUCUUCCACUUCCGUCUGGUAAUAAAGGAUUUAUGGUAUACAGCGAUGCCUCUAGACAGGGAUUGGGUUGUGUGUUGAUGCAGCAUGGCAAAGGGGUGGCUUAUACUUCUAGACAACUUAAAAAGCAUGAGCAAAACUACCCAGCACAUGACUUAGAGCUAGCAGUGUUGAGUGUUAGAAAAUGCAUAUUUAUAAAGGAGAAAACCGUCAUUUUACAUUUCAAGUCUUACUAACAACCCUUACUUUUAUGUAUUUAACCUUCUUGUGAUUUAAUUACAUGUGUUUUAUUUUAAUUAAGUAUUUUAUGUAUUUUAGGGGCAUUAUAGUCAUUUCACAAUAAAUGAGAGAUCAGACGGCAAAACGGACAUCACUUUUGAACUCAGGACGGUCGAAAACCUUAGGAGGAGCAUAAAAGGAAAAAUGGCACUGUUCACAUGUACGGUACUAUUCACGUGUACGAUACUGUAUACGUUACUGUUCACGACACUGUUCACAUAGACGAACCGAUGACGUGGCAUUGACUGAUGAGGUGUCACGAUCCUGUUGGACUAAAAUUCUUAUAUACUGUUGAUGGUGAUGUGGCAGCAUAUCAGUGGACGAAAAAUCUCGCAUACGGUGCAUGCAUCACACAGGAGUAUUUUCAACCAAACCGCGUUACUGUUCAUCCGGGUCAAACCGCGUUACUGUUCAAAGUCGGGUCAAACCGUGUUACUGUUCAUCCGCGUGGUCAAACCGUGGACUGUUGACUGAUGACGUGGCGCAAUCCUGAGCGUCCAAACUGUUUUUAAUCCGAUGGCCAUGAUUUACUCCAUGUAUCUAUAAAAAGGGGGCCUCUCCCCCCUAAUUUGAUAUCUCUGAAUCCAUUUUUGGGAUCCAUUUUCUGUAAUUCCUUCUCCAUCUUGUAUUUUCUUUGUAUUUUAAUAAAUUCCUAUUUUGCCCCUAGUUCAAUUAUGAGUGGCUAAUUUUCUUUCAAGCUUGGGUUGAAGGUGAAGUCUCAACAUGUGUCAUGGGCUUUAUUUGGUAAAUUUAUUUUCUCUUCCCCUCUAAUUUUUGUGGAUGUUUUGACUUCUCGUCGACAAAUAAUAAUAGUCUUGUCUAGAUACCGCCUUGGUUACACCGGCUCUCUAGUAUAAGGUUAUUAUUAUUUGGCACGAUAAGCCCUUAGCACCAUAUUGAUUAGAGCGUGGUUCAUGAGGUGUGGAUUCCCCCCUCAUGAUUUAAUUGGCAUUAAUACGGAUUAUUUAGCCCAUGAUGCAUGUUGAUACGGAUCCAGAUACCCAAGUACGUCAAUUUAAUAGAUUUUCUCUUCAAUUUAUUCUCUCCAUUGCAAUUCCAAUUUUAGAAUUUAUUCUCGCCAUUUUAAUUUAAGUCUUAGCAUAUUCCAAAUCAUUUCCACCAUAAAUCCAACAACCCAUUUACAAAAUUAAUUCUAUACACAUAAUUAAAAUCCACCUCCUCGUGGGAUCGACACUCGUCACCAUUAGUCUAUACUACAAUAGAUUCGUGCGCUUGCGAGUACAUUAAAAUUUGCACAACAAGCAGCAGUGGUGUUUGAACUCAAGUCAUGGAGGCAUUACUUAUAUAGGGCAACGUGUCAGAUUUUCAUCGAUCAAAGAGUCUCAAGUAUUUAUUUACUCAAAAAGAGCUAAAUUUGAGACAUGGGAGAUGGAUCAAACUGAUUAAGGACUACGAUUAUACUAUUUAUUAUCAUCCGGACAAAGUAAAUGUGGUAGUUGAUGCACUAAGUAGAAAAUCUUCCAGCUCUAUAGCUCACUUGCGAGUGACAUAUAUGCCUCCGUUGAUCGAGUUAAGAUCUUUGGGAAUCGAGUUGAACGUUGAUAAUUAUGGAGCUUUAAUAGCAAUUUAUUUCACGUAUUUAUUUUUUGUGUAUUUUUAUAGAAAGGUUGUAAUAACGCAAUAAGUUUAGUAUCGUAAUUUCUCCCUCUUCUUUAUUUUUAUUUGUUUUGUUCUCAUCUUUAUUUUUAUUUUAUUUGUUUUGCAUGCAUGGUCGUAGGUCAUUAUUUCCUAAUCUUGAACCUAUAGACCUUGAAUUAGAAAAAACACUUCGCACACAAAAGCACAUUAAAAAUAAAUUUGGAAUGGAUUUACAAGCACCACAGGAGAGGCCAUUUAAGGACUAUUUUAGUCCCUUAGCUAAUUUGAGCACAUCAUGCAUAAGAUACCCAAAUGUAGCUGCUAGGAGUUUUGAAUUAAAACCUAGUGUGCUAAAUUGUCUCCCCACAUUUUAUGGCCUAGAAAAUGAGGACCCAUAUAAUCAUCUGAAUGAUUUUCAUGCAAUUUGUCAAACUUUUAAAUAUGAAAAUUUUUCAGACGAUGAUAUUAAACUCAGAUUAUUCCCAUUUUCUUUAAAGGAUAGAGCUCGUUCAUGGUUAAAUACAUUGCCUGCCAAUAGCAUUUCAUCAUGGGAACAAAUGGUAACAAAAUUUUUGAAUAAAUAUUUCCCAGUGCAUAAAACCAACGCUAUUCGCAGGGAAAUCUCGGAGUUUACCCAGAGAGAGGACGAGCAGUUUUUCGAGACGUGGGAGCGAUUCAAUGGGCUACUCUUGAAGUGUCCACAUCAUGGGUACGAGAAAUGGCACCAAUGCCAAUACUUUUUGGAGGGAUUACUACCGAAUGUGCAAGAAUGGCUAAUGGCAACAAGUGGAGGGGAGCUAAUGUCAAAAAGUGCAUCAGAAAUUUGGGAGUUUUUCCAGCGACAAGCGGAUAAUUCCCAACAACGGAGUCGAUCACUCAGGAAUACUAGAAGAAUUAAGGGAGUAAAUGAGGUUCAAAUUGGCGAGUCAACUUCGGGAAUCAAAGAAGUCAAGGAGAUGGUUGAAGGUCUUGCUCGACAAAUAGCUUCGUUAUCGACUGCUAAAUCAACAGAGCCACAUGACCAUAACUCAUACUCAGAUCAAGCCAAUGCCAUAGGUGUAAUGAGAAAACCAUCGAAUUACAACCCAUACUCCAACACAUAUAACCCUGGAUGGAGAGACCACCCCAAUGUUUCAUGGUCUCAAGGACUCCAACAGAAUGGACCAGCAGCUCCAGCUCCACCAAUGCAACCAAUUCCUCAAGCCUCUCAGCCACCAUUCAGACUAUACAAUCAGAACCAGAACCACUUUCAACCCAGACCAUGGGAGGAUGCAUUCCAGAAUUUCAGGAAUGUUACUCACUCUACGAUUGAGCAACAAAACCGCACCAUUGAUGGACUACGAAAUGAGUUGAGAGCAGGUUUCAACUCACAAGCUCAAUCAGUUUCAAGCCUCGAGAAGAUGGUGGGACAACUUGCUUCUUCAGUUCAGACCUUGGCAAUGACUGUUGAGAAAGGCAAGUUUCCAAGUCAACCAGUGCCUAAUCCUAAAGGAGUACAUGAAGCAAGUACCAGUUCACCACAACAGCAUGGAGAGGUCAAAGCAGUAAUGACCUUGCGAAAAGGAAAAGAAGUCGACAACAAAGUGGAGAUGCCAGUGACAAAAGAAAAUCAAAUUGUUCCUGUGAGUGUUGAGGACUCAUCACCGGAGGAGAAAGAAGAAACCAACCCACGAGAAUAUGUUCUGAAAGCUCCAUUUCCUCAGCGGUUAGCUAAAGGUAAGAAGGGAAAAUCCACAGGUGAGAUUCUUGAAAUCUUCAAACAGGUAAGUGUUAACAUCCCUUUCCUUGAUGCUAUUAAACAAGUUCCAUCUUAUGCCAAGUUUCUUAAAGACCUUUGUACUAAAAAGAGAAAUAUGCAUGUUCAAAAGAAGGCAUUUUUAACAGAAAACGUUAGUUCUAUACUCCAACACAAAAUUCCUUUAAAAUGCAAAGACCCAGGCUCCCCCACUAUCUCAUGUAGCAUAGGGAACCACACAAUUGAGAAUGCUUUGUUGGAUUUAGGAGCUAGUGUAAAUUUGUUGCCUUAUUUUGUAUUUGUGAAACUUGGACUGGGAGAAUUACACCCAACUCCAGUGGUGUUACAGCUUGCAGAUCGGUCCACGAAAAUACCUCGUGGUAUUGUGGAGGACGUGCUUAUCCAGGUAGACACGUUUUAUUUUCCUGUUGAUUUCAUUGUAAUUGACACUCAACCAAUACAGGAUUCAAGGAAGCACAUCCCCAUUAUUCUAGGCCGACCUUUCUUGGCAACUGCGGAUGCUCACAUUCAAUGCAGGACCGGAAAUAUGCAGUUGUCCUUCGGCAACAUGACUAUGGAGCUGAACAUCUUCAACAUUGCCAAACAACCUCACAGUGCAGAUGAUGGAAUUGUUGAUGUGGAUUUAAUUGAAGCAUUAGUUGAUGACACUUUUCUUUCAAACCUUAGUGAUGAUCCUUUACAAACAUGUUUAACUCACUUUGGUUUGGAUUUUGAUAUUGACAGAUCGGUCGAUGAGGUCAACGCCCUGCUUGACUCAGCACCAUCUAUGGAUACUAAUAAAUGGAAGUCAAAAGUUGAACAACUAGCACCAUCAGAGAAGAAACUCAUCCCAUCAUCAGAAUCACCACCGAAACUUGAGCUCAAACCAUUGCCCAACACUCUGGAAUAUAUAUUUUUGGGAGAAGAAAGUACUCUGCCGGUAAUCAUCUCAUCAUCCCUCAAUGACGAACAAAAAGGUAAGUUGUUAGAUGUUUUGAAAAAGCACAAAGGGGCAUUAGGAUGGACCAUAGCAGACAUAAAAGGUAUAAACCCAGUAGACUGCAUGCAUUACAUUCACCUUGAUGAAAAUGCUAAAACUACUAAGGAGAUGCAACGUCGGUUAAAUCCUAACAUGAAAGAAGUUGUUAGAACAGAAGUCCUUAAACUAUUAGACGCAGGUAUCAUUUACCCCAUUUCUGAUAGUUCAUGGGUCAGUCAUGUACAAGUUGUCCCCAAAAAGUCAGGAGUCACAGUAGUUACCAAUGCUGAUAAUGAAUUGAUACCCACUAGAGUAACUACAGGAUGGCGUGUUUGCAUUGAUUAUAGAAAGUUGAAUUCUGUCACACGUAAAGACCAUUUUCCUUUACCAUUUAUUGAUCAAAUGCUUGAUAGAUUAGCAGGCCAUGAAUUUUAUUGCUUUCUAGAUGGCUACUCAGGAUACAAUCAGAUUCCCAUAGCACCAAAAGAUCAAGAGAAAACUACUUUCACUUGCCCUUUUGGCACAUUUGCAUAUAGGAGAAUGCCAUUUAGAUUAUGUAAUGCACCUGCUACAUUUCAACGAUGCAUGUUGAGCAUUUUUUCUGAUAUGGUUGAACGAUUCCUUGAAGUCUUUAUGGAUGAUUUUUCUGUCUUUGGUGACUCGUUUGAUCAAUGUUUACAUCAUCUAACACUAGUUCUGUAGAGAUGUAUCGAGAAGAACUUGGUCUUAAAUUGGGAGAAAUGUCAUUUUAUGGUAAAACAAGGUAUUGUUCUCGGUCACAUCAUUUCGAGCAAAGGUAUUGAGGUUGACAAAGCCAAGGUGGAUCUCAUUUCUAAUCUUCCUCCACCCAAAACAGUCAGAGAAGUAAGAUCUUUCCUUGGGCAUGCUGGUUUCUAUAGACGUUUCAUUAAAGAUUUUAGCAAAGUUUCUAGACCCUUAUGCAAUUUACUUGCUAAGGAUGUACCUUUUAUCUUUAGUGAUUCAUGUCUUAUGGCGUUUGAAAAAUUAAAACAGUUGUUGACAUCAUCACCCAUCAUUCAGGCCCCAAACUGGAGCUUACCAUUUGAGCUAAUGUGUGAUGCAUCUGAUUAUGCAGUAGGAGCAGUGUUAGGACAAAGAGUUGAUCGAAUUCCCCACGUUAUUUACUAUGCUAGUAUGACAUAAAAUGAUGCACAGUUGAACUAUUCAACUACUGAAAAAGAAAUGCUAGCAGUAGUGUUUGCAUUGGAAAAAUUUCGAUCAUAUCUCAUUGGUUGUAAAAUAAUUAUAUUCACGGAUCAUGCUGCUCUUAAAUAUCUUCUUACAAAGAAAGAUGCAAAAGCCAGACUAAUUCAUUGGGUGUUACUUUUGCAGGAGUUUGACUUGGAAUUCAGAGAUAAGAAAGGCACAGAGAAUGUUGUGGCGGACCAGCUCUCUCGUCUCCAUUUUGACACAAUUACAGAAUCAUUACCAUUGAAUGAGUCAUUUCCAGAUGAACAAUUAAUGAAUGUGGAAGUAUUACCUUGGUAUGCUGAUAUAGUUAAUUAUCUUGUUACAGGUAAACUUCCAGAGCAUUGGACCAAGCAAGAUAAGUCUAAAUUCUUUGCAGAGAUAAAGAAUUUCUUUUGGGAUGACCCGUAUUUAUUCAAGUAUUGUGCGGACCAAAUUGUUAGACGAUGUGUCCCAGAAAGUGAAAUUCAGAAUAUCCUUUCAUUCUGCCAUGAACAAGCUUGUGGAGGCCAUUUCAGUGCUAAGAAAACAGCGACUAAAGUUUUACAAUGUGGUUUCUAUUGGCCAACUAUAUUUCGAGAUGCUUACACUUUCUGUUCUUCAUGUGAUAGGUGUCAACGAAUGGGGAGCAUUACACGAAGGAACAUGAUGCCACUAAAUCCAAUUUUAGUGGUUGAGAUUUUUGACGUAUGGGCUAUCGACUUCAUGGGACCCUUUCCCCCGUCUUUUGGCCAUCAAUACAUAUUGGUUGCUGUUGACUACGUAUCAAAAUGGGUAGAAGCAAUUCCAUGUAGAACCAAUGAUCACAAGGUGGUGAUAGGAGUUUUGAAAAGCAACAUUGUUUCACGCUUUGGAUUCCCUCGAGCGAUAAUCAGUGAUGGUAGUGCCCACUUUUGUAACAAAGCAUUCAAGGCUCUUUGACAAAGUAUUCAAUCACACACAAAGUGGCGACCCCGUAUCAUCCGCAAACUAGUGGCCAAGUUGAGAUUUCCAAUCGAGAAAUAAAGCAUAUAUUAGAAAAGACAGUGAGGCCGGACAGAAAAGAUUGGUCAUUAAGACUUGAUGAUGCCUUAUGGGCAUAUAGAACGGCUUUGAAGACCCCGAUUGGGAUGUCACCCUACAGGCUAGUGUAUGGAAAAGCUUGCCACCUACUUGUGGAACUCGAGCAUCGUGCAUAUUGGGCCAUCAAGAAAUUCAAUUUUGACAUGCAGCAAGCCAGCUCAGAAAGAAGAUUACAGCUGGCAGAACUUGAAGAAAUUCGCAAUGAUGCAUACGAAAAUGCCAAGAUUUACAAGCAACGAAUGAAAGUCUUCCAUGAUAAGCAAAUUAUGAGAAAAUCAUUCACUCCAGGUCAGAAAGUGCUUUUAUUCAAUUCUCGCUUGCACCUAUUCCCAGGUAAGUUACGCUCUCAUUGGUCUGGCCCAUUUAUUGUUCAUACUGUUUUUCCACAUGGGGCAAUUGAAAUUAAGGACCCAAAGAACGGUGUCACGUUUAAAGUUAAUGGUCAAAGAUUAAAGCCAUAUCUAGAAUACCAACCACAUGGAGAAGACACCGAAAUAAAUUUGAGUGACCCACCAGAUUUGAAUUGAUUUUUUUUCUUUUCGUUGAUUUGAUUUUUUUUCUUUCUUUAUAUUAUUCUUCUGCUAAUUGAAAUUAUUUUUGCAUAAGUGUGUUUGUUUAACUAUUAAGUUUUCUUAUAUCAUUUUUAAUCAUGAGUCUCAUACUUAGACCGUUCCUCCUGAACAUUCUUAAACCACUUCAACGUGUCAAAACUCAUCUCAAAAGGCAGAUUCAAUUUUGUAAAACACAACGCAUUUGGGCUCUACAACCACCAGAGUUAGUAGCCUAUAUUGAGGGUUUAGAACGCCAACUCAGAGACAUUGAGAGAAGUGUUUACGACAUCCAGUUGGAGCUUGAGGUAAAUUCAAUAAGAGGACGAUUUUAAUUGUGUGUUUUAAUUUGUUUUUCUAUUUGUGUGCUUUAGUUUGUUACCCCGGUGAAGUGGCGGAUAACGGUACUCCGUGACAAUCAAGUCGGUUACUUCAGUUUCCCAUAAUAAUUGAUAUUCUGAGGCGAAGGUAUGGACAGAAACGAGAUUCUAGCGAAGCUUCACAAGCGAUUCCCUUCACUUCCUCAGAAUGCCCUCCUUACGGUCUAUAAAGCUCGGUCCGAACGCAUGCGAUUACUUAUGAGGAAUAACAUACCUGCUGACAUCCGUUGGUUAAUUGAGGCAAAAGUACGAUCGGCAGGUGAGUUACCUCCAAAAUUUAUUGCAUACAUGCCUGGUUGUGGUAAAAGAAAUUAUGCAAGAAAACGACGAGCUCGACGAAUUUCUGUUGCUUGUCAUAAGUGUGCCAGAAUGAGUUGCAAUAAAACCCAUGUUCUUUAGGAAUGGUGUCUGAUAACAGGGAAGAUAAGAUUCAAUUCAUUAGGGAUGGCUUGAAUAAGGAGUCAUUGGAUUAUAUCCUUUUGUCUCUUGAAACGCAUCCCAGUGGAUAUGUGCAAGGAGCGAUUCUCCAGUUAUGGCCAUUAUUCCAGAAAGAGCAUGCACGAUAUAGUCUCGGGAAUCUGACUAUAAACGACCUUGUUUGCCAGUUUAUAAGAAAACUGGAUAGGAAGCCUAUCCUCGACCCAUAGAGGGCGUUCAAGCCGUUUCUGGACGUAAAACCAGAGGAAGAUGUGAGCCACAGUCGCAACUACCUGUAAAUAUCCUUUUACUUUAUUGUUAUUUUAUUUCACUAUUGUCUUAUUGUUUGCAUUAUUGUCUUUAAUAAUUUUAUUACUGUUUGCUUUUUCCUUUUUACUGUUUUCUUUUUUACUUGCGAGCCACGUGCUUUACGCGUUAUUUGACACUGACAUAUUACCUCAUACACAACCAUGACCCACUAUCACCGAGACUCUUAAAUGUGAUUUCUUUUUUGCCAAGCACUCACAAAUUGUUUUUGAGAAGUAUCACAAUGUCAGCUACUCCCAAUAGACAAUUCAAGAACAUUUGUGUGCUUUCUGGAUUUACAUAUGACAAACAUAAAGAGUUCGUUGAGGCAGCCAUAGAUCUUGGUCGAAGCAUAGCAGCGAGAAAAUUACACUUGGUGUAUGGAGGAGGUAAUCGAGGGUUAUCAAAAAUGGUCUCAGAAGCAGCUUUUAUCAGAGGAAGUCAAGUGUUAGGCAUCAUCCCAAGAGUCUUAAAACCAUUGGGCAGUUCAUCUGACUCAUCAACUGGAGAAGAGUUAGUCGUCUCAGGUAUGCAAGAAAGAAUAACUGAAAUGCUUAAUCAUGCUGAUGCUUUUAUUUUCCUUCCAGGAGAUCUUGCAACACUAGAGGCACUUAUCACGCUAGCAUCUUGGGCCCAUCUGCACAUCCACCAAAAACCCAUCGGUUUGUUAAAUGUCAAUAACUUUUAUGAUGGCUUUAUCGCAUUUCUUAACCAUGCAAUAAAAAACUAUUUCAUUCCUUCUAAUGUAAAAAACUUUUUAUUUGUGCUCACACUGCUAAUGAGCUACUUGAUAUGUUACAAGCUUAUAAACCGGAGCCAGACCCCUGGACCUUUGUGUUGGAGCGCCCAAAUAAUAAUGGUAACAGUAGCCGCAGUAAGAAGUACAAAUUAGAUUUAACUCUCCGCUUGUAAAUAUUGUUUUCUGUGUUGCACCACCCAGGUGAUGUCUUCUAAACUCUACUUCUUUCCUUUCAAACAUUGAGGACAAUGUUUCGUUCUGGUUGGGGGGAGGGAAUAGUCGACAAUUGUGGAAUUUUGGUUAAGUUUUUACUAAUUUUUGUUGUAGAAACUAACUGUUGCUAACUUUUUGUGUCGAAGAUGGCUGAAUAUAGAGUGUAGUGACUUUAGAAACGCAUCUUCAUCGUAAAAAAAAAAAAAUUAAAAAACUAAAAAAAAAUUUCAGACAUUUUCUUUUUCUUUAUUAUGUUUUUAUGUUUAUUUUUCUUCUUUUUAAUUUCUCCUCUAUAAAUAUACAUUUUCCAACUUGUGAGUCGAAGAUGGCUGAAUAUGGAGUGUAGUUCCUCUAGAAACGCAUCUUUUUUUUAAAAAAAAAAAAAACAUUUUCGUUUUCUAUCAUUUUACGUGUAACUUUUCUAAUUAGUUUUUAUGCAUCAUUUUCACAUUUCUGCAUGCAUAUUUUCCUUUCAUGUUUAGAAUAGGUUGGGGGGUAGAAUGUUGUUUAAAAAAAAAAAAAGUUUGUGAUUUGUUUUAACAUUAGAUGACAUGAUUAAUUUCAAAUUUUAGUAUUUGUAUUAUCUUUGGUCUUAAGUGAUGUUACAUUAUGUUUGCUACUCUACAUGUUCAUGUCGGAGACAAAUAUGCGUUGCUUGAAGGAAUGAACAUGUCAUAAUAAGUACCAAGUGAGUUUUUGAGCCUAUUAUUUUUCUUGGAGAAUAACCCUUUUGCCCACUCUUUAUACAGCUUAGCAGUUUAUUAUUUUACAUACGAUCUCUAAAUUACUUUUGAGUUAACCCUUAAAAAAAUUGUAUAAUAAAAAAAAAGAGAAAAAAAUGUGUGUUGUUACAUUGGGAGGCCCAUCUAACUAGUAGAUAUGAAUGAUUAUUUAGAGCCCUAAAAGACGAUGGAAAGGCCAUCUUUGAUCCGUUUGAGCCUUUCUAGCCAUCCCUUUUAUUAAAUAUCCAUAGUUAACCCUUUUAAGCCUUAAAAAAAAAAACAUUUUCUUUGUCAACUUAUCAUCUUGACCCACUCCGAUUUGGAGUAUUACCCGAUAUCUUAUAAGUUCCAUCACUUAUUUAUGUUUGAGAAAAUGUAAAUAAUUAUGUUGUUCAGUGAAGUUAUACCAAAAAAAAAAAGCAAAAAAAAAAACAACAAAACAAAAGUUGUUGUUUCAAAAGAAUAAAAAUAACAAUAAUAGGUGAAAUCCACCUUGCAACUUCCAAAAAAAAAAAAAAAAAUCUCUGCAUUUUUCUCAAACAUACACUUUGUUUUCCUUAUUUCCUUUCUUUGUUAACCAUGUCCCUAGCCUACGUUACAUCCUAAUAAAAGUCCUUCCUGAUUUUAGGGAAUUAUAAUCUGAAGUAGAAGCUAGUUAUAUGGGCUAAAAAGAUGUAGUGAUGCAUAAUAAAAAAAAAAGAUAAAUAAAGUGGGUUGAAUAGCAUUUUUGUUUGACUUGAGUUCGUAUUAUUUAUAAGCUGAGGGCAUAUUUAUUUCAUCUUGGUGAGAGCAUGUGAUAUCACUUCUUUAUUAUUUUCUCUCUCAAUUACCAUUCAUUGGAGUGACUAUUUUAUUGGUUUUAAUUUCUUUGUGAGAGUGUCACUACUUCCAGUGAGAUUUUGGGGUUUGAUAUGUCAUUCUUGAAAGUAGCUAUGACAAAGUCUACUGGGCUGAUUCAUGUGGAUGGUUGAUGUGGGUGUGAUGUUACUUUAGACUGGAGAUAAUGCUUAUACUUUUAUUUGAUUGCUAUCAUUAAUCUGACGGAAUAAAUAAGAGUGUUUCUAAAAAAUAUAUAUAUAUAUAUAUAUAUAUAUAUAUAUAUAUAUAUUGAAUUUGAAUUUUGUUUUCGCUUUAUUUGCUAGGGACUAGCAAUAAGCUGGUUGGGGGGUGUGUUGAGUGUUAGAAAAUGCAUAUUUAUAAAGGAGAAAACUGUCAUUUUACAUUUCAAGUCUUACUAACAACCCUUACUUUUAUGUAUUUAACCUUCUUGUGAUUUAAUUACAUGUGUUUUAUUUUAAUUAAGUAUUUUAUGUAUUUUAGGGGCAUUAUAGUCAUUUCACAAUAAAUGAGAGAUCAGACGGCAAAACGGACAUCACUUUUGAACUCAAGACGGUCGAAAACCUUAGGAGGAGCAUAAAAGGAAAAAUGGCACUGUUCACAUGUACGGUACUAUUCACGUGUACGGUACUGUAUACGUUACUGUUCACGACACUGUUCACAUAGACGGACCGAUGACGUGGCAUUGACUAAUGAGGUGUCACGAUCCUGUUGGACUAAAAUUCUUAUAUACUGUUGAUGGUGAUGUGGCAGCAUAUCAGUGGACGAAAAAUCUCGCAUACGGUGCAUGCAUCACACAGGAGUAUUUUCAACCAAACCGCGUUACUGUUCAUCCGGGUCAAACCGCGUUACUGUUCAAAGUCGGGUCAAACCGUGUUACUGUUCAUCCGCGUGGUCAAACCGUGGACUGUUGACUGAUGACGUGGCGCAAUCCUGAGCGUCCAAACUGUUUUUAAUCCGAUGGCCAUGAUUUACUCCAUGUAUCUAUAAAAAGGGGGCCUCUCCCCCCUAAUUUGAUAUCUCUGAAUCCAUUUUUGGGAUCCAUUUUCUGUAAUUCCUUCUCCAUCUUGUAUUUUCUUUGUAUUUUAAUAAAUUCCUAUUUUGCCCCUAGUUCAAUUAUGAGUGGCUAAUUUUCUUUCAAGCUUGGGUUGAAGGUGAAGUCUCAACAUGUGUCAUGGGCUUUAUUUGGUAAAUUUAUUUUCUCUUCCCCUCUAAUUUUUGUGGAUGUUUUGACUUCUCGUCGACAAAUAAUAAUAGUCUUGUCUAGAUACCGCCUUGGUUACACCGGCUCUCUAGUAUAAGGUUAUUAUUAUUUGGCACGAUAAGCCCUUAGCACCAUAUUGAUUAGAGCGUGGUUCAUGAGGUGUGGAUUCCCCCCUCAUGAUUUAAUUGGCAUUAAUACGGAUUAUUUAGCCCAUGAUGCAUGUUGAUACGGAUCCAGAUACCCAAGUACGUCAAUUUAAUAGAUUUUCUCUUCAAUUUAUUCUCUCCAUUGCAAUUCCAAUUUUAGAAUUUAUUCUCGCCAUUUUAAUUUAAGUCUUAGCAUAUUCCAAAUCAUUUCCACCAUAAAUCCAACAACCCAUUUACAAAAUUAAUUCUAUACACAUAAUUAAAAUCCACCUCCUCGUGGGAUCGACACUCGUCACCAUUAGUCUAUACUACAAUAGAUUCGUGCGCUUGCGAGUACAUUAAAAUUUGCACAACAAGCAGCAGUGGUGUUUGAACUCAAGUCAUGGAGGCAUUACUUAUAUAGGGCAACGUGUCAGAUUUUCAUCGAUCAAAGAGUCUCAAGUAUUUAUUUACUCAAAAAGAGCUAAAUUUGAGACAUGGGAGAUGGAUCAAACUGAUUAAGGACUACGAUUAUACUAUUUAUUAUCAUCCGGACAAAGUAAAUGUGGUAGUUGAUGCACUAAGUAGAAAAUCUUCCAGCUCUAUAGCUCACUUGCGAGUGACAUAUAUGCCUCCGUUGAUCGAGUUAAGAUCUUUGGGAAUCGAGUUGAACGUUGAUAAUUAUGGAGCUUUAAUAGCAAUUUUGAGUUAGACCAACUUUGAUUGACAAAGUUCAUCAGAUGCAACCUCAAGACCCACAGUUAAUGAUGUUGAAAGAGGAUGUGCAAAAUUGUUUACAAAUCGAUUUUACAGUGAAAGGCGACAGAGCCUUAGUCAUGGGUAAUAGACUCUGUGUACCUGAUAUUAAAGAUCUAAAAGAAGAGAUUAUGGAAGAAGCUCAUUGUUCAGCAUAUGUGAUACAUCCUGGUAAUACGAAGAUGUAUCGUACCCUAAGGGAUCAUUACUAGUGGCACGGUAUGAAGAGAGAGAUAGCAGAAUUUGUUUCUCAAUGUUUAGUUUGUCAACAGAUUAAGGCUAAACACCAGUGUAAUAUAUGUCAAAAUUAAAAAAAUAAAAGAAUAAAAAUGAGGCGGUUAAAAGUUAAAAUGAGUAAAAGACGAAGCUAGAAAACAGGGGAAAGAUAUGCACGUGUGAGAGAGUGAGAGAGAAGCGGCCAAAACCAACCAAUGACCCGACCCGAUUGACCCGCGAACGUGACCCGACCAUAUCUCCAAUUUUCGGCCACCCCUUCGGUUGAGCAAGGUAUCAAUCGAAAGCCCAUGAGACGUUGGUCAUACUUCAGCUGUAAUCUUUGUCAAAAAUUGAUCGGAACACCGCCGUUUAGAGCUCGAGAAACCGCGACCGAAACCCAUCAUCACUGUUGUUGAUUCUACCAGAAUUUGACCACGCCACCACCUCAGUUUUGUUACUCACGACUCCCUCUUCAAUUCCCGACCAUCCACAGUCACCGGGACUAAUUGUUUCGCCAUCGGCCAAUUGUUGGAAAUUCACGGCUGCCGAGCGUGGAAACUCACCGCUGGCACUAUUAGACUUAACAUUAUUGGAACUUUCAGACUUGAGCUUCCCGGCCAGCGUUGACUAAAUUCUGACGACCGUUGACCGGCAAGGGUAUUUCAGUAAUUUCACACUAUGAGGGCAAUUUUAUAAUUUCUGAGCCUGUGGAUAUUUUAGUAAUUCCUGAAAUUGAUAAGUGGGUGGAAUUAUGAUUCCGAGGGUAAUUCAGUGAUUUAGAAUUUCAGAGUAUUUUAACGAUUCACGGAUUUAAGAGUAUUUUGAUAAUUAUAUCGACACGGGAGUUGCAAAUUAUGGAUAGAUGUUCGUUUCGAGUUUAUUGCAUGAAUUUAGUCCUAAUUCCAAUUUACAAAAAAUAAUUAUGUUGUUUCCUUUAUUUAGGAGAACCCGCGAGCGAGAACCGGUCCGCGGACGUGGAUGAUAACCGAGCGUGAACAUCGUCACUAUGAGUGGAAUAUACAAAACCUAUUUUCAUAGUUAAAUAUGAUAGUAAUGCAUGUUUGCGAAAUAAGUGUUUUCAAUGUUCUGAUUUAAUGAUUUCUCGAAAUGGAUUUUAUUCACGCAUUGAUAUUAUAUUAAAAUGUUUGGUUAAUGGUUUUCCGCAUCGACAUUGAAUAAAAUAUUACAGUAUUUUAAAGAUGAGAAAAAUGGAUUUAGAUGUGAUAAUGAAAAGAAAUGUAUGAUUUAAAGUAUGAAUAGAAUAUACGUGAAUAUGAGUAUAGAGAUUGUUUUUAAAAUCAUUGGACAAUACCCUUUCCUCUAGAUACAGUGAUACAAAUGAGAUAAGAGGCCUUUGGGGCCCGUUUGAACACACAUAGUUUGAGGUACAAUUUUCUUAAAUAUAGUAGAAUUUAUUUUUUUAAGCUAACAAGCCCCUUGAAUUUAUAAUAUUUAAUUUAAAGGAAUGAUGACAUAAGCAAUGACAUAAGAAAUGAUGACGUAAGCGAUGACAUAAGCGAUGAUGUAAGAAGAAGUGAAGAGAAAGUUAAAGAAUUCUAGAAUUUAGUAAGUUAUUUAUGAAGGUUAAUCUCAACCAUUGAUCAAGAGUUAUGGUGGAAAAAUCCUAGCCAUCCAUUAGCCUUAAGAAAUCCUAUAAAUACCCCUCACUACCUCUCAUUUGAAAUGCAACCUAAAAAUUCCAUUCCCUUCUAUUUUAAGUCAUAAUAACAAGAGUAGAGGAAUCUUUAGCUUAGAAAGGUUUAGAGAAAUUAAGAUCAAGAGAUAAGUAACACUUCAACUGCAAUGGAAUGACAAAAUUACUUUUAUACUUAAGUUCAGUUUUAACAAUCCCUUUAUAUUAUGAUGGCUGUUAUAGUGUGAAUAGUUAUAUUCUAAAUCUUUAUAUGGUCAGCUCUACUACCUAAUAUGUGAUGCUAUGGUCGACUCUGCCGCCUAAUAUGUGAUGUCAUGGUCGGCUCUACCGCCUAAUGUAUGAUGCUAUGGUCGGCUCUGAUGUCAUGGUCGGCUCUGCCGCCUAAUGUGUGAUGCUAUGAUCGGCUCUACCGCCUAAUGUGUGAUGUCAUGGUCGGCUUUGCCGCCUAAUAUGUGAUACUUAUACUUAAUUAUACUAUGGUCAGCUAUGCCGCCUAUACUAAAGACUUUUUUUAAAUAAUGUUGUGUGUUGAUUUUGUUACGCAUCGAGAAAUUUUCAAAUGUUAUAAGUUGCAUUGGAUACAUGCAUUACAUUAUGAAGAAGAUGUUUCAGAAAAUGAAUUUAUGAAAAAUAGGUUGUUGUACUAUCAGGUGGCAAAGUUUCUAAGGAGGGCAAGCCCUCAAAGCCAAGUAAAAAGAAAUCUUUUGGGGACGGCAAUACGUAACGCCCAAAAGACCAACUAAUGAGGCCCAAGGACAUAUUGUUUAAAGAGUAAAAGGGUCAGCCUUGUAGUGCAAUAUACCUAAGGCCCAAACAAAGUUGUUUUAGUAUUUCUAAGUUUAUUUUAAGAGCUUAACAUGGUCAUCCAUAUGCAUCAUAAUUAAUACAUGCAUCAAAGUGUUAUCUUACUGGGCUUUAGCUCACUAAGUCCUUACAUUGCAGGAAACGAUGAGUAGGACAAGUUGAUGCCAAGUCCUAACCAAGACGAAGUACAUAUGGGCAUAACCGACCUUGAGAUUUUAUGAUGGGCUCAGCUUUGUGUUAAUAAAAAUAAGUAUCUUGGCUUUAUAUAAUAAUAAAGCUUUUAAAUAAAAUAAGAAAUCUCUAUAUGACUUUUACUUUUCUGUAAGAAAGUUUUUGUUGGAUUGUGCUAAACUUUUAGAAUUCGUAUUUAUAUUAAGAGUAACUGUGUUUUUAAGCAUUUUUAAGUAAAUAAUAUAAUGGAGUGUUACAAAUUGGUAUCAGAGACCAAUGUUUAAAGCAAUUUUGUAGACCGUCCAUAUGCACAAGUCAAGGGGAAGGACAAGGCUCGGCUUUUUAGUUAUAACUUAAAAUUAAGGUAAUUAGGAAAAAUCUUACAUUUGAUUUGUCUGACACGUAGAAACUAGAUUAAAAACUUGUUGAGAUGUCAAGCGCUAGGGGUAACAGAGGCAGAAGGGCGGAAGGAAAUGCAGUGGAGCAAUCUGUAAUUGAUCAACUUACAAACAUUGUGGCUCGACUCUUAGAAAGAGAAGUUAGAAGGGAUGAACAUGGUCAGGCAAUGAACAACGCCGGAAGCGAAUUUAGAAGAUUAAAUCCACCCACAUUCGAAGGCGGUGUAGAUCCUAUCACAGCAGACAAAUGUUUGCGAACUAUGGAAAGAAUAAUAGAAGUAGCCAAAGUGCCAGAAGAAGAAAAGGUCACAUGUGUCUCCUUUAUGCUACGAGGAGCGGUAGAAUACUGGUGGGACUCAAUUAAACGAAUUCAUGAUGAAGCAACAAUGCAAUGGGUGGAAUUUAAAGAACACUUCUAUAACAAAUACUUUUUAGAGACUGUUCGCUCAGCUAAAAAAAGAGAGUUUGUUUAUUUACAACAAGGAAGGAUGUUUGUGCUAGAGUACAUCCAAAAAUUUGAUGAGCUCUCUUGAUAUGCUCCACAUAUGGUUGCAACGGAAGACUUGAAAAAGGACCACUUUAGGCAAGGAUUGCGUAAAGAUCUCACAAAAGACUCAAAGGUGGCUGGAGUUCGUAAUGCUUCCUUCAACGAUCUCAUCAAGCCUUGGUAAUUGAGCAAGCAGAUGAAGAAAAGAAUUAAGAAAAAUGAAGAAACAAAAGAAGUGUGGAACAUGGGAACUUUGUUAAACAACACUCAAAUAAUAAUAAGAGAAAGGGAACGUCAGUGGUCCAAGAUCAGAGUAAAAAUAAAUGCCAAAAGAAUCAUCAGAAGGAAGUCCCACAAAAACCAAAGUGCAACCAAUGCAGCAGAACUCACCCUGGGGAAUGUCGAGCAAAUAUCAAAACAUGUUUCAAAUGUGGAAAGGAAGGACACUUCAUUAGGGACUGCCCGAAAAAUGGUACGUAACAAGAAAAGGCUAAUGCUCGAGUAUUCAAACUCACCAAGACGGAUGCGGAAGGAAACCCCUCAGUAAUAUCAGGUGAACUAUCUAUCUCCAAAACUCCUGCAUAUGUGCUAAUAGACUCAGGAGCUACACAUUCAUUUGCCUCACUAGCAUUCAUUAAGAAAAUCGAUAAUGUCCCUGACAUAGUAAAUAGGCCUUUUAGUGUCAUGCUACUAUCGGGUGAAAUAUUAAACUCGAGGCAAUUAGUUAAGGCAUGUGAAGUCAGCAUUAGUGGUAAUACACUAUGUGUUGACCUAAUAAUUCUUGAGAUGCAUGACUAUGAAGUAAUUCUUGGCAUGAAUUGGGAGUGUUAUAUUUAUAAAGGGGACUUUGCCAAAUUUUCGACAAAUCCUUACUAAUAGAAUUAUUAUCAAGUCCGUUUUGAUGAGACUAGAUUGACUCGCCCGGGGGGAUUCGAGGCUGGUCGUUUCAACCAGAGGCCUGCAGGGUAUUCUCAGCCGCUUCCUAUUCCUGAGUGGAAGUGGGUUCACAUCACUAUGGAUUUUGUAGCGAGACAUCCACGUACUCAGAAAGGACAUGAUAGUGUUUGGGUGGGUAUUGAUCGACUUACAAAAUCUGCUCAUUUCUUACCAUUCAAAACCACAUAUUCGAUGGACAAGUUAGAGAGUAUUUAUGUGGCUGAGAUAGUUCGACUUCAUGGAGUACCUGUGUCCAUAAUCUCAAAUAGGAAUUCUCGGUUUACUUCUAAGUUCUAAACUAGCUUUCAUCCACAGACUGAUGGACAGUCAGAGCGUACUAUUCCAACGCUGGAGGAUAUGUUGCGAGCUUGUGUUACGGAGUUUAAAGGUAAUUGGGACAAUUAUUUACUUUUAAUGGAGUUUACUUACAACAACAUCUAUCAAGCUAGUAUCGAGAUGGCACCAUAUGAGGCUGUGUAUGGUAGAAAAUGCAGAACUCCAAUAUGUUGGGAUGAGGUUGGCGAGCGGAGGUUAUUCGGUCCAUAAUUAGUUUAGGAUACUAACAAGAUGAUACAAUUGAUCCGGGAUAGACUAAAAGUGGCCCAAGAUAGACAGAAGAGCUGUGCAGACAAGCAUAGGCGCGAACUUGAAUUCGAAGUUGGUGAUAGAGUUUUCAUACAGAUAUCUCCUUGGAAAUAGGUGCUUCGAUUUGGGAAACGUGGGAAGCUAAGCACACGUUACAAUGGGCCAUAUGAGAUCAUCGAGUGCAUCAGUCUAUUAGCUUAUCAAUUAACUCUACCACCUAAGUUAUCCAGAAUCCACGAUGUGUUUCAUGUCUCAAUGCUCCAAAAGUACAUAUAUGACCCGAGUCAUGUGUUAUCGAAGCAACCAAUUCAAUUGAAUGAAGAUUUGACUUACGAAGAGGAACCCGUGGAGAUACUGGAAGAGAAACACCAAGUUCUAUGUACUAAGACCAUUCCUCUAGUAAAAGCACGAUAAAGAAAUCCUACAAAGGAAAAGGCUACCUCGGAACACGAGGACUUAAUGCGAGCUCAGUGUCCUCAUCUUUUCUCAUUAGGUACAUAAAUUUCAACAAAAUUUUUAUAAGUGGGGAGUAUUAUAACAUAUGUGAAAAUAAAUAAAAGUGAGGCGGUUAAAAAGUUAAUAAAAGAAAAAGAGGAAACUAAAAAACAGGGGAAACAUAUACACAUGUGAGAGAGUGACAGAGAAGCUGUCAAAACUGACCCAAAAACCCGACCCGUUUGAACCGCAAACGUGACCUGGCCAUACCUGGCGAUUCCAGCCACCAUUCCGGCCAAGCAAGGUAUCAACCGGAAGCCCAUGAGACGCUAAUCAUACCCCAGUUAUGAUUGUCACUAAAAACCAACUGGAUCGCAGCCGUUACCAGCUUGAGAAAUCGCGGCCAAAAACCCAUCACCACCGCCGUUGAUUCUACCAGAAUUUGACCACGCCACCACCUCAGUUUUGUUACCCAUGACUCCCUUUUCAAUUCCCAACCAUCCACAGUCACCGGGAGUAACUGUUUCGUCGUCGGCCAAUUGUUGGAAAUGUUUCCUAAUUAAUUAAGGACUUUUAAUUUCCUUCCCAAUUUAGAAUUUUGUUUCCUUUUUAAAUUAGAAUUUUGUUUUCCCUUAGUAAUUUAGGAUCAUUACUGCUACUAUAAAUAGCUUCCUCUUGUAGCAUUUGAAAGUGGUUCGAUUUCAAUAAUAUUUUUAAUUUUCAAAUCUCUUUGUGAGUAUUUGAGCUCAGUUAAUUCUCGGUAUUUUGCGGAAUCAACGAGUCUUAACCCCUAAAUUCACGGCAUUCUUUUGAAUCAACGUGAGUUUAGUUGUUCUUUUAUUCCAGCAUUCUCUAGAAUCAACGAAAUAUUUUGAACCGUAAACUUCCGUUACAUCACUAUCCUGUAGUGUGACAACCAAGGAGCAAUAUCUUUGGCUUAUAAUCUAAUGUAUCAUGCUAAAACUAAGUACGUAGAGUUAGAUAUUCAUUUCAUUAAAGAAAGGUAGCUACUAAGAAAAUUAAAGUGUGCUUUAUUCCUAGUGAAGACCAAAUAGUAGAUGUCCUUGACAUGCUUUUAACAUUCGGGCAAUUUCAUUAUCUAAGAAGCAAGCUAAACGUCAAUUCUAGACAAUUUAACUUGAACAUGGAUGUUAGUAAUUAUAGUGAAGCAUAUUCUCUGUUGAUGACUGAGCACAAUUAGUUAAGCUAGCUCAACAUAGUGUUGAAGUUGUUAAGCAUUCAUUAAACAUGUAACAUAAUUAGUUUUAGUUGAGAGCUACUUCUAUAAAUACUAUUAAUGUAAUCAUUUUAGUUGCUAAAGAAAUUAUAAUAAGAAGAAGCUUUCAGAUCUUUCUUUUCUCAAUUCUCUUUUCCUUCAUUUUUUAGCUAGCCAAACAUCCUUUGUUUUCCUACAAGAGUUGGGUGUAAGCAUGACAACUUUAUUAUGUAUUGCGACAACCAGAGUACCAUUCACUUGGCAAAGAAUUCAACAUACCAUUCAAAGUUUGAGCAUAUUGAUAUGAGGUAUCAUUGGGUAUGAGACGUGCUUGAGAAGAAACAGUUGCAGGUUAAGAAGAUACACACAACGGAGAAUGGGUCAGAUAUGAUGACAAAGUCAUUGCCCAAGGAAAAGUUGAAAAGUUGUAUGUAGAAAACGAGCUUGGUAGUGCCCCCCACAUGAUCUGGGGGAGAUUUGUAAGGUCCAUCUCAUUUGGGUGGUCUAAACCCAAAGUUUAAUAAGUUUGGGGGUAAUUAAGUAAUUAAAGAAAUAUUGAGGGGCUACGUAAAAUUUUACAAUGAAAUUUGGCUAUAUAAAGAAGAGAAAGUGGAGGCGGUAGCAACCUUUUGACAGAAGAAAAGGCGAGAGAGAAGGGAAGAGACAGUAGAGUUGGGGCUAUUUGGGGGCAAGAUUUUCAAUCUUUAAUUGGGCGAUUGGAAGGUGAAAUUAACUAUGUUUUCCCUCAUUCUCUUAUUGUGCCUUCAGGCCUGGGCGAGUGCUGUAAGGUUAGAUUAGAGGGAGGGGGACUGCGAACACCCGUCCCAUUAAGCACCAGGGAACCAUGCAUUCCUCCCGUGUUGGGCUCCUGGCAUCGCCUUCUACAAUCCUACUGGUGUUGAUUUUUCUUUUAUCCUCUCAUUGGCUAUUAUUCGAGAUACCUACUUGUUAGAGAGACACUGAUUAGGCUGUUACUGUAAGCUAAAAAUAUUGAGAUUCUUGGUGUUGGUAGCCUUUAGUAUUAUUUAGAGAAUGAUUUGUACUGUAAUUCCAUUAAUAUAGUAGAAGAUUAUAUCGGACUACCGUCCCGUGGUUUUUCCCGUUUUGUUUUUACAUAAAAUUUGUGCCUCUUGUGGUUGGUUUUUUUGCUUUGGAUUUAUUGGUUUAUUUUUCUUCCUAUUUAUUUAUGGUGCACAUCCUAUUUUAAUCACAUAAAGAGGGAAAGAUUUUUGUUUCCGCUUAAUUUGUAACUCGUUAUGGUAGUCCCUCUCCCAAUACUCUCAUCCUAAACCAUAGAAAAAUUUUGAUAAUUUUGUUAUUUAUUUUAUUGGAAUUGUUUUCGACAAAACUACUUGUUCUAUUUUUUCUCGAAUUAGUCAAGCUCCUCUAGACCAUUUUGUUUUUCCACCCAUUAUGAGUUGAUUUAAAACUUUUGAGAGCAAACGCAAUGACUUCACUUUCAUGUUAUUUAAUUGCAUUUUCUAUCACACCUGCUAAUUGCCAAACUAAUCCAUCAUUUAUGACGUGCAUUAAUGCUAAACAAGCUGUGAAUCAUAAAUUUGUUUCUACAAUUACCGAAAGGGAUAUCAAAUCCAACAUGAUAGAUUAAUUUUUCAACUAAAUGGACUAGUGCCUACAAUAGGUUUGAUGCCAUUGAUAUUUAAAGGAAAGCAAAAAAGAAGGCAAAUACUUUGGAGUCAAAUUUCCAUAGACCAAUUCAUUCCAAUUUUAAACUUCAAAAGAAUUCAUCUCAAGUCUUUUUGUUAAUCAGCCGACUUCCAACAUGUAACAUUAACCAAUAUUGUUGAGCAUUAAUUGGUCUAACUUUUUAAUCGAGUAAUAAGAAAUAAACAAAAAGAUUUUAGUACAUGCAUAAAAGAACAAAAUCAAACUAGAUCGUGUAGUGGUGGUGCUGUCGUGGUGGGGUGGCAGUGGAGCUGGUGUUGCGUGGUGGUGUCGCGCAGCCAAGGCAGAUCGCGUGGUAGUGGCGCCCGGCAAAGGUAGAUCGCACCGUAGUGGAGCUGUUGUCUCGUGGUUGUGGUAAAGCUGGUCGCAUCGAGGUGGAGCACCUCGUGGUGGAGCUGCUGUCACACGAUUGUCGCUUCACAUUAGAGUUGUUGUGGUGGAGCUAUUGUCGGUAUCGUUUGUUGAAGCACACCAAUGGCUAUGUGGAGUAGUCGUGUGGAGAAUUUGGAGAUGGCAGGGAGAACGUGAGAAAAAAAAUUGAAUUUUUUUUCUUAAACAAAACUAAAACUGUUAGAAAAUUAAGCUUCCUCCCAAAAUCACUCCAAGCAAUUUGUCAAGCAACAAAUUAACAUAAAAAAUUAAAUGUAGAAUACAUCAAUCAUACAACACAAGAUUUACGUGGAAAACUUCAAAUCCGAAUAAAAACUGUAGUUGUUGUCAAAAGACAACCAAAGAAAAAUGUUCACCAUGUGGAAAAUGUUUACAACCACAUUCUCAGAAAUAACUUUCUCUCACCCAAGCCCCAAAUACAUGAUCUUGAGAAAUAUUCCUUAACAAAACAAACUCAUAAUACUCAUAUUGAGAAGCCAAAUGCUUCUUCAAUAUAUUUACAUGCUUAAGAAUAUUACUCUCCUCUCAAUUUGGAUUGCUUCUCUGGGAUAAUGAAAACUUAUGAAAGGCUCUCCUAUUUAAAACCAAACGGAUAGCACUGUUCAAACCGCGUCACUAUUCAUACAGCGUUACUAUUCAUGUUGCGUUACUAUUUUCACCACGUGGUCAAACUGUGUUACUGUUCACCCCGGGGUCAAAUCGUGUUACUGUUCACCGUUUUUUUAAUCAAUUUUCAACAAAAACCGCAUAAACCUAAUUCUCACACGGGUUUGGCUUUGAGGGUUUAACUGCAUUACAAGUUCUUUUGAUUACAUUAUAAUACAACGAGGAGUAGUUAGCAAACAUGAUAUCGUAAUAUUUUAAUACUACGAGGAGUGCUGAUACCAUGUAAUAAGAGUUGCCGAGUAUGUCCAAGAGGAAUACAAGUUGGCGGUGGUUAAUAAAAAACAGAUGCAAAACGACUGCGUUUUGUACAUUGAAGUUGUGCGUCUUAAUCGUUCAAGUCUAAUGGUUUUAUUGCAAAUUUGUUGUCACGUGUAAUACACAUAGGGAUGGCAAAAAUCCCCAUAAGGACGGGCCCUUUGGGGAUUUUUUCCAUUUGAAAAAGGUAUGGGGACGAUUUAUACCCAAUUUCUUAUUCAGAGAAAUGAUAGAGAUGAUUUUUUUACCUAAUUUCUUUUUUGAGGAAGGGACGGGGAUGAGCUUGAAUCCCUAUCCCCUCCCCAAUUCCCCAUUUUCUCAAUUUGAUUUUUAAUUCUAAUUUUAUUUUUUAAAAAUAAUAAUGAAUAAAUAAUAAAAUAUAAAAUAUUAGUAUAAAUCAGAAAUAUCAACAUAUUUAUACAAAUAUACUAUGAAAUUUUUGGGCCCAACAAACAAAUUAGAGUCCUAAAUUACUAUUUGAUUAGAUUUUAUUCAAAAGGCCUUGGCCCAAAAUUUUUUAUUUUUAACGUUUAUCUAUUAAAACAAAACUAAAGCAAAAGCCAAUCUAUAACAUCCAAACUUUACCAAGAUAUAUUGUCAAACUUUUUUUUAAAAAAAAUUAUUUUAAUAGACUAAAUCAAAUUUAGAAACUAAAAAAUGUAUUGGUUAUUUAGGAAUUUUUUAGGGAUCGAGGACCCUCGGAGAUUCAUUUUUAUUAUUCGGGGAGGGGACGGAGAUUCCUUUAAGUAAUUUUGAUGGGGACGGGGAGGAGACAGGAACAUAUGCAAAAUAUUGGGAUGGGUACGGGGAUAUCAAUCCCCUCCCCUACCCUCCUCAUUGCCAUCCCUAAAUACACACGUUAGUCACUUAUUCUGACCAAGUCAAACUUCUGUUAAAGUGUGUUAGAAAGAGCGGCAAAUCUCUAAAAUCAAUUUCCGAGCUUAAUGUAACGUAUGGAAAAAAAAAAAGGCAGUUAAAAAAAUAUAAUAAAAGAAGCUUAGCAAUUUUGUAAUGAGAAAGAGAAAGAGCACACGUGACAGUGACAGAGAGCUGUCAAAACUAACCCGAAAACCUGAACUGAACCUUCAAAAUUGACCCGGUUGUAUCUCUGAUUUUCAGUCACAUCACUGGCCGUGGAAGGUAGCAAACAAAAGCUCUUGUGCCGGCCAUCACUUCCUUGUCGUCACUAUCACCAAAAACCGACCGAAACGUCGUAGUUUGUAGCACAAAAAAUCAUGGCCAAAACUCGUCACCACCCUUGUCGAUUCGCCGAAAUUAGACCACGCAACCACAUUAGUUUUGUUCUCCUACAACUCCCUCUUCAAUUUCCAACCAUCCACAGCCACUAGGGGUGCAGAUUUGCCAUCCAUUAGCUGUGGGAAGAUUCACGGCUGUCAGGCUACAUUCCAGCGUCGUCAGCACGUGGGAGCUCAAUGUCGGUACCAUUGAACUCAGCUCGGCUUGAAGUGCCUAACCUAGGGGUGGGCAAAAUCAAACCGGAACCGAAAAAAAUUCGGUUCGGUUCGGUUUUUUAUUUCAAAAAAUCGAAUAUAAUUCGGUUCAAUUUUCGGAUCAAACUUUAAGAAAUCCGAACUGAACCGAUAAUAUCAUUUAGGUCCCUCUUUUUUAUAAAAUUAUAAUAAGACCCAAUAUUUAGAAAAUAUUUGCAUAUAAAAAUUAUAUUAUGACCUAAUAUAUUUUGCAAAUUUUUCAACAAGGUCCUUGACCAAAAGCCAACAAGGCAAGAUAACAUUCUGAUCCCUAUGUUUUUAAUAAGUUAUAUUAUAGCACAGAAACUUAUUUUAUUUUAUUUAAGUUUUGCGCCAAAAGUUUUAAUAUUAAAAACAAUGACGAUGAUUCUAAAAAUUAUUCAUUUUAGUCCAAAAUUUUAAAUUUUUUUUUCUUAUACAAAUUUGUAAAUUUUUUUUUGUUGAUUAUAAAUUGAUUAUAAUAGGCCUUGUGUGCAAGUUAAGAUAAACCGAAAAACCAAUUUGUUAGUUUGAUCCGUUAAGUGAACCGUUACCGAAAAAUCGAAACCGAAUCAAACCGAACUAUCGAUUCCUGUUCAAUUUUUAUUUUCUCUUAAAACCGAUUAGAUUUUUUUGAAUUUAGGACCCGAACCGAACUGAACCAAAACCGAAAAUUUAUUCCAAAACUGAACCGAACCAAACUGAUGCCCACCCCUAGCCUAACCUGAGCUUCCCGGUCACUGUCACUUGAAUUCUGACCACCGUUGACCGAUAAGGGCAUUUCGGUAAUUUCAUAUUUUAAGGGUAAUAUUGUAAUUUGUGACCCUAUAGAUAUUUUAGUAAUUUCUAAAAUUAAGGAUUGUUUGGUAAUUAAGAAUUCAGAGGGUAAUUCAAAGUAUUUUAAUAAUUUACGAAUGUGAGGGUACUUUGGUAAUUUUAUCAGCGUGGUAGUUGUAAAUUAUGGCUAGAUGUUCGUUUCGAUUUUAUUGCAUGAAUUUAAUCCUAAUUUAGAUUUACAAAAAAUAAUUAUGUCAUUUCCUUGAUUUAGAAGGAUCCGCGAGCGAGAAUUAGUCCGCGGGCGUGGUCGAUAACCGAGUCUGAGUAUUGUCACUGUGAGUGGAAUAUAUAAAACCAAUUUUCAUAAUAUUAUGAUUUAAAGUGUAGUAAAGCAUGUUUGCGAAUAAAUCUUUAAUGCUCCAAUUUAAUGUUUUCUUAUAAAUGAGUUUUAUUUACGUAUUGUUGUAUUUUUAAAAGUGCAUGAUUAUCAGUUUCCCUAUCGAUUUUUUAGUAAUGCAUGAUAGUAUUUUAAAGAAAAGAAAAUAGAUUUUAAGUACGUUAAAUAGAAAGGAAAUGAGAUUUAUAUAGUAUGAUUAUAUGUUCAUGUAUAUGUGUAUAAAACAUUGAUUGCAAAAUCAAUGGACAAUACUCUUCCCCUUAAGUUAUAAUAGCACAGAUAUGAUGAGAGGUCUUUGAGGUCUGUCUGAACACAUAUAGAGGCUUUAGGCCAUGUGUUUGGGCGCUUCUGCCUUUUGGGGGCUUAUGCAAUAUGAUGAUGUAGAGAUAUAGUUACUGAGACACAAAUGUGAUACAUGCCUUUGGGACCCGUCUGAGUACAUAUAGAGGCUUUGGGCCAUGUGCUUGGACACUUUUGUCCUUUAGGGACUAGUUUAUGCAUGCAGAGAUACAAUGAGAUACAUGAACUCUAUGAGAUGGCAUUCCAUUGGUCUACGUACCCGUUGCAGAUCUAGGGCAUGAUGAUAUCUUGAUUGUAUGUCACUGCCUGUCCAUUGAGGUUCGGGUAUGACGAGAUUAUUCUGUUGGGUACUUGUUUAGUGACAAUUUUGAGAGUUCAGUAUUUGAGAUUAUAGUGUGCUUAUAAUUUUCUUGAUUUUUUGUGGUAUUAUAUCUUAUGCUUAUGUUAGUGUAUGAUUUAUAAUUAAUUUAUCUAAGUUUUCUUAUGGUAAUUUGGUCAAAUUAUUUACUGAAAUGAUAUAAUUAUUUUGAAGUAAAUUUAUUUUCAAAACUAUUAUCCACUCACUGAGCUUAUUGAGUUUUUAUACUCACCCCGAUUUUAUUAUAUGCCCUCCACCCCCCCCCCCCCCCAAAGAGGUUGCAAGUACACAAAAUUGACCCAAUGACUAUAGAUAUUUUGAAUUUUGUUCACAUGAUGGCGUUAGAAGAUAUAGAUGAUUUUUGUUAGGGCAUUUUGAUCAUUUCAUUUUUUUCGGAUUGUAUAAUUUUGCAUUAUUCUUUUGAGAUUAUGAAUAAACCAAUGUAUGUUAAUAUUAGUUAUAAUAUAAUCUUUUGAUACUAUAUAGAUAUCUUAGGUAAAACUUAGUAUUUUGAUAGAGGAUGUUGAUCAUUGGAGUUUGUUGUAUAUUGAAUUACUUUGGGAGUGCUUAUUUUACAUAUUUGCAGGUUGGUAGUGUUAUAUUUAUAAAGGAAACUUUGCCGACUUUUGCAUCUAAAAAGGAGCAACUUCUAAAAUAUUUUGCUUGAAAAACUUUGGAGAUUAGAGAGUUUAGGACUUGAAUCAACCGCCACCCUUGCUUGGCCACCAUAGGUUGAUUAAAACUUGUGAAGUCUCGAAAUCCCAAUCCUCUCUUACUUUUUACACAACUCAUCUUGCUCCAUCGAGCCCAAUGGAUGUCGUGCUUGUCUCUCUUAGACCCCCACCAGAAUUUAGCGAUUGCACUUUGAAUUUCCUCAUAUAAGCCUUUGAGGAGCAUGAAAACACUCAUGGCAUAGGUAGGAACGGCUUGAGCUAUAACUUUUAUAAGAAUUUCCUUGGCUCCACUUGAAAACAUCUUGUGCUACCAAUUAUUAAUUUUGCUUAAGACCUUUAGCUUGACUUCUCUAAAAAAACUAGUCUUCUUCUUUCCUAUCAUAGACGGGAGCCUCAAAUAUUUUUCGUAUUUGGAUAACACAUUGAGGUUGAAGAUGUUUCUUAUUGCUGCUCUCUGCCCCUUAGAAAUCUUGCCUCCAAAAACAUUGAUGAUUUUUCAAAGUCAAAAAUCUGCCCCGACGCCUUUGUAUAAUUGUCAAAAAUCCUUUCAGGUGCUUGCAUUAUGUCACUGAUGCAAUUGCGAAGACUAAGUUGUCAUCUACGAAAAGUAAAUGAGAUAUUGUGUCAUCCUUUGCGAAUUUUAGGCCUCUGAUUUUUUCCUUUAUGCCUGAAACAAUAAGCUUAAAAAGACUUAUGUACAAAGGAUAAACAAAUAUGGGGAGAGGGGAUAGCCUUGCCUUAGGCCUCUCUUUGGAUGAAAAAGAAACUAAAGUAAUGCAGCCCGUUAUCAAUUCCAACCACUUCUUUGAGAAACCAAUCUUUUUCAUUAUUUGUUUUAGGAAAUGCCAUUCAACCAUAUCAUACGCUUUGCUGAUGUCUAACUUUAACGCCACCAACCCCUUAUUUUUUCUUUUACUGUGUCUUAUUUUGUGGAAGCAUUCGUAUCCAAUAAUCAAAUUAUCUUAGAUGAGUCUAUUGGGAAUAAAUACACUCUGAGUGGGGGAAAUAAUUUGCGAAAGAAUUGGCUUUAGCCUAUUUGCAAUAGUCUUGGCCAUUAUUCUGCAUAUCACAUUACAGAGGUUAAUUGGCCUAAACUCAACAACCUUCAUAGGCUUAGUUGUCUUGGGGAUCAAGGCAAUAAAAGUGUGGUUAAGGGUAGCUAAGUUACCUCCAUCAUUAAGAAUGUGCAAGCAUGUUCCUAUCACACUACUCCGAACUGUCUGCCAAUGCUUUUGGAAAAAGGCAGCGGGCAAACCAUCUGGACCUGGAGCUUUAGUUGGGCUCAUCUAGUAUAGGGCUUCCUCAAUUUCUUCUGUUGUGAAAGGCUCCUCCAGUUGUUGAUUCAUUUCUGUGAUUACCUUUGGUUUUAUUCCAUCUAAAACAUUUUGAAUCUGGCUUUGAUUAGGGCUGGAAGUUGUGAAUAGGCUCUAGAAAUUCUCAUAAAAUUCUCUCUCUACUUCCCCUUGAUCUUCUGUCCACUACCCUUGAGAGUUUUCAAUGCCCCAAAUUUUAUUUUUUCUCUUUCUUGCUGAAGCCUUCGAGUGAAAGUACUUAGUAUUCCUGUCUCCUUCAUUUAACCAACCUGCUCUCGAUCUCUGCCUUUAAUAAAUCUCCUCGUCCAUCAGCAUGCCAUUGAUUUGAUUUUCAAGCCUUCUGAUUUGGUCCUCAUCCAUUCUUUGGGCUUUACCUUGCUUUCUAUGUUUGAGUUGAUUGAUCAGCUGAUCCUGCUUCUUUUUCCUAUCUGCAAACUCAGUCUUGCUCUAUAUUUUAAAGUUGGCUAGAGUGUUUUUAGCAACCUUCUGGAAAUGCUUCACUAGAUUUUCCCAUGUUCCUUUCCCAAUGGAAACCCAUUCAUCUCUCACAAUGUUUCUACAAUCUUUAUAUGAGCUCCAUAUGUCUUCGUAAUGUUCUCUGUGGAAUGAUCUUUUAACAUAGCUCCGUUCUUUUUUCCUCUCUCUUACUUCUAUUAAAAUUGGGCAGUGGUCGGAAACCCAAUUCACCAAAUUCGUUUCUGCCAAAUCAUGAAAGUUUUCUCUCUAGUCGUUACUGCAUAAGAACCUAUCUAAGCGCUCCUCAAUGAAGUGCUAGCCAUACCUCCUAUUCGACCACGUAAAUGGGUACCCCUUAUACCCCAUAUCGACAAGAUUACAAGCCUGAACAGCCUCUCUGAACUUUAUUACCAUCUCUAUAUUUUUUUCAUUUCCCCCUGAUUUUUCUUGUAGAUUCAAUAUUUCAUUGAAGUUACCAAAACAACACCAAUGGUAAGAGAAGAUACCUACUAACCUCUUCAGUAAAGUCCAAGUGUGGUGCUUUUGGUUAGUUUUUGGGUGGCCAUACACUCCGGUGCACCUCCAUACCUUGCCAUUUUCAUUUUUCACAACUGCAUCAAUAUGGUGUGAGCUGUAGGAUUUUAUUUCAACCUCCACAUCUGAUGACCAAAAUAAAGCUAGCCCUCCCCCUAAUCCAUUUUUGUCCAUAGAAAAAUAAUUUUCGAAAUUAAAAUAUCUACCUUCUAAGUUUAACUUGCUUGGCCCGAAUUUUUGUUUCACAGCAAAAGAAAAUAUCUGGCCUAUGCAGGUGGAGAAUUUUCUUGAUGACUAAUCUCGUUCGAGGCUUCCCCAUACCUCGAACGUUCCAGCUUAAGAUCUUCAUAGCUGCCUAUGGGGCUAACGACCAGUUCCCGUCGAUUUGAUGUCCACCAUUUCCUCCAAUUCCAUCUCUGCAUCAUGCUCUUCAUUAACUAGCUUCAAUUGGGUCUUUGCUCAAGAAGGACUAAGAAAACACCCACUGCUUGGUUGUUUUAAAGGGCUAAAUCUUCUUUUCUUUUUAUUUUCAGGGCUGGGCGAUAUCAAUACAUUGUUGGGCCUUUUGGUGCACAUAGGCCCUUUUUCACUUAAGGGACUAUAGCACUAAUAACCAACUCAUUGCUUCGUAUUAUCUGAAUCCAAAGAACCAGUCAAGAUAUAAUAUAGUGGUCAUAUCGUUGUAGCAACUGAAAUUUGCAUAACAUAAAAACCCAAUCUGAUUGUAGGUUGUGAAGUUCGAAGUUUUGAAAGAAAAUCGAAAAGCAUGCGGAUAAAUGGAAUGAUGAGAGAAAGAGAGAAAGAAAAUAUCAAUUAUAUAAUAUUCAAAUAUGUAAGGUCUGUAAGUCAUCUCAUAAAAAAUAGUGUAAUACAACAUCAAUAAUGAUUCAUCCCUAACUAGAUGAAUCCACUCAUAGAACAAAAAACAUCAAGAGCCUUGAGCCAAUAAAAUUUGAGAAAAUUGACUUAAGAAAAAAUUUCAUUAAGGGCUCCGUUGGAGAAUUCAGACCUAACCAUUAAUCAAGAAGCAAUGGGAACGACGGAAACCGUGAAUAAAGAAGAUUCUAUUGGAAAUGAAUCUUAAUGAUUUAUUGGGUGGGAUGGCGAAACGAACCCAGGAACUAAACUAUUCUUUUAUUCGUAGAGGUCAUGAACUAACCCUACAACUGAAAUAGAUAUUGAAAGAGUAAAUAUUCGCCCGUGAAAGGUUUAUUUUUUUAUUUAAUUAGAUUGAUUCAUUUUGAUCGAUCUGAUACGGUAAAGGGCAAAACAAAAUAAAGAUUUGUUAUAACGAUAAAAAAAAAACAUUGAGAUUAUCUAUAAAUAGAACAUAAAUGUUUCAAUUCUAUAUCUAAACAUGAUAUACAAAUUUAGAAUAGAUUAAUUAGAUGAACUUUCAAAAAAUCCUAUACUUCAGUAUAUUAUUCAUUAAAUCCCCCUAUAUCUUGAUAAAAUCGUUUUUAGUCCUUUCAUUCGCGAGGAGCUGGAUGAGAAGAAACUCUCAUGUCCAGUUCUGUAGUAGAGAUGGCAUUGGGAAAGAACCAUCAAUUACAACCCCAAAAGAACAAGAUUUUGUACACAACAUAGAGGAAGAAUGAAAGGGAUAUCUUAUCGAGGUAAUCAUAUUUGUUUUGGCAGAUAUGCUCUUCAAACACUUGAACCCGCUUGGAUCACAUCUAGACAAAUUAAAGCGGGGCGCCGCGCAAUGACACGAAAUGUACAGCGCGGUGGAAAAAUAUGGGUACGUAUCUUUCCAGACAAACCAGUUACACUAUGACCCACGAAAACCCGUAUAAGGUCCGGUAAAGGAUCCCCCAAAUAUUGGGUAGCCGUCGUUAAACUGGGUAGACUACUUUAUGAAAUGAGUGGAGUAGCUAAAAAUAUAUCUCAAAAGGCUAUUUCAAUAGCAACGUCCAAAAUGCCUAUAAGAACUCAAUUCAUUAUUUCGGGAUAAGAAUGUCGAAACAAAGGAAAUAAAUCUUGGGUAUAAAAAAAUGCGAGUCUUCCCUUUUUUUUCUUUUUUCUUUCUUUUUUUUACUUUGUCCUUUCAGUGCUUUACUUUAAAUUAAACAUUAAAAAAACAGACUCAAAAAAUAAUAUGAUUCAACCUCAAACCCAUUUGAAUGUAGUAGACAAUAGCGGUGCCCGAAAAUUGAUGUGUAUUCGAAUCAUAGGAGCCAGUAAUCGUAGAUAUGAUCAUAUUGGUGAAAUUGUUGCUGUGAUUAAGGAAGCAAUACACAAGCAGUACACAAUAUGCCUCUAGAAAGAUCAGAAGUGAUCAGAGCUGUAAUUAUACGUACUUGUAAAGAACUCAGACGUGAUAACGGUAUGAUAAUACGGUACGAUGACAAUGUUGCAAUUGUCAUUGAUCACGAAGGAAAUCCAAAAGGAACUCAAGUUUUUGGUGCGAUCGCCCGGGAAUUGAGACAGUAGAAUUUUACUUAAAUAGUUUCAUUAGCACCUGAAGUAUUAUAAGAGAGGAUCGCGAUAUAGUGAUAGUAUGAAAAUAAAAUAGAUAAAUCAAAAUUUAGUAGAGUAUGUCUCACGCAUAUACUUUUAAUAAUUUUCAUUAAAAAAAAAGAACAUGUUGAUUAUAUCAAAAUUCGGAAGCAACAAAAUUUUCAGUUUUAUCAUGGGCAAGGACACUAUUGCUGACAUAAUAACUUCUAUACGAAAUGCUGACAUGAAUUGAAAGGGAAUGGUUCGAAUAGCAUCUACUAACAUCACCGAAAACGUUGUUAAAACCCUUUUGUGAGAGGGUUUUAUCGAAAACGCAAGGAAACUCGUGGAAAACAAAAACAAAAAAGAGUUUUUGGUUUUAACCCUACGACAUCGAAGGAAUAGGAAAGGGCCGUAUAGACCCAUUUUAAAUUUAAAACAAAUCAGUCGACCCGGUCUACGAAUCUAUUUUAAUUAUCGAUGAAUUCCUAGAAUUUUAGAUGGGAUGGGGAUUGUAAUUCUCUCUACUUCUCGAGGUAUAAUGACAAACUGAGCGGCUCGACUGGAAAGAAUCAGUGGAGAAAUUUUGUGUUAUAUAUGGUAAUUAUUCUUCUAUCCGAAUUGUAUUUGGAGCUUACUUUUAUGUUGUGAGAAAAAAAAAGGGGGGGGAGGAUUCCUCGAGGUUUAAUUACCGAAUAACUUAUCAAAGGUAUGCUCCAGGUUCUUUUAGAUAGUUUAGAGAGCGAAGUAAGAUUCUAGAUUAUGUUUCAGAAGGGAUGCGACCCGUUUUUCUACAUCUACUUAUACUAUUAUACAUAUACUCCCGAUGGCUAGAGGCAAAAUUGAAGGAAGUCGUUAUGAUUUAGAUUCAACUGGAGGAUAUAAUAAUAAUAUAUAGAUUUGAGUGAUUAGGUGAUUUUUCAACAUUCCUUUCAAGGGGAUACAAAUCGCGGUUCAAAAAUUUCAAGAAACUUAUUUUCUUCUAACUUCCAAUAAGUAGAUUCGAAAUUCAUUUAAGGAAUAACAAUUAUGAAAAUAAGGGCUUCAGUUCGUAAAAUUUGUGAAAAAUGCCGACUGAUCCGCAGGAGGGGACGGAUUAUAGUAAUUUGUUCCAACCCGAGACACAAACAAAGACAAGGAUAAUCUUUCGAAAAGUUUAGAAAGUAACCGAUGAACAAAUCAAAACAAAAGAUCGGUUUUGACAUGAAAUGGAUAUAUCCAUAUAUCUCUGACUUAUAUUUAUGAAAUAAUCAAAUAUGGCAAAAUCUCCACCAUGAAGUGGUUCACGUAGGCCAGGAGGGAUUAGUUCACGUAAAAGUGGACGUCGAAUACCAAAGGUCUUUUGAUUCCUGGCUUGCAGCUUCCACUUUCUAGCUUUGGGUCUAAUUAUUUCUUUGCUUGGCCCAUUCACCACCUCAUCCUCGUCUGAUCUGGCUUCAGCAAAAGUUUCCAGGCUGUCUUCUAAAUUUGUUUCCCUCCAAUUUUCAUUUCCCGCAUGCGCUUUCUUGUUUCUGAAGUGGCUGUCAUUGUCAGUCUCUUCCACUUGCACCUUACUGAUUUCCUUUCCCCUGCUCAGAGUCUCUAUUUGCAGAUUUUCUGUCAGCUCUGGAUCUGUCAUUGAUGGUUCUUCGUCAGCUACUUGCCCCUAGUUUUUGCCUUUUGGUUUACCAUUGUUUCCAUGUUCCUUCUCCCUUUGGCUAUGAUUUGGCCCCUGAUUGCUGAUUGAAAUAGGUGGGUUUUUUUGUGAUUCUCGGUUACUGACUGCUAUGAAGUUUUCUUUGGCUUGGGCUUGCUCCCUAUCACUUUUCUCAUUCAUUCUGUUUUGUUUCACCCUCUCUGCCUAUGAUAUUGCUCUCAUCCAUCCUCCAUAAGGCAAUUCGUCUUUCGGCUGUCUUUUAUAUUUCAAGCAUUCUCUAAUUUGGUGUCCAAUGUGUGCACAACCUUUUUUAAUGGCUGUGUUAUAUUAAUGGAAAUUCUGGCUCAAGCAAAUUGCCCUAUGCAUUCUCCUGCAUCGUCGGUUUCAACUUCCUCUACUUUACCUAUCAUUCUUCCCCAACUCUUGAAUAGUCUCUCGAUUCAUGCACAUGAUAGGAAUAUUGUGAAGCUGAACCUAGAAGGAUGAAUGCAUAAAGGAUUGUUUUUUAAUAGCCCCUAUGCCAUCUGGUUCAGUAAGUACUAGUAACUCUCGAUCAAAGUGCAAUAGUCCCCCCAUUAGUACUCUUUUCUUUUCCCCUUCUGAGCCAAACUUAAACAAAAAUAUGUUUUCCCCCAUGCUUUCGAUCUUAACCUCGUUGACUUUUUUCCAAGCUUGUUUCAUGGCCACUUUCAACCCCUCUCUGUUCACUCUUCACGUGAGUAAAACUUUCCCAACCAAGCAAUUAGCAGCCAUUUUUUCCCCUCUGGUCUUCAUGCUUCCCAUAAAAGUUAAAAUAUCUUCCUCUUCUUCUUCUAAAGCAAUUGCUUGACAUUUUCUAAUCAAUUCCUCUGCAGCCAUAUUUAAAGUAGUACUACAAACAAUAAUAGCUCAUGUGAAAAUUUAUCUCCUAACCCCCUUUUAAUCUGCAAUAAAUAACUUUAACGAUAACAAAAGAUGAAAGUAUGUGGGAAAAGAAACGAAGAAGAUAGAAUAAGAAAGAAAAGAAACACCCAAUCAAGGGAUGACUAAAAGAUAAGCCAUGACCGGCUUUACUCUACUUUCAUUCUAAUACUUUUUUCUCUAGAAGAAAGAUUGCGGAGAGAUUUUACUCCUCACUAGGAGUUUAAUUUUGUGAUUUGUCUACUUUUUAAAGUUAAUCGAAGUGCGUUACAUGAGUAAAUGACAAAAAAAGCUGAAAAAGGAAUGAUUCAAGCACACUAAACGGCCGAAAAUAUUGCAGCUGGCAUGGACUUGGUGUUCAGAGAGCAGGACACAGUCAUGGGAAAAUGAAAUGGUGAUUGAAGUGAUAGUGCACUCAAUGGGCUCAAAUAACUUGAAGGGUGAAAAGGGCCAAAAAGAAUUGACCAAGAAUGAAGGGAUGCUUGGGCCAGGAAAACUUAUAAAGGCUAUGGGAAAGAACAUAACCAGCAUGUGUGUGAUUGGAUGCGCUUUAAGUGCUUCAACUCCAAUGGAGAAUGGAAAGCAAUGGAGAUGCACGGGGAUAUACGGACACCCAGAAAUGCAGCAAAAACAACACACUUGGACGCUACUUCGAAGGCUGUCAGGUUUGUCUAAUCUCCCGUGGUUAUGCUUCGGCGAUUUCAAUGAAAUUUUAAGUCCAAAUGAGAAAUGUGGGGGGAAGGAUCGAAAUUUGAGUAUGAUGGCUAGUUUCAAAGAGGCUGCUCAAGCCUGUAAUUUGGUGGAUUUAGGUUGCAUAGGCUACCCUUUUACUUGGUCUAACCGGAGAUUUGGCCACCAUCUUGUUGAGGAGAGAUUGGACAGGUUCCUAUGUAGUCGAGAUUGGGUUAAUAACUUUUAUGAUUAUGCAGCAACGAAUCUCUUAACCGUGAGCUCUGACCACUACCCAGUGUUGAUAGAAGUUAGAGAAAGAGGUAAAAGUAUCCGCUAUGAGAGGAAGGCACCUCGUAGGAUUCAUUAUGAGGAUAUGUGGAGUGCCUAUGAUAUGUGCAAGAGCAUUGUUCAAGAGGAAUGGAGUAGUCAAGGGAAUUGGAAAUUCGGGAAUCCAGUACUUCAAUUUCAAAAAUCCGCCAAAAGUUCUAUGGCUAAGCUUAAAUGGUGGAGCAGGCAAGAGUUCGGGGAAAGAGAAAAAGAGUUAAAGCAGAUGAUGGAGCAGCUAAAAAGGUUGAAACAGAAUUUUGAUCAUUACAACAGCGGAGAUGAAAUUAAAAAGUUGGAGAGGAGAAUCAAUAAUAUGUUGAUUGAUAAAGAAAUGUAUUGGAAGCAAAGAUUAAGGGCUGACUGGUUAAAAGAGGGAGACAAAAACAUAAAGUUCUUCCAUUUAAAGGCUUCAGCAAGGAAGCGAAAGAACAAAAUUUGGGGGAUCGAUGAUAAACAAGGGCGCUGGACAUAAGAGGAAGCUGAAGUGGAAGCAUAAUUUUGUGAGUACUUUCAAGAGAUUUUAACUUCUUCAAGGCCAAGCCAAGCUCAAAUAGAUGCUGCUUUAGAUGGAUUGUUGCCAAAGAUAGAUGAAACCAUGAAGAAUCAUCUGAAUCAGCCGUUUACAGCUGAGGAGAUUUCGGAGGCUCUAAAGCAAAUGUGCCCCACAAAGGCACCUGGCCCGGAUGGACUUCCUGCUGUCUUCUUUCAGAAGCAUUGGCAAGCAGUGGAGUGUGGAGUUGUUUCAACUUGUUUACACAUUCUGAAUGAAUGAGGUAACUUAACUUCGUUAAACCACACUUAUAUUACUUUAAUUCCAAAAGUUCAUAAGCCUAGAAAAGUCACUGAUUUUAGACCCAUUAGCCCUUGCAAUGUAAUUUAUAGAAUUAUCGCUAAGGUUAUAGCAAAUAGAAUGAAGCCCAUUCUUGAACAAAUUAUUUCGCCGUUUCAGAGUGCUUUCAUCCCAAAUAGACUCAUCACUGACAAUAUUAUUAUUGGGUAUGAGUGUCUCCAUAAAAUUAGGCACAGUAAAGGGAAAAGAAAUGGGUUAGUGGCUUUAAAGCUAGAUAUUAGCAAAGCUUAUGAUAGGGUGGAGUGGGAGUUUUUGAAACAAACAAUGACAAAGCUGGGGUUUCCAAAUAAUUGGGUAGAUUUAAUAAUGAAUUGUAUCACUACAUCAUCUUUCUCUGUGCUUGUAAAUGGGAGUCCCAAGGGCAUGAUUCACCCGCAAAGAGGCCUUAGACAAGGCUGCCCUCUAUCCUCAUAUUUGUUCAUAUUAUGUGCAGAAUCUUUUUCUAACUUACUGCUGCAAGCAGAGCAGAAUCAUCAAAUCCAGGGGCUGAAAUUUGGAAAGGAGAUUACUAUUUCGUAUUUACUAUUCGCUGAUGACAGCUUGGUGUUCACAAAAGCUUCAGUGGAUGGUUGCAAGGUUCUCAAAGCGAUCUUCGACUGCUAUGCUGCAGCCUCAGGUCAACUCUUCAAUUUUGACAAGUCGUCUAUGGUUUUCAGUGGCAAAAUCCUAGCAAACAGAGUUAAUGCAAUCAAGGGGAUAUUUCAACUCAAGGUGGUGUCUAGACACGAAAAAUACUUAGGCUUGCCCUCUAUGGUUGGAAGAAACAAGAAAAACUUCUUUAAUGAAGUGAAACUCAAAGUGGUGAGCAAGAUUUCAAAUUGGCAGCAUAAAUUUUUUUCGAGUGGAGGUAAAGAAGUCCUUAUUAAAGCAGUGGCUCAAGCGGUUCCAGCCUAUGCGAUGAGUGUUUAUAAGCUCCCUAUAGGGCUAUGCGAUGACAUUCAGAUGGCAAUGGCGAAGUUUUGGUGGAGAUCAAAAGAGGACAAGCGUGGAAUCCAUUGGGCAAGGUGGGAAAAGAUGAGUCAAGCAAAGAGUAGAGGAGGCCUCGGACUUAGAGAGAUGUCUAGAUUUAAUCAGGCUUUAGUGGCAAAACAAGGAUGGAGACUGUUGCAAUACCUGCAUUUAUUGGUUACCAAAGUGUUGAAGGCUAGGUAUUUUCAAAAGUCAGACUUCUUGAGAGCUCAAGCUGGUCCUAAUCCGUCCUACGUAUGGAGAAGUAUAUUGUGGGGAAGACAUGUGCUGCAAAAAGGAAUUCGGUGGAGUAUUGGCAAUGGUGAACAGAUUCUAAUUUGCAGGGAUAAUUGGAUUCCAAGGCCUGAAACUUUUAGGCCCCUCUCAAUUCAAAAUCUGCCAGCAGAAGCUACAGUCUCAGAGUUUAUUAAUACUGAAAAUCAAUGGGAUCACAGAAAGGUGCAGCAGUGGUUCUGGGAAGAAGAUGCCAAUGAGAUCUUGAGAAUUCAGCUGCCGAGAAAACCGAGAAUGGAUGAGAUAAUCUGGCACUUUGAUAAAAGAGGAGUUUAUGCUGUGAAAAGCGGGUAUCAGCUAGCGAUAAAAAUGAAGUACCCUGAUAAGCCUAGUUGUUCUUACAAGAGCCUUAAUCACUGGAACCGUUUAUGGACCCUCCAACUUCCAGAAAAAAUCAAAAUAUUUAUGUGGAGAGCUGGCCAAAACUUAUUGCCCACUGUUGAGAACCUAUGGAAAAAGAAGAUAUUGGUAAAGCCUCAUUGUCAAGUUUGCAAACAAGGAGUGGAAAGCGUAUCACAUGCAUUGGUGCACUGUAAAGCCACAAGGAAGGUAUGGAUUCAUGCUCCCUUUGAAAUGCAUUUCCCUGCUGCUUCUAAUCAAGAUAUGUGGAAUGUUAUGCUUGAAAUAACUAAGAAGAUGAGCAAGUCAGACACAGAAAUAUUUUUUGCAUACUGCUGGGCCAUAUAGUAUGGCAGGAAUCACAAGAUUUUUGAAGGAAAAAAUAUGGACUGCUGGCGAGUGGUGGCUAAAGCUGAGGCUGUACCUAUAAACGGGUGAGUCAGCAAGGGCAAGGAUCAGGGGGAAAGCACAGUCCAAUGAAGAUCCAGAAGUGGUGCCCUCCUCCUACAAAUGUUUUCAAGGCUAAAGUGGAUGCCGCUAUUAAUCAUGAAAAAGGAAUAGCAUGGUUAGGAGCUGUAAUCCGAGAUUCAAAUAGCAGAAUCAUUGUGGCUGUUGUCAAGACCAAAAAAUUUUCUGGAGAUGUUAAGGUUGCAGAAGCAGAAGCUGUUGAAUGGGGAUUAGUUGUGGCAAAAAAUGCAGCUCUUAGCUCUUUAAUGGUGGAGAUAGAUUGUCAAGAUGUGGCAAAGUUGAUUAACAACCAAGAGGGAAGCAAGACAGAGAUUGUUUGGGUGAUUUCUGAAAUCCAAGAUCAAAGGAAGGAUUUCCAGCACAUUAGUUUCCAUUACACCCCCAGAUCAUGUAAUGCCCAUGCCCACUCCUUGGCUAAGCUUGCUUUAAGGAGUCUUUCAACUGCUGUAUGGACAGCACCGUUACCAAUUGAUGUGGAAUCUGUAUUCUCUUGUUUGCUUUAAUGAAAGUUUAAUUAUCUUCUCAAAAAAAAAAAAACUCCAACCUGAAUAUGUUGUGAUUGUUCCUUACUGUAAGUUUACUUCAAUAGGUAAGAUUUACAACUCUUUUAAUAGUAUUUUCUUUUUAUUACUUAUAUCUAAACUUUGGUUAUUUGAUAUUUGUCAAGUCCUUGCCUAAUAUAAUCAUGUAUAACACUAUCCAAUUAUGGGUUGGAGGAUUUUGCGUCUACAACUAAUGCUUAAUUAAAAAAUCUAUAAGAUGGUGAUUGUACAUGUUCUACUUGUAACAUGUGAUACUUUGUAAGCCGAUGUUCCAAUAACAUAUCUAAAACAUGUAUUUUUGUUCCACUUCAACACUAGUUAUUUUAUCAUUUAACCAUCAUCAUUUAGGGCGUUAUGAAAUAUGCUGCUGUGAAAUAAAUGAUAUAGCUCUUAAGUAAAAUUAAUGAGUGUUUAGUAAACAGUAAAUAAUAUUUAGACUUUGUUUAAUAUUGAGAUUGGACAAUUGUACUUUAAAAAUUAUAUCUUUGGUAAAUAUUAAUUGUUAUAAACGCUAUUAAAACUUAUAAUAUCUUCAUUUUCUUCAAAAUUAUUAUUUAAAAUUUAUAUUCAUUAUACACUAUUAUAUUUUAUUUCAUAGUAAUAUAUUUUACCUCAAUGCGAAACAACAUCUAAAGUUGAUAAUAGUUUAUAAAUGAAAGUGAUUAUUAUAUUUAUACUUAUUAGUAUUCCGCUACUAAAAUUAAUUAAAAUAUUGAAAUAAAAUCACAGUCGCCGGCAAAUUGCCAGCAGAUAACCACUGGUGACGAAAAACUAUCAUUUUGGUGGUCAUUGGCACCUUUUCGAAUCCUUUCACUACGAUUUAUCUGAAAGUGCUAUUUUAAUUAUUAUAUCAUUAUUAAUGUCGUCGACAUCAUCAUCAUCAGCAUUAUUAAACUAAUUUUUUUAUUUUAAGUAAUACUAUUGUCAUUGUUAUUAUUUUGCCUUAAGUAAAUAUUUAAAAACUUUUAGAUUUUAUGAUUUUGUAAUAAACAGUAGGGACUUAAGUGUUAAUAACCAAUUGAGCACAUCUCAGCCGUUAAACACUUUAGCCAUUAGAUCUAUUGGCUAAACCAGAAAAGACAAAGUUGGGUACCGUGCAACUGUUGCACAGUAAGCGGACACACUAAAUAUGUAUGCUGAAAACUAUCUUGAAACAAAAUUCAAAAUUUAAUUUGUUUUUCCUUUCCGAAGUCCACCCAGUAUUUUCUUUUUAUUUAAUCUCUUAUAUUUAUUUUCAUACACGCUUAUCCCCUUUUCUUUAGAUUUUGUAAGUCUUGUAUCAAUUGUUAGUCAGGUCUCAUAACUUUUAAUAAUGUAACUAGAUGCAAAUAAAUAUGUAAAUCAUUUACUGAAGAGAUAAGAAAAUUAAUGUUGACGGGCACCAAUAAAUUUUAUGUUGAUGCUGAUCACGUAUCAUCAUCAUCAUCACUACUAUUAUUAUUAUAUUACCUUAAGUUAACUGAAAAUAGUUACUUGAACUUUGGCCCAAAUUUUAAUAAAAAGAUUUCUAAAGAAAAUGUUGAAACCUCAGCACUGCCUUUUAUACUUGUGACAUUUACUUCAGUUUUUUUUUUCCUCCGAAAGUUGGCUUGUGAUUUCAUCUUAUCUUUGUACUACUGUGAAAUUAUUUUUCUAUCUCUUUUCUAAAAUUGAUAUAAUAAUUUAAAUAAAGAUUCUUGUUAAUUAUUCGGACAAUGCAAGUUGAAAUAAUAAUGCAGGAUGUGAUAAUUCCUAAUUAAUAGAAUGAAAUGCAUGUAGGACAUAUGAAUGUUUCACUACUAUUGAAGACCGACUAAUGUGAGGUAAAUGAGAAAAAGCUAAAAUAUUUCCCAGAAAAUGCGACAUGUCUUUAUCUGGCAAGUCAAAAUCAACAAUUGCUCAAAGAUUUUGACUAAAAAUUUUCUUUUUCCUCCGAAAUUUACAUUUGUAAAUUCACAUCUCAAGUCACAGUCAUCUAAUUAACUACAAAGUGUCUAUUAACCAAUUCACAUGUACAUCAAUAUAUGACUUUAGAUUUUUCAAUACAUUUUUUCAAUAAAUACACUAUUUGCACCACUUCCACAGACCAAAAUGUAUAAAGUUAUUUAUUAUAUUUUUAAUGCUUCUUCUUGAACACAUGAUUUAUUUAAAUUUGGGCUCGGCUACCUUACAAAGGUACAUUUAAGUUAAGCCAAAUGGAUUAAUUGGAGGUCGGUCUAAGUGGACCAGACACCCUAUUUUACAAGGUCUGUGUCAUACAUAAGGUAGGAUGAUCCAUUAAAUUUAUCUGUUAAUUGUGGUACUGGUACCCAGGGAUAGUAAAUUCUGAGUCCGGGUCUGGGUUUGGCCGUUCCGGUUCCAGACCCGAAUGCGAAUUUACUAUACCGGAUCCGGAUAUAAACCCGGAUAAUUAGACCCCGGGUCCGGAACGAGUUUAACCUGAAAAAAUCCGGGUUUUCGGAUUGCGGGUUUCAAACCCGGAUACCUAUAUGAAUUUUUCUUUUCCACUUCUCUUAAGGCCUUGGGUACAAUGGGAAAAAUGGUACAGCCGCAUAGCAAUUUCACCCAAAAAAGCAAAAGCAGCAGAAUGUGAAGCAAUGCAAUUAUAGAAUCCAACUACUACAACAAAUAAGCAAGCAAAAGAACACAAGCUACAAAAAUUACAAACACAGAUCAUCUCCCUGAUCACCAUGUUCACCGUCACCAAAUUCAGCACCAACCUCCUCAUAAUCCUUCCCCAAAGCCGCAAGAUCCUCGCGGGCUUCAAAGAAUUCACCUUUCUUUAUGCCCUCUAAACAUUACAUCAAAUCAAAUUUGUGGUCAAUGCGAGAAAACACGUUGGCCUCACAAGCUGAGUUCAAUAUCACGCACACAGCCUCUACACCUUCGCGAGAUCAACACAGCCAUGAUGGCAGCAAAGCAGCAAAUGGGCGUCACGACGAUGGCAGCAACAGCAAAGCGGCGUCACCAUGAUGGCAAGAAAGGCAAUAGUUGGUGGCUGUGUUCGAUUAACGAAGAGAAGAGGAAAAUGGUGGCGGCUGUGUUGAGAGAAAGUUGUAAAGUAUAAACUAGGGUUUCCUCUUUUCUUUUUUAUUCUUUUAACUUUUUGUUUUUUCUAUUUAUAUUAAGAAAAAUUAAAAAUAUAAUAUUAAGAAUAAAGAAAUCCGAGUCCGGGUUCCGAAUAUACGGGUUGACUCAUUCCGGUUCCGGACUCGGAUACGUCCGGGUUUAUUAUUUUACUUCCGGAUCCGGAUAUUAUUUUUAUCCGGUAUGGGUUGAACCCGGUCUGGAUUAUCCGGAUUUAUGCGAGUUCGGACCGGAUUCGGGUUAUUUUGCCAUCCCUACUGGUACCCGAAGUCAUAACAGAAACAGUUCAAAACACUGUGGAAUAUAUUAAUGCUCGGAAUCUUCCUGGAAGUUUCACAUUUUCCAAACGCAGGGGACAGCAAGUUUUUCUCCAAUUUCACAGAAGAUGCAACUUUGUUGACUUUUUAUUUCAAGUGAAGAAAGAAAAUAGGGAAUGCCGGGUAAAAAGGUGAAAGUGUAUAUUUGAUAUUUCCCGACAUAUUUAAAAUAAAGUAGCUUUUUUACUCGGCUUUUUUAUCCAGGAAAAUGAUGUUUGUUCCCGGUCAAACCCCGGGGCAAACCCCGAAAUUACAUCAAACGACGCAAAUUCGGCUCUUAAUUUUUUUUGUUUUCAAGCGCUAUUGAACGACGACGUUUCUGCUUCAAUUUUUUAUUUGUUCUUAUUUGCUUUCAACGAAGUCGUUUUGGUUUGUAAAUGGCAGCCUUCUUCUUCCUCUUUCUUUAACACAACUGAAACUUUUCUUCUUCCUUUUCUUCGUUCUCUUAACGGCAAUGUUUCUGCUUGAAUUUUUUUUUUGUUUGUUAUGAUUUGCUGUGAACGAAGUCGUUUUGGUUUGCAAAUGGCAGUCUUCUUCUUCCUCUUUAUUUAACCCAGCUGAAACAAGUAAUUAAUUAAGCUUCUUCUCUCUUUUUUUCUUUUUUUCUUUUUAAAAAUUUUAUUUGUUUAGGGGUGGGUAAAUUUUAAUUAUUAGAUCUAAAAAAACUUUUUUUUUAGGUGGGGGUGUUUUGAAUUUGUGUAUUGUGCAAGUGGUCGUUGAUAGUUAGAAGAUUAUCAAGAAGCAUAGAUAAUAAAAUAAAGAAUUAUUGGAAUACACACAUCAAGCAGAAGUUACUUAACCGUGGCCUCAAACUCACCGCCCUCUCAACCAAAUUCAUAACCAUAAUAAUUUCAACAAAUAGACUAUUAAUAAUAAUGAAGAAAUAAUGCAUAGUAGCACCCAUUAUCAAGAAAUUCUUGACUUAGAGCUAUCCAUUGGACUUGCUUCUUCUGGAUCUGCGAACUCAAGACCACUGCAACAACAACAAUAGCCGCAGCAACAGAAGCAGGUUGUUGGUUACAAAAAGUUUUUUGAAAUGAAGCAAACAGUUUGUUUGUGUUGGCAAUUGGGUUUUGGGAGAAGUAAACUGUGUAAGAAUUGUACUCAAAAUUCUAGUAUGGUGAAAUGAAAAGGAAGAGAAAACAGAUGGGUUCUGGGCUUCUGGCAUUGCUUUUGCCUGAAGCGUGAGAAUUUUGCCCUUUGAAAAACGGCAUUGUUUUAGAUCUCUUUCGAGGUUUGACCCAGGGUUUGACCCGGGGCAAACAUUAGUGCUGUUUUAUCCAACUCUUUUCUUUUUCAUUUUUCUUUUUUCAAAGGUAAUACUAACUUUUGACUUUCCGCACUUAUUUCUCAUAUUGAUCUGAGCAUAAUUGUUGAUUGGCAAGGAUUGUUCUAGGCUUUUUAUUUAUUUAUCGUUAAAAGAUGAGCGUUGACAAAAAUAGUUUAUAGAGAAAAGGUAUUUACUUUAAAACAUUAAAAAAAAUGCACCGGAUUAUUCUCAAGCAAACUGUGUGCAUAACAAUUGGUAUUAAAAAUAAAAAUAAAAUAAUUUUUAAGAAAAAUGACACUUAUACCCCCUCAAAGUAGGGGGAAAUAGUCAUAAAGACCUUUAAGUUUCUAAAAAAGGACACAAAAACUCUUUUUUUUAAUCAUAAUAUCCUUUCAAUUUAAUGGUUAGAAAAUUGGCUUAAAAUGUUUUAAUUAAUACAAACUUAAUAUAAAUAAUAUAAUAUAUCUAGUAGAUUAAUAAUGUUAAAUUAUUUUUAACAGUUAAAAUAAUAUUAAAAUUUUAAAUUGUUCUAUUUGUUUUAAUAAUAUAUUGAUAUUUAUUAUAGUGAUUUUAAAUAAAGAAAAAUUAUCAUUUGUAUACCCUUAGUUUACUCCAUUAUAAAAAAUACUUCAACACUUUGAGGGUGUAUCAAUCGUCCACCCUAAGUUGACAAAAUAUUUCAGCCGACCACUAAACCGUUAGUUGCCGUUUAAAUAUGAUAACGUCAUAAGGGUAAUCUGGUCUUUUCAUAUGAUACAAGUGAUAAUUUAAAGGUAUACAAGUGAUCAAAAGAGAAUUUAAGGGUAUACAAGUGAUAAUUUUCAAGGGUAAAAUCAUCAAUUCACUGUAAUUCCGUUAACUUUCAAACAGCAAUUAACGGUUUGGUGGUCGGCUGAUACAUUUUGUUAACUUAGGAUGGACGAUUGAUACACCCUCAAAGUGUUGUAGUAUUUUUUAUAACAGAGCAACUAUAUAGUAUACGAAUGAUAAUUUCCCUUAAAUAAAUCUUUGGGUUAAAUAGACUUUACAAUUAACAAAAUUCUUCCUAUAAAUAAUAUUAAAAUUAUUUUUACAUAAUAAUCAAAAUAAUUUUAGUUUAUUUAUUUUAAUAUUAUGUUUCUAUUUAUUAUUAUAUAUAAUAAAAUAGGUCUAAUAGAUUGUAAAAUAUAAAAAUAUUUUUUAAAUAUUGAAAUUAUUUCAAAAUGUAUAUAUUGUUACAUUUACUUUAAUGUCAUAUUUCUAUUUAUUAUAAAAUUUUGGGGUCAACUUUUUUUGGGUUUAUAGGGCCAAAGGACAUUAUGGUCAAAAGGGGAUCUUGGUUUUUUAACAUUCUUUGUUAUAAAUCGUUCUAUGUGAAGUUUUUAACAUUCUUGUAAUCUUUAGAUCGUUAAAUCCAUGAAGUCAAUUGAUAUAUCAAGGAAAAUGCAAGUGGAAAGAAAAGAUCAAGCAGAAAAUCAAAUGACAUGCUGCGAAAGACACAACCAGUGUCCUAGUGCAAAUUGUGUUUACACUUUGGAGUCAAAAGAAACUAAACUUUGAUGCAGCGGAAGUUUAAUGUUUAAAAUAUUGCGUUGAUUCUAGAGAAUAUCGGAAUAAAUAAACAACUAAAUUCACGUUGAUUUAAAAUAAUGCUGCGAAUUUAGAGGUUAAGACUCGUUGAUUUCGUAGGAUAUCGAGAAUUAACUGAACUCAAAUACUCACAAAGAGAUUUGAAAAUUGAAAAUAUUAUUGAAAUCGAAUAUCUCUCUGCUUGUAAAAGCUACAAAAAAACACUUAUUUAUACUAACUAAGACUUAUCCUAAUUUGAUUAGAAUACAUAUUUUAAAAAGACUUAUACAUAAAUUAAGAAUAUUACCCAAAUAAGCAAUGCCUAAAAAUUAAGACUCUAAAUAGGAAACCAAAUUAAAUUAGAAUACAAAUUAAUUAAAAUAUUCCUAAAUGUUAUAAAUUUCAAUGUAAUUAGGAUUUCUUCAAUUUCUUGCUUUGCAUCAUUCUCGCCAGGGUGGAGAAAAUUCGUCCUCGAAUUUUGUAUGUUUUAGUCUUCAAGAACAUCUUCAUAUGUAUAAGGAUUAAUUUUCAAAACAGAGCUUCGACGUACACAACGAACUUUAAAUUUUCCAAUUUUUGUAAUAAUGUCUAUCCAAUUACUCCAAUUGUAUCAAAUAAAUUCUUCUAUCAACAAUUUCUCUAAAAAUGUCUUCUCAUAUUGUUCGUGUCGAACUUCAACAUAGUUGAGGAAAAAUGAUUUCUUCUCAUAAUCCACUAAUUGUUGAAAAAUAUCACAACUCUUUUUGUCUUCUUUUGGAAAAUCAAGAGAACAAUAAGAGAUUGUAUCAACAACUCUCUCUCUUUCCUCCACAAGAUCAAAAGAUGGAUGAACAAUUACCUCUUCUCAUCCCACAAUAUCAAGAUACUCAUCAAAUUUUGGCAAUUGAUCCAAAUUAAUGUCUUUGUGUUGAGGAUUUGUUGUAGACACGAAUGGCCAAUUAAUAUUCUCCUCGAAAGAAAUAAUAUUGUCGAGUGAAACAAAGUUACUAUUUUCCUCAUUAUCCUCAUAACAAACAUCAUUACGAACAAUUUCAUCAAAUCCAUAUGCCUGUUUUAUCUGUAAAGAUUUUCUAUCUCGAAGUUUCUCUAAAUCAUGAGAAAUCAAACGCAAAAUCCUCAACAUCCUAUUUAAAACUUCUUUCAAGACAAAAUCUUCGCGGCGAUGUUAUCGUUUCAUGAUUCAAUUUUUUUUUCUUUUCCUCCUUUUUUUUUUCGGUGUUUGUUUGGGUUUCGGUUUUUUGGCUAAAAUCAGAAAAUUAAAGGGCAAUACUGAAAUAGAAGAAAGUACUGGGCCAAAACUGAAAUUAAGCAAACGUUUUAGAUUUCCGGUGACGGUGGUCGGAAAUCGAGCAAGGAUGGGUGGAUCUGAAAGAUUUUAGGUUGGUGAGUAUGACGGUGGCGGUGGUUUGUCCAAAAAAGUGGUGUUUUGGUCGGAAAUUGUAGAUAAAGUCAGCAGUUUUGAGGGCUUCGGUUUCCGGCGGUUUGAGCGUCCAUCGGCGGUGUGGAAUGGUGGGAAAGAUUCAGCUGAUGGAGAGGAAUGGAUCAAUGGUGGUUCUUCUGGCCAAAUCGCGCCGAAAAGUGGUGAACAGAGGCGGCGGCGAUCGCGGGUGUUUUGGCUUUCUUUCCGCCGAUUUGUGGCUAAUCGACGGUGGAAGAUGCUUGGGAUUUGAUGGGCAGCGAUUUAUGAUCAUAAUUGUGGUGGUUUCGUCCGGAUCGGAAAACUAAAGCCGGCAGCCUUGGACGGUGGCCGCGGGCUGAAGCUUUUGCUUCUGUUUCGGGUUUUUUUAUUUUAUUUUUUUAAUGAAGCUAAACGGAAAAAUAAAAAAAGGGAAGAAGGAAAAGUUUGAUGGUAGAUGGGGUUAGAUUGACGAUAUUAUGUUUUAGUUAUUAUACCAAACUGAUGUAGUGAAAGUUUAAUGUUCAAAAUAUUUCGUUAAUUUUAGAGAAUAUCAGAAUAAAAGAAUAAUUAAAUUCACAUUGAUUUAAAAAAAUACCGCGAAUUUAGGGGUUACGAUUCGUUGAUUUCGUAAAAUAUCAAGAAUUAACUGAACUCAAAUAGUUACAAAGAGAUUUAAAAAUUAAAAAUAUUAUUAAAAUCAAACAUCUCUCUGCUUGUAAAAGCUACAAAAAACACUUAUUUAUACUAAUUAACAUUUAUCCUAAUUUGAUUAGAAAACAUAUUUUAAUAAGACUUAUACAUAAAUUAGGAAUAUUACUCAAAUAAGCAAUGCCUAAAAAUUAAGACUCUAAAUAGGAAACUAAAUUAAACUAUAAUACAAAUUAAUUAAAAUAUUUCUAAAUAUUAUAAAUUUCAAUGUAAUUAGAAUUUCUUCAAUUUCUUGCUUUGCAUCAAACUUCAACAAUGAAGAACCAAUAAAAUAAAUAAAAAAUGUAGUUAACUUGGCUGAUGUGGCAGUAAGUUUUAGAGAAGCUUGAAGUUAGCUAAUAUACAGAGCAACAUUGUUCCGUAUGGCCAGAUUCCUUGAAAAUUAAGUAAUACAGUAGACCAAAGGCAAAGAAGAAUGACCAAAUGGAACUUUUAAUAGGAUUAAACGAAGGUUCAAAAUUAACUCUUGUAGCAAAGAGUUUGUCAGAUUGUUUAAACUAAUUCAAAACAUAAUUGUUUCAUAUCGCAAUUUGCAAGCAAUAAAAUUCUGUAUUAAUUUGUACCCUAGAAAACAAUCCCUAGUUGACAUACACACCAAAUUCAAAAGAAAAAUAAAUAGAUUAAGAUAGUUUAUCCACUAAAAUGCCUAAUAUUGGGGCAAUUGUCGAUGGAUCAUGCUGAAUCGAGCAUCUCAUCUUUUAUGAAAUAACACGUCUUUCUUUCAAGUGCCUUAAACUAAUUAAUUUAAUUGCAAGUAAUAGAAACUUAUAAAAAAAAAAGGACACAAAAUUUUUUAAAAAUGGACUAAGCCUAAUUAUAAGCAAUUCACUAAAUAUAGAAAGAUGACAAUCAUAUUCUUAUAUAAUUUCAGACUUCCUCUUACUACCUCAUUUGAAUCAAUUUAAUCAAAACUUGCAUAAAAAGCAUCACUCGUCUUCUUGUCUACAACUCUUCUUGUGAAAUUUCAUCAUUACUGCAAAUGGGCCUUUCUCCCAAAGAGCCCAAUUAACAAAAUAUUUCUAAUAAUAAAUUGAGAUGAAAAAAGAAUAUAAAGAUUAAAAUUUCAUUACUAGUUGUGCAGGUAUUGUUCACAGCAUUGAUCGCUGGUACUGUGUACCCAGCAAUAUUCAUGAAAUUUUAGGAAAAUAGCUAAUGAAGAAGCUUUUCAAUUAAAGUAGAGUUUAGUUUGGGAAUUAUAUAAUUCAAUAAGGACACAAAUGCCAACUUAAAUAAGACUCUAGAUCAUAACAAAAAUGAAAAAUGUGGGUAUCCUUAUCAAUACUUUUUAACACUUGUGAGGGGUGUUCGCGGAUCAGAUUUUACGGAUUGAACAUCAAUUCAUAUCUGAUCCACGAUUUUACGGAUUAUAAAUUUUCAAUCCAAUCUAAUCCACGAAUUGGUGAAAUUCAAUUCAAAUCCAAUCCAUACAUCUGCGGAUUGGAUACGGAUUUAAUCCAAUCCACCAUUUUGCGGAUUUGUUUGCGGACCAAAAUUUUUUAAUUUUGUCCAAUUUACGAACUAACUAAAUAAAAAAAUUAAUAUAAAAAUAAUUUUACUACUGAUCAAAUUUAAAAUUAAAUAAGAUUUAAAUAAAUUAAUUGUUUAAAUAAAGUUAUAAAAUAUAUUUAAAGUUUCAAAAUAUAACACACCAAAAUGAAAAAAAUCUCAUUUGUUUAGAUCGGUAUAUGGAAAUUAACUAUUUAGAAAAUUAUAUUAUUUAUUUAAUUAUUUUUUAUUUUAUAUUAUUAUCGGAUAAGAUAUAAUAUAGUGUUAAUGUAACUAUAUUUUAACUUAUUUAUUUACUAGUAAGUACUAAUGUCAUAUUUGCAAGUUUUAUUUUUUAAUUAAAUAAAUACUUUUUUAUUUUUUUACGGAUUCGCAGAUUUUUACGGAUUUACAGAAGUAGAUUUAUAUCAAAUCCACCGAUUACGGAUUAUUAAAUUUUCAAUCCAAUCCAAUCCACCAAUCCACGGAUUGAAUUUUACGGAUCGGAUUUCUACGGAUUAGACGAAUUGAGCGGAUCGGAUUGGAUUCUAAACACCCCGACUUGUAGUAUCUUCUUGAAUUUGCAAAAAUAAAUAUGAACAAAAUUAAAGACAUAAGAAAAUGUUGAUUAGGCGCGUUGAUCUCACAUUACUUUGACUGAGACUUGGUAAAGCAAAUAGGAAAAUGCAGGUGUUCGUACCACAUUUUGCAAAUCAUUUUGCUUAAAAUUCAAUGCCUUUUGAUACUUGUCCACAUUUUGGUCGAAAGUCAAGUACCUUUUAAUUACCAUUCAAUGUCAAUUAAAAUUUGAAAAAAAAAAGAGUAAUCACUAAAAGCUUUCUUUGAUCCUUCCGGGAAGGCCUGUGACAAUUUCAUCUUAUUUUGGGGCUCUUUCUUUAUUUUUUCAACUACAUAGAGCUUUCUUGUUUCUUUACCUAAUCAGUAUCUUCUAAUAUCGCCCUCCAUUGUCAAAGCUUCAAACCAUGUCUGUAAGUCCAUCUUUUUUCACUCACAAACACAAUUUUAAACGCAUUCAUUAAUUGAUUAAGUAGUAAAUAUUAAUAGACAAUUUUAAACGCAUUCAUAAAAGAGGAGGAAUUAUGUGAUUCAUUCAUUUUGGAACACACGAAAUUCUUGGCCUUGAACAUUAACGAGAUCAAUAAUGGAAAGAAGAUGUAUAACUAAUGACAUUAUGAUAUUUCGACUGUUGUGUCUUUGAGGAUUUUGCUUCCACAUUAUGAGACCUUCCCAUACAACUUUCAGAAUGUGAAAAAUCUAUUGUGCGAUAUGCAUAUACUUGAGCUUUCCCAAAAAAUUUACUAAUAAAUAAAUAUUUAAUUUUCAAUUAAAUAAGGCUCUAGCUCCUAACAAAUUAAAAAAAAAAAGUUCUUCAUUUUUUGCCAAAAAUUGUAGCCAUUUAAUUUUCAUUCAAACAAUUAUAUUAAAAAAAACACUUAAUAAAUAUGUACUUCUUUGAAUUUUCCAAGACGGUUCAUGACAAUUUCAUCUUAUUUUUGUAGCAUUGGAAAAUCACUUAGAUAGAUAAUUUUUUUCUAUUUUCAUGAAGUCUUGCUAAUUCUGCCCAUUAUAGAAUUAAAAUAUCAUUAUAUCUUUAUACAUUAAAGAUCCACACCCUAUUAGAUACAUUAAAAUCUAAAAUACCGAAAAUAUUAAUAGAUCACUUUUAAUUGUAUUUAACAUUAUAUGACAAUCUUCAAUAUAUAAUUAUUCACAUAUAAACCCAACGUUGGAUUAAGAAUCCAACAAUAUUAGAGUAAAAAAAUCCAACAACAAUGGUUUUAAAAGAACUGAGUUGCUAAUAGCUCCAUUCAUUAGUAAAGACCAACCUUGAGCCGUUCAUGUGCUUCUGAAACAAUUCUCCCAUUUUUCUUUUUACGCCAUUUAUGACCAUUCUUAUGGGAAAAUUGAAGGACCCUCUUAUUAAACAGAAACAAAGAUCCACCUGUUGAGAAUAUAUAGGAAACCAUUAAAGUCGACAAAGGAGAGAUUUAUGAAUGAAUUCGAUUUUUCGUACAAAGUUUAAUUUGUCUUUUUAUCGCUAUUAUCAAUUCAAGGACACGUUGAAGCUUGAAUUCAGGGCUUCAGACCUAUGAAGACUGCUCCGUGCCUAGAGCUAGACCUUGGCUUCAUACACGAAGCUUACUUACUAGGUGGCUUUUGAGGUGUCUCCUGCGUUAGACCGAAUUUCUCAUGAUUUUGUAAUACAAAUAGCAUCUCCUCUGGCGUCAGCCAACGUGAUUGGGCUUCUUCGAAUAAAACGUCAAUCUCACAUCCUGCAAUCAUUUCAUACACAAAAAAGGCUCCUUAAAAACUGACUUUACACCAAACAACAUCGUUUACCUACAUAAAUUACAAAUACUUACCUGCUUGCAUCGUACUGAAGCGCCUAGUAUUAGAAAAAUUAUAAGGAAAAGGACAUUUACAUCCCAAGGUUUGAGUAAAUGGUUAUCCACACCCGUAAGUUUUUAAAUAGGGAUAUCAAGACUUUCUUUUGACCAUUAUACCAUCUACCUUUAUUAAUCUAAAAAAUUGAUUUUAAAAUUUUUUGUAAAUACAAAUAUCAUAUAAAUAAUGUAAUAUAUGCAGUAGACUAAUAAUAUUAAAAUAUUUUAAUAUUUUAAUAAAUUUUAGUAUGUAAAUUAUUAUAUUUAUUUUAAUAAUAUUUUUAUUUAUUGUAGACAUUUUCAAUAAAUAUUUGCAUUAAAUACAUUCUACAAUUAAAAACAUAUUAUUUUACAUAAUAUUCAAAAUAAUUUAAAAUUUUAAGUAAUUUAUUUUAAUAUUAUGAUUCUAUUUAUCAUAAAAUUUAGUUUAAUAUAAUAAAAUAUAUCUAAUAGAUUAUAAAAUAUUAAAAUAUUUUUAAAAUAUUGAAAUUAUUUUAAAAAGAAUAUAUUAUUACAUUUAUUUUAAUAUUAUAUUUAUAUUUAUUGUAAAAUAUUAGAGUCAAAUUUUUGAGAUAAUAGAAGUAAAUGGUAUAAUGGUCAAAGGGGGUCUUGGUAUCCCUCUUUAAAAAUUUGAGAAUGUUGGUGAUCAUUUCCCGAAACUUUAGAGGGGUGUAGAUGCCCUUUUCCCAAAUAAUAAUCACAACCGGACGAAUUCACCAAACCACGUCGCUUGCAAACACAAAUUCUUGAUGAUAGCUUCGAUUGCAUAAAUUUUAAAGAAUAGACUUUAAAAAUUCAAUUAUUGAUGAAAUAUAAUGAGAGGAAAAAGCCGUGACAGCUUAAUUGGCGAGAGAUGAAAAUAAUUGAAUGUGACUCUGCAAGAUAUAAACUAAAAUAGAUGCUUUUAGCAGGUUACUCCCUUGAACCUACCAGCAAGUUUCGUGAUAAUUUCAUCUCAUCGUCCUGAUAAAGUCUAAAUUGUCUACUUUUCUAAAUGUGAUAUGAAAUAACUUCAUUGAAGACUAAUGUUGGACUGGGCAAUGAGUAAAGUAAUGACAACGAAAGGUAGAAAUUGCGAUGAGACAAAGAAUAAUUUAUGGACGGCAGGGAACUCUAAAAUUCUGUUGCCCGAACUUUACUUUUGAUGAGAAAAAGAAUAUAGUUUGGACAAUUAUUAAGAGUUUCUGACCAGAAAUUAAAUUUGGAAUCCCAAAGCAGAUGAUUAUGGCUGUGCCAUUCAGACUUUUAUUCAAUAUAAUUAUAUUCAUCCAGAAAAUUUUGUUUCUUUAUAUUCUCUAAUAUUCCGUUUCGUCAACCAUACUACGAAGUGUGUCCAACACAGAAGAAAAUAUAUCACGUUGCGAAAUAAAAUAUAUAGCCCUGCCCUUACAAUAGUAUUCUUCCAUAUGAAAGAGCGUAAUCACAUUGCAAAAGUACGUACAUAACCAAAACAUACAAACGAAAACACGUAUACCGCGUCCUAAAAUGAGGGAGGAAUGAAAAACGAAUAGAAUAUGUGGAGGAAUGAAAAACAAAGAAGAAAUAAUUGUUAUAUAAUGAGACACCAAUUGAACUGUCAAAAUAAAUAAUCGCCGCAAGCUUUAGCAUCAUACAAACUCAAAAUAGUCUUCAAUAGAGAAGUAAAUAUAUGAAAUAAAAUGUAUCCCUCCACGUACAAGAAUUUUUCCAAAUCAUACAGAGGCGUGAGUCCAAAAGUAUUAUAUAACCAGUAUUGAUACAAGCAAACACAACAAUAUCGUCCAAAAAUGAAAACAAAUAAAUAAAUAAAUAAAUAAAGAACAUGACAAAAAUAAUUUAGCUAUGUUGCAACUGGGGUAUUAUACCACAGUUUUUAUCCCUUUUUAGCAUGGUCGUUGGAUGCUUCCUUCUUGAAUCUAGCGGCUGAUAUUAAUUAUUGGUAAUUCGCAGCCCGUUGUUUAUUGAUGUAAUAUCAGUUAAGUCUCUUUUGUUUUGUUAUUUUAUUUUGUUCUUUCUCUUCUUUGCUCUUUUGUUUGCCGAAUGCUUAUCUAAUCAUUUUGUUGUUUUAUUUUACAGGAGUAAGAACAACUAAGAAGGAUUAGAAAUGUUGUCAGACUCAAACGUUAAAAACAAGGUUCCAAAACAAAGUUAAUUUCAUUUCUUAUUUAUUUACUUUAUAAUUAUCGUGUUCUGCCGCUUCAGCUUAAGCGUAACUUAUGAUCUCAACAUAAUCAAGGGGAAUUAUUUAAUGUGCAAUUUUGUUUCUUUUUAUGAAAGAACUAGUAUUUCUCGCCUAUACAACAAUGGAAAUAAAUUAUUAGCAGCUAACUUAAAGCAAUGUUUAAUUUACUUACAACAAUUUUAUUCAUAGUUAUUUCUCUUAAAAAAUUAAUUUACCAAAUUAAUUCUAAAAUUAAAAUAAUAACGUAAAAUUUAUGAAAAUUAUUAUAUUAUUUUUAAGGCUAAUUUGAUAGAUUUAUGAAAAUUAUUAUAUUACUUUUAAGGCUUAUUUGAUAGAUUAAUAUUUUUUCUUUUCAUUAAUAUUCUCAAACAAGAGUAUUAUUAUGAAAACAAAGAAAAAGUAAAAAUAAAAUUGUAAUAUAUUUAACAGUAAGAAUGUUUUAAAAUAUUUUUAUAAUAUAGUAAUUAAACAUAUAUAUAAGUAAAAAAAUAGGGAAAAAAAAUAUUUAUCUUAUAUAAUUCUAUAAUUUCCUUAAUCAUAUUCAACAUACUUUUUUUUUUAAAUUUAGCUACCUUACGUUUAUCGUAAGGUACAGUCUCUCAAACAACUGAAUCAUAAAUUUCAUUAGGACCUACCAUUGAUAAAGAGAGUUGUACCUUACCUUAAACGUAAAGUAGUAGCUUUUUUUUUUUUUUUUUUUUUUGUCUUUACUACAUCUCCCUUCUAUUAAUUGUUUUCACUUUUCAGCCUUUGUUUGGCUCAUAUUCCAAAAAGAAAAAAAAAGGGAAAAGGAAAAGGAAAGAGAAAAAGAAAAACACUUUUUUUAUGCACUUACAUGAUUCCCUCUUAAGUAGUUUUCAACAAACAAAAUUGUUAUUCCCUAUGCGUAAUAAGUUGUUCCCUCUCCAAUUUACCUUUUGUUUACCGAACAAUCAGGUCUUCAGCACUGCUACGUGUCAUACUUUUGUCCUUUUCGAUUUUAUCUACAGAAAAUCUAAUGGUUGCCUCACAUAAGGACCAAAAACAUGUUAGUCAUUGCAUCAAUUACUCGAUAAUUAAUUUCAACCGUUCGAUUGAAGAAGAAAGCAUCCAACGACCUUGCUGAAAAAGAACAAAGCUGUAGUAUGGUACGACAGCCGCAACAUGUCGAAUACAUUUUGAAUUCAUUGUUUUGACAUGAUGCAAGCCAUAAAAUCCUGACAUCCAGGAAGUAUGGAUCCUGAGUACACAAACACCCUCUUCUAACCAAUCAGCAAUCUCAAUGAAGAUGCUUAAAAUGACAGUUAACUUGCAACUGGAAGACGUAGAAAAAAGAUUUAUGAUAAAUGUCUGCGAAAACUAUUUUGAAACAAUAUUUUGAAAUUUAAUUUCUUUUUCCAUUUUGAAGUCCACCCAAUAAUUUCUUGGAAGCUCUCUUAUAUUAGAUGCAUAGGAAUUUUGAAUUUGUUACGAGUAUGCAACUGGAGAGAAAUUUCAAAAAAUAAUAGAGAUAAAAUUACACACAAGAAUUUUAUGCGGAAAUUUUCUGAAAUUAUUGGGAUAAAAAAUUACUGAUAAAAAAGAAUUGACGACUACAAGACUUCUUUCUAAAUAAAAUAAUAGAACAGCUACACUCUCUCUUAUACUAGGAGAAAACAAUUCUCUUACUAAAAAAAAGAAAAAACACUUUCAAAUGAGAAAUUGAUUUUUCUCUUUACACUAGCUUACAAUAAUGUGGAAUGUGAAGAUAAUUAAUUAAUUGAAUGAAAUGCGCGUGGGACCGAUAUACAUACAUAUGGAUGCUUUACUUCACUCUUCACUGGUAGUUUAAUUUUGUGAUAUGUCUACUUUUGUAAAUGACAAGAAAAACUGAAAAAGGAAUAAUUCAGGCACACUAAACGGCCGACAACAGGUGGCAUGGACUUGGUGUCCAGAGAGCAGACAAUGUAACGGGAAAAUGAAAUGGUGAUCCAAGCUGGAGUGGGCUCAAUGGGCUCAAAUAACUUGAAGGGUGAAAACGGCCGAAAAGAAUUAACCAAGAAUGAAGGGAUGCUUGGGCCAGGAAAACUUAUAAAGGCUACAGGAAAGAACAUAACUAGUGUGUGUGUAUUUGUGUGCGCUUGGAUGCGCUUUAAGUGCUUCAACUCCAACCUGAUUAUGUUGUGAUUGUAAUAUUUUCUUUUAAUAGGUAAGCUUUACAACUCUUUUAAUAAUAUUUUCUUUUUAUUAUUUAUGUCACAAAUCCUUGCCUAAUAUAAUCAUCUAUAACACUAUCCAAUUAUGGGUUGGAGGAUUUUGUGUCUGCAACUGAUGCUUAAUAAAAACUUCUAUACGAUGGUGAUUGUACAUGUUCUAUUUGUAACAUGUGAUACUUUGUAAGCCGAUGUUCCUAGAACAUAUCUAAUAUGUGUAUUUUUGUUGCACUUCAACACUAGUUAUUUUAUUAUUUGACCAUCGUCAUUUAGUGUGUUAUGAAAUAUACUGCUGUGAAAUAAAUGUUGUAGUUUUUAACUAAAAUUAAUGAGUGUCCAGUAAACAUUAAACACUAUUAAGACUUUAUUUAAUAAUGAGAUUGGACAAUUGUACUUUAAAAAUUAGAGUGGAGCUAUUGGCACCCCUACAUUAUUCUUACGAAACCCCAUUUUAAAUAAAAUUACAAUUAAGGACAAUUGAAAAUUAAACACAUAUAGAUUUUUUUUUCUAGCAAAUUAUUUAAUUCAUAAUCCAUCCUUUUCAAAAACAAAAUCUAUAUGUUACUUCUUAUCUAACUAAAAUAAAUAAUACAAAUUUAAAAUAAUCUAUUAUUCUCUUUUGAUUUCUUAUUGAUUAAACAUUUUUAUAUUUAAAAUUGCUUUGAAAUUAUAAUUUGAAAUAUGUGUUAUUUCAGCCAAUGAUUAACACUAAAAAACUUAUCACCCAUAAAACUUUUUAAUUUGUGUGUAGAGUAAUAAUAAAAUUGAAAAUAAUUAAAAAAUAGCACAAUAAUACUUUCAGUUUUAACAAUAAAACAAAUCAAAUGAAAAUUGAGAACUUAGAAAAGUGUACCUAAAAAAAGGGGCAUUUUCGAAAAUAAAAUGAAUAUAACUAAAAAGGGGGUUUCAUGAGGAGAUCAGAGGGGUGCCAAUAGUCCAAUUCUAAAAAUUAUAGCUUUGGUAAAUAUUAGUUGUUGUCAAUGCUAUUAAAACUUAUAGUAUCUUCAUUUUUUUUCAAAAUUAAUAUUUAAAAAUUAUAUUCAUUAUAAAGUAAUUUUUAGGUUGUUAUGAUCAAAGGUUAUAAUAGGAAAAUAGAUGUAUGUGCGACUAAUUAUGAAACUAGAAGAGUUAAUUUAAUUAUUUAAGUAUGCUUUGAGAUUGCCUGUUGGAGUUAGGGGUGUUCGCGGAUCGAAUUUCACGGAUCGGACAUCAAUCCAUAUCCAAUCCACGAUUUUACGGAUUAUGAAUUUUCAAUCCAAUCCAAUUCACGGAUUGGUUAAACUCAAUCCAAAUCCAAUCCAUAUGUUUGUGGAUCAGAUGCAGAUUUGACUCAAUUCAUAUCCAAUCCAUCAUUUUGCGGAUUGAUCUGCGGAUUACAAAUUUUUCAUUCGGUCCAAUCCACGAACUAAUAAAAUAAAAAAAGUAAUAUAAAAAUAAUUUUACUAUCAAUCAAAUUCAAAAUUGAAUAAGAUUUAAAUAAAUAAAUUAUUUAAAUAAAUCUAAAAUAAUGCAUUAAAGUUUUAAAAUACAACACACCGAAAUUAAUUGUUCAAAUGAAGAUAAAAUAAUACAUUUAAAGUUUUAAAAUAUAAUACACCAAAAUUAAUUGUUCAAUUAAAGUUAUAAUAAUACAUUUAAAAUAUCAAAUUAUGACACAUCAAAAAGAAAAAUGUAUGUUGCCAAUUUGUAUUUCGUACUUUAACAUGAACUAAAUAAACAUAAUUGACAUAAAUAACAAAUAAAAUAAUUUUAUUGAAUAAAAAAUUAACAAAUAAAAUAAUUUUAUUGAAUAAAAAAUUAACAAAUAAAAUAAUUUUAUUGAAUAAAAAAUUAACAAAUAAAAUAAUUUUAUUGAAUAAAAAAUUAACAAAUAAAAUAAUUUUGUUCAAAUGGCUGCUUGCACAAAGAUCAAGAAUCGUUGGAGAAGAUGGCCGAAGGAGAAGUUUAAAGCUACUAAGAAACAUUGGGUGCUGGUGGCUCUCUGCUUGUGACAGGGAAGGAUAGGAAGUCAAGGGGUUUUUGUGUACUUGUGACAGGAAAGUUUAAGAAGUCAAGGUUUUUUGUUUUUUAGUGGCUGCUUCGGUGAAGUGGCAUUUAGGAUAAAUAUUUUGUUUGGUUUAUAAUUUUUUAUUUUGUUUAAGAAUUUUUACAACUUAUCUUUGUAUAUUUUAAUUAUUUAUGUUAUUUUUGAAUAAUGGAUAAGGUAUCUUAUGGUGUUAAUAUAAGUAUGUAAUUACAUUUAACUUACUUAUUUAUUAGUAAUGUCAUAUUUAUAAAAUUUUUAAUUAAAUAAAUAUUUUUUUGUGGAUUGACGGAUUUUUGCGGAUUUACAGAAGUGAAUGCAUAUCCAAUCCACCGGUUGCGAAUUUUUAAAUUUUUAAUCCAAUCUAAUGCACCAAUCUACGGAUCGAAUUUUUACGGAUCGAAUGGAUUGAGCGGAUUGGACCGGAUUCUGAACACCCCUAGUUGGAGUGCAUUUUUUUAAUUCUGUCCCUUUAGGUUGGAGCUCUAUUUUUGCAUUUGGAUAUGUAUGGGGUGGCACACCCCCGUUUUGUGCCCCUCUAGCUCUUCUCCUUUAGAACAUUCUUUUUAUAAAAAAAAAAACAAAAUUUAAUUAUUUAAGUAAAUCACAUGGGUCUGGCGGCAUUUUUCUUUACUUUUUUUUUUUAAGCAUAGCACGAAUGUAUUUAAACUUAUUAUCAACUGAGUGAGGUUUGAGCUUAGACCUCUCAUUUCAACUCAUAAAAUUUGACCGACUAAAUUAGCUUGCUUCCUAAACCUAUUAUAAAUAGCAACAAGAAAAUAUUAAUCAGUGAUCGUUGUCCAAUGAAUUAAUGAGCACUAAGAUUUUCCGUCACUUAUGUCCCGUAGGGGCUACUGCUCUUCUUUGUUCUUCGGAGGCGGCAGCUAGAAACCUGCUAGCUGACACUUCUGCAGUUUUACUGACAUGCGAAAAGGUAAGCUUUCCCUGUAUAUUGAUUUGGUGUUUUCAUAAAAUAACAAUAAGCUUAUUUGUUGGGGGAAAUGGUUAUGUAUACCUUAAAUUUUUAAUAAGGGAUUUUAAGAUUUUCUUUUAACUAUAAUACUAUUAAUAUAGUAACUAAAGAACAUGAUUUUAAAUUUUUUUAAUAAAUAUAAAUAUAAUUUAAAUAGUUUAAUUUGUCUAGUACACUAAUGAUAUUAUAAUAUUAUAAUAUAUAAAAUAAUUUUUAAAAUAUAAUUUAUUUUAUUUAUUUUAAUAAUUUAUUUGUAUUUAUUACAAAAAUUGUUAAUAAAUAUUUUUAUUAAAUAUAUAUUAGAAUUAAUAAAAUAUAUCUCAUUUAUUAAUAAUAUUAAAUUAUUUUAUAUAAUAUUAAAAAUAAUUUUAAUUUUAUAUAUUUAUUUUAAUUUUAUGUUUUAUUUAUUGUAACAUUUAAGAUUGUAAAGUACUAAAAUAUUUUUUAUAAAUUUUGAAAUUAUUUUAAAAUGUAUAUAUUGUUACAUUUAUUUUAAUAUUAUAUUUCUAUUUAUUAUAAAAUAUUGUAGUCAAUUUUUUUGAGUUAAUAUAUUCAAAGGAUAUUAAUAGUCAAAAGGGGGUCUUAAUAUCUUUUGUUGAAAACUUGAGGGUCUACAUGAUUAUUUCUCAAACCUUAAGAGCAUAAGUAUUCUUUACCCUUCAUUUAUAAAAGUUUACAGCAGCAAAACGACUAUUUCAAAUACAAAUGUUAUUUUGUAACCCAAAAAAAAAAAGGGAAAUUUACAAAAAUAGUCAAAAAAAUUAGGCACUUUUCAAUUUUAACCCCUCAAACUUUUUUCUAUCAUAACUAGGCAAACACCCUAUUUUUGGACUACAUUACCCUCAUCAUUUUCAUCAAAUUUACAAAGGCAUGCCACUAUUCCCUUUUCAAUUCCAGCACUUCCACCACUUUUCUCUUUUCAACUUAACAAACUUCAUCACUCAACAAACUCCAUCACUCUCAAUAAAUUAGCAAAUUUCAUCAAACAAGCAUUACAUAAUUGAAGAUAUAAUUAUCAAUUGGAGAGCUUCUUAAGGUUAGUUUAUACUCUUACCAUAACCUAAACUUUUAAUCUAGUGAUUUUAUCAUUUGAGUUCGAAAUUGAAGUGAGUUUUUAUUGCAAAUGUUGUUAUUUUUCAUUAACAAAACAAUGUGACUUGUUAAAGUAGUUAGUUUGAGUUGAGAAAUGAAAAUCAAUCAUUGAAACCCCUGAAAAAUCGAGUAAAACAAAAGCCCAGAACAAGUGAGACAGGCACCUGUCUCACAUAGAUCUGCUGGUUUUAUGUGAGAUAUGCACCUGUCCCACUUCCCACUUGUCUGUCUCACCAAAAUAUGUGCGACAUGCAAGUGGGACAGGCGUGUGAGACAGACGCCUGUCUCACUUGUUACCACUGGUUUUAUGUGAGACAGGCAAGUGGGACAGACGCCUGUCUCACUUAUUACCACUGGUUUUAUGUGAGACAGGCAAGUAGGACAGGCGCCUAUCUCACAUAAAUGUGCUGGUUUUAUGUGAGACAGGCACCUGUCCCACUGUCUAUCUCACUAAAUUUAAGUUAUUUUCCGAAAGUAAUAACUUGGGUUACAUGUGUCCGUUUUAGGCGUAUAAUAUAUCGUUUCGAAGCUUACGAUGAGACGAAGUAAAUCCAAAAUUGUAUACUUCAUUUCAUCCACAUAAAUGUACUGCAUAUUCAUUUUUACUAGGUUUUGUAGCGUGAAAUCUUAUCUCUUUUAUUUUUUUUUUUAGGUUUAAUGGAUUCCGUUGUACUUCAAUUAAGUUACGACGGUUGGUGGGAGACAUUAGCAGAUGGCCGUAUGGAGUACGUGAAUUCGACGAAUACAGCAUUUUUAGUUCGGAAAGAUUGUACGUUUGAGCAAUUUAUGGCAAGGGUGUAUGAAGUUUUACAGAUAAAUCCUAAUUAAUAUAGUUUGUCGAUGAAGACAACUUUGAGAUCUAGUAACACAAUGUAUCGUGCAUGUUCACUACCUAUGGAUAUAUUUAAUGAUGAAAUGGUUAAUGUUGUGCUGCACAUGGCCUCUGAUGUGGUCAAUUAUGGAUGCAUCUCUAUAUUUGUCACCACACAUCCUCGAGUUCCGGCCGAAAAUCCUGAGCCACUUGUGGAAAGUGAAAGUUCAUUUAGAGCAAAUGAGUCUGUCCCCGAUAUUGAGGAAGAUGUGUUACCACAACAAAUGUCGUUCCAACAACAUUACUCACCAGUCAACGAAAACAAUGACACUAUUGAUGAUAAUGGCAUUACGUUAGCGGAUGUUGAAGAUAAUGUGUUACCAUUAGGGACAUCGUUAGGGCAACAUUACUCUCCAUUUCAAAAUAAUGAGUUCCGCAGUUAUGAUGAUCCUGGUUAUGACAUCAACAACACAGAAGCUGAUAAUGUGCAAGGAAUGAACUCCAAUACUGAAGUUGAUGAUAGGGACACUGGUCAUUCUGAUAUUCCUAUCAAUGAUGAGGAUGAGCAUUAGUAUGAUAUUCCUGUUAACAAUAGAGAGAACCGACCUAUUCCUCCGAUGGCCCGUUCGAGGAGGAGGACAACAGUUGAUCUCCUGGUGAGUCUUGCUCCAGUUUUGCCUUCAAACUUGGUUGCUCCACACUUAGUUAGAAGCUGUAAUUCUGCUGACAUUGGUGUGGGAAAGUUGUUCGCUGAGAAGAAUGAGUUAAUACUGGAAUUGCGCAAAGUGGCCUUACGGGAAAAGUUUGAUUUCAAGAUUGCACGGUCCACAACGACACGCUUUGAGGCUCACUGUUCUUCGGAAUCAUGUAAUUGGCGUCUUCGCGCAACGAGAGGGUCGGAUGAACUAAUGUUCCUUGGGUAGUGAGAAGAGUUGACAAUGUUCAUACGUGCUCUAAUGAGGUUUUGCCUAGUGGCCUCCGUCAAGUUAGGAGUCGGGUUGUUGGUCAUCUUAUCGCGGAUAAAUUUAUUCAGGAUAAACGGAUAUACACGUCGAAUGACAUUAGAGCAGACAUGCAGCAAGAAUACGGGGUCCAGUUAACAUAUCAGCAAGCAUAUCGGGAUAAAGAAGUAGGUCUUGAAAUAGUAUGAGGGAACCCUGCAGAGUCAUACAACUUACUUCCCAAAUACUCUCACGUUUUAACCAAAGCGAAUGAGGGCACAGUGACACACCUCCAGCGGGAUGGAGAUGAUAAUUUCUUAUACUACUUUGUUGCGCUUGGAUCUUCCAUUAAGGGCUUCACACAGUACAUAAGGCCUGUGAUCGCUGUAUAUGGCACUCAUUUGAAGGGGCUAUAUCGUGGAAGCAUGUUUGUAGCAACAUGUCUGGAUGGUAAGAAUCAACUGUAUCUGUUAGCUUUUGGGGUCAUGGAUUCAGAAAACAAUGAUGCUUGAGAAUGGUUUAUGACGAAGUUACACGGAGUGAUUGGCGAUAGGCCAGAGUUAGUAUUUAUCUCUGAUCGAUGCACUGCCAUCAAGAGAGCCGUUUUAAAAGCAUUUCACACUGCUGGUCAUGGAGUUUGUUUUUACCAUGUCAAAGGCAACAUUAAGUCUAAAUUCAGGAUGUCCAAAGCUAUUUGGGAUCAAUUCGAGCCAGCUUUUAUUAAUGCAGCAAAGGUAUAUGGACACGAAGAAUUUAAAAGACAACUUGAAGGGUUGUGGAUGCUCCACUCGGGCGCGGCUGAUUACUUAGAGAAUAAUGUGGGCACGUGUAAUUGGGCAAGGUCCGAAUUUGAAGGUAGGAGAUACAGCAUACUUACCACCAACAUUGCGGAAAGCGUGAAUUCUUUAAUGAGGGAACUGCGAAAAUUUCUUGUUACUCAUCUUGUUGAUCACUUUAGAAAAACAUUACAGCAAUGGUUUUAUGAUAGGAAAAUUGUGGCUGAAUCAAUGAGCACUCGUCUAACGACGUGGGCAGAUGAGAUAGUCAGCGAAAGGAGAAUUUUGGCUGAAAGAAUGACCGUUCGGCCAGUGUCUCAGUAUCGAUUUCAUGUUUUGGGUGGUGGUAUGAAGGAAAUGAUAGUUGACAUUCAUGAAAGAACUUGCUCCUGUAGAGUAUUCUAACUCGAUCAGCUUGUUUGUGCGCAUGCAAUUGCUGCUUGUCUGACCGUCCAUGUGGAUUACAUAUGUCUUUGCUCUGAUUAUUACUCUAAAGAUUCAUUGGUCAUGGCAUAUGCAGAACCAGUGGAGCCGGUUGGGGACAUGACAGAUUGGGACAUUCCAGAAGAAAUCCAGGAAAUCAGAGUUAACCCACCGAUCGAAGCACCACCACCUGGUCGUCGUCCAGAGUUAAGAAUUCUUUCUAUCGGUGAGGAUGUUAACCGAAGAACUGUGAGAUGCGGUCGAUGCAACCAACCAAGUCAUAACCGCAAGAGAUGUAAAAAUCUCAUUGUGUCGAAUCCAAACUGACUGUGUCAUUGUAACUAAUUAUGGAUUCUGAACUCUUAUUAUAAUUAAUAUUACAAUUAUAUGUAAUGAGGUAUAUUAUGUUAUGUUCAUUUGCAUAAUGAGUACUAAAGUAGAUCAAUAAUUACUUAUAGCUAAAUAUAUGAAUAUAUCAAAAGUUUAUAUCUAUUAGAAAAACAAUCUACAUCCAUACAUCAAGUCUUAAUACAAUACAAUGACUUACAAGGCAAUAUCGCCCGUGAAUAUAUCUACAGCAAUUUUCUUCCUGAAGUAAUGCCCGUGGCUACUAUCAAAAUUAAGUUUUAGCCCGAACAUCAAAUACAUUGUAAACAUCAACAUAAAUACACCGCAAUCACCACUUCCAGCUUCUUGUUGGGGCACAUCCUUAACGAUUCUUACUUUCCAAGGGUCGGCACUCUGCAGCUCAGGUCGAAUGUUGUAGAAUCCAACAUCUUGAAGCCAUUGAGGGAAGACGACCUGAAAGGGUUUGAAUUGACGCAAAUAUGUUUUGUCCUUGCGAAAGGUAACCAACGAGUCGUAAAUCCACAUCCUCCUCGCGCGAAGGUCCGCUCGAGCUAGUACCCAAUGAUCACCGCCCAAAUUCACAGGGAUGAAUAUCUACAUAAAUAAAUUGCUAAAUUAGUAUAUUUUAUACACAAUUACCAUAAGAUUGAGUGAUAAUUCUUACCAUAUUGACGUCCGUAAACGGUUUGGACAUGAGAGCUUCCUGCCCAUCCAUAUAGAUGUUCAAGUUGCUGCCAUAUUGUAAUGGAUGGACAUCACAACUACCAUUGUUCCAUAAUUGCUUUAGGAACACCUAUUACACGAUGAGUAGAAAAUUAAUAACAUUUCGAGAUAUUUAAAACAUCGAAAUUAUAGUUAAUGAUUAUAGAGUUCGGAAACAUGCCCAAAAGUAUGUAUCUGUAUGCGUGACGCGCUGCGGUAGUGCAUUUGGAAACCGCCGUUGCUUCUCGCUGAUCAAGCGGUAAUACGUGUGAAUAUGCUGUGAAGGGAUUAUACCAAGUAAAUUUAUAUCAUUAUCCAUGGCAGUGGAAAUAUUGUUGUGUAUUGUAAUGUACUGACCAUUAAACACACUUACCUCGUCACCAAGCCACCCCAUCGAAGCAUUGCCCAUGAGUAUUUCAAAGAAAUUUCGAGACUGUUGGACAGGCCGAUCCACGGAAAUGUUGCCGGCAAACCACUGAUCAAACUCCUCACAUAUCCUUGAGUCGUCUAGUCCCCUAAGCGAAUUCAUAUCCACACUCGAUCUUUCAUCAAUUUCAUAGUCCGUAAUGUUAAGUGAGGGUAGAGGCCUGACAUUCCUAACUCUCUUGAAAGGAGAAAUGAAGUAAGGACUGCCAAAUAUAUACGACAGUCGGUACGGACGCCCAAACUUACUAACUCCGGGAGGUGCCUCCGUGAAUAUCUGUACACUGUCAUCACUUAUGUCCCCAUAUAGACUGUACAAGGACAUAGGGGUGUGCGCGUCGUAAUUAUCAGCAUCAGUAUGCGUACCAUAGCCAGCAUCAACGUUCGAACCAUAGCCAUCUGGGGCCUGUUGUUUUGAGGAGAUGAACAUAUUAACAUAAUUUUGGGUUUGAAAUCAUAAUAAUAUAACGAAAGCAUAUGAAACUUGCUCACCGUGUGCGAGGGGCCAAACGGAGAAUCACCGUACGCGCCCUUUGAAGCACCCGCGCCAAAUGAAUUCAUAAACCCCAUGACCGUUGCUCUAUAUUGUUGUGCUUCUCUGCGUUCCGCCAUAAGUUCUUACCUCAGUUCGUUAAUGGAACUGUGUCCAGUCUGAAGUUCCGACCUCAACUCGUGAAUGGAAGACUCUAUUUUAUCCAGUCGUUGAACGAAAUAAUCAUUGCGGAACUUAGUCCUUGCCUACAAUUUACGCAAAUAAGAAAGUAAUGACAAAAUGCCGGAUAGGUAUAUGUGCAUUGUAAAUGUUCAGGAUAACAGAAGUUACCUCUGGCUCAUUUCUGUCAUCUGAAUCAUGUGCGGAUUCAUAAUGGUCGUCGGUAGCACCGGCAUCCUCAACAGGACUCUGCUGCAGUCCUAUUUGGCUCGUGGGGUCAGGAUCCACCUCGUUUGGCCCUGUAAUGGAUGGCGCAUUGAUUGAAGGCUGGUGCUGUACCAAGUAAAACAGAAAACAGUAAAUACCAAAAAAACAAACAUAUAAAUGACUUUGCAUCCGGUUUUCAAUGAUACUGUAGAGGAUACCCACAUUACGGACCCAACUUGGCAAAUAUGGCACGUAAUCCUCGAUACUCUUCCAAUAAUUUGUGGCUCUCUCCUUUGCAUCCGGUUUGAGGGUUUGGAAAAUGGUGCCAUCCUGUCGUAAAGAUUACCAAAUUUCCAAUUAGUAUAACCAUAUAUUAUGUAACAGUUAUAUACAGACAUACAUAUAAAUGACUUACAAGACGCUCAUUGAGGUAUGAAUACACUUCGCCGAAGUUAAUAUUUGAAGAAGCCAUGGGCUUCCAUCGCACGAUCCGAGGACCCUUCCUCCUAAUUUUAUCCACCCACUCUAAUGGUAGUUCUCCAAUCGCUUUAAAAAUCCAUGCCUUCAACAAGGAAAGAUAUGAAGUAAAAAACGUGUCAUUAAAUAUUUAUUAUAACAAAACUAAGUUAUAAAAAAAAUUCUUCACUCACAUGCACUGUAGACGUAAAGCCGUAAAAAUUGUAUUUCUCAAUUCUAUGCAAGGGAUUUUCUGCGUUUGCCCUCUUAAAUUUAUUGGCUUUGCCGUUCAAUGCAUUAUCAAUGCCCUUAUAUAUUGUUUCCCAUGACAAACGACCCCACGGAAUACUUCGAAAGUGAUUUAUGUCAUCUACCUCAUUAAGCAAAUUGAAAUUGAUUUGACAAUAAUCCUUUCUUCUGUGUAGUACUCUAUCAGCAAAGUAAAACAUGGCGAUUUUUAGCGCAUCAGUGUCAUUCAUAGUCUUGAAGUCUAAGUUCAUAAAUCUUUCCUCGAACUGGCCAAGAUUUAAAUCGCGAUUCCUGCCGCCAAAGUACUUAUUAAGUAACCUAUGCAUUGUUUUAUGCUUCGUCAGGAACACAUUUUUGCCAUAGCAAAGUCCAGUUACUAGGCACCACUCUCCAAUCGAUAGCCGUAUCAAAUGGUCACCAACUUGAAACCAUAACUCAUCUUUGCCUUUUCCAUCGCCAUGGGACACCUGCCGAAGCAAAAUAUUAUGCACAAUUACGCCACUGAACGGAUAGCUCCGACACUGUAGGAAAUGCCCAAAUAUAUUGUCUUUGAAUAGUUUCAACUGUUGCCUUGUUAAUUUUUCCCGGAUGGCAUUAACAACGACAUCUAACUUGCACAUACUCGUGAUACGGCCGGGAAAGUGAUCAACAUAAGGUAUCUUCAUCAUUCCCGGUUCUUUCAUCGGUCCGGGUGGGUUAUGCAAUGCUCUUUUUGAUUUGCUCAUUUAUCUGGUACAAGUAAAAAGACAUGUUAAUAAAUUAUGAAUAAAAGAAAAAAAAUAAAGGCAACACCACGCACUGUCUCAUGGUGCGACGGGCACCAAGAGGCAGCAACAAGAGGUGCUGCCUCUUGGUGUGACAGGCGGGCGUGGGAUGCGCAAGCUGUGCGCGCGAGUUGCUGCGCGCAGGCUGGCACGCUGUACGCAUCUCGCGCGCGAGUUGCUGCGCGCAUCUCGCGUGCGACGCAGCGCCUAUCGCACGCGAGAUGCGCGCGGCUUGGGCAUCUGGCACGCGACGCAGCGCCUGUGGCACGCGAGAUGCGCGCGGCUUGCGCAUCUAGCGCGCGACGCAGCGCCUGUCGCACGCGCUGCGCGCAUCUGACCCACAUGCAUCUACAACACCACACCACCAAAAACCGCCAUUAAACACCACACCACCAACAACAACGACAUUCCAAACAACAACAACAACCCAAACAACAACAACAACAACAACAACAACAUCAACAACAUCAACAACAACAAGAAUGGCAAUAACAACUCACCUAGAGUUUUCAAUUUCAGCCGCUGUGGGUUGAAAUGCUGCCGAUCUACGCCGCCGCCGACGAUCUAUACAACUUUCGGUGAUGCGAUUUUGGUGAGAGGGGUAGGAAUUUGCCUGAGGGAAACGUGAGAAUGAGGAGGGCAAUUUCGUCCACAAUUUGGUGAUUUGGCUAAUGUUGAUAGAAAAAAGUUUGAGGGGUUAAAGUUGAAAAAUGCCUAAUUUUUUUGGCUAUUGUUGUAAAUUUCCCCAAAAAAAAAAAAGAAUUGAUGGUAAUAGGUUAAUUUGACCGGCAAAUUUUUUGAAAAUAUGUUGUUGGUACUUCAAUGGUUCAACACCUCUCAUAUACAGCUCAAAGUUACAAUUUUUCAUCCAAAUGGCAAAAUUUUAAUAGUGGCAUAUCAAUUGAGAUACAAACUAUCUUAACUGAGAAAGCAUAAUAUUAUUCUUAUAUUCAAGUAAUAAUAUUAUACUUACUAAUUAGUUGAAAUAUAAAUAAACUGUAUAAAUAACUUAAUGAGUAAGCAUAGCAUAACUCGUACUCAUCAAGACUUCUCUAUAUUAAUGGUAGUGCUAAUUUAAAUAGAAUUAUAAGCUUACAAAGAGCUUGAACCUAACAGAGAUCAGGAGUACAAUUAGACUCUAUCAAUCCUGAAAUAAUAUAAACACAACACAACAAAUAAUUUUACUGGAUAAAAACACACUUUGAUUGCAACUAAAGAGAUAAAGCAAUUAAAAAUUAAUGAAAGGAAUUUAAAAAUAAAUAAAAAAUUUAGAAUUAUUUUGGAAGACCGUGUCAAGGACAUAUAGAGUAAAAAAAAAGGAUUUAUUAAUUCCGACUGGCUGUUUGUGUGCAAAGUCCAAUUAAAAGAUAAGUAAAUAAUUUCUUUUGUCAAAUUAGCCCUUUUAAUAUAUGCUUUUCAGCUUCACCGAAUCUACCAAGAACAAACCUUCACAGCACGACUACAAUUUUCCAACAUCAAUUUGAAAAAAUCAAUGCACAAGGAUUGACUGAAUUUUCUAAGAAGUGAGUGACAUGACGUGCGAAGUAGAUUCACAUGUGAUAUACGGCAACAGCUAUUAUCGAGGGAUUUAAAUUCCCUGCUUUAUGAAGGGGUUGACUUAAACGUUGGAUUGGAAUUCAAUAAUUACUAUUUAUUAUUUUUCUAAGUAUUAAUAAAUAUUAUUUUUUAAUUAUUUAAUUUAAUUAAUCACAAAACAUUAAUAUAAUACAAUGCAACACUAAAUAUAAUCUAAUUAAAAAUUAAUACAAUAUAGUGCAUUACCAAAUAUUAUACAACAUUGUUAUAAUACAAUGCUAACGCAAUACAACAUAAUACAAUACACCAACAUUAAAAUAAUGUAAUACAACAUAAUAUAAUACAGUGUGCCAAACGCAUCCUAAUAGCAUUUAAGCAUUCAACAUAACUUACAAGAUUGUCACACUUAUAAGAGAAAUUUUCAGCGUUAUCUCUGAGGUCUAGAGUAAAAUCCGAUUUAUCCCCUAAUUUGAGGACCAAGAAUGUCAAUAAAAACCGUGAUAGAGAAAUUACAAAUUAAUUGGAGUUGGCUACAACAGAAAAGCAAUGAAUAUAUGGGGCCCAAAUAUAAAUUAUACAUAAAAAAUACUAAUUAAUUAACAUUUACAGAAAGGGGGGGAGUGUUCAUUUUCCUGAACCGACAAAUGUUAGAGAUUGAGUGUAGUAUUAGCAAUUCAAUUUUAUCCACAAUCUAUGAGCAAUCUCUUACAAGAAGUCUUCAAAAAAGAAAAAAAAAUUUCCAGUUUCUUUAGAGUUUUUUUUUCUUUACAUUAACUUAUUUUUCUUUUUCCCUUUAAGAAUUUCAUAAUUAUUGAAAUUAACAAUAGAAAGAAAAGAAGGUUAAUUUGUUUACUACCAACUAUAUUUGAAAAACUAACUGUAAAAAUAACAAUAAAUUGAAAUUUAUAAAAAAAAAUUAAAUUUGAAUUUCAAAAGUCAUCUAAAAUGAGAUGCAUAUCUACUCAAAGGAAAUUGUUGAUUACAUUUGUAUAUCCUAUAUAUAUAUAUAGAUAGUAAUUUUCUGGUCCAGAAUUUUAAAGUGCGGGAAAGUCUAGGAAAAUUUUAAAACCGUGCGGUUUUAAAAUUUUUCCAGACUUUCCCGCACUUAAAAAUCUUGUAUUAGAACAUUUCUAUAUAUAUACGUUCUAAUCUAAGAAUCUUGGACUUUAUUAAAGUUUAGGAAAGUUAUUAAACCAUGCGGUUUAAUAUAGUUUUUUCAAACUUUAAUAAAUUCAUAAUCUUAUAUGUGUGUGUGUGUAUAGAAUCCUGGAUUAGAACAUAUAUAACACUGUAUUAUAUAUAUAUAUACAUAUGUAUGUAUGUGUGUGUUUGUGGGGGGAGGGGAGGGGAGGGGAGGGGAGGGGGGGGGGAUGUGGGAGGAGAUUGCCAACUUCCUCCCUACUGUUAUCAAGCCAAUCAUCCCCUGACAUCAUAAUUUUAUAAUUUUAUCCUUAUUUUUAAAUACACUUUUAUCCAUAUUUAUUAUAAAUUAAAUAAAUCUUAUGAAUGGAAAUUAAGUAUUAAAAAAUAAGAAAUCUAUGUUUUGACAUAAAUAAAAAAUUAAUAAUAAAAUAUUUUUUGUUCUAUUUUAUAAACUUUUUCUUAUAAUAAAUAUUUUACAAUAUUUUAAAAUUAAAUGUAAAAAGUACAUAAUAUUAUUCAUUUUAUAAUAAUUUUUAUUUAUCAUUUAAGUUUUCUAUAAUAAUUUUUUUGUCAUUUUAUAAUAAAUUUAUUAUAUAUUUAUUAUAAUAAAUUGUUUAUAAAAUAGAAAUGUACAAAGACGUUUAGUAUUAAUAUCUUUUCACAUCAAAAUAUAUAUUUCUUGUUUUUAAUUUUAAUUUUUAAUUUUAAUUUUCAUUUUCAUUUUUAUUUAUAUGAUUUUUUAAUUUAUAAUAAAUAUGACUAAAAGUGUAUUUAAAAAUAAAGUUCAUAUUGUAAAAUUAUGCUAUCGGGUGUUAUUAGUUAUUAUAAAAAUAAUAUAAAAGUAAAUAGUAUGUAUUGAUUAUAAUGCGGAAGAAACUGACAAUCUCUCAAUAUGUGUAUUGGUGCUAAUUAUGGCAUUAAAUAUAUAUUUUUAGGAGCUGAUUUAAGAACCUCUGCAAAGUGGUCGCAAUGGUUUCCUGACGUGGGGUUUCAAAUUUCAGAAGCAAAUAUCGGCUGCAACUAAAACAAGAUUUGUAUAGAAAUGAGAUAUAAAAUUUAAGAGAUGGUCGUUCAAUUUUAUCAAAUAGGUACGUACGAGUGAUUCGAAAAAAAAAAAGAAGGUACGUACGAAUGUUCAUAAAACAUCAACAUUACACAAACCGAUAUUAUCAAUAUUUGUUUUUUUACGUUAUAGAUUAGUCGAUAUCAAAUACAUUUUCUUAUAUUACAGUUAUAGAUUAGUCGAUGUUAAAUGUAUUUUCUUUUUACAGUGAUGAAAUUGCAUUCCUAAUUAAUUUAAAGUCACUUCCAGUCAAAUCUUCAGGGUGCGUUUGGCACACUGUAUUAUAUUAUGUUGUAUUGCAUUAUUAUAAUAUUAGUGUCUUGUAUGAUGUUGUAUUACAUUAACACUGUAUUAUAAUAAUACUAUAUAAUAUUUGGUGUUACACUGUACUGCAUUAGAUUUUAAUUAUAUUAUAUUUAGUGUUACAAUUGUUGUAACAUAAACACGACCAAAAUAAAUUGUACUAAAUAAUCUAAGUAAGAGUUCUGUAGUAUAUGUAAUAAUACUAUUUAUAUUAUUAUUAUUAAUUCUAAAUUAAUAUUAUUCAAUUUUAUUCAUAUUUAAAUAUGUAUUAUUAGUUUAUUAAAUUAUUUAAAAAUAUUUAAUUUAUAGAUAUUAAUUAUUGUAACUUAAUUAAAUAAUGUAAUGUUAUAUUAUAUUUUUAUAUACUAUUUAAGUAUUUAUUAUUAAUUAUAUUCAAUUAUAAAUUUAUUAAUAAAUUAUAAUGUAAAAAUAAAAAAUAAAAAUUAAUAUUGUAUAAUAUUCUAUUAAAUUAAAGUUUUAUUUUUUUAUUACUAUUAUUAUAAAGUAAAAAAAAAAGGUUCAAAAGUCAGUAAUACAGCCUAAUCAUGAGGGGGGGGGGGGCGCGGGUUUUGAUAAUGCGGCAAAAGCUGCAUUGUAAUGCUGCUCAAUGCAAUCCAUUUGAUCACCAAACACAGGUAUAUUUUAACUAAUGCUGGGCCCACAAGAUAAUACAAUGCAAUACCACGUGCCAAACAUAUCCUCAAUGACUAAUGCAGAAAUUGUUAAAAGUGGUUAUUAAUUUCCACUGAAAGCCCACAAACUACUUUUAUGAGAUGCUCAAGACUUUUCGACGGAGUUUCUUAGUUAUCUUUUCCAUAUAUGAUUAAAAUAAAUUCUUUUAUUUGAACACUCGACAUUUAUGUUUUUUUAUUAAAAAAGAGAAAAGGACAAACACACCCCCAACGUUUAGGUAAAGGGACAAAAAUCUUCAUUAAUGUUUCAAAAAAGAUAUUUACACCAUAAUUUAUUAUACUUUUACCAUUAUACCCUUGUAGCAUAUAAAAUAACUAUUAGAUUAUCCAAUUUAUCUAUAUAUUGUUAAUAAAAUUAUAAAUAUACCCCUAUUGCCUCAUUCCUCUAUUUAAAUUUUUAUUAAUAACCAAUUUUCAAAAAAGACAUCUACACACUUAAAAAAAAUUGUAAAUAAAUUAUAAUUUUAAAAAUAAAAUUGGUUAUUAAUACCAUAAUAAAUAACAUAAAAAAUUGGUUAUAAAUGUACAAGUUUAAAUGAUUGACAUGUGGAGAAUUGUUAAAUAUACAAGUUUAAAGUUUAAAUAAAAUUGGUUAUUAAUAACUAAUUUUAUUUUUAAAGUUAUAAUUUAUUUACAAUUUUUUUAGGUGUAUAGAUGUCUUUUUUGAAAAUUGGUUAUUGAUAAAAAUUUAAAUAGAGGAAUUGGGCAAUGAGGGCAUAUUUAUAAUUUCUUUUAUAAUAUCCAAUUAGUCUAUUUAUAAUUUUAUUAACAAUAUAUAGACAAAUUGGAUAAUCUACUAAUUUUUUUAAAUGCUAGAAGGGUAUAAUGGUAAAAUUAUAAUAAAUUGGGGUGUAAAUGUCUUUUUUGAAACAUUAGGAAAUUUUGUUGUUAGCCUGCUUGCAAGUAGUGUUACUAAGAUACAAGGAAGGCUAGUAAGAUGUCUCUCUCUGGCUCUCUUAGAGAAACAGAAUGAGAGUUAAGAGUGAGUCUACAGGACUAAAGCUGUCACUCACAAAAGUUGGGUGUUGUUUUAUUUUCUUUUUCCUUCUUUUUCCUGGAAUCAGUCUUGUUUUUUAAGAAUUAUUAAAGAUCUUCUCAAGUUCAGUAGCACAGCUGUCUUUGCACUUGUAAUGGACACCGACGAAUUGAUAAGGAGAUGCCAAGAAAUAUCAUUGGAGGGAGAAAAAAGAGGUAGAGUAUCUUUUAAAAACAAAAUGAAGACAAUGGGCCAGAAGUUAGCGGAGGGAUGUCUGUUGGGGAAGAUGCUUUUGAAUAGAGAAAUCAAUAUAGGGGGUUUAAGGGCAUCCCUGCACCUAGUGUGGAAAACCCUUCGAGAAGUACAGAUUGAAGAAAUGGGGGAAAAUGUUUUCUUGUUCAAAUUCGGAGUAGAAGUAGACAAGAGGAAUAUACUAGCAGGGGGGCCAUGGCAUUUUGAUAGAGCAUUAAUAGUAUUAGUUGAGCCAAGAGGCAUUGGUGAGAUAAACAAACAAUCUUUCACCCAUGCGUCCUUUUGGGUGCAAAUACACAAUAUCCCUAUUCUAUGUAUGAAUAAAGAGACAAUCAAAGAAAUCGGGGGAGAAAUUGGAAGGGUGGAAGAGGUGGGAACAAACGCUUCAGGAGAAUGUUUUGGCAAGUACGCCAGAUUGUGAAUCUCAGUAGACAUUACUAAACCAUUGAUAAAAAUCUUGGAGCUAGAAGCUGGAGAAGAUGCAGAAAUGGAGCUUGCUGUAGAAAAAGAAUCAGGGAUUGUGCACACACAAAUGGUAGACCUGGAAGCUGACAAAGAGGAAAUAGGAACUGUUGGGGGGAAAAUCAUCCCUAUGCCGGUGCUAUAUGAAAGGCUGCCGGAUUUUUGUUUUGUUUGUGGCUGUAUAGGACACCAGUACAGGGAAUGCAAGCAAUACAAAAACCAAACUAGAAAGGAAAUGGCGUAUGGGCCAUGGAUGAAAGCUCUCACAACGGCUGAAAAAAUCAGGCUGAACAAAGGCAAGGAGCGGUAGAAAACGGAAGCCGAGAAAAAAGAUGGUAGAGUCCCUAAUAAUUCCAAAUCAGAGGAUACAACAGAGAUGAUGAAGAACCAAACCAGAAGCAAUGGCAGUGUAAACGAGGAUGAAGAUGGGCUGACCUGAUUACAAACAGCUACAAAUUUGGAUAAUCCGCAGACUAAAGGGGCAGACAUCCCAAGGUUGUCAGAGGAAAGAUUCAAAGAGUCAACGCAGCCAACUGACAUUGAUACAGUACCUCAAAAACAGAGAAAAGAAGCGGGAAACAAAAAUUUAAAUGAGAGGGAAGGAGAAAUAAGAGGUGAGCAAAAUGAAGAGAUAGAAAAAGAAGCGGGAGAAAUAGGGCAGAAAUCACAAGUGAAUGAGGCCCAUGUAGAAAAGAGCCCAAUAAACACCCGUGUGGUGACAAGCCUUGGAGAGGAUGAGAGGUUGAAUAAAACAAAGGCUAAAGCAACAAAGCGUAAAUGGAAAAUCCAAGCGAGAACAAUCGAAAAAAGGUCAGUGAACGAAAAUGGGCCAAAGAUUGUAAAGAGGCUCAAAGGAGAUGCAAAUGGGACAAGCCCAAACGGAAAGAAAAGGAAAAUAGACAAAGCAAACUACAUUGACAGCUCCCUGUUAAUUGCACAGAGCAUGACCAAAUGGGAGACACAGCAUAACAGAGAGGUAGAGAUGAUAACAGUGGCAGCAGAAACAAGUUCGAAGGAAUUAAGGGUGGUGGCUGGUGACCAGCCCCGCCCACAGCAAUGAAGGUCUUAAGCUGGAAUGUUCGGGGUUUGGGGAAUGACCGAGCAUUCCGUGAAAUCACAAAGAUUCUCCAGUUGAACAGGCCUCAGAUUGUGUUUUUGUGUGAAACUAAGAUGAGGACUGAACAGAUGCGGGUGAUAGGUAAGAAGUUAAAUUUUGAAAGCUGCUUUGCCGUUAGUUGUAGAGGUAGGAGUGGGGGGUUAGCUCUAUUAUGGAAUUCGGAAGUAGUUGUGGAUAUAAAGUCCUAUAGCAGCCACCAUAUUAAUGUAGUGAUCCACUCCGAAAAUGGUAGCUAUUGGAGAGGCACCGGAAUUUAUGGCCACCCUGAAAUAGACCAAAAACAGCACACAUGGACUUUAAUGAGGAGAUUGGCUAGCUUAAGCUCAUUACCAUGCCUUUGCUAUGGAGAUUUCAAUGAAAUUUUACAGAUGAAUGAGAAAACGGGGAAGAACGAAAGGAGUGUAUCCAAUGUAAAUGAGUUUAGAGAAGCUGUCAAAUUCUGUGGAUUGAGAGAUAUAGGUUUCAAAGGCCACCCUUUCACUUGGUCCAAUAGAAGGUUCGGUCCGCAGCUAGUGAAAGAAAGACUAGACUGAUUUCUUUGCUGUAAAACUUGGGGGGGUAUGUUUCAUGAAGCAGCAGCUGAACACCUUGUAAACUGGAACUCAGAUCACAAUCCAAUAGUGAUGCAAGUUGAAGAAAGAGGCAGAAGCAGCAAGUUUAAGAGGAGAACUUUUACAAGGGUGCAUUAUGAGGACAUAUGGAGUCCAUAUGAGAAGUGCCAAGAGAUUGUCAAGCAUGAAUGGGAGGAGAGUAGAAGUUGGAAUUGUGAAGAUCCUGUCUCUCAGUUUAAAAAGACAGCCAAGGACUCACUUGCAGUGCUUCAGUUGUGGAGUAGAGAAGAAUUUGGAGGGAGGACAAAGAAGCUGGGGAAUUUGUUGGAAGAUUUACAAUCCUACAAACAGAGCAACAGCCAUUAUGUCAAUGGAGAUGAGAUCAAGCGUCUAGAAAGGCAGAUUGAUGAUUUACUCGUGGACGAAGAAAUCUACUGGAGACAGAGGUCGAGGGCUGUUUGGUUGCGAGAAGGAGAUAAAAAUACAAAGUUCUUCCAUUCUAAAGCUACAACGAGGAAAAGGAAGAACAGAAUUGGAGGAAUCUUAGAUGAAAACAACAGAUGGAAUGAGGAACCAGAGGAUAUUGAGAGGAUUUUUUGUGACUAUUAUGACAACUUGUUCACGUCCAACAAACCUUCUCAAAGCCAAAUGGAGAAUGCACUGAAAGAUCUGCCUUGCAAAGUCACUGAAGAGAUGAAUGCCCAGCUAAAUCAGCCCUAUACAGAAGCAGACAUCACAGAAGCUUUAAGCCAAAUGCACCCUAUAAAAGCCCCUGGUCCAGAUGGCCUUCCAGCUACUUUCUCCCAAAAGCAUUGGAAAUCAGUGAGUCAAGGUGUUAUUACUACAUGCUUGCAGGUCCUAAAUAACAGAGGUAACCUUACUCCACUAAAUCAUACUUACAUAGCUCUGAUUCCAAAGGCUGAAAAACCUAAGAAAGUGGCGGAUUUUAGACCGAUUAGCUUAUGUAAUGUAAUUUAUCGGAUAAUUGCAAAAACCAUUGCCAAUAGGUUGAAACUGGUUUUGAACGAUGUAAUCUCACCAGCUCAAAGUGCCUUUGUUCCAAAUAGGCUCAUAACCGAUAACAUAAUUAUUGGUUACGAAUGCUUACAUAAAAUAAGGCUUAGUAGGGGGAAAAAAACAUGGGCUAGUGGCUUUGAAAUUAGAUAUAAGCAAAGCAUAUGACAGGGUAGAAUGGGACUUUUUGAAAUGUACCUUAGAAAAAUUGGGUUUCUCACAUGGCUUUGUUGAAUUGAUAAUGCAAUGCAUAACUACCUCCUCCUUUUCUGUGCUGAUAAAUGGGGUGGCUAAAGGGCUGAUCCAACCUCAAAGAGGAUUAAGGCAAGGAUGCCCAUUGUCCCCAUAUAUUUUUAUUCUCUGUGCAGAGACUUUUACAAAUCUUUUACAGCAAGCAGAAUCUCAGCAACUGAUUCAUGGGAUAAAAUUCAGCAAUGAACUUUCCAUCACUCAUCUUUUGUUCACUGACGAUAGUUUGAUUUUUACAAGAGCCACAAGGGAGGAUUGCACAAACUUAAAGAAGAUUUUGAGUGUUAUGCUGCAGCCUCUGGGCAGAUCUUCAAUUUCGAGAAGUCGUCUAUGUUUUUCAGUGAGAGUACCAAGCCGGAGCAGAUUUCUUCAAUUACAACCAUCUUCCAACUUCAGGUGGUAUCCAGACAUGCAAAAUACCUGGGGCUGCCCUCCAUGGUGGGUAGAAACAAGACGAGUUUUUUUAAGGAUAUCAAACUCAGAGUUCUUGGAAAGAUUUCGAGCUGGCAAGCAAAUUUGUUCUCUUGUGGGGGGAAGGAGGUGUUGAUAAAGGCUGUAGCUCAAGCGGUGCCUGCAUAUGCCAUGAGUGUGUUUAAGCUCCCCCUAGGACUUUGUGAUGACAUGCAGAGGGCAAUUGCUAGCUUUUGGUGGGGAAGCAGCCGAGAUCACAAGUCAAUCCAUUGGUCGAAAUGGAAUAAUUUAUGUCAAGCAAAGAGUAGAGGUGGCCUGGGAUUUCGAAACUUGUCCAGCUUUAAUCAGGCUUUAGUAGCAAAGCAGAGCUGGAGGAUCAUCCAAGAGCCGGAGUCACUGGUAGCAAGAGUCUUAAAGGCAAGAUAUUUUAAAAAUUCAAGUCUGAUGCAGGCUCGGUUAGGCUCAUAUCCUUCCUUUAUAUGGAGGAGUAUUUUAUGGGGCCGAAAUGUAUUAGAAAAAGGGUUGCGCUGGAGAAUUGGAAAUGGUGAGCAGCUAGUGUAUCAAAGUCAAUGGAUUCCCAGACCUAUAACUUUUCAGCCAAUAUCCCCCCAUCAUUGAGCCCAGAUACAACUGUUGCAGAGUUGAUAAGUGAGGAGCAAAGCUGGAAAGAAGCUGUAAUUAGGCAACAUUUCCUGAAAGAAGAUGCUGAUCAAAUUCUGAAAAUCCCUUUGCCAAGACAACCAAAACCAGACCAAGUGUUGUGGCACUAUGACAAGAAGGGUAAUUAUUCAGUAAAAAGCGGUUAUCAAGUGGCUAUGAAAAUGAAUUUUCCUGAGAAGCCAAGCUGCUCGGGGGAGAAUGCUAAGUCUUGGCAUGCUAUUUGGUAUCUGCAACUUCCGGAAAAAGUUAAAAUCUUCAUGUGGAGGGCAGCAAAUAACUUGUUGGCAACGGCAGGAAAUCUUUGGAAGAGAACAGUGGUGCAAUUCCCCUGGUGCCAGAGAUGUAAGUUAUCAAAGGAGAUUGUUUUUCACACUCUUUAUGAAUGCAAAGCCUCAAAGAAAAUAUGGAGGCUAACCCCUUUUGGUGAGGAUAUUGAGUUUAGCAAGGGAAGAGAUGUUCUAAGCUUGCUGCAGGAUUUGAAUGAAAAAAGGAGAAAAUCUGAGAUGGAACUGAUUGUUGCUGUGUGCUGGAGCAUCUGGCACUCAAGGAACCUUUUCCUUUUCAAAAACAAAAAAGAAGAUCCCCAGCUAUCAGUUGUAGCAGCAGAAGCAAUGGUGCAAUCUUAUAGCAGAAUCCAAAUGCCCCAAAUACAAGGUAGCUCCCAGCAGAGUACUGCUAAUCAGAACCAAUGGAAACACCCUCUAGAGAGCUGGUUCAAAGUUAAUGUUGAUGCAGCAGUAGGAGUGGAACAACAAAGAGCUGGCCUAGGAAUUGUUAUAAGGAAUUCAGAAGGAAAGUUUAUAGCUGCAGCAAUGAAGCCCUCAAAGUUUAUUGGCAAGAUUGAUUUUGCAGAAGCUGAAGCUAUCAGGUUCGGGCUGGAAAUAGCAGAAAAUGUUGGAUGCUUACCACUAAUUGCGGAAUCUGACGCCCAGGAAGUGGUGGACUUAGUCAAUUUCAAGAAAAGCUCAAGAGCUGAAAUAUUCUGGGUUGCUUCUGAAAUCCAAGACCAAGUAAAGAGGUUGAACCAGGUGAAAGUACAAUAUACCCCAAGAGGAUGCAAUACAUUAGCUCACUCUCUUGCAAGGUUAGCAUUAGUGCUAAAUGAUUUUGUUUUUUGGGUAGAUAAUAUACCCUCAGAUUUUUUGUACCUAUUCACACAGUUGGAUGAAUGAAAAUAAUACUUUCUCUAAAAAAAAAAAGAAACAUUAAGAAAUUUUUAUCCCUUUACCUAAACGUUGAGGGUGUGUUUGUCCUUUUCCCUUAAAAAAAUAUAGGAAACAGUAAAUUUUUAUUUUAAAUGUUAUGAGUCUCAUAACAUUUAAUUAUGAUUUCUAUCGACAUGCGUCUGACCGGGCACACCAUCUCUACAAGCUGAGAUGGUGCAGCCGCCCCCACACAAGUCCGCCUCUUGAUUUAAUAUAUACUUGACAAAUAGGCCCCAGAAACGCGCAAAGUCUUAUUUUUCUUCGUACACGUUUACUUGACCCGUACGAUGCAUUUGUUGACAAUUAAACAAACACCAUCAAAGGGCCCAGCACCGAAAGAAAAGUUUCACAUGACAUACAAGUUGGAAAAUUCUUAGUACUCACGCCACUAGCCUAAACUUUCUUUAUUUAUAUUUAUCAAAAAAAUUUAUUUAUUCAUAUUUAAAAAAAUUACCAAGUACCACAAAGUUUACUUAAAUGAUAACAUAAUCGCAAUUAAUAUUUAAAAUAAUCAUAUGGACUUAUUUUCUUACUUUUAUAUCAUUUGACUAUACUGAAAACUACUAUAAUAAAUAUAAAUACAAUAUUAUGAUGAAUAUAAUAAAAAAAAUAACACAUAUACUAAGCAAAUUAUUUUUAAUAUUAAACAAUUAUUAGUUUGUCCUAGCAAAUUUUAUUAAUACUAAAAUCUACUAAUCCAAAAUUGAUUUUAAAAAUUAUACCACUUAUAAAUACUCGAUAAAUUGAUAAUCUCGAUUAAAUAAUAAUUUUUAUUAGUCAUGACUUAGUUCCAACAUGGUGAACUAAUAAUAAUUAGAUAACUUUAUGAGAUAAUAAUUUUUUUAAAAAUCCUUAUGUUUCUAUGGGACCCAACUAAUAUAUAAAUUAAUACUUAAUUAAUUUCAAACUAAAUACAUAUGAUAUGUCUAUAAUUUUCUUUGUUGUACUUGCAUAAUGUUUUAAGCAUUUCAUUGGUCAUUAUUACUUUCUUUAUACCUUUCAAAUGAGAAGUCACUAUUAUAUUCCACGUGCUAUGUUAAGAGAAAUAAGAGAGAGAUUGGCUUAAAAAAUUGCCCCCAAAAAGUGCCUUUUGAUGAGUUACCAAGUAAUGUAAUGUAGCCAUGCAAUCCAAUCAAAGGAUUAUCAAGCAGUUAAUUCACUCAAUCGAGAUCAAGUCAGAAUGAUAUAACUAAAUUUUUUUAUUAUACUACCUCUAUACCUUAUAUCAUUCUAAUUAUACUACCUCUAUAUCUUAUAGAAAAUCAUAUUAUGAAUCUGAUAUUAUCUUUAUAAAUUAAUAAUUUCUAAUUAUCAAUAUAAUAAUAUUACCUAAAUUAAUAAAUUUUUCAUGGUCACAAGGAUAUUAAAUUAUCGAGGUUCUAUUGUAAUAUUAAAAUAUAUUACAAGUUAAAUAAUAUAAAUUUUGUAAAUUAUUUUGUUCUAUUGUAGUAUUAAAAUAUAUUACAAGUUAAGUAAUAUAAAUUUUGUAAAUUAUUUUGAAUCUUUUUAUCUAGUUUCAUUUAUUUGUUCAAAAGCUAGGGGAGGGGCAAAACCCAAAUCAAUUUUUAAACCCCUACCUUUCCUAGGACUUGAACUUGGUUCAACAACCAAAUAAUUCUGCAUAAAAACUAUUCAGUCAAGCGCCUUUGGCGCAAAAUCAUUUUGAGUGUUACAUAUAAUUUUUUAAUAUUAUUAAUCAAAAAAAUUAUUACAUUAAAAUAUAUAUGAUAAAUUAAUAACAUUGAAAUAAUUUUGUUUAAUAUUCAAAAUAAUUAUAAAAUAUAUUAUUCUAUAUUACUUCAUUUUAGUAUUAUAUUGGUAUUUAUUAUAAACUUUUAAAGUCAUUUUUUAGGUUAUUAUAAUCAAAGGUAUAAUAGGAAAAAAGAUGCAUAUGCAACCAAUUUUGAAACUAAAAGGGUUAAUGUAAUCAUUUAAGCAAACCUGAGGGGUCUGAUGACAUUUUCCCUUACCUUUUUUAAGCAUAGCAUAAAUCUAGUUAAAUUCAUUAUUAACUUAUGUGAGUGAGAUUUGAGCCCUAGACCUCUCACUUCAACUGAUAUAGUAUCACCAACUAAAUUAACAGACUUAUUAAAUCUAUUAUAAAUAGAGUUAAGAAAAUACCAGUAUGAUAUCCUUCUCCAAUAAAUAUUCCUCUAUUAUAAAAAGUUAAUGGGCUCUAAGAUUUUCCUUGUUUUUGGUCUUGUAAUGGCUAUUGCUCUUCUUUCUUCUUCCGGGGUGGCAGCUAGAAACCUGCUGGCUGAGACUUCUGCUAACAUGCGAAAAGGUGAGCUUUCUCUGUAUCAUAACUUGACGUUUGCAUAAAAUAACAAUAAGAUUAUUUGUUUCCACAAAAAUAAUUUGUUUGGCAAGGUACAAUACUUCAAAUCUCUUGAUCGUCCAAAUAUUUGAAAAAAGUUCAUUUACCUUUAACACGUUAUAUUUAGCACCAGUUUUUUGUAUUGGUAUCUGAUAUCAGUAAGUGCAAUAUUUUUAUGUUGUAAUUUUUAUUUAUUAUAAUUAUGCUCCGUAGUUGAAUCUUGUACGAAUUAUAUUUUCUAAUUAUGUUUUAGAAUUUGUAUUUUUUUGAAUCUAGCUAUGAGGUUAAUAUAUUGUUUCUUGAUUAACGUUAGUUCUAAUAUUGAAUUAAGUAUGAUAGAAUUAAUCAAUCACUCAUUCAUAAUUUUAGUAUGCUGGAUUUCAUUUCACCGUGCGAUGGUCAAUGGUUAAAUGUUCGUUCUAGUGAUAAUGUUGUUCUGUGUUUCUUGUUUUAAUAAAUUUGUUUCUACUUUGAAGUCUGCUUUAAGAAAAAAUUAAUUAAUAAUUGUCUUGUACCGUUGAAUUUGAUUUAAAAUUAAUAUAAAUAGAUAAAUAAAUAUCAUGUUGCUAUACAUGUUCAGCUGAGGCGAACGCAGUUGGUUGUCCCUAUCACAGACUGAGACCCCAAGGUGCUAUUAUUGGAUGCCCUCCUGCAUGAGUCCAUUCCACUCCCAGUAAUGGAGUGUAUAUAAUAUAUAAUGAGUGAAAUAAAGAAAAAAUUCAAUCUGGAAAUUCUGGAUUGAAAUUUUUUUCAUAUGCAUACUGUGUGUGUAUGUAUCCAAAUGGAUUCCUAAAAAGUUAAGAUAUUACUUUUAUGCGUAAUUAGCUACUCUUUCCGAUGCUUCAUUGUAUUAAAUAAAAGUUGGGUUUAUUACCCAUCAUUAAUGACAUGAUACUACGAAACUAAUUAUUUUCUUUAUAAUUGAAUGUCAUGUUAAAUAUCACAUAACUAAUUAUUUGUUUCUGAAUUUACCCUCUAUUGAUGAUAUACAGUAAACUUAUUUUCAUUCCAAAUACCUUUUAUUAUUACUAUUAUUAUUAUUAUUAUUAUUAGUGGUAGUAGUAAAUUCAUUCAGAAAAUUCGAAAAAACCGCUAUUUUCCUACAAUGUUUUAUAGGACUGAAGAUUGAAAAUGAACCGUAUAAGAAGAUAAAUUGAGAAUAAGUUCGAGGAAAUUACGGCCAUCAACAGACAGUUGAUAUUUUUUGUUUUUCUUUCACAAGAACUGAAGGCUUAUUUAUACUCAAUUCAAUUAUGUUGACUCAAAAUAACAAAGGUCGGCCUUCUUCUUCUUCUCCUUCAUUUUUUUUCCGUUAAAAUUAAGAUUUCUUUGUCUUGCAAUGAUAUAGAAAAGAAGCUCGUAAUAUUACUAGGUAGUAAUGAACUAAUAGGUCACUAACUUUCGUGACUUUGAGUCAGUUUGGGAUUGUAGUUGCUAAUGAAGUAAGUGCUUUUGCAGCAUAGAUGAAAUAAGUUGUUGAUUAAAAAAGCAGCUUGAUGUUUGGUAAAUUGUGUAAUUGUGGUUGCUAUGAAUUUGAAAAGCACAGUAUGUGUUUGGUAAAUGUUAUUACGAAGGUAUGACCAAAUUAUACACAGGUUUAAAUUAUAUUUUAAUUAUUUGCAUAUUAGGAUUUAUGGAAAAGUAAGACAUAAUUAUUUUUUCUUAAAAUAUUAAGAUUAUAACAGAAACUUUAAAAAGGUGUUGAUGCUUAUUUAAUAAGCAGCUUAUAAAAGUAACCUUCUACCUGCUUCUAAAAGAUGUUGUCAAAAUGUAGAAACUUAUGAAAUAGGUAGCUUUAAAAAAAAUUAUCAAACGUUUUUUUUUUCAAAAAUUAUGAAAUAAAGUGUUUAUAGCAUUUCAACCACAAUUCCAAGUGAGGCCUUGGACCUUGGUUUAAUUUGGAAGUGAAGCCUCUUUAGGAGAAUUGUUCCAACAACUAUAAAAAAAACUUACCAAACACUAUUUUUGUCAAAAAUUACAAAAUAAAUUACUUACAGCAUUUCAACCAUAAUUCCAAAUAGGACUGGGCUUAAUCGAGUUUGGAUUGGGUUUAGAUCAAUCGAUCGGAUUUCAGAUUAAUUGGGUUGAAACAAAAUUCACCUGAACUCAACCGAAAUUUGUAACCUGAUCGAAAUAUGUUUGAAUCGAAUCAAAUCAAGUUAAAAAAUUGGAUUGAGUUCGAAUCAUAUGAUAUUCAGGUUAGAAAUGGUUCGAGUCAAUUCGGGUGAAAUUGGGUCGGGUGAAAUUGGAUCAAGGUCAAAGUCGGGUCAAAUCGGGUUAAAUAAGGUAAUAGCAAAUUUGAGAUUUUUUUUCUUAUUUUGGGUUAUUAAGAUUGCUUUUAUGUAAUUUUAGUCUUUUUCUACCAAUUUUCAAUCCUAAAAAAAAAAGGAAAGCUACUAUGUAAUUAAAUGAAUAAAAGUUAAAAUUAACACACAAAGUCCAAAUUAACUUAACAAUCUUUAUCCAAAGCACAACGUCCAAAUAUUAGUCCUUAGAACACAAAAUCAAUGUUUAAAAAUAAUUAAAUGGUUUUCAAAACACAAAAAAAGUUUCUUUAAAAACACAAAGUCACAACUAAAUAAGCUUCCUCCAUUGCUCCAUGCAAACACUUGGACAAGUUCCAACUUCAACUUCUUGUACUCCAAAUUGGUGCAUCGAUCCCCUAGAGAAAAAUUGAAGAAAUAAUAUGGAAUAACUUUCUUUAAGCCGCGUUGCAAAAAAAGGCACAUCAAACACAAAUAUAAAUAAAUAAACCGAAUUCAUGUCUUUGAUUGAACAAACCAUAACUAUCAUUUGAAUUCAAAUUGAAUGGCUAGUAGUAAAGCUUACAUAUUUGAGCAAAGAAAGGGCACCUAUAGUUUAAAAGCAAAAGGGUUGUCACAAUCUUUCUAAUUUCUAUUAUAUCAUUAGGAUCUAACAUGUUUAGCAAAUUCUAAAAAAAAAAAAAAAAACAUAUAUACUUGAUUAAAUAUAAAGAAAAUUAAUUUAAUCAUGGCUUAUUUUAUGGCAUUCAUCAUCAAGUCAAGUUAAUAAUAAUCCUAGGCAAUACCAUAUUACCAUUCUACCAACUUCAACUUGCCUAGCUAAAACAAUUAAAAUGUUACAAUUAGACUUAAAACUUAAAAGCAUAACAACUAUAAUUAUAGUUUAAAUUGCAACCUAAAAUUAUAAUAUGAAAUUAUGAAUAAUAAUAUCUAUUAAGAGUUACCUUUCUAAUACCAAUAACACCAAUGUUAGCACUCACUGUUGAAACCAUUGAAGCUUGUGAUCUUACAAACCCUUUAAAAUGCGAAAAAAAAAAUCGAAAAAAUUGAAGUUAGUAAGUAACCUAAGUGCAUGUGGAUGUUAAUUAUAAAGUUAUAAUACAUUUUACGAGAAAAACAUUAUCUUCUUGUAGCUCCGUAUGAAACAUCUGCUCCUUAAUCUUUUCUUGAAGGUUGUAGACAAGAUUGGAAAAAAGUUUAGAUUGCAACUAAUUUUUGGUAAAUAUCAAUGUCUCAAUCAUAGAAAGAAUCAAAGUACUCCUACAAUCAUCAAUAACACGGCACCUAGUGCUGAAGGCAUACUCAGAGGCCAUUGUGGAAACUUGAACAACGAGGAUAUCUCUUACAAUUUUUUCUAAUAUUGGUAUUUGAUCCAUUCUCCUUCCCCAAAACAAAACACGGAGCUUAAAAUUGUUAGGAUCUUUAAUUGGGUUAAGUAAAUAUUGUUCCACCUUAGAUAUUACUUUCUUGCCCUCAUUUUGAAUAGAAACCUUCUUAGCAUAUCUAAGGAAAAAGCGAGCAACUCAGAUAGCGCCAUCACCUUCACCACCACCAGCCUCCACCAAACUAACCUCAAUUAUAUUAUGUGGAGAAGAACUUAUACCACCAUAACCACCACUAGGAACACUCUCACUAGAUAUCGAUGGUGUGGAGCACAAUGCACAAUGGGUGCAUUUGGCACACUGUAUUAUAUUAUGUUGUAUUGCAUUAUUUUAGUAUAAGUGUAUUGUAUUAUUCUGUAUUGCAUUAACAUUGUAUUAUAAUAAUAUUGUACAACAUUUGGUGCUAUAUUGUACUAUGUUAAUUUUUUAGUUAUACUAUGUUUGGUGUUACAUUGUGUAAUAUUAUUUUUUUGAUUAAUUUAAAUUAUAUAUUUAUAAAAUAAUAUUUAUUAGCACUUAAAAAAAUACUAAAUAUAAAAUUCUUAAAUUUUAGAAAUUUAACAUUAUCUUUUUUAGUAUGAAUGUUAAAAAAUCAAAAUUCUUCAUAAAAAUCGAAGCUCAUGGCCGUAAACUUUCAGCAAUAAAACAUUUAUUUUCUCAACAUUUUCCAAAUAUAUAACCCGUGAAAUAAAGAUUGAAGCUAAUAAUUCAAUUAAAUAGCAAAACAAUUUACUCAAGCAUGUUAAAAGUUUUCAAAAUUAUUUGCAGUUUAAAGCGAAGUGAGAUUAAAAAUUCUACCAUUUUUUGUUUCUAAAAGAAUGUCAUUAUGUCAUCAAUACAAUAAAAUGGCAACCAAAUAUGUUCUCUGUUCAGCCACUAGGCCCACUACCUUCAAGUCUAUUUCAUUCAAAAGAACAACAAUGAAGAAUUAAAUGGCUUGCAAUAAACACUACAAAUGCACUUCUUUUCUUUUAUUACUAGAAAAUAGAACCGCGCUUCACGCGGCUUUGAAAAAAGAAUUUAGUAUUAUCAUUUUUUUUUACUUUACACUUGAUGAAACUGAUAAAAAAUAUGAAUUGAUUUUUUUUUAAAGAUAAGGCAGCCUUAUAAAAAACAGAAAAACUAUUACCAGCAAUACAAAUAAAGAAGCAACGCAAGAUAAAGAAUAAAAUGAGAGAAUAUAUUAUAGAGUGAUUUUAUUCAUUCCAAUUGUGUGUGUACAAAACAAAAAGAUGAGCUCUCCUUUUAUAGUUACAUAAUCACUCCAUGAAAUUAAUGAAAAAUUAUGGAUCAUAAUUCCUUGUGAGAUAGUGGGAGUUAUAGGGAAGCUAAAGGUUGCUAAUGGGAGAUAGUGGGGAGACUAAGAGAUAUAUGUUAUGAACAUCCACAUUUAUUUUAAUAAAUGUAUAACACUCCCCCUUGGAUGUUUAUUACAAAGAAUAUGCCUCAUUAAAACCUUUACAUAAUUGUUAUUGUGUAAUAACAAUCAAAUUAAUUAUGAGAAGAUGAAAAGCCAAAUCUAAAAGAAAAUUUUUCUAUUUAUUAGAUAAUAGAGAAUAUACAAAGAUGAGAAAUGGUGAUGCCACAUCACCUCCUCAAGUUCCAACUUUAUAUAUAUACUAGAAAAGAGAACCGCGCUUCGCGCAGCUUUAAAAAAACAAAUUUACUAUUAUCUUUUUUUUUUACUUUGCACUUGAUGAAACUAAUAAAAAAUAUGAAUUGUUUUUUUUAAAGAUGACGUAGCCUUAUAAAACUAAUCUUAUUUAUGAAAGUUAAUUAUUUUUUUGUUAACUUUAAAAAUAUAUAUUAAUGUGUAUAGUUAAGUGUACACAACUUUUUCAUCAAUAAAAAUUAUGUUCACACUAAUCAAUUCUCCAUUCUUCUUGGUAUUAAGAGACUCUCACAUCCUCCAAAGCCUAACUCUUAUCAUCCAACUAUCUUUAUCAUUAUUCAACUUAUGAAGAAAAUAGUACUCCAUGAAGCACACAAUACUAAAAAUUCAAAUAAGUCAAAAAAUGAAAACACAAGAACAUUUCUAAAGAGGAUGUUGGUUAAAUAAUAAAAAAACCUAAACAUAACAAAUCCUAAAUACUUAAUAUUUAUAGAGUUUAAAGAAGCCAAAAGACACUAAACAAAAGGAUGCAUAAUUAAAUAUGAGAUUAUGGCAUUAAAAUUAGGCCCUAGUGGCAUUGGUGAGGGAAGAUGAAGGAACCUUCCUUCCUAUAUUAAUUAGUUGAUGUAUUUUAAACUACUAAAGUUUAGUUGUUGGCUUAAUAAAGUAAAUGAAUGUUUCAAAACUUAUAAUUAAUUAUUAUUAAUGGUUACAUAUUGUUGAAUUUAAAUAGAAAGAGGAAGAGACAUGUAAUCUUUUGUAAUCUAAUAAUUAUUUUCUAUUUAUUUUCUAUUUUUAAUAUUUUGUAAUAUAAUUAUUUUUUAAUCUCAACCAAUAAAUUAGAUAAUAGAGAAUAUAAAAAGAUGAGAAAUAAUAAUGCCACAAAUCUUAACUACUUAAUAUUUAUAGAAUUUGAAGAAGCCAAAAGGCACUAAACAAAAGGUUGCAUAAUUAAAUAUUGGAUUAUGGCAUUAAAAUUAAGCCCUAAUGGCAUUGUUGAGGGAAGAUGAAGGAACCUUCCUUCCUAUAUCAAUUAAUUGAUGUAUUUAAGCCACUAAAGUUUAAUUGUUGGCAUAAUAAAAUAAAUGAAUGUUUCAAGACUUAUAAUUAAUUAUGAUUAAUGGUUACAUAUUAUUGAAUUUAAAUAGAAAGAGGAAGAGACAUGUAAUCUUUUGUAAUCUAAUAAUUAUUUUUUAUUUUUAAUAUUUUGUAAUGUAAUUAUUUUUUUAAUCUCAACCAAUUUAUUAGAUAAUAGAGAAUACAAUAAGAUGAGAAAUAGUGAUGUCACAUCACCUCUUCUAAUCCCAGCUUUAUAUAUAUAAUAGUAAAUAGAACCGCACUUCGCGCAGCUUUGAAAAUGUCAAAUUAAAAAUUAAAAAAUUGAUGAAAUCCAAAUUUCUUGAGAAAUCGUACUAAUCUCUUCUCAAAAGGAAGAUUAAACAAGUUAAUUUUGUAUGUUUAUUUCAAUAAUAAUAAAUAUCGCACAAUAAUAAUAAUAAUAAUAAAAAAUAUCACACAUAAAUUUUUUAAACCAUUUAAAAUAUUUAAUCUUUAAAAUAUUGUUAAAGACUUGUGUUCUUGUUGAACAUUGUUUGUGUGGUGAGUGUUUACCUCUGGUGCCUUGGUAGCAUUUGGUCGUAAGUCCCGAUUUGGUUGAAGGGCAGUAAAACCAAUUCUUAGCCUUAGAUUGUAGCCAUACUUACAGAACUAAAACUAGAAUCUAGGUUUUUUGUCCAUGGAUUCUCUACUCUGUAGAGCAUCAUCCUUUUCUAGUUCUUCUUCCGGGAAGACUAGUGAUUCUAAGAAUGUUGUCAAUUCAGAAGAAUUUGUUAUUGAAGACUUUAAUAAAGCAAUUGAUAAUUGGGAAUUACCAAAGAUUUCUAAAGAAAUGAUUUACAAAACAAAAAAGCUUGAUUUUUUAAAGAAUGAUUAUGUCAUAAAAACUAAAGAACAUGACAUAACCCUUUCAAAGCCAUUUGAAACUAUUCACCUAUUUUCAGAACACUCCUUAAAGAAAUUAAAAGAUAAAAAUUUUAAUUAUGUUCACAUCGGCUUAAUACAAGUUGGUAUAAAGCCCUUAACAAAAGAAGGUCUUAAUACCUCUAUUCUUGCUGUCUUAAGAGAUGGGCGAUUCAUCUCUUUUGAUGAUUCUUUACUAAGUAGUAUAGAAUCAAGUCUUUGCAAAGGUCCCAUCUCAUUUAGCUGUUAUCCGAACAUAACAAUUUCUCUAAAAGACAAAAACAUUCUGAAAAGCAUGAUCUUGCAAAUCAAGACCCAUAAUUAUCACAUGAUUGAGGGAUCAGUCCCAGUAGCCUUAAUUUUUAAAAUCUCAUACAAAGUCAUGAUUUCUGCGUUUAGUACGCAACAUAAGUUCCAGUCAAAAAGAUAUGAGACUCUUCUCUUAUAGACUGAUCUGUCUAAAGCCAAAACCGUUAUUCCAAAACCAAUCCAAUGGAAAGAUGUCAAUCUUCCAAACGAAUGGAUUCUUGAAGGAGCCACUGCACCAGUGAUUCCAAAACAACUUGAGCCUAAUACAAAGUUGUAAAAUGUGACUCAAUAUUCAGAUGAGAAGGUUAAAUUGUCCUUUAAGAGAUCUACAUCUUCUAGGUUCUCUGAUAAAGACUUAAGUACGAAUAUUCCUUCAUUAGAAAGAAGAUUUUCAAAAAUUCCUUCCGUUAUAAACCUCCCUUUCCAACCAGUAAAAAACCAACCUAGGUUUUCCACAUCGAAUAUACCUAGUUCCUCUAUCCACUCUGUUGACUAUACCACUAGUGUUCCUCACCCAAUCUACACUAGCAGUCAACAUGAACAAAGACAGGAAGAGAAGGAACCUUCUCCUCCAACCUCUCCUACAUUUUCCGCUGUCACUGAAAAUGUAGUAAAUGUUCUUGAAAAAGAUUUUGAAUUAGAUAAAACUCUUCUUCAUAACGACUUUUAUUCUGAUUGCAAAAAAGAAAAAAGACUUUGGUUCUUCAAAAAUUUCUUAAGCCAAAGAAAACAAAUACAAGAAAUUUAUUAUGAAUUUGUAAAUCUGCAUAAAGUUCAUAUUUUAUUCUUUAAUUGGUUUAAAAUGUAUGCCUCUGAUAAUAACAUUGAUUAUCCUUUUAAAGAAUCAAAUCCUAUUAUUAUUAGGAAAAAGAUUCCUGAAUGGAAUCUUACUGAUAGUGAUCGAACCAUAGAAUCUGAACAUCCACCUCUUAGGAGUUUGACCAUUGAAUAUGGUAUGCCUCCUGUUGAGAUUAAAGCCUCACCCUACAAAAUCCAUAAACCAAAUGAUCCAGAGAUAAAUUUAGGCAGCAUUAUUCAACAGAAUAAUUUCUGUAAUGCUAACCUAAACACAUUAGGAAAAUAGUUGACUAGGAUAGAAAACCAAUUCCAGAAGUCUACCAUAACUGUUUCUCCUAUUACUUCAAAAUCGGAUUCUAACAAAAAGCUUAAAGAGUCUAUUUUCAAACCCUUUCAGGUUUCGAAAACUAGUCAAAAGCUUGUUCAAGAGUCAAAAUCAGAUUUUCCUAAAGCUAUUAGAGAACAACUAGAUAGAAUAUAAGCUUCUUCUUCUUCGUCUAGUAAAAUCCAAAUAGCCCCUGAUAGUGCCCAAUCUAGUAAAAUUGGAGUACUAGAACAAGACGACAUGUCUAUAGCCUCUUCUGAUAUAGAAGCCUUUAAAGAAGAACUUGUUUCUAAAGCCAACAAAAUUCAUUGGGAAUUAGCCCUACCUACUAUCAAAUCUCCACCUGACUUAGCCAUAGACAACAGACCUAGUGCAUUAAACCAAUCACGCUUUAAUGCAUCCUCUGUCUAUGAGUGGAACAUUGAUGGUAUGUCUGAAUAUAACAUUCUAGGAUUGUUGCAACAGAUGACCAUGGCAGCGAAUGCAUAUAAAACUCAGUCGGGAACUUCUGACAAACCUAUUGCAGAAAUUCUCAUUGCUGGUUUUACUGGUCAACUUAAAGGUUGGUGGGAUCAUCUUCUCACCAAACAACAACAAUCAGAUAUCCUAAAUUCAAUUCAAACAGAUGAGAAUGGAGCCCCCAUCUGUGAUGAAUUAAAUGACCCUAUUCAGGAUGCUGUUGCUACCCUAAUUCUGACUAUAUCCUUUCAUUUCAUAGGUGAUCAUUUACACCUUAGAGAUAAAAAUGCUGAGUUACUACACAACCUGAGAUGUAGGAAACUUAGUGAAUUUCAAAGCUAUAAAACCACUUUCUUUACUAGACUCUUCCUAAGAGAUGAUGCAAACCAUAUCACUUGGAAAGAAAAAUUCCUUGCAGGUUUACCAACCCUCUUAGGAGAAAAGGUUAGGAACUCUAUUAAAGCCUUGUAUGACAACCGUAUUCCUUGUAACGAACUCACCUACGGUGAAUUAGUUGGUUUUGUUAAUAAAGAAGGUUUAAAGAUUUGUCAAGACUUGAAACUUCAGAAACGUCUAAAAUGGGAGCUUAGAAAAUCUAAGCAAGAAUUAGGCAGUUUCUGUAAGCAAUUCAAUUAUGAUCCCUUUAAAACCUCCACCUCUAAAGAUUGUAAUGGUGAGUGUUCUUCAAAACCUUACAAGAAACAUUACAAAUCAAAAAGCCAUAAAAAACCCUUUCAAGAUUUUAGAGAACUUUCUUAUAAGAAACCUUCAAGGCCUUAUAAGAAGCCCAGAUUCUCUAAGAAGAAGGAUUUUAGACCCAAAUAAAAAACCCCUUUUAAUUACAAAGAAGCUACAUGUUACAAAUGUGAAAAGAAACGCCAUACUGCAAAAUUUUGCAGGAUGAACAAAAAGCUCCAUGAGAUUGGCCUUGACGAAGAAAUACUUUCUAAAGUUUCCCCUUUACUUGUAGAGUCUUCUGACUCUGAGUCUUCCAUGACGGGAGAUAAUGACCCCCUACAAAUUGAUGAGUUGAUGGAUUCUGAUACUUCAGAAUCUAGUAGUAGUGAUUCUGGCAUAGAAUCUCGUUUAAAGAAAAUCAAUGUAUUAACUAAAGAUCAAGAAACUUUUCUUGAAUUAGUCAAACACAUUUCUGACCCUACUCUUCAAAGAGAAUACCUUGAUAAACUUCUAAAAACCUUAGAAGUAAGAAAUAAAACAGAAAUUUCUAAAGCCCCAAUAAUUAAAAAGAAUACAUAUGAUCUUACUGAAAUUUUGGAUAAAAAGAAAACAAAGAAAACAACGACUCCUAGCAUCCAAGAUCUUCAGAAAGAAAUAAAAGAUAUCAAACUCGAGAUAAAAGACUUAAAAGAAAAACAAAAAAUGAUUAUGAUACUAUCCAACUCCUCUUACAAAGACAAUUACAAGAUAAUUCUGAUAAAGAAUCAGAAGAUAAUGGUGAUAAUGGAGAACACAGUUUAGAAAACAUUGAAUCUAUACCCAAUGAUUUUCUUUUCGUAUUAAAACAAAUCACCACAAGAAAAUAUUUGAUCAAAAUCACCUUGAUCUUUUCUAAAGAUUUUGAAAUCGACACCAUUGUCCUCUUUGAUACUGGUGCUGAUUUAAAUUACAUUAAAGAAGAUAUUGUCCCCAGAAGGUUUCAUGAGAAAACAAAUGAGAGACUUUCUGCCGCUAAUAAUUCAAAACUUAAUGUCAAAUCUAAAGUUGACACCUCUAUUCAUAACAAUGGUUUUGAAUUCAGGACUUCUUUUAUUCUUACAAAUGACAUACACCAUACUGUCAUUUUAGGAACCCCUUUUAUCAAUCUCAUUACUCCUUAUACUGUCAACUAUGAUAGUAUAUCCUUUAAAGUAAAAACCAAAAAACUUGUUUUUCCUUUUAUUGAGAAACCUAAAACAAGAAAUUUGAAUAUUGUUAAAGCUUGUUCUGUUUACCAGAACCAAAUCAAUACACUCCUCAAAACAAAACAAAAUGAUCAGAUUUUUUUAAAAAAUGAUUUGAGUUUACAAAGAAUCGAAAACCAAUUACAAAAUGAAUUUGUAAAAAGAAAAAUCUCUAAUCUUAAAGACCUCAUUGAAAAAGAAAUAUGUGCAGAUCUACCAUCUGCUUUUUGAAACAGAAAACAACAUUUGGUUGAUUUGCCUUAUGAAAAUUCUUUUGAUGAAAAGCAAAUACCUACCAAAGCCCGUCCAAUCCAAAUGAACAUGGAAUUGGAGCAACAUUGCAAAGAUGAGAUAAAAGAUUUAGAAUCUAAAGGUCUCAUAGUCAAGUCUAGGUCUCCUUGGUCUUGUGCUGCUUUCUAUGUCAAUAAAAAUUCUGAGAUAGAAAGAGGGACACCCAGACUAGUCAUAAAUUAUAAACCCCUUAAUAAAGCAUUAAAAUGGAUUAGGUAUCUCAUACCUAAUAAAAAGGAUUUGCUCCAGAAACUACAUGCUGCAUUCAUUUUUUCAAAAUUUGAUAUGAAAUUUAGAUUUGCCAAUCCAUCCAAAAGACCGUUAUAAAACUGCAUUUACUGUUCCUUUUGGACAGUAUGAAUGGAUUGUUAUGCCUUUUGGAUUAAAGAAUGCACCUUCCGAAUUUCAAACGAUUAUGAAUGAUAUUUAUACUCCUUUAUCUGAUUUUGCAUUGUUUAUAUCGAUGAUGUGUUGGUUUUUUCUCAAACGAUCGACCAACAUUUUAAACAUCUAAAGACGUUUUUCCUUGCCACUAGAAAGGCUGGUUUAGCCAUUUCUAGUUCUGUCUUUAAACACAGAAACUUUAUCCUAUAUUACACUAUCUUCCUCAUGGCUCUGAUACCAGUACGACCAAGAUCGUGGAGUAUGUGUGUGUGUUCAAAAGAUUAAAUAUUUUAAAGACAAAAUAAUAAGCAAUAUUAAAUUGGUACGUGGCAUUGUUUUACCAGAUCAAUGCAGAGCUUAAUCUGCCUUAGGGACCAGAUCUGACUUAGAACAUAUCAAUAUCUCGCAUGUUCAGGUUUCCAGCCGAUAUACCAAAAAUUUUAAAAAUUCAAAUUCUUUAUGCAAUUAACGUAAAGGCUCAUGGAUAGUACUAGAUCUGGAUCCCAGAAAUAGUACUCUGAUUGAAUGGAGGGAGAAGAGAAAAUACGACUAAGGGAAGAGAUUAGGUCUCUGUGCCUUAGAAGAACGUAGCAGUUUAAAUAUGCAUAAACUUAAAUUGCAAAAUUAAACAUACAUUUAAAGCUUUAAAUGAAUUAUAAAUUCUUUAAAGAAAUAUUGAAUACUUACAUGAUUUGCUUGAAUCCAAAAUAAGUUACAGCUUGUUAAGAAAGGAAAAUUACAAGACAGGAAAUGUUUCCUCUAAGUCUUGAUCCAGAUUUCCCGAAGAGAGAGAGAGAGAGAGAGCUCUCGAGCCUGCCCUAGGAUCUGCCUUCUGUCCUUCUUUUAAGGGUACAAGAAGGAAGGCUGUUUGCUGUAGCUUCACAUGCGUUGGAGGAGAAUGGGGUCAGCAAUAGUUAAAGCAGGAUGUGCUUUUUGAAAUGUGGGAGACAGCAUUAUUGAAGGCAUCUUCUGCUAGGAAAGCUUCACGUGGAGAGAUGCUCUACGAGGCAAUAAUUUAUACCUUUUGAAAACAUGGCACAUGUGCGGCCACACUUGUGUCUCGAAAGACAUUUUCAAAAGAUAUUCUUAUCAAAUUCUUUAUAGGAUGAUUUUGACUUCUUUCUGGACGCGGCAAUGAAGGCUUUAAAAGAUUGGAAAAUUACAAAAAAUACAAGCGAUAAUUACAAAUAAAAAUUACAGAAAUGGAAAAUACAAGGGAUAAUAAAAUUAUAGAGAAAAUACAGAAAUAGAAUUACAGAGAAAAUACAGAAAUGGGAAAUUACUUUUUUUAAAAAAAAAUCAACAAGCUUUAAGUAUGCUUUAAUGGAGGAAGUAUUCUGAAGCAAUCAUCUUCAUUGUCAUCUCCAAGGGAGAUGAAAGGCUCAGCAUCAUCAGAAGAACUUGAACUAGCAACGGAUGGUUCUGAUCUUGAUGCAAGGAGCUGCUGCAUGACUUGAAAAUAUUCUUCCUCCGUCUUUGCACUGGCCAAAAGUGAUUGGGCCUUUGUCCUUUGAGCGAGGAAAGUGCUUUGGGCUUUAACAUCUUGAAUGCUCGGGGUUAGGAGGCCUUUGAGGAAAGCCAAGCCUGGACUGUGGCUUCCGAUAGUUUGGAUUGUUCAUCAAACUUAGACCACUAUUUUACUUUAAAGGUUCUUUGUAAAAUGAGUUGGGUAUCUUGAGUGUGGUAAUUGAAGUUCCACAUCCAGACCCAAGGAAGAAAGAAAUUUGUACAGAAACAGAGAAAAUGAGAAAAUCUCUUCUCUGACUCAGAAGGGACAUAAUGGGCUUUAAAAAGGUUUAAACAAUUUAUGGCAUUUGGGGUUAGAAUGUCUGGGCUUGGCCCAAAGUAGUUCUACCAUUGUUGGAACCAAUUUGGAAGGCUUUGUACGAUUAUUUUCGAGUUGAAGAAAAAUAACCAAGAAUGGGUCUUUUUGGGGUUUUGAAUGAAACAUGUGUUAAACCAGGCCUGUUGGUAAUCCCAGUAAGAAAAGGAUAAACAGUGGUUUAGACGCAUUUGAAAAUUGGCGGGAAAGGUUUUGGGUCUGUGAAGUUGGUCACCCCAUUGUUUUGGGCUUAAGACUUUUAAGAUGGUAGCUGUGGAAUAGGCUGGCUCAGAAUGAGCUUUACUAAGAAAGAAGUGUUUAAAUUUAACAGACUCAGUGAACUCAAGAAUGCUUUGAUAGAAAGCCUGGGGUUUUGAUAAAUCCCAUGGUUUGAAAAAUCAGCCUUUCAGGAAAAUCUUUGAAACGGCUUGAAAUGGAUCAGAGUGAUAAAACCUAUCUUCCAUUGAUAAAACAUUUUAAUGAUAGGUUUUACAAAUCCAAUCCGAAGCUUUUUGUGAAAGCUUUGAUUCAGGAACAAUAAUUUGAGAAGAAGAGCUUUCACAAGAAAUGACUUCUUUAGAAGAAGAAGGUUUUGAAAUUGCUUUAGAAAUAGUUUUUUCUUUCUCGGGAACUUGAGAAAGAGCUUUAUUUUGGGAAAUAUUUUGUAAAGCUAACAUAAGCUCAGGAGACUUUGUAAUGGAGUUCAUCCAUUCUUUUACUUGCUUAUCGGAGGCAAUGGCUUUAGACUGUGCUUCUUGUUCAUCGACCAUGUCAAUCCAAGAUUUAAUAGGCAUGGCAGAAGAAAGUAAUUUUUCUUUAGGAGGGGUUAUCUGAGUUUCUUUAGAGGUUGUUUGAGGUUCAGGGUCUUUAAUGAUACCCUUGCCCUUGUCUCUUCGUUUGGGCGGCAUUAUCUGUUUUGAAGAAAUUCCCUGGUUAGAAAAUCAGGGAGAGAAUUUGUAUCUCCUUUAAUGAAUUCAAUGUCAAAAUAAAAAACACUUAAAAUGGCUUGCCAUCAUGCAAAAAUCUGUUUUGAUGCAAUGUUUUGAACAUCCUUUUCUAAAACGUGUUUUGCAGCUUUGCAGUCAAUUCUAAGUAAGAAUUUUUAAUUUAACAGAUCACUUUGAAAUUUAGAAAUGCAUAAAACAAUAGAAAGAAUUUCCUUUUUAAUAGUAGAGUAAUUUCUUUGACAUUCAUUCCAAUGAGCAGAAACAUACUGUACUAUUUGUUCUUUAUUAUUUUCUUUUUGCUUUAAUAUUCCUCCAUAUCCUAAAUUAGAUGCAUCAGUUUCAACAAUCUUAGGUAAUGCAGGAUUAGCAAAAAAAAAGCAUGGAAUAUCUUUAAUAGAACUUUUUAUGAGCUUAACAACUUUAGUGUGUUCAUCAGUCCACGCAACAGGAUUUUUCUUUAAUCUAUCAUGCAAAGGUUUUGAAAUUCUAUUAAUAUUAGGACAAAAAUCAAUGACAUAAUUUAAACUUCCUAAAAAUCUUUGCAAUUGGGUUUUAUCAAGGAUUUUAUCAGGAAAUUUGUCAACAAAAACAAGAGAUCGCUCAAUAGGUGUAAUGGUUUCUUUGGAAAUGUAAUGACUAAGGAACCUGAUUCUUGUUUGAAACAAGGAAACUUUAGAACUAGAAAUGGCUAAACCAGUUCCCGAGAAAGAAAAAACUAUUUCUAAAGCAAUUUCAAAACCUUCUUCUUCUAAAGAAGUCAUUUCUUGUGAAAGCUCUUCUUCUCAAAUUAUUGUUCCUGAAUCAAAGCUUUCAUAAACAGCUUCGGAUUGGAUUUGUAAAACCUAUCAUUAAAAUGUUUUAUCAAUGGAAGAUGGGUUUUAUCACUCUGAUCCAUUUCAAGCAGUUUCAAAGAUUUUCCCGAAAGGCUGAUUUUUCAAACCAUGGGAUUUAUCAAAACCCCAGGCUUUCUAUCAAAGCAUUCUUGAGUUCACUGAGUCUGUUAAAUUUAAACACUUCUUUCUUAGUGAAGCUCAUUCUGAGCCAGCCUAUUCCACAGCUACCAUCUUAAAAGUCUUAAGCCCAAAACAAUGGGGUGACCAACUUCACAGACCCAAAACCUUUCCCGCCAAUUUUCAAAUGCAUCUAAACCAUUGUUUAUCCUUUUCUUACUGGAAUUACCAACAGGCCUAGUUUAACACAUUUUUCAUUCAAAACCCCAAAAAGACCCAUUCUUGGUUAUUUUUCUUCAACUCGAAAAUAACCGUACAAAGCCUUCCAAAUUGGUUCCAACAAUGGUGGAACUACUUUGGGCCAAGCCCAGACAUUCUAACCCCAAAUGCCAUAAAUUGUUUAAACCUUUUUAUGGCGAGUGUUUAAAUUUAAAAUAUUUAAUCUUUAAAAUAGUUUUUUCUUUCUCGGAAACUUGAGAAAGAGCUUUAUUUUGGGAAAUAUUUUGUAAAGCUAACAUAAGCUCAGGAGACUUUGUAAUGGAGUUCAUCCAUUCUUUUACCUGCUUAUCGGAGGCAAUGGCUUUAGACUGUGCUAUUUUAGGAACCCCCUUUAUCAAUCUCAUUACUCCUUCUACUGUCAACUAUGAUAGUAUAUCCUUUAAAGAAAAAACCAAAAAACUUGUUUUUCCUUUUAUUGAGAAACCUAAAACAAGAAAUUUGAAUAUUGUUAAAGCUUGUUCUGUUUACCAGAACCAAAUCAAUACACUCCUCAAAACAAAACAAAAUGAUCUGAUUUGUUUUAAAAAGGAUUUGAGUUUACAAAGAAUCGAAAACCAAUUACAAAAUGAAUUUGUAAAAAGAAAAAUCUCUGAUCUUAAAGACCUCAUUGAAAAAGAAAUAUGUGCGGAUCUACCAUCUGCUUUUUGGAACAGAAAACAACAUUUGGUUAAUUUGCCUUAUGAAAAUUCUUUUGAUGAAAAGCAAAUACCUACCAAAGCCCGUCCAAUCCAAAUGAACAGACUGUGCUUCUUGUUCAUCGACCAUGUCAAUCCAAGAUUUAAUAGGCAUGGCAGAAGAAAGUAAUUUUUCUUUAGGAGGGGUUAUCUGAGUUUCUUUAGAGGUUGUUUGAGGUUCAUGGUCUUUAAUGAUACCCUUGCCCUUGUCUCUUCGUUUGGGCGGCAUUAUCUGUUUUGAAGAAAUUCCCUGGUUAGAAAAUCAGGGAGAGAAUUUGUAUCUCCUUUAAUGAAUUCAAUGUCAAAAUCAAAAACACUUAAAAUGGCUUGCCAUCGUGCAAAAAUCUGUUUUGAUGCAAUGUUUUGAACAUCCUUUUCUAAAACGUGUUUUGCAGCUUUGCAGUCAAUUCUAAGUAAGAAUUUUUGAUUUAACAGAUCACUUAAUAAUAAUAAUAAUUGACACCUGGCGACGCUGAGGCUCAUGAACAUUCCAAAAAAUAUAAGUUUCAAUUGUAUCGAACCUUCCAUCUUUUGCCUUCUGUAUAAGAUCUGGCCACAUCUGCACAAAUACAACGCCUAUAGAAAUAAAUCAUAUAAAAAUUUGCAUAUUUAAAGAAUAACAAUGUUAUUUGAUCCAAAAAUAUUGCCCAUAAUUUUUUCUAAACAUGAAAGCACACCGUUUUGAAUGUGGGAUCAUGUUUGGCUUGUUAGGAAUAAAAAAAAAUUAAGAUAAUAUUUUCGCAGCAAAGUAGCAUUUUUUUUUGGGUUAAAAGAAGAAGAAAAUGUGAAAGUGCAAGUGAUUUCAGAAAUUGUAAAUUAAUUAUUUGCAUGCAGUACUUGUGGAGUGCUGCGAGGAUAUAGUGAAUUGCACCAGAGAAGAUAACUCGUCGUUCUCAAUUAAUUAUAAUGGCAGUUGCAUCAUAAUCGACUUGUGUUGCUGAUGAUAACAAGCAAAUAAAACUUAAAUUUAGAAUAAGAAGAAUUAGGCUCUGGUGGCAUUGUUGAGGGAAGAUGAAAGAACAUCUCUUCCUAUGUUAAUUAAUUAAUAUAUUUUAAGCCACUAAAGUUUAAUUGCUAGCAUAAUAAAAUUUGAAGAAGCCAAAAUGCACUAAAUAAAAGGUUGCAUAAUUAAAUAUGGGAUUAUUGCAUUAAAAUUAGGCCCUAGUGGCAUUGUUGAGGGAAUAUGAAAGAACCACUCUUCCUAUCUUAAUUAAUUGAUGUAUUUUAAACCACUAGAGUUUAAUUGCUAGCAUAAUAAAAUAAAUAAAUAAAUGUUUCAAAAGACUUAUAAUUAAUUAUUAUUAAUAGUUACAUAUUGUUGAAUUUAAAUAGAAAGAGAAAGAGACAUUAAAAUUAAACUUAGGCCCUAAUAGCAUUAUUGAGGGAAGAUGAAAGAACCUCUCUUCCUAUGUUAAUUAAUUGAUGUAUUUUAAGCCACUAAAGUUAAAUUACUAGCAUAAUAAAAUAAAUGAAUGUUUCAAAAGACUUAUAAUUAAUUAUUAUUAAUGGUUACAUAUUAUUGGAUUUAAAUAGAAAGAGGAAGAGACAUGUACAAAGAAUAUCCACCAAUAUUUUAGAUAUUUGAGGAAGAGACAUGUACAAAGAAUAUCCACCAAUAUUUUAGAUAAUAGAGAAUAUAAAAAGAUGAGGAAUGGUGAUGCCACAUCACCUCUUGGAAUCCCAGCUUUAUAUAUAUAUAUAUAGAUUGUUCUUGUUCUAUGUUUAUCACUACACUAUUUUUUAUAUAUAACAAUAAGAAAUAAAUACAAUGAAAUCUCAUUCUAAGCAUGCAUCAAUUUCAUAAAAAAAUUCAUGUAAAUUCAAGGACAAUUCUCUAGUCAGCACUUUUCUCAAACAAUUUAAUAGCAGGUGCCAAAAGCACCAAAACAAAAAUAAUCCAGAAGCUAAAAUCAAUUAUAAUGUGAAUGGAGUGAUUGUAUAUAAUUAUAAAACAAGUUCAACAUAAUCAAACAUCAAAUUUGAUGCACAGUUUAACCAAACAAAUAAACAGAAAAAAUUAAAGUCAUUGGAGUUAAUCUUUGCUCGCUUCAACAUCAACAUAAACUUGUUCCCCUGUAUCCCAUGACAAUUUGCUGCCCUCUAUUUGUUUGCAUCAAUUAUAUUAACAUCUUGGCAAAGACAACUAAUGGCAAGUACAAUGGGAGAGAGAGGGAGAAAGACAAGGGAAAGUUUACAGUGCAAUGACACAACAGGAUAUAGAGAACAACCAGUGAAAAAAUAGUACUGAAAGUAUGGAAAUCAUUAAUCUUAUCUGCCCUAUGACAUUGGCAUAAUGUUACAAAUAUUGCCUAUCAAAACCUUGUGUGAAUGUUAAUGUGAACGAGCCAAAAAGCACAGUCAAACACAACUCAAAGACAUCGUCCAUGCAAAAUUUAGCUUAUAAUAUACACAUGACAGCUGUUUUACUAGAGAGGAUGUCUGGUGUCAAACAUCAGAAUGUAGAAUAAAGUUCAAUUACAUAUGAACAAGGCUUUGAAUUUUUCAGAAAAGAACUUAAGAACAAGUCCGUGACCAUUUUCAUAUGAAGCAAAACCUUUUAUUGUUGGACCAUCUUAGUUUCACACAAGAAUAUGAAUGAAUCAAUUUUGAACUAACUAUGUUUGACAGCAUGAGUUUCAAGCUGACUGGUACAUAAAUAUCCUGAAAAUUUUAUUCAUUAGGCAAGCACUUCUUCUAGCUUUCAAAAUCCCCCAAUUUGUACAAGUCAAUAUGGACCAGUCAAACACCAAACUUAAUAGAUUAAGAAAACAGAAAAUCAAGUGAAUAAAUUAUUUAGGACAACAAAGAAUAAAAAAUUAAACAGAAGGAAUCUGACUAUGAAGAAAAAUAAUGGUACUACUAUCAGUGGUCAACCUUCGCCGUUGAAGUUGAAGUUUAGUUUCUCCAGCACUACUGAUAAAACCAUGUACCUCACUUCCUUUCCUGCAAUUCAUAUCCACAUACAUCAAAAAAUGAUCUAAAAACUGCAGUUUAUUAUAAGCACACACAUGCAGGGCAGUUUAUUAUAAACAAUUACCACUACACUAUUUUAUAUAUAACGAAAGAAAAAAAUAUGAUGAAAUCUCAUUCAAUGUAGGCAUAAAUUUCAUAAAAAAUUCAUGUAAAUAAAAUCCUUGAGCUUUAAUACUUAGUUGUAAUUUCCACAGAGGGGGAAAGUCAAGAAAAGAAACAUAAUGGUAAUAUAAUAAUGAGGAGGACCAAAUAAUAGAUAAUGCUGCAAAUUGAUUUUAAUAAAAAGACCAAUUAGUGUUGAAAAAAUAGCAUGUAUAUAUGCUAAUUUGAGGGCACAUUUUGAGUGGGUCUCACUUAACGAAAGUGAAAAAUAUUGUGAGGUUCGGAUUCUACUCUGUUGAUACUUUAAAAGUAUAAUCUUAAUUUCUCAAAAUGGUGCUUGGGUGAAUAAGAAAUUGUCUCUCAAAGUUCACCCUUGAAGUUGGAAAUUUGAAAGGAAAUGAGGCUUAUCCCACAUGGGAAAAAGAAGCCUAGUGAUUAGUGUUUAUAUAUAAACACUUGACCAUGCAUGAGUAAGAAUUACAAGGAUAAAGGCUCUCUUUACACGCGCAUGCGCAGGGGUGGUGCAAAUUCAAGACCGAUUUGGUUGAACUCGUGUGUGCCCGCGCAUUCUGCGUACGCGAAUGUCAGCCCAAAAUCAUCCAUGCAAGCUUGGCACGUUUUUAAUUUCUUUUUGAAUUUUUUAUUUUAACAGUUUCACGUUUUGAAUUCAAAGAACUUGUAACAGCUUCAACAAUUAUUUUUUGUAGCUGUUAUUCACGUUUAUUUUUUGAAUUCAAUUUUGAAAUCAAUUAAUUGAAUUGAUUUGGCUGUUAUAACAAUUAAACAUAUUGAAUUUUCUGAAUUCAAUACAAAGCAGCUCUUACAUCCUCACAUGACUAUAAAAAGGCAUAUCCUCUUCUGUUUUUUGAUAUACUGAAAAAACCAGCACACUUGUUUUCCUUCCUCCAUCUUCGUAGUCUGUUUUCUCUGAUCGAGUUCACUGUUGUGGUUCGCCGGAAUUUCCAGCCAGUGCUUAGCCAGAAAUUCGUGCCCGUUGUAUCCUGGGAAACAGAUACCAGCUGACCUUAAAGCACUCUAAGAGGUGGUAAAUCUGUUUUAAGGAAACUGUCCGCAGGCCUCGGGUUCUAUUUUAUUUUUCUGUUUCGGCUUCAUCUAUCUUCUGUUUUGCUUUCUGUUUUUCAUUUCAAUUUUCCAGUAGCUGGUUUUCGUUGUUCAGCUACUAUAUAAUUUGUUAUCUCACUGUUGUGUUUGUUUUUUCUUACAUUCUUCAAACAGAUUUUAAUUAUCAUUGAGAUGGCAACUUAAACCGUUGAUGAUAUUCCGUAUGUCCCAGUUUCAUCUUCUGUUGCUGCACCAACGUUUGUGAAGGAACCAACCUCUGUGGCAAUUCCCGUCAAUCAUGCGGAAAGGCCUGAAAAAUUCAAUGGCCAGAAUUUCAAACGUUGGCAGCAAAAGAUGUUCUUUUACUUGACCACGUUGAACCUUGCGAGGUUCUUGACCGAGGAUGCUCCUAAACCCAAAGAGGGUGAAACGGAUAUUCAAGUUGCAAGUGCAAUUGAUGCAUGGCACCAUUCAGAUUUUUUAUGUAAAAAUUAUGUAAUGAAUGGCCUUAGUGAUUCCUUGUAUAAUGUAUACAUAGGAAAGAAAACAACCAAGGAGCUAUGGGAAUCUUUAGACCGGAAAUAUAAAACCGAGGAUGCGGGUACCAAAAAGUUUGUUGUUGGUCGCUUCCUAGAUUAUAAAAUGGUGGAUUCUAAAACUGUAAUAAGUCAAGUACAAGAGCUUCAAAUUAUAUUAUCUGAAAUCCUUACAGAAGGGAUGCAUCUAAGUGAAACUUUUCAAGUUGCCGCAAUUAUUAAAAAAUUGCCUCCUGCUUGGAAAGAUUUCAAGAGUUGUUUAAAGCAUAAACGAAAGGAGAUGAAUAUUGAAGGGCUAGUUGUUAAGCUCAGAAUUGAGGAAGACAACAGAAAUGCAGAAAGAAGAGGGGUUAUUUCUAUGGCAAAGGAAAAUUUUGUUGAACAUGGACUUAAAAAUAAAAAUAAAAAAUUAGGCCCGAAAGGAGGAAUUUCCAAGAAACAAACAAAGUUUCAAGGAAAAUGUUAUAAUUGUGAUAAGAUGGGUCACAAGGCUUCGGAUUGCAGGUUGCCUAAAAAGAAGCGAGAGGCGAAUGUGGUGGAAAACAUCACUCAAUAUGUUUCAGACAUAAACUUCUCUGCAGUGGUUUCAGAAGUGAAUCUGGUUGGCUCUAAUCCAAGAGAAUGGUGGAUAGAUACAGGAGCAACCAGACAUGUUUGCUCGGACAAAGGGUUGUUCACUUCACUUGAAGCAGUUACCAAUGGAGAGAAGCUAUUCAUGGGGAAUUCGGCUACGUCUGAGAUUGAGGGUCAAGGGAAGGUGAUUUUGAAGAUGACGUCUGGGAAAGAACUGACUCUGAACAAUGUGCUCUAUGUGCCAGAAAUUCAGAAGAACUUGGUGUCUGGAUCGCUGCUGAACAAACAUGGUUUCCGAAUGGUGUUUGAGUCAGAUAGGGUAGUUUUGUCUAAAAAUGGGAUGUAUGUGAGAAAGGGUUAUGUUAAUGAUGGGCUAUUUAAGCUCAAUGUAAUGACUCUGAAACCAACAAUUAAUAAUAAAGCUAUUUCUUCUGCUUAUUUGCUUGAGUCUUCUAAUCUUUGGCAUGGUAGAUUAGGACAUGUUAAUUUUAAUUCUUUGCGUAAAUUAAUUAACAUGAAGCAUAUUCCCAAUUUCCAAAUUGAUUUGAAACAUAAGUGUGAAACUUGUGUUGAGGCAAAACUAACUAGGUCAUCUUUCCAAAUAAUUAAAAGAAACACCGAUCCACUUGAUUUAAUACAUAGUGAUAUUUGUGAUUUUAAAUCCAUUCAAACAAGAGGUGGUAAUAAAUAUUUUAUUACCUUUAUAGAUGAUUGCACAAAAUAUUGCUAUGUAUAUUUAUUGAAAAGUAAAGGUGAAGCUUUGGAAAAGUUUAUUCUCUGCAAAAAUGAAGUUGAGAAUCAACUUAAUAGAAAAAUCAAAGAAUUAAGGAGUGACCGUGGUGGUGAGUAUGUUGUUCUGUUUAUGUCACUAUGUGAACAAAGUGGAAUCAUACAUCAAAUCACGGCUCCAUAUUCACCUCAAUCUAAUGGGAUUGCAGAACGAAAUAAUCAAACUUUAAAGGAAAUGAUGAAUGCAAUGUUGAUAAGUUCUGGGUUACCCCAGAAUAUGUAGGGAGAAGCUGUUUUGUCAGCUAAUUAUUUGUUAAAUAAGAUACCCCGAAAGCAAGAAGAUAAAACCUCGUAUGAGCUAUGGAAAGGUAGAGCACCUUCAUAUAGAUUCUUACGAGUGUGGGGGUGUCUUGCUAAAGCAGUGGUUCCUUUAAAUAAAAAAGUGAAAAUAGGACCAAAAACUGUUGACUGCAUUUUCAUUGGUUAUGCACAAAACAGUAGUGCUUAUCGAUUUUUGGUGCAUGAGUCUAAAGUUCCAGAUGUCCACAAAAAUACGAUAAUAGAAUCAAGAAAUGCAUCAUUUUUCGAACAUGUGUUUCCUUGUAAUUCUAGAGUGGAAUCGAGAGAAUUGCGACAAUUUCACGAAACAACAAUUGAAAAUGAAGAAAAUGAUGAAGCAUCAGAAGAAGAAGAACAAGAAAUUGAGGUCAGACGUAGCAAAAGAGCUAGAAUAGAAAAGUCUUUUGGUCCAGACUUUCUGACGUAUUUGCUAGAAAGUGAACCUUAAAGCUUCAAAGAGGCUGUAACUUCAGCUGAAGGCACUUUAUGGAAAGAAGCCAUUAAUAAUGAAGUUGAAUCCAUUUUACAAAAUCAUACUUAGGAGCUAGUAGAUCUUCCUCCAGGAUGUAAACCUUUGGGGUAUAAGUGGAUUUUCAAAAGGAAAAUGAAAGCCAAUGGAUCAAUCGAUAAGUACAAGGCUAGGCUUGUAAUUAAAGGUUAUAGGCAACGAGAAGGCCUUGAUUACUUUGAUACUUAUUCUCCUGUUACGAGAAUAAAUUCCAUUCGGAUGAUAAUAGCAAUUGCAGCUUUGCGCAAUCUCGAGAUACAUCAAAUGGAUGUAAAGACGACUUUUCUAAAUGGAGAUUUAGAUGAAGAAAUCUACAUGGAGCAACCUGAAGGUUUUAUAGCUCCAGGACAAGAAAAGAAAGUUUAUAAAUUGGUAAAGUCAUUAUAUGGCUUGAAAUAAGCACCGAAACAGUGGCAUGAGAAAUUUGAUCAUACGAUGAUCACAAGUGGCUUUAAGAUCAACGAGUGUGACAAAUGUGUUUAUGUCAGAGAAACAGAAAAUGGCUAUGUCAUUUUAUGUUUAUAUGUUGAUGACAUGCUCAUUGUUGGGAGUGAUGAUGACAUGAUUAAAUCUACCAAGAAUAUGUUGAAGUCUAAGUUUGACAUGAAAGACAUGGGUCUUGCAGAUGUCAUUUUGGGAAUUAAAAUCUCAAGGGCUUCUAAUGGACUUAUUCUAAGUCAAACUCAUUAUGUAGAUAAAAUUCUUGGAAAAUUUAAUAAAGAUGAUAAUACUAUGUCUAAAACUCCAUUAGAUACUAGUAUCCAUCUAUCGAAAAAUAGAGGAGAGUGUAUUUCUCAAGUAGAAUAUGCCAGAAUAAUAGGCAGUCUAAUGUACUUAACAAGUUGUACCAGACCAGAUCUAACCUAUACAGUAAGCAAACUUAGUAGAUAUACGAGUAAUCCAGGAACUGAUCACUGGAAAGCUAUCGUAAGAGUACUUAGGUAUCUUCGAUACACUCGUAAUUAUGGACUGCACUAUACUAGGUAUCCAGAAGUAUUAAAAGGAUUUAGUGAUGCUAACUGGAUAUCAGAUGUAAAAGAUUCAAAAUCUAUUAGCGGCUAUGUAUUUACACUAGCAGGUGCAGCUGUAUCAUGGAGAUCUUCUAAACAAACAGUAAUUGCCAGAUCUACAAUGGAAUCUGAAUUCAUUGCAUUAGAUAAAUGUGGUGAAGAAGCAUAAUAGCUACGCAAUUUUUUAGAAGGUAUUACAAAGUGGCCAAAGCCUGUGCCUACAAUUUGUAUACAUUGCGAUAGUCAAUCAGCUAUCGAUAGGGCACAAAGCAAUAUGUAUAAUGGUAAGUCUAGACACAUACGUCGUAGACAUAAUACCAUUAGACAACUUAUUUCUACUGGAGUUAUUUCUAUUGACUAUGUGAGGUCAAAAGAUAACAUUGCGGAUCCGCUAACCAAAGGGUUAAAUAGAGAGCGAGUAGAAAAAUCAUCGAGGGGAAUGAGAUUAAAACCCAUAGAAUGAUUAGUCAAUAACGAAGGAAAACCCAACCUAGUUGACUGGAGAUCCCAAGAUUUAGGUUCAAUAGGACAACCUAUUUGUUAAAGACUAAAGUUGGAUCACUGUGGGGGUCAUUCUCUUGAGAGGAUUACCUCAUUGACCAUUCCUAUGAUGAAACAAUGAUGCCCGCGGGGAAUAAGGUUGAGCUAGGCUCUUAAUGAUUCUUAUGCGUCGAAAAAUUCGAGCAGAGUAAUGCGAGUUACUCUUAAUCAAGAUAUCACCUAUGUGAGAGAGAAGUGGGGCCGCUUCAAAGGGAGCUAUUAUGGGUUCAGCUCUUAGAAACUCUUGUAGAACCAGGUAGAUGUUCAAGGCCAAAACGAAUAUAGCCAUGAGAACUCAACAGUGUUAGGAGAAAUACCUAUGUGUAGUAUAUGAUCGUUUACACUAACGGCCGCACAGUUCAAAGACAUUCCUGAUGAUAUAUCCCUUAGGAUUUCAGGAAAAAAAAGAUUCUCCCAGCCGGCCUCCCAGGGGAUACGUUACUCUUUUUUUGGAAAGUUUUAAGUUUGGGAUGAGGUGCCCCCUACAACCCUAUUUUGCCCGAAUGCUUAGUGGGUUAAACUUAGCUCCUGGUCAACUUAACCCCAACGGGUGGAGGGUACUUUCUGGUCUGUUCAUAUUGUGGAACAGAUGCUGCCAGAGUGAGCCCACAGUUGAUGAGGUAAAGCACCUGUACCAGUUAAAGAGUAGCCCCAAAGACGCCGGCUGGUAUUACUUCAUGUUGAGUACCAAGACCAGGAAACCCAUAACUGAGCUUCCAACUGGUGGUGGUGGGAAUUGGAAGAAAAAAUCUUUUUUUGCUGGGGGUCCCUGGGGUCAAGUUGCACAGAUUAAUGGGAAGAACUAUCGUGUCCCAUCCUAUUUCAUGGUCCCAGGUUGCCUGCUCGCUUUAGAUGUCUUGUAUCCCUAGUUGUUCUCAGUUUUUAUUUAACUCUAACCCAAUUUUUGUUCGAACUGCAGGUUCUUGGGGUGUCCACUACAAGCUUAAACUUGAACCGCUCAAGCGGGCCGAGGUUGUGUUAGUCAAUUCCUGCUUGAGCCAAGAGUUGCUAUCUACUUACAACUUAUUCGAAUCUCGCCUGGUGUCCACUGAUCUUAAGAUGGAGGAUGUUGUGAUCGGGGCUUUGAAUCAGAAACGUCCUCGACCUCAUGCUGCUAAGCGAGACUAGAAUAAGGAUGCUCCCUCUGCGAAACGGGUGAACAUCGCGGAGCAGUUCCCCCCCUUGAGGACUCUACCACCUCCUCCUACCAAAGUCGGCGAAAUUAGUGGAACAGCCACUGAUCCCACCUCUCCUCCUUCAUCAACAGGUUCGAAACCUCAUUUGCCCGACAAUCGAGCAGAGCAUCUGGUCCUCUAUAUUAGUGAGUUUUCUAGGCUCGUGAGCAAAAAGGACUUGGAAGACUUUGACGGCAGCACUUUGGGCGAGCUAGUGGGGGCUAUGCAGUAUAGUGCUUUUCAUCUCGGCUGCAUGGCCACUUCCUAUACGGCAAAGGUCGGCCGCUAUGACUGAAAGAUGAGAGAAGACGUUCAGUUGGCCAAAAACAAAGCCGACGCUGCCGAGAAGAAAGCCGGAGAUCUCAACCUUAAGAAUACGAAGUUGAUAGAGCGGGAGUCUCUCACGCAGGCAAAGGCCAUCACUCUUAACGAGGAGCUUAAUAAGGUCAAGGAGGACCUGCAGAAGCAAAAGGCUACUUACGAGGCUCAGCUCGAAUCUCUCAAAGAUUCCCACCAGGUUCAGGUUGAAAACCUAGAGAAGGAAGCUGACAACCAGUAUAACCAGGGGCUUCGGCAUUCUUAUUGCUGCAUCAUGGCCGUCUUAGGGAAACAACAUCCUGAUCUGAAGAUUGACGAACUUGCCGCUGGUGUUGCUCAACAUAUGGAUCAGGAGGCAGCCAAAGAAGAUGUCGAAAAGUUGGGGCUAAAUGCAACUGAGGAGGGAACCUCUCCUCCUUGUGCAGUCCCUGCUGAUGUUGCCGAGGCAAGUACCCCCCAGGUGCAACUGGCGAGACCCCCCUGCUCCUGAGGUGGACUAGCCAGCGGAGAUGGCUUAGCUUACUGACUCGCCGUCCUCUUGAAUGUACCCUGUGUUGUAGGUUUCUUUUUUGGAACAUUGUAUGUUAAAACUAGCAGCUUUUCAUAAUCGUUGGCAGAUUAAUAAGAAUGUUCUUAUUUGCUUUCUUCGCUUCGAGCUCUUGGCAGAUUAUUUUAUUUUUUAUUUACUUACAUUGUGGUUGAGCAGGUGCCAAAAAGAUCGGCUUCCUGUACUGCCAUUGAGCAGGCCUGGAAAUUCAUGGAGUUGUUCGCCUUACAUUUGAUGGUUUGCUCGCCUUUGCUUGGUCGAGCAGAUCCCGGCAUGCUUGGCUUCUAGUCUCGCCAUAAAUUAGGCUUUGAGACUUAGUGAGCCUUUGCAUGCCUUAGAAAUUUUUAUAACAUUUGAGGGUAUGCUCGCCUUCGCUCGGUCGAGCAAAUCCUGGCAUGCUUGGCUUCUGGUCUCACCAUAAAACAAACUUUGAGACUUAGUGAGUCUUUUCAUGCCUUAGAAAUUUUCAUAACAUUUGAGGGUCUGCUCGCCUUCGCUCGGUCGAGCAGAUCCUGGCAUGCUUGGCUUCUGGUCUCGCUAUAAAACAGGCUUUGAGACUUGGUGAGCCUUUGCAUGCCUUAGAAAUUUUUAUAACAUUUUAGGGUCUGCUUGCCUUCGCUCGGUCGAGCAAAUCCUGGCAUGCUUGGCUUCUGGUCUUGCCAUAAAAUAAGCUUUGAGACUUAGUGAGCCUUUGCGUGCCUUAGAAAUUUUUAUAACAUUUGAGGGUCUGCUCGCCUUCGCUCGGUCGAGCAGAUCCUAGCAUGCUUGGCUUCUGGUCUCGCCAUAAAAUAGGCUUUGAGACUUGGUGAGCCUUUGCAUACUUUAGAAAUUUUCAUAACAUUUGAGGGUAUGCUCGCCUUCGCUCGGUCGAGUAGAUCCUGGCAUGCUUGGCUUUUGGUAUCGCCAUAAAAUAGGCUUUGAGACUUGGUGAGCCUUUACAUGCCUUAGAAAUUUUUAUAUAUGACGACUGACUGAAAUUCCUCCACCUUUCAUUAAUUAUUGAACUUGGCUUACAAGAAAUAUAUAAACAUAAAGUGAAUAACAAUAACAACGAGUAGAAAUAACUCUUAAACAUGAUUGAGUCUUACUGGAAAUAUUUUCUGAGGUGCGCUGCGUUCCAGGGGCGUUUCACCUCGUGGCCAUCUGCGCGAACGAGCUUAUAGGCCCCGGGUCCAGCGACCUGCUUGACCCUAUAUGGCUCCUCCCAGUUUGGACCGAAUACUCCUUGUGUCAGGUCUUUCGUGUUCUGAUUCACCCUCCUAAGUACUCAAUCACCGACCUUGAACAAUCGUAUACGCACCUUCUGGUUGUAAUAACGAGCAACCCUCUGCUGGUAGACAGCUGAUCGCUUCGAUGCUUGCUCCCUCUUCUCAGUCAGCAAAUCCAGAUUUAAGCACAUCUGGUCGUUGUUUUCCUGUUCAUCGAAGUGAUCUGUCCGGUGCGUGGCCGGCCCUAUCUCCACGGGAAUAACAGCUUCAUGUCUGAAGGCCAAAGCGAACAGAGUUUCACCGGUUGUUGUUUUGUGGGUUGUCCUGUAUGCCUAUAAUACACCUGGUAGCUCAUCAACCCAUGCUCCAUUCUUUGCUCCUAGCCUAGUUUUCAAAAGCCUCUUGAUAACCUUGUUGGCUGCUUCUACUUGUCCGUUAGACUGAGGGUGAGCAGGUGAGCAAAACUUCAGCUCUAUCCUUAGAUUCUGGCAGAAGUCUCUGAAGUUAUGAUUAUCAAACUGCCUGCCAUUGUCUGCUAUCAGGGCAUAUGGGAUCCCAUAUCUACAGACCAAGUUUCUCUAUACGAAGUCAAUCGUCUUUUUCUCUGUGAUCCCGCUGAGGGCUUCUAUCUCAACCCACUUCGUGAAGUAAUCAAUCGCUACUAUUACAUACGUUGUUGCCCCCCGUCCUUUGGGCAACGGUCCAAUCAGAUCAAUUCCCCAUUAAGCAAAUGGCCAUGGCGAGGCCAUAUAAGUGAGCUUCUCUGGUGGUUGGGUAGAGAAAUUUGCAAAACUCUGGCAACUCAUGCAACUCCUGGUUUUCUCCUAUGCAUCUUGGUGCAUCGUCGGCCAGAAAUAUCCCUGCCUCAGAGCCUUGUGGACAAGGGACCUCGCACCAUAAUGGUUUCUGCAAACUCCCUCAUGUACUUCUCUCAGUACGUAAUCUGCAUCGUCCUCAUCCAAACAUUGGAGGACCGGUAGAGUGUAUCCCCGCCGAUAUAACACCCCAUCAAUCAUGGUGUAUCUCGACGCUUGAGCUUUGAUCUUGCGAGCUCAUAACUUAUCUGGUGGUAAUACCUCAUCCCUGAUGUACGAGGCUAUCGGGUCCAUCCAUAAGCACUUCUGUUCUACCCUCAGUACCUCCAGAUUCUACUCAAUGUUGGGUCUAGUCUUCACCUCCAAAGGGAUUGACUUGGGUAGUUUCGGAUCUACUACAGCAGCCAUUAUAGCUAAAAUGUCUGCUCGAUAAUUCUCCUCUCUUGGGAUUUGUAUCACUUCUACUGACUCAAACUUCCCCAUCAUUUGUCUUACCUUCAUUAAGUAUUGUUCCAUCUUCCCAUCUCUCUGUUGAAAUCUCUCACUGACGUGGUUGGCAACCAGUUGGGAAUCAGUUCGGACUCUCACUUUAUUUGUUUUCACUGCCUUAGCCAGUUCUAACCCCGCUAUUAAAGCUUCGUAUUGGGCCUGGUUAUUUAUGGCCGUGAACUCUAAUUUUACAGUGUAAGAGAUCUUCUCCCCUUCUGGGCCUUCCAACACAAUCCCUGCUCCGGACCCCUGCUUCCCUAAAGAUCCAUCCACCGACAUAUGCCAUACUCGAUCCUCGUCGUUGACUACAGCCAUAUCCAGCUCGUCCAAACUUACUUCGGGCUCUGUAAAUUCUGCCACGAAGUCUGCCAUUGCUUGGGCCUUUAUUGCUGCUCAGGGUUUGUAGCUUAUAUCGAACUCACUCAGCUCUAUAGCCCAUUUCACUAGCCAACCAGAAGAAUUCGGUUUGUGCAAAGUUUGCCGCAACGGUUGGUUUGUUAUUACCAAGACAGGAAAUGCCUGAAAGUAUGGCCUCAGCUUUCGAGCAGCAACCACCAGAGCAAGUGCCCAUUUCUCCAACGAUGGGUAUCUAGUCUCGGCAUUGAGCAGGGCUUUGCUUGUGUAGUAGAUCGGAUACUGAACCCCUUCUUCAUCUCUUACUAGAACCGAGCUCGUAGCAUGAUCUGAUACUGCCAUAUACAAGAACAACACGUCCCCCUCUCGUGGCGUGGACAGCAAAGGUGCUCGCUGCAGAUAUUGUUUCAAACUCUAGAAGGCUUCUUCGCAUUCGGGGGUCCAUUCCGUUUUCUUUCCUCUCCUUAUUACUUGGAAAAAGGUCUGGCACUUAUCUGUCGCCUUGGAUAUGAAUCGGCUCAGUGCUACUAACUUCCCAGCAAGGCUCUGUAUCUCCUUCAGGCUACUAGGGGACCUCAUACGCACGAUUGCCUGAAUUUUCUCAAGAUUCGCCUCGAUUCCCCAAGGAAUUUUCCCGCUUCGACCCCAAAAGCACACUUCUCCGAGUUUAGCUUCAUCUUAUACUUCCUCAGAAGCCCAAAUGUCGCUUCGAGGUGCUCGACAUAUUUGCUCAGGUUUUUCGAUUUGGUUAUCAUGUCGUCUACGUACACCUCCAUUGUUCUUCCAAUCAGGGGCUUGAAGAUUUUGUUCACCAACAUCUGGUAUGUAGCACCCGCAUUUUUUAGGCGUGUAGAUGGUGUAUUUAAAGAAAAAAUGUACUAAAAAAUCUAAGACAUGUAUUGAUGUGCAUGUGAGUUGUUAAUAGACAACUGUUAUAGUUAAUUACAAACGUAAAUGUCGGUAGUAAAGAGAUUUUCUUGUCAAAAUCUCCAAAAAAUACGCAGAAAUUUCGGGGAAAAAUUUUAGUUCUCCCUUUUCAGAUUCAGACGUAUGGUUUGGGGCAAGAAAAGUUUUUUUCUCUUCAAAUGUAAAUAGGAAAAGUUUGAUUUUUUGUCAUCCACACCCAAGAAGGCUGAAGGAAAGGAAGUAAUUGUGAGUAUGAGUCUAUUGGAAUAUAUGCUGUGAGAUUAAUAGUAUUUUUCAACUUUUUUUAUUCCAUAUGUAUGUAAAGUAUCAAAAGAUGAAAAUAAAAUUUGCAAUUUGUAUUAUUUACUUAGUUUUUCGUCAAUUCCUUGUUUGCUGUCAUCAAUUAUUUGAGGAAGUAUUUAAUAAAGCAUCUUUAUACAGUGGAAAAUGCUUGUCUCCACACAGCUUUUGUCACUUUGACCUUUUUAUUUUUUAUUUUUUAAACAUUAAAAAAUUAUCGCGAAGCUUGACAGAGGAAAGAGGCGAAACGACAGCAACAGAUGUCGUUUCUCUCAGGCUUCGUUAUACUGUAUAACCUCCACAGUCACGUUAAAUAAUUUUCGCAUCCCAAAUUCUCUCAUCCACUGAACUGUUAUGGCUUCUUCUUCUUCUUGUCCACCUCGAAACGCUAAGAAGCUGCAUGAUGUUUUCCUGAGUUUCAGAGGAGAGGACACCCGUGACAACUUUACUAGCCAUCUUCACUAUGUUUUGUCUCUGAAAGGUAUCAAAACUUUCGUUGAUGACCAACUUAUCAGAGGAGAUAACAUUUCACGGUCUCUUCUUGAUACAAUUGAAGCAUCAAGCAUCUCAAUUAUUAUUUUCUCAGAAAGGUAUGCUUCUUCUAGAUGGUGUCUCGAUGAACUUUUGAAGAUCCUCGAAUGCAAGCACGAUUAUGGACAGAUUGUGAUUCCAGUUUUCUAUCGGGUCGAUCCAUCACAUGUGAGAUGGAAAACUGGGACUUUUGGAGAUUAUUUUUCGGAGCUUGGAGAACGAUAUCCAGAGAAGAUGCAAAGAUGGGGGAAUGCUUUGACCGAGGCAGCCAAUCUUUCUGGCUUUGAUUCUCAUGUAAUUAGGUAACAGCGAUCUUCUAUCUAAUUCUUACUAUUAAUUAAUCUAGUAUAUGUAAUAAAUGACAUUAUAAGAAUGAGUUUAACUUAUCAAUAGUUUAUUAGUUAAAUAAUUUUUACGAAGAUUAUGUUAUUGUCUUGCAUGUUUAAUUAAUUUUCCAAUUAUUUUAUUUUAUGAAAUUGAUCUUCACAUUCCAUUAAUUAGCUAUUUUCUAUUGAAACUAAUUAAAAACACACGAUUCUCUGUUUCCUUUACAUAUAUUUGAACUAAUUGCUGUUAUUUUUUUAACUAGGCCUGAAUCUAAACUUAUUGAGGCAAUUGCCAAUGGCGUUUUGAAGAGGCUAGAUGCGACUUUUCAAAGUGAAAACAAAGGCUUGGUCGGAGUUGCAUGGCGCAUUAAAGAAAUUGAAUCAUUAUUGUGCAUUCGGUCUGCCGGGGUUUACGUAUUAGGGAUUUGGGGCAUCGGUGGUAUAGGCAAGACAACAAUCGCUGGUGCUGUUUUUAACAAAAUCUCUAGAUGUUUUGAAGGUUCUUACUUUGCGCUUGAUGUUAGAGAAGCAGAAGAAACUGGCAGAAUAAAGGACUUACAAAAGGAACUUCUGUCCAAGUUAUUGAAUGAUGGAAAUGCGAGGAACGUCGAGUCUCAACUCAACAGACUUGCUCGCAAGAAGGUUCUAUUAGUGUUUGACGAUGUGAAUCAUCCAGGACAAAUAGAAUCAUUAAUUGGAUGCCUUGAUGAGUUAGCUUCAGGGAGUCGAGUGAUAAUAACAACAAGGGAUAAACAAGUUCUUGAAAAUUGUUGGGUCAAUCAAAUAUAUCGGAUGAAGGAAUUAGUGGAUGUUGAUGCUCAUAAGCUUUUCUGUCAGUGUGCUUUUAGGGGAGGCCAUCUCGACGCAAGUUACACAGAGGUCACGCGCAAGGCAAUAAAAUAUGCGCAUGGAGUUCCUUUAGCUCUUCAAGUUUUGGGUCGCCAUCUAUGCGGAAGGAGCAAAGAGGUAUGGGAAAGUGCAAUGAGAAAACUGGAAAUAAUUCCUCACGUGGAUAUUUUGAAGGUGUUAAAAAUCAGUUAUGAUAGCUUGGAUGACUCUCAAAAGAAUGUUUUUCUAGAUAUUGCAUGUUUAUUGGAAGGAGAGCAUAGAGAUGAGGUGACAAGCUUUUUUGAUGCUAGUGGCUUCCAAGCUAAAAUAGAAUUAAGUGUUCUUGAAGAUAAGUCUCUCAUAACUUGCUUGAAUAACCAGAUAAGAAUGCAUGACUUGCUACGAGAUAUGGGAAGAGAAAUUGUUCGAAAUGAAUCUAUCGAUCUUCCAGGAAAGCGUAGUAGGUUGUGGUAUCACAAGGAUAUUGAUGAAGUUUUGAAGAAAAAUACGGUGAGAAAUAAUAAGUUUUUAAUUGUAUCUUAUUUGUGUUACAAUUAUUUUAGCAAUUUGUCUGAAUAUGUCUUUUUGAAUCAAAAUAGCAUUAAUACAGCUUAAAAUUAAUUGAAAAAUAAUAUUAAAAAAUUGGUCAAAUAAAAUAGAUAGACUGAUGUUUCCCCAACUCAGUUUGAAACAUGCUCCUAAAAUCCCCAGCAAACUAGUGCCUUCGGAGAGAGACCCCAAAAAAAAGAAAAAAAAACACCUCAAUGUUAUUGCAUUUCCUUUUCAACUCAAGCUCUGCCCCUAUCCUUAUUUUUCACUAAAAAAGAAUUGAUUGAAUUAAUUUUACAGUUUAGAUAUUAAGGAUUUUCUUGAAUUUUCUAUUCUACACUUCCUAAAAGCCUUACCCAAAUAGUUUAUUAUAAAGUGAUUGUAAUAUCUCUAUUUGGGUUUGACGGCUUAAAAAUAAUUGUUCAUUUGUUUGCUUCAAUUAUAUGCCAACUUAUGAUCUCCUAUUUGAUUGUUAGGGAACUGAAGCAAUCAAGGGUAUCUCCUUGGAUAUGAAUAAAGUCAAUAGAAAGAUACACAUGGAUUCCUUUGCUUUUUCAAAGAUGCCUAAAUUGAGAUUCUUGAAAUUCUAUGGAUUUGAGAACAAAUGUAUGGUGUCUCAUUUGGACGGUGUGCUGUUUGCUGAACUAAGGCACUUAGAGUGGCAGCAAUAUCCAUUGAAAACGUUGAAUAUACAUGCGGAGAAUCUUGUUUCACUUAAAAUGCCUUUCAGCAAAGUUGAACAACUUUGGGAUGAUGUUCAGGUAUAUAUAUAUUUGAAAUUCUUUCAGAAAUAAAUUCUAAAUACAAUUGAUUCUAUAAUUAAUAUAUGUGAUGGUAUCUGUUUAUUUAUAAAGAUGAUGAUGAUGAUAAUAAUAAUAAUAAAAAAAAAAAUUUUGGGGGUGCAGGAUCUUGUUAACUUAAAAGAAAUAGACCUCUGUGGAUCCAAGUCGUUAACGAAACUCCCAGACUUGUCACAGGCCAAAACUCUUGAGACUCUAUCGUUAGAAGGCUGUUUAAGUUUGAUGGAGACUCACUCAUCUAUUCAAUAUCUAAAUAAACUUAAAGUUCUUGAUCUAGGAAAGUGCAAAAGCCUGACGAGUCUUCCAACUAGCAUUCAUUCGAAAGAUCUCAAGACACUUAUUCUUUGGGGAUGCUCAAAUUUGAAGAACUUCCCAAAGAUCACAUCCUGCCAUAUAUCUCUUUUACAGUUAGGAGAAGUUGGAAUCAAAGAACUGCCCUCAUCCAUCGAGUGCCUAUCCAAUCUGGGAGAACUUCUUAUUACGGACUGUUCAGAGCUUGAGAGCAUCUCGAGUAGCGUAUUUAAGUUGAAGUCUCUUAACUAUAUUGAAAUCUCUAAUUGUUCAAAUUUGAAGAGGUUUCUAGAGAUCCCAUCUUGUAAUACAGAUGGAAGUACUGGAAUUGAGCGACUAGGCUCAUGUAAGUUGGUAUUGAAAGAAUGUUCAAAUAUUGAGAGUCUCCCAAGCAGCCUGUGUAUGUUCAAAUCUCUGACAUCUCUUGAAAUUGUUGAUUGCCAAAAUUUCAAGAGAUUGCCUGAUGAACUUGGAAAUUUAGAAGCAUUGAAGACGUUGACCGUUGAUGGAACAGCUAUAAGAGAAGUACCAAAAAGCCUUGGUCAGUUACCUUUAUUAUAUUCCUUACAAUUGAAGAAGUGUUCAGAGCUUGAGUACAUCUCGAGUAACAUAUUUAAGUUGAAGUCUGAUAUGUUGAUUGAAAUCUCUAAUUGUUCAAAUUUGAAGAGGUUUCUGGAGAUCCCAUCUUGUAAUACAGAUGGAAGUACUGGAAUUGAGCGACUAGGCUCAUGUGAGUUGGUAUUGAAAGAAUGUUCAAAUAUUGAGUGUCUUCCAAGUAGCAUGUGUAUGUUCAAAUCUCUGACAUCUCUUGAAAUUGUUGAUUGCCAAAAUUUCAAGAGAUUGCCUGAUGAACUUGGAAAUUUCGAAGCCUUGAGCACGUUGACCAUUGAUGGAACAGUUAUAAGAGAAGUACCAGAAAGCCUUGGUCGGUUACCUUUAUUAUAUUCCUUGCAAUUGAAGAAGUGUUCAGAGCUUGAGUACAUCUCGAGUAGCAUAUUUAAGUUGAAGUCUGAUAUUGAAAUCUCUAAUUGUUCAAAUUUGAAGAGGUUUCUGGAGAUCCCAUCUUGUAAUACAGAUGGAAGUACUGGAAUUGAGUGGCUAGGCUCAUAUGAGUUGGUAUUGAAAGAAUGUUCAAAUAUUGAGAGUCUCCCAAGCAGCUUGUGUAUGUUCAAAUCUCUAACAUCUCUUGAAAUUGUUGAUUGCCAAAAUUUCAAGAGAUUGCCAGAUGAACUUGGAAAUUUAGAAGCCUUGAGAAUGUUGACCGUUGAUGGAACAACUAUAAGAGAAGUACCAGAAAGCCUUGGUCAGUUACCUUUAUUAUAUUCCUUGCAAUUGAAGAACUGUUCAGAGCUUGAGUACAUCUCGAGUAGCAUAUUUAAGAUGAAGUCUCUUGAAUCUAUUGAAAUCUCUAAUUGUUCAAAUUUGAAGAGCUUUCUGGAGAACCCAUCUUGUAAUACAGAUGGAGGUACUAGAAUUGAGAAACUAGCAUCUUCUAGGUUGAAAUUGGAGGGAUGUUCAAGUCUUGAGAGUCUCCCAAGCAGCCUGUGUAUGUUCAAAAAUCUGACAUCUCUUGAAAUCAUUGAUUGCCAAAAUUUCAAGAGACUACCUAAUGAGCUUGGAAAUUCAAAGUGCUUGACGGUGCUGAUAGUUAAAGGAACAGCUAUAAGAGAAGUACCAGAAAGCCUUGGUCAGUUAUCCUCACUAGAAAGUUUGGUACUAUCUAAUAACAAUUUGGAGAGAUUACCAUAAAGCCUCAAUCAGUUAUCCUCACUAGAAUAUUUGCAACUAUUCAAAAACAGUUUGGAGGGAAUACCAGAAUACCUGAGGAGUCUUCCAAGUAAGUUGACAUCGCACAAUUUAUCUGUUGACUUGAGAAAUUGUUUGAAAUUGGACCCGAAUGAGCUCAGUGAAAUCGUCAAAGAUCAGUGGAUGAAGCAGGUGUGUCUCUUAACUCACUCCUUUCAUUCUAUUUUCUUUUUCUUUUUACUUUAAUUCAAGUUAUCAUUAUUUUUCAAAAAUUAAUAAUUUUUUAUUUUUGUGUUGCAGUCGUUUGAUGUUAACUUUGGGACUACUAAAAGUAUGUAUUUCCCUGGGAAUGAAAUUCCAAAGUGGUUUAGGUAUCAAAGUAUGGGAUCUUCUGUAACCUUCAAGACGCCACCAACAGAUUUCUUCAACAAUAAAAUAUUAGUAGGCUUUGCUUUUUGUGCUGUUGUGGCAUUUCCAGCCUCAGAGUGCUUUGAGGCUGUGAAGUGUGUAGUUUCCUGUGAUUGGAAAAGCAAACCCAAAUACUGCCCAACGGUCGGUCUUUUGGGAGAAUUAUUUAUGUUGAGUUAGAUCACGUGUUUUUGGGAUAUUAUUUAUUCGGUUGGCGGGAUUUAAGUACGAGACAUGAUUAGGGAUGGUAAUGGACACCGCCCGCAGCGGGUUUGCUAUUACCAAACCCAAACCCGCACAAAAUUUAAAUUAUCAAACCCACCCGCAACCCACAGUGGGUUUUAAUUUUCUUACAAAAAUUCACCCGCAGCGGGUUUUAACAAUUACCAAACCCGCAAUGGUAUCCGGCGGAUUUUUUGCGGGUUUCCGUAUUUAAAAUCACAAAUGUUUAAUAUAUAAAUUUAUAAUAAUAACCUCAAAUUCCAUAUAACAUACUCAAUUUUAUAUUUAAAUAAUGUAAAUGAAAAAUUAAAAUUUCCACAUCAAUUCAACACAAAUUCUCAAAUUUAAGUAUAAAUUACACAAAUCCAUUUAAAAAACACAAACUAGCAUCUAAAAAUAAUAAUUACAUUUCAUAUUAUCAUUUAAAACAAGCUCUAAGAGAAUAUAUUCAUUUCAUUCACCACCAUAAGCACCCAUCCAACACAAUGCCUAUAAUAAUAAUUAAGAUUAAUAUUUUCAAAUACUAAUUCGAAGGAAAAUGCCUUUUAAUUUUCUUUAGAUUAUGACUUUAGAAUAAGAUAUAGGCCACAUAUACACAUACACAACUUUGAGCCUUUGGUUAUUUGAUAAUUUAAUUAAUGACAUUAUUUUCUUUAUACAUUUUUAGAUUAAAAUUAAAUUAAAAAUAUUUGAAAAAAAUAUUACGGGUUUGGUGGAUAUCCAUGCGGGUAUCCACCGGAUAUAAGGUUAAUACCAAACCCACCCGCAUCCAUGUGCGGGUGUUAAUUUAUAAUACUAAACCCGCCCGCAACGGGCGGGUUUUGGCGGGUGGGUUUGGGCGGGUUUGUGGGUUUGCGGGUACAACGGGCGGGUUUUGGCGGGUGGGUUUGGGCGGGUUUGUGGGUUUGCGGGUACAAUUGCCAUCCCUAGACAUGAUGAAGGCUAUUUUGAUGAGGUCUCUUUCUACAUUUUUCCUACUUACGCUGGUGGGGGAGUGAAACAAUGUGGUAUUCAUUUUGUGUACGCUCCAGUUUCUAUGGAAUCAAGAGAAAAGGAAGAGGAACCACACACCAAAAGACUGAAAUGUUCAACUCGAAAGCAGCUGGUACUCCUUGGCAAGAAAAUCAAUCUGUAGACCUUGUUUUUGUCUUCAUUUUUUAUAUGCGUUUUUUCAAUAUGCUCGUUUAUGUAAUAUUUAUUAAUUGUUUGUUGUUGGAUGGAUGAAUCAAUAAAUUCAAAAAAAUGGUAAUUAACCGAGGAUGUAGAUCUAUGAGUUCUCUUUGUUUUAUCUUUAAUUUCUGUUCGGUUCAUGUCUGGAAUAUCCCAAAAAUUACAUAUCCAUUUACUAACUAAAAAUGCGCUGAUUAGAUUAAGAUUAUUUUAGUUAUUCUUACUUUUUCAGUUUUCAAACUUUAUAAGAAUAAAAUCGUUAUAUUAAGUUUUGAGAUUUGAAUUUAAAAGAAAAUACAAAUUUGCUCUCGAGAAUUAAAUUUACAGUAUUUUAAAUUAAUUACUAAUUAGGUAUGAUAAGGUGUAUGAUGUUGUGAAAAUUAUUAUUACUAUGUGUUUGGGGGAAAAAUAAGAAAGAUAGUAUAACGCCACGUGUCGACGAAUGGAAUAACUUCAGUGCAAUCUGAGGUACCCGACAUGAUUAGAGGUACCCCGCAAGAUUAGAGGUACCUGCAAUGAUUUGAGGUACCCGAUAUGAUUAGAGGUAUCCGGCACGGUCAGAGGUACCCUGCAUAACUCCAGAAUAACUCGAGGUACCCCGCAUAACUCCAGAAUAACUCGAGGUACCCCGCAUAGACUGGGGUACCCCGUAUAAUUUGAGGUACCCGAAAUAACUCCAGCAUAAUUCAAGGUACCCAGAAUAACUCCAACAUAUUUCAAGGUAUUCGGAAUAACUCGAGGUACGCAGCAUGAUUAAAGGUACCCGGCCUGAUUAGAGGUAUCCCGCAUGAUUAGAGGUACCCGGCUUGAUUAGAGGUACCCCGCAUGAUUAGAGGUACCCGGUGUGAUUAAAGGUACCCCACAUGAUCAGAGGUACCCGACGUCAUUAGAGGUACCCGGCGUAAUUAGAGGUACCCAACCUGAUUAGAGGUACCCCGCAUUAUUAGAGGUACCCGGCUUGAUUAGAGGUACCCAGCACAAUCUGAGGUACCCUACAUAACCUGAGGUACCUGGCAUGAUUUAAGGUACCCCAGACAAAUAGAGAUACCCAACAUAAUACGAGAUACCCUGCACAAUCUGAGGUACCCCGCACAAAUAGAAGUACCCCACACAAAUAGAGGUACCCCACAUAAAUUGAGGUACCCCACGUAACUCGAGGUACCCGGCAGAUCAGAUGCAAGAGAAUCCUCCGAAAAUAUCCGCCGAGAGAAACGUCUCCAUCUCUUAAAAGAUAUUAUUCGAUUUUGUCAAAAUUAGGAAUCAAGAACGUCGUACAAAAAGGGGGGGACAGCCGCAUGCUACCUCUGCCAAAAGUAAAGGAUAUGUCCCAAGGACGGUGGUCCUCAGCCGCCUACCCGACAGCUACUGCAGAGGUACCCUGGACCACUUUCCAGCGCGCGCCACGUUUCCAAAGGAUGAGAUACGCCACGAACAUGCACAUAACGGCCCAAAAAUCAUAAAAAGGCAAAAGGACGUUAGCCAAAAAGGGUACGCCACGUGGCAGCUGAGGUACUCCAUAUAUAAAGGUGACUAGAUUUUAUUCUCCAGGAGGUUCUCACUUACCAUUAAUACUCACACUCCAAAAAAUAGGUUUUCUUCAACCUUAAACCCUAAUUUACAGAGGGCUAGCCAGCUCUCUUUGCCAUAAAACCUUGAGUUUGCUAACUUGAGCAUCGGAGUGUGAACGCCGGGGUACCCCGGCUUCACCUCUAACCUCUAUUUCAUUGUUUUGCAGGCGUGGAGCCCAUUUUGAAGGACAUCUCUCUUGGUUUUGACCUUUCACCAUUGUUACCACUUCCUCUCCCUUUCUCACCUCCCCCAAAUUUCAGAUACACCGCAUUGCACACAACAAACCAGUGAGGUACUCCAUCUCCCCCAAAAAUACAAAUUCAUUGUUUAAGAUAGAUUUUGGUUUUUCCUACCCCAAAAUCAGUUGAAAACAAUUGGCGCCGUCUGUGGAGAAUCGCACAAAAAGUUUCCACCGCGGUUACCAAACUAGUUGUUGUGUGUACUCCAAUACAUGGCACCCGACGCACCUCCCGAAGGUUUAAUGGCGGAUCCUACAAGGAUGGGAGAUGACAUCAGUGGUGAAGAUAGUGAUACCGUAAGAAGGGUAGCUCAUCUCAACAAGGGCAAGGGUAUCAAGCAAUCAACGGGUAUCCGUCAAGAUGAUGAACCCAUCUCUCACAAGCGCUUUGAGAAUCUUGCCCAUGCAAUACUUAGGGCGGUUGGAUCUCGGGCACCCGAAAGUUCACUUCCACCAGUGACACUAGAUGCUCCACCACCUCAAACGGACAACCAAGCUAUGGUCAGAAGAGAAGUACCCGAGGCCAGCAAACCAAAGCAUAGGCCAUCGGGUACUCGUUCUAAGUUUCAAACCGUGGGCUCCCGCGACGAGCAUUCCACCACCUCUUGCAAUUCCCGCAGCAGCCCGGGUACGAGGCGUGCAAAGCAUACCCACGAAGAUCUCCGUGAGAAGUUAAACGCCAAAAUGGAUUCUCAAAUGGCGGCAACAUCAUCGGGUACACCUAGGGUACCCCUCGAACUUGUGGAAAAGGUGGAGAACCUGGAAGCCCAAGUGAAGCUCCUCUCCGAGAAGCAAAACACCACAACUGCUCCAACACCAAUGACCUACCAAUCGCCAUUCACUAUGGAGAUUCGGACGGCAGCUCUUCCCGAAGCGUUCACCAUGCCUCAAGUACCCUAAUACUCGAGUACCACUGAUCUAUACCGCGACCAAAUACCUAUCAAGGGUGUAUAUGAGAAUGCCAUGUGUAGGAUGUUUACACACACACUCACUGGCCUCGCGAAGUCAUGGUUUCGGUCCUUGAAGGCCGGUAGCCUAUCUUCUCUACACCAAUUGUUAUCCGAAUUUACUAAAGAGUUUUCCUAUGUUUCCACUCAAGAUAGGGUAGCCUCCAAACUUGCCUUUAUCAAGCAAGGAGAAGCCGAACUUUUGGCGGAGUAUGUGAGCUGUUUCCACCAAAGACGUGUUGCGAACCGGAGCAUUUGGAAACCAACACACACUAACCCAUUUCGAGAAAAAUUUACGGUUGGGCAAGUUAUGGCGUUCCUUUCAAAAGAAGCACCCACUUUCAUAUGGGGAAGCCCGUUCCCGGGCGUUGCAGCAAGUGGAGAUGGAUGAGAAAUGUCAUUUGAAGUGCCAAGAAGAUAAAGUCGAGGUCACAAAGAAUAAGGAAAAGCCGAAGAGGACGGAAGCCCCAUUACCAAGGGUACCCCGAAUGCGGAGCCCUCCACGGGUUGCCCCGCGGGGACGAGUGUUUAACACUCAGGGUAUCUCACGGGUACCCCAACCUCCAAGAUCGCCACCACCAGAGCAGCAACAGCCACCAUCGAGGCCUCGGUGGUAGGGUACCCCAUAACUAGUUACUCUAGAGUUAUGCGAGGGUACCCCACGGGGACCAGAUUAAGCCUAAAUGUGAAUUGGAGGCACCUUUGGAUCCUUGAAUACUUAAAGAUGAAAAACGGGGUACCCCGGUUGAAGACUCGAUUUCAGUCUCGAUUUGGGCCACUGAUCCAACAAAGAAAAGUCACACUACUAGUAAAAGUAUUGUUUAUUAUGAUGCAAGAGGGUAUCCAGAGAUCACCUUACUCUAGGGUACCCGAGGUACCUGACCUAUCCCCAAUCAUGAUAAUCUACUUAACAUCAAAGCCGCCUUUAUCAUUAUUUGUUCGCCAUAUUUAAUUCUGAGCGAAUGGUCGAUCAUGAGGUUUCAAUCAUUUCGCAUAAGGGUAGGCGAGCAGCCACCUUCAUUUUUAUUUAUUUUGUCUAUUUUAUUCUAUGCGAAUGGUGGAUCAUGAGAUUUUCGACCAUCUCGCAUAAGGGUAGGCUAGGGAUGGCAAAAAUCCCCACGGGGACGGGUACCUUCGGGGAUUUUCCCCAUUCGGGGAGGGUAUGGGGAUAAUUUCAUACCCAAUUUCUUAUUCGGGGAGGGGACGGGGAUGAGGUGGAAUCCCCAUCCCCUACCCAUUUCCCCAUUUUAAUUUUUUAAAAUUAUUAGUAACUAAAUUAUAAAAUUAUAAAUAUUGGUAAAAAUAAAAAAUAUCAAAAUAUUUAUAUUAUUAAACUUUUAGGCCUAAUUAACUAAUUAAAGUCCUAAAUUUUUAUUUAGGACAUUAAAAAGACCGAGUAGAUUCUAAUAGCCAAACAUUUUUUUUAAUUUUAAUAUUCUUUAAAUAUUUUAAACUUAAAUAUAUUUUUUAUUUAUUUUUAGAUGUUAUAAUUGUCCACAACGAAUCACAAUUUUAAUACUAAUCUAAUCUAAUAUUUGCUUUUGAUUUGCUCCGAUUUAACUAUUGUAUUGUAAAGGGAAUAGUCCACAUUUAUAAAGUGUCCACGCCACUAUUGAAAAAGUUAAUUUUGAAUCUAAAUUCGAUUUUAUUUGUAGCAAUUUUGUAUUAGACUAUUAAUUUAUUCAUGAUAGUUUGUAAAAGAAGUUUGUAUCUCUUGCAUGUUGCGUUACUUACUAAUUUAAUGUAUGUGACUUUUGUAAUAGAUAUUAAUGUAAGGUAUAUUUCGAACUUUACUUUUAUUUGAAUUUUUUAUUUUAAUAUGAUUAACUCGAAAUCGAAAAAAAAAUGUAUUAGUUAUUCGGGGAUCGGGGACCCUCGGGGAUCCCCUGUUAUUAUUCGGGGAGGGGAUGAAGAUUCUCUCAAGUAAUUCUGACGGGGACGGGGAGGGGAUGGGGACAUAUGCAAAAUAUCGGGGAUGGGUACGGGGAGAUCAGUCCUCUCCCCUCCCCUCCCCAUUGCCAUCCCUAGGGUAGGCGAGCAGCUACCUUCAUCUCAAUCUAUGUUGUCUAUUUGAUUCUAGCGAAUGGUAGAUCAUGAGGUUUUCGACCAUAUCGCAUAAGGUUAGGCGAGCAGCCACCUUUAUCUCAAUCUAUGUUGUCUAUUUGAUUCCACGCAAAUGGCGGAUCAUGAGAUUUUCGACCAUCUUGCAUAAUGGUAGGUGAGCAGCCCACCUUUAUUACUAUUUGUCUUACAUAUUUGAUGUAGAGUGAAUGGUGGAUCAUGAGAUUUUCCAUUAUCUCUCAAAAGGAAUUGCCACAAGUUUUGCGAAGAUUUGUGGCAAGUAUUUCUAUGAAAAUCGUCAUACACUAAUUAAGGGUACCUCCGAGAUACCCCACGCCAGAAAGUCACUCCUCAAAUAUACCAAGAGGAACCCUAAGAAAGAUUGAGAUAAGCAACAAGUAUAUCCGGAGGAAUCACCAUAUGUUUGAUGAAAUUGGGUUGUUCCACUAUGAAUUAACCGCAACAAGCAUGUCUAAAUAAACCGCGAUACACUGAUGAGACAAGAUUAAGGGUACCCAUAGUACUCAGGGUACCCUAUGACAGAAAAUCAUUCCUCGUGUACACCAAGAGGAACUCUAAGAAAGCUUGAGAUAAGUAGCAAGCAUAUUUAAAGGAAUCGCCAUAUGUUUGAUAAAAUUGGGUUAUCCCGCCAUGAAGUAACAGAUAGCUCAGGGGAUAUCCAAGCUUAAGGGUACCCGAGGUACCCCAUACGCCUUGUCGAUAAUGCCGAACAAUGUUACAUAGUAGGAUGGUUAUCUUCACCUUCAUCAUUUAGGAUAAGAGGAUCAACAAAAGUACUAGAAAUAACAGAAACACAAGCGUCGGUAUCAGGGGUACCUUAUGGCGACUUCAUCCGAGGUACCCCAGUUGAUCUCAAUGGGCUUUCAAACUAAGAUGUGUGGGGAGCCCUGCUAUUCUUAAUUGCCUUUAAGAUAGCCGGCUUAUCUACCUAGUUCUCUACCCUUGGCACCACUAGCCCCAUAUCAGCACUCAAUUCCUCGGUCAUGAUGCGCUCAAAAGCAUUGUCAACUAUGUUCUUAUGUCGAGGUACCAAGUCCUCAAGCUUAACUUAAAGCUCCUCAGGGUCUUCCACCUUAUGGGCCUUCUCCUCUGAAACUUCAUCAAAGUGUCCCCUCAAAGUCUUGUUCACCCCAAAGAUCUUCCUUUCAUGAGGGCACCCCUAAAGGCGUCCUCUAUUCAGCUGCCCAUCGAGCUAAACUUCAUAUCGCCACGUGUCGCUCCUACUUUUUAUGUAAGUUUCUUUUGCCUCUAAUACUUCUCGCCAAAAGAAACUAGGGGGAUAUUGUUUGGGGGAAAAAUAAAAAAGAUAGCAGAACGCCACGUGUCGAUGAAUGGAAUAACUUCAGUGCAAUCCGAGGUACCCGACAUGAUUAGAGCUACCCCGCAAGAUUAGAGGUACCUGCAAUGAUUUGAGGUACCCGGCACAGUCAGAGGUACCCCGCAUAACUCCAGAGUAACUCGAGGUACCCCGCAUAGAUUGGGGUACCCCGUAUAAUUUGAGGUACCCGGAAUAACUCCAGCAUAAUUCAAGGUACCCAGAAUAACUCCAACAUAAUUCAAGGUACUCGGAAUAAUUCGAGGUACCCAGCAUGAUUAGAGGUACCUGGCCUGAUUAGAGGUACCCCACAUGAUUAGAGGUACCCGGCGUGAUUAGAGGUACCCCGUAUGAUUAGAGGUACCCGACCUGAUUAAAGGUACCCUUUAUGAUUAGAGGUACCUAGCACAAUCUGAGGUACCUGGCAUGAUUUAAGGUACUUCGGACAAAUAGAGGUAUUCGACAUGAUACGAGAUACCCUACACAAUUCGAGGUACCCCGCACAAAUAGAGGUACCCCACACAAAUAGAGGUACCCCACACAAAUAGAGGUACCCCGCACAAUUAGGGGUACCCCACAUAAAUUGAGGUACCCCACGUAACUCGAGGUACCCGGCAGAUCAGAUGAAAGAGAAUCCUCCAAAAGUAUCCGCCGAGAGAAACGUCUCCAUCUCUUAAAAGAUCGAUUUUGUCAGAAUUAGGAAUCAAGAACGUUGUACCAAAAAAGGGGGACAGCCGCCUGUUACCUCUGCCAAAAGUGAAGGAUACUGUCCCAAGGACAGUGGUCCUUAGCCGCCUACCCGACAACUACUGCAGAGGUACCCUGGACCACUCUCCAGCGCGCGCCACGUUUCCAAAGGAUGAGAUAUGCCGUGAACAUGCACAUAACGACCCAAAAAUCAUAAAAAGGCAAAAAGACGUUAGCCAAAAAGGGUACGCCACGUGGCAGCUAAGGUACUCCGUAUAUAAAGGUGCCUAGGUUUUAUUCUCCAGGAGGUUUUCACUCACCAUUAACACUCACACUCCAAAAAAUAGGCUUUCUUCAACCUUAAACCUUAAUUUACAGAGGGCUAGCCAGCUCUCUUUGCUAUAAAACCUUGAGUUUGCUAACUUGAGCGUUGGAGUGUGAACGCCGGGGUACCCCGGCUUCACCUCUAACCUCUAUUUCAUUGUUUUGCAGGCGUGGAGCCCAUUUUGAAGGACACCUCUCUUGGUUUUGACCUUUCACCAUUGUUACCACUCCCUCUCCCCUUCUCACCUCCCCCAAAUUUCAGAUACACCGCACUGCGCAUAACAAACCAGUGAGGUACCCCAUCUCCCCCAAAAAUACAAAUUCAUUGUUCAAGAUAGAUUUUGGUUUUUCCUACCCCAAAAUCAGUUGAAAACACUAUGAGUAGUGAUCUAAUACUUGUGAUAAAUUACAGGCUCUGUUUAACAUAUCAAGUACCAAAUUUUAAAUAUUACAAACAAUAACAAACAGAGUGCAGCUCCUAAUCGGUUUUUUGUUACAGUAAAUAAACCCCACCAUUCCAUUUCAAGUUUCCACAGUCAGUUCCAUUGAUCAUAUGCUGAAGCUACGGUGGAAUGAUAGAUCUUCUUUUAGUUUCCUACACAUUGAAACUCUCUAAUUGGUGUGUUAUUUUUUUGUGAAAUUUCUAUUAAUAAUUUCUUAAUGUUAUUGAAAAGUUAGUAGAUCAUGGGAUGAGAGCAGAAGACUUUUUGGCUGAUCCAACUCCUAUUACAAUCCAGUUGGUAACUGCAUUUGGUAAUUACAUCUUCAGUACUUGCAAUCUCUUAUCGCCUUUUCAAGUUGAUUUUAGUUAUUUGUUCUUAAUAUUCUAAGUGCAUGGACUUCAUGGAAGGUUCAGGUUCUGUGGUGGUGUUAGAAUUGCUAGAAAACAUUGUUGUAUAGGUUCCGUCAUGAUAUUCUCAUGUGCCAUAUAAAUCAUCAUUGUUUUGCAAGUGCUCUACGGCAUUCUUUACUGGAUAGGCUAGCCAGGGUGCCUUAGAGGCAAGAGUCAAGACGGAAAUGAAAUAUAUCUAAAGCUACACACAAGCACAGGUGGGUCAUUUUAUUAUUUAUAAGUCUUCUUUCUCUUUUAACUUAGUCUAACAUCUUGUUGAACCCAAGCAUGAUUCAUUUCACAGAGGCUUGACCUGCUAUGUGGUCCAAACUUCAUUGGAAACUCCUUGGUAACGAUUUUUAUAUUGCAGAUUCUAUUGCUCAAUUCUGUUGCUGUGCAGUUAGGCACGAGUCAACAGCAAUGAUAGACUUGAAAGUAAUUUUUGCUGGUUUACAAAUAGAUUGCAGAAUUAUUCAAGGUUUUCUGCAUUUUUCAUAAUUGGACCAACGAACUAUUCACAAGUCAGUAGUGAACGAGUGUUCUAUAUGGUGGUUUGCUUUAAAUAUUGAAGGAAAAAUGUGGUCCAUUGACCAUUGUGUUUUUUUUUUUUGGUCGUUAUAGCUCUAAUCUUUUCUUAUGGCCCCAGUGCAGGUUAGUUAUAUGUUGAGCACAAUGAUGCUAUUUUAGUAGUCAUAAUUCCUGCAGCCAAGCACCUGAAAUUGCUUCAUCUCAAGUUCUAAGAAUUGCGAAGGAGUUUUCUGGGGGUCGUAGAGUGCUGAGGGCACGAGAUAAGCUUGCAACUUUGCUGCAAAUUUGAGGAUAAGUUUCUGCAGCACAUUACAACUGGUGAGGUGAGUUUAAUUUGUUUUAGAUAUUUAUUAUUGUUCUUGCGAAUUUCCAAGUAGCAUAUUAAAAAGUUUGAUUUUUUAAUGACUUUGCUUAUGUUCUUUUCAUUCAUACAAUUUGAGAAUUGAAAAAGGAGAAAACCAAGACGUAAAUGAGAAUGUGAUAAUAUCCUCUCUUGAACUGAAGCCUAGAAGAAAAUUUCUUGAUUAGUAGCUGUCAUAAUGCGUGGUUUCUGGUUGGAAAGCUGUUGCAAAUUUAACGAGAUCAAACAGCUCUCUUUGGACAGACAUUUUGAUUCGAUAAUGUCAAGAGGGAUUGUCUUGUGCCAGUUCCCCGCCUGAUCUUUUAAUCUUUUCAGGAUUUGCAAGUGAAGCGUCAGGAUUUGCAAGUUAAGCGACCUUCUCAUAUUCAUUUUCUGUUCGAUUGUGUUAGAAGCUAAUGGCUACCAACCGUAUCUAAUAUACCCUGAGAUCUUUAAUAAUAGGUUUCCUCGAGCUUGCAAAAGAACUAUCACGUCUGUGUUGAUGAGGUAAUGGAACCAUCUGUAUCCGAAGCUCCUUACUUCUAAUUCUUAGAGGCUUUUGCCCUUCUACCCUUUUCAUGAUGCUGGAUGUUCGAUUUUUUGUUUUGGUCAUAAUUUAGAUUCUUUACAUUAGAUAUAUUGAUGGGUCCUACAUAGAUAGUAUUGCUCUCUGUUGGGUGCAAGAUUUGGAUAAUCUUAUUAUACGCUAAUAAAAUAGCAAGGUAAAUCUUGUUUCUAUUAAUUGAUGAAGUUACUGGCUGACUUAUGAAACAGGUACAUGUUGUUCUGGGGGAGGUGGUUUCUGGUGCUUCAAAUGCUACACCAAACCUGGAAGAUAUCCUUUGCUCAAGAGAGAGGUGUGGCUCUUAUGAUUAUGUCACAAAAUAUUUGUGUGCGCACACGCACUGAUUUGACUUGUAUGUGGUUCAAAACUUCAAAUUUCCUUUUUCUUGUCACAAUAGUUGAUUGUUUGGAAAUGAGGCAGAGCACGCUAGUGACACUGAACAGUGUCAUUUUCCAUUAGUUCAAGAUUUUUGGGAUGAAUGGUUCGAUCAAAACUGCUAAAUGGUUGCUAAGAUCUUUUCUCAAUGUCCUCCGAAAUCUGUUUGCUUUUACUGGAAUGGAAAUACAGUGCCAAGAGGAGGUAAAGACACGAUCUUCGAAGAAAGAAAAUGAGGCAGAGGAAGUUAGCGACAUUGGACAGGGUAUACAUGCAGGGCACCAUGGCUCAUAAACCUUCUGACAUUGAAUAAGAACUUUGAUGGACGUGUGUCAAGAAUUAGGUGGUUAUGUCAUAGUGAAGAUUUGAAUAGUUUGCCAAUUAAAUUUUCCCUGCAGUUACUUACAGACAAGUUCCGAGACUCGUGUGAUUGCUUAAGCAGGCAGUUGUUUUUUUCCAAGUUGACAAAGCGAAGGAAGACAUGUUGAAUCAGUUACAUAUCUAUGUCAGGUUGACGGCAAUCUUAUUUCUCUCUCCAUCAAUUCUUAUUAAGGAGCCGAAGGGAUUUAUUUUAUUUCAUAUAUUUACUUCUUUAUUGAAGAUUUUUCUACUAUACCAAUGAUGCAACUUUUUAUAAUAUAUCUGAGUUGGAAUGACGCUAGAGCUUGAGGCGAUCUUUUUUUAUUGCCUUUUUGACAGUUCAAUUGGUGCCUCUAAUAACUCCAUUGAUUGCUACCUAGGUGUUCAACUUUGUAUGAAUACACAGUGAUCAUCGGCAUGUCUCUUCUUGGCAUUUUUGGGACAUCAAUGGUUAUGUCCAGUCAGAUCACAUAGUUUGGGAAGCAAUUCCUUCAGCAGUUUUGAUUUGGAUGUUGACAGUGAAUAUGAUUAUGGAAAUAAUAAGGUCUUUUUUCAAUUCAAUCCGAGUACAAAAAUAAUUUGUGAACAGAUCAAGUGGUGCCAGAUGGUGGAAAUAUGUGGGAUUUAUUUUAUCGACAGCCAAGAUUCUAGGAAAUCAAAUGAAGAUUAAGCAGAAGUUUCAGCUGAUCUAAUGAGGGAAGAGUAAGCUUUAAUUGAAAGUACAUGAGGUGAGUACUCUUCGUUAUUCAAUGUGUAUUUUGGAUUUUACCUAUAUGGCUGUAUCAUGUAAGCUUUACGAGGUUGUGGCCAUUUUAUUGGCUCUAAAAGUAAAAGUAAAGCAUUAAAAUGGUGGGUGCAAUAGUUGAUCUGGAGAACGUUAUUGUUCCUCCCCAAAAUUUCAUCUCAAAAGGUAUUUAGCUGUGAAUGUGAUUAAGCUUCUUUGAUCGUUUAGUUUUAUGCAGGGAUAUGGAUAUAUAUGAAUCUGGGUAAUUUCCAUGGGAUGACACAUGUCAAUUUCUUCCAGAAACAUGGCACUUAUCAAAUGCCAACAUUACACGCUCCCUGAAAUUUAUGUCAUGGAAUCCAUUUAUUCUAUCUUGAUCGCUCUCUGUCCCCCAUUUUUGUAUGUGUCGAGUAUUGAAAUGCAUGCCAAAGAGACUCCAAGGUCUCGAACGUUUGGUAUUUAUUAGAGUUUAAAUACUAUUGGUAAAUCCUUUCCUAUCAACGUAAGGAUGGGGAUUUGAGUGGUUAAUCAGCUUGGUGAGCUAGACUGAUAGAGUAGAAAAUGAUAUUCUCACAAAUAUUUGUACAACACUUUGCACAAAACGGUGAGUUUUGUCCAAACGGAACACCUCACACACGCAACAAACACGCCCAACAAUCACCUUCAUGCGUCUGGCUCUUUUCUUUCUGCCUAUUACAACUUUUCCUCUCUCGCCUCAAAGCUGCCAGUCAUUGCAACAAGCUCCACGACAGCAGCCUCUUACUCCCAACACAAUCGCAGCAGCGUUUUGAAGUGAUUUCACAACUCUUUCUCUUUCAUCUGUCAUUCAAAUCUUUCAAAGUGAUUUCACAAAAUAGCUCUGUAUUUGUUUUUUUUAAGAAUGAAGAAUCCAGUAGUGUUUCUUUUUCUUUUUUUUGGAUUGUAUUACUUGGUGCUUUGAACGAAAUUAGUUUGUUUAUUAAGUUGUGUGCUUUUGCUUAAUCUUUUCUGCCUACUCAAAUUUAACUUUGCUGAGUUUUUAAUUAACUUUAGAAGUAUCUUGCUGAGAAUUGUAAUACAAAGAAGCAAAUUAAAACAAAACACGGGAAGAGGAAGAAAAAUAAUUAAUUAAACAACAUAGUCGCUUUAAAUACCACAAAAAAAAAAAAAAAUGCUUCACUUUAACUGAUAAGCAUGGGAAUUUUAAUCAAAGUUACAAACUGUAAAUUUAUUUUUUCUUCUGCAAUAGUGGGCAAUAAAUUUUGAUAAACAAACUAGAAUAAUUUGACCAAUAUACAUAAAGAUCUAUACUCAAGAGGCUGCAAAGUUGGUGGAAGAGAUAGAUGGCAGAGUCAAGAACAACAACAACAAAGACUCAGUGAUGACAUUAUUGCUAGAUUCAAGCUUUUGGAAGUUAGAGUGAAGCUUGAUCACCUUGAAUCACUUCUUCGUAACCCGCCUUCAAAACCCAGCCUUCACUUCUUCGUAACCCGCCUUCAAAACCUUAAGAGAUCGAUUCGUUGGUAUGAGAGCAGUGCUAAAUUUUUGUCCUCGUCCUGUUUUUUAAUUUGUACGAUCAUUUCAUCAUAGCACUACUUGAAUGCAUUUUGAAAACAUUAUCUGCAUGAUGCCCAGCUGUUUAUGUAAAGGUUGCAUGAAUGCUAAUUCAUUAAGAUAAUUUGUGCACAUUAAGAUAAUUUGUUAAAAUCUAUAUUCGGUCAUCACUCUUCUUUGCCUCUGUUUUCCUGUGUUCUAAAUUGUUAUAGUAUUCAGAAACAUGAAUUAUUUCACUAGUGUUUGCCCCAAUGCAACAAUGUCUUCACAAUCACAGCGGUCUUUCAACUUACUGCUAAAUUAGCCAUACUGAAUUUUAGACAACAUAAUUAAAACCAAUUCUCCAUUUUGAUUCCUCCCAUCAGGUACCACAAUGAGCACAAAUUAGCAACUGCAAUUUGCUACAUUGUUUCGUUAAAUGAAAGAUGGCAGGAAAGCGAAACACUGGCAUAGGUUCACUUACCCACAGCCGAGACCUCGGGAAUUAAGUUACGGGCCUGUUGUGGAUAGAUGAGAGGCAGCUGGGCUGUCAUAACACUUUUCAAUUGGGUUCUUGGGAGCCCAUCUGCUUUUUAGCCCACAGCAGUGGGUGAAAUAUUUGCCCUGCCCCUAUGACCUUUUAACUGCAAAAACCGAAAUUUAUUAAUUCAAUAAUGACUAAAGUUUGCUACUAACUGAAAUCUAUUGUUAGUUAAUAUGGAAAUUAAUAAAUGUAAAAUUGAUAGUUUUUUUUACAUCACUAAAUAUUUGUAAAUUCACAGCUAGCAGCAUUGCACUUAAAUUACACAAUCUGUUGAAUGGUGUUGAUAUUUUCGUCAAAUAACGAUUUAAGAUGCCGCAUCACAUAUAACAGCCAUGAGCGGUUACUUGGUGGCAGUUCGCCAGCGAUUGUGAUUUUAUUUCAAUAUUUUAAUUAAUUUUAGUAGCGAAAUACUAAUCAAUAUAAAUAAAUUAGUGCAUAUAAAUUAUAAAAAAUAAUAAUCUUAACUUUCAUUCACAGAAAUAUUAUCAACUUUAGACGUUUCGUAUUGAGGUAAAAUAUAUUAUUAUGAAAUAAAAUAUAAUAGUGUAUAAUGAAUUUAAUUUUUAAAUAAUAAUUUUGAAAAAAAUGAAGAUAUUAUAAGUUUUAAUAGCGUUUACAACUAAUAUUUACCAAAGAUCUAAUUUUUAAAGUACAAUUUUCAAAUCUCAAUAUUAAAUAAAGUCUUAAUAGUGUUUAAUGUUUACUACACACUCAUUAAUUUUACUUAAAAACUACAAUAUUUAUUUCACAGCAGCAUAUUUCAUAACACCCUAAAUGACGAUGGUCAAAUAAUAAAAUAACUAGUGUUGAAGUGCAACAAAAAUACACAUAUUAGAUAUGUUCUUGGAACAUCGGCUUACAAAGUAUCACAUGUACAAUCAUACAUAUUUUUUUAUUAAGCAUCAGUUGGAGACAUAAAAUCCUCCAACCCAUAAUUGGAUAGUGUUAUACAUGAUUAUAUUAGGCAAGGAUUAUCAAAUAACCAAAGUUUAGAUAUAAGUAAUAAAAAGAAAAUAUAGUAGUUUUUUGGUCAGGGAUUUUAAAAUACAGGAAAGUUUGGGAAAACUUUAAAACCGCACGGCUUUAAAGACUUACAAUUUUAAGCUUUUAAAACCAUGCGGUUUUAAAACUUUACUGCAUUUUCCCGCAUUUUAAAAUUCCGAACUGAAAUUUUUCUAAAAGAAAAUAUUGUUAAAAGAGUUGUACCUAUUGAAGCAAACUUACAGCAAGGAACAAUCACAACAUAUUCCGGUUGGAGUUGAAGCACUUAAAGCGCAUCCAAGCACACAAAAAUACACACAUGCUAGUUACGUUCUUUCCCGUAGCCUUUAUAAGUUUUCCUGGCCCAAGCAUCCCUUCAUUCCUUGUUGAUUCUUUUCGGCCCUUUUCGCCCUUCAAGUUAUUUGAGCCCAUUGAGCCCACUUCAGCCUCAAUCACCAUUUCAUUUUCCCGCGACUGUGUUCUGCUCUCUGGACACCAAGUCCAUGCCAGCGGCAAUAUUGUCCGCCGUUUAGUGUGCCUAAAUAAUUCCUUUUGCAGCUUUUCUUGCCAUUUUCUCAUCUCACGCACUUCAAUUAACUUUAAAAAGUAGACAAAUCACAAAAUUAAACUCCUAGUGAAGAGUGAAGUAAAGCAUCCAUGUGUUUCAACUCACAGCAUUACCUGACAAACAAAAUUCCUCUGCAGCUAAUAUAAGGCAGCUUCCGAGAAAUUAUUGGGUGGAUUUAAAAAGAAAUUAAUUUUUUUCGAAUUUUAUUUCAAAUUAUACAACAAUUUUUUUAUUGGGCGAUUAUCUAUUUUGACAGCUCAAUGGGUGUCUAAUUAUAUAACAAUUUUUUUUAUUGUCUAGCAAGGGCAACACCGGCAAUAUCUAAUAUAUUUUCCCACCACAUACUCUAUUCAUUUUCCGAUCCUCCCUCAUUUUAGGACGCGACUGUUUCAUAUGCAAAAAUAUUCUUGUAAGGGUAGGGCAAUAUUUUAUUUCAUAAUGUGAUAUAUUUUCUUCUGUGUUGGACUCACUACAUGGUAUAGUUGACGAAAUGGAAUCGUAAAAAAAAAUUUCUUAAUGAAUAUAAUUUUGUUUAAUAAAAAUCUGAAUAGCACAGCCAUACAUGCUCAUCUGCUUCGGGAUUCCAAAUUUAAUUUCUGGUCAAAAUCUCUUAAUAAUUGUCCAAAUUUAAUUUUAAUUUCUCUUCAAAAGUAAAGUUUGGGUAACAGAAUUUUAGAAAAAUUAAAGAAUUAUUUUUCUAUCGUCCCUGCAUUGGUACAUGAAUUAUUCUUUUUCUCAUAGAAGUUUCUACAUUUCAUUGUCAUUACUUUAUUCAUUGCCCAGCCCCACAUUACUCUUCAAUGAAAUUAUUUAAUAUCACCCUUUGAAAAGUAGAUAAUGUAUAAUUUAUACUUCACCAUGCCAAUCGGAUGAAAUUUAUGGGGGGUAACGACGUCGUUUGGUGUAAAGUCAGUUUUAUAGAGCCUUUUUUGUGUGUGAAAUGAUUUCAGAAUAUGAGAUUGACGUUUUAUUCGAAGAAGCACAAUCACGUUGGCUGAAGCCAGAGAAGAUGCUGUUUGAAUUAAAAAAUCAUGAGAAAUUCGGUUUUACGCAGUAGCCCCCUCAAAAGCCACCUAGUAAGUAAGCUUUCUAUAUGAAAACAAGGUAAUCUUCAUAGGACUCAGGUCCUGAAUUCGAGUUUUAACAGGUGCCUGAGUUAAAAAUAACAAUUAAAAACAAAGUAAACUUUGCACUAAGAAUUGAAUUCAUUCAUAAACCUCUCCUUUGUCAACUUUAAUUGUUUCUAAUACAUUCUCAACAGGCAGAUCUUUGUUUCUGUUUAAUAGAGUCCUUCGAUUUUUCCGUAAGGAUGGUUACAAAUGGCGUAAAAAGAAAGAUGGAACAACCGUUGAUGGAGACGCACAUGAACGACUCAAGGUUGCUCAAAAUUAUUAAAGUCGUAUGUUUACCAAACUGACACAAUAAAUUUUUAUUUCACAACAUCAUUUGUCAGGCUCACCACAAUGCCAAAUAGAGCCUUAGGACCUGGGUAGCAUGCACAAAUAUUCUUUGAAGCCAUUCUCUCUUACUUCACUUCAGUGGUGGUCCGACAAGAAUGUUGUACUGUCUACUGUUUGUUUCAGUUUGAAGUAUGACAUUAAUUUUAUCUUCAUUGUAAGGUUAGAAACACUGAAGCGGUAAGUUGUUAUUAUGCACAUGGCGAGGGAAAUCCUAAUUUUCAGAGGCGUAGUUAUUGGAUACUGGAUCCGUAAGUGUACUUAUAUCAUUAUGUAUUUAGGUUGCAGAGAAAAAUAUUUCAGUCAUUGGCAUUUAUCUUCUUAUAUGUUUGAAGUUCCCUAAUCCCUAUACAAAUGAAGAAUAAUUAUUUACGCUAAAGAAAAAUGUGGCUUCAUUAUACUUAUCUCUUUGUUGUCUUUCUGACCAAGGAACAAUGUGGAAAUGGUGAUUUACAUAAUUUUAGUCAGCAGAGAAAUUUUCUGAUAAUUACUCUCUUGGGCCGGUUAUGUGAGCACAUUGUCCUUUGUUCAUUAUAGAGAUGUAAGUUUAACUAAGGUGAGCCUUUAUGAGUCUUGAGUGCAGCAAAUCAGAUCUUACGUACGAUAACUUUACUCUUGGAUUUGUAUAUAAUCUUUGAGAAAGUUUUUAAUAUUAAAAAUCAUGCUUAAGUGAGGACGUUCAUAUGAGUUUUUAUGUGGAGACGGAAUUUAUAAUGAGAUAAGAACAUUUGACGAUAUUGUCAAUUUACUUGUCCACAUCUAAGUGUGCUUUUUAUAUUAGUGUAUUAUUUUUCAGUUGUAAAGGAACAUAUAUAUCAUAAAAAUAAUUAAAAAAUAGAUUAAUAAUGAGGCAAUUAAACAUAAAAUGUAUCACUCAUAAUUAUCAUGGAGUGUGCUGCUGUGUAGGAAGAGCAAGGACUGUAGCCGGUACUCAAUUCAAUUUUCUUAAUUUCUUCAAAAUUAAUUUCGUUUUUUCGGUGUAGAUUGAGUUAGAGUGGAUCUUCGUAAUCACCAACUUUGUGAUGGAGCUUCCAUCAGCUGUUUUUGACCAGCUUUCUUCUAUGCGGAAACCUCAGUAUGCGCUUUUGAGUAUGUAAAUGUCAUUUGCAGCCCUUUUUGUAUGCAUUGUAGAAAUCAUUUACACAUGUCAAAAGAAAAAAAAGUUGAGUGGAGAUGGAUAAGUACAUUACCUGGUUAUAUCAUCCGCGUAACAGGCCUUUUGGUAACUUCAAGGAUAUUAUUGGACUAUUAUGUGCUCUCAGCUGUCAGUGCAUUUUUGCUGCAGUUACUUAUGGUUUUGCUCGCCAACAUGCUGAUUCUCCGAUUAAAGUAUUUUUUUGGCCCAUCGUGUUUGCCUCUGGUCGAUUAUUGUCCAAAGUAUUUGAGUAAAAAUCCAAAGAGGGCUACUUCAUAAAGCUGAGAUGCUUGCUUUCAGUACGUACCAUCAAAUAAUUGCUCCGCCAUUUGGCAUUUUUGUGGAUAAACUAUCUUAAUCGAUUUAUAUUUCUUUUGAAUUGGUGUGUAUGUCAACAUGAGAUUGUUUUUUAGAGUACAAAUACAUAAUUUUAUUGCUUGCCAAUUCCGAUAUGCAACAAUUAUGUUGUUGAACUGGUUUCAGUUAAUUUUGAACGUUCAUUUAAUCCUGUUAAAAGCUCUAUUGUCAUUCUUCUUUGCCUUUGGUCUACUGUGUUAACAUAUUUUUAAAGGAAUCAGUUCACAAAUGUUGGCCAUAUGGAACAAUGUUGCUCUUUAUAUUAAGUUUUAACUAACUUCACAGCUUCCCUAAAACUUACUGUCACAUCAGCCAAGUUAACUAUUUUUUAAUUUCUUUUGACUCCAAAGUCUAUCACAAUUUGAAGUUGGACGCUGGCUGAAUCUUUAGCAGCAUGUCAGUUUGAUUUUCCGCUCGAUCUUUUCUUUCUACUUCCAUCUUCCCUGUUGCUUUUCUCCCUUAUAACUUCUGUCUCACGCAUGUUUAUAGGGUAAAGUUUAUUAUGCCUCUGCCUUGUCCUACUUGAAAAAAGAUAAACAUUGGCGUCAUUAGACCAAGAUUGCACUCAUAAGAUCUAAAAAACGACAUGGAAACCCCAAUUGCAAACAAAGAAUUAACAAAAUAGAUCAAGAAAAGAAGAUGAACACACAGAUUUUGAUGAUUCAGCCACCAAGUGGCCUACUUCCAUGCAAGUGACAAAUCAAUUGAUUUAUUGAUUUAACAAUCUAAAGAUUACAUGAAUGUUAAAAACUUUACAUAGAAAAAUUUACAAUAAGAAAUAUCACUGCAAUCGCUUCUAAAGUUACGAAGUGAUCCAUGAAGUUAUGCCAAUAACAAGCCUUUUAUAGCAGAGGUCGUUAAGCUGGGAAAUUAAUUUCAGAGAUUUGCCGCUCUUCCAAACACACUUUAACAGAAGCAAUUGAGAGAUAAAUUUGGCCACUCACAUUACAUGGUAGGCUAUCAGCACUCCUCGCAGUACUAAACUAUUACGAUAUCAUGUUUGCUAACGGCUCCUCGUUGUAUUAUAAUGUAAUCAAAAGAACUUGUAAUCCUGUCAAACCCUCAAAGCCAAUCCCGUGUGAGAGUCGGGUUUAUGCGGUUUUAGUUUUGUUUUGAGAGGAAAAAAAAAAAGAAAUUCAAUUUCUUUCUCGCGUUCUCCCUGCCAUCUCCAGAUUCUCCACACUGCCACUCCCCAUAGCCACUGGUGUGCUUCAACACACGACAACGACAGCAGCUCCACCACUUCUGUGCGACAGCAGCUCGAACGCGAAGCGACGACGGCGCGACAGCGGCUCCACCACGAAGUACUCCACCUCGACGCGACCAGCUCCACCACGGCACGAUCUGCCUUGGCUGCGCGACGCCACCACGCAACACUAGCUCCACUGCCACCCCACCGCGGCACACCAACACCACCCCACCGCGCCACCACUACACAAUCUGGUUUGAUUUUGUUCUUUAAUGCAUAUACUGACAUCUUUUGGUUUAUUUCUUAUUGCUCGAUUAAAAAUUUAGACCAAUUAAUGCUCAGCAAUAUUGGUCAAUGUUACGUGCUGGAAGUCGGUUGAUUAACAAAAAGACUUGAGAUAAAUUCUUUUGAAGUUUAAAAUUGGAAUGAAUUGGUCUAUGGAAAUUUGACUCCAAAUUAUUUGCUUUCUUUGUUGCCUUCCUUUAAAUUUCAAUGGCGUCGAACCUAUUGUCGAUACUAGUCCAUUUAGUUGAAAAAUUAAUCUGUCACGUUGGAUUUGAUAUCCCUUUUGGUAAUUACAGAAACAAAUUGAUGAUUCACUGCUCGUUUAGCAUUAAUGCACAUCAUAAAUGAUGGAUUAGUUUGGCAAUUAACAGAUGUGAUAGAAAAUGCAAUUAAACAACAUGAAAGUGAAGUCAUGGCGUUUGCUCUCAAAAGUUUUAAAUCGACUUGUAAUGGGUGGAAAAACAAAAUGGACUAGAGGAGCUUUUCUGACGAAUUCGAGGAAAACUAGAAUGAGUAGUUUUUGUCGAAAAAAUUUCAAUAAAAUAAAUAGCAAAAUUAUCGGAAUUUUUUUGUAGUUUAGGAUGAGAGAAGGGUGCUAUUUGGGGGAUGUAUUUCGACAAGACCAGCCAAUCCUUGAACGAUGAGCCAGCCUCCUUAUAAUGGAGCAGAUGAGCAUAUGUCUGGUAGCAGGAUUCUAUGAACAAGAAUAUUCUGCAGAAGUCUAGUAGCAGGUGUCCACGAACAGGAUAAUUCCGCUCGUUCACGAAUGCACCCUCCAUAGGACCACAGUGGGUGCCGGCCUCCUACUAGGAACAUAAGGCCAUUCCUGCUAGAGGUUGAAGUGGGUAGACCCGGUCAAUGACGGUUGGCAAGACGUACACUCUUGCCCGAGAAUCAAGGCACGAAGUCCACUCAGCCACAACUACGAUAAUGAAGCACCCACUUCCGAGAGUUGAGGGGGGUGAUGGACGUGGAUUGUAGGAAAGGCCGGAUUCAAAGGAAGGCUAUAAAAAGGUAACCAACGAAGGUAAAGGGGUUAGACUUUUUGAGAUUAGAACUUAGGAAAAGAGCUUUCUAUUGAGAUAUCAUAAAAAGCCAUAAUAUUAGUGGCCGUGUUUCCCAGAAAGGCAAAACCUACAUUUCUGACUUGAGCGUCGGAGGGUUUACGUCAGGAAAACACCCGGCGUGCUCUGACCUGUUUCUGUGUACGCAGGAGUCUGUAGAGAGGAAGUCUUAUGAGGAGAAAUCCUAGUCGUGGACGAGUUAGUUGAGGAGAGAUCCUGGUCGUGGACGAGCAGAAAACCAGAAUCUCGCAUCAACAUUUUGACGCCGUCUGUGGGGAGUUGAGCAAAAAGCUUCUGUUAAUAGAAAGAAGAAGAGGCAAAGAAGGGAGGUGACAAUGGAUGAAGGCGGAGGUAGUGCACAAGGAGGCGACUUGAGGCUUAACGAGUCUGUGACGUUGAGAGAAAUAGCCAAUGAGGCGAGGGAAAAAGCAAUGUAUGAAUGGAUGGAAUGGGUGGAGAAACAGAUGAAGACCUUGACAACCAUUUUAUACGAGAUGAGAAGUGAACGAAGGGGAGUUCACGAAGAUGGGGUGAGAAGUGGUGGAAUGACACCAGGGCACAUCGACAGAAGGAACAAUGAUAAUAUGGUGAGAGGUCGGACCACCAGGAGAUUUGGUGGUGAGGUGGGUAACUCAUCUCUACGGGGAGAAAGCCAUGGAGGAGGAGAUCAAUCCCCGGGAAGGCAGGCCUUCGAUAAUGAUGACUGAGUGGUAAAUGCAGAGGAAAGAGAACUCCGACAACACAUGCAUGAUGUCGAACAAGAACGAGAUCAGGUUGCAGCACGUGACCCUGGUCGUGCCGUACAGCUGGAAGAGGAAGUGCGCAGAUUAGCACGGAUAAUAGAUGACAUGCAAGGACGGAGCAGAGCACCUGGUUGGAGGAUAAUGCUGGACGGAGAAUCUCCGCUCUCGACAGAAAUCAUGAGUGCGGUCAUUCCGAGGGAUUUUUGCCUCCCAGACCUCAGGUACUCGGGGCGAAUCGAUCCGUUGGCGCACAUAGAGCGCUUUAACGACAUAACUGGGGUGCAUGGAUUAUCUUAUGCUCAAAGAUGCAGGGUGUUCCCGUUGUCCUUAGAGGGACGAGCACGUGAGUGGUACCGAAAACUUCCACGAGGGAGUAUUAAAUCCUUCGAGCAGAUGUGCCAGGAAUUUGUAGAGCAGUUUCGUGGGGCAAUGGGGCCUGAAGAUGAUAUGAUGGAGCUGACGAGCAUGAAACAAGGAGAUGAGGAAACACUUCGGGAGUUCAUUAAAAGGUUCCAUCGCGCUGUCCUCGAUUUGGGAGCCUUCAACAAUCCCCGGACGUGAGAGGACUGAAAGAAUGGGUGAAGAUAAGGCGCUUGUGGUACAAUCUGAGGAGUCCAGCCAUUCAGUCUUACUCUGCUGCUUACGAGCAGGCCAAGAGAGACAUAGAGAUCGAAGAGGAAAAGGUGGCCAAGAUCAAAACAGACCAGCUGGAAGGGUUGAGGAGGAAGGAAAAGAGAGCCGUUCCAGGGAGUGGCCCAAUUAAGAGGAAGGACCGCCACACCUCGGGAAGUAGGGGAGGAGGCCAGGUCACUUCUUACCAGCCUCAUCAAAGGCCACCCCGAUAUCAGCGGAGCAGGAUGCAACCUCCUCGCUCACUAGCCAGGGAAUCUUGGUGAAGGCAUGACCAGACAUACGGUCAGCCAUACCCACACCCACACGGUGGUAGAGCCAGCAGACCAGAGGCACCGAUACCCCCUAGCUCAGAAUGGCAACCACAGGGAAAGGGCGGUGCACAUGAUCGAUCAGAGCCAGAGUUAUGGGCGGUAUACUUUCUUGAAGGUGACCUUGGACGAGGUGUAUGAGGCAAUCAAGGAUCGGGGAUUACUAUACCCCCCAACCCCAAUAACAAAGCUUCCUAGCAGGAGAGAUAGGGGACGGUAUUGUAAAUUCCACGGCACCCACGGUCAUACCACUAACGAAUGCAGGGAUCUCAAAACUCAGGUUGAAGAUUUAGUGAGAAAUCGUUACCUGAAUGAGUUCGUAGAUGGGGCUAUCCCGAUGGUGAGUUCGUCAGGGGAAGGGGAGCAGAGUAAUAGAAAUAUGGCCACGAGCAGCCGAUAGUAAGGGUAAUCGCGGGUGGCCCCACGUUGGCAGGGAACUCCAACAGAUCGAGGAAGAACUACGCUAGGUACGCCAUGACUAGCAAAGAAGUGUUCUUCAACACCCCAGCAGCCAAGCGAGCAAGAAUCAGGCAAGUCCCGAUCAUGUGGACAGAUGAGGACGAAGAGGGAAUUCUAUAUCCACAUGAGGAUGCCUUAGUUAUUAAAGCCACCGCUGCCAGCAAGAAGUUCGAUCGGAUUCUGGUAGAUACGGGAAGCUCGGUCGAUGUCCUGUUCAAGUCAACUCUGGAGAAAAUGGGAAUAGCAGACCUGAAGUUAGAGCACACCAACACCUCCUUGAAGGGAUUUAGUGGAGGAAAGCUAGUCCCUCUAGGUAUAGUCGAGCUGCCCAUCACAAUUGGAAGCUCCCCAACAGAGAAGACUAUGAUCCUGGACUUUGUGGUUGUCGAUGAAGAUGGUCCUUACCAGAUGAUUCUAGGCCGUCCAUUCCUAAGGAUGAGCAAGGCAGUGCUCUCCAAUCAUUACUUGGCUCUCAAGAUGUAGUGGGGGUAGUACGAGGAGACCAGAGAAUAGCCCGAAGCUGUUACUCCACAGCAGCGAGAGAAACAAUGCAUAUCUCGUCAUUUGACACUCGGGGGGAAGUCAAUGAUGGCAGACAGGAGCCGGUUGAGGAGCUGGAAGCGAUAAAAUUGGAGGAGGGUGAUUCGGAAAGAACAAUCUGAAUUGGGUCAAAGUUUAAAGAAGAACAGAAGCAGGAGCUGGUUCAUUGCCUCCGGGCUUAUACAUAUGUGUUUGCUUGGACCCAUGAAGAUAUGCCGGGCUCUAAUUGCGAGCUAUUAGAGCGGAUUUUGUUCCGUUAUUCUUGACAUUUGAAAUCUAGAUUUGCCUAUAAAUUGGAUGCAAAAUCCAUGAGCCAGUAACUGAGAUAAUUAAAAUGUUCUCGAGCGAUCUGAGAAUUUAAUUGUAUUAAGAUUUUGGAUUAUGAGAUAAAUAUUUUAAUAUUUGUAUUCCCUAUUUUAAUAAUAAAAUAUAUUUUUUUUAUCUUUCCCCGUAAACAUUGACUUAUCCGUGAAUGCUUUAUGUGAUUGAUACUUGCCGUAUAUUAUGUGAAUGACAGUUCAAUUUGAUGACGGUAAGUUGAAUUAGAAGACGAAGAGAAGAGAGCACCAAAUGGUCAAUGAUCAGUCAAUGUCAGCGAGCAGCUUCCAAUCAGAUGAAAAGACAAAGGCAGAUUGUGGUCCAAAAACUUUAAAACUUCAUGAUGUUGGUCUAACAAAUUUAAUUUCUUUUCUCAUUUUAAAGUCCACCCAGAAAUUUCUUGGAAGCUUCCUUAUGUUAAUUGUAUAUGAAUCUCAAAAUAGGAUUCCCCUACUAGUUCCGUUUCACAUCUUUUGUCUUUUAUAGCCGCAGUGCUGUAAAUUUUCAUAUAAUUAUUUUUACUUAUCUUUAUUUAAAUUUUGUUUCACAAAUAUUAAAUUAAUAUUUACUGCAUCCAUGUGAACAUUUUAAUUAAUACCUUAUACUAUUUAUUAUUUAUAAAUUUUUAUUCUAUAUUGCACCUAUAUCACAAUACUCCUUUAUUUAUAAUUUUGAGAUUAAAUAAUUAACGGGAAAAAGAACUGGGUCAACCCGAACUCAAGAACCCCACCCGGAUGCUAUUUCCGUUUCCGGCCACUCCACCGCCCAAGGUUGGUACCGAUUGGAAGAUCGUGCGACGCCGGUCAUCUCCAUGACAUCCUUGCCGCCGGAAAGCGAUCAGAAAGCUGCCGAUUGAAGCCGUAAAAAACGGUGAAAUUACCGCUUCAAUUCGUAGCAAUUUCUCUACUUUCCGGUGACACCACCACUUAGGUUUUAUUCCCCACAAUUUCCUCUGUUUUUUCCGACCAACCAUAGCCACUGAGGGAGCCAAUUUGCAGUUAAUCGGUCGUUGAAGGAUUCACGACUUUGGGAGCUUGAUCCGGCGCCAUCACCACGCGUGGGAGGUCACUAUUGCCACUGUUGGACUCAACUCGGACAGAAGUGUCUAACUCGAAUUUCUCGUCGCUGUCAGUUGAAUUCCGAUCACCGUUGGUCGACAUGAGCAUUUCGGUAAUAUUUAUAUGGAUGCAGUAGAAAUUAACUUAAUAUUUAGGAAACUAAAUUUAAAUAAAAAUAAGUGAAAACAAUUAUAUGAAAAUUUGUCAAAAAAAAAAUGGCACGGUACAACUAUGGUACCGCAGGCGGAUCCUGCCGUAUAUUAUGUGAAUGACAGUUCAAUUUGAUGACAGUAAGUUGAAUUAGAGGACGAAGAGAAGAGAGCACCAAAUGGUCAAUGAUCAGUCAAUGUCAUCGAGUAGCUCCCAAUCAGAUGAAAAGACAAAGGCAAAUUGUGGUCCACAAAGUUUAAAAUUUCAUGAUGGUGGUUAUCUUUUCUCAUUUUUGAAGUCCACCCAGUAAUUUCUUGGAAGCUUCCAUAUGUUAAUUGUAUAUGAAUCUCAAAAUAUUGUCUCCGUAGGACAAAAUAAAUAUGCAGAAAUUUUUCACAUACAAUGUUAAGGUUGAUGCAGAAUAAAUAUGCAGGAAAUUUACUAAAGAGAUAAGAAAAUCUCGAUGGGACCCGUCGAUCUCAUAUUAUUAUUAUUUUUUUAUAAAUUAAUUAAAAGUUAUUUACUUCAACUCUGGCUGAAAAUUGGGUACAAAAGUAGAGAAAAAAAAUCAAAUGUUGGUGCUGCCUUUUUUUUUUUUAAUACUGAUUAAUCAUCAGAUUACUGCAUUACACAGAUAUUUACAACAACUACUAUUGUAGCAGAGAUAUUACACUGAUAUUUACAAUCAGACAUACAUGAUUGAGACGUACAUUAUUACAUUGAAUUCUAUGAAGUACAUGCCCAGAUAUACAUGAUUGAGACGUACAUUAUUACAUUGAAUUCUAUGAAGUACAUGCCCAGAUAAAUAACCCCUCAUAGAAGAGGGAUGUCCAUACUCCACUUGCAUUUCACAAGGGAAAAUAAUUUUUAAAUAUAAAGAACAUUUAGCCCCCACAAUGCUUUUGUGGGGGCUAGAACCGCUGCCCUCACAAGCCCACCACUUCGGCUAAGGCCGAAGUGGCAAUGUUGGUGCUGCGUUACUUGUGAUACUUGAGUUUUUGUCAAAAAUUGGAUGGUGCAAAAUAUAAAUUUUUUUAAUGAUAUUAUUAGAUUUUAUUCUAAUUUUUUUUAACUUACACUUUUAUAUAAUAAUGUAUUCGAAACUUUGUAUGACAAUAGGUGAGAAAUUGUGAUUCCAUUCAAAUCCAAAAUAUUGAAGCCAAACAAUGGAGAGGAGAUGGAAACGGAAUUCUUCGCAACAUUUGUAGCUCGAAUUGGAGAAGACAAAAGACAAAAAAGAAAAGAGAGGGCACUACCUAAUACUGUAUUGCUAAUGGUCAAUGAGUCAAUGACAGCCAGAAGCAAAUAAAGUUGUUUGAGGUUCAUUUCGAUAAAAUAAAGUAUCUGCAAGAUCAUUGUUUGAGAGCAAGUAAAGGUACGUUAGUAUUGUUUCCACAUCCUGCUUCUUGUUUUUUGCAUUUAUAAAACACUAAAUACUUGUUCGGUAGACCAUUUUUUAACAUAUUUUUGAAAAUAUAAAAUUCAUUCUACAUUUUUAACAAAAGAAAUAGGAAAACAACUUUUUAUUGUUUUCCUUAUUUUCCAAUACAGUAUUAAGUUUCAAAAUGAACAAUUUUCUUCCAACACCUCACAAAAUAUUAAAUAUUUCAACAUUAUUAUUAUUAUUAUUAUUAUUCCCAAAAAAUUGAUUUCCCUCCUCCACAAUAAUCUUUUCUUUUUAUAUACAUUAUAAUAUUUAUGUUUUUAUAUAUUAAUUAAAUCAAAUAUGUAGAGUUUAUAACUUUUCUUUAAACAAAAAAAAAUAAUGGGAUCACCUAAUUUAUUCUUAAAAUUAAAAAAAAUAAACUGAUUAAAUAAUAAAAAUAAUUAUUCAUUACUCAAUUUUAAGUUUAGGAAAAUUAUUCUAAUAAUAAUUCUUGAAGAUUUUCUUAUCGAAAGUAUUUAACUUUUUUCAUUUUCAAGAUUAUUUUUUAAAAUGAUACAAAACACACUUUAAAUUUUAAAAACAAAUUUGAAAACAUCAUUUCCAUUCUCAUUUUUGUUUCAUGAAAACAUCAUUUAGAAAAUAAUACCAAACAGGGCCUAAGCUUUGUGAGAGAGUGCUGUGUUCUCUCUAUUGAGUUGUGUGUCCCAAAUUCACUAGUGAAAAACUAGUCAUUUAAGUUGCAUACAUACCUUUGCAUCUUAGGCCUAAGCUCCCAACUAUUACGAAAAUGAGUAAUAGUUCUCUCUUACUGUUUAGAGAAAAUAUAAAUUUGUGAUCCUCGUUUAAACUAGUGAAAUCCACCAACGUUGAAGGUUUUGUAGUCCUCGUUUAAACUAGUUAAAUCCUUGCUUGUGGUUUUUACUGUUGAACAUGCACAUGCAUGUGGCAAACAAUUUCAUGUGGCUCGCAUGCAACUUUUGACUUUUGGCAUAAUUUGUUAAGUAAGUGGGAGACAUGAGUAAGUGGAAAGCAUUUAGCUAGCACACAACUUUUGUUUUUGACACCAAAGGGGAAAGUUAAAUGAAAAUAUAUAUUAUUUUAAAGCCCACUGUUGUUGAUUUUGGGGCAUUGCUUGGCCUAUAAAUAGAGGCUUCAUUUGCCCUCUUCAUUCAUCUCAUUUUCUUUAAUUCUCAAUCUAAUUGAGAAGUGAAAGAGCCAAGAUUUGGAGAUUGAGAGUGUGUUGAGAGUUUUAAGCUCUUAUUCUAGUGUCUUGAGAGUUUCGGUGCAUUGGGUUUUUUGGGUUGUGAGACAAAAUACUCCAGUACUUAUAACUCUUUUUCACUAGUAAAAUAUUUCCUUCUGCCUUCGCUCGUGGAUGUAGGCGAAAAGCAGAACCACCUAAAUUAUGGUGUCAUCCUGUGAUCAUUAUUUCUCAAUUUCAAUUUAAUUAUAUGUCUGCUUCACGCAUCAAUUUCCUAAUAGUGGUAUCAGAGCCAUUUAGUUAUAGUUUUUGGAGUCAACUAUUGUUCACAUAUAUGGUGUUGUUCACGUAUACAAUACUCUUCAUGUCUACGAUACUGUUUACUUAAAAUAGUGGGAGCGAUCGAAGAAUUCCACAAUGUAAAGUAAGGAGUAUUGGUGUGAGUAGAAGUAAUCACGUGGUCUUGUACAUGUCUAGGAUAGUUCUGUCACAAAGGCGAUAACAGCCUAGAGAGUUUGGGUUUUAAAUGGCACCGUUGUGAUCCCUCCAGUCAUUCCUGGAAACUUUUCUGCUGUGCAUUUUCACACGUGCGAUCACUCAUAACUACUCAAGGUGGUACACUAACUUGUGUAUGGUAUUUAUUAACAAAAUGGCAACAAAGUUUGAAAUUGAGAAGUUCAAUAGGAGCAAUCUCUCAUUGUGAAAAAUGAAGAUGUGAGCAAUCUCGAGGAAAAAUAAUUAUUUAGAAGUAAUUGCAGAAAGGUUUAUAGAAAUCACCGAUGACAAAUGGAAUUAGAUGGACGACAAUGCAAUUAUUGAUCUACACUUGGCACUUGCAGAUAAGAUAUUAUCCAGUAUGGCAAAGCAAAAGACAGCGAAGUGUAUUUGGAAUACCCUUGCAAAAGUAAACAAGGCUAAGUCGCUACACAACAAAAUCUUCUUAAAGAGAAGACUUUUAUAGUGUUCAAAUGGUAGAAACCAUAUCAAUGACCGACUAUAUCAACACUUUGAAAACUUUUUUUUUACAACUUACAAUGUUAGGUCAUAAAAUAGAGAAAAUUGAACAUGCAAAGCUUCUAUUUCAAAGUUCACCUGACUGGUAUGAUCAAAUCAUCAUCAACUUGACAAAUAAUAUCUGCACAGAGUAUUUAGUCUUUGACGGUGUUAUAGCCUCUGUAUUAGAGGAAGUGGGUAGAUGCAAAAACAAUAAAGAUAGGCAAGUAAGUUUGCAGCAAGCAGAAACACUAAUAAUGGUGAGACGAAAAUCAGUGGAACGUGGUUCCAGUGCAUGGUAGAUCAAAAUCAAGAAGAAAAUUAGGUGCUACGAAUGUGGUAAGAUGAGGCAUGUUAAGAAAGAGUUUUGGAGUAACUAAAAGAGAAAAGAGAGAAAAAAUAUGAGUCAUCAAAUGUUUAGGGAUGUGUAGCAAGUACCUCAGUUGAUGGUGACAUUUUAUACAGCAAGGCAGCAAUGGUUGCAGAAGACAAAACAAUUAUUUGAUGUAUGGCUUAUAGACUUAUGAACCACUUGGCACAUGACCUCUCGAAGAGAAUGGUUCCACAGAUAUGAACCCAUCUUAGGAGAAUAUAUGGGUGAUGAUCAUGUCUUGGAGAUCGUUGGUAUUGAUACUGUCAAAAUAAAAAUGUUUAAUGGUACAGUUCGCACAAUUCAGAAGGUACAACAUAUCAAAGGAUUGAAGAAAAAUCUAUUGUUUUUAGGAUAAAUAGAUAGUCUUAACUAUAAAACUCAUGUGGACAAUAAAAUCAUGAAGAUUUGAAGAGAUAUGCUUGUAUUGAUGAAGAUGGGAAAAUCAGUGCUAGUCAGUUUAUACUUAAAGAGGAAACAUUACAAGAAGCUAAUGCAUGUGUCUCGUCAAAUGGAGAAAAGUCGGUGAUGAUGUGGUAUCUCAAACUUGACCACAUGUCAAAAUAAGGUUUGAAGAUUCUCUUAGAACGAAAAUUGCUUCGGGGCUCAAAUUGGUGAACUUACUGUUUUAUGAGUAUUAUGUUACCAAUAAGUAACAUAGAUUGAAGUUCAGCAAAUCUGAUACCAAAAGUAAAUGCAUUCUAGACUUGGUUCAUUCUAAUGUUUGGGAAACAUCAGAAUAUGUCCCUAGGAGGUGCAACGUACAUUAUGACUUUCAUAGAUGAUUAUUCCAAGAGAUGUUAGGUGUAUCUAAUUAAGAAAAAGUCAAAUGCAUUUUCAGUGUUCCAAGAAUACAAAGCACGGGUGGAACUUAAAUUCAGGAAAAAUAUCAAGUGUUUGGGGACAAAUAAUAGUGGAGAAUAUACAAAUAGUUAGUUUUUUAUAUACUGUAAGCAAAAAGGUAUUAAAAAACAGUUCACUGUGGCAUACACUCCUCAACGGAAUGAAGUGACAGAGCGAAUGAACAAUACUCUUACAGAAUGAAUACAAGUUAUAUUGAAGACUGCUCUAGUCAACUCAUUUUGGUUAGAAAUAACCAAAUCCACCUAUUAUGUAGUAAAUUGAUCGCCACCUACAAUAAUUAAGUUAAAGACACCAAUGGAGAUGUAGACUAGGAAGCCUGCUGAUUAUUCUCAUUUGCAUGCAUAUGGAUGCCUUAUGUACUUACAAUGCUCAAGAAAGAAGAUUGACUACAAGAUUCUUAUCAAGAUUGUCUGUAGGGUCCCAUUGCCCACAAGAUUGUCAUCAGUAGAGAUGUUAUCUUUGUAGAAGAUCGACUACAAAAGAAAAAUGAGAAUGAUAGCACUUUAAAGAACAAGUCAGAGAUUGUACCAAUGUAUAUGAAAAUAAUCCAGGAAAAGAAGAUUUAGAUUAUUCUGAAACACCACUAAAGCAUGAGAAGCAAGAACCAAUAGAGUCUGAGGCUACAGAAGUUCAUCGGUCAACUUGCGAGAGACAACUGUCGGUGUGGCACUUAGAGUAUGUUAUAGGAUCAAUGUUGUAUACUAUAUUCUAACAGAGGAUGCAGAGCCAUCAACUUUCCAUAAAACUUUAAAUGGCUUAAAUGUUGUUUUGUGGAUGACAACAAUGCAGGUAGAAAUUAAAGCUCUACAUAGGUUUAAGACGUGGGAACUUAUACCACUACCACGUGGAAGAAAAAUCAUAGGAAAAAAAUAUGUUUACAAGAUCAAGCGUGAUGGCAAUGACCAAGUAGAGCGGUAUCGUGUAAGAUUGGUAAUGAAAGGAUAUGCUCAGAAAGAAUGUAUUAACUUUAACGAUAUAUUUUCCCUAGUAAUUCGACUCACGACAAUCAAAAUAGUCCUUGCAAUAUGUGUUGUAUUUAACCUAAACCUAGAGCACUUAGAUGUGAAAACUGUGUUUUUUCAUAGAGAACUUAAAGAAAAAAUGUAUAUACUCUAACCAGAAGGUUUUGCUGAAACAAGUAAAGAAAACUUCUUUUGCAGGUUGAACAAAUCUCUAUACAGUCUCAAACUGGCAUUGAGAUGUUGGUAUAAGAGAAUUGAUUCCUUCAUCAUGAGCCUUGGCUACAAUAGACUCGGUUUAGAUCUGUGCAUAUUACAAGUGGUUUGAGGAUAAUAAUUUUAUCAUUAUACUAUUGUAUGUGGAUAACAUAUUAGUAGCAGGCCCAAACAAAGAUUAGGUCCAAGAAUUAAAGGCACAAUUAGCUAGGUAGUUUAAAAUGAAGGACUUAAGACUAGCAAACAAGAAUAUAGGAAUGCAAAUUCACUAAGACAUAAAUAACAAGAAGAUUUGGCUAUCUCAAAAGAAUUACUUGAAGAAAAUCUUGUGACGCUUCAACAUGCAAGAUUGUAUGCUAAUUUCUACCUCACUUCCUGUUAAUUUCAAGUUAUCCUCAAGUAAAUAUUCUAGCAACAGAGUAGAGAGAAAUGAGAUGUCUCAAAUACCUUCUGUAUCAGCAAUAGGAAGUUUAAUGUUCACUAUGAUAUGUACGAAAUUAGAUAUUGCACAAGCCGUGUGAGCGGUCAGUUGAUAUAGAGUUAAUCCUGGUGAAGAAUAUUGGAAAACUGUAAAGAGGAUUCUCAGAUACAUCAAAUGAAUCUUAGAUGUUGCAUUAUGUUAUGGAGGAUUAAAAUUUACUGUCAGAGACCUUGAGGAUUCAUAUUUUGCAGGGGACCUUGAUAAAGGAAAUCUACUACUGGCUAUGUGUUUACACUUGCAAGAAAAGCUGUAACCUGCGUUUCAAAACUGAAAACCGUUGUGACUUUAUCUACAACAGAAGCAUAAUAAUGGUAGCUACAUAACCCUGCAAAAAGGUUCUUUAGAUACAAAGGUUGUUGGAGGAGUUUGGGUACAAACAAGAGAAAAUGUUUCUAUUUUGUGACAAUUAGAGUAUCUUGUACAUUGCAAGGAAUCUAGCCUUUCAUUUCAAGACAAAGCACAUAGGGGUACUGUUGUAAUCUUUAACUCAAUUGCUAGUAGUGUCAAUGUGCAAAUGUACACAACAAGUAAUAUAAGGGUGAGUAUCCAAGAUCGUCUCCAUAGGGAUUGAUGCUAUCAGACUUGCUACAACAAUUUCACAGUGUAAUCUAUAUUCUCAAUUAAAAAUCAAUGCAACUAAUACAACUAAUAGACUACGUAAAAUAAACCGCGAUAAUAAAGAAAAUGCAAUGAAUGAAAAUUGCAUGUUAAACACAAAAGUAAAUUCAAUUGGAAUAGAGUGGUUGAGUGAUUAAUCUAUUUUAAUGGUGUUAACUGUUUUAUAUAUAUUGAGUACGGUUACUGCAGCAUCUGUUACAACACUGGACAGAAACCAUCUUUUGUUAACAUAUAUGUUUGCAUAAUGUUGAUUUUGAUGAUAACAAACAAGAUUAAGAAUGAUUAAUCUUUUAAGCUCAAAUUAUUUUUUAUAUAUUUUAAAUAAAUCAUUAUUUUCAUAUUAUAAAGGUUUUAUAUUUAAUGGAAAAAUAAUUUUAUGAAAUUAGUUGUUUUUCAAGUUUAUGAUUUAAUUGAAAGAGUUUUUAAAACUUUGAAAUCAACAAGUAUUGCUCGAAAUUUUGGAGAAUGACUUAUUGGAAAAGUUUCAUAACAUUUUGGGCUAUAUCAUAAUUUCAAAAAAUUUUGGGAAUAGCAAGCAUUAUUUAGAGAUUCUUAAAUUGGACCUAUUUGCAAAAUAAUAUAACGUUUUGGGCCAUAAUACAGUUUUAUAAAGUUUUUGGGUCAAACUGUAAAUUUUAAAAAUAUUUCACUGUAGAAGUUUCUGUAGCAAGCGGCUUACCGGAUAUGAUAAACGACAAACCAGAUUUUGGGCAGUAAGCUUCUGGAGCAUAAACGGCUAUCCAGAUUUCGCAAAGCGGCAAUCCGGAUUUCAAAAGCGGCUUACUGGAUAUGAAAAGCGGCAUACCAGAUAUUCUGAAAUUCAAAUUUUUGCCUUAAUGGCAACAUAAAAGCGGCUUACCAGAUUCCUAAAUGGCAAGCCGGUUAUGACCAAAAUGUGCAUAACGGCUAGUUUUUUAGAUCAAACUAUAUAAACUCAAAUCCAACUCAUUUUCAAGCUCUCUAGCAAGCAUAAACAAAAAGCACACGAGAUAUCUUGAGCUUUCAAUUUUCAAAUCACAAAACAUUGAAUCAUCUCUUGUUCUUCAUUUUUGAAUAUCUACUCUUUGAGUGAGUUUUAUUGUAACUUUCAUUUCUUCAUCUUAAUUGUAAGAGUUUGAGUGUGUGAGACACUUGAGUGAAGAGAUUGGGAGAUAAUCUCUUUGUUGUAAAGGUUCAUUGACACCUUGAAGUCAAUUGUAAACGGUUGAAGCCUUGGAAAGACUUGGAUAGUGAAAUCCUCAAGCUUGGAUCACUUGGAGGCGUGGACGUAAGCGAGGAUUGCCGAACCACGUAAAAAUUCGUGUGUUUGUUUCUCUUCUCCCUUACUCAUUUGUUAUUGUGUUUUUAUUGAACUUAUUGCUUUCAAUUUUUAUUAAAACAUUAGAUUGCUUGUUGUGUGGAUUUGCUAGGAUAAUUUUUAAAAUUCCAAUUCACCCCCCUCUUGGGUUGCACACUUAUAUUUCAUCUUUAUCCUCAGCAGUAACAUGUUGGAUGUCUUAUAUCUUUAUGCAACCUAAUAAUGACCAAUUGUUAUGUCAACAUAAGAUAUAACAUUACAUGUUCAUGUUCUCUUUACCCUACAAGGUGAAUCCCCACAUUUGGUUUAUCACUAAUCUUUAGAUUAAGCAUGACCCUUUUUGGACUCAAGUUAAACUCAAUUUAGGAAACUCAAUCUAAAACUAAGUAUUGCUCUAAUAUGUUCCACUAAAAUAGGCCAUUUUGCGGCUCUUUCUUAACUUGUAUCAUUAAAUAAGUGGUCAACCAGAAUAAUGAAUGUAAAUAAAUGUUAUUAAAGCAAAAUGCUAUAGCAAACAUGCAGCAAUACUUAUUUUCGGUCAAUCAACCAUCAAGAUAGCUUAACAGUCAACCAUAAAUAAAUUUAGCUCAUAAUUUGUGCAUAGAAAUUAAACAACUAAGUGGUAGCCAUCGAGUACAUAGUCAUGAUCAAUGAAUGACAAGAAAACAAGAAAAGAAUGAGAAAGAGUGAAUUCCAAUUGAAUCUGUAAAUUUCUUCUAUUGGUGAAGCCUUGAAUUCUGCUCGGGAAUUCUGUUUCUUCUUCAUUUCUUUUCUAUUUUGGUUUUGAUUGACGGCCUCCUCUUUCCUUUGCAUGUAUGCCUCAUUUUAUAAUCACAAAUUAGGGUAACUGGAAACUCUAGGGCAUGCAUCUUCAGAUUAGAAAACUGCAGAUCGCAAUAUUCUAAAAAUCUUGCCCAUAUUUUCUCUGUCAAUGUUCAAGGAUUGCUACAGCCUACAACAAUGCCUAUAGCAUCUUCACUAUUCCAGAUGUGCUCCAAUUCUUCUAUAGCCAUGCUCGUUUGUCCUCUUUAUAGGUCCAUUGCAACAACAUCUUUUCCAUAAAAUUCAGGUUUCCAUUGACCUAUAGUUGAACAUAUGUUUUAGGCAUACAAUUAUUCAAAAUUCACGUAAACUUUAUUAAACUUAAACUAAAAUGAAUGUAAUGCAAACUAUCGUUAAAAUGCACUAAAACACAUCAAUUACUCUCUAAGGAGUCUUGAUUUAAGCCUAAAAAUGCCAUGAUAACUCUCAUUUUCUAGAGUUAUCAGGUACAAUACCACUUUAUUACAAAAAAAAUCCAUACCAAAGAGAACUGAGGAGAUGUUUUGACCAAGCGAAUCAAUGCUGACAAGUUUGUAUGGAGUAGAUCCUCUUGUAGCCUAACAGAGAUGUAAGCAACAUAACAAUGACGAAAAAGAAUGGAUGGUGUAGAGACAUGAUUGGUUCUCAAUCAAGUCUCUAAGUGGGAGAAUUGUUGAACAUGUGCAUGUAUAUGGCAAACAAUUAUAUGUUGCUAGCAUGCAACUUUUGACUUUUGGCAUAAUUUGUUAAGUAAGUGGGAGGCAUUUGUCUAGCACACAACUUUUGGCUUUGUCACCAAAGUUGAAAGUUGAAUGAAAAUAUAUAUUAUUUUAAAGUCCAACAUUGCUGAUUUUGGGUAUUGCUUGGCCUAUAAAUAAAGGCUUCAUUUGUCCUCUUCAUUCAUUUCAUUUUCUUCAAUUCUCUAUCUAAUUGAGAAGUGACAGAGCUAGGAAUUGGAGACUAAGAGUGCGUUGAGAGCUUUAAACUCUUGUUCUAAUGUUUUUAGAGUUUAGGUAUAUUAAGGUUUUUGGAUUGUGAGACAAAGUACUACAAUACUUGUAACUUCUUUUCAUUAGUAAAACAUUUCCUUCUGUCUUCACCUAUGAAUGUAGGCUAAAAGUUUAACUAUGAAAAUUCUGAUUGUUGUAUGCUAUGGGUGUCAUUGUGUAAGUGUACACAACAAGUAAUAUAAUGAUAAGUAUUCAGGAUCGUCUUCAUAGGAAUUGAUGUUAUAUGAAUUGCUACAGCAACCUUAUUUUGUUCCAAAAUUAAAAAUAAAAUAAUUUAUAAAACUAAUGAAUUAAUUAAAAUAAAAAUGCAAUAAGUGAAAUGCAAUAAGGUAAAUCAUCACGUCAAAUACAAGGAUAUAAUCAAUGAGAAUGGAGUAGUUGAGUGAUUAAACUCUCUUAAUGGUUUUGACUAUUUUUCUAAUUUUUGGUUCUGUUGCUACAUCAUCUUUUACAGUACUAUACAGAAUCCUUAUGUAUCCUUAGCUAUCACUUAUUGGAUGUCUUAUAUCUUGAUACAACUUAACAGUGACCAAUUGUUAUGCUAACAUAAAAUAUAGCAUUACACGUUUUAGAUUCUAAUUAUCCUACAAGGUAUAUCUCUAUGUCUAGUUCAUCACUAAUUUUAGAUUAAACAUGACCUUUUUUUAAUCAAGUUAAACUCAACUCAUGAAAUCCAACCUAAAACCAAGAAUUACUCUGAUAUGUCCCACUAAGACAGACCUUUUUUAGGCUUUUACUUAGCUAGUACCACUAAAUGGGUAGUCAGCUGAAAUAGUGAAUUGAAAUAAGUAUUAUAAAAAAAACAUGCUAUAACAAACAUGCAGCAACAUAUAUAAUCAGUCAAUUAACCAUCAACAUUGUUUAUCACUCAACCAUAAGUAAUUUUAGUUCAUAAUUUGUUAUAAAACAAAAACCAAAAUAGUUUCAGCCAUCAAACAAAUCUUCAUAACAAGAUAAAAAUACGAGAGUAAGAAUAAGAGUUGAAAUCCGCUCGUCCUUAUGAAUCCCCUUAAUAUUCUUCAUAAAUCCUUUGAUGCAACCCUUAAUUAUGUCUCUUUAUCUUUAUUUUCUCUUGUAUUGUUUCUCGAUUCUUUUCUCUAAUGACAACUCUCCUUUUUUCAUUGUAAUGUGCUCUUUUUAUAAAUCAAAAUUAGGGUUACCAGAAACGUAUGGCAGUGAAUCUCUUAUUUUUGGAAACUUUAGAUUGCGGUCUUCUAUUUAACGUGUGAUAUCUCAUUUAUCGUUGCUCCAGGAGUUGCUGCAGCAAUAGUACUACAACAUAUUGCUCCAGCAUCUUUCAUUAUUUCAAAAUUACUUCUCAUCCAAGUUCUUUUGUAACUCUGCAAGCCUGCUACAGCAACGUUCCAUCCAUGAAAUUUGAGCUUCUUGGUCACCUACAAUUAUGCAAGUAAUCAAAGCACACAAUAAUCUAAAAACACAUGAAUUUUAUUAAAAUUAAACUUAAAUGACUACCCAUGCAAAAUGUAGCUAAAAUGCAAUGAAAACAUGUCAUUUACUCUCUAAGUAAUGUUAAUUUAAGCAUAAAAAUAUUAUGAUAACUUUCAUUUCAUAGUGUUAUCACUGGUGUUCUUUUAUGAUUAUUGUUUCUCAAUUUUACUUUAGUUGUGUGUCAGCUUUACCUAUCAAUUUUCUAACAUUUAACUCAUACUAUUGGAGGUUUCCAAGUGAAACCAAGAAAAAUACUUGUAUCCAUUUCAUCUUCAUUAUUUUUCUAAUUUCACUUUAGUUGCAUGUUUACUUUAACCCAUUAAUUUCCUAAUUGUUUUAGCUUAUUAAAUUCUUAAACCUAAUGUAAUUUUUCUUUUUGUCAAGAUAAAACUUAAAUUGAACAUAUUGUUAAUUUUUAUUGACCAGUUAAGUUGCAUUAAUCUAUCUUUUGGAAAAGUAAACCCUUGAUGUUAUGUAUGAAAUAGCUUGAAAAAAUUUAAUAUGUUUCUGAAAGAAAGAGAAAAAUUACUCCCACAAUGCACAUACGAAGACUCAAAACUUUUCAACCUCCAUCAUUAGGAAGAUCAACUAUUCUAGCUAUAUGCAGUGUUUUUUAUGAACAAGAUCAAUUUCAAUAAUUUAUAUAAACUGAUUAAUCAAUUUUGAUUAGUCAAUUUUGAUCACUAAUUAUUUAUAACCAACAAUUUGUUUAACAUUAAAGAAAGAAUACACUGACGGCUGAUCCAAAACUCUAUUAUUUUAUCCACGUGUAAUGUUGAAUUUCUCAACUAAUAUGUCAUUCAUCCAUUAAAUAAUUGAAUAGAGUUAUAUGAUCCCACAAAGUACCUGAGUUUUCACCAUUGUUCUUCCUGGGAGUCAGAUUUCAGCAUAGCUAUUCCUAGACGUAAGAUUCCGGAGAGGUUCGACUAUCCGAAUGAGGGAUCUUCAAUAACAAUAAGUCCUCCAGAUUCAUACGAUAAGAAGAAGAUGGUUGGAUAUGCUAUUUGCUGUGCGUUUCAUGUUAAUAAACAUUCACAUCCUGUCAGAGGCAAACAUAAACAUCACUACCACUACCACAUGAAAGCUGAUCAGAUAGAAGCUCGUAUACAUUAUAUUCUUGAUCUUCAACAGUGCAAUAAUCUUGACUGGAAGUUUGGAUCUGACCAAGUUUAGUUGUUUCAAACUAGUUCGGGAUUGAAGGUGAAGAAGUGUAGUCUCCAUCCAGUUUCCAUACACUCGGGACACUCGGGAUUGAAGCUGAAUGGAGUCUCUCUACUGUUUAUAAUCUUGAUUAUUACUGAAGUUGCUGUUGAGCAUGAAUUCCUCAAGGUGGUUCUGAAUGUAUCUCUGAUUUCAUUCCAACUGAAGGUUCCUAUUUAUUCUGUGGACAGAAAUAACUCAACAAGUAUUGCUUCAAUCCAAAGUGCUACGCUUCCCAGCAAAAUUCUAGUGCUGAUACGGACAUGUAUCUGUAGUCUGCAGACUUGCUACAAGUUUCAGUUGCUCUGUGUGUGCGUUUGUGUACUAUGCUCAACUUCUUAGAUCUUCCGAGGAUGUUUACAUGUAGGUAUAUUGUUGAGUGUUCAUUUCCCUAAUGUUUAUUUGCUUUUACUGCUUAUUUUCUUAUAAUUCCCAUUGAUUGAAUUCGGCUAAAACAGUGUUUGGUUAUAGAGAAAAUGAAAUUGAAAGUGACGGAAAAUGUAUUUUAUUCAAUCAUAGCAUACGUAACAAUGUGUACAGAAUCUACAGAUCACUCUACUUAUACUACAAGAUGGAUACAAGAAUCUAGUAGCUAGAUUGUUCUGGAAUCUUCAUGCGUGGUUAAAGGCUACUGAAUCAGUUAUAACCAACUUGACAGCUCAGCAUAACUAAUUCUCAGCUGGUAUACUAAGCUACAUGCUAAACCACCAGCCUUAUCAUGUUCUUCCAUCAUGCUCUGUAAACUCUGCAUAACACCAUAUCAGCAUCACUACAUAGCACCAUCAGCUCAACAUCACUGCACAACAUCAUCAGCAUCAUCAGAUACUCCUAACACCCAUAAUAUAUUUGAGAUUGACACAACAAACCUUAUCAUCUUUAUAUUCUUUCUAUAGAAACUCCUGGCCCUUAGAUUAAUCUUUUCCACAGCAUAAAUUUUUAUGCAUAAGGCUCAAGAGCAUUCGAGAGAAACAGAGUGAAAAGGCUGGCAUUUGUUGACAUACUCUCUAAAACUGAAAAGGCCAAACCGUUGUUACCAAGCAAUUUCAAGCACUGUGCACAGCUAAUAUGUGAGAACUUUGACUCACAUAAUUUAAAUGCCUCCGAUUGCAUAGGCUAUAUAAAAAAAUUCAAACAGAUUCAAUAAGCUAAUCUAAUUUCUUUGUUAUUCAUUCAUAGCAAUGCAAUUCAUGAACUAUGACACCAGCCCCUUCAAGUGUACCAAAAAACUCACCCUAAUUGGCUCCGAAUCUGCCAACUUUUGCACAAAAAGAAGGGAAUUGAUAGUUAAGUUGUCAUGUUAUUUAAGUUCGAAAGAACUCUGAGUCAUUUUGAAUCCCUGGAUUGAAUUAAAAAUUAAGUUAUUCUUGUAGUAAAAUUAGUGGCUUUCAGUUAAGCUUCUACCAAAUUAUGCACUAUUUACAAAAAUGAGAAAUUUAUGAGAAGAAAUAUAAUAAGAAUUCAACAAAACAGAAGAUUUGUUUCAAUCCUUAAUUUUCAACUCAUGAGAAAUCAAAAAAUUCAAGGCUUUAAAAAAAAUACACACACACAUUCGCUAAACUUUACAUGCUUUCUUUUUCUUCUCAUUUCUUCUCACUCUAGUGCAGUUCUAAUUCCACAUCUUCUCACAAACCAAACAACAAAAACGAAAAAAUAUCAAAUAAGAAACACUUGCAACAAUCACAACAACUGCUUGAUUUUAUCAACAGGGCAAAAGCAUAGGAUUAUCUCGAUCAAAAUCCAUGUUCACUGGAAUUUGGAAUUAUUAACAAACAUCAAAGAAAUUCAAGUGAGGAGCCAAGCUAAUAGAGCAGUAAUGCUAUUUCAAUUCAUGAAGGCACAUUCUUAAACAACUAUAGGUACUCUUUGCUUUUGAUCCAAGCAGAGGAUUUCUGGUAAUUUAACAUCAAAUGUUUUUCGAUAAGGAGAUGCAAUAAAUAAAUAAAAUUAAUGUAAAUGAAUUACCAAGUGCAAAGAACAUGAACUGAAUUUGAAGAUGAAUGCUUAUCGAUGAAUUCAGAGAAUAAGCAGGCUUCUGCAUUAAAUUUUUCAGGCUGUGGUUCCUCAUCAACAGAACACCAUUCCCACUCUUCAAGCCCAAAUAUUCAUUCACACUUCACCUUGACGUUGUGGCUACAAGUAUCUUUGAUCAAACAGAAUCGGGAUAGAAUUCAUUCAUAUUAUAGGCAGUGUAGUGAGUGAGUCCAUUGGUUUCUUAUUUGGUUGAAGAACUCAACUUUGUGCCUAUAAAUGGGAUGGAAACCACAUCUCUUCACCUGCAACCCUGAGCCAGACACAGGCCGAAACGACAACUCAAUGAGAUUAUUAUCAAAACGCCAAUUGCUAUAAUAGCAUUUUUUAAGAGACAAGUAGAGUAGCCAAAGAUGGCCUGACUCUGCUUCAGCAAAUUUCUCUCUGAACUCGAUUGAAUAACUGGUAGAAGAACCUUUCAUCUGGCAGUUCAAUUGAUGUGUGGGAUAUGAACGCCUUGUUUGGAUACCAGGGGAAUGUUCACGGACAUGAAAGACGCAGCAGACGGCAUAUCCCAGCGCCUUAUUCUUACAAUAUAAAUUUGAAGGCAUUAUGAAUUUUAUUGAAGAUCCAUCAUUCUGAUGCAUGAACCACUCUGGAAUUUCACUUCCUGGAACAACUAUACCAAACUUUUGCAUUGGGCGUGACACUGCCUGUAACCGAAAAAAGGGGGAUAAAAAAGGAGCCCAUAAAAAUGCAUCAUUUUUAGGCAUAAUUUUUUGCACAAAUGAGAGAGGAGAGAGAGAGAGAGAGACUGACCUCAAGAUACUCUUUUAGCAUUGAAAAUGCCAAACCAUCGUUGCUGAGCAAUUUCAGGUUGUCUAUACAACUAAUUGAAAUGUACUCCGAUUUGCAUAAUUUUAAGGCAUCUGAUAAUUUUUCCAAUGAAGCACAACCAUUUACUCCGACUUCUUUUAUGUUGGGUGGAAGUUGCGGCAUAGAUUGUAGUCUUUUGCAAUCUUCCAACUCUAGUUCUUCAAGAUUAAAAAGACGGUUAAUGCUUGCUGGCGCUGUAACGAAACUGUUUUUACUCAGAUACAACUCUUCUAACGACCAUAAGUUGCCAAUAUCAUUUGGUAUUGCUCCUUCCCCUAGAUCACAGUCACUGAGGUCCAAUUUCCUUAAAGACCACAAACCUGACAGAGAAGGAAGCCUCAAAGCGGUAGGAUCUGAACAGCUUCGCUUCAAACUAAUGGGGGAGGGCAGAUACCAUGAUGAUGAUACUGGUGGUCCUUUGCACCCGCUUAAUUCUAGCACCUCCAAGCUUUCUACUUUCCCCAAGUUCUCUGGCACAUUUUUAAGUUUGGAGCAGCCAGAGAGAUACAACUUUUUAAGAGACUUCAGACCGUUAAUAGUACACGGAAGACUCAAGAGAUUUUUGCAAUCUCUCAAAUUCAACAAAACAAGACCAGAGAAAAGUUCAAUUGAUAUAGGCAAUCCUCUUAUGGCAGUUCCUUCCAAAUGAAGCUCCAACACAUGCUCCAUAUUUGUCAUGAUCUCUGGGAAAUUUGAGAAUUUCAAUAGGCCAGAAAGAUUCCAAGUUGGAUGAUAUUUUAGAGCGCUUAUAUUUCUUGGAAGACGCUCAAGUUUAUUACAGCCUUCCACAUUUAACUGAACAAGUCCAGAUAGAAGUUCAAAUGGUAAUAUUGGUAGUUCUUUAAUAUCGGUUCCAUCCAAAAGAAGAUCUGACAGACACUUCAUACUACCCACAAUCUCUGGAAAGUUCUUCAAUUUCAAGCAACCAGAAAGUACAAGUAUUUUUAGAGAUUCCAUAAAAAUCUUGCCCGGAAGAGUCGUGAGACUUGUACAGUCUUUUAGAUUCAAUAAAGUAACCUUCUUGUGAAGUAGCAAUGUUGGGUGAAUGUCACACAAUCUUGUACAUCCUCCAAGAUCCAGCUCCUCUAAACAUGGCAUCCCUGAGAAAUCUGGCGUUCUGAUCAGAUUUUUGGAUUUGCCAAGUCUCAUGAAUUUCAAAUUGCUUAAAGGCUGUUCAAAAACAAUGAUUUCAGCAAUUUUUCAGGGGAUGAAUGAUAACUCUAUCAACAUUUAUUCACGGGAAAAAAAAUAAAUGAAAUAAAACUUACUUUGAUUCCAUUCCACAUUUGUUCGAUGUGACUGUAACACAUGUUAAGUUCAACAAUUUUAUCCGGUUGAAAAUUUGAUGGCAAGGAUUUCAGAGGAUAUCCAGGCCAUUCAAGUAACCGUAACUCAUUGGAGAGAUAUUCAAGGCCUUCAGGAAGUUGCACUUGCACAUUACGGAUAAGAAGCAUUCUCAGGUUAGUCAUCUUCAAAAAUGUAUUAGAACUUGCUCUGAAAUGCACUUCUGCUUCUGCAGGGAAGUUGAGAUAUAUGACUUCAACAGUUUCAGAUCCCUGAAAGUUAAAAAAGUAAAGAAUAAGCAAAGAUAAGAAUGUGAAUGGGUUGAAAUCUUAGAAGUACAUGUUUUUGACUUAUCAUUGCUUACUGUGUUUCUUGUUAACAGCUGACGUACAUCUGCUUCCUUCCACAAUCUGCUACGUUUCCCAGGAUCUUCAGGGCAUUGUCUCUUAACAAUUUGUUGACCCAUUUCUCGUAAAAAAUCGUGCAUCCAUAGUUGAUUGUUGGAUAAAACCUCUAUGAGAGAUUUAUCAAUAAGAACCCUUAUUCCAAUAACUGGGUCAAAAUCACAGUAAUCAAGAAUUUUUGUUACAUAAUCUCUAUUCUCCCCUCGAUGAAAGCACGCAAUGUCAAGAAAUAUUUUCUUCUCUGUUUCUUUAAGCCCAUCAAAACUUAUUUGAAGUAUAUCCAAGAUUUCAUUUUCUGAAUCUCUUUUCAGUCUCUUUACUGCGCUUUGCCAUUCUUUUGUUGUUUUACCAUAUAAAAAGGAUCCCAAAACUUUGAGAGCUAAUGGAAGACCACCUGAAUACUUUGUAACCCAUUCAGACAGCUGCUCAUAUCCUUUCUUAGGCUGAUGGGUUUUGAAGGCUUUUUUACAAAAUAAUUGAAGAGCGUUAUCAUCAUGUAGUUCCCUGAGCUUAUAUACUUCAUCUACUCCAUGCGUCAUCAACAAAUGCUUAUCUCUCGAUGUUAUUAUGAUCCUGCUGCCAGGACCAAACCAUUCACGCUUUCCAGCUAAACAUUCUAAUUGCUUGAUAUCAACUACAUCAUCGAUAAGCAAAAGAACCUUUUUGUGGUGCAGCCUACUUCCUAUGAUGUUGAUACCAUCAUAAACAUUCCAUAUGCCAUUAUUUGGAAGCUUUAGUAACUGGGAAAGGAGUUGCUUCUGUAAAGAGAUCAGGCCGCCUUCUUUUGAAAUUUCUCUAACAUUGGCAAGAAAGCUACUUCCUUCAAACUUAUGAGAAGUCAAGUCAUAAACAACCCUUGCAAGGGUUGUCUUCCCUAUACCUCCCAUACCGCAUAUCCCUAUCAUGCGAACAUAAUUAGAUCCUUUAUCCAUGAGAAGCCUCAGAUUCUUCAAGUGUGAAUCUAUUCCUACUAGAUUCUUAAGAAUCCCUGAUAUUAUAGGACUUUUACUUGAUAUCACCUUGACAACCUCCAAAAUAAAUUCAGACUGAUUCCUGCAGCUUGCAAAAGAUUAAGAAAACAUUGGUGUUGUUGAAUUAAAGUGAGUGUAAACAUAGUUUCAAAUCAAAUCUAUUAUAGGUAAUUAAUCUUUGAGAAUAAGAAAGACUACCUGUCCUUCAAUUCCCAGCCACAGAUAUUAGCCACUUCUUUCAAAGUAUCUCUCCACUUUUGCACCUUUUCUUUAUUCUGAGCAAGAAUUUCUUCAUGUCGAGCAAAAACUGCUUCAAGAAUUCCUGACUGUUUCCUUACAUCAGUUGGUUCCACAUCAUAGAAAAUUGGAUAAACCAUUUGUUGAUGAUUUUUGUUUUUGCAUUCAAGAAUAUGAACAAGUUCGUCCAAGCACCAUGUCGAACAAGCAUAGUUUCUAGAGAAAACAAUAAUUGAAAUUUUUUAUUCUUCAAUUGCUUUAAAGAGUCCAGGUGAAAUGGAUUCUCCUCUCUCAAGUUCUUUGUCAUCCCUGAAGACUAUGAUUCCCUUCUGAUCCAAAGCAGUGUACAAAUGGUCUGUGAAAUUUUUGCGGGUGUCUACUCCUCUGAAACUUAAGAAGACGUCAUAUUUCCAGUGAGGAAGAGGAUAAGGAACAAAAGGAGAAACUUUGUGGAUGCUCAUGAUGCGAGCAAUUGACGCCACGACAGUCGCACUCUAAGUCCCUAAGAACUAAUUUAGAAUUAGAUGCUGUAUCAAUGCCGAAUUGAAGAAGACUUAAAACCUGCACUGCCAACUUUCCUGUCCAAGAAACACACACUACCUGCAGAGUUGGAACCAGUUUUUAUGUCUUGGCAACAAGAGAAUGAAAUUUCCUCUAAAUUGAUUUUUUGGAAUUAUGUGAAAAAAUUAAUUAUAUAAAGAGUGCUUUUGGGAUAGGGGGUGGAUAUUUAAGCUACAACAUAAAAAUAUUUGGUAAAUACUAAUUGUUGUAACUUAAAAAUUAUAUUGAUAUGAUUUUUCACUUAUAUGAUAAAAAAUUCAUUAUAUCUCUAAUAAUUUUAUCAAAAUUAUUAUUUAAAAUUUAUAUUUAUUAUAUAUUAUUAACUUUUGUUUCAUAAUUACAAUUUUUUUCAUAGCUGCUGUAGUUUAAAAGCUACAAUAUCUCAAUUCCAAAUAAGAUUAAAAUAUGUCACAAAAAACAUACAUAUAAAAGUUCAAAAAAUAAGCUGAAAAUACAAGACACAUGCAAGUAUUUGACCACAGUUAGAUGAAUUUUUACGUUGUUUCAGUGAAAUUAAUGAGAAGAUUUUAUGUGUUCUAGUUAAUUUUUACUCUUUUAGUCCUUUGUAUGCCGACAAGAAGUUUAUUUUAAGUACCUAAGAAUUAAUUAAAAAUAUCUUUAAAAUAGUUCAUAAAAAUACUGCACUAAACGCAUAAAAUUCGAUGUCGAACUUAAACCUAGCAAAGCUGAAUUAAAGAGCCGAAACCCACACUAAUUGCCAGCAAUGUUGCAAUAAGUUUUGAGCCUUGGAAGCAAGAGAUCAAAACUUCCUAUUAAAUUGAAUUAUGUGAGAGACUAAUUACACAAAUACAAGAGACAUGUAAAUAUAAAACUGUCAGAAAACUUACUGCUCAGAGCUUGUUAGAAGUUGGAACCACCGCUGAAAAAUGACGAAUUUUCACUUUGAUUACAAAUUAAGUCUGUUUCAACGAAAUCAAUGAGAGGAAUCUUUCCCUAGGCCCUCAACCUUCAAACCAAUCCUGGUACAGUCCUUGCCUACUGAAUCUAGAGUCUCAGAGCUUCUUGAUCAAAAUCACCAAUGGAAUGAAACAAUGAUCAAUCAAAACUUUGCAAAGGAAGAUGCUGAAAUCAUAAGGAAUAUCCCUUUACCGAGAACUCCUCAAGAAGAUAUGGUGAUAUGGCAUUAUGAUAAGAAAGGUAUAUACUCAGUAAAGAGUGGAUAUCAACUAACUCUCAAAAUUAAGUUCUCUGAAUCUCCAGCCGGAUCUACAGGAGCUCCACAGGGCUGGCAACAUAUUUGGAGGCUAAACUUACCAGAGAAAAUUAAGAUCUUUGUGUGGAAAGCUGCAAAGAACCUGCUGCCAACGGCAGAAAAUCUGUGGAGAAGGAAAGUGCCGAAGGAACCGACAUGCCAUUUAUGCAAAGCGGGUUGUGAAGAUGGUUUCCACGCCUUGAUGGAAUGCAGAGUGGCUCGGAGAAUCUGGAAAUGUACUCACUUGGAGAAUGAGGUGAAGAGCGUCAUUAGAGAAGACAUGCUUAGUGUCAUGAUUGGGACUAUGAAUAAUUGGGCUAAGUCUGAGGUAGAUUACGUGGCCACGAUUUGGUGGGUUGCUUGGCAUGCUAGAAGCAAACUCCUUUUUCAAGGAAAAAAGUUAGAUCCAUUAGGGUCAGUGGCUAGGGGCAAAGCAGUUAUGGAAGUGUAUCAGGCUCAGCAGGCUAAAGAACGGGAGAGCCAUGGAAAUACAGUAGAGGGAAAGAUGCAGAUAUGGACUCCACCACCAAACAACAAAGUGAACGUCAAUGUUGAUGCAGCAGUCGAAGAAGAUAGGAAGAGUGCAGGCUUGGGCGUGGUCAUCAGAAAUCAUCGAGGGCAAGUGUUAGCAGCAGCAGUAAAAAGCAUGAAUUUCCAGGGGAACGUAGCUAUAGCAUAAGCUCAUGCUGUCAAGUCGGGUAUGGAGGUAGCCAAGGAUCUUAGUCUGUCAAAUGUGAUUAUAGAGACCGACUGCAAAAAUGUAGCUGACUUAGCAAAUAAGAAAGUUAGCAACAGGACAGAGAUUUGGUGGACUAUAUCAGACAUCCACAAGAGCACACAAGAUUUCCAACUGAUAUCUUUCCAACAUGUUCCAAGAAAGUGUAAUGGUUUUGCUCAUUUUUUAGCUAAAAGAGCUUUGUGUAGCUCAGAAUCUGUUAUCCGGAGAAACAAUUUACCAGCUGAUGUUUUAUGUAUGGCUGAAAGUUUAGUUUAAUGAAAGGUUUACUUUCUUUUUAAAAAAAAAAAAAGAGGAAUCUUUCAUGUGUUCUAAUUAAUUAAUAAUUUCAUCCUCUUAUGCUUGCCAACUGCAAGUCUAGUCAAACAUGUCUUUAAUAAUUAUUAGUACUUUAUUAAAGAUCUUUUAAACAUAGUUGCUUUUUCUCGAAUGAAGUCUUAAACAUAGUUGCUUUUUCUCGAAUGAAGACAAUCUUGAUGAGACUUCAAUGAGUUGACCUACCAUGCAGCCCUGUAUCUCAUACAGCGCAUGCAUGCAACUGGUACAACCGGUUUUUACGGAUAAUAUACUGAAAAUUAUAUUUUUAUUUGUUUUUAAUGUAAAAAAAUUAUGAAAAAAUUAGAAAAAAGAUUAAAAUUGUAAUUAAAUGAGGAAAAAGAUUGUAAUAAUUUAAAAUUUAAAAAUAUUACAAAAAAUAUAUAAAAAAUAUUAACAUAUCACAAAAUGGUUAUAUUCCUACUUAUUUUGUUACAUUCCAAUAUUUAUAAUGCAUAUUUCAAGUUUAUUUUUUAAAUUUCUAUUUUUCAUGGUUAUUUAUCUAAAUUUUGGUACGUUGUUUCAACUCGCUUUCCCACUAGUUUUUGGUUUCAUAUAUCCACUUUUUUCAUUAACUUCCAGUUUUUUAGGUGUAUAUUUCAAGUUUAUUUUUAUAUCUCUGUAAUGUAUUAAAUUUUAUUUAUUUUUUGGUAAAUUGUUCCGAUUUAUUUUUCUACCACUUUUUGGUUCUAUAUUCCCACUAUUUUUAUUGAAUUUUAAUAUUUUGGGUAAAUAUAUCAAGUUCAGUUUUUAGAUCCUUACUUCUCAUUUGAAUUUAUUAAACUCUUGGUAAAUCAUUUCAACUUUUGGGUUAAUUUUUUCAACUCUUGUUCGUACCAUUUUUUAGUUCUAUAUUCCUACUCUUUUUAUUGAAUUCUAAAAUUUUGUUUGGAUAUUUCAAGUUCAAUUUCUAAAUCCCUACUUUUCGUUGGAAUUUAUCAAAUUUUUAGUAAGUUGUUUCAACUCAUUUUUCCAUCAGUUAUUAGUUCUAUAUUUCAAGUUUUUUCAUUAAAUUUCCAGUUUUCAGGUUGAUAUUUCAAGUUUAUUUUUUAAUCUCAAUAUUCUAUUAGACUUUAUCUAAUUAUUACUAAGUUGUUCCAACUUAUUUUUCCACUACUUUUGGUUCAAUAUUCCUACUAUUUUUAUUGAAUUCCAAUAUUUUGGGUAAAUGUAUCAAAUUUACUUUUUAGAUCCCUACUUCACGUUUAAAUUUAUCAAAUUAUUGUUAAGUUAUUUCAAUUUUUGGGUUAACUUCUUCCACUCUUAUUUUCACCACUUUUUGGUUCUAUAUUCCAACUAUUUUCAUUGAAUUCUAACAUUUUGCUUGGAUAUUUCAGGUUCAUUUUCUAGAUCUCGACUACUUGUUAAACUUUAUCAGAUUUUUGUUAACUUCUUCAAACUUUUAGGUUAUGCUCUUCAACUCUUGUUUCCACUAUUUUUUUGUUCUAUAUUUCUACUCUUUUUACUUAAUUCCAAUAUUUUUGUGAAUGUUUCGAGUUUAUUUUUUGAUCCUUACUUCUUGUUGGAUUUAUCAGAUUUUUUAUAAUUCUUUCCGAGUUUUAGGUUAAGCUCUUCAACUCUUUUAACCGCAACUUUUUGGUUUUAUAUUCCUACUCUUUUCAUUGAAUUCCAAUAUNNNNNNNNNNNNNNNNNNNNNNNNNNNNNNNNNNNNNNNNNNNNNNNNNNNNNNNNNNNNNNNNNNNNNNNNNNNNNNNNNNNNNNNNNNNNNNNNNNNNAUCAUAUUUUAUAUAGAUGUUUCAAGUUCAUUUUUUAAAUCCUAUUUAUUAUUGAAGUUUAUCAAGUUAUUGGUAAGUACUUACAACUUUGGGUACAGAAGCAAUUUAUAAACAGAAAAAAAAGUUGCAUUUUUUGGUUAAUAGCGUCCAGAGAAUCUUCAAUGGAGAAGAAAAUAUAUCGCAUUGGGAUAAAAAAAAUGUAAUAUUUCCAAAUGAUAACCGACCAGAACUUAUCAAACAUGUUCAUUAUAUCAUCCAAAAAUGAGAUAGGAUUGAAAAAUGGGGAAAAAAAGAGAGAAAAAAAAAACAAAACAAUGAAGUGAAGAAUAUGCUUAGUGGAUUUCAAAUGCAAUUUAAUUAAAUCCAUUGUUUUGACAUAGAGGCAAGGGGCACGCGUAAAAAUCCCAACGUUCAUCAGGAACUAUAUGUAGUCCUAAGCACACAAAUAUAUUUCCUCUCCUAAUGAUUCCAAUUAUUCUAAUAAAUUGAAUUUUAUACAAAGUGCGUGGUGGGACUGGGAUCAUGGAAUGGGUUUUUUAAGCAAGGCUUCACUCAAUUUAAUUUUGUUGGCUUUAUAUAUGGGGAAUUGGCUUCAUUAUCUUCCUUCUUUGACGUGAAUAGUGUUACACUAUUUCUAAAGUCAAAAAAGUAUUUCUAAAGUUCAAAAUUUUUUCACUCCUUUCAUAUAUAUAUAUUUAUUUUAAUACUGGGAUCAAAUCUUUUGUUUGUUUCAUUCAUCAAAGUCAUUUUGGAAAAUAGUAGGGAUGAUUUGAUAUUUUAAUUGUAUUUACAUCUCUUUGGCGCCAAAACAAACAUGUUGGUACACAAUUCUUUAUUUUCAGUAUACAAGUUAUUUUUUUUUUUGGGUAACUUGAUCAUUUUAUAAUGCAACAAACGGUUAAAGAAAUGGGAUACCAACAUUAGAGGAGGCAUAUGAGAAUACACGAAUAUAAUAUAUCGAACUGAGAAUACACCAAACCUCAAAAUAGGUUUCUGAUAAUUAUCCCAAAAUUAACUUGGAAAAGCAAUAAAAGGUUGCAAGUGAUGAAGAUAUAAUUACCAAAAGCAGCUACCAACUUCGAAAUUUCGAAAUCAAUCACUAGGCAGUAGGCAGAAUAUAUUAUGCUUGGAAGUGGGAAUCUUCCUGAAACUUAAGUAAUUUACAAUCCAAACAAAACAUGUAGAAACUAGUAAUAUGGUAGCGGAGUCCACUAUUUUGUUAUUUGAGCUGUCCCGAGUAAUAAUAAAUUUCGUCUCAUUUUCCAAGCACUGCGGAUAAGAAUUCCACUGAAGAUGCAGCUUUACUGACUGUUUGAUCCCAAGUGAAGGGACACGGCUAUGAUGAGUCCCUGUAUCAUUGUUGGCAGCCAAAUAACUUUUAUAACUCGCAGCAAUCAGUUUUUCAGCCGGUUGCUAUCAUUAAUAUGUAUUUUUUUAUUUCAAUAAAUUAAAAUAAAAAAUAUUUAAAAUGAAUAAUAUUUUAAUAAUAAUAAUAAUAAUAAUAAGUAGAAAAGGAUAAUUAAAGUAAAAAUGGAAAAAAUAUUUUUUAUUGUAAAUAUUUUUAAAAAUAAAAUAAAAUGUGUGUUAACAAAAAGACAAAAGUUUUAUUUAUUUUCUAUAAAAUGUAUCUCAUGUUUAACAUUUUAAGUUUCAUAUUUUAUGUUUUAUGUUUCAUGUACUGAUUUUUCAAAUAUCCCAAUAUUUUUUUUUUUACCCCCGUUUCAUGUUUACGUUCAAGUUUCAUGUUUGAUAUUCUAUAUUUCAUAUUUUAUGUUUUAUGUUUACUGUUACGGAGGUACAUAUAUUUUAUGUUUGUUGUUGCAUAUUUUAAGUGAUUUGUUUCAUGUUGGUUGUGCAAUGUUUCAUGUACUGAUUUUUCAAAUACCCCGAAAUUUUUCUUUUUUGCCCCCGUUUCAUGUUUACGUUCAAGUUUCAUGUUUGAUGUUCUAUGUUUCAUGUUUUAUGUUUCAUGUUCACUGUUAGAGAGGUACUCAUAUUUUAUGUUCGUUGUUGCAUAUUUUAAGUGAUCUGUUGCAUGUUAGUUGUGCAAUGUUUCAUGUACUGAUUUUUUAAAUACCCAAAAUUUUUCUUUUUUGCCCCCGUUUCAUGUUUACGUUCUAUGUUUCAUGUUUGAUGUUCUAUGUUUCAUGUUUUAUGUUUCAUGUUCACUGUUAGAGAAGUACUCAUAUUUUAUGUUCGCUAUUGCAUAUUUUAAGUAUGAUGUUUCAUGUUUGUUGUUUAAUGUUUCAUGUAAUAAUUUUUCAAAUACCCCAAAUUUUUUCUUUUUUGCCCCCGUUUCUUGUUUACGUUCCACAUUUCAUGUUUGCCGUUCCACUUUUCAUGUUUGAAUGUGUGUGUUCACUGUUACCCAAGUACUCAUAUUUUAAGUUCGCUGUUGCCAUAUUUUAAAAAAGAUGUUUCAUGUUUGUUGUUAAAAGUUCCAUGAAAAAUUUUUCAAAUACCCCCAAUUUUUUCUUUUUUGCCCCAUUUCAUGUUUACGUUCCACGUUUCAUGUUUGUUGUUCUACGUUUCAUGUUUGCUAUUCUACGUACGUUUCAUGUUUGACGUUGUAUGUUCACUGUUACCGUGGUACUCAUAUUUUAUAUUCAUUGUUGCAUAUUUUAAGUAAGAUGUUUCAUGUUUGUUGUUUAAUGUUUCAUGUAAUAAUUUUUCAAAUACCCCAAAUUUUUUCUUUUUGGCCCGCGUUUCAUGCUUGAUGUUCUACAUUUCAUGUUUGACAUUGUAUGUUCACUGUUACCAAUGUACUCAUAUUUUAUGUUCGUUGUUGUAUAUUUUAAGUAAGAUGUUUCAUGUUUGUUGUUUAAUGUUUGUUGGAAUGAUGAAUGUUGCAUCUUGAUUUAUAUUUUACUACAUGGCUUGAUAUGUUUGUUAUUAUAUGAAUCUAUGCUUCAUGAAUUAGAUAGCUUGAUAUGCUUGUAAUUUUAUAAUUUUAUAUUUCAUGCAUUAAAUGGCUUAUUGAAAGGUUUUAAAUCUCAAAAUGAUUUAAAAUUAAUCAAUUUUAAAAGGUCAAAAAUAAAAUGGUGUGUGUAAUACAAGUAUAAGAGCUUGCCCAAUUAGAGACAAAAAGAUUUCCAAGUCUAAAUCGGUAUACCACUUCUUCUCAUUCGGAAAACCGUUUUUCUUAUUGAUUUCUCUCGGGACAAAUUUCAGAUAACCGAAUUGUCCAAAUCGGUGAGCCGCAUUUUCUUUGGUUGCUCUCAGGUCAAUAUUCGGAUAACCGGAUUAUCAAUCCGGAAAACGGGAUUCGCGUAUGGCCUUCACUGGAUUUAACCGAAUAGCCGGUUCUGUAAAUUCGGAAAUCCAGAUUCGAGCUGCACUUUGGCAGCAUUCUGGAUUCAUUCGGCCAAUCGGUUAAGGAAACCGGUAAGCCGGUUUUAACGUGUUAUCUUCUGGAUCCAACCGGCAAGCCGGUUUGUGAUAUUUGGAAAAUUGGAUUCGAGUGAAGGACUUGCUGGAACAUAACCGAAUUUCCGGUUCAAGUAAAACCGACAAGCCGUUUACGGCUUGUAAGCUUCUGGUCACAACCGGCUAGCCAGUUAGUGAAAUCCGACAAACCGGUUACGGGACCUAUUUCUACUAUUCAUCUUCUUCCUCUCAUUCGGCAUUCCGAAUCUCCCCCUCUCUCUAAAAACCGUUACUCCUCACUCAAUCUCACUCCAAAUCCAUCAUUUUCUUCCUUUUUUGCAUCAAAUUGAGUCUCAAAAAUGAUUCCCCAUCACUUCAUUUACUCAAAUCAUCUGUAAAAUUCAUUUUUAACAUCCAAAACUCUAGAUCUCAAAUUCAUCCUAGGGUUUAACCGAACUUUUCUCUCUCUAAAUUUCUCACUCUCAAGCCGUUUUUUAUUCAAGUUGCUUCUCAAAAUCUCUUUCAAUCUUCAUCAUCUUCAUUCUCUUUAUCUUUUUCAACUCCAAAUCCAUCAAAAUCACAAUAUCAAGCUCUCGGCCGGUUCGAAUUUGUGAUUAGGCUUGGGUUUUGUUUUGCAAUUUCUUUUCUGAUAUAAUUUGUGAUUCAUCUGAGAACGUGUUUAACACGAGAGCGAGAGCGGGAGCGGGAACAUGAGUGUGAGCAGGAGCGCGAGAGCGAGGAAGAAUGUGGGGAUGGAGAGGGAAAAAGAUGAGGAUUUUCUGGUUCAAUUUUCCCGCCGGGGGGGAGGAAGAACAAGGGGGUGGGGGAGAAAGAGGGAGAUGAAAAUGCUUUUCUUCCGGUUGCCCUUCUUUUUACGCUUUUAUUCACGUUUUUUUCCUUUUCUUUCAAAUUAAAAUCCCAACCGUUGGAUUCAAAUAAACUAAAUCCAAUGGCUCAAUGUCAGCCCCUGCACCAUACAGGGAUUUUAGGCCCUGCAUGGUAGCCGUGUCCCAAGUGAAGAAAGAAAAUAGAGCAUGACAGCUAAAAAGGUUGAAAGGGUGCAAAUAGUCGGUCUUGUCGUGUACGUGCAGAGCAAGAAACAAAUAAUUGAUGACAGCUUAUUCAAAAAUAAAUGAAAGUUAAAUAAAAAUAAAAUGAAAAUGUUUGUCGUACAUCAAUACGUUUCACACGCCACAUUCCCUCAUUUGUAUAUUUCUUUCUAAAAAGUUGACUCAUGACAAAGGACACCCGAUUUCAUCUCAUGUUUUUUCACUAUUAAAGAAAUUUUUUUCUUAUUUCUAUUAAAAAAUUAAUAUAAUAAUUUUAAUGAAAAUUUCUGUUAAUUGUUACGACCGUGCAAGUUGAUACAAUAAUAAUAUGAUAUGGGAUGUGAUCAUAAAUUAAUUAAUUGAAUAAAAUGCGUGUGGAAAUAUAUGGCUGCUUUACUAGUCCCUCACUUGGAGUUAAUUUUGUGGUAGUUCCAUCUCCUUAUCUAACAUUAACUGAAGACCGACUAAUGUCAAUGUGAGCCAGUGAGUAAAUGACAAGAAAAAAAAAAUUAGUUGUACCGACAAUUUAUCCUUCAACUUUUCUUCCCCCAAAACUUUACCUUUAAAGAGAAAAAGCAAAAAAUUUCCCGGAAAAGUCGGCGCAUUUUUCUCGAGCAAACGUUAGUGACUGUAGUAUCUGCGCAGGUAAAACGAUGCUUGGAACUUUCAAGGUUGUUUCUUGAUAAUUUCAUCUCAUAUGAUUUCCUUGGCUCUCUGGACAAUAAUUUUACUUAAAAUGCAGCUUUGUUCACUUUUAUUUGAAAUUAUUCCGCGUUAUUCAAGUGGAGAAAGAAAAAGUGAAUGCCAGCUGGAAAGGUUCUAGAGGGUGUGAAUUGCCCAAAACUUCAUACGCUACCCUUUGCUUUCUUGGUCAAUUCUCGAAUUUGUCGGACCAUAACCAUUGGCAAUAGAAAUAGGGUCCUGUUCCAGUCCUUCCCGCCAAAAUAUGAGCUCUAUUUUGCUCUAACAAAAACAAUUUGUGAACAAAAGCUAUUUACUUUCCCUAAAUAUUCCAUAAAUAUGUGAGACAAUCAAAGAAGAGAUAUGCUGUCAAAAAAUAAUAAUAAUAAUAACAACACAAUUCAGACAACUACUGAAUUUUUUGGCAUAAAUAAUAGUUCAAAAAGUUGCAUCUUUGAUUACAGUAGCAGAAUCUUGAGCAGAGAAGUGAAUUUAUGAAAUAAAAUACAUACCUCCCUUUACAAGAAUUUUUUUUUUCUAAACAGAGCCACGAGUCCAAGAAUAUGUAUAUAACCAGAACUGAUACAAGCAAAUACAUCUAUAUCGUUGUCCAAAAAUGAGGGGAGGAACCAAAAAUAAAAGCAAAAUAAUGAAAAGAAGAAAGAAUAUAGUAAAUGAAUUUUGAAUACACUUUGAAUUCAUUGCUUUGACAUGAAGCAAGCCGUAUAGAGUCCCAUGUCUAUGUACACAAAACACCCUCUUCUAAAGAUUCUAGUAAAGUGAUUUUUGAACAAGCACUGGAAUCACGGAGUGGUUAAACAGGGCUUCACUCACUAAAAAUUUACAGUGAAUAUAUGAAUUGUCAACCAAAAUCUGUAAGCCAACUAGAAGUGCCUAUAGCCUCCUAACUGUGCUGCUGGUGGGGGUGGUGCCAGCACCUCAUUAGGAUUACGAUGACUGCCGGAGUUUGAACCAGAUCUCACUUCACCAUUCUAGGCCAGAUCACCGUAAUCCCCGCUAUGACCAUUGAAUGCAGAACGAUAGUAGCUGCGAUGGCUUAACAGGUCCAUUGGCAGCAGCAUCAAAUGCAGAUUUCCAGUCAUCACCUGAUGCGGCACUUGUUUCUACAAAGAACUUAUAGAAAUAAAUAAAAGUUGUUAAUGCUAACAGCAAAAUGCUCCAUAUAUCGGUGCAUCUCUACGAAUACUAGCUAUAUAGGAAGAAAUGUUAAAUUAGGUAUGUACCUCUGUCUAUAUAUUUAUAUGGAAAGACAUAAAAAUCAGUGAAUAGAGGCUAAAAUGUAACUCAUUUCCAAAGUUUUAUAACACUAGAACCAUUGAGCAGCUUAGUUUUGAUACUCAUUUCAAAGGAAAAAGUGUCUACUCAGUGCAUUUGUCAUUUGAAGUCGUAAUCCGAUUAUAUCAGGAAAAGGACCCCAUACCCUGUUCACAAUCCCUUGAUCUACCUCAGUUGCCUUUUUUGAAGUUCGCUUCUAGUUCACCUCCAACACCUGAUGCUGUCUUUUCAGCCAAACAAGACUACAGAGAUUUCAACAUAAGCUAGUUGCAGAGAAAUUUUCCCAAAAGAAUUCAGCAAAAAUUUACUACUGAUAAGGAAGCAUUGAUCCAAACAUCUUAAAGUAAUAGUGGCCGAAAAUUAUGUCUAAACUAUAAACGGACUUACAUGCAUUGUAAAUUUGAUUUAAUAUACAUUUCAUGCAGAAACCAAAUAAACACAAAUACACAAGGAUCUAAACACUAGCCAGACCAACCAAAAGUCAAACAAUAACUGCUUGGACCCAACAAUAGUAACUGGACGUGAAAUAUAGCUUUUAUCAAAAUAAAAGAGUUGAAAAACAUCUAAAAGUCACUUCCAUCUUCAUAUAAAAAUAUAAAAUCAUAAAAGAAAUGUUUGGAAAGCAACAUUUUAAGAUCAAAUAGUACCGAUGAAUUAAUCUAACAUAUCUCUUCUCAAAAAUACCAGCUGCAAUACACGUUUUCAAGAAUAUUUGAGUCUUUUGGGGUGUCGUUCCUCUUCAUGGUUAUGGUAGAAAAAUUCACUUGGAUCUUCCAUUGAUUUUGUAGAGUCUGGUACAUACAAUAAAUGGAUCCCACAUUUUUUCACCGAGCAACACUCCAAACGUUCAGAGCGAUAAAAUCCUCCUUAAAAUAGAAUUGAACUGCCUCAAGAAUGCAAUUGUAUUUCCAAAAACCAUUCAAAUCCUGAUCAUCGAAGAAAUAGUAUCCCAAAAGUAAGUGAUCUGACUCUACAUAAUCAACCAUCCCCAUAAAUCUCUGUAUGGCAUGCGAAUCUUUGGGUCUGACUUUGAAUUCACAAAACAAUUCGAACCACCUCUUUUCUCUGACAUUAUGUUCUCCAAAUGCCACAAUAGCACUAAAAGCAAAGCCGAGUACCUUUUUAUUACCGAACCAACCUGGUGGCAUCUUCAAGGUUAUAGAAGAUUUCAUACUUUGAAAGCUAAACCACAUCGGAAUUUCAUCCCCAGGAAAAAAGACACGAACCAACAGUGCAUAUUUUUGAGAAUAAUAUAUCUGUACCACAGAAAAUCAUAAUUUUAAUCAAAUAUUAAUUGUCAACUUUAAUUUGAAGAAAAAAGAAAUUAAUAACUCCGCUUUUACUUCUUUCCAUCGUGCAGUUGCCAAGAGUUGAAUUUCUUGCAGAGCUUCUUCAAGAAUUCCUCUGAUCUCAUUUCGAUCCAAUUUAUAAUUAUAACUCAGGUCAAAAUACUGAGUACAAGCUUCAUAACUUGAGAAUAAACCUGAUAACGAUUCCAGUGCCGUGCAAUGAUGUGCAUCCAACUCAUGCAGUUUGCAUGGAAGCUUUGGUAAGGAUUGAAGCCUCUCACAAUACCUUAAGUAGAGCCUUCCCAACUUACAAAGUUGUAUGAUGCUUUCUGGAAUUCUCUCGAGGGUAACUGGCCAAUAUUUUCAGGUAACCGUGUGAUGCCACAAUCAGUUAGAUUUAAAUACGUUAGAGUGUGCAAGCCAUCUAAAGAUAACAUGAUAGGCAAUGAUAAACCCAUCUGCUUAUGACCCCUGCUUCUCUGGAAACUUAAGAGAUCAAUGUUGUU
This 410615-nucleotide long non-coding RNA is filed under the name Citrus x clementina. Lineage: Eukaryota; Viridiplantae; Streptophyta; Magnoliopsida; Sapindales; Rutaceae. The record is from RNAcentral.